RNAcentral lists this long non-coding RNA (388077 nucleotides) under Citrus x clementina. Its description in RNAcentral is "Citrus clementina (C. clementina) long non-coding RNA (CCLE_LNC002866)". The stretch from base 42961 to 43067 matches the Rfam family "Plant small nucleolar RNA R71". Lineage: Eukaryota; Viridiplantae; Streptophyta; Magnoliopsida; Sapindales; Rutaceae. The record is from RNAcentral.
AUGAUGCUUUCAUAGCAUGAAAGUGUUUAAAUUUAACUGAAUGAUCUUGAUUGAUCAAUUAUGAGUUUUAAUCGAGUAAAAACUAAAUACAAUAAUCGUAACAAANNNNNNNNNNNNNNNNNNNNNNNNNNNNNNNNNNNNNNNNNNNNNNNNNNNNNNNNNNNNNNNNNNNNNNNNNNNNNNNNNNNNNNNNNNNNNNNNNNNNUGCUACCUUUUGAUUUUAGUGCUUAAUAUUUAUUGAACUAUGAUGCAGGGAAUUUGAAAUCAAACUCGUAAUACAGAUUAUCUAAUUGCGAGUUGCUGUCCAUAGCUGCUAAUUUGUAGUGAUUAUCUAAUUGACUGAGGUGACAAUAAUUCUUUUAUUUUCAAUAGCACAAUGUGGAAUUCAAUAAUUAAAUUCUCCUGUUUAAUUUGUUUCAAGUUAAAUUAUUAAUUACUUAAACUCGGUUUUAAGUCUUUAAUUUUAUGUGUUUAUGCAGAAUUGGAUUCUUGAGCGUGUUGGACACGACCAACAAUGAAAUUGACAGUAAACAAACAUUAGAACAUGUGGACUCCGGUAAGCACCAAUGAAUUUCUAGCCCCGUUGACUCCGCCAACUAAAGUUUUGUAAAAUAAAAAAAAAUACAUAGAAUUCCACCAAAUGCAAAACGCGUAAAAUUUAAUUUUCGGCCGUGUGGACCAAAACAUAAUUUAACAAAAAAGAAAAAAAUGAUAAGAUUUUUAAAAUGUGUGGAAGGUGAUCCAUAUUUUACUGAAACGACUUGUUAAAUUUUUCAAGGAUUUAGAAUAUUUGGUCAUAAAUUACGUGCAUGUUAAUUUUUCCGCCAUUGACUAUCAUAUUCUAGACUUAAUGGUACCUUUUUUGAUGAAGGGUACUUAGUCUCUCUUCUCCUCUUAUAAAAAUUAUAUUAAUUGAUUUCUUGUUAUAGUUAAUAGUCUUCAAGAACGGAUAGAUUUAUUGUUUUCAUGACCAAAUUAUGCAUGCCUAACGUUGCAACUAUUAAUAAAAUUAAUAUUUAAUAUUUAUGUUAAAAGAUAUAAGAUUUUAUGCAUUCAUUAAUUGUUAUUAGCUAAAGGAUGAAUUAUUUUUUCCCAAUCAGUUGAUGCAUCUGCAAGAGUUUUUUUUUCUUUUAUUGACCAUAAUUAUAUUCCGGGUACAAUAAAUUGUCUUUGGUGCUUGGAAGAUAUGACAUCUCUCUGUCAACUUACUGGAAAUAUCUCCUCAUCUACUCUCAUUUAUCUAAUAUCAAUUGAAGAUCUCAUAUUUCCAAACUAUGACUUCCAAAUCUCAUUAUCAUUUGAGCAUUCAAAACUAAUCAAGUGUGGAAAUAAUCAAAUAUAUGCAAAAAUCGAGUCACAAUCUUUGGCCCCUCAAAAUUCUAAUUAUAUAACUUCUAUAUAUCUCAUACAUUUUCCAAAUUCCUCUUCCAUCAACAUCAUUAGGAGUAUGUUCAUCUCUCACACAUUAACUUGAGUGGAGAGUUUCCAAAUUGAUUGUCAGAAAACAACAAAAGAACUAGACACGCUUGAUCUGUCUAAUAAUUCUCUUUCGGUAAAAUUAAUUAAUUUUAGGGGAAUUCAGCCAACCUCUGUAAUUUUAUAGUGAUCAUUAAUUAAUUAAACAAUACAAAUAUCUAAAGUGAUUAGAUGUUUACUGACAAUACAAGUUCAUGGCUUGAAAUUUGAUCUCUAUCGAUUGGUUUUGUAGUGCUUAAUAUUUACAGAACUCCGGGAAUUUGAAAUCAAACUCGUAACUACAGAUUAUCUAAUUGUAAGUUUUUGUCCAUAGCUGCUGAUUUGUAGUGAUUAUCUAAUUGACUGAGGUGACAACAAUUGUUCUUUUAAUUUUCAAUAGCAUAAUGUGGAAUUCAAUAAUUAAAUUCUCCUUUUUAAUUUGUUUCCAAUUAAAUUAUUAAUUACUUAAACUCUAUUUUAAGUCUUUAAUUUUAUGUGUUUAUGCAGAAUUGGAUUCUUGAGCGUGUUGGACACGACCAACAAUGAAAUUGACAGUAAACAAACAUUACAACGCGUUGAGUGUCGACUCCGGUAGCUGCCCUACAAGUCUACAACUUUACAAAAAAUAAUUGAGUACACACAUUCGAUUCUCGGGACCCUUCAAUGAAUUUCUAACCCCGUUGACUCCACCGACAAAAGUUUUGGAAAAUAAAAAAAAAAUUUAUAGAAUUCCACCAAAUGCAAAACGCGUGGAAUUUAAUUUUCGGCCGUGUGGACCAAAACAUAAUUUAAUGAAAAAAAAGAAGAUAAAAUUUCUAAAAUGUGUGGAAAUUGAUCCAUAUUUUACUGAAACAACUUGUUAAAUUUUUCAAGGAUUUAGAAUAUUUGGUCAUAAAUUAUGCUCAUGUUAAUUUUUCCGCUAUUGACUAUCAUAUUCUAGACACAAUGGUACCUUUCUUGAUGAAGGGUACUUAGUCUCUCUUCUCCUCUUAUAAAAAUUAUAUUAAUUGAUUUCUUAUUAUAAUAAAUAGUCUUUAAGAACGUAUAGAUUUAUUGUUUUCGUGACCAAAUUAUGCCUGCCUAAGGUUGUGACUAUUAAUAAAAUUAAUAUUUAAUGUUUAUGUUAAAAGAUAUAAGAUUUUAUGCAUUCAUUAAUUGUUAUUAGCUAAAGGAUUAAUUAUUUUUUCAACCCAAUCUGUUGAUGCAUCUGCAAGAGUUUUUUCUUUUAUUGACCAUAAUUAUAUUCCGGGUACAAUAAAUUGUCUUUGGUGCUUGGAAAAUAUGACUUCUUACUUCAAGUUUGAUAUGUCUCUCUCCAUAAGCUUACUGGAAAUAUAUCCUCAUUUACUGUCAUUUAUCUAAUAUCAAUUGAAGAGCUCACUUUUUCAAACUAUCACUUCCAAGUCUCAUUGUCACUUGCCAUUCUUGGACCAUUCAAAACCAAACAAGUGUUGNNNNNNNNNNNNNNNNNNNNNNNNNNNNNNNNNNNNNNNNNNNNNNNNNNNNNNNNNNNNNNNNNNNNNNNNNNNNNNNNNNNNNNNNNNNNNNNNNNNNNNNNNNNNNNNNNNNNNNNNNNNNNNNNNNNNNNNNNNNNNNNNNNNNNNNNNNNNNNNNNNNNNNNNNNNNNNNNNNNNNNNNNNNNNNNNNNNNNNNNNNNNNNNNNNNNNNNNNNNNNNNNNNNNNNNNNNNNNNNNNNNNNNNNNNNNNNNNNNNNNNNNNNNNNNNNNNNNNNNNNNNNNNNNNNNNNNNNNNNNNNNNNNNNNNNNNNNNNNNNNNNNNNNNNNNNNNNNNNNNNNNNNNNNNNNNNNNNNNNNNNNNNNNNNNNNNNNNNNNNNNNNNNNNNNNNNNNNNNNNNNNNNNNNNNNNNNNNNNNNNNNNNNNNNNNNNNNNNNNNNNNNNNNNNNNNNNNNNNNNNNNNNNNNNNNNNNNNNNNNNNNNNNNNNNNNNNNNNNNNNNNNNNNNNNNNNNNNNNNNNNNNNNNNNNNNNNNNNNNNNNNNNNNNNNNNNNNNNNNNNNNNNNNNNNNNNNNNNNNNNNNNNNNNNNNNNNNNNNNNNNNNNNNNNNNNNNNNNNNNNNNNNNNNNNNNNNNNNNNNNNNNNNNNNNNNNNNNNNNNNNNNNNNNNNNNNNNNNNNNNNNNNNNNNNNNNNNNNNNNNNNNNNNNNNNNNNNNNNNNNNNNNNNNNNNNNNNNNNNNNNNNNNNNNNNNNNNNNNNNNNNNNNNNNNNNNNNNNNNNNNNNNNNNNNNNNNGUAUUUUACUUGGAAGAUAUGACAUCUCUCUGUCAACUUACUGGAAAUAUCUCCUCAUCUACUCUCUUUUAUCUAAUAUCAAUUGAAGAUCUCAUAUUUCCAAACUAUGACUUCCAAAUCUCUCAUUAUCAUUGAGCAUUCAAAACUAAUCAAGUGUGGAAAUAAUCAAAUAUAUGCAAAAAUCGAGUCACAAUCUUUGGCCCCUCAAAAUUCUAAUUAUAUAACUUCUAUAUAUCUCAUACAUUUUCCAAAUUCCUCUUCCAUCAACAUCAUUAGGAGUAUGUUCAUCUCUCACACAUUAACUUGAGUGGAGAGUUUCCAAAUUGAUUGUCAGAAAACAACAAAAGAACUAGACACGCUUGAUCUGUCUAAUAAUUCUCUUUCGGUAAAAUUAAUUAAUUUUAGGGGAAUUCAGCCAACCUCUGUAAUUUUAUAGUGAUCAUUAAUUAAUUAAACAAUACAAAUAUCUAAAGUGAUUAGAUGUUUACUGACAAUACAAGUUCAUGGCUUGAAAUUUGAUCUCUAUCGAUUGGUUUUGUAGUGCUUAAUAUUUACAGAACUCCGGGAAUUUGAAAUCAAACUCGUAACUACAGAUUAUCUAAUUGUAAGUUUUUGUCCAUAGCUGCUGAUUUGUAGUGAUUAUCUAAUUGACUGAGGUGACAACAAUUGUUCUUUUAAUUUUCAAUAGCAUAAUGUGGAAUUCAAUAAUUAAAUUCUCCUUUUUAAUUUGUUUCCAAUUAAAUUAUUAAUUACUUAAACUCUAUUUUAAGUCUUUAAUUUUAUGUGUUUAUGCAGAAUUGGAUUCUUGAGCGUGUUGGACACGACCAACAAUGAAAUUGACAGUAAACAAACAUUACAACGCGUUGAGUGUCGACUCCGGUAGCUGCCCUACAAGUCUACAACUUUACAAAAAAUAAUUGAGUACACACAUUCGAUUCUCGGGACCCUUCAAUGAAUUUCUAGCCCCGUUGACUCCACUGACAAAAGUUUUGGAAAAUAAAAAAAAAAUUCAUAGAAUUCCACCAAAUGCAAAACGCAUGGAAUUUAAUUUUCGGCCGUGUGGACCAAAACAUAAUUUAAUGAAAAAAAAAAGAUAAAUUUUCUAAAAUGUGUGGAAGGUGAUCCAUAUUUUAUUGAAACAACUUGUUAAAUUUUUUAAGGAUUUAGAAUAUUUGGUCAUAAAUUACGCUCAUGUUAAUUUUUCCGCUAUUGACUAUCAUAUUCUAGACUCACUGGUACCUUUCUUGAUGAAGGGUACUUAGUCUCUCUUCUACUCUUAUAAAAAUUAUAUUAAUUGAUUUCUUAUUAUAAUAAAUUGUCUUUAAGAACGUAUAGAUUUAUUGUUUUCGUGACCAAAUUAUGCUAGAUUAAGGUUGCGACUAUUAAUAAAAUUAAUAUUUAAUGUUUAUGUUAAAAGAUAUAAGAUUUUAUGCAUUCAUUAAUUGUUAUUAGCUAAAGGAUUAAUUAUUUUUUCAACCCAAUCAGUUGAUGCAUCUGCAAGAAUGUUUUCUUUUAUUGACCAUAAUUAUAUUCCGGGUACAAUAAAUUAUCUUUGGUGCUUGGAAAAUAUGACUUCUUACUUCAAGUUUGAUAUGUCUCUCUCCAUAAACUUACUGGAAAUAUAUCCUCAUCUAUUAUCAUUUAUCUAAUAUCAAUUGGAAGAUCGCACUUUUUCAAACUAUCACUUCCAAGUCUCAUUGUCACUUGGCCAUUCUUGGACCAUUCAGAACCAAUCAAGUGUUGAAAUAAGUCGAGAGGGGGGGCAAAAUUAGAGUCACAAUUUUUGGUCCCCCAAAUUCUAAUUAUAUAACUUCUAUAUAUUUCAUUGCCAGGUCACGAACUUGUUGGCACAUUUUCCAAAUUCCUCUUCCAUCAACUCUCACACGUUAACUUAAGUGGAAAGUUUCCAAGUUGAUUGCUAGAAAGCAACGCAAAAUCAGACACGCUUGACCUGUCCCCUAAUUCUCUUUUCUACGUUGAAAAAGAAAAAAAAAAUAUAUAUAUAUAUCUAUGUAAAAAUAAAUAAUAAACUGAAUAAAAGUACAUUUGUUUAAUUAACAUCUGAUCGUGGCAUUUUUGGUGUAAUUUCGUGCUGUGUAAGCCACAACUAAAAUCAAACAGCCCCUUAGCAUACUUCUUCCAUUUUAUCUGGUACUUUUGUGGAUCUUAUAGGGUGGGCAUGUGGACAGAAUUUAAAAGUUUUAAUAGUCUCAAAGAAUAAGAUAUGUUAAAGCUAAAGUUGUUGCACCUUCUAAUUAAAUAAAGUUGUACAAUUUCACCAACUUGGAAGAAUUGACAUUAAUGGACUGGUCCCUUCUCCAUAUAUGAAGCCUUCUUAAAAGUUAAUUUUUAUUUCAGAAAAAAAAAGUUAAAGUUACAUAUAUUAUAGUAAGAUUUUUUGAGACCAAUUCCCUUCUUGAAAUAAUAAUGGAAAAGUAUUAAUUUAAUAAUAAAAUGAAUAUGUAUUGAUUAUAUCUUGAUUUUCAUCGAUUAUAGUGAGAGUUUCUCCAAAUCAAUUCCCUUAUUCAAAUAAUAUCGAAAAAAUAGUAAUUUAAUAGUAAAAUAAACAGGUGUUGAUUAUAUAUUCUAAGUUUCAUCGAUUAUGUGAUCAAAGUGGCAUUGUUGAUUUAUUUCUUGUUCAAUGUUAAUUUUUAGGUUAUCUAAAUUUCAAGGAUUUAAAAUCUUUGAUCAUGGAUUACACGCUUGUUAAUUUUUCUGCCAUUGACUAUCAUAUUCUAGACUUAAUGAUACCUUUCUUGAUCAAGGGUAAUUACUCUCUCUUCUCCUCUUAUAAAUUCCUCUUCCAUUAACAUCACUAGGAGUAUGUUGAUCUCUUACAAAACAACAAAAGAACUAGACACACUUGAUCUGUCUAAUAAUUCUCUUUCGGUAAAAUUAAUUAAUUUUAGGGGAAUAUUCGACCAACCUCUGUAAUUUUAGAGUGAUCAUUAAUUAAUUAAACGAUACAAAUAUCUAAAGUGAUUAGAUGUUUGCUGACAAUGCAAGUUCAUGACUUGAAAUUUGAUCUCUAUCGAUUGGUUUACAAAUGGACAUACUUGUGCCUUUGUGGCGAUAAUCGAACAAGUUCCAAUGAUUAUUAUUUUUUCCAAAAACUUUUUUACAACAAAUUCAUCUCGCCAAAAAUUCUAUGUUGCUAGCUAACAAUAAUUGAGCACUUGGCCGCAUUGACUCCACGUCUCCACCUCUUUCUAAAUUCUAAGUAAAAACAUGGAAAUGUAAUUUCCACAAAAUGCCAAACGUGUGGAAUUUAAUUUUUUGCCUUGUGGAUCAAAAUACAAAUGAAAGAAACAGGAAAAAAAAAAAAGGCCCAAAGACUUCUAAAAGAUGAAGAAGUCUUUGGGCCUUUUUAUAAUGGUGGAUUUUUUAAAAGAAAAAAAUAACAACACUUUUAUGGUUGGUUUUGAUAAUCAUAUGUGCGUAUAUACUCUCUAAUUUUCAAAAUGGACACAUAAAUCUUUUUUUUUCACAAAAUAUAUAUUAUUCAUAUUUUUUAUUUUUUAUUAUCAUAUUUUUAUUUAUUAUAAAUGUUUAGAGUAAAUUUUUAGGUUGAAAUAUAAUAAAAGGGUAUAAUCGUUCUCUUAUUAAACACACAUACUUUUAUUAGUUUCUAUGCAUUUGUCAUCUCAAUCUCUCUCAAUUAUUCUUUAUUGCUAGCUCAAAACACGUUGCUGUUGCAAAUUAUAGCAAAAUGACAAAUAUGGAAAAAAAGGGAAGAAAAUUAAUGCAUGAAAGACUUGGAGAAAACAACAAAAUAAGCCAACUAUGAGCUAGUUGGGUGUAUAAAUUGUUAGAUGUGUUAUAUACAAAUAGCAUAGAGCCCUCUAGUUGGUUCUAGAGACAGAAAGAGCGUGUGUGUUUUUUCACAGUUAGAGAUAUAGUUAGAAUGGGUGGCUCAAAAUCAAAAAUGAUGAUAAUGUUUAUUAUGUUAUUAAUAAUAUUUAAAAGUGGGUGGAGUGAGGGAUGUUUGGAUCACGAGAGAUUUGCUCUUUUGCGACUCAAACAUUUCUUCACUGGUCCUUGUAAUUAUCUUUACGACUGGGUAGAUGGUGAGGGAGCUACUGAUUGUUGUCAGUGGGAAAGGGUUGAGUGCAGCAACACCACAGGCCGAGUGAUAACGCUAGACCUUUUUGACACGUAUGGGGGAGAGCACAACUGGUAUCUGAAUGCUUCUUUGUUUACUCCCUUCCAACAACUUGAGUCACUUGAUUUAACUUACAACAAAAUAACCGGUUGUGUUGAGAAUGAAGGUGCUUCGUUUAAUUUAAUUAAUUUACUUUCUCCCCCCUAAUUUAAGUUGAAUAUCAAGACCGAGCAAUUAUAUGCAUAUUCAUUCAGUUGACAAUUUUGACUUUUUUUUUAAAGAUUAAUUUUGAAAUUACACUAGUAUCUAUGAUCCUUUUUUUUUUUAUUUUACUUGCAGGUAUAGAGAGGCUAUCAAGAUUGAACAACUUGAAGAUGCUUAAUUUAAGUGAUAACUCGUUCAACAAUAGCAUUUUAUCAUCACUAACUCAUCUUUCAUCAUUAAGAUCAUUAAAUUUAUAUGGGAAUAGAUUAGAAGGAAGUAUUGACGUUAAAGGUACAUAAUUAAAACUUCAUCCCUUCUCCAAGCUCUUUCAUUAACUUGCUAAAAUAAGAUUCAAGGCUUUGAAUUCAAUUUUUUUUAUGAUUAGUAUUAAAAAAAAACAGUUUUAAGCAAUUUAUAAAUACAAGUUUUAAUCUUUCUCAUAAUUUCAUCUUGUACUUUCAUGUGUCUUGAAUUUAAGAUUAAAAAGAAAUCUAAUAGCAAACCAAACACCUCCACAACUUAUUAUUAUUAUUAUUAUUAUUUGCGGUGAGGUUUGAAACAUUCAACUCAAUUUGUACUUAUUACAGAAUUUGAUUCUUUGAGAGAUUUAGAGGAGCUAGACAUUGGCGAGAACAAGAUUGACAAAUUUGUGGUCUCAAAAGGUACUACAAAUACCAUAAAAAAAAAUGCUAACUUAUACAAAUUAGUUGGAUUCUUGGCCAUUUGGUUUAUUAUUUUACAGGUUUGAGUAAGUUGAAGUCUCUCUGUUUAAGUGGUAUCAAACUCAAUCGUAGCAUCUUCGCUUCUCUUUCUUCGUUAAGAGAAUUAGAUAUAAGUUAUACGGGAUUCAAAGGAACAUUUGAUGUUCGAGGUAAGUCUAAGCCUUGCUUUCUCAUUUUAUAUAUGCGAACUAGAUUUGUGUAUCAUCGACAUAAUUUAAUAUUUAAUUUAAUAAGUCUGAAGGUAUUACAUGCUAAUUUAAACAUACUUUUAUUUACUUUGUCAAUUAAUUAAUUAAUUAAUUAAUUACUAUUUGGCUUGGUUUGGACGAAAUUCUCAUGAUGUUUUAAUUUCUUUAAAUUAAUUAAUUAAUUAACUCUGUUUUUAAGUCUUAAGUCUGGGCAUGUUUGCAGAAUUUGAUUCCUUCAAUAACUUAGAAGUGUUGGACAUGGGAUACAAUGAAAUCGACAAUCUUGUGGUUCCUCAAGGUAAACAAUUAAAAUAUUAUUCAAUUACAUUAUUUUAAUUCAUUUGAUUAGAGAAGGCCAAAAAGGUCCCAAAAAAAUUAAUAAUAAAGAAACAGAUAAUUUGUAUUAUUUAAAAAAAACAGAAUGUAAUAAAGAUUUGAUUCCAGUUCUUUAAUCUUUAAAGCGAUUGAAAAACAAUGUUGCUCUUUUCCCAAAGUAUAAAAUACGAAUUGAAUGCCAAUUAACUUAAUCAUUCAUUUCGUUUAGCUCUAAAUUUAGACAAUGAAUUUUUAUAUUAUUUCAAAAACAGGACGUAAUAGAAUUUUUUUAAAAACAGAUUGUAAUGAAGAUUUGAUUCCAAUUUUUUAAUCUUUGCAGCGAUUGAAAAACCAUACCGCUCUUUUCCCAAAGCAUAAAAUACGAAUUGACUCCCAAUUAAAUUAAUCAUUUAUUUUGUUCAUCUCUGAAUUUAAAUAAUGAAUUUUGAUCUUCAAUCAUAUUCUAACUACUAUUAAAAAACAAGUUACAAAGGUUUGAGGAAGCUGAAAAGCCUUGAUCUAUCGGAAGUUGAAAUUAGAGAUGGAAGCAAGUUGUUACAGUCGAUGGGAUCAUUCCCAUCCCUCAACACUCUUUACCUGAAGGAUAAUAAUUUUACCGAUAUAGCGACAACUACUACUCAAGGUAAGUAAAAGGUACAGAUGUGGCCAAAUUUAUAAAUAAAUUGUUAAUUAAUUAAUUUUUCCGUAUUAUUAAUUAAGCUAAAUUCGUUGCUCCUUCCUUCUAAAUCUAAACAGAGUUGCACAAUUUCACCAACUUGGAAUAUUUGACAUUGACCGGUUCCUCUCUCCAUAUAAGCCUUCUGCAAAGCAUUGCAUCAAUAUUCCCUUUGUUAAAAAUUUUGCCGAUGAUUGGUUGUGAAGUCAAUGGCAUCCUACGUGGUCAAGGUAAAAGAAAAGCGUUGAAUGUGCACUCACUGAGUGUUGUCCUACGUGUUCAAUAUUUUCAUUUAUUCAUUUUAUUGUUUAAUGUUUCUGCUAGGUUUUACUCAUUUCAAGAGUUUGGAACAUUUGGACAUGGAUUACGCGCUCAUUGCACUCAACACCAGCUUUCUUCAAAUCAUCAGUGAAUCGAUGCCUUCUCUUAAGUACUUAUCACUAUCAAAUUCUACUCUUGGCACUAACAGCAGCAGGAUUCUUGAUCAAGGUUAAUCAGAUGCUCCCACCCCCCUUCUUAAUCUAUAAUAUUAAUUUUCAAUUAAAUAUUUAAUUACACAAACGAAUCACUUAUUAUAAAAGAAUAAUACGCAUUCAUUAAUUUUUAUAUUGUAUUAAUUGAUGAAUUUAAUAAAUUUUCAGGCCUCUGUUCGUUGAUGCAUCUGCAAGAGUUGUACAUUGAUAAUAAUGAUUUAAGAGGUAGCUUGCCUUGGUGCAUGGCAAAUAUGACAUCCCUCCGAUUAUUAGAUGUUUCUUCCAAUCAACUUACGGGAAGCAUCUCCUCAUCUCCCCUCGUUCAUUUGACAUCCAUUGAAGAGUUGAUGCUUUCAAACAAUCACUUCCAGAUCCCAAUUUCACUUGAACCACUUUUCAAUCACUCAAGACUCAAGAUUUUCAAUGCUUAUAACAAUGAAAUAAAAGCUAAAAUAACUGAGUCACAUUCUUUGAUCGCCCCAAAAUUCCAAUUAAAUACACUCUUGUUGUCUUCCAGUUACGGAGACAGUUUCAUAUUCCCCAAAUUCAUUUACCAUCAACAUGACCUGGCGUAUGUUGAUCUCUCACACAUAAAGAUGAAUGGAGAAUUUCCAACUUGGUUGUUGGAAAACAACACAAAAUUGAGCCAACUUUCUGUCGUCAAUGAUUCUCUUGCAGGACCUUUUCGGUUGCCAAUUCAUUCACACAAGCAGUUAAGACUGUUGGAUAUAUCCACCAACAACAUCCGAGGCCACAUUCCAGUAGAAAUUGGAGAUGUUUUGCCACGUUUAUACGUUUUCAACAAUUCCAUGAAUGCUCUAGACGGUAGCAUUCCCUCUUCAUUUGGUAAUAUGAAAUUCCUCCAAAUUCUGGACUUAUCCAACAAUCACUUGACUGGUGAAAUCCCCGAGCACUUGGCCGUGGGUUGCGUCAACUUGCAGGCUCUUGCAUUAUCAAAUAACAACCUACAAGGUUACAUGUUCUCUAGAAAUUUUAACUUGACAAACUUGAGAUGGUUACAAUUGGAGGGCAAUCGAUUCGUAGGUGAGAUCCCACAAAGUUUGUCUAAAUGCUCCUCACUAGAAGGAUUGUAUAUUAACAAUAAUAGUCUUUCGGGUAAGAUUCCACGAUGGUUGGGUAAUCUCACAUGGUUACAAUAUAUUAUAAUGCCCAAUAAUCAUCUUGAAGGCCUUAUUCCAGUGGAGUUUUGUCAGCUUGAUUCGCUUCAGAUUUUGGACAUUUCAGACAACAACAUAUCUGGAAGUUUACCAUCUUGUUUCCAUCCUCUCUCUAUCAAACAAGUUCAUCUUUCAAAAAAUAUGUUACAUGGACAACUAAAAAGAGGUACAUUCUUUAAUUGCUCUUCCCUUGUGACAUUAGAUCUUAGCUAUAACCGCUUGAAUGGCAACAUUCUGGAUUGGGUUGAUGGGCUUUCUCGGUUAAGCCACCUGAUCUUAGGUCACAAUAAUCUUGAAGGUGAAGUGCCAGUUCAAUUGUGCGAAUUGAACCAACUACAAUUGUUAGAUCUUUCUAAUAAUAAUCUUCACGGUCCUAUUCCUCCUUGCUUUGAUAACACCACACUUCAUGAAAGUUACAGCAAUAGUUCUAGUCCUGAUGAGCAAUUUGAAAUAUUUUUUUCCAUCGAAAGCCCUGUGGGAGAUGUAAAAGAGCAAAUCCAUGAAAUUUUUGAGUUAACAACAAAGAACAUUGCGUACAUUUACCAAGGAAAAGUGUUUAGCCUCCUAUCAGGACUUGAUCUUUCUUGCAACAAGCUAAUCGGUCAUAUUCCUCCUCAAAUUGGAAAUUUGACAAGGAUUCAAACAUUGAAUCUAUCGCACCAUAACUUGACAGGAUCGAUCCCAUCAACAUUUUCAAACUUGAAGCAUGUCGAAAGUUUGGAUCUUUCCAACAACAAAUUGAAUGGAAAAAUCCCUUAUCAACUAGUGGAGUUAAAGACAUUGGAGGUUUUCAGUGUGGCAUACAAUAACUUAUCAGGCGAAAUUCCAGAAUGGAAAGCACAAUUUGCAACCUUCAACGAGAGUAGCUAUGAGGGAAAUACUUUUCUUUGUGGACUGCCAUUGCCCAUUUGCAGAUCACCAGCAACUACGCCGGAGGGUUCAAUCGGCAAUGAACGAGAUGAUAAUUUAAUUGACAUGGACAGUUUCUUUAUCACAUUUACAACAUCGUACGUAAUUGUGAUAUUCGGAAUUGUUAUUGUUUUAUAUGUAAAUUCUUAUUGGCGACGUAAAUGGUUUUACUUUGUUGAAAUGUGGAUAACUUCAUGUUAUUAUUUUAUUGUAGACAAUCUUAUUACAACAAGAUAUUGUCAUUGAAAUUAAUUAGCAGUUUAAUUACGAUUCUUUAAGUUCUAAUCAAGUUUGCACUUGAUCGCCUAUUUUACUUUAAAAAAUAAUGAUUAUGGUGCUAUCAUCAUCUUCUUCACUAGCAACAUUAACACCAAAUCCAGCGAUGGACCCAGACAUUUUAUCAAGAUAUCCACCAUAACUUAUACUUCCCUAUACUGUGCAGCCUACUUAAAUAAGAGAACCAUCUCCAAUGUUAAAACCAGCCACUCUAUAACAUUCAUUUAGAAACUAUAUUUAGAACUCUCCAAUCCACCCACCAGAAUUUCAUAUCUCCUCAACAAUUUUAAGAACUAAAGAUAAUUAGGAUAUAACAUUAGUUUUUUAUAUAUUAGUUUCAUAAUUUACAAAUCAAUGAAGAUGAAGAUUAUGUUAAUGAAUUCAAAUUAUACCAUACAUUCUCGAGAUGCUACCAAAAAUUUCUAAGUCAAUCCCACAUAUUUCAUAAUUUUAAGACUAGAAAAUUUCAUUAGGUAGAAGUUUCAUUACCUUCAAGUGGAAGAUGAAGAACAUUAUACAAUUGAUUCAGAUUAUAUCAUACAUACUCCAAAUGCAACUAGAAAUUAACAAGUUCAUGCGCACAGAUUUCAUAACAUUAUGAAUGGAAAGUUUCACAAAGAGAAAUUAUAAAUUCAAUCUCUUGCAUCAAGGUAGUUUGAUUGAUUUGAGUUACUUUCUGAUCAAGCUAUUAAUAUAACAUUCAAGUCAGGGAGAAAGUAAAUUAAAACUGGGAAGAAAUAACAGUAAAAAUUUGUUGCUAAACAUGAUGUGUAUUUUUUUUUUAAGGCAAUUUGGAAACACAGUUGUUACUACAGAUAUUCUCCUCAACUUAGAGAUAAUACAAAUAUUAAAAUGCAUAUGAUCGCACAUAUUACUUUGGAAGCUUAGUAAGAUUUCAUUAAGAGAAGCAAAUCAAACCACUUAUUUCAUUGUUGCAUCGUUCUAUAAGCUAAAAUAGCAAUAUAAUACAAGAAAAAGAACAUAUAGAUACUUGGCAAGAGUUCAUUAAGAAGUCGCAUCACAUUCGGGUGAGUUUGCUUCUGAUAUCUUGCUAGCUGGGGCUUUUUCUUGUCUUUCUAUGUAUGCCGAGGGAAACCAACCAGCUUGGCCCUUGCAUUCACCUUCCGACCAUCCAGUAGGAGCCACCUUGAGAAGUUAUAACUAAAACAGUGAAUUAAACAACAGUUGACCAUUCAAAGACCUAAGGGGAAAACUAAUUCUUUUACGUAGGAAGAGUGAAUUAAUUCUGAUCACUGAAAUAACAGCAUAACUAUGGAAGCCUAAAAAGAUAUAAAUUCACACGUCUAUAAGGGUAAACUGGGUGGUUUAGAACUGAGCUAGCAACCCUACCAUAUUCUGAUUUGCACUUCAAUGUAAAAGGGAAUAUAUGGUAUGAAGAAAGAAAACCAACCAUCAUUUGUUAACCCAUUGCUUUUCAAUCAAAAUUUUAAGAACAAAAUGCCAUGUGCUUUGAACAUCAAAUAAGUAUAAGCAUUAGUUCUAAAUUCCACAUAUCAUAAGUUAGAAGGAUAAGUUAAUAGCAUAGUAGAAAAAUCUGUGUUGUUAUUUAGAGGGGAAAGUACCUGGCGAACCACAACAUAAUCAUCAAUUGAAAGACUUAACUCUCCAUUUGCUUGAGCAUCAAAUGGAUGUAUAACCUGCAAGAUAAUGGGAUAAAUAGAACUUAAUCUCAAAAAAAGCAUAACAAAAGCAGCAACAGUAUCAGCAGCGUUCAUUGUAACCACUAUGAUCAUGGCCAACAAAGAUAUAUUAGAAACAAAAUUCCAUUUUUACUACGGCAUUAAUAUGCACUAUAUGAUAUCAUGACGAUUGGGUUACCAAGAGCUAUCAAAGUCCAAUAAAUUCUGUAUAACUUUAUGUAGUUAUUCAAAUUAUGGAUCAGAUUUUAAAUCUGAAAUUUUGACUGCUCUCCACAAAACAUGGCCUAUGCACAAGAAGGUCAUAGAUAAUGAGGAUUACAAGUGUUUGACAUCUUUAGAGUGAUGGAUUUAAGAUGACAGCUUAUGGUCAGUCAAUUUCCUCCGCCUAGCAAUAUAAGCUUUCUCGGCCGGAUUUAUCAUCAAAUAUAUAGAUUGCCCCCAAGUCACAUCCAUAUAAACAUAGUUUUUCUAGGUAAACCAAGUAAGGAGAAUCAUAAUUCAGACAUAAUCAUAAAAAGGCCCAUCUAACUUAAGAGAAAAUCUCAAAAAGAGGAAUGUUGAGCUAUCAUUCUUGUAUCUAUAAGCAAUAUCAAGACUUUACAUCACCUGCUACAUCGUGAGUGGCUACACAACUUUCAGUGGUUUGUCUUUCUUUGGCAUGCCUAACUCAGCUUUGAUGUUGCUGAGAUAUUGAUGGUAGAGACACAUGAUACUUCUAGCUCAUGCAUUCUAUCUAGCUCAUUCGACAGCUAUCUCUUUUUUAAUUCAUUAGUGUUUGCUAAACCUCAUGCUUAAAAAUCAUGCUGUUCUAAACAAAGUUUCCUAAGAAUGACUUCCUCAGCACCACACUUAGACACUUUUAGAGCAAUUUUAUUUGGGGGAAAAGAAUUUUCAAGGUGUUAACUAAUAAAUUUUAAAAAAUAAUUACAAUUUGUCCUACGAUUAUAUGACAAUUUAUCUAGGAUGAAAGGAUACAGACAGACAUCUUCCACUUUCAAGACUAAUCACUACUUCCGUAGAUGUUUUGCAAUAACACAAAUACUUGACCAGAUGGUAGUGAUGGUAGAAAAUAUUUUAUUGCUCCAAAAUUAAAAUAAGAAUGCAAUAUGUUAAGCAAAAGACUGUGCAACAUCAAAUUAAUUGAUAAGUUUGUAAUUCAGUAAAUUAACAACUUUCAUGGUAAAAUACAACAAAUUUCUUUUCAAAAAAUUUUUUUAAAAGACAGCAUUCAAUUUUGUGCGCAUCUUAUUUCUUAAGAUUUUCCAGGAGGGCAAUAGAGGGACUUUCACCUAUGCAAGAGAGCAGAAGCCUUACUUUCGCUAUAAAGUAGACGUCAUUCUGAUUAAUAUGCGUUUGCAAAUCAACUCCAUUUGAAUCAGUAUUCUGAUAGACACAUGAGGCAUUUACAUCCAUUUCCAAAGUCACAUGUUGCGAGGAGGACUCAUUUGAUUGCUCCUCUAGGAUCAUCUAAUUCAAGUAGCAAGGGUUGGAAGAGAAUAAAAAGUCACAAUUAUUCUUUUGCAUAAGUGAGACGAAAAUGAUAAAUGCACUAUUAUCAGCAGUAAACAAGAAGAGAACACUCCAAGGAAUAGAUAGAUGCGGACAAGCAAGUUAAAAUGCACAGUUCCAAACCUCCGCAUACAACUUCUCUGAAAUAGCAAUAACGUGUUGAUGAUAUGUUUUCUCAGCAUCUACCUUUAAAGGCCCGAGACCAGGAAAACAACAAUAAAACCACUAGCUAAAGGAGAAAGUAAAGAAAGAAAUACACUUGACAUAAAUCUUGACAAGAAGCACAAUUUAAGACAUAACAAACCCCAAUCAUAUUGUUUAGGACUACCAUUCGUUAUUUCGUUAUUGUAGCAUUUAGAACAAGUGUUGACUUAAUUCAACAUUGUUGGAAAGAUAGGCUUUUAGAAGCGGAAGAAAGCCACUCAAACCAAAGUGAUUGCCCUUGAAUUGAUCAAGGGAUGUAAACAUAUUACAUUUCCAGGAUGAGUUUUAAUCACUCCCCUGAUUUAUUUGGGUUGCAGUAAAACUAAGCGAGCAACUGUUUGACUUUCAAGCAACAUCUAAAUCAGCUAUUAAAAUUCAAAUAAAAUCAUAAUAGAAUAAUAACAGGCCAUCUUGCAUCAAAAAUUAAGUUUAAUUUGUGAAUUGUUUUCUAUAGACAUGUUAGUUCCUGCUAUUGAAAUGUUAAAAGCAUUGAAAAAUGAUUCAAUAAAUUAUGCAAACAUUAAAAUAGAGGACAUAUUAAAAAGUUUCUAAUUACAAUGUUAAGAUUUCCUAUAUUUUAGCAUUUGCAUAUUUUAAUUUAUGUAAAAGCUACGUCGAUCAACUUUGGGCGUGAAGAUUUUAGCUUCUACGAGACUUGAUUGGAAUAUGCAUAAGGAAGAGUGUUAAAAUAUGAUGCAUCCAACGAAAGACAAACCACGUGUAGUCUUUUAAUUAAGCCAAAGUAGCAGCUCAAACAAAUGACACUUGGACCAACAUGCAAUCAUGAAGGGGCCGGAAAAAGGACAAAUGCAACUUUGGCUUAAAUAAAAAAUAACAUGUGACUUGACUUUUGCUGGACAUGCAUCAUGUUAUUACAAGACAACAGAAAUCAGUAUGAUAGUACUAAAAGUUGACAAUAACAUGAAGAUAAGAGGCAGAAUAUCAACACAUGCAUAGGCACACACAAGGAAGUAUUAACUUAUAUACCAUAGCAAAAAGUCUUUGAAAUAUCAAUAAAAAAAAAACAAUUAAUUAAAGGUCGAAGAUGGGUCCUUUACAUAUGUUUUUGUUUUCGUAUUAGGUAGGAGGUUAUUAUAUUAUAUCAUGUAAUUAAUUUAUAUUAUAUCAUAUUAUAUCAUAUAUAUAUGAAAAAAAAAAAGAAUUUCAAAGAGAUAGCAACAUACAAUAGACUGAAGCCAUUUGAUCUACUCAUUGAUUUCAGCCUUAAACUUGUAAAUACUUACUGUACGCUAGUGCUCUAAGAAGUGAAAAUGAUGCAAACCCUGAUCCCCUUUUGACUUCCAUUUACUGUCAAAUAUUCUAUUCAUACGAAAAAAAUGUUUAGAUAUCUUACUAUAAAUAUAGCCGUUUGACUGUCUUAAUAAAGUCACACACAACCAUUCUUAUUAAAUUAGCAAGAUCAAACACUGCCCUGGAUCUUGAACAGAUCCACGCAAGUUGCACAACUUACGAUUGAAUCCGGCCAGAAAAAAUCAACUCUUUAGCAAGAAAAAUUAAUCAGAGUCAAGAAACAAGUUUAAUGAAUAUAAACCUAUAAUUGAAACAAACAUAGCCAAGAAACAAAUAGAGAUUUUACAUGUUUCAGUUGUACCAAGGAUGGCACAACCUACACCACGGGAGAAGCUUUCUGGUGACCCCAAUCUGCUUAGUUAAUAAUAGAGAUUUCAGAGAAUAAGCUAUAACCCUCUCUCCCUCUUCAGUCUCUCUCUAUUUUGUUCCCAUUGAUGACCCCAAUCUGCUUAGUUAUCCAGCUUUAUAGCUGCAUCAGUAACAAACCAGCAAACCCAGAUUGAGCAGAUUGACGACACGUGGAUAACGGCUUUAACGAACCUGGUUAAGAACUGCUCACAUGUUCGUCACGCGUGCUGCUUAAAUGAUGGCCAAAACGACUUCAAACAAAUGUCGUUUUGAGGCUUAUGAAUUACAAGUGAUAACACGAGCUUGUCUCAUGACUUUUAAAUGCAACAACGUGCCCACAACGCCGUCGUUUUACUCUGUUGAGUUUGAUUCAUUACUAAGCUUUACGACUGGCAAUGGAGAAGAUGAUAAUUUAAUUGAUACGGACAGUUUUUAUAUCACUUUUACAACAUCCUAUGCAAUUGUAAUAUUGAGAAUUAUUGAUGUUUUAUAUCCUCAUUGGCAAAAACUAGUGGUUUUAUCUUUGUUGAAAUAUAGAUGACCUCUCGUUACUGUUUUAUUAUAAACAUAUAGUUUCAUAAGUGAAACUAUAUGUUUAUAAUAAAAUUAACAUAUAGUUUCGUUACAUUUCUGCCUCAUUAAGAUUCUCAAAUACCAGUCAGGUUUGCUUAAGAAAUAAAAAUUUUCCAUUAAAAUUGCAGUAGUAUUUCCAAGCAUAUCGCAUUUUCUAUGAUUUUUCAUAAAUUAAUUAAUCUGCGGUGCCAAUAUCAGAUUUAGUUUUUCAAACUAAAUAAUCAAGAAAGCAAACAUACAAAUAUACAUACAAAUAUACUAAGCCAGCUACCUCACUAAAUUCCGAUUCGUACAGUGAACUGCAAGAAAUUGAGAAAACAAUGUAUUUAUAAUUUAAUAGAAUCAUAAGAAAACAAUGUAGUCAUUGCUUAAUAUAAGAUGAUUUCGGAGAGCCACAUUGUUUUCAAGUUAAUUUGAACCGUUUAUAAGAGAUGAAGUGGAAUCAAGUUGAAAGUUUAAAUAACAAAUCCCUGUUCUUGAGUUUUACGACGUCGUUACUCCUUCAAGUGGCAGAUUAUGCAAGUGAAUGCAGAAACAUGUGCAGAGCAUGUCAACAUGGCACAUUUAACCAUCAUUCAAGUGAUGAUGGGUUUUAUAAGACUGCUUAUGGGUUUUAUCAAGUUCCUCUGCCUCUAAGCAAAAAAUUAAAUUCGUAAUUUGUAAACGAAUUUUCCUGACAUGUAUAGUAAAUGAAGUUGUUGAUCCUUUCUUUGGAUUAUUGCAGCUCUGGUUGUGGGUCACCGAUGAGCCAAAGUCUUAUGGGUUUUAUCAAGUUCCUCUGCCUCUAAGCAGAAUUACUAUUGAAGGGCCAAAAAGAAAAUGAAAACGUGUGAACUCCAACAACCACCCCACAAAUUCAAUGACGAUGCUCAGAGACGGUUACGUUGGGCCUCUGAGAAAAAAAAUUUAUUUAGUUAAAAAAUUACCCAUAUUGAAACAUGUAUAAAAAUUUUAUAUUAAUUAGUUAUGUUUCCUCUUCAACUAUGAUCAAAUUCUUAUUCGAGCUCAUUAUUUAAUGAAUAAACGCGUAUUUUAAUUAUCUCAAUUAAUAUUUAGAACAAAUAUUUUAAGAAAUAAAGCUCAUUACAUCUCCCAUCAUUAGGUAUCUCUUUAAUUUCUUAUUUACAAAAUUAUAUUGUACAUUAAAAAUGUAUUGAAUUAGAAGAAAAUAAAUUCAACUCACUCCAAAAAUAAAUAAAAAAUGCUGGUAGCUUCGUAAUAAUUACUGUAUUGACUGCACCAGAUAAAGUUUUGUAAAAUAAUAAGUUCCCAUUAGAGGUUUUUAAAUUUUUUUUUCCGGCACACCUGAUCAAGAAUUCUAUUUUGUUAACUAAUCAAUUGCAAAGCAUAAGUGUUGAACGGUACAAAAAAUUUGAAAAAAACACUUAAAACGUGGGGUGGGUAACGGUUCACUCAAUUCGUUAGGUAGAAUUUUGGAAAACUAAAGCGAAAUGAGAAAUAUAGAAAGAAAGGAAGAAAGUUAAGAUAUGAAAGAUCAGCAGUGAAAUUGAUAGUCAUGUUUGAUUCAUCCUUCUAUGAAUUUCUAGCUGUAUUGACCCCAACUGCUAAAGUUUUGUAAAAUAAAAAAAAAAAAAAACUGGAAUUUCAACAAAAUUCAAAACGUGUGAAAUUUAAUUUUUGGCCAUGUGGAACAAAAUGUAAAUUAAGGAAAAAAAGUAUAAAUCUGAAUUGCUUAGUAUGGUUAGGAUUUUGUGAGCAUCACUAAAAAGUGAAAACUAUGAAUGAUAGAGGUGAUGUUUGCAACAUGAAUAAAUGAUGAACUGAAUCAAUUGAUGAUCGUAAUUAUAUAAAAUUUUACAAAAUCAACAAAAGUUAAUAAAAUUUUAUUUAAAUAAUAAAAAAUCAAUAAAAACUUAUUAUUUUACGACGCUCUAACCAUGGAGUACCAUAAUCAUAUUCUUCUUUUAAGAAAAUUAUUCUAGAUAUUUAAAAGAAAACAUUAUCCACCUGGAAUGACUUGAAGUCUAAAGAAAAAGAGAGAAUGGCUCCCCGCAAUUUUCUUGUCUUCAGUAUAUUUUCUUUUUUUUUUCUUUUUUAAAAUCUUUUGCCGCAUACUUAAUCUACCCUUGUUUAUUAUCUCUACUUUGCUCUGUUCAAGUCCUUUUUUUUUUCAAAUCUUAUUUUAAAUAAGAAAAUUGAAUAAAAGUACAUUUGUGUAAUUAAUUAGUAUCUGGGGGGGGGGGGGGGGGAUAUUUGGUGUAAUGUUUUGCUAUGUAAGACUCAGCUAUUAUUAAACAGUUCCUUAACCUGUUUCGCAGUUUAUUUGCUAUCUUUGUGGAUCUCAUAGGCGUUGCAGAAUUUAAUAAUUUUAUUCGUCAGAAGAAUAGGAUAUUGGCUUCAAUAAAUUUAAUUUAAACCAACUUUUAUUUACUCCAUCAAUUAAUUAAUAUUAUGCAUUUAUUAAUUGUUAUAAUCUAAAAAAAAUUAAUUAGUUCAGGUCAAUCUGAGUUGAUGCAUCUGCAGGAGAUUUUUUUUAAAUUUUUUUUUCCCCUUAUUGACCAUAAUGAUCUAAGGGGUAUAAUUCGACCUUGGUUCUUGGGAAAAAUGACAUCUCCUUCAACAUGACUAUUGACUAGGAGCAUGUAAAAACAUGGAAACAGAAUUUCCACAAAAUGCCAAACGUGUGGAACUUAAGUUUUGGCCAUGUGGACCAAAUGCAAAUGAAGGAAAAAUGAUUUCCCCUGCUUAUGUACAAAUAAAGGAACAACCUCGAAGAAAAAGGGGUUACCAAUUGGAGAAGACUUUACAGAGUUUCUCUCACACUCUCUCUGUCAAUUUCAUCUAGAAGUCCCUCUGAAAGCAUCUCCCAAAACAGUUAGUCAUCUUUUAUGCUCUGUUUUCUAGAAACAGAGUCCUAACUAAAUUGAUUGACUGUACAGUGCAUUUCAACAUAGCAUAUUUAACCGUUUUAACUGUUAUUUGAACCGUCUUCAGAGUUAACAUCAACAAACUCAUUCACAUUGGUCCAAUCUUACGGACGAUAUCAUAUGCUUAAUAAUGAACGAAUUGGAUCAGUGUUUUGCGGCAAGAGCAACUCGACACAAUCUGGAUUCAACCUCCUCCUAUCUAACAAGGGAUUUCGAUUUGAGUUACUUUGUGCUCAAGCAAAUUCACAUCAUAGUUUUGAUUCUUUAGAUAUGAAUUCAUCACUUUACAUAUAUCAGAUUAAUGUGUAACAAAAUUUUUAAUUUACUGCGAAAAGAAUAUGCACUAAAAAAUGAUUUCAAGACUAUUUGACUACCAAAAGCAGCUGUCAGAGUGCACUAAAAAUUUCUGUAGGAUAUUUUGUAGCUGUUUAAUAUGUUAUGAUGGGCAUAUAAUUCUCAAAUUUUGAUGCCUCUCAGCGAAAAUCUAUCAAAGUUACAGAUGAUAUCACGUAAAACAUGCAUGGCUCAGGCUCAGGCUCAGGUAAGAAGCCACGGAAAAGGAAAAUCUCACUGUCACGACUCACGUCACGCAUCAUUCAAGUGAUGGAUUUAACAAGACUGCUUAUGUUCUAUCAAAUUCCUCUGCCUCUCAGAAGAUAACUUUUCUGGGCCAAAUUUCUCAUCUAAAGCAUAUUAUGCCCCAAAGUCACAGAUAACAAAAUGGGGCACUACCGAUUAUGAAAGAGAACUAGUAGUUGUCAGAAGCCUAAGUCAAAUUCCGGUAGUAAGAAGAGGCCUUUCUUGAGUUUAGAUUAUGUGUUCGAGUUUUAAUAAAUGCCUGAGUUAAUAAUAAUAACAACAGUAAUAAUAAACUAAAAAGCAUAAUUACUAUUGAAUGGUAAAAAAAAAAAAAUUGUGUGAACUCCAAUAACACCCCAGUGGCGAAUUUUGGAGAGGGCUAGGCCGGGCUUCUUAGAAAAAAAAAAUAUUUAAUUACAAAAUUACCUUUAUUGAAACCUAUAUAAAAAAUUUAUAUUAAUUAGUUAUGAUGCCUCUUCAAUUAUCAUUAAAUUCUUGUCUGUUCAUCAUUUGAUGGAUAAAUGUGUAUUUAAAUAAUCUUAAAUAAUGUCUAGAACAAAUAUUUUGAAUGGUAAAACUCAUUAUGUCUUGCAUUACUAGAUGUAUCUAUAAUUUAUUAUUUACAAAUUAUAUUGUAUGAUAAAAAUGUAUUGAAUUUUUUUUUUAAAGUUCGGCUCACUCAGAAAAAAAAAUGUUAUUAGACUCGCCACUGCACAAACCUAGAAUAAUAAUUAUUCCUUAUUAUAUUGACUGCACCAGGCAAUAAACUAAUAAGUUCUCAUCAGUGGUUUUUAAUCUUUUUAAUUCUUUUUACCGCACACCUGAUCAAGAAUUCUAUUUUGUUAACUAAUCAAUUGCAAAGCAUAUAUUAGUGUUGAACGGUGCACAAAAUUGAAAAAACAAAAUCUUAAAAAACGUGCGGACUCGGAUAGCCAGACCAGAAAUCUAUGACAAUAAUUAGAUUUGAUGCUGGGAAUCUAUUAAUUUCUGGCCGUAUUGACUCCACCAGUGAAGUUUUUAAAAUAACAAGUUCCCAUUCUCGGCUUAUAAUAAUUUUAGAAUAAUGACUUAUUUGUAGAAGAAUUUAUGAUUUCCCAUUAAUAUCAAUAUUGAAGUGGCAUGGGUCAAAUCUCAAUUGCUUGAAGAAUCUAUUUAUUAUUAUUAUUAAUAUUGAAAUGGGGUGGGUAACGGUUCACUCAAUUAAUAUGUGGGGAAUUAAAUAUUACCACCCAAGGUAGAAUUGUGGAAAAUUAAAGCAAAAUGAGAAAUAUGGAAAGGAAGGCUGAAAGUAAGGCAUGAUGAAAGGCUUUGAGAAGGCUGAAGACCACCAAAUAAGUCAACUGAAAGCUAGUUGGGGCCUGGUAUAUAUGUUAGAUGUGUUUGUUAUAAAUAACAUAGAGCCCUUUUGUUAGCUAUAGCUAUGGAGACAGAGAGAGUUUGUGUUUUUUAGUAGUUAAAGAUAUAGCUAGAAUGGGUGGUUCAAAAUCCAAAAUGGUGACAACGUUAGUUUUGUUAUUAAUAAUAUUAGAAGGGGGUGAAGUGAGGAAUGUUUGGAGCUUGAGAGAUUUGCUCUUUUGCGGCUUAAGCAUUUCUUCAAUUCUCCUUAUAGACUUUAAAACUAGGUAGACGAGCAAAGAGAUUGUUGUCAGUGGGAAACCGUUGAGUGCAGGAAAGUGAUACGACUACAUCUUAGUCUUACCAGGAAUAUCGAUCUGGGAGAGUGGUCUCUGAAUGCUUCUCUAUUUACUCUCUUUCAACAACUUGGCAACAAAAUAGCCGGUUGGGUUAAGAACGAAGGUCCUUCAUUUAAUUUAAUUUACUUAAUUUCUCCCUCUUAAUUAAUGUCUAUAACCAUUAGGAGAAAUAAGGGAUUUUAUUAACUCAAAUAUGUCUAAUGGAGCUCAUUCUUUGGUUUUACUUGCAGGUCUAGAAGCAGGUGUGUCAUCUAACAGCUGCUUUGAUAAUUUCCCACACCUUCAUCUUUGAUGGAAAUAUGAAAUAAAAACAAAUUGGUGAAAAUGGUAUUGGUACCUGAGGCCAUGUAAUCUAUUUCAAAAACUACACCAUCAAAACGAUUACAUAAGUCUCAGAAGAAUCAAACAUCAGUUUUGCAAAAUACCAAUUGCUGGAGGCUAGAUUCUAACUUCCCCUCUUGAUUUUUAUGGGCAUGUUGUGUCGUACAUGCAGACAAAAAUCAUAUUUUACUUUACUUAUUUCUUACUUUCACUUGCAACCCAAAGUGGCAAGAAAUAAAUAACAUGCUCCGAUUAGCUGGACAAAAGGAUGAUGACAAUCGAGUCGAUAUUAUAUGCAGAGUUUUCGAGAUAAAAUUAUUCCAACUAAUGCAAGAUCUGAAAAAAGAUCAACCAUUUGGAAAAAUAAUUGCAUGUAAGUUCACUUCAAAUUCGUAUACAUAACAAAUUCAACUCAUUUGUUAUUGAAAAGUGCAGGGAAGAACAAUAAUUUCACAAUUGAAAUCAAUGUUUCUAACUUUUAAAUUUUACUCCAUUUUGUGGCAGGUCUAUAGACAAUUGAGUUUCAAAAAAGAGGCUUGCUGUUGUGCAAAUUUUAAUGUACUCGCAAGCGCACGAAUCUAUUGUAGUAUAGAUCAAUGGUGACGAGUGUCGAUCCCACGAGGAGGUGGAUUUUAAUUGUGUAGAAUUAAUUUUGUGAAUGGGUGAUUGGAUUUUGUGGUGAAGGUGACUUAGAUUAUCCUAAAAUUGGAAUUGAAAUGGCGAGAAUAACUUGAAGAGAAUUCUAUUGAAAUGACGUACUUGGGUAUCUGGAUCCGUAUCAACAUGCAUCAUGGGCUAAAUAAUCUGUAUUAAUGCCAAUUAAAUCAUGAGGGGGGAAUCCACACUUCAUGAACCACGCUCUAAUCAAUAUGGUGCUAAGGGCUUAUCGUGCCAAAUAAUAAUAACCUUGUACUAGAGGGCCGGUGAAACCAAGGCGGUACUAGACAAGAUUAGUAUUAUUUAUCGACGAGAAGUCAAAACAUCCACAAAAACUAGAGGGGAAGAGAAAAUAAAUUUACCAAAUUAAGCCCAUGACACAUGUUGAGACUUCACCUUCAACCCAAGCUUGAAAGAAAAUUAGCCACUCAUAAUUGAACUAGGGGUAAAAUGGGAAUUUAUUACAAUACGAAGAAAAUACAAGAUGGAGAGGGAAUUACAGAAAACAGAGUCCAAAAAUGGAUUCAGAGGUAUCAAAUUAGGGGGGGGGAGGCCCCCUUUUUAUAGAUACAUGGAGUAAAUCAUGGCCAUCGGAUUAAAAACAGUUUGGACGCUCAGGAUUGCGCCACGUCAUCAGUCAACAGUCCACGGUUUGACCACGCGGAUGAACAGUAAUACGGUUUGACUCGGAUGAACAGUAACGUGGUUUGACUCGGAUGAACAGUAACGCAGUUUGGUUGAAAAUAAUCCUGUGUGAUGCAUGUACCGUACGCGAGAUUUUUCAUCCACUGAUAUGCUGCCACGUCACCAUCAACAGUACAUAAGAAUUUUAGCCCAACAGGAUCGUGACACCUCAUCAGUCAAUGCCACAUCAUCGGUCAAUGCCAUGUCAUCGAUCCGUCUAUGUGAACAGUGUUGUGAACAGUAACGUAGAUAGUACCGUACACGUGAAUAGUACCGUACAUAUGAAUAGUGCCAUUUUUCCUUUUAUGCUUCUCCUAAGGUUUUCGACCGUCCUGAGUUCAAAAGUGAUGUUCGUUUUGCCGUCUGAUCUCUCCUUUAUUGUGAAAUGACUAUAAUGCCCCUAAAAUACAUAAAAUACUUAAUUAAAAUAAAACACAUGUAAUUAAAUCACAAGAAGGUUAAAUACAUAAAAGUAAGGGUUGUUAGUAAGACUUGAAAUGUAAAAUGACGGUUUUCUCCUUUAUAAAUAUGCAUUUUCUAACACUCAACACACCCCCCAACCAGCUUAUUGCUAGUCCCUAGCAAAUAAAGCGAAAACAAAAUUUAAUUCAAAAUAUUUUUUUUUUUUAAUAAAAACACUCGUAUUUAUUCCAUCAGAUUAAUGAUAGCAAUCAAAUAAAAGUAUAAGCAUUAUCUCCAGUCUAAAGCAACAUCACACCCACAUCAACCAUCCACAUGAAUCAGCCCAGUAGACUUUUUUAUAGCUACUUUCAAGAAUGACAUGUCAAACCCCAAAAUCUCACUGGAAGUAGUGACACUCUCACAAAGAAAUUAAAACCAAUAAAAAUAGUCACUCCAAUGAAUGGUAAUUGAGAGAGAAAAUAAUAAAGAAGUGAUAUCACAUGCUCUCACCAAGAUGAAAUAAAUAUGCCCUUAGCUUAUAAAUAAUACGAUCUCAAGUCAAACAAAAAUGGUAGUCAACCCAAUUUAUUUAUCUUUUAUUUAUUUAUUUUUAUUAUGCACCACUACAUCUUUUUAGCCCAUAUAACUAGCUUCUACUUCAAACUAUAGUUCCCUAAAAUCAAGAAGGACUUUUAUUAGGACGUAACGUAGGCUAGGGAUAUGGCUAACAAAGAAAGGAAAUAAGGAAAACAAAGUGUAUGUUUGAGAAAAAUGCAGAGAAUUUUUUUUUUUUUUUGGAAGUUGCAAGGUGGAUUUCACCUAUUUUUAUUCUUUUGAAACAACAACUUUUGUUUUUGUUUUUUUUUUUGCUUUUAUUUGGCAUAACUUCACUGAACAAAAUAAUUAUUUACAUUUUCUCAAACAUAAAUAGGUGAUGGAACUUAUAAGAUAUCGGGUAACACUCCAAAUCGGAGUGGGUCAAGAUGAUAAGUUGACAAAGAAAAUGAUUUUUUUUUUAAAGGCUCAAAAUGGUUAACUAUGGAUAUUUAAUAAAAGGGAUGGCUAGAAAGGCUCAAACGGAUCAAAGAUGGCCUUUCCAUCGUCUUUUAGGGCUCUAAAUAAUCAUCCAUAUCUACUAGUUAGAUGGGCCUCCCAAUGUAGCAACACACAUUUUUUUUUCUUUUUUUUUAUUUUACCAUUUUUUUUUAAGGGUUAACGCAAAAGAAAUCUAGAGAUCGUGUAUAAAAUAAUAAACUGUUAAGCUGUAUAAAGAAUGGGCAAAAGGGUUACUCUCCAAGAAAAAUGAUAGGCUCAAAAACUCACUUAGUACUUAUUAUGACAUGUUCAUUCCUUCAAGCAACUCAUAUAUGUCUCCGACAUCAACAUGUAGAGUAGCAAACAUAAUGUAACAUCACUUAAGACCAAAGAUAAUACAAAUACUAAAAUUUGAAAUUAAUCAUGUCAUCCAAUGUUAAAACAAAUCACACAAUUUUUAUUUUUUUAAACAACAUUCUACCCCCCAACCUAUUCUAAACAUGAAAGGAAAAAUAUGCAUGCAGGAAUGUGAAAAUGAUGCAUAAAAACUAAUUAAAAAAAGUUACACUUAAAAUGAUAGAAAACGAAAAUGGGUUUUUUUUUUUUAACUUAGAAGAUGCGUUUCUAGAGGCACUACUCUCCAUAUUCAGCCAUCUUCGACUCAAAAUUUUGAAAAUAUAUAUUUAUAAGGAGAAAUUAAAAAGAAGAAGAAAAAUAAACAUCAAAACAUAAUAAAGAAAAAAAAAAUGUCUGAAUUUUUUUUUUUAGUUUUUUUUUUAAUUUUUUUUUUAAAACGAUGAAGAUGCGUUUCUAGAGUCACUACACUCCAUAUUCAGCCAUCUUCAACACAAAAAGUUAGCAACAGUUAGUUUCUACAACAAAAAAUUAGUAAAAACCUAACCAAAAUUCCACAAUUGUCGACUAUUCCCUCCCCCCAACCAGAAUGAAACAUUGUCCUCAAUGUUUGAAAGGAAAGAAGUAGAGUUUAGAAGACAUCACCUGGGUGGUGCAACACAGAAGAAAAUAUUUACAGGCGGAGAGUUAAAUCUAAUUUGUACUUCUUACUGCUGCUACUGUUACCAUCAUUAUUUGGACGCUCCAACACAAAGGUCCAGGGGUCUGGCUCCGGUCUAUAAGCUUGUAACAGAUCAAGUAGCUCAUUAGCAGUGUGAGCACAAAUAAAGAGUUUUUUCACAUUAGCGGGAAUGAAAUAGUUUUUUAUUGCAUGGUUAAGAAAUGCGAUAAAGCCAUCAUAAAAGUUAUUGACAUUUAACAAACCGAUGGGUUUCUGGUGGAUGUGGAGAUGGGCCCAAGAUGCUAGUGUGAUAAGUGCCUCUAGUGUUGCAAGAUCUCCUGGAAGGAAAAUAAAAGCAUCAGCAUGAUUAAGCAUUUCAGUUAUUCUUUCUUGCAUACCUGAGACAACUAACUCUUCUCCAGUUGAUGAGUCAGACGAACUGCCCAACGGUUUUAGGACUCUUGGGAUGAUGCCUAACACUUGGCUGCCUCUGAUUAAAGCUGCUUCUGAGACCAUUUUUGAUAACCCUCGAUUACCUCCUCCAUACACCAAGUGUAAUUUUCUCUCUGCUAUACUUCGACCAAGAUCUAUGGCUGCCUCAACGAACUCUUUAUGUUUGCCAUAGGUAAAUCCGGAAAGCACACAAAUGUUCUUGAAUUGUCUAUUGGGAGUAGCUACCAUUGCGAUACUUCUCAAAAACAAUUUGUGAGUGCUUGACAAAAGAUAUCACAUUUAAGAGUCUUGGUGAUAGUGGGUCAUGGUUGUGUAUGAGGUAAUAUGUCAGUGUCAAAUAACGCUUAAAGCACGUGGCUCGCAAGUAAAAAAGGAAACAGUAAAAAUGAAAAAGUAAACAGUAAUAAGAAAAAAGCAAACAGUAAUAAAAUUAUUAAGGACAAUAAUACACACAAUAAACAAUAGUGAAAUAAAAUAACAGUAAAGUGAAAGGAUAUUUACAGGUAGUUGCGACUGUGGCUCACAUCUUCCUCUGGUUUUAUGUCCAGAAAUGGCUUGAACGCCCUCUAUGGGUCGAGGAUAGGCUUCCUAUCCAGUUUUCUUAUAAACUGGCAAACAAGGUCGUUUAUAGUCAGAUUCCCAAGACUAUAUCGUGCAUGCUCUUUCUGGAAUAAUGGCCAUAACUGGAGAAUCGCUCCUUGCACAUAUCCACUGGGAUGCGUUUCAAGAGACAAAAGGAUAUCAUCCAAUGACUCCUUAUUCAAGCCAUCCCUAAUGAAUUGAAUCUUAUCUUCCCUGUUAUCAGACAUCAUUCCUAAAGAACAUGGGUUUUUAUUGCAACUCAUUCUGGCACACUUAUGACAAGCAACAGAAAUUCUUCGAGCUCGUCGUUUUCUUGCAUAAUUUCCUUUACCACAACCAGGCAUGUAUGUAAUAAAUUUUGGAGGUAACUCACCUGCCGAUCGUACUUUAGCCUCAAUUAACCAACGGAUGUCAGCAGGUAUGUUAUUCCUCAUAAGUAAUCGCAUGCGUUCGGACCGAGCUUUAUAGACCGUAAGGAGGGCAUUCUGAGGAAGUGAAGGGAAUCGCUUGUGAAGCUUCGCUAGAGUCUCGUUUCUGUCCAUACUUUCGCCUCAGAAUAUCAGUUAUUAUGGGAAACUGAAGUAACCGACUUGAUUGUCACGGAGUACCGUUAUCCGCCACUUCACCGGGGUAACAAACUAAAGCACACAAAUAGAAAAAAAAAAUUAAAACACACAAAGAAAAUUAAAAUCGUCCUCUUAUUGAAUAUACCUCAAGCUCCAACUGGAUGUCGUAAACACUUCUCUCAAUGUCUCUGAGUUGGAGUUCUAAACCCUCAACAUAGGCUACUAACUCUGGUGGUUGUAGAGCCCAAAUGCGUUGUGUUUUACAAAAUUGAAUCUGCCUUUUGAGAUGAGUUUUGACACGUUGAAGUGGUUUAAGAAUGUUCAGGAGGAACGGUCUAAGUAAUGUACUCAUGAUUAAAAAUGAUAAAAGAAAACAUACUAGUUAAACAAAUACACUUAUACAAAAAUAAUUUCAAUUAGCAAAAGAAUAAUAUAAAGAAAGAAAGAAAAAUCAAAUCAACGAAAAGAAAAAUCAAUUCAAAUCUGGUGGGUCACUCAAAUUUAUUUCGGUGUCUUCUCCAUGUGAUUGGUAUUCUAGAUAUGGCUUUAAUCUUUGACCAUUAACUUUAAACGUGACACCGUUCUUUGGGUCCUUAAUUUCAAUUGCCCCAUGUGGAAAAACAGUAUGAACAAUAAAUGGGCCAGACCAACGAGAGCGUAACUUACCUGGGAAUAGGUGCAAGCGAGAAUUGAAUAAAAGCACUUUCUGACCUGGAGUGAAAGAUUUUCUCAUAAUUUGCUUGUCAUGGAAGACUUUCAUUCGUUGCUUGUAAAUCUUGGCAUUUUCGUAUGCAUCAUUGCGAAUUUCUUCAAGUUCUGCCAACUGUAAUCUUCUUUCUGAGCUGGCUUGCUGCAUGUCAAAAUUGAAUUUCUUGAUGGCCCAAUAUGCACGAUGCUCGAGUUCCACAGGUAGGUGGCAAGCUUUUCCAUACACUAGCCUGUAGGGUGACAUCCCAAUCGGGGUCUUGAAAGCCGUUCUAUAUGCCCAUAAGGCAUCAUCAAGUCUUAAUGACCAAUCUUUUCUGUCUGGCCUCACCGUCUUUUCUAAUAUGUGCUUUAUUUCUCGAUUGGAGAUCUCAACUUGGCCACUGGUUUGCGGAUGAUACGGAGUCGCCACUUUGUGUGUGAUUGAAUACUUUGUCAAAAGAGAUUUGAAUGCUUUGUUACAAAAGUGGGCACCACCAUCACUAAUUAUUGCUCGAGGGAAUCCAAAGCGCGAGACAAUGUUGCUUUUCAAAAAUCCUAUCACCACCUUGUGAUCAUUAGUACUGCAUGGAAUUGCUUCUACCCAUUUGGAUACAUAGUCAACAGCAACCAAUAUGUAUUGAUGGCCAAAAGAAGGGGGAAAGGGUCCCAUGAAGUCGAUACCCCAUACGUCAAAAAUUUCAACCACUAAAAUUGGAUUUAAUGGCAUCAUGUUCCUUCGUGUAAUGCUCCCCAUUCGUUGACACCUAUCACAUGAAGAACAAAAAGUGUAAGCAUCUCGAAAUAUAGUUGGCCAAUAGAAACCACAUUGCAAAACUUUAGUAGCUGUUUUCUUAGCACUGAAAUGGCCUCCACAAGCUUGUUCAUGGCAGAAUGAAAGGAUAUUCUGAAUUUCAUUUUCUGGGACACAUCGUCUAACAAUUUGAUCAACACAAUACUUGAACAAAUACGGGUCAUCCCAAAAGAAAUUCUUUAUCUCUGCAAAGAAUUUAGCCUUAUCUUGCUUGGUCCAAUGCUUUGGAAGUUGACCUGUAACAAGAUAAUUCACGAUGUCAGCAUACCACGGUAAUACUUCCACAUUCAUCAAUUGUUCAUCAGGGAAUGACUCAUUUAAUGGUAAUGGCUCUGUAGUUGUGUCAAAAUGGAGACGAGAGAGGUGGUCCGCCACAACAUUUUCUGUCCCUUUCUUAUCUUUGAAUUCCAAGUCAAAUUCCUGCAAAAGUAACACCCAACGAAUUAGUCUAGCUUUUGCAUCUUUCUUUGUGAGAAGAUAUUUAAGAGCAGCAUGAUCCGUGAAUAUAAUUAUUUUACAACCAAUGAGAUAAGAUCGAAAUUUUUCUAAUGCAAACACUACUGCUAGCAUUUCUUUUUCAGUAGUUGAAUAGUUCAACUGUGCAUCAUUCAAUGUCAUACUAGCAUAGUAAAUAACGUGGGGAAUUCGAUCAACUCUUUGUCCUAAUACUGCUCCUACUGCAUAAUCAGAUGCAUCACACAUGAGCUCAAAUGGUAAGUUCCAGUUCGGGGGCUGAAUGAUGGGUGAUGAUGUCAACAAAUGCUUUAAUUUUUCAAACGCAACAAGACAUGAAUCAUAAAAAACAAAAGGUACAUCUUUAGCAAGUAGAUUGCAUAAGGGUCUAGAAACUUUGCUAAAAUCUUUAAUGAAACGUCUAUAAAAACCAGCAUGCCCAAUGAAAGAUCUUACUUCUCUGACUGUUUUGGGUGAAGGAAGAUUAGAAAUGAGAUCCACCUUAGCUUUGUCAACCUCAAUACCUUUGCUCGAAAUGAUGUGACCGAGAACAAUACCUUGUUUUACCAUAAAAUGACACUUCUCCCAAUUUAAGACCAAGUUCUUCUCGAUACAUCUCUGCAGAACUAGUGUUAGAUGAUGUAAACAUUGAUCAAACGAAUCACCAAAGACAGAAAAGUCAUCCAUAAAGACUUCAAGGAAUCGUUCAACCAUAUCAGAAAAAAUGCUCAACAUGCAUCGUUGAAAUGUAGCAGGUGCAUUACAUAAUCCAAAUGGCAUCCUCCUAUAUGCAAAAGUGCUAAAGGGCAAGUGAAAGUAGUUUUCUCUUGAUCUUUUGGUGCUAUGGGAAUCUGAUUAUAUCCUGAGUAGCCAUCUAGAAAGCAAUAAAAUUCAUGGCCUGCCAAUCUAUCAAGCAUUUGAUCGAUAAAUGGUAAAGGAAAAUGGUCUUUACGUGUGACAGAAUUCAACUUUCUAUAAUCAAUGCAUACACGCCAUCCUGUAGUCACUCUAGUGGGUAUCAAUUCAUUAUCAGCAUUGGUAACUACUGUGACUCCUGACUUUUUGGGGAUGACUUGUACAGGACUGACCCAUGAACUAUCAGAAAUUGGGUAAAUGAUACCUGCAUCUAAUAGCUUAAGGACUUCUGUUCUAACAACUUCUUUCAUAUUAGGAUUUAACCGACGUUGCAUUUCCCUAGUAGAUUUAGCAUUUUCAUCGAGGUGAAUGUAAUGCAUGCAGUCUACUGGAUUUAUACCUUUUAUAUCUGCUAUGGUCCAUCCUUAUGCUCCUUUGUGCUCUUUUAAAACAUCCAACAACUUACCUUUUUGUUCGUCAUUUAGGGAUGAUGAGAUGAUUACCGGCAGAGUACUUUCUUCUCCCAAAAACGCAUAUUCCAAAGUGUUGGGCAAUGGUUUGAGCUCGAGUUUCGGUGGUGAUUCUGAUGAUGGGAUGAGUUUCUUCUCUGAUGGUGCUACUCUUGACUUCCAUUUAUUAGUGUCCAUGGAUGGUGCUGAGUCAAGUAGGGCGUUGACCUCAUCGACCGAUCUGUCAAUAUCAAUAUCAAAAUCCAAACCAAAGUGAGUUAAACAUGUUUGUAAAGGAUCACCACUAAGGUUUGAAAGAAAAGUGUCAUCAACUAAUGAUUCAAUUAAAUCCACAUCAACAAUUCCAUCAUCUACACUGUGAGGUUGUUUGGCAAUGUUGAAAAUGUUUAGCUCCAUAGUCAUGUUGCCGAAGGACAACUGCAUAUUUCCAGUCCUGCAUUGAAUGUGAGCAUCCGCAGUUGCCAAGAAAGGUCGGCCUAGGAUAAUGGGGAUGUGCUUCCUUGAAUCCUGUAUUGGUUGAGUGUCAAUUACAAUGAAAUCAACAGGAAAAUAAAACUUGUCUACCUGGAUAAGCACGUCCUCCACAAUACCACGAGGUAUUUUCGUGGACCGAUCUGCGAGUUGUAACACCACUAGAGUUGGGUGCAAUUCUCCAAGUCCAAGUUUCACAAACACAGAGUAAGGCAAUAAAUUUACACUAGCUCCUAAAUCCAACAAAACAUUCUCAAUUGUGUGGUUCCCUAUACUACAUGAGAUAGUGGGGGAGCCUGGGUCUUUGCAUUUUAAAGGAAUUUUAUGUUGGAGUAUAGAACUAACGUUUUCUGUUAAAAAUGCCUUCUUUUGAACAUGCAUAUUUCUCUUUUUAGUACAAAGGUCUUUAAGAAACUUGGCAUAAGAUGGAACUUGCUUAAUAGCAUCAAGCAAAGGGAUGUUAACACUUACCUGUUUGAAGAUUUCAAGAAUCUCACUUGUGGAUUUUCCCUUUUUUCCUUUAGCUAACCUCUGAGGAAAUGGAGCUUUGGGAACAUAUUCCCGUGGGUUGGUUUCUUCUUUCUCCUCCGGUGAUGAGUCUUCAACAUUCACAGGUACAAUUUGAUUUUCUUUUGUCACCGGCAUCUCCACUUUGUUGUCGACUUCUUUUCCUUUUCAUAAGGUCAUGACUGCUUUGACCUCUCCAUGCUGCUGUGAUGAACUGGUACUUGCUUCAUGUACUCCUUUAGGAUUAGGCACUGGUUGACUUGGAAAUUUGCCUUUCUCAACAGUCAUUGCCAAUGUCUGAACUGAAGAAGCAAGUUGUCCCACCAUCUUCUCGAGGCUUGAAACUGAUUGAGCUUGUGAGUUGAAGCCUUCUCUCAACUCAUUUCGUAGUCCAUCAAUGGUGCGGUUCUGUUGCUCAAUCGUGGAGUGAGUAACAUUCCUGAAAUUCUGGAAUUCAUCCUCCCAUGGUCUAGGUUGAGAGUGGUUCUGGUUCUGAUUGUAUGGUCUAAAUGGUGGCUGAGAGGCUUGAGGAACUUGAGGAAUUUGUUGCAUUGGUGGAGCUGGAGCUGCUGGUCCAUUCUGUUGGAAUCCUUGAGACCAUGAAAAAUUGGGGUGGUCUCUCCAUCCAGGAUUAUAUGUGUUGGAGUAUGGGUUGUAAUUUGAUGGUUUUUUCAUUAUACCUAUGGCAUUGGCUUGAUCUGAGUAUGAGUCAAGGUCAUGUGGUUCAGUUGAUUUAGCAGUCGAUAACGAUGCUAUUUGUCGAGCAAGACCUUCAACCAUCUCCUUGACUUCUUUGAUUCCUGAAGUUGAUUCGCCAAUUUAAACCUCAUUCACUCCUUUAAUUCUUCUAGUAGUCCUGAGUGAUCGACUCCGUUGUUGGGAAUUAUCUGCUUGUCGUUGGAAGAAUUCCCAAAUUUCUGAUGCACUUUUUGACAUUAGCUCUCCUCCACUUGUUGCCAUUAGCCAUUCUUGCACAUUUGGUAGUAAUCCCUCCAAAAAGUAUUGGCAUUGGUGCCAUUUCUCGUACCCAUGAUGUGGACACUUCAAGAGUAGCCCAUUAAAUCGCUCCCAUGUUUCGAAAAAUUGUUCGUCCUCUCUCUGGGUAAACUCCGAGAUUUCCCUGCGAAUAGCAUUGGUUUUAUGCACUGGGAAAUAUUUAUUCAAAAAUUUAGUUACCAUUUGUUCCCAUGAUGAAAUGCUAUUAGCAGGUAAAGUAUUUAACCAUGAACGAGCUCUAUCUUUUAAAGAAAAUGGGAAUAGUCUAAGUUUAACAUUAUCGUCUGAAAAAUUUUCAUAUUUAAAAGUUUGACAAAUGGCAUGAAAAUCAUUCAGAUGAUUAUAUGGAUCCUCAUUUUCUAGGCCAUAAAAUGUUGGGAGACAAUUUAGCACACUGGGUUUUAAUUCAAAACUCCUAGCAGCUACAUUUGGGUAUCUUAUGCAUGAUGUGCUCAAAUUAGCUAAGGGACUGAAGUAGUCCUUAAAUGGCCUCUCCUGUGGUUGCAAAUCCAUUUUAUUUUUAAUUUGUUUGUGUGUGCGAAGUGUUCUUUCUAGUUCAAGGUCCAUAGGUUCAAGAUUAGGUAAUAAUGACCUACGACCAUGCAUGCAAAACAAAUAAAAAAAAUAAAGAUGGGAACAAAAAAAUAAAAUAAAAAUAAAGAAGAGGGAGAAAUUACGAUACUAACCUUAUUGCGCUAUUACAAUCUUUCUAUAAAAAUACACAAAAAUAAAUACGUGAAAUAAAUUAACUAAAAAUAAAUUAAUAAGAUAAACAAAAAAAAAUUACAAAGAAAAAUAAGUUGAAAAUGAAAUAAUAGAAUUUUAAAGAAGAGAAAAAGAAAAAAAAAUACUAACCUUUAAAUGUAGGUUCACUUUUUUUUCUUUUUUUUUUAAGAAAAAAAUAUAUAAGAAAACAAAUAAAAGAUAUUAUUCACACAAAUUAAUUCUAUGAAUUAAAAUUACUUACCUCCCCGGCAACGGCGCCAAAAACUUGUUGUGCAAAUUUUAAUGUACUCGCAAGCGCACGAAUCUAUUGUAGUAUAGAUCAAUGGUGACGAGUGUCGAUCCCACGAGGAGGUGGAUUUUAAUUGUGUAGAAUUAAUUUUGUGAAUGGGUGAUUGGAUUUUGUGGUGAAGGUGACUUAGAUUAUCCUAAAAUUGGAAUUGAAAUGGCGAGAAUAAAUUGAAGAGAAUUCUAUUAAAAUGACGUACUUGGGUAUCUGGAUCCGUAUCAACAUGCAUCAUGGGCUAAAUAAUCCGUAUUAAUGCCAAUUAAAUCAUGAGGGGGGAAUCCACACUUCAUGAACCACACUCUAAUCAAUAUGGUGCUAAGGGCUUAUCGUGCCAAAUAAUAAUAACCUUGUACUAGAGGGCCGGUGAAACCAAGGCGGUACUAGACAAGAUUAGUAUUAUUUGUCGAUGAGAAGUCAAAACAUCCACAAAAACUAGAGGGGAAGAGAAAAUAAAUUUACCAAAUUAAGCCCAUGACACAUGUUGAGACUUCACCUUCAACCCAAGCUUGAAAGAAAAUUAGCCACUCAUAAUUGAACUAGGGGCAAAAUGGGAAUUUAUUACAAUACGAAGAAAAUACAAGAUGGAGAGGGAAUUACAGAAAACAGAGUCCAAAAAUGGAUUCAGAGGUAUCAAAUUAGGGGGGGAGGCCCCCUUUUUAUAGAUACAUGGAGUAAAUCAUGGCCAUCGGAUUAAAAACAGUUUGGACGCUCAGGAUUGCGCCACGUCAUCAGCCAACAGUCCACGGUUUGACCACGCGGAUGAACAGUAACACGAUUUGACUCGGAUGAACAGUAACGUGGUUUGACUCGGAUGAACAGUAACGCAGUUUGACUCGGAUGAACAGUAACGCGGUUUGGUUGAAAAUAAUCUUGUGUGAUGCAUGUACCGUACGCGAGAUUUUUCAUCCACUGAUAUGCUGCCACGUCACCAUCAACAGUACAUAAGAAUUUUAGCCCAACAGGAUCGUGACACCUCAUCAGUCAAUGCCACAUCAUCGGUCAAUGCCACGUCAUCGAUCCGUCUAUGUGAACAGUGUUGUGAACAGUAACGUAGAUAGUACCGCACACGUGAAUAGUAAUGUACAUAUGAAUAGUGCCAUUUUUCCUUUUAUGCUCCUCCUAAGGUUUUCGACCGUCCUGAGUUCAAAAGUGAUGUCCGUUUUGCCGUCUGAUCUCUCCUUUAUUGUGAAAUGACUAUAAUGCCCCUAAAAUACAUAAAAUACUUAAUUAAAAUAAAACACAUGUAAUUAAAUCACAAGAAGGUUAAAUACAUAAAAGUAAGGGUUGUUAGUAAGACUUGAAAUGUAAAAUGACGGUUUUCUCCUUUAUAAAUAUGCAUUUUCUAACACUCAACACUUGCCCCAUGCACACAUACUGCUUUUUUUGCAUCCAACAAUGAAAAAUCCUUCUGCAAACCAUAUUGAUAAAAUAAUAAUUGCAGAAAUCCCUAACUUAAAUGUUGAUCCUGAUGGUUAUAAUGCAGUUAACAAAUUUAUGAUUCAUGGACCGUGUGGAAAACACAAUUCUCACUCUCCAUGCAUGAUGCAAGACAAGUGCACAAAACAUUUUCCAAAAAAAUUCAAUGAUCAAACAAUAGUGGAUACAUAUGGCUUUCCAGUCUUUAAAAGGAGAAAUACAGGUAUUCAUGUCGAAAAGAAAGGUGUCUUCUUGGAUAAUCGAUAUGUGGUCCCUUAUCACAGGAAUUUAAUUGUCAAAUUUGAUGCACAUAUUAAUGUUGAGAUUUGUAAUUACUCGAGACCAGUUAAAUAUUUUUUCAAGUAUGUCCAUAAAGGGUCUGAGAGAACAACUGCAACAAUAGAAUCUAUUGACACUACCCAAGAAAUGGACGAGUGAUGGGUGUUGAAGCCAACAAAAAUAAAUUCCUACUCUAAAUAAAUUGUGUAUAGUGAUUGAGCAGGGUCGUGUCCACAGAGAUCGGUAAUUAUUUAAAUCCUUUUGAAACGUAAAACGUAAAAUGGGGGAAUUGUUGACAAUAAUAAAAAUCAAAUUAAAAAUAACAAGAAUGCAAAUUAAAGUUGUAAUUCAAAUUGGAGAAAGCUCUGGUUGAAGGAAUUAACUCAGCUUGAUUCGACUACUGAUCAUUGAUUCAAAUAUAGAUGAUUAUUACUCAUGAAUAGACUGGUUAUAGCUACUGAGACCCUCUAAUAGCCAAUCUCUCCUUAACUAGUCGAUAACCAAGGUACGACCAUUGGUUAUUUCCCUAAUCAAUAGACAACCCUAGAUACGAUCAUAGAAUUUAAUCAAUUGACAGCCUGAAAAACCAGAGAGACCCAAAUCCUAAUCAACACAUAUGAUGAUUCAUUUAAAUUAGAUUGUUUAUUCUCACAACACAACUCUCUGCUAUGUUAUUUGUCACAAGCAUUAAAUUCUUCAUACGAUGAAUCCUUUAAUUGACAAUAGAUUAAGUUGAUAAUUAAAUAGUGGCCAAUUACCUAAUUAACAAACAUAAUCAUGAAAAUAAUUUAGAGAAUAAACAAAUACCCAAAAAGCAAUAAAACAAUUAAAGCACAAGAAAGAUCUCACAGUAGUGAUGAAUCAAAGCUUCGUUAUCCUUCAACUAGAAAAAUAGGUUUAGUUCUUCAUAGAGAGAAGAGAAAAAUUAAAUCUAGGGUUUCUUUCUUUUUCUCCAAUCCAAAAAAUCCCCCCUUUUUCACAAUUGAUUCCUCCCUUAAAUACUCUCUCUCUCUUCUCUUUUAGAGUUCUAUUUAAAAUAAAAUACUAAUAUCUAAAAUAUUAAAUUCGUAAUUACAAAAAUAGCCAAAAAUAUAAAACACGUUAAACUAAAAACUGCAGGUCCGCAAUUGACAGCACGCGCCCACGCCUUAUCAACAAAGUUCUUCUGCCGCUCAUAAUUUCUCCAAGGGAACAAUCAUCCCUAAACAUCAUCUUGUAGCUCAAUUUUAUCACCAAUCAAUAGAAUUGCACCUACAAAAGUAAAUCACAGGUAAAUCACUAUUAUUAAAUGCAAAACAUCGAUAUUAAGGGAAGUAAACAAUGCAAAACUAGUGCAUAAAUUGCACUCUAACAAAUUCCCCCACACCAAGAUGAUGCUUGUCCUCAAGCAUAUAACUCAAGAUUAAUCUCAAAUUUCCACUCAAUUCUCAUCUCAACUCAUCCAAAAACAAUUUUAAGCAAGCAUACCUCAAGAAAUUAAGUCGUUCAACGUUCGAGAGACAAGGAUUUUAAAGCAUAGAAUUUCGUAAGAUAGAAUAAGAACAUUCAACCACCAAGAAGAUCCAUUCAAAACUCAAGUGCAGCAAGAUUUAAUAGCCCUCUCAAUAACUUCACUCCAUGCACUCAAAGUGUUUAGGGUGUCAUUUAUCCACUCAAAUCAAAUCAAAGAAUGCUAUUACCAUAAGCUUGCUCAUAUAUCACAUCUCAAUCCACAAAACAUGAAUAAAAUGCAAAAAUCUAAGGGUCUUAAAAGGGUUGUAAUGGGGUUAAAUUGGAGAAAUGAAAAAGAAAGGUUUAUGAAAGAAAAAGAGAUCAAAAUGAGAAGAAUGAACUCAUUGAAUGAACUUAUGAUAUCAAAAUGCUUAUUUCUACUCAAGUCACCAAGAAUGUAAAAUUUUUUUUUUCGAUUUUUCUUUUUCUUUUUUUUUCUUUUUUUUCUUUUUUUUUCUUCUUUUUUUUUCUUUUUUUUUUGUUUUUGAUUUUUUUUUUGAAUCAAACAAAAGAAACGAACCUUGCACAAUUUAAUUCAAGCAUAAUGCUUGUUGAUCUAAUUGAGAAACUUUAAUACAAGGUAGAAAAAGCAACAAAAUAUAUCCACACAAUGAGUCCAAAAAUCUCCUUAAAUUGAGGCUCAAAAAGAAGAAAAAUGGUUAAGUCGACGGAGAGAAUUAGAUGGGUAAUGGUUAAGGCUCAAACAAAGGUAGCAAAUAAAGGUCUUCGGGUAGAGAAGGAAAAAAAAAUGCGAGAAUAGAAAAAUGGAAUAUGGUUUGCCCUUAUCAUUUUAAUGCAUAAAAUCCCGUAAUGUGGCUUCAACAUGCAUAAUAAAGCAAGUUCUAGAAUAAACAAAGUAGGAUUGAUAUUCACAUAACAAAAAUAAUUAGAGCAAAGUGGUUGCUCAUAGGCUCAAAUCCUCACAAAGUUGGUAAAUUUGCCAUCAAAUCAUGUACACUCUUCAAAUGAAUCAACCAUCAAUAGUGGUGUAGAAUGAGAAGAAGGUAUGAGUGAGAUGUAAAAGGAAAGGUAAAAAUGAUAAGAAGUGAGAAAGAUGUAUGUAGUAAUAUGAAAAGUGAAAGAUAAAAUGUGAGUGAUGAAAGAGUAUGAUAGAAUAAAAAUAGAUGUAAAUAAUUUGAGAUAGAUGGGAAAAGAGUAGUGAGAGAGAGAGGAAAAGAAAAUUAAUAAUAUAUGAAGCAUACUGCAAAAAUCAUUUAAGGAUGAGUAGAGUGAAAACAAUAAUUUCAGACAUCAAUAAUGCAAAAAUCCCUCCCCCACACUAAGAACUGACAUUGUCCCCAAUGUAAGAUAAUCAAAGCUCACAUAAAAAUUAAAGCGUAAGGAUAAAAGAUUAAGGGCAAAAACUUCCUUGAAUUGUGAGCUUUGAUCCUCAUAACGUCUAUGGGCUUGGCGGGAAUGGUGGGAUAAAUCCCACACUCUUGAAGUAUGCGGCCAAAUUCUGCUCCAUCUUGUCACGGAUUUCGAUUCACGGACCUGGAAUGCAGGUCGUAGGCUGGUUGCGUUGCGAUUGCUGCUCGGCUGGAGCUUGCUUGAUGGACGCGGGAUGGCACUGAUUGUGUUGCGCGCGCGCGCUGGGGCUGCUGGAUCUGCGCGUUGCGUGGGCUGUGUUGUGCGCGAGAGCUGGGCUGACGCUGGUGCUGCGUUGCGUUGCGCGCGCGGGACUGAUGCGCUGCGUGAUGGUGAUGGCUGGAGCUUGCUGCGUUGCGCGUGGCUGGUUUCGCUGGUGGGACUUCGUUGCGCGCUGCUGGGCUGCGAGACACGGGAUGCUGGUGCUUGCGCUCACGGGAUGGUGCGUUUUCCGGCGGGUUGGUUUGCUGCUGGUGUGCUGCAAGCGGCUGGAGAAGAAAACAAGUUCUGGAAAAUUAGGGAUUUUGUGAACAGUGAAUAGUGAACAGUGAUUUUCGAUUUUUGGUUUUUUUUUUAAUAAAUAAAUAAAUAAAAAGAAAGAAAGGAACGAAAAAAGAAAAAGAAAAAAAAAUAAUAAAUAAUUUUUUUUUUUUUAUAGUGAUGAAUCACUUUGAGACACUAAAAAUUUCAGAAGUACUUUUCUAAUAAGUACAUGGGCACGCCUUAUAAAAAAUUUUCUUCUGACCAAAAUAAGCAAACACAUUAAAUUUCAGAAGUACUUUUCUAUUAAGUACGUGGGCACGCCUUAAAACUAUGUUACUUUAAAAAUUACAGAAGUACUUAUUAGCUAAGACGUGGGCACGCCUUAUCAAAAAUUUUCUUCUGACCAAAAUAAGCAAAAUUUUUCUUUUUUUUUUUUGAAUUAAAAUUAAAAGAAGAUAUAACAAAAACCAAAACAAACAAAUCAUUUGGGUUGCCUCCCAAAAAAGCGCCUUUGUUUUAUGUCUUUGGCUAGACACAUUUAUGCAUCAAUCUCCAUAAUUGGGACUCUCGAGAGCCACAUCCUCCACAAUAUUCACCGAAAAACCUUCAUAAAAAGGUUUUAAGCGAUGACCAUUAACCUUAAAAACUUUGUCAGAGGUCGGGCUCCGAAUCUCAACUGCACCAUAAGGAAAAACAUUAGUAACAAUAAAAGGUCCAACCCAACAAGAACGUAAUUUACCCGGAAAAAGUUUAAGCUUAGGAUGAAAAAGAAGAACUUUUUGACCAACAGAGAACUCCUUUCUCAAAAUCAUUCUAUCAUGAAAUGUCUUCGUCUUUUCCUUGUAAAAAAUUUCCUGCGCUAUAGGGUUAAUAACAUCCACAGAAAAUACCGAAUGUUCCUCACUAGGAUAUUUCAUGGCAUCAUUCAUAUUGAAUUCUAUAACCUCUCCAUCAAACUCCAUAGUGAGAGUCCCUUUAUGUAUAUCCAUUUUAGUCCUAGCAGUCUUAAGAAAAGGUCUUCCUAGCAAAAUUGGGAUAGAAUUAGAGGAGUUAUCAUCUUCCAUAUCAAGUACAUAAAAAUCAGCAGGAAAAACCAACUCAUUAACUUGUACUAAGACAUCUUCUAAUACCCCAUCAGGAUAUGCAUUAGACCUAUCAGCUAGUUGAAUUAUCACACAAGUUUCUUUUAAUGGACCAAUAUUCAAAGAUGAAUAAAUGGAACGAGGCAUGACAUUAAUAGAAGCUCCUAGAUCUAACAAAGCCUUUUCAACUCUAACACUACCAAUUUUACAAGGGAUAGUAAACAUACCUGGAUCCUUGCACUUAGGAGGUAGUUUCUUUUGAAGAACUGCUGAAACAUUCUCCCCCAUGUGAACUUUUUCAUCUCCUCUUAAUUUUCUCUUGGAGGUGCACAGUUCCUUAAGGACUUUAGCAUAUCGAGGUAUUUGUUUUAUAGCAUCUAAUAAAGGAAUAUUUACCUCAACCUUGCGAAAUGUCUCAAGGAUGUCUUUCUCUUGUUCCUCCUUCUUGGAUUUUACAAAUCGGCUUGGAAAAGGAGGAGGUAUCACAAUAGGUAGGGGUUUCGCUUUGGUGGGUUGCGCAUCUUGAGAUUUAGGUAUCAAUUCAUUCUUCUCAAGCUCAUCUUCUACAUGCUUUGUCACUUUCUUACUAGGCUCUUGCAACUCCUUCCCACUUCUAAGGAUGACAGCACUAACGUUUUGCUUUGGAUUCACCUCAGAUUGUGAAGGCAAUCUUCCUAAUACUUGAGACUCCAGACGGCUUACUGUAGUCGCCAAUUGACUCAUUUGGUUCUCCAAGUUCUGAAUGCUUGUUGUAGUUGCCUGCUGAAAUUGUUGAGUGUUAGUCGCAAGUGAUUUAACAAUUUCUUCAAGAGAUAUACCUGACUUGGAGUUUGACUGUGGAGGUGUUGGUUGUCUUGGUGGAUACUGUUGUGGGAAUCCUGACGGCCUAAUGCCAUAGCUGAAGUUUGGAUGAUCCUUCCAUCCCGGAUUGUAUGUUUGUGCAUAAGGAUCAUACCUCCUCUGAGGCAUGCCUGGAAAUCCUCCAACUGCAUUGGCUUGUUCAACGGGUUCUUCUUGAAGUGUAGGACACAUAUCAGUUGAAUGACCCAUAUUGUAACAAAUACCACAAGUCUUCACCUGUUGCACAUUACCUACAACAAACUUUUCCACAAGAGAAGUGAGUUUAUCUAAACGUUGUUCAACAGAAGAAAUAUUUACCUCAUUCACAUUCCUUAAGGUGGCAUCUUGUCUGCUGCCAAAUUGUUGUGCAUUGGCAGCCAUAUUUGAUAUCAACUCCCUUGCUUGAGUAGGAGUCUUGUUCACCAACACACCUCCACUAGCAGCAUCUAUCAUACUCCUAUCCAUCAAUGAUAGUCCUUCGUAAAAAUAUUGAAUAAGAAGUUGAUCAGAAAUCUGAUGCUGAGGACAACUGGCACACAAUUGUUUGAAUCGCUCCCAAUACUCAUACAAAGUCUCCCCAGGAAGUUGUCUGAUCCCACAAAUAUCUUUUCUGAUGUUGGCAGCUCUUGAAGCAGGAAAGUACUUCUCGAGGAACUGCUUCUUCAAACCAUUCCACGUUGUAAUCGAUUCAGGAGGCAAGUAGUACAACCAAUCUUUAGCUAGCCCAUCUACAGAGAACGGAAAAGCACGCAGCUUAAUCUGCUCUUCAGUCACGCCUUGUGGCCUCAUACUUGAGCACACAACAUGAAACUCCUUGAGAUGUUUAUGAGGAUCUUCACCUGCAAAACCAUGAAACUUGGGUAAUAAGUGAAUAAGACCAGACUUUAAUUCAAAAUUUACCUCCAAGUCUACAUAUUGAAUGCAGAGUGGUUGUUGAUUCAAGUCUGGGUCAGCUAACUCUCUAAGAGUUCUUUCUACAGGUGCAGGUCUAUCCAUCACUUGUUCUUCUGAAUCGCUAGAUGAUUCAACUAAAUCAGGCACCGUAUCUGUUUCAGAAAGCAAAGGCGACGAGGAUCGUUGCUUAGCUCGUUUUGUCUGCUGUCUCAGCUGGCGAGCUGUCUUCUCAAUUUCAGGAUCAAACGAAAGUGUACCUGUACGAGAAGAACGAACCAUACACCAAGUAAAACGUAAAAAGGAUUAAAUAAAUGACACCAAUCCCCGGCAACGGCGCCAAAAUUUGAUGGGUGUCGAAGCCAACAAAAAUAAAUUCCUACUCUAAAUAAAUUGUGUAUAGUGAUUGAGCAGGGUCGUGUCCACAGAGAUCGGUAAUUAUUUAAAUCCUUUUGAAACGUAAAACGUAAAAUGGGGGAAUUGUUGACAAUAAUAAAAAUCAAAUUAAAAAUAACAAGAAUGCAAAUUAAAGUUGUAAUUCAAAUUGGAGAAAGCUCUGGUUGAAGGAAUUAACUCAGCUUGAUUCGACUACUGAUCAUUGAUUCAAAUAUAGAUGAUUAUUACUCAUGAAUAGACUGGUUAUAGCUACUGAGACCCUCUAAUAGCCAAUCUCUCCUUAACUAGUCGAUAACCAAGGUACGACCAUUGGUUAUUUCCCUAAUCAAUAGACAACCCUAGAUACGAUCAUAGAAUUUAAUCAAUUGACAGCCUGAAAAACCAGAGAGACCCAAAUCCUAAUCAACACAUAUGAUGAUUCAUUUAAAUUAGAUUGUUUAUUCUCACAACACAACUCUCUGCUAUGUUAUUUGUCACAAGCAUUAAAUUCUUCAUACGAUGAAUCCUUUAAUUGACAAUAGAUUAAGUUGAUAAUUAAAUAGUGGCCAAUUACCUAAUUAACAAACAUAAUCAUGAAAAUAAUUUAGAGAAUAAACAAAUACCCAAAAAGCAAUAAAACAAUUAAAGCACAAGAAAGAUCUCACAGUAGUGAUGAAUCAAAGCUUCAUUAUCCUUCAACUAGAAAAAUAGGUUUAGUUCUUCAUAGAGAGAAGAGAAAAAUUAAAUCUAGGGUUUCUUUCUUUUUCUCCAAUCCAAAAAAUCCCCCCUUUUUCACAAUUGAUUCCUCCCUUAAAUACUCUCUCUCUCUUCUCUUUUAGAGUUCUAUUUAAAAUAAAAUACUAAUAUCUAAAAUAUUAAAUUCGUAAUUACAAAAAUAGCCAAAAAUAUAAAACACGUUAAACUAAAAACUGCAGGUCCGCAAUUGACAGCACGCGCCCACGCCUUAUCAACAAAGUUCUUCUGCCGCUCAUAAUUUCUCCAAGGGAACAAUCAUCCCUAAACAUCAUCUUGUAGCUCAAUUUUAUCACCAAUCAAUAGAAUUGCACCUACAAAAGUAAAUCACAGGUAAAUCACUAUUAUUAAAUGCAAAACAUCGAUAUUAAGGGAAGUAAACAAUGCAAAACUAGUGCAUAAAUUGCACUCUAACAACGAGAUCAAAACAUAUUUGGAGUGCAGAUAUAUAUCAGCAACCGAAGCUUGCUAACGAAUCUUCUAAUUUGACAUACAUUAAAGAAAGCCGGCAGUUGAAAGAUUGCCGUUCCAUUUACCGGGAGAGCAUACAGUAAUAUUCGAAGAAUCCAAGUGCUUAGAAAAUGUGCUUACCAUACCUGGAAUAGAAAAAACAAAGUUCACAGAAUGGUUGCAGGCAAACAAGAAUUAUGAUGAUGCACGAGAGCUAACUUAUUCUAAUUUCCCUACAUGUUGGGUAUGGAAUUCAAAAGACAAAACUUGGACUAGGAGAAAAAAUGGCUUAGCAAUUAGAAGAAUUUACUUUGCACAUCCUUCAAGUGGAGAACGAUUUUAUAUGAGAAUGUUGCUCAAUUUUGUAAAAGGAAGCACUUCAUUUGAAAGUACUAGAACAGUAAAUGGAGUGACAUAUCCAACUUUUAAAGCUGCGUGCUAUGCUUUGGGAUUAUUAGACGAUGAUAAAGAAUGGAUCGACUGCUUGACUGAAGCUGCAAUAUGGGCGACUGGAAAUGAAUUAAGACAUCUUUUUGUCACGAUACUCAUUCAUUGUCAGGUUUCUGAUGCAUCCCAACUUUGGAAAUCUAAUUAUACUAGUUUAUCAUAAGGCAUAACUUCAUUGCAAAGGAAAAGAUUCAGAUUGAAAGAUCUUCAGUUAACCGAGCAACAAGUUGAAGCAUACACAUUGUUGGAGAUUGAAACUAUCAUGUUGAAAAUGGGAAAAAGUUUAAGAGACAUAGAUGGAAUGCCACUUCCUAAUUCUUCUUUGAUAAGAGAUUCAGGUAACCGAUUGGUCAAUGAAGAGCUUGAUUAUGAUCGUGAUCAAUUAAAGAAGUUGCAUGAGAAAUCAUUUACUGCUCUAAAUGCUUGCAAAAAAUCAGCCUAUGAAGCAAUAAUGCAUUCUGUUGAGAAUGAAGAAGGGUGUUUAUUUUUUAUCAAUGGACAUGGUGGUACUGGUAAAAUAUUUUUGUGGAAUACAAUUAUUGCAAAGCUCAUAUCACAUUCUAAAAUAGUCUUGCCUGUUGCAACUUCAGGUAUAGCAGCUUUGUUAUUGCCUAAUGGUAGGACAGCUCAUUCGCGAUUUCAUAUUCCUUUGGAUGUGAUAGCAGAGUGCACUUGUGAAAUCCGACAAGGCACCUUAUUAGCUGGACUUCUUAUGAAAACUUCUUUGAUCAUUUGGGAUGAAGCGCCUAUGGCACAUAAGUUCUGCUUUGAAGCUUUGGAUAAGACCUUGAGAGAUAUUCUAAGAACAAGGUAUGAAAAUACUUCUAUCAAACCUUUUUGAGGACUUACAAUAGUAUGUGGUGGUGAUUUCCGUCAAAUAUUGCCAGUUGUGCCAAAGGGGACAAGAGCAGACAUUGUUGACGCUUCACUUAACUCAUCCUACUUAUGGCCAUUUUUCAAAAUUUAUGAGCUCAAACAAAAUAUGAGGCUCUAUAAUGGAAGCAUGAGUGGCUCUGAGGCUGCUAAAAUAGCUUCUUUUGACAAAUGGUUGUUACAGAUUGGAGAUGGUUCAUUAUAUGAUGACAUUGAUAGAGAGUUAGUUAAACUACCUUCUGAUAUCUGUAAGAAACCAUAAAAAAAUCUAAUGAAAUCAAUAGUCGACACUAUCUACCCAUCAAUUCUACAUAAUUACAGUGAUCCAACAUAUUUGAAAGAAAGAGCAAUAUUAACGCCAAAAAAUGAAAUGGUGCAUGAAUUGAACGAGAUGAUUAUGAAUAUAAUACCUGGUCAAGGGAGAACCUAUUUUAGCUCAGACAGUAUAUGCAAAGCAAGCGCAAACACAAAUGAUGAAGAUGUUCUGUAUCCAACUGAAUUUUUGAAUAGUUUGAAAUUCAAUGGCAUCCCUAAUCAUGACAUACGACUUAAGGAAGGUGCUCCCGUAAUGCUUCUCAGAAAUCUAAAUCAAAUAGAAGGCCUAUGUAACGGCACAAGAUUGAUUGUAACUCGUCUUAGUAAAUGGUCCAUUAGAGGUGACAUCAUUUCUGGAACAAAUAUUGGACAAAAUGUCACAAUUCCAAGAAUUGUUAUGUCUCCUAAUGAAUCAAGAUGGCCAUUCAAGCUUAACAGACGGCAACUUCCUUUGGCACCAUGUUUUGCCAUGACGAUCAACAAAAGCCAAGGACAAUCUCUUAAACAUGUUGGCUUGUAUCUCCCUAAGCAAGUAUUCACACAUGGUCAAUUAUAUGUCGCCGUAUCUCGAGUUACCACAAGAGAAUGAUUGACCAUACUAAAUGCUGAUCAAGAGGUAGAAGACCGAACCUUCAUAAAAAAACAUUGUCUACAAAGAAGUAUUUCAAAAUAUUCACACAUUAGCUCACAAAAUCAAGGUAUCACAUUUUUAGAUUAUAUUUUAAAAUUUAAUUUAUACAUUGCAAGCUCUUACUUCACCCUAUAAUAAUGAUUUUUAUUAUGUGUUUUAAUUAUUCAGUAGACAAAUGAAUAAAUCAAAGGAACUAUCGAGACAGCAAAAUGGUAGUUUGGUUGAGUUUUCCAAGCUAUUAUGGAGAAUUUAAUCGCCAAAGAACAUAGUACGUGAAGAAGCAUUCCUUUUUACAUCAACUAUUUCUCCUUUCAUUCUCUCUAAUCCAUGGAGACAUGGUUUAUAUACAGAUAAAGAACAUUUUGGCACUAGGUGUUGCUGAUCCCCAUUGGAACUUGCCAUAGCUGCAAGCUUGAUAUAAACAACUGCUCACCUACGCAGCUACAAACGAUGCAAAAUAACUUACAGAAGUCUUUACAUGUAUUUUACUUAUUUCUUUUAUAAUUCAACGCAUUGCUAAGGAUCCUCAAUUACAAAAUUUAAUUUGGAACUUAUCAACUACAAAAGGUAUAAGGUCUGUACACCUAGACUAUACACGUUAAUAUAUAUAUUUAAAGUUAACAAAAAAAUAGUUAACUUUCAUAAAUAACAUUAGUUUUAUAAGGCUACCUCAUUUUAAAAAAAAUCAAUUUAUAUUUUUUAUCAGUUUUAUUGAGUAUAAAGAAAGAAAAAUUGAUAAUACUAAAUUCAUUUUCUAAAGCCGCGCGAAGCGCGGUUUUAUUUCCUAGUAUAUAUAUAAAGCUGGGACUAUAAGAGGUGAUGUGACAUCACCAUUUCUCAUCUUUGUAUAUUUUCUAUUAUCUAAUAAAUAGAGAAUUUUUCUUUCAAAUUUGGCUUUUCAUCUUCUCAUAAUUAAUUUGAUUGUUAUUACAAUUAUGUAAAUGUUUUAAUGAGGCAUAUUCUUUAUAAUGAACAUCCAAUGGGGAGUGUUAUAAAUUUAUUAAAAUAAAUGUGGAUGUUCAUAACAUAUAUCUCUUAGUCUCUCCACUAUCUCUCAUUAGCAACCUUUAGCUUCUCUGUAACUCCCACAAUCUCACAAGGAAUUAUGAUCCAUAAUUUUUCAUUAAUUUCAUGGAGUGAUUAUGUAACUACAAAAGGAGAGCUCAUCUUUUUGUUUUGUAUACACAAUUGGAAUGAAUAAAAUCACUCUAAAAUAUAUUCUCUCAUUUUAUUCUUUAUCUUGCGUUGCUUCUUUAUUUGUGUUGUUGGCUAAUAGUUUUUUUUUUAUUUAAACCACCCGGUUUCCGACGACCGCAUUGGAUACUUCUACUGCAUUCAACAUUUCUAAUUUUUAUUGGUUGAUAUACGUGUGAAUGACAACACAAUCCUCUGAGGUAUUUUUUUAAUUAUUAAUGUUUGUUAAUCUUUAAGUGUAUAUUAGAAAUUAUUGAUCCUUAUGUUUUAACAUAUUUAUGUUAUUUUCCCAUAAUAUUACAGAUGUUGUCGGAAGUUUAUGUGGUGUGGGUGAUAUUGAGAUUGUUGGAGCUGGUUGGAAAAAAAGACAUAUAAAAGUUCUAAAAGAUUAGCAAGUUGAAUAUAAUUUGGAACUUAUCAACAACUACAAAAGGUAUAAGGUUUGUACACUUACUAUACACAUUAAUAUAUAUAUAUUUAAAGUUAACAAACAAAUAAUUAACUUUAAUAAAUAACAUUAAUUUUAUAAGGUUGCCUCAUCUUUAAAAAAAAUCAAUUCAUAUUUUUUAUCAGUUUCAUCAAGUGUAAAGUAAGAAAAAAUGAUAAUACUAAAUUAUUUUUUUAAAGCCGCGUGAAAUGCGGUUCUAUUUUCUAGUAAUUUAUAAACCGAGGCCGGGCCCCAAGUCUUUUAAUUUUCUUCCUUUCUUUCCAUAUUUGUCGUUGGGUUAUAAACUUCCCCAAUUCUACCUUUUAUGUGCACGUGAAUCAUGACAUACCCCUUGAGUCAUGCUUUCAAGUUAUAAUUCCUUUCAAUCUUUGCCACGGCUUCAAGUCUCAAAAUCACACAGCAAUACAUCAUAACCCGAAAAUUUAUAAAUAAUCAAUAAUAUAUAAAUGUAAUCAUCUAUUGAAUCAGUUCAUUAUUUAUUCGUAUUGCAAGCAUCACCCCUAUCAUUCAUAGUUUUCACUUUUUAGUGAUGUUCACAAAAUCCUAACCAUACUAUGCAAUUGAGAUAUGAUCAAUAACACUUUGAUAACAUAUUUUAAAAAACAUAAAUUCUUCUAUAAAAAGUCAUUAUUCUGGGGGUUAAUUUCCAUAGGUUUCUAUUAGUUAAUUUUUUCCAACUAUUUUUGAUGAAAUUAGAUAGAUUUGCCUUCAUAUUUGGGGCAAAUAGUUUCAGCGAAUCAUGAAUAAGCUUCCACACAUUUUAGAAAUCUUAUCUUUUUUAAUUUUAUACUUUUUCUUUAAUUUGCAUUUUGGUUCACAUGACCAAAAAUUAAGUUCCAUGCGUUUUUCAAUUUGUGGAAAUUCAGUUUUUUUUUUUUGUGGAAAUUUCGGUGGAGUCAAUAUGGCUAGAAAUUCGUAGAAGGAUGAAUCAAAAUACUCAAUUAUUGUUGUAGACUUGUAAGGCAGCUAACGGAGUCCACACGUUUCAAUGUUUGUUUACAGUUCAGCUUUCCCUUUGAUUAGUUAUCAAAAUAGAAACAUGAUUAUCAAUUUCAACUGUAUGUCUUUCAUGCCUUAACUUUCUUCCUUUCUUUCCAAAUUUCUCAUUUUGCUUUAAUUUUCCACAAUUUACCUCCACGAAUUGAUUGACCUGUUACCCACCACACUUCAAUACUAAUAAUAAUAAAUAAAUUCUUCAAGCAAUUGACAUUUGACCCACCCCACUUCAAUAAUAAUGCUAAUGGGACAUCAUAAAUUCUUCUAUUCAAAUAUAAUACUCAUGACUUUGACGGCCGAAACAUGUUUCAUGGCACAAAUAAUGACGGUUUUGUUUGAGGUACGGUGGAGGUGUCUAUUCAAAUAUUUGAAGCCAGCCCCUCGUUUUAUCUAAACCACAAGCAGGCUCAGCCGAAAUUGUUUAAUAUUUUUAUUUUUUCAAGAAACUCUCACUAUAAGGCUUAUGUGAAAAUUUGGUUGACAGUUUAUGUAUUUAAUUAUUUAUUUUACCACACAUGUCAUGUGUAGGUUUUAUUUACCUUGAGCAGUGGUCAAUGCAUUAGACCCAAGAUAAAGUGUGUUGAGGUAGGGGAAUUAAUGAUCGCAUUAGCUGUAGCACCUAUCUUCAAUCUCUAAUUUUAACUUUCUAUAGAUGAAGUGUUUUCAAAUUCCUCAAAUGUCUGUAAUCUGUUUAAUAAUUGAAGAAAGUUAAAAUUCAUUUUCUAAAUUUAAGGUUAAACUCCCAAUAAAAAAUUUUAUUUUCAUUCAAUAUUGUCAUUAGAUGGUAAUCACUUUGUACGAGAGAUUCCAAAAAAUUUGUCUCAUUGCUCCUCACUAGAAAGAUUGUAUCUUAGUGAUAAUAAUCUCUUGGUAGGAUUUCACAAUGGUUGGAUAAUCUUUCAACAUUACAACAUUUUAUAAUGCUCAAGAAACACAUUCUUGAAGGUCUUAUUUCAAUGGAGUUUUAUCAGCUUGAUUCUCUUCAAAUUUUGGACAUUUCAAACAAUAAUGUAUUUAAGAGUUUAUUAUCUUGUUUACAUAAAAAUAUAUGCCUAUAGGCAGGUAAAAGAAGGUACAUUUUUUAAUUACUCUUCCUUAGGGACAUCAUAUCUUAGCUAUAGCCACUUGAAUGAGAUCAUUUCAAGUUGGGUUGAUAGGCUUUCUCAAGCAAGCCACUUCAUACUGACCCACAAUAAUCUUAAAGAUGAAGUAUCUGCUCAGUUGUGCCGAUUGAACCAAUUGCUAUUGAUAAAUCAUGCUGAUAACAGUCUUUCCAGCCAUAUUCUUCAUUGCUUAAACAAGUGAACUUGUUUCAUUGAGAGAGUAGUGAAACAAGGAAAAAAAAAAGUUUUGACUUUUAUCAGUUAGUUGACUGUUAAGUAAAAAGUAUGCAAAUAUCAUUUUAUACUUUAGAUUGUUAAAAACUAAUGGAAAAAUAACGUCAUUUGAGGAUAAAUUGAAAUUUUCAUACUUUUAAAAAGUAAAGUGAAAAUUAUCAUUCUAAGUGUGGAUAAAUUAAAGUUACACUCAUAAAAAACACAUCUAAUAAUUUAUACACCAAGGCAGGCCCAAGUCUUUCAAUUUUCUUCCUUUCUUACCAUACUUAUCGUCCUGUAAUAAAUUUCCACAGUUCUACCUUUUUUGUACACAUGAUUCAUGACAUACUCCAUGAGUCAUGCUUUCAAGUUAUAAUUCCUUUCAAUAUUUGCCACGUUUGCAAGUUUCAAAAUCACAUAGUAAUAUGUCAUAACAAGUCCGAAAAUUCAUAAAUAAUCAAUAAUAUAUAAAAGGAAAUUAUCCACCGUCUAUCCGUUUUUUCAACUUUUUCAAAAAUACACAAUUUUUUUUUUUUUUGCUGGAAUCCACCUGAAGUUACAUUUCUUUUCACUUUUCCACUUCCGUUUGGAAUCCGUUAAGGAAAUUAAGGGAAUAUUGUUAAAUGACUUUUUUACCCUCAAAUGUAAAAGAUAAUUUAUCCAUCGACCACUUGUUUUUUCGUAUUUUUUCAGAAAUACACAAUUCUUAAUUUUUUUUUUGCUGACCUCCACUCGAAGUUGUAUUGUUUUACACCUAUCCACCACUGUGUCGUUGUAAAAUGAUGAUUUACCCUUAUAAUGUUAGCAAAGUUAUAACGGUCUCCAAACGGAAGUGGAAAAGUGAAAAGAAAUGUAAUUUCAGGUGGAUUCCAGCAAAAAAAAAAAAGAAUUGUGUAUUUUUGAAAAGCAGUGAAAAACGGGUGGAUGGUGGAUAAUUUCCCAUAUAUAAAUAUGAUCAUCAAUUGAAUUUGAAUCAGUUCGUUAUUUGUUCAUAUUGCAAACAUCACCUCUAUCAUUCAUAGUUUUCACUUUUUAGUGAUGUUCACAAAAUCCUAACCACACUAAGCAAUUGAUAUUCAAUCAAAGACACUUUGAUAACAUAUUUUAAAAAACAUAAAUUCUUCUAUAAAAAGUCAUUAUUCUAGGGGUUAAUUUCUGUAGGUUUCUAUUAUUUAAUUUUUUUCCAAUUAUGUUUUAUGAAAUUAGAAGAUUUGUCUUCAUAUCUAGGGUACUUAGUUUUAGUAAAUUAUGCAUCACCUUCCACACAUUUUAGAAAGAUGAUCUUUUUUUUAAUUUUAUACUUUUCUUUCAUUUACUUUUUGGUUCAUAGGGCCAAAAUUUAAGUUCCAUGCAUAUGCAUUUUGUGGAAAUUCAGUUUUUAUUUUUUUAUUUUGUGGAAAUUUCGGUGGACUCAAUACGGCUAGAAAUUCUUAGAAGGAUGAAUCUAGGGCAGCUAGCAGAGUCUACGAGUUUUAAUGUUUGUUUACAGUUCAAUUUUCCAUUUGAUUAGUUAACAAAAUAGAAACAUGAUUAUCAAUUUCAACUAUAGUUCUUUCAUGCCCUUAACUUUCUUCCUUCCUUUCCAUAAAUUCUCAUUUUGCUUUAAUUUUUCACAAUUCUACCUUGGAUGGUGUUGAUUCAAAUUUUUUCUCAAUGUACAAUGAUUGAUUUGUGUUUCGGACAUUCUUCUAAAUCGAGUUCUGUGGCAUAUUUUUUUCCUUGAGGCGAGUGUCUCAAAUCAUAUGUCUCCUUGUGGUUAAUUAUUUUGUAAAAAGAAACAAUUAUCAAAGGGUGCCGACAUGCCGGCAAUAACCCUCCGACACUCAAGUUAGUUCUUUUUACUCAAGUUUUAAAGAGAGAGAAUCUAGAGCAAGAUGGGCAGAGUUUUGCUCGCAUUUUAUGCCUUUUUUCCUCUUACUUUCAAAUGCCGGUCUUGGCCUUUAUAUAGACAACUUAGAGUCAAUUGGAGAGAUUAUGUGGCACUUUUCUUGUGACAAGUGUCAGCCAAAGUCCAUGCAUGGCGACAUAUAUUCAUAUGUGUCAAUACUUGCUCAUGACAAAUAAUCUUUGGACAUUUGUCAUGUUUUUGGGCUAUUAACCUUUAAUGGACUUUAGCUUAAAUUCGGCACUUAUAUUGGUUUCUUACAAAGAGGAUUGAUUUUGCAACAUUUUGCCCAUAAGCACAUUCCGCAAAAUGUUUGUUAGCCAGUAGGUGUUGAGUGUUAGAAAAUGUAUAUUUAUAAAGGAGAAAAUCAUCAUUUUACAUUUCAAGUUUUACUAACAAUCCUUACUUUUAUGUAUUUAAGCUUCUUGCAAUUUAAUUAUGUGUGUUUGAUUUUAAUUAAGUAUUUUAUGUAUUUUAGGGGCAUCAUGGUUAUUUCACAAUAAACGAGAGAUCAGACGGCAAAACGAAUAUCACUUUUGAACUUAGGACGGUCGAAAACCUUAGGAGGAGCAUAAAAGAAAAAAUGGCACUAUUCACAUGUACGGUAUUAUUCACGUGUACGGUACUGUUUACGUUACUGUUCAUAAUACUGUUCACAUAGACGGAUUGAUGACGUGGCAUUGACUGAUGAGGUGUCACGAUCCUGUUGGGCUAAAAUUCUUAUGUACUGUUGAUGGUGACGUGGCAGCAUAUCAGUAGACGAAAAAAUCUCGCGUACGGUACAUGCAUCACACAGGAUUAUUUUCAACCAAACCGCGUCACUGUUCAACCCAGGUCAAACCGUGUUACUGUUCAUCCACGUGGUCAAACCGCGUACUGUUGACUGAUGACGUGGCGCAAUCCUGAGCGUCCAAACUGUUUUUAAUCCGAUAGCCAUGAUUUACUUCAUGUAUCUAUAAAAAGGGGGCCUCUCCCCCCUAAUUGGAUAGCUCUGAAUCCAUUUUUGGGAUCCAUUUUUUGUAAUUCCUUCUCCAUUUUGUAUUUUCUACAUAUUUUAAUAAUUCCCAUUUUGCCCCUAGUUCAAUUAUGAGUGGCUAAUUUUCUUUCAAGCUUGGGUUGAAGGUGAAGUCUCAACAUGUGUCAUGGGCUUAAUUUGGUAGAUUUACUUUCUCUUCCCAUCUAAUUUUUGUGGAUGUUUUGACUUCUCGUCGACAAAUAAUACUAAUCUUGUCUAGUACCGCCUUGGUUUCACCGGCUCCGUAGUACAAGGUUAUUAUUAUUUGGCACGAUAAGCCCUUAGCACCAUAUUGAUUAGAGUGUGGUUUAUGAGGUGUGGAUUUCCCCCUUAUGAUUUAAUUGAUAUUAAUAAGGAAUAUUUAGCCCAUGGUACAUGUUGAUACGGAUUCAGAUACCCAAGUACGUCAUUUCAAUAGAAUUCUCUUCAAUUUAUUCUCGCCAUUUCAAUUCCAAUUUUAGAAUUUAUUCUCGCCAUUUUAAUUUAAAUUUUAGCAUAUUCCAAAUCAUUUCCACCACAAAUCCAAUCACCCAUUUACAAAAUUAAUUCUACACACAAUUAAAAUCCACCUCCUCGUGGGAUCGACACUCGUCACCAUUAGUCUAUACUACAAUAGAUUCGUGCGUUUGCGAGUACAUUAAAAUUUGCACAGCAGUAGGCUCGCUCCGUGGAAUGUUUGUUGGCCCGUUGGCACAUUCCAUAAAAUGCAUAUAUUUGCCCGUAUGCACAUAUUGUAGAAUGUAUAUUUCUUCGUAGGCGCAAUCUGCCCGUAGCCGCCAUCCGUAGAAUGUGUAUUUGUCCAUAGGCCUAUUGCAUAGAAUGUGUGUUUGCCUGUAGACCCAUUCCGUAGAAUGUGCAUUUGCCCGUACGCCCAUUUCGUAGAAUGUGUAUUUGCCCGUAGGCUCAUUCUAUAGAAUGUAUAUUUGCCCGUAGGUGCACUCCGAGUAGCUCAUGUGCUCUUAGAAAUAUUUUUGAAGUGUCUAGAUCAUGAACGGACCUAGGUCAUUUUUUGUGAGGAAUGGACCUAGGUCGUUCUUUGUAAAAAAUAGACCUAGGUCCUUCUUUGUUGAAUCAUGCCUUUGGCACUUUGUGAAGACUCGUAAGGAAUGGACUUAGGUCAUUCUUUGUAAGCAAUGAACGUAGAUCAUUCUUUAAGACUUAGGUUUUUCUAUGAUAAAUCACGCUUUUGGCUUUUUGUCGUGUCUUGCAUUUAGACACUUUAGUUAGAAUUGUAAAUACCUUGGCCAUUCUUAUAGAGAACACACAUGGGUUAUUUUAUAUAAAAUAAUUUUAUUGGGCCUAUAUUUUUUGUGGGUUUUGGACCUUUCAUAAUUUGGGCUAACAGAGGCCCCCGAAGUCUUACUUUUCAAUUUUGAGAAGUGAGACUUUUUUUGUACUUUUUUUUAGGCUUUUCUUUGGCUUUUCUUAUUACAAAUUAAAUUUUAAGGCUUGAAAUUUCUCUAAGGCACCUAUCCUAUUAAAAUUAGUCUACAACCAAUCUCACAUACUUCAUUUAAUGAUUUGUAGCUCUCUACAAUCUAUCUUAAUUUAACAAUUAUUGAAAAGUAUAAAAAUAAGGAGUUAGUAAAAGUAUCAUUUAAAAAGAGAUACUUGACUUUUUCUAAAUAGUAUGUGAGAAUUUUCUGACAAUUCUUUGGCGAGCUACUGUUGAAGCUCUUCGAGUGCUCAUCGAUCUAAGAAGCAAUGCCAAAUCUUUUCCUGAAAGGUCAUCUUUGAAACUGAAUUGCUUCAAUGGUAAACAUUUUUGUAGAUAGCGAUCCCAGUCAAUUCUCAUAUAUACUUACCCUUAGGCAUUUUGGUUGAGAUCAACCAAAGCUGUAGUCAACAUCCGCCCUUGGAAGAUUUAGUCAAUAGUUGCCCCUAAGCUUUUUGACAUUGGCUUUAAGGUGUUUCUCGUCAACACUAACUCUCGGACGUUUUUAUCUAAAACAUGUCAUUAGGUGUUUCAGACAAUCAUUUGCCUUUUAAUGUUUCACUUAGAAUAUUUUCCCUCAGGUCUAUUAUUAUAAUUCGCUUGUGGACGGUUUCCUUCAAAAAUUAAUUUGAAGUAAUUGGACCUAGGUCAUCCUUUAAAAGAAAGGACCUAGGCCCUUUUAUCAUAAUUUACUCGUGGGCAGUUUCGUAGAACUUAGCCCGUAAGCAUUCUCUUUAGAAUGAUUUUUCUAAGAAUUGGACCUAGGUCAUUUUUUACAAGAAUGGACCUAGGUCUUUUUAUUAUAAUUCGCAUGUGGGCACUUUUUAUAGAAUACUAAUUCUAAGUGAUUGGACCUAGAUCAUUCUUUGAAAGAAAGGACCUAUAUCUUUUUAUCAUAAUUCAGCCAUAUAUGGUUUCCUUAGAAGAUUAAUUCUAAGUAAUUUGACGUAGGUCUCUUUAUUAUAAUCCGCCCGUAGGCACUUUCCUUAGAAAAUUGAUUUUAAGUAAUUGGGCUUAAGUCUCUUUUUAAAGGAAAUGACGUAGGUCUCUUUUUAAAUUGAUUCUAACUUUGUCACUACUUUGAUUGCAUCAAGUGAUGAAUAAUGUCGUAAUCAGAAUUUUCAAGGGGGUAUUUGGGAAUAUUGCCCCCUUCAGAGUUUUAAAAGCCAGAGAAAGAAGACUUUUUGUAUUGUAUGGUACCAUGGUAUGCCCCGUAUGCCUUUCUUAAUGAUAAAGUAGCAGAUUCUCCUUCAAUUUAAUUUCUUUUUGUUCCAAGCCAAAAUAAAAAAAUUUCUGCUCACUAGCCGUACUCUGUUCUUGAUGAACAUUAGGAGGCAGUUCAAGACAUGGAUUCUCAAAGUCAAUUGUAUCGAUGAUACUUGGGUGUGUAUGACAUUUUUAUUAAUAAUUUUAAUCAUUCAUUGAUAAAUUCUUCUAUUAACAAAAAUAAUUUCUCCAAAAUUAAUUUUUCUACUCGCAGACCAUACUUUGUUCUUGAUGAACAUUAGUUGGUACUUCAAAACGUGGAUCCUCAAGUCAAAACGGUAAAUUUUUUUCAUCAGUGAAUCAUUAACUAAACAAGUGAUCUUAGAUUUCAUUCUUGUGUCUAUGAUAUGUGGGUGUGACUGACAUUUGAGGAACAAUUACAAGAGUGAAAAAGGAGAAUACAUAAUAUAUUCAACCACUAAAAAUAAAAGUCAUUUUUAUUUUAUUCCAUCUUACUCGAAUUUGAUACAACUAGUGGGUGUGUUGUAACUAAUCUUAUUUGUCCCUUUGAAAUAACCGAUAAUAAUCUUAUCACCGAAUGUUUAACAGACUCGUAACGUCAUAACGUAACUACCACGUCAAGCAAACACGUGGACUCAGCCGUGAACUACAACCGCAUAACCGUUACAUAUAUAGACUAGUAUGAAGCGGUGGAGUUAAAGCAAGCGUUUAAGAAGUGAUUUAAGCUGAUGCAAGCGUAAAGUAUGAGACGAAUAAAACAACAUACAAUUCAACAAAAGUCUAACAUGCCCUGUUCAAACUUAUAAUUUUCUACUAUUACCUUACCCGACAAUACAAUCCAAGUAGCUGGCAGCCACACCGCAAACUUCCACUAUCAUCUUCUCCUUUCAAACUUAUAAUUUUCUUUUUUCUUUUUUAUUUUCUGGAAAGAGCUGGCUUUCCUUGAUUUUUGCUUUUUGUCAACAAUUAUUCAUGCCUUUUUAUUUUUCUCCAUCACACUUUUUUUCUUUCCCAACUUCCACGAGCUGAGCCGUCGUCGCUUUUUGAAAGAAACAGUAUGGAAGCUAUCAAGAAACAGGCAAUCAAGCUCCGAGAACAAGUCGCCAAGCAGCAGCAAGUCCGUUUCUUUUCUUUUUUUGUUUUUAAAUUAUUUAGACUUUUAAUUAGUGAAAUUUCUCGAUUUUAUUUAUUUUUCAUUAGUUUUUUAUGGUUUGUACAGGCAGUAUUGAAGCAUCUGCUCCAUCUUGGCAUUGAAAAUGUUGCGGUUGAUAAAGCUGACAUUGAGUGUCACCAACAACUUCAAAAUCUAUACAAUUCCACCAGGGCAGCUAAGGCACCAUCCUCCUUUAGCUAAUAAUAAGACUCUGUUUGAUAUUGAUUUAUUGUGGCUUUUGGUAAUUAGAUAUGAUUUUUAAAUAAUAAUUUUGUCAAAUAUGGUACAAACAACUGUAUUUUCUAGACUGAAGUUGCAAGUAUUUACCAACGGAGCUUAAUGUAUGUUGAACAAUUAUGAUGGUUUGUAUGGUUUUAUCUGAACAAUAAUUUGGAAUAUAUGCUCUGUAGCGCAGCAUUUUCAGAGGAAUAUUGUCCGUGGCGUUGAAGGGUUUGUUGCAGUAAGCUUGAAACAAAUGGAAAUAUGUUGUUUGUUUGCUCUUGCUCUUGUUAUAAUAUUUGAUUUUUUUUUAUUUAUUUUCUUGACUAGUUCUUGUGUACAAUAUUUUUGUAUUCAAAUAUUGUAGCGAGAAAGUUGGCCGAAGAUUGUUGCAAGUAUGGAGCGGAGAAUCAAAGUGACAAUUCUUGCGUUGCAAGAGCUGCUCUUCAAUUUGGCACUUCACAUGAUUUGAUGGAAAAUGAGAGGGAAACUUUGCUUGGGAUUCUUCAUGAUCAGGUUAGUUCAUCCCUAACUAGAAAAUAAUUCAAAUAUAGAAAAUUAUAUGUAAAUUACUACGGAAACUAUUAUCUUCUCAUAAGGAAAUUUAGUUCUAAGAUAUUGAAUAAAAGAAUCCAUUUUAAAGUUACAACUCUGAAAUAUUUAAUGUUUUAUAUUAAAAUCAUUGCUAGUGACAUCCAUGACUUGAUAGUUUUAUUGGUUCAAAUGUUGAAGAGACCUUGUACUUCUUACAUCACUAGCGAAGACUGGCGUGGGACAAGUUAUUGGCCGUGAGUUCUCUCAAUUGACUCCAAGCAUUUUGGAUAAAGACAUUUGCAUCUGUAGUAAAAUCAAAUCCAUGAGACUGAAGGAUGCAUGGGGAAGUCUUACAACCUUUAUUUGCAUAGGUAGAUGCUGAGAAAACAUAUCAUCAACACGUUAUUGAUAUUUUAGAGAAGUUGUAUGCGGAGGUUUGGGACUAUGCAUUUUAACUUGCUUGUCCCCAUCUAUCUAUUCCUUGGAGCGUUCUCUUCUUGCUAUUUUCGUCUCACUUAUGCAAAAGAAUAAUUGUGACUUUUUAGUCCCUUCCAACCCUUGCUACUUGAAUUAGAUGAUCCUAUAGGAGCAAUCAAAUGAGUCCUCCUCGCAACAUGUGACUUUCGAAAUGGAUGUACAUGCCUCAUGUGUCUAUCAGAGUACUGAUUCAAAUGGAGCUGAUUUGCAAACGCAUAUUAAUCAGAAUGACGUCUACUUUAUAGCAAAAGUAAGGCUCCUGCUCUCUUGCAUAGGUGAAAGUCCCUCUAUUGCCCUCCUCCUGGAAAAUCUUAAGAAAUAAGAUGCGCACAAAAUUGAAUGCUGUCUUUUAAGAUUUUUUUUUUUAAAAAAAAAGAAUUUUGUUGUAUUUUACCAUGAAAGUUGUUAAUUUACUGAAUUACAAACUUAUCAAUUAAUUUGAUGUUGCACAGUCUUUUUCUUAACAUAUUGCAUUCAUAUUUUAAUUUUGGAGCAAUAAAAUUUUUUUUCUACUAUCACUACCAUCUGGGCAGGUAUUUGUAUUAUUGCACAACAUCUACGGAAGUAGUGAUUAGUCUUAAAAGUUGAAGAUGUCUGUCUGUAUCCUUUCAUCCUAGAUAAAUUGUCAUAUGAUCGUAGGACAAAUUGUAAUUAUUUUUUAAAAUUUAUUAGUUAACACCUUGAAAAUUCUUUUCCCCCAAAUAAAAUUACUCUAAAAGUGUCCAAAUGUGGUGCUGAGGAAGCCAUUCUUAGGAAACUUUAUUUAGGAGAACAGGACUUUUAAGCAUGAGGUUUAGCAAACACCAAUGAAUUAAAAAAGCGAUAGAUGUCGGAUGAGCUAGAUAGAAUGCAUGGGCUAGAAAUAUCAUGUGUCUCUACUAUCAAUAUCUUAGCAACAUCAAAGCUGAGUUAGGCAUGCCAAAGAAAGGCAAACCACUGAAAGUUGUGUAGCCACUCACGACGUAGCAGGUGAUGUAAAGUCUUGAUAUUGCUUAUAGAUACAAGACUGAUAGCUCAACAUCCCUCUUUUUGAGAUUUUCUCUUAAGUUAGAUGGGCCUUUUUAUGAUUAUGUCUGAAUUAUGAUUCUCCUUACUUGGUUUACCUAGAAAAACUAUGUUUAUAUGGAUGUGACUUGGGGGCAAUCUAUGUAUUUGAUGAUAAAUCUGGCCGAGAAAACUUAAAUUAUUAGGCAGAGGAAAUUGACUGACCAUAAGCUGUCAUGUUAAAUCCAUCACUUAAAAGAUGUCGGUCACUUGGAAUCCCCAUUAUCUAUGACUUUCUUGUGCAUAGGCCAUGUUUUGUGGAGAGCAGUCAAAAUUUCAGAUUUAAAAUCUUAUCCAUAAUUUAAAAAUGGAAUUUUGUUUCUAAUAUAUCUUUGUUGGCCAUAAUCAUUGUAGUUACAAUGAACGCUGCUGCUACUGCUGCUGCUUUUGUUAUGCUUUUUUAAAGAUUAAGUUCUAUUUAUCCUAGUAUCUUAUAGGUUAUACAUCCAUUUGACGCUCAAGCAAAUGGGGAGCUAAGUCUUUCAAUUGAUGAUUAUGUUGUGGUUCGCCAGGUACUUUCCCCUCUAAAUAACAACACAGAGAUUUUUCUACUAUGCUAUUAACUUAUCCUUCUAACAACUUAUGAUAUGUGGAAUUUAGAACUAAUGCUUAUACUAAUUUGAUGUUCAAAGCACAUGGCAUUUUGUUCUUAAAAUUUUGAUUGAAAAGCAAUGAGUUAACAUAUGAUGGUUGGUUUUCUUUCUUCCUACCAUAUAUUCCCUUUUAUAUUGAAGUGCAAAUCAGAAUAUAGUAGGGUUGCUAGCUCAGUUCUAAACCACCCAGUUUACCCUUAUAGAUAUGUGAAUUUAUAUCUUGUUAUGCUUCCAUGGUUAAUGUUGUUAUUUCAGUGAUCACAACUAAUUCACUCCUCCUACGUAAAAGAAUUAGUUUUCCCCUUAGGUCUUUGAACGGUCAACUUUUGUUUAAUUCACUGUUUUAGUUAUAACUUCUCAAGGUGGCUCUUAUGGAUGGUCGGAAGGUGAAUGCAAGGGCCAAGUUGGUUGGUUUCCCUCGGCAUACAUAGAAAGACAAGAAAAAGCCCCAGCUAGAAGGAUAUCAGAAACAAACUCCUCACCCAAAUGUGAUGCGACUUCUUAAUAAACUCUUGCCAAGUAUCUAUAUGUUCUUUUUCCUGUAUUAUAUUGCCAUUUUAGUUUAUAGAACGACUGCGACAAUUGAUAAGUGGUUUGAUUGCUUCUCUUAAUGAAAUCUUACUAAGCUCCAAGUAAUAUGUGCGAUCAUAUGCAUUUUAAUAUUUGUAUUUAUCUCCUAGUUGAGGAGAAUAUUUGUAGUAACAACUGUGUUUCCAAAUUGCCAAAAAAAAAAAAAUACACAUCAUGUUUAGCAACAAAUUUUUACUAUUAUUUCUUCCCAGUUUUAAUUUACUUUCUCCGUGAAUUGAAUGUUAUAUUAGUAGCUUGAUCAGAAAGUAACUCAUAUCAAUCAAACUACCUUGAUGCAAGAGAUUGAAUUUAGAAUUUCUCUAUCUUUGUGAAACUUUCCAAUCAUAAUGUUAUGAAAUAUGUGGGCAUGAACUUUUUAAUUUCUAGUUGCAUUUGGAGUAUGUAUGAUAUAAUCUGAAUCACUUGCAUAAUGUUCUUCAUCUUCCANNNNNNNNNNNNNNNNNNNNNNNNNNNNNNNNNNNNNNNNNNNNNNNNNNNNNNNNNNNNNNNNNNNNNNNNNNNNNNNNNNNNNNNNNNNNNNNNNNNNUUCUAACUAAUGAAAUUUUCUAGUCUAAAUUAUGAAAUAUGUGGGAUUGACUUAGAAAUUUUGGUAACAUGUCGAGAAUGUAUGGUAUAAUUUGAAUUCAUUAGCAUAAUCUUCAUCUUCAUUGAUUUGUAAAUUAUGAAACUAAUAUAUAAAAAACUAAUGUUAGAUCCUAAUUAUCUUUAGUUCUUAAAAUUGUUGAGGAGAUAUGAAAUUCUGGUGGGUGGAUUUGAGAGUUUUAGCUUUGAGAAUAUUGCUUCAUCUCUACUUUGAUGUUGUUGUGCCCCUUGUUGUGGCGAGGCAUUAAUCUUCCUAAAUUUUUUGUCAAGCUUCAACUUUAUUAUAUAUAUACCUUUCUUGAUAAAAUGUCUGGGUCCAUCGCUGGAUUUGGUGUUAAUGACACUAGUGAAGAAGAUGAUGAUAGCACCAUAAUCAUUAUUUUUUAAAGUAAAAUAGGCGAUCAAGUGCAUCUAGGUGUUUCAUUUCUUGUGUAUGAUUAUAAAACUAUUCUGAAUAUAGUUUCUAAAUGAAUGUUAUAGAGUGGCUGCUUUUAACAUUGGAGAUGGUUCUCUUAUUUAAGUAUGCUGCACAGUAUAGGGAAGUAUAAGUUAUGGUGGAUAGAUAUGAGUUUGGAAGUGUGGAGACAAAUGUGAAGUGCUUGGAAGUUGGAAGCUAUAUAACGCUAAAUACUUCUACAAUUUUAAUAAAAAAUAAAAAUAAAUUUAUUUCCUAAGCAAACUUGAUUAGUACUUAAAGAAUCAUAAUUAAGCUACUAAUUAAUUUCAAUGACAAAAUCUUGUUGGAAUAAGAUUGUCUACAACAAAAUAAUAACAUGAAGUUAUCCACAUUUCAACAAAGUAAAACAAUUUACGUCGCCAAUAAGAAUUUACAUAUAAAACAAUAACAAUUCCAAAUAUCACUAUUACGUACGAUGUUGUAAAUGUGAUAAAGAAACUGUCCGUGUCAAUUAAAAUGUCUGGGUCCAUCGCUGGAUUUGGUGUUAAUGUUUCUAGUGAAGAAGAUGAUGAUAGCACCAUAAUCAUUCUUUUUAAAAGUAAAAUAGGCGAUCAAGUGCAUCUAGGUGUUUCAUUUCCUGUGUAUGAUUAUAAAACUAUUCUGAAUAUAGUUGGCGAUCAAGUGCAUCUAGGUGUUUCAUUUCUUGUGUAUGAUUAUAAAACUAUUCUGAAUAUAGUUUCUAAAUGAAUGUUAUAGAGUGGCUGCUUUUAACAUUGGAGAUGGUUCUCUUAAAUAAAGUUUGCUGCACAGUAUAGCGAAGUAUAAGUUAUGGUGGAUAGAUAUGGGUUUGGAAGUGUAGAGACAAAUGUGAAGUGCUUGGAAGUUGGAAGCUAUAUAACACUAAAUACUACUACAAUUUUAAUAAAAAAUAAAAAUAAAUUUAUUUCCUAAGCAAACUUGAUUAGAACUUAAAGAAUCGUAAUUAAACUGCUAAUUAAUUUCAAUGACAAUAUCUUGUUGCAAUAAGAUUGUUUACAACAAAAUAGGAACAUGAAGUUAUCCACAUUUCAACAAAGUAAAACCAUCUACGUCGCCAAUAAGAAUUUACAUAUAAAACAAUAACAAUUCCGAAUAUCACAAUUAUGUACGAUGUUGUAAAUGUGAUAAAGAAACUGUCCAUGUCAAUUAAAUUAUCAUUUUUUGUUGGGGGGGGGAAAAAAGGGGCCCCCAAAAAAAAAAAAAAAAAAACUUUUUUUUUUUAAAAAAAAAAAAAUUUUUAAAAAUUUUUGGAAGGCGUUAAAUGUUGCAAAUUGUNNNNNNNNNNNNNNNNNNNNNNNNNNNNNNNNNNNNNNNNNNNNNNNNNNNNNNNNNNNNNNNNNNNNNNNNNNNNNNNNNNNNNNNNNNNNNNNNNNNNNNNNNNNNNNNNNNNNNNNNNNNNNNNNNNNNNNNNNNNNNNNNNNNNNNNNNNNNNNNNNNNNNNNNNNNNNNNNNNNNNNNNNNNNNNNNNNNNNNNNNNNNNNNNNNNNNNNNNNNNNNNNNNNNNNNNNNNNNNNNAUCAGCUUGUUGCAAGAAAGAUCAAGUCCUGAUAGGAGGCUAAGCACUUUUCCUUGGUAAAUGUACGCAAUGUUCUUUGUUGUGAACUCAAAAUUUUCACGGAUUUGCUUUUCUACAUCUCCGUCAGGGCCGUCGAUGGAAAAAGAUAUUUCAAAUUGCUCAUCAAGACUAGAACUAUUGCUGUAACUGUCAUGAAGUGUGGUGUUAUCAAAGCAAGGAGGAAUAGGACCGUGAAGAUUAUUAUUAGAAAGAUCUAACAAUUGUAGUUGGUUCAAUUCGCACAAUUGAACUGGCACUUUACCUUCAAGAUUAUUGUGACCUAAGAUAAGGUGACUUAACUGAGAAAGCCCAUCAACCCAAUCCGGAAUGCUGCCAUUCAAGCGGUUAUAGCUAAGAUCUAAUGUCACAAGGGAAGAGCAAUUAAAGAAUGUACCUCUUUUUAGUUGUCCAUGUAACAUAUUUUUUGAAAGAUGAACUUGUUUGAUAUUGAGAGGAUGGAAACAAGAUGGUAGACUUCCAGAUAUGUUGUUGUCUGAAAUGUCCAAAAUCUGAAGCAAAUCCAGUUGACAAAACUCCAUUGGAAUAGAACCUUUAAGAUGAUUCUUGUGCAUUGUAAUAUGUUGUAAACUUGUGAGACUGCCUAACCAUCGUGGAACCUUACCCGAAAGACUGUUAUUAUUAAGGUACAAUCCUUCUAGUGAGGAGCAUUUAUAUAAACUUUGUGGGAUCUCUCUUAUGAAGUGAUUGUCCUCCAAUUGUAACCAUAUUAAAUUUGCCAGGUUAAAAUUUCUACAGAACAUGUGACCUUUUAGGUUGUUGUUUGAUAACGCUAGAAACUCCAAGUUAACGCAACCGACGGCCAAGCGCUCAGGGAUUUCACCAGUCAAUUGAUUGCUGGAUAAGUCCAAAAUUCUGAGGAAGUUCAUUUUACCAAAUGAAGAGGGAAUGCUACCAUGCAAGGCAUUCGUGGAAAUGUUAAAAGAAAAUAAACUUGGUAAAAUAUCUCUAAUUUCUACUGGAAUAUGGCCUUGGAAGUUGUUGUUGGAGACACCCAAGAAUCUUAACCGCCUGUGUGGAUGAAUUGGCAAUUAAAAAGGUCCUCCAAUAGAAUCAUUGAUGAGAAAAAGAGUUUCUAAUUUUGUGUUGUUUUCCAACAACCAAUUUGGAAAUUCUCCAUUCAUCUUUAUAUGUGAGAGAUGAACAUCCUCCAGGUCAUGUUGAUGGUAAAGGAAUUUGGGGAAUGUGACACCAUCUCCACAACCGGAAGACAACAAGAGAGAUUGUAAUUGGAAGUUUGGGGCGGUCAAAGAAUGUGACUCAGUUAUUUCAGCUUUUAUUUCAUUGUUGUAAGCCCAUAAGCUCUUGAGUCUUGAGUGAUUGAAAAGUGGUUUAAGUGAAAUUGGGAUGCAGAAGUGAUUCUUUGAAAGUAUUAGCUCUUCAAUGGAUGUCAAAUGAACGAGGGGAGUGAUAACUCUAGGAAAUGAGAGUUAUUACAUCAAUUCUAAACUUGAAUCAGGAUCUUUUAGAGAACAAAUAAGGUGUUUUUAUUACAUUUUGCUUAAACAUUCAUUUUAGUUGAGUAUUAAUAAGUUUUGCUUGAAUUAUAGUAAUUUGUGCUAAAAACAUAUGCAUAAUUGUAGGUUCUUGGAAAGUCUUAAUUCAUGAGGGGAUGUUGAGGCAUUAGAUGAGCAAGAGGAGGAAAUAAGCCAGUCAUAAAAGAACAAAAGCACAAUCGGGAGUAAUGCAGUGCUGUUACGGAUGUUAGAGCAACCCGUUCUGUAGCAAUCUGGAAGUAAAUGCGAGAGAAAACUUGGGCGCGGGUCAGCACAUGUUUCUUAAUUUAACGCAUGCACACUCAUAGGCUUGUGUUUACCCUAAUUUGCAAUAUAAAAGGGAGGCAAUACCACAAAGAAAGGCGGCAAGGAAAUUAUCACUAGAAUAAUCACAAAGGAACGAAGAAGAAGAAGAUCAGAAUUAAAGAGUUUUGUUUUGGAAACAUUGGAGAAUCGUGCAGAAUUACUUGGCUUUGAUUUUCGCCGUGCUCAACUUAUAUUUAUCUUCUUCCUUUAAUUAUUUUGAUGUAUUCCGGGAUCAAUAUAUUUAUGAUUAUUUUUGUCAUCCAGAUUAUGAACUAAAUUUACUUGUAGUUGAGUGACAAAUAAUCCAAUGGGUUCUUGAUUGUUCUUAUAUGUUGUUAUGGUAAUGCUGUAGCAUUUUACUCUAGUAGUUUUUAUGAGUAUAACUGUUAUUUCGGUUGACCACCCAUUUAAUAGUUUCAGUUAAGAGCAGCAAAGGGGCAUGUCUUAGCGGACAUUAUUAGAGUAUUACUUGUUCUUAAAUUGAGUUUCCUGGAUUAGGUUAUCUUGAAUCCCAUAAGGGCAAUACUUGAAGUUAAGAUUUGUGACACUCUGGACAUAGGUGUUCACCUUGUAGGGUAGAGAGAUUAAAGGAUAUAAUGACGUACCAUAAAUAUAUGAGCAACUGGUCAUUGUUAGUAGAUUUAAAGGUAUGAGAUUUCUAACAUGCGAUAGCUGAGGAUGCAGAUUUAUUCUGCCCAGUGCUGCAGCACUUAUUGUAACAACUGGUGCUAAUUUGGUAAACACCAAUCACCCCAUUAGGAGAGUUUGAUUAUUCAACUACUAUAUUCUCAAUUGAAUCUUAGACACAGUUAACUUAGUUUAUUUCAUUACAGUAUUGUUUUAUUUCCAUCUCUCGCAAUUAUUAAUUACGAUAGAAUUAUUUAACAAUUGUUUGUUUCGGUUUUAGUUAAUUUGCACUAUUGUGAUUGCUUUAGCAUUUUGAGUAACAUCAAUCCCUGUGGAGACGAUCUUGAAUACUCAUCACUUUAUUACUUGUUGUGUAUAUGAUGAAGAGUAGGAAUCCAUAUUAUACUAGGAUUAGUUUCCUUAUUAACUAAAGUUUAAGACUUUUAAAUUCCUUUCUAAUUUAGAAUUUUGUUUCCCUUUCAAUUUAGGAUUUUGUUUUUACUUCAUGAAUUAGGAUAAUUACUACUACUAUAAAUAGCUUCCUCUUGUAACCUUUGAAUGCAUAAUUUUGAGUUCAAUAAUAUUUCAAUUUUCAAAUCUCUUUGUGAGUAUUUGAACAGUUAACUCUCGGUAUUCUGCGGAAUCAACGAGUCUUAAUCCCUAAAUUCACGGUAUUCUUUUGAAUCAACGUGAAUUUAAUUAUUAUUUUGUUCCGGUAUUCUCUAGAAUCAACGGAAUAUUUUGAACAUUAAACUUCCGCUGCAUCAGUAUAUUUGCACAUCGGCAUUGGUAGUAAUUGAUUAUAAAAAUAAAUCAAUAAGUGUUUGGGGUCGUUGCCGGGGAUUGAUUGUUUAUUUUUAAAGUGUAAAGUAAAUCUUGAUAGCGCCAAAUUUGAUUUGAUUUAUUCUAUUUAUUAGGAGAUCGGUACAUGCAUGCGCAAAGACAGGUCUGUGGUAUUCUAAUUCGAUCCUGAGAUUGAAAGGACUGUCAGGAGAUUGCGAAGAGAACAAAGGAAUUCAGAAAUUGAUUCAAGCAUGAAUAAUUUGCAGGAUGCGGGAAAUUUGAAUCCUCACGGGCCCUUACAACCAGUAAACAUUCAAGGAGAGCAGAAUGAACAUGUUAACGGGAGACAGCCAGGCAAUAACAAUAUUAUUUACAUGGCUGAUGACAGAGACAGAGCUAUAAGAGAUUAUGCUGUGCUAACUCCUCAAGUUGUACAUCCUGACAUCAUCAGACCUGAAGUAGACGUUGCAAAUUUUGAGUUAAAGCCAGUGAUGUUUCAAAUGUUGCAAACAGUUGGUCAAUUCAAUGGAUUGCCAGAUGAAGAUCCUCAUCUCCAUCUUAAAUUGUUCUUGGAAGUAAGUGAUACUUUCAAGAUUGCUGGAGCAAUACAAGAUGCUUUAAGGCUGAGACUCUUUCCUUAUUCCUUAAGAGAUCAAGCAAGAGUAUGGUUAAAUUCGUUACCAUCUGAUUCCAUCACUACAUGGAAUGAAUUGGCUGAUAAAUUCCUAAUGAAAUAUUUCCCACCAACAAAAAAUGCAAAGUUGCGGAAUGAGAUUACUUUCUUCCAUCAACUUGAAGAUGAAAUGCAAAAAAUGCAAAAAAUGCAAUGUUAGUUAAUGAGUGACCUCAUUAACUAACAUAGUAAAGGCCUUGACAUCUGCUCCAGCAACAGUAAAGCAAGUUACUGAACUUUCUUGUGUAUACUGUGGUGAAGAGCAUAACUUUGAUAAUUGUCCUGGAAACCCAGCUUCAGUAAACUAUGUGGGUAAUUUCAGUUGAUAACCUCAGAACAACCCAUAUUCAAAUACUUACAACCCUGGCUAGAAGCAACACCCAAAUUUUGCAUGGAGCAGUCAGAAUCGAAAUGCUCCAGCAUUAAAUAGACAAAAUAAAAACACACAACCACUUGGUUUUCAUCAGCAGAGUCAAGGGCAAAAGCAUAACAGUCAGGAUCCAAUCACUUCACUGGAAGCACUGAUUAAAGAGUACAUUGUAAAGAAUGAAGCAAUUGUGCAGAGUCAAGCUGUAUCCUUGAGAAACCUGGAAAACCAAAUGGGACAACUAGCCACAGUAAUAAGCAGCAGAACUCAAGGAAGCCUACCUACCAACACAAAAGACCCUAGGAGGGAGGGCAAAGAACACUGCAAAGUAAUUAAUUUGAGGUCUGGAAAGAAUGUUGAUAUCCCAGCUGAUGUAACAAAAAAUGGGAUGGAAUUCAAUUCAGCACAAAAAUUACCUCAAAAGGGAAGCAUGUUACAACAACCUCCUCUUCAAGACACUGGUUACAUGGGCCAAGUUACAGCAACUACAGAGGAAAUUCAACCAAAACAUGUUGAAAAAGAAAUUGCAACACCAGUAGUCACAACCUGCACCAAACCAAACAAACAGAGUUUGAUAUCUCCUGAAGCUACCUAGCAGUUUAGACAUCCACCACCUUUCCCACAAAGGAUCCAGAAGCAAUAACAAGACAAGCAGUUUAGCAAAUUCCUGGAAGGGCUGAAACAACUGCACAUAAAUAUACCUUUUGUGGAAGUUUUGGAGCAAAUGCCAAAUUAUGUGAAAUUUUUAAAAGAUAUCUUAGCAUGAAAAAGAAAGCUGAGAGAGUUUGAAACUGUUGCUUUAACACAGAAGAGCAGCCAUAUGCUCAAGAGUAAAAUUCUCACAAAAGUAAAAGAUCCAGGGAGUUUUACAAUACCCUGCGCUAUAGGAACUAGGUAUGCUGGCAAAGCACUUUGUGACUUGGGAGCUAAUAUUAAUUUGAUGCCAUUAUCUGUAUUUAAGCAGCUGGGAGUAGGGGAGUGCAGACCAACAACAGUCACUCUGCAAUUAGCUGAUAGAUCUCAUGCAUACCCUGAAGGAAAAAUAGAGGAUGUAUUGGUGAAGGUUGACAAAUUCAUUUUUCCAGUGGAUUUCAUUGUACUGGACUUUGAAGUUAAUAAAGAGGUACCCAUUGUAUUGGGAAGACCUUUUCUAGCAACUGGAAAGACUUUGAUAGAUGUGCAGAAAAGAGAGCUCACCAUGAGAGUGAAUGAUCAGCAAGUCACAUUUAAUGUCCUAGAGGCUAUGAGAAACCCCGAUGAAGUAGAAGAUUGCAAUUUCCUAAGUGCAGUGGAUUUUGUUGUAGCAAACAAAAUGGACAGAUGCUACAAUAAUGCACUUGACAAAGUCACCACCUUUGAAGAUGUUGCAGCAAUCCAAACAUAUUAGAUGGACAAACAGCAAUCUAAUAGGCACAACAUGUUUAUUGAACACCUGAAUGUUUCAGACAGGGAAGUAAAAACAACUUUACCAUCUAUUGAAUCACCUCCUAGUUUUGAAUUAAAACUGUUACCUUCACAUUUGAAGUAUGCAUAUCUUGGUCAAAACAACACACUCCCUGUAAUCAUUUCUUCUACUGUGGAUGCAGGUCAAGAACAGAGUCUAGUAGAUUUACUGGGAAAAUACAGAAGAGCAAUUGGAUGGACCAUGGCAGAUAUAAAGGGGAUAAGUCCAUCAAUAUGCAUGCAUAAAAUCCUGUUAGAAGAUUGUUCCAACAAUUCGGUGGAGCACUAGAGAAGGAUGAAUCCUAUUAUGAAAGAAGUGGUGAAGAAGGAAAUCAUCAAAUGGUUGGAUGCUGGAAUCAUAUACCCAAUAUCGGACAGUUCAUGGGUAAGCCCAGUUCAAUGUGUUCCAAAGAAAGGAGGGAUAACAGUAAUGGCUAAUGAAAAGAAUGAACUUAUUCCUACAAGGAUAGUGACUAGAUGGAGAGUGUGUAUGGAUUACAGGAAACUCAACAAAGCCACAAGGAAAGACCAUUUCCCACUUUCAUUCAUAAAUCAGAUGUUGGACAGACUUGCUGGAAAACAAUACUAUUGUUUCUUAGAUGGGUACUCAAGUUACAACCAUAUUGCUAUAGCUCUAGAAGAUCAAGAGAAUACUACAUUUACUUGUCCCUAUGGAACAUUUGCCUUCAGAAGAAUGUCAUUUGGGCUAUGCAAUGCUCUAGCAACUUUUCAGAGAUGCAUGAUGUCUAUAUUUUCUGAUAUGGUAGAGCAGACUUUGGAAGUUUUCAUGGAUGACUUCUCAGUUUUUGGAGAAACAUACAAUGAUUGUUUACACAACUUGGAAGAAGUUCUUAAAAGAUGUGAGAUGACCAACUUAGUACUCAAUUCGGAAAAGUGUCAUUUCAUGGUGCAAGAAGGAAUAGUGUUGGGUCACAAGAUAUCCAAGGAUGGUAUUGAGGUAGACAAAGCUAAGAUAGAGGUAAUAGAUAAACUGCCACCUCCAACUUCAGUAAAGGGAAUUAGGAGUUUUUUGGGCCGUGCUGGAUUCUACAGAAGAUUCAUUAAGCAUUUUUCCAAAGUAGCUAAACCACUGUGUUCAUUGCUGGAGCAUGACAAACCGUUUCACUUUGACAAAGAUUGCCUUCAAGCAUUUGGAGAAUUAAAGAAAGCUUUGAUCACUGCUCCAGUAGUUAUAUCUCCAGACUGGACUUUACCAUUUGAAUUGAUGUGUGAUACUAGUGAUCACUCUGUGGGGGCAGUAUUAGGGCAAAGAAAGGAUAAAGUUUUUCACUUCAUCUACUAUGCAAGAAAACUCUCACUCAAACUCAAAUCAAUUACACCACUACAGAGAAAGAGUUGCUAGUAGUAGUAUUUGCUUUUGACAAAUUCAGAGCCUACUUAGUAGGCACUAGAGUGACUGUAUAUACAGACCAUGCAGCAAUCAAAUACUUAAUUUCAAAGAAGGAUGCCAAGCCAAGAUUAAUUAGAUGGAUUUUAUUGCUUUAAGAAUUUGAUCUGGAAAUUAAAGAUAGAAAGGGGACUGAGAAUCAAGUAGCAGACCACCUGUCACGGCUGGAUGCAGACACAAGCACAUUGACCAGAAACGACAUCACUGAAACUUUUCCUGAUGAACAGCUGUUGGUAGUACAAUAAGCACAGAUGCUGCAGCAGUCAGAAUCUCCAUAGUAUGCAGAUUUUGCUAACUAUUUAGUAAGUGGGUUGCUACCACCUGAGCUAAAGUUUUAAGAGAAAAAGAAAUUUCUUCAUGAUGUUAGAAGUUAUCAGUGGGAUGACCCACAUUUAUAUAAGCUAUGCUCAGAUCAAGUAAUAAGAAGAUGUGUUGCAGCAGAAGAGAUACCCCAUAUACUGGAGUCAUGUCAUGCUGCAGCAUAUGGAGGACAUUUUGGUGGUCACAGAACAGCUGUCAAAGUUCUGCAAUUAGGUUAUUAUUGGCCCACUAUUUUUAAAGAUACUUAUGAAUUUGUUAAAUGUUGUGACAGGUGUCGAAGGACAGGGAACAUAAGUAGAAGACAUGAAAUGCCACUGACCAACAUCCUGGAAGUGGAAGUUUUUUAUGUCUGGAGAAUAGAUUUUAUGGGACCCUUCCCGCCAUCUUUUGGGAACUUAUAUAUCCUUGUUGCUGUGGAUUAUGUCUCCAAGUGGGUAGAAGCUGCAGCAUUACCUACCAAUGAUGCUAAAACAGUUGUGGCUUUUCUUCAGAAAAAUGUUUUCUCUAGGUUUGGCACUCCUAGAGCAAUUAUUAGUGAUGAGGGCACACAUUUUACAACAAAAUCUUUGCUGCAGCAAUGAUGAAAUAUGGAGUCAGGCUGAAGUGUCCAACAGAGAAAUUAAAAAGAUCUUAGAAAAAGUGGUGAAUCCAAUAAGGAAGGAUUGGUCUUUACACUUGCAUGACUCUCUAUGGGCCUACAGAACAGCAUACAAAACUCCACUCGGAAUGUCUCACUACCGAAUUGUUUAUGGCAAAGCUUGUCAUUUGCCACUAGAGCUAGAGCAUAAAGCACAUUGGGCACUGAAGAAAUUAAAUUGGGAUAUGCAUGCUGCAACAGAGCAAAGGAAACUUCAACUUUGUGAGCUUGAUUAAUUACAACUAUUUUCAUAUGAAAAUGCAAGAAUCUAUAAAGAGAGGACAAAACACUGGCACGACAAGCAUAUUCAGCACAGGAAAUUCAACCCUAGUCAAUUAGUGUUGCUCCACAAUACAAGACUAAGAUUAUUUUUGGGAAAGCUCAAGUUACGAUGGUCUAGCCCGUUUAAGUUGUUAAAAUCUUAUUCUCAUGGAGUUGUUGAUCUUCUAGAUGAACAAACAGGCCACGAAUUCAAAGUUAAUGGACACAGGGUUAAGCAUUACAUACAUCCAGCAGUAGAAUGUUCAAAGGAGAUGUUACUCCUUAAAGAACCCAGCUAUUGAACAAUGAAGGAAGGUCAGGCUGAAGGACCUUAAAUCAAGCGCUCCAUGGGAAGCAGCCCAUUUGGGAGACAACCACUUCAAACCAAUUUUGAUCUCCUUUGGUUUAGUUGACAGCUCUCCCUCCUUACCAUUUUAUUUAAUUUUGUUCUUUCAUUCUAGCUAUUUAAUUUUAUCUUUUCAAAUUAUUGCAUUCUUUAAUUUUGCUAUCAUUUAAUCUAUUUAUUUUUAAAUGUUAGAAUUAAUUUGAAUUUGUGGGAAGUAUGUGUAACAAUUGAAUUCCAUACUGACAAGUGAGGUUGUAUGGUGGCAGAGUAUAGAGGUGAGCCACGUGUCAGAGGCUUUAGUGUGGAGUAUGUACCGUUGCUAGAGUAAGCGAAUGGGUGCUGCAGCAACCAAUUUUACCGUUGCAAUAAAUUGAAAGAUGAAGCCUCUCACUUACCGUUGGAGAUAAAUCAUGACAGAUGGAGGCUUGGAUGUGGAUAGAAAUUGCAAAUAAAUCUCUGAAAUUAAUGCCUUAAAUUACCUAGCCGAUGUUUUUGGGAUACGCGCUUUAAAUUAAAAAAUAUUUUCUUCCCUCAUUUAUCUUUAGUUACCGUAUUUAUCUCCAAUUAAAAGUCCACUAUAAAAAAGUCAUUGUACUUAGUGCUCUACACCACUAUUCCCCAUCUCCUUCGCAAAUCCAACUCUCCUAAUUCUUAGCCUCUUCUUCUCUUUUUACUCUCAGGAACAGUAGACUAAAUUUGUUACUGCUACAGUAAUGCCGAGAUAUAAGAAAACAGCAAGCCGCCUCAAAGAUCCGUCACGAUUCUAAAGUUACCACGCCGAAAAAAAAUAUGAAGAAUUCAUAGAGCCGCGUAGGAUUCUGGAAGAAAAAAGGUUUCAAUUUCCAGACCAACUCACGGGAAUUGUGCAAACAAUUCAUAAUGCUGCAGCAAAGCGAGGAUGGCUAGAGUUUUACAAACACCCUCGGGAUCCUGUGCUGCCUGUAGUAAAAGAAUUUUACGCCAAUUUGGUAAGCCCUGAUCAGCACAACAUUUGGAUAAGAAAUACACUUGUCCCAUUAGACUCUCGUGUUAUCAAUGCUUUUUAUAACUUACCUGCUGAAAUUACUUGUGAGUAUGCUAAGUUGCGUGAUAAGUUAACCCCGAAAAAGUGGAACACCAUUUUUACAACUCUUACAAUCGAAAGAGCAUCAUGGGCUAACAAGGAAGGGCGUGUAGUUAAUAGGAUAGAUUUGAAACCUAUUGCUAAGAUGUGGGUGAAAUUUCUGAAAUCUAGGCUUAUGCCCACCACUCACACUACUACAGUUUUGCAAGAAAGGUUGGUCUUGUUAUAUGUCAUAGUUCGCGGGCUUCCCAUAGAUGUGGGUAGCAUCAUCGCAAAAGAAAUCCGAGAUUGUGCAGUCAAGACUCACCGAACUGCUGCUUUGCUAUUUCCAUCACUCGUUACUAGCAUUUGUGUAGUUUCAGGUGUUCAUCUUGACGCCAGAGAUGACCAUGUCAAUAAUGAUGGUGCCUUUACGGCAUGAACCAUUGAGAGAGUUGCUGGUGAGAGUGCUGGAACAACCACUGAACCAGCUGCUGAGACAGGAGCAAGAUGAGCUAUUGGCUUAGAAAAGACCAUCCAGGCACUCAGCACAAGUAUAACUCAAUGUACGGAACCACAGCAGUGGGAAAACGAUCGAUUUUGGAGCUAUCUCCAGCACCUGGACAACCAACUACACCAAUUUUCUCUGUACAUGAAACGCACUCACCGGAACUUCCUUGAUGCACUGCUCCAGCAGUACAAUUUUGACACCAACACCACAAAUGCAUCAACAGAGGCUAGUGCAGAAGCCACUGCCACAGAGGAACCAGCAGAAGAUGCUACAGCCGAACCUCAAGCAGAGGAAGAAUCAGAAGAUGCUGAACCAUCUGAUUAGCCUGAGGAAGAAGGUGACAAGUCUGAGAUUGAUAGCUCACCUACAGAGGAAGAAGACAACUCGGAGAAAGACCGUGAGGAACCAACCAUCCUAACCCAGCCCAAAACCAGAAAAAAAAAAAGCACGUUAUUCAAGAAAAUGAGGAGGAAGACCUUGAAGAGGAGCCGUAUAUUCCAGUCCUUGCAGGCAAGAGAAAGGACAAGGGUAAAGCAAAAAUGGCAACAACUCCAGCCUCUGAAGAUGAGAUGGAGCAAGUCGAUGCUAAGCUGGCUGCUGCAGCAGCCAGAGCUAUGCCUACACCUAAGCAAGCUAAGCAACUACUUGCGGUUAUUGCUGCCAUCACAACUGAGGGCCAGGCAGCUGAUGCAUUAACUCAACAACCUCCACAGCAAACUCCUAGCCAGCCUAUUCGCACAAGUCCAAGACAAUCCAGCAAACAAAAAGGCAGUACGUCUACAAGUACUUCUACAGCAACCCCAGCCACAACUCCUCUCACCAGCCGCGCAGUGAAAAAGACAAAGACAUUGCCAGCUACUUCCCCAAAAGCUUCACCAAAGGAUGAGCUGCGCAGUGCAUCCAAGAAGUGCUGAUAGCAUCCCGUCAUGCACUCCAGUCCCCACCACAGGGGAGUACUCUAUCCUUACUAGUUCAUAUUUAAAAAAAAAAAAUUAUGUUUGUCAAUUUGUAUGCCUUUGUUAUGUAUGCUUGUGAGGACACAGCAUCUCUCAAGUUUGGGGGGAUUGUGUCCGAAUGCAUGUGUUUAUGUAUGUGUUUAUGUUUGUGUUGUGUGAAGCUCUGUUAUCUGUUAUUUGUGUAUGGAUUUGAAAACCUAAUAAAGAUAAAUUGAGUGUUAUUCAGUAUUUAUGAGAAUGCCAAGUAGAGAUAGUUAUAGAUAGAAGUGAAAUUAUGUCCCAACACUUAGACUUUGGUUGAAUUGUAUGAGACUGUUAGAGCAAAGCCAAAAGAAUAGAAAAUAUCUUAAGUUUGAAGGGAGAAGCAAGUUGAUUGACUGUGAUAUUUAUGAGAUAAAACUCUACUCCAAUGGCUCAAGUUGCUGAGUAACCAAAUCUGAGUAUGUACCCCAUAUGCAGAAUUGUGUAAAAGGUAGCAAGAGUUAUGAGCAAUGCUGUAGCAAAUAAAAAAAAAAGUCCUAUGUCUAAGGCAUUGAGUAGUCAGGUCUGUUCAUGAACCCCAUGUUCAGCCUUGAGUAAAAGAUACCUUUAGAUGAGAUUAUACCGCAAAUAUUGCUGCAGCAACUCUGAUCUGGGCAUGGUUUAAGUAAUUGGGUGUCAUCAUUACAAGUGAUUGACAUUCACAUGAAAGAUAAAUGUUACAGUAAGGAGGUUGAUUACUCCCCAGUUUAUCAAUGUAAAACAAUCACAGUUUGAAUAUGUGAAAUUUAUGCUACCCCAUUUAUGAAUGAAGUAUAUCACUGCUGAAAUUUAUGCAGUCCUUUGGUGAUGUUACAGCAUAUCUGGAAUUCAAUCAAAGGAAGCACACACACACAAUGGACAGAAAGAAGCUUAAGUCUAGAACUGAUUUACUAUGGCAUUUUGUAUGAUUGGGAUUGUGAUCUGAAGGUGGAAGAAUCCUUGCAAAUUUGAUAAAAGAGCUAAAGUUGUGUGCAUGUUUGUUUGCGGAAAAUGUUAGUAUGUGUCAUUACUUGAAGGCAAGUAAUGGUUUAAGUUUGGGGGUGUGAUAACUCUAAGAAAUGAGAGUUAUUACAUCAAUUCUAGACUUGAAUCAGGAUCAUUUAGAGAACAAAUAAGGUGUUUUUAUUACAUUUUGCUUAAACAUUCAUUUUAGUUGAGUAUUAAUAAGUUUUGCUUGAAUUAUAGUAAUUUGUACUAAAAACAUAUGCAUAAUUGUAGGUUCUUGGAAAGUCUUAAUUCAUGAGGGGAUGUCGAGGCAUUAGAUGAGCAAGAGGAGGAAAGAAGACGGUCAUAAAAGAAGAAAAGCACAAUCGGGAGUAAUGCAGUGCUGUUGUGGAUGUUAGAGCAACCCGUGCUAUAGCAAUCUAGAAGUAAAUGUCGGAGAAAACUUAGGCUCAGGUCAGCACAUGUUUCCUAAUUUAACGCACGCACGCUCAUGGGCUUGUGUUUACCCUAAUUUGCAAUAUAAAAUGGAGGCAAUACCACAAAGAAAUGCGGCAAGGAAAUUAUCAUUAGAAUAAUCACAAAGGAACGAAGAAGGAGAAGAUCAGAAUUGAAGAGUGUUGUUUUGGUAACAUUGGAGAAUCGUGCAGAAUUACUUGGCUUUGAUUUUCACCGUGCUCAACUUAUAUUUAUCUUCUUCUUUUAAUUGUUUUGAUGUAUUCCGAGAUCAAUAUAUUUAUGAUUAUUUUUGUCAUCCAGAUUAUGAACUAAAUUUACUUGUAGUUGAGUGACAAAUAAUCCAAUGGGUUCUUGACUGUUCUUAUAUGUUGUUAUGUUAAUGCUGUAGCAUUUUACUCUAGUAGUUUUUAUGAGUAUAACUGUUAUUUAGGUUGACCACCCAUUUAAUAGUUUCAGUUAAGAUAGAGCAGCAAAAGGGCAUGUCUUAGCGGACAUUAUUAGAGUAUUACUUGUUCUUAAGUCGAGUUUCCUGGAUUAGGUUAUCUUGAAUCCCAUAAGGGCAGUACUUGAAGUUAAGAUUUGUGACACUCUAGACAUAGGUGUUCACCUUGUAGGGUAGAGAGAUUAAAGGAUAUAAUGACGUACCAUAAAUAUAUGAGCAACUGGUCAUUGUUAGUAGAUUUAAAGGUAUGAGAUUUCUAACAUGCGAUAGCUGAGGAUGCAGAUUUAUUCUGCCCAGUGCUGCAGCACUUAUUGUAACAACUGGUGCUAAUUUGGUAAACAACAAUCACCCCAUUAGGAGAGUUUGAUCAUUCAACUACUAUAUUCUCAAUUGAAUCUUAGACACAGUUAACUUAGUUUAUUUCAUUACAGUAUUGUUUUAUUUCUAUCUCUCGCAAUUAUUAACUACGAUAGAAUUAUUUGACAAUUGUUUGUUUCGGUUUUAGUUAAUUUGCACUAUUGUGAUUGCUUUAGCAUUUUGAGUAACAUCAAUCCCUGUGAAGACGAUCUUGAAUAUUCAUCACUUUAUUACUUAUUGUGUAUACUUGCACAUUGGCAUUGGUAGUAAUUGAUUAUAAAAAUAAAUCAACAGGGAGAUAAGGAGAUGCUUCCAGUAAGUUGAUUGUAAGAAACAUCUAAUAUUCGGAGGGAUGUCAUAUUUGCCAAGCACCAAGGCAAGCUACCUCUUAAAUCAUUGCUUGCAAUGUACAACUCUUGUAGAUGCACCAACGAACAGAGGCCUGAAAAUUUAUUAAUUCAACCAUUGGUACAAUAAAACAAUUAACAAAUGCAUAACAUUCUUUUAUAAGUGAUUGGUUUGUGUAAUUAUAUUUUUAAUUGAAAAUUAAAAUUAUAGAUCAAGAGGGGAGGGUGGGAGCAUCUGAUUAACCUUGAUCAAGAAUCAUGCUGCUGUUAAUGCCAAUAGUAGAACCUGACAGUGAUAAGUACUUGAGAGAAGACAUCGAUUCACCGAUGCUUUGAAGAAAGCUGGUGUUGAGUGCACUGCGCAUGAAUUCCAUGUCCAAAUGUUCCAAACUCUUGAAAUGAGGAAAGCCUAGCAAAAACAAUAAAAUAAAUAAAUAAAAAUGUUGAACACUUAAGACGACAUUGAGUUCACAAUCAACACUUUUCUUUUACCUUGACCACGUACGACACCAUUGACUUCACAACCAAUCACCGACAGAUUUUUUAACGAAGGGAAUAUUGAUGCAAUGCUUUACAGAAGGCUUAUAUGGAGAGGGGAAUCGUUCAAUUUCAAAUAUUCCAAGUUGGUGAAAUUGUGCAACUCUGUUUCGAAGCAAUAAUUUUAGCUUUAUUAACAAUACGGAAAAAUAAUUAAUUAUUUAACAGUUUAUUUAUAAAUUUGGCCACAUAUGUACCGUUUAUUAAUAAUAUGGAUAAUUAAUUAAUUAAUUAGCUGCUUAUUUAUAAAUUUGGCCACAUUUGUACCUUUUACUUACCUUGAGUAGUAAUUGUCACUGUUUCCGUAAAAUUAUUAGACGAAAGGUAAAGAUUGUUGAGGGAUGGGAAUGAUCCCAUUGACUGUAACAACUUGCUUCCAUCUCUAACUCCAACUCUCGAUAGAUCAAGGCUUUUCAACUUCCUCAAACCGCUGUAACCUAUUUAAUAACAAUAAUUAGGAUAGGAUUUAAGAAAAUCAAAAUUCAUUGUCUAAAUUUAGAGCUAAACGAAAUAACUGAUUAAUUUAAUUAGGAGUCAAUUUGUAUUUUAUGCUUUGGGCAAAGAUCAGUAUCAUUUUUCAAUCGCUGCAAAGAUUAAAAAAUUAAAAUGAAAUCUUUAUUACAUUUUGUUUUUGAAAUAAUAAUAUUACGUCCUAUUUUUGAAAUAAUAUAAAUUCUAUGUUUCUUUAUUUUUAUUUUUAUUUUUUUGUACCUUUUGGGCCUUCCCUAAUCAAAUGAAUAAAAUUUAUGUAAUUGAAUAAUAUUUUAAAUGUUUACCUUGAGGAACCACAAGAUUGUUGAUUUCAUUGAAGCUCAUGUCCAACAAUUCUAAGUUGUUGAAGGAAUUGAAUUCUGCAAACAUAAACAGACUUAAGACUUAAAACAGAGUAAAUUAAUUAAUAAAUUUAAAGAAAUUAAAACGUCAUUAGAAUUUCGUCUAAACCAAACCAAAUAGUAUUUAAUUAAUUGAUUGAAAAAGUAUGCUUACUUUGUAUGUAAUUCCUUCAGGCUAAUCAAAUUAAAUAUUAAAUUAUGUCGAUAAUACAGAAGUCUAGCUGGCAUAUAUAAAAUGAGAAAGCAGGGCUUAGACUUACCUCGAACAUUGAAUGUUCCUUUGAAUCUCGUACCACUUAAACUAAGAGACUUCAAUUUACUCAAACCUGUAAAAUAAUAAACCAAAUGGCAAAGAAUCCAGCUAAUUUGUAUAAGUUAGCAUUUUUUAUGGUAUUUGUAGUACCUUUUGAGACCACAAAUUUGUCAAUCUUGUUCCCGCCAAUGUCUAGCUCCUCUAAAUCUCUCAAAGAAUCUAAUUCUGUAAUAAGUACAAAUUGAGUUGAAUGUUUCAAACCUCACCAAAUAAUAAUAAUAAUAAUAAUAAUAAGUUGUGGAGGUGUUUGGUUCACUAUUGGAGUUUUUUUUUAAUCUUAAAUUCAAGACAUAUGAAAGUACAAGAUGAAAUUACGAGAAACAUAAAAACUUGUAUUUAUAAAUUGCUUAAAACUGUUUUUUUUAAUAUUAAUCAUAAAAAAAUUGAAUUCAAAGCCUUGAAUCUUAUUUUAGCAAGUUAAUGAAAGAACUUGAAGUUUUAAUUAUGUACCUUUAACGUCAAUACUUCCUUCCAAUCUAUUCCAAAAUAAAUUUAAUGAUCUUAAUGGUGAAAGAUGAGUUAGAGAUGAUAAAAUGCUAUUAUUGAAUGAGUUUCCACUUAAAUUAAGCAUCUUCAAGUUGUUCAAUCUUGAUAGCCUCUCUAUACCUGCAAGUAAAAUAAAAAAAAGAUCAUAGAUACUGGUGUAAUUUCAAAAUUAAUCAUUUAAAAAAAAAGUCAAAAUUGUCGACUAAAUGAAUAUGCAUAUAAUUGCUCGGUCUUGAUAUUCAACUUAAAUUAGGGGGGAGAAAGUAAAUUAAUUAAAUUAAACGAAGCACCUUCAUUCUCAACACAACUGGCUAUUUUGUUGUCAGUUAAAUCAAGUGACUCAAGUUGUUGGAAGGGAGUAAACAAAGAAGCAUUCAGAUACCAGUACUCUCCCCCAUACGUGUCAGAAAGGUCUAGCGCUAUCACUCGGCUCAUGGUGUUGCUGCACUCAACCCUUUCCCACUGACAACAAUCAGUAGCUCCCUCACCAUCUCCCCAGUCGUAAAGAAAAUUAUAAGGAUCAUUGAGGAAAUGUUUGAGUCGCAAAAGAGCAAAUCUCUCAUGAUCCAAACAUCCCUCACUUCACCCACCUUCAAAUAUUAUUAAUAACAAAACAAACAUUAUCACCAUUUUUUUAUUUUGAACCACCCAUUCUAACUAUAUCUUUAAGUUUUAAAAAACACACACACUCUUUCUAUCUUUGUAACCAACCAGAGGACUAUACGCCAUUUGCUUAUAACGCAUGUAACUAUUUAUACACCCAACUAGCUUAUAGUUGACUUUUUUAGUUGUUUCUCCAAGUCCUUCAUGCAUUAAUUUUCUUCCCUUUUUUUUUCAUCUUUGUCAUUUUGCUAUAAUUUGCAACAGCAACGCGUUUUGAGCUAGCAAUAAAUAAUAAUUGAGAGAGAUUGAGAUGACAAAUGGAUAGAAACUAAAAGUAUGGGUGUUUAAUACGAGAACGAUUAUACCCGUUUAUUAUAUUUCAACCUAAAAAUUUACUCUAAGCAUUUAUAAUAAAUAAAAAUAUGAUAAUAAAAAUAAUAAAAAAAUAUGAAUAAUAUAUAUUUGUAAAAAAAAAAGAUUUAUGUGUCCAUUUUGAAAAUUAGCGAGUAUAUGUAAAUAUAAUUAUCAAAACAAACCAUAGAAGUGUUGUUAUUUUUUCCUUUCAAAAAAUCCACCAUUAUAAAAAAAGCCCAAAGACUUUGACAUCUUUUAGGAGUCUUUGGGCCUUGUUUUUUUCCCUCUUUUUCUUUCAUUUGCAUUUUGAUCCACAAGGCCAAAAAUUAAAUUCCACACCUUUGGCAUUUUGUGGAGAUUACAUUUCCAUGUUUUUACUUAGAAAGUAGGUGGAGACGUGGAGUCAAUGCGGCCAAGUGCUCAAUUAUUGUUAGUUAGCAAAAUAGAAUUUUUGGCGAGAUGAAUUUGUUGUAAAAAAGUUUUUGGAAAAAAUAAUAAUCAUCGGAACUUGUCUUGUGUCUUUAUAACAAUUUACUACUGCGAAAUCUUUACAACUUCACAUCUUUGAUUCAAUUAUCGCCACAAAGGCACAAGUACGUCCAUUUGUAAACCAAUCGAUAGAGAUCAAAUUUCAAGCCAUGAACUUGUAUUGUCAGCAAACACCUAAUCACUUUAGAUAUUUGUAUCGUUUAAUUAAUUAAUGAUCACUCUGAAAUUACAGAGGUUGGCCGAAUAUUCCCCUAAAAUUAAUUAAUUUUACCGAAAGGGAAUUAUUAGACAGAUCAAGUGUGUCUAGUUUUUUUGUUGUUUUGUAACAAUCAAUUUGGAAACUCUUCACUCAAGUUAGCAUCUUAGAGAUCAAGAUAAACAAACUCCUAGUGAUGCUAAUGGAAGAGGAAUUUAUAAGAGGAGAAGAGAGAGUAAUUAUGCUUGAUCAAGAAAGGUACCAUUAAAUCUAGAAUAUGACAAUUAAUGGUAGAAAAAUUAACAAGCAUGUAAUCCACGAUCAAAGAUUUUAAAUCCUUGAAAUUUAGAUAACCUAAAAAUUAACAUUGAACAAGAAAUAAAUCAACACUGCCACUUUGAUCACAUAAUCGAUGAAACUUAGGAUAUAUAAUCAACACCUGUUUAUUUUACUAUUGAAUUACUAUUUUUUCUGUAUUAUUUGAAUAAGGGAAUUGAUUUGGAGAAACUCUCACUAUAAUUGAUGAAAAUCAAGAUAUAAUCAAUACAUAUUCAUUUUAUUUUUAAAUUAAUACUUUUCCAUUAUUAUUUGAAGAAGGGAAUUGGUCUCAAAAAAUCUUAUUGUAAUAUAUGUAACUUAAACUUUUUUUUUCUGAAAUAAAAAUUAACUUUUAAGAAGGCUUCAAAUAUGGAGAGGGGACCAGUCCAUUAAUGUCAAUUCUUCCAAGUUAGUGACAUUGUGCAGCUUUAUUUGAUUAGAAGGUGCAACAUCUUUAGCUUUAACAUAUCUUAUUCUUUAAGACUAUUAAAACUUUUAAAUUAUGUCCACAUGCCCACCCUAUAAGAUCCACAAAAGUAGCAGAUAAAAUGGAAGAAGUACGCUAAGGGGCUGUUUGAUUUUAGUUGUGGCUUACACAGCACGAAAUUACACCAAAAAUGCCCCGACCAGAUUUAAUAAAACAAAUGUACUCUUACUCAGUUUAUUAUUUAUUUUUACAUAGAUAUAUUUUCUUUUUUUUCUUUUUUUUUCUUUUUCAACUUAGAAAAGAGAAUUAGGGGACAGAUCAAGUGUGUCUGAUUUUGCGUUGCUUUCUAGCAAUCAACUUGGAAACUUUCCACUCAAGUUAACAUGUGAGAGCUGAUGGAAGAGGAAUUUGAAAAAUCGUGACUCUAAUUUUGCAUAUAUUUGAUUAUUUCAACACUUGAUUGGUUUUGAAUGGUCCAAGAAUGGGCAAGUGACAAUGAGACUUGGAAGUGAUAGUUUGAAAAAGUGAGAUCUUCAAUUGAUAUUAGAUAAAUGAGAGUAGACUAGGAUAUAUUUCCAGUAAGCUUAUGGAGAGAGACAUAUCAAACUUGAAGUAAGAAGUCAUAUUUUCCAAGCACCAAAGACAAUUUAUUGUACCCGGAAUAUAAUUAUGGUCAAUAAAACAAAAAACUCUUGCAGAUUCAUCAACUGAUUGGGUUGAAAACAUAAUUCAUCCUUUAGCUAAUAACAAUUAAUGAACGCAUAAAAUCUUAUAUCUUUUAACAUAAAUGUUAAAUAUUAAUUUUAUUAAUAGUCGCAACCUUAUGCAGGCAUAAUUUGGUCAUGAAAACAAUAAAUCUAUCCGUUCUUAAAGGCUAUUAACUAUAACAAAAAAUCAAUUAAUAUAAUUUUUAUAAGAGGAGAAGAGAGACUAAGUAUCCUUCAUCAAGAAAUGUACCAUUAAGUCUAGAAUAUGAUAGUCAAUGGCGGAAAAAUUAACAUGCGCAUAAUUUAUGAUCAAAUAUUAUAAAUCCUUGAAAUUUAACAAGUCAUUUCAUUAAAAUAUGGAUCACCUUCCACACAUUUUAGAAAUCUUAUCAUUUUUUUUCUUUUUUCAUUAAAUUAUGUUUUGGUCCACACAACCGAAAAUUAAAUUCCACGCAUUUUGCAUUUAGUGGAAUUCUAUGUAUUUUUUAAUUUUACAAAACUUUAGUCGGUGGAGUCAAUGGGGCUAGAAAUUCAUUGAAGGGUCCCGAGAAUCAAAGGUGCUUACUCAAUUAUUAUUUGUAAAGUUGUAGACUUGUAGGGCAGCUACCGGAGUCCACACGUUGUAAUGUUUUGUUCACUAUCAAUCUCAUUGUUGGUCGUUUCCAACACGCUCAAGAAUCCAAUUCUGCAUAAACACAUAAAAUUAAAGACUUAAAACAGAGUUUAAGUAAUUAAUAAUUUAACUGGAAACAAAUUAAAAAGGAGAAUUUAAUUAUUGAAUUCCACAUUGUGCUAUUGAAAAUUAAAAAAAAAAAUUGUUGUCACCUCAGUCAAUUAGAUAAUCACUACAAAUAGUUCUUUAUGUAGAUGAUAUUCUUCUAAUUGGAAAUGAUAUAGGAAUAUUGACUACAAUAAAGAGUUGGUUAGCAAAACAAUUUGAUAUGAAAGAAAGACAUGAGAGAAGCAAGUUAUAUUCUUGGUAUCAAAUUACUACGAGACCGGAAGAAUAAAACUUUAGCCUUGGCUCAAGUGGUCUAUAUCGACAAGAUAUUGGUUAGAUUUAGCAUAGAAAAUUCCAAGACUGGUUUAUUACCAUUUAGACAUGGAAUUGUAUUCUCUAAGGACCAAUCACCUAAAACAUCUAAAGAGAUGGAGAAAAUGAGACGAGUUCCCUAUGCAGAAGUUGUGGGAAGUCCCAUGUAUGUCAUGCUUUGCACUAGGCUAGACAUCUGUUUUGUGGUAGGAAUGGUUAGCAGAUAUCAAAUCCUGGACCUGAACACUAGACUGUAAUCAAGCAUAUAAUGAAGUAUCUUAAAAAAACUAAAACUUAUAUGCUUGUGUAUUCUAGUGAUGAACUCAUUCCAGUGGAUUCUAGAAAAUCAACUUUCGGCUAUAUGUUUACAUUAGGAAGUGGAGCUAUUAAUUGGAGGAGUGUGAAACAAUUUGUAUCACAGACUCCACAACUGAAGCUGAAUAUGUGGAUGCAUCUGAAGCUGCAAAAGAAGUUGUAUGGCUUUGCAAGUUCCUACAAAAUCUUAAGGUGGUACCUGUUGUAACUGCACCCCUUAAACUAUUUUGUGAUUAUGGUGGUGCAGUAGCUCAAUCUAAGGAACCACAAGAAACAAAAACAUAUUGAGAGGAAACAUCAUCUUAUAAGGGAAUAGUAUAGAAAGACUAUAUGACAGUACCCCAAAUGACAUUAGAUGCUUUAUGGUAGAUUUUAUUACAAUGGCCAUUAGUGGGAAACCUUUAUAACCUGCACUUAGAGCCCCUAGAGCAUGUGCAAUAUGCCAGAUAUGCUUUAAAGAGCUAGUGGGAGAUUGUUGGGAUUAUGUGCUCUUUUAAAAGUAUUAUUAAUUUAUUUUCUGAUUAAUAAAAUAUUUGAGAUAUUUCAAUUGCAUAAAUAUAUUGAAUAAGGUCCGUUUAAUCAUAUUAUAUUUUCUCUUGCUAGUUGCUUUUAGUAGUGAUAAAAGCACCCACACGUCAAGUGCAGAUCAAACUUGAGUCAUAACCCAGAAGAUUAUUUGGUGACAGAUCGUGAUCUAACAAGCGUGGUGGUGACAGAUCGUGAUCUAACAGGCGUGAUGGUGACGGAUCAUGAUCUGGGAAGCCUGGAUUAAUUUCAAUUGUUCAUCUUCUCAGUUGCACUCAAUGUGUAUUAGAAUCCACGAAGGUCCGAUCCNNNNNNNNNNNNNNNNNNNNNNNNNNNNNNNNNNNNNNNNNNNNNNNNNNNNNNNNNNNNNNNNNNNNNNNNNNNNNNNNNNNNNNNNNNNNNNNNNNNNAACGUAGAACCCUGUAGUUGGUUGCAGAGAUAGAAAGAGUGAGUGUGUUUUCCAUAGUUAAAGAUAUAGUUAGAAUGGAUAGUUCAAAAUCAAAAAUGGUGAUAAUGUUUGUUCUGUUAUUAAUUAAAUUUGAAGGUGGGUGGAGUGAGGGAUGUUUGGAUCAUGAGAUAUUUGCUCUUUUUCGACUCAAAUAUUUCUUCAAUGAUCUUCAUGAUUGGGUAGAUGAUGAGGGAGCUACUGAUUGUUGUCAAUGGGUAAGGGUUGAAUGCAACAACACCACAGAUCGAGUGAUAGCACUAGACCUUUCUGAUACUAGGAAUUGGGAUUUGGGAGAGUGGUAUCUGAAUGCUUCUUUGUUUACUCCCUUUCAACAACUUGAGUCACUUGAUUUAAGUUGGAACAAAAUAGCCGGUUGUGUUGAGAAUGAAGGUGAAUUUACUUCUCCCUCCUAAUUUAAGUGGAAUAUCAAGACUGAGCAACUAUAUGCAUAUCGAUUCAGUUGACAAUUCUGACAUUUUUUUUAAGUGAAUAAUUAAUUUUGAAAUCACACAAGUAUCUAUAAUCCUUUUUUAUUUUACUUGCAGGUCUAGAGAGGCUAUCAAAAUUGAACAAUUUGAAGAUGCUUGAUUUAAGUGAAAACUUGUUCGACAAUAGCAUCUUAUCAUUUGUAGGUCGUCUUUCAUCAUUACGAUCAUUAAAAUUAUCUUACAAUAGAUUGGAAGGAAGUAUUGAUGUUAAAGGUACAUAAUUAAAACUUUAUCUCUUCUCCAAGCUCUUUCAUUAACUUGCUAAAAUAAGAUUCAAGGUUUUGAAUUCAAUUUUUUAAUGAUUAAUAUUUUAAAAAAAUAGUUUUUAGCAAUUCAUAAAUACAAGUUCUAGUGUUUCUCAUAAUUUCAUCUUGUACUUUCAUAUGUAUUGUAUUUAAGAUGAAAAAAAAAUUCUAAUUGCGAACCGCACACCCCCACAACUUAUUUUUUUGUGAGGUUUGAAACAUUCAACUCAAUUUGUACUCUUUACAGAAUUAGAUUCUUUGAGAGAUUUAGAGGAGCUAGAUAUUGGCUGGAACAAGAUUGACAAAUUUGUGGUCUCAAAAGGUACUACAAAUACCAUAAAAAAUAUAAACUUUUACAAAUUAGCUGGAUUCUUUGCCAUUUGUUUUAUUAUUUCGUAGGUUUGAGGAAGUUGAAGUAUCUCGGUUUAAGUGGCAACAAACUCAAUCAUAGCAUCUUAUCUUCUCUGACUAUCUUUUCUUUGUUAAGAGAAUUAUAUCUACGUGAUACGGGAUUCAAAGGAACAUUUGAUGUUCGAGGUAAGCCUAAGCCUUGCUUUCUCAUUUUAUAUAUGUCAGCUAGACUUGUGUAUCAUCGACAUAAUUUAAUAUUUAAUUUGAUUAGUCUGAAGGAAUUACAUGCUAAUUUAAACAAACUUUUAUUUACCCUGUCAAUCAUUAAUUAAACACUAUUUGGUUUGGUUUAAACCUACUUUUUUAUUUUAUAUGCUAGCUAGACUUAGAUACUAACUAUUUUGAUGAGUCUGAAGGAAUUAGAUACUAACUAAACAUACUUUUAUGUACUCCCUCAAUUAAUUAAUUAAUUAUUUCACUUGGUUUGGACGAAAUUCUCAUGAUGCUUUAAUUUCUUUAAAGUUAUUAAUUAAUUAAUUCUGUUUUUAAGUCUUAAGUCUGGGUAUGUUUGUAGAAUUCAAUUCCUUCAAUAACUUAGAAGCGUUGGACAUGAGCAACAACGAAAUCGACAAUCUUGUGGUUCCUCAAGGUAAACAAUUAAAAUAUUAUUCAAUUACAUAAAUUUAAUUCAUUUGAUCAGGGAAGACGCAAAAGGUACAAAAAUAAUAAUAAUAAAAUAAAGAAACAGAGAAUUUAUAUUAUUUCAAAAACAGGACGUACUAGUUAUUUCAAAAACAGAAUGUAAUAAAGAUUUGAUUCCAGUACUUUAAUCUUUACAGUGAUUGAAAAACGAUACUAAUCCUUUCCCAAAGUAUAAAAUACGAAUUGACUCCCAAUUAAAUUAAUCAUUUAUUUAGUUCAUCUCUAAAUUUAAACAAUGAAUUUUGAUCUUCAAUCCUAUUCUAAUUACAAUUAAAAAACAGGUUAUAGAGGUUUAAGGAAUUUGAAAAGCCUUGAUCUAUCAGAAGUCGGAAUUAGAGAUGGAAGUAAUUUGUUACGGUCAAUGGGAUCAUUCCCAUCCCUCAACACUCUUUACUUGACUUCUAAUAAUUUUAUCGAUACAACGUCAGGUACAGAUGUGUCCAAAUUUAUAAAUAGGCUGUUAAUUAAUUAAUUAAUUUUCUGUAUUGUUGAAAAAGCUAAAUUUGUUGCUUCGAAACAGAGUUGCACAAUUUCACCAACUUGGAAUAUUUGGCAUUGGACUCUUCCUCUCUCCAUAUAAGCCUUUUACAAAGCAUUGCAUCAUUCACUUCGUUAAAAAUAUUGACGAUGACUAAUUGCGAAGUCAAUGGCGUCCUAAGUGGUCAAGGUAAAAGAAAAGUGUUGAUUAUAAAUAAACUAUUAAUUAAUUAAUUAAUUUUCCGUAUUAUUGAUAAAGCUAAAUUUGUUGAUCCUUCCUUUUAAUUCUAAACAGAGUUGCACAAUUUCGCCAACUUGGAAUAUCUGGCAUUGGACUUUUCCUCCCUCCAUACAAGCCUUCUGCAAAGCAUUGCAUCAUUCACUUCGUUAAAAAAAUUGUCGAUGACUAAUUGUGAAGUCAAUGGUGUUCUAAGUGGUCAAGGUAAAAGAAAAGUGUUGAUUAUGAAUAAGCUGUUAAUUAAUUAAUGUUGUUGCUCCUUGCUUCUAAAAUGAGUUGCGCAAUUUCACCAACUUGGAAUAUUUGAAUUGGACUCUUCCUCGCUCCAUAUAAGCCUUCUGCAUCUGCAAUUGCUUGAAGAAUUUAUUUAUUUAUUUAUUAUUGUUGUUGUUGUUGUUGAAAUGGGGUGGGCAAGCGUUCACUCAGUUAAUAUGUGGUGAAUUAAAUAUUACAAUCCAAGUUAGAAUUGUGGAAAAUUAAAGCAAAAUGAGAAAUAUGGACAGAAAGGAAGAAAGUUAAGGGCAUGAAAGACUAGGAGAAGACUGAAGACCACCAAAUAAGUCAAUUGAAAACUAGCUGGGGCUUGGGUGUACAAAUUGUUAGAAGUGUUUGUUAUAAAUCACAUAGAGCCCUCUUGUUGGUUGCAGAGCCAAAGAGACAAAGAGUGUGCAUUUUAUUAAUUAAAAAAAUAUAUAGAAUGGGUGGUUUAAAAUCCAAAUGGUGAUAAUGUUAGUUUUGUUAGUAUUAAUAAUAUUAGAAGGGGGUAGCGUGAGGGAUGUUUGGUGCAUGAGAGAUUUGCUCUUUCGAGACUUAAAAAAUUUCUUCAAUUCUCCUUAUAAUUUUUGUCACGACUGACCAUUGUCAAUGGGAUGGGGCUGGGUGCAGCAACACCACAGGGCGAGUGGUAUCUGAAUGUUUCUUAGUUUACUCUUUUUCAACAAAUUGAGUGGGUUAAUUUAAGUUGGAACAAUAUAGUUGGUAGUGUUGAGAAUGAAGGUGUUUCGUUUAAUUUAAUACUUUCUCCCUCCUAAUUUAAGUCGAAUAUCAGGAUUGAGCAACUAUAUGUAUCUUUAUUCAGUUGACAAUUUUGACAUAUUUUUUUAAAUGAUUAAUUUUGAAAUUACAUCAAACUGAUGUGAUCUCUGUUUUGAUUUUACUUGCAGCACUAGAGACGCUCUCAAGAUUAACCAACUUGAAGAUGCUUGAUUUAAGAGGAAACUUGUUCAAUAAUAGCAUUUUAUCAUCUCUAGCUCAUCUUUCAUCAUUAACAUCAUUAGAUUUAUCUGAGAAUAAAUUGGAAGGAAGUAUUAAUGUUAAAGGUACGUAAUUAAAAUGUCAUCGCUUCUCCCAACUCUUUCAUUAACAUGCUAAAAUAAGAUUCAAGGCUUUGAAUUCAAUUUUUUUUAAUGAGUAAUAUUAGAAAAAUAGUUUUAAGCAAUUCAUAAAUACAAGUUUCAAUGUUUCUCAUAAUUUCAUCUUGUACUUUUGUAUGUCUUGACUUUAAGAUUAAAAAAAAAAAUUAUUCUAACUGUGAAGCAAAUACCCCACGACUAAUUUAUUAUUUUGUCUAGUUAAAAAUGAUAAAAUUUAUUAUUUGCUUAUAUUGAUUAAUUAACUCUAUUUUUAAGUCUUAAGUCUUGGCGUCUUGGCAUGUUUGCAGAAUUUGAUUCCUUGAGCAACUUAGAGGAGUUGGACAUGAGCGGCAAUGAAAUAGACAAUUUUCAGGUUCCUCAAGGUAAACUAUUAAAAUAUUAUUCAAUUACAUUAAUUUAAUUCGUUUGAUUAGGGAAGGCCAAAAGGUACAAAAACAUAAUAAAAAACUAAAGAAACAAAGAAUUUAUAUUAUUUCAAAAAAUAAAAUGUAAUACUAUUAUUUCAAAAAUAGAAUGUAAUAAAGAUUUGAUUCCGGUUCUUUAAUCUUUACAGCAAUUGAAAAACAAUGUUGCUCUUUUUCUAAAGCAUAAAAUAUGAAAUGAGUCAUAAUUGAAUUAGUCAUUUAUUUUGUUUAGCUCUAAAUUUAGAUAAUAAAUUUUGAUUUUUUUCAAUCCCAUCCUUAUUAUUAUUAUUAUUAUUAUUAUUAUUAUUAUUAUUAUUAUUAUUAAACAGGUUACGGAGGUUUGAGGAAGCUGAAAAGCCUGCAUCUAUCGAGAGUUGGAAUUAGAGAUGGAAGCAAGUUGUUACGGUCAAUGGGAUCAUUCCCAUCCCUCAACACUCUUUACCUUUGGGGUAAUAAUUUUACGGAAACAAUGACAACUACAACUCAAGGUAAGUAAAAGGUAUAGGUUUGGCCAAAUUUAUAAAUAAAUUGUUAAUUAAUUAAUUUUCCACAUUAUUAAUGAAGCUAAAUUCCUUGCUCCUUCUUUGUAAUUCUAAACAGAGUUGCACAAUUUCACCAACUUGGAAUAUUUGACAUUGGACCAUUCCUCUCUCCAUAUAAGCCUUCUGCAAAGCAUUGCAUCAAUAUCCCCUUCAUUAAAAAAUUUGUCGAUGUGUGGUUGUGAAAUCAAUGGUGUCGUACGUGGUCAAGGUGAAAGAAAAGGGUUGAAUAUGAACUCACUCAAUGGUGUCCUAUGUGUUCAACUUAUUUAUUUUUUUAUUAAUUUUAUUUUUUAAUGUUUCUACUAGGUUUUCCUCAUUUCAAGAGUUUGGAACAUUUGGAGAUGGAUGACGCGCGCAUUGCACUCAACACCAGCUUUCUUCAAAUCAUCGGUGAAUUGAUGCCCUCUCUUAAGUACUUAUCACUAUCAUAUUCUACUCCUGGCACUAACAGCAUCGAGAUUCUUGAUCAAGGUUAAUGAGAUGCUCCACUCUCCCCGCUUAAUCUAUAAUAUUAAUUUUUGAUUAAAUGUUUAAUUACACAAACGAAUCACUUAUUUUAAAAGAAUAAUACGUAUUCAUUAAUUUUUAUAUUGUAUUAAUUGAUGAAUUUAAUAAAUUUUCAGGCCUCUGUUCGUUGAUGCAUAUGCAAGAGUUACACAUUGCUCAUAACGAUUUAAGAGGUAGCUUGCCUUGGUGCUUGGCAAAUAUGACAUCCCUCAGGAUAUUAGAUGUUUCUUCCAAUCAACUUACUGGAAGCAUCUCUUCAUCUCCCCUCAUUCAUUUGACAUCCAUUGAAGAGCUGAGGCUUUCAGACAAUCAUUUUCGGAUUCCAAUUUCACUUGAACCACUUUUUAAUCACUCAAGACUCCAGAUUUUCGAUGCUUACAACAACGAAAUAAAUGCAGAAAUAACUCAAUCACCUUCUUUGACCCCAAACUUCCAAUUAUCACAUCUCUCAUUGUCUUUCGGUUAUGGAGAUGGUGUCACAUUCCCCAAAUUCCUUUACCAUCAACAUGACCUUGUGAAUGUUGAUCUCUCACACAUAAAGAUGAAUGGAGGAUUUCCAAAUUGGUUGUUGGAAAACAACACAAGAUUAGAAACUCUUUCUUUGGUCAAUGAUUCUCUUGCAGGACCUUUCCGAUUGCCAAUUCAUUCACACAAGCAGUUAAGACUGUUGGAUGUCUCCAACAACAACUUCCAAGGCCACAUUCCAGUAGAAAUUGGAGAUAUUUUACCAAGUUUAAUAUCCUUUAACAUUUCAAUGAAUGCUUUAAACGGUAGCAUUCCCUCUUCAUUUGGUAAUAUAAACUCCCUUCAAAUUCUGGACUUAUCCAACAAUCAAUUGAUUGGUGAAAUACCCGAGCACUUGGCUGUGGGUUGCGUCAACUUGGAGUAUCUUACAUUAUCAAACAACAACCUAGAAGGUCAUAUGUUCACUAGAAAUUUUAACCUGACAAACUUGAGAUGGUUACAAUUGGAAAGCAAUCACUUCGUAGGAGAGAUCCCACAAAGCUUGUCUAAAUGCUCUUCACUAGAAGGAUUGUAUCUUAAUAAUAACAGUCUCUCGGGUAAGAUUCCACGAUGGUUAGGUAAUCUCAAAGGGUUAAAACAUAUUAUAAUGCCCGAGAAUCAUCUUGAAGGUCCUAUUCCAAUGGAGUUUUGUCAACUUUAUUCGCUUCAGCUUUUGGACAUUUCAGACAACAACAUAUCUGGAAGUUUACCAUCUUGUUUCCAUCUUCUCUCUAUCGAACAAGUUCAUCUUUCAAAAAAUAUGUUACGUGGACAGCUAAAAAGAGGUACAUUCUUUAAUUGCUCUUCCCUUGUGACAUUAGAUCUUAGCUAUAAUCGUUUGAAUGGCAGCAUUCCGAAUUGGGUUGAUGGGCUUUCUCAACUAAGGCACCUUAUCUUAGGUCACAAUAAUCUUGAAGGUGAAGUGCCAGUUCAAUUGUGCGGAUUAAACCAACUGCAAUUGUUAGAUCUUUCUAAUAAUAAUCUUCAUGGCCAUAUUCCUCCUUGCUUUGAUAACACCACACUUCAUGAAAGUUAUAGCAAUAGUUCUAGUCUUAAGCCAUUUGAAAUAUCUCUUGUCAUGGAAAGCGGGAUGAUCUAUGCAGAAAAGCAAAUCCAUGAAAUUUUUGAGUUCACAACAAAGAACAUUGCGCACAUUUACCAAGGAAAAGUGCUUAGCCUCCUAUCAGGACUUGAUCUUUCUUGCAACAAGCUAAUCGGUCAUAUUCCUCCUCAAAUUGGAAAUUUGACAAGGAUUCAAACAUUGAAUCUAUCACACAACAACUUGAUAGGAUCGAUCCCAUCAACAUUUUCAAACUUGAAGCAAAUCGAAAGUUUGGAUCUUUCUUACAACAAAUUGAAUGGGAAAAUCCCUCAUCAACUUAUGGAGUUAAACGCAUUGGCUGUUUUCAGUGUGGCAUACAAUAACUUAUCAGGCGAAAUUCCAGAAUGUAAAGCACAAUUUGCAACCUUCAACGAGAGGAGCUAUGAGGGAAAUACUUUUCUUUGUGGACUGCCAUUGCCCAUUUGCAGAUCACCAGCAACUAUGCCAGAGGCUUCAAUUGGCAAUGAACGAGAUGAUAAUUUAAUUGACAUUGACAGUUUCUUUAUCACAUUUACAACAUCAUACAUAAUUGUGAUAUUUGGAAUUGUUAUUGUUUUAUAUGUAAAUUCUUAUUGGCGACAUAGAUGGUUUUACUUUGUUGAAAUGUGGAUAACUUCAUGUUACUAUUUUGUUGUAGACAAUCUUAUUCCAACAAGAUUUUGUCAUUGAAAUUAAUUAGUAGUUUAAUUACGAUUCUUUAAGUACUAAUCAGGUUUUCUUGGGAAAUAAAUUUUUUUAUUUUUUAUUAAAAUUGUAGUAGUAUUUAGCAUUAUAUAGCUUCCAACUUCCAAGCACUUCACAUUUGUCUCUACACUUAAAAAGCGAGUGAUCAUGUUUUGUAGAUCUGGAUUUGGAGCAGGAUGGAUCCAAACCCAUAUCUAUCCAUCAUAGCUUAUAGCUUCCCUAUACUGUGCAGCAUACUUAAAUAAGAGAACCAUCUCCAAUGUUAAAAGUAGCCACUCUAUAACAAUCAUUUAGAAACUAUAUUCAGAAUAGUUUUAUAAUCAUACACAAGAAAUGAAACACCUAGAUGCACUUGAUCGCCUAUUUUACUUUGAAAAAGAACAGUUAUGGUGCUUUCAUCAUCUUCUUCACUAGCAACAUUAACACUAAAUCCACCGAUGGACCCAGACAUUUCAUCAAGAAAGGUAUAUAUCUAAUAAAGUUAAAGCUUGACAAAAAAUUCAGGAAGAUUAAUGCCUCGCCACAACAAGGGCCACAACAACAUCAAAGUAGAGAUGAAGCAGUAUUCUCAAAGCUAAAACUCUCAAAUCCACCUAGGGGUGUUUAGAAUCCAAUUUGAUCCGCUCAAUCCGUCUAAUCCAUAGAAAUCCAAUUUGUAAAAAUCUGAUCCGUGGAUUGGUGGAUUAGAUUAGAUUGAAAAUUUGAUAAUCCGCAAUCGGUGGAUUAGAUACGGAUCUACUUCUGUAAAUCUAUAAAAAUCUGUGAAUCCGCAAAAAAAUAAAAAGUAUUUAUUUAAUUAAAAAAUAAAACUUGUAAAUAUGGUAUUAGUACUUACUAGUACAUAAAUAAGUUAAAAUAUAGUUAUAUUAACAGUAUGUUAUAUCUUAUCCGAUAAUAAUAAAAAAUAAAAAAAUAAUUAAAUAAACAAAUAUAGCUUUCUAAAUAGUUAAUUUCUAUGUACUGAUCUAAACGAAUGAGAUUUUUUUCGUUUUGAUGUGUUAUAUUUCGAAACUUUAAAUGAAUUUUUUAAGCUUUAUUUAAACAAUUAAUUUAUUUAAAUCUUAUUUAAUUUUAAAUUUGAAGUCCGUAAACCAAUCCGCAAAAUAUUAGAUUUGGUCAAAUCUGCAUCCGAUCCGUAGAUGUAUGGAUUGGAUUUGGAUUGAAUUUUACCAAUCCGUGGAUUGAAUUGAAUUGAAGAUUUAUAAUCCGCAAAAUCGUAGAUCGGAUAUGGAUUGAGGUCUAAUCCAUAAAAUCCGAUCCACGAACACCCUUAGUUGGAUUCUUGAGUGAGAACAAUUCCUAGGCCAAAUCCAAAUUGUCUACAAGAAAUCCAACGUCCUCAAGAGAUCAUAUAUAGUUUUCAAAUUGCGGGAAAGCUCUAAAACUUGUGAAUUGAGAAAUUGUACAUGCAUGUCAAGCUUUAACCAAUGAAUUUGCUUUAAUUUAUCAACAAUAAGAAUAUAAGAUGAGAUUUGACCUAGUUGUUACUCUUGUGAAUAAAAAAAUUGUGUGCCUGAACAUGAUUUAACUAAUGAAAUGAAUUUUCUUUAAUUUUUUUUAAUAAUAGGAUGAGACUUUCCUGAAACGAAAAGUACGGAUAUAUAAUUUGUUGGCUUUAGUUACCUUACAUAAUAAUGUAUGGUACAUAACCGUUUGAUGAAAAUCCAACAGUCGUGGAAAUAAUAAAAUUUUAUUAUCUUAUAUUUUCACAACUGUUGGAUUUUCAUCAAACGGUUGUGGAAAAUCAAAUGGUUGUGGAAGAGUCAUUUACCUUACAUUAUUAUGUAAGGUAACAAGCUCCUAAUUUAUUUAGUAUGAUUGAAAAUUAUGAAUGAAAAUAGUUUUGCCAAAAUUGACAAAAUCAAAAUCUUUAAAUUAGUGAAAAGUCUUCAAGUCCUAUGUGAUAUAAACACGUAUUUGGCCUACUUCUUAGAACUCUUAUGGCUAUAGUCAAGCUAGAUGAAAAAGAGAUUUACUAAUUCUGAGUUAGAGAUCAUGAUGGUAACAUCUACACCUUACUCAAUAAAAUUCUUUGCUUAUUUUUUUAUUACUUAUGGUUGAAUUAGAAAUUCAAUUAUUCUUUUAUAACGUGGUUUAAAAUAUUUAAUAAAAGGAAAUUCUUAAAUACUUUGGAGAUUUCAGAGCUUUUUUUUUAAUUUUUAAAAAAGAUAGAGAUGUGACAAAACUAAAAAAAAAAAAUUAAACUCAGAUGACCAACUAAAAGUUAUCUGAUCACUUUAUUUGAACGAAAACUUUAAUGCUGUUAUGAAAAUGUGUAGAUCAAGCAAUGAAAAAUUCCAAAAUAUUGGUAAUAACUUCAAAUUACAACGACGGAGGUAGGUUGACGGCGACCUUAUGUAGCGGAGGCAGCCAUAAAUUUUAAAUUUUGUUUGCGUUGAAGUCAAAAUUCAACUGUCGCCGACCCAUUUGGUUUGAACUCUAUGUCAAUCGGGUCUGCCCAAAACCAAACACAACCCAAACCAUAGCCAGCAUAGGUGCUAAGAAGAUUCUUUUACUUUGUCACUUGUCGCCUACAAUGAAAUUGACAUUAAACAAACAUUAAAACGUGUGGACUCCGAUAGCUGCCCCACAACUGUACAAUAAUAAUUGAGUAUGCACUUUUGAUUCUCGGGACCUUUCAAUGAGUUUCUGCCCCGCUGAUUCUAUCAACUAAAGUUUUGUAAAAUGAAAAAAAAAAAGUACAUAGAAUUCCACAAAAUGCAAAACGUGUGGAAUUUAAUUUUUGGCCGUGUGGACCAAAAUAUAAUUUAACGAAAAAGGGCAAAAAUGGUAAGAUAUUUAAAAUGUAUGGAAGAUGAUCCAUAUUUUACUGAAACGACUUAUCUCGAACAUUAAGAUGAUUGAUUUUUUCUUUUUGAAUAAUAUCAACUUCCAUAUCUUUCUACCGGAGAACAUGCUCACAUUAAAGUCUAUCUUACUAAUUUGAAAAAGAAAAUCAAAUCAACACCAAAGCAAUGAAAAGUAAAGCUUUUGAAUUUUAACUCCGGCUGGCAAACGUAUUCAGGAAUUCUUCCCAUUGCAUAUCUUAUUCCUCCAUCAAUGCAAUAUUAAGUAAUUUUUCUUUAUCAUAUUCUUUUCUUUGCAUUUCUUCUUCCUCUAUCAAUGCAAUAUUUGAACAAUUAAGAAAGAGUUUAAGAACAUAAAAGAUCUCCUAGAUUUAUACGGUAUAACAAAUUUAAAUUCUCAAUUAUAAUGGAUAAUAAUUAAACUAAUAAUUAUUUAUUUACUUAUUUUAAUAGUUUCACCUAAGAAUAAUAUUGUAAUUAGAAAAAAUCUAAAAAGCGGGGUGGUUUUAUACAAAAUCAAUUGCAUACACAUAUCCAGAAGCAUAUGCGGAUGCAAAUAAUAUUUUUUAUUCUUUUUUUAUAAGAAAAUUGUGUAUUGAGAUGAAUAAAAUGUUUAAUUUAAUUAAUUUCCUUACUUUCAUAUACAUUGUCUUUCUAUCUAAAGAAAGCUCAUGUUUGUUAGUAUUCAUUCUUAGAGAGGUGAAAAAAUUACAAAUCUUGAACAACAAGGAGUAGUUUAAUUGCCACUAACUUUACUUGGCCUUCUUUAGUUGGAGCUGUGUUUUCUGAUAAGCCAAAGAAUUAGUAGCUGUUAGAAAGCUGAAAUGAGAUUGUAAACUUUGUUUGGAAGCUAAGAAAAUGAAAAGAAAAUGUUCUGGAAAUUUCUUGAUUUUAUUCAAUUUUUCUCAUUACAUAACAAAUACAAUCACGAUAGUAUUUAUACUAAAUCAAGUCUCUAAAACAAAAAUAAUAGUUUGCUUAACAGCUGACGAACAGGACGUAAUGCAUGCUUAACGGAAUUGCUGAGCUGGCUUCUUUUCUUAACUAACUGCUGACGUGUCAUUGGCACACACGUGUUGAAUAUGCAGCUCCCUUUUGUACAAUGUGUGCUUCCUUAACAGCCCCCCUCAAACUCAAGGGGCAGGGAUGCACAUUGAGUUUGCUUCUAAAGUAGUUAAAGUGAAUGAAUGUGAGAGGCUUGGUCAAGAUGUCUGCAAUCUGCUCUUCACUGGGAAUGUAAUUGAUCUCCAGCUCUCUUGCCAACACUUUAUCUCUUAUGAAGUGCAUGUCUAGUUCAAUAUGUUUAGUUCUCGAGUGGUAGACAUGAUUUUUGGCUAGCUCAGUUGCACUUAUAUUAUAGCACUAUUUUGUAGGCACUGAAACACAUUCUAUCUUGAUCGUCUUGAAUAAUGACUGCAACCAUGUAAUUUCUGCACUUGCAAAAGCAAGAGCUCUGCACUCACUCUCUGCACUUGAUCUUGUGACUAUUGAUUGCUUCUUGGAUGACCAAGAUAUCAAAUUAUGCCCCAAGUAAAUGCAGUAUGCCCCUAUUGAUUUUUCUAUCAUCAACAUCAUAUGCCCAAUCUGCAUCUGCAUAUUCUAUUAGCUUUAUUUCUCCACCAGCUGUACACUUUAAUCCAUAGUCUUCUGUUUCUUUCAAAUAUCUAAGUAUCCUCUUACAAGCCAUGAUAUGUUGAAGUGUUAGUGUAGACACAUAUUGACUUAAUUUGUGCACUGCAAAAGCAAUUUCUAGCCUAGUCAGGACUAAAUACUGUAACUCUCCAAUCAAGCUUCUAUAACUAGUUGCAUCUUCAACAUACUGACCCAAAGAUCCCUUAACUUCUUUAUGAAGUUUUGUUCUUGUAACCAUUGGAGUAUCACACCCUUUGCAGUCAAGCAUAUCAACUUUUCUCAGCAAGUCUUUAAUAUAUUUUUUUUUGGGACAGAUAUAUAUCAUUCUCAGUAUAAGAGACUUCUAUACCAAGAAAAUAUGAAAGCUUUCCUAAAUCUUUUAAUGCAAACAUUUUGCUCAAACCUGAGAUAAAUUUUUCAAGUUCAUCACUAUUAGGUCAUGUUAUCAAUAUGUCAUCAACGUAAAUCAGGAUUAGUAUCAUUGAAUUCUGUUCUCCCUUGAAAAAUAGUGAAGUGUCGGCUCUGGAAUUUUGAAAACCCCAAUUUGUAACCAAACAACUCUUCAGUUUGUCAAACCAUACUCUAGGAGAUUGUUUCAACCCAUAUAAGGCCUUCUUCAACUUGCAUACAUAAUCAGGUCUUAUCUCAUCAACAAAUCCUUCAGGUUGGCACAUGUAAACAUCCUCUGUCAAGUCUCCAUUUAGGAAAGCAUUACUAACAUCUACUUGUCUGAUCAUCCACCUAUGCAUUACAGCCAAGCUCAAUAUAACUCUCACUGUAGAAGCCUUUAUAACAGGGCUAAAUCUUUCAAAAUAAUUGAUUCCUUUAGUUUGUUGGAACCCUUUUGCAACCAACCUAGCUUUAUAUUUGGCAAUACUGCCAUCACUAUUUUGUUUGACUCUAAACACCCAUUUGUUUCCAACAAUUUUGUAUUCAGCUGGAGGUGGUAUAAGAGACCAAGUCUCAUUUCUGAUCAAGGCUUCAUAUUCCUCUUUCACGGCCUUAUACCAGUGUUUAUCAUUAAGAGCUUCUCGAACUGUGUUAGGUUCUUUGUUGAUCAAGGUGGUUGUGUACAACUUAGGCUUGAAUAUUCCAGACUUCGAUCUAAUGGUCAUUUUGUGUGUGGGUUGUGAAGUCAGAAUUCUGUUUGGACUGAGUUCAGUUUGUUGUUGACUGGUUACAUGUGGUUCAAAUUGUGUUUGAGUUGGUUCAGGAAUAUGACGGAUAGUUUGUGAUGUUGAUGAUUUUGAUAUGAAUGACUAGAUGAUUCUUGUUGAUGCUGAUUAUUUGUAUGCUCAGGUAAUACAGGUGUUUGUUCAUUACUCGGUACUCUUGCUGAGUAAGUAUCUUCAAAGCUGCUGUUGAGUAAGGGUAAUGUUGAGAGAUGAUAGAUUUGUUGUUUAGAGAAAUUUGACACUGGAGUUUCUGAUUGGAUGACAUUUUCAGAAGAAGAAGUGGCAAAGAUUGUUGCAUAUGGAAAUACAGUCUCAUCAAAGACAUCAUGCCUAAGAAUAUGAACUUGACCUGAGCUUGUAAGACAUUUGCAUCCUUUAUGAGAUGAGCUAUAUCCAAUAAAGAUGCAUUUGCUAGUAUGAAAAUCAAACUCAUGUCUGUUAAAGUCUCUCAUGUAUGGAUAACAAAGACAACCAAAUCAUUUAAGGAAAUUGUAAUCAGGUUUAUGCUUGAAAAGUUUCUGAUGUGGGGAUAAGAGUCUCAAUACAGGUGUUGGCAACCUGUUUAUGUGAUAUACUGCUAUAUGAACAGUUUCCCACCAGAAUUUGAAAGGAAGAUCAGCUUGAGUUAAAAGAGUCAAGGCCAAUUCAAUUAUAUGCCUAUGUUUUCUUUCUACCAGUCCAUUCUGGUGAUGAGUGUAAGGGCAUGAGUGUUUGAAAAUGAUCCCAUUUUGGUUCAAAAAAUCAGUGAAUACUCAAUAUUCUCCCCCUAGUCAGAUUACAUCAUCUUAAUUGUUGUAUUGAACUGAUUCUAUAAUUCUGUCUUUAGAAAUGCAACUAAAUUUUUAAUCUCUUACUCUACAUAAAAUUGAAAUUCGAGUGGCUUAUCAAAUAAAAUUAAAACUAUUAAUUAACCAAAUAAAAUUAUUUAAAACCAUUGGGUAUGGUAGCAGGAGUUCUUGAAACUAUCGAUGCCAUGAAAUUUACUGGCGAAAAGGGUUUUAGAUGUCUAUUUUAUAAAUCUUUUAAUAAUUUUUUUAUUUACCAUUUUACUAUCCAUGGUAAAAGUGUCGCAUCGACAUUGAACAGUUCAACAUAUCAGUCAUUUCUCAUUCAGUCAUUAAGAAUUUACGUUUGGGGUAUUUUUGUAAUUAUGAGAAGGUAAACUAAUCGCAAAAUUCAUUUGGCUUGCACUUGCUCGCCUUUGCUGUGUGUUUGGUUAUGGCGUUAUCAUUAUCAUCUUCUCCACUCCUGCUGACACCAGACCUUAACCGUUCAGAUUCCCUUUCUCGACUGUCAUACCCUACGCCCCGUCUCCGUGUCUCCGAUAAACAGUGCUCAAUUAAGACCAUCAGAUUAUCCCGGACCCACAUUAAUCCAACGGCUCACAAUGACCGACAACCUCUCCAUCUCCAUUACAAGCUCCCUCUUCAGCUGGCUUCUUCUUCCGUCCUACUCUUUCUCGGAUUCGGAGCCCGUAUAUGCUCGGCUGGUCCCACGCAGCUCCCUCUCACUCCAGCUGUCAACCAACAAGACCAAUUGCUUGAUCAAGACACAGAACAAAAAGAGGAUGAGAAAUUGAAUCAAGAAUUUGAGAAUUGGAAAUGGAAGACGUACGCAUUGACCGUGCCUUUGAGAGUCGUUUCUCUUCAGAAUUCAGUGCCUCAAUCUUGGGUUAAGGAUUUUAUGCGAAGUCAAGGAAAGAGAUUGAAGUUUCAGAUGAAUUUGUGUGCUAGCAUUGAUGGGAUCGUUAACAAUUUAUCUACGCCCUUUAACAAAGUUAAGGCUAAGUCAGCUUCGUAUAUGGCUGCUGAUUUGGUUAGUGUUGGUGAUUCAUGGCUCAGUUUUGCGAUUAAAAAGAGAUUGAUCGAGCUAAUAGCUGAAGCUGAAGAUCAAGAUUGGUUCAAAUGCUUAAGUCACAAAUGGAAGGUAACAUCUUUAUCUUUUACCCGAUAAUUUUUAUUGUCUUACCUUGAAAUUUGGUAAUGUAAUUUGUUCUCUAUCUGUGUUACCCUUUAUAGUCAUUUUAUUUAUUUGUUUAUUGCUUUUAUUUGCACUAACGAAAUCUCAGGUAUAUCUACGCAGCAAUGAUGCAGGAGAAAUUGAUCCUCGAGGUCAAAUAUGGGCGGCACCAUACAGGUGGGGCACAAUGGCGAUAGGCUACAAGAAAAGUAAAUUUCAAAACCAUAAUUUGGCUCCGAUUGAGGUAAUAAUUGUACUUAAACUCAUUUAGUUUAAUAUCAAGCAAAAUCAAGACUGCCUUUCUCUUCAAUAUUUUCAAUGAUAAUAUCUUUAGAAGCAUCUCAUUGACGGGUAACAAUGGUAUCCCUGAAAGAGUCUAUAAACUCAAUGAUAUUAUCUUCUACAAUGGCUCAUUAAACUUUGUCGUUGCAGUCAAAUGUACACUCAGAGCAAUGAAAAGCUAUGCCACUGUAGCAUGUAGUGAUGGCACUUAAUAAGUGAAUUGCUAGGAUGUGAACUAGAAAAAUUAAAUAUUGUCUCCUUGGGUAUGCUAGCUCGUAAGUCAGGGUUACUAUUAGAGCUUAAGAUACUAUAACCAUGAGAAGCUAUUGACUGCCAAUUAAAAUAUCCAUUAAAAUGUCUAGGGAGUUAUGAAGGUGGAGGUAGCUUCCAAUAACUAACUUGAGUUUGGUAAAACAAACAGACAGUGUGUCUCAUGUCUCACAAUUCAAAUUAUCAUCUGUAAUGAUGGAGAAUUUUUCUAAUGUAUGAAGUAUGCUUUCAUACGUGGAUUAGCUUGGAGAAGAUAUCUCAAAAUAAAGAAUAUGGGGAGCGAAUGGGAAAAAAACAGUUCAGUAGUUUAUUAUUCUGUAGUCAAGUUUUGUCUUGAAAAUGGUCAAAAUUUAAAUGAAUAAGGACAGGGGAUCUUCAUUCUUUUUUCCCUUUUUUAUACCAAGAUAUCUUUCAACCUUUAUAUAAUCCCCACUGGAUAUCUGCUUCUAAUAAUUAAAAUAAAAAUUUCACCCACACAAAUAAAUACUGACCAAGCUCUAACAAUAAAAACUAACAUCUUUAGUCAAGUAACAUCUUUAGUCACGUAAUUUACAGUUCCUCAUCAUCUUAGUGUGAGCUAUCAGUACGAUCUAAAAACAUAAUAAAACUGGUUUGAUCCUGUUUAUUGAUGUUUAAAUGUUGUUUAUUGUGACAAGUAAAUUAGUAAGAUCUUGUUUGAAGUUGUUUUCCGAAAUGAACUGCCAAAUGGUAGUUUUUUUGGGGCAUCUGAUGGCUCUUUUUUCCUCAUUUUAAACAUGUGCCUGCUUGGAAUGGGAAGGAUUAGGCUGCAGAGUUGUUAUAUAUUUUGACAUGCUCUGGUAAUUACACAAUUUGUUCACACUGGAAAUUAGAAUGAGAAAUUUGUUGAUGCUGUUUUGAUAGAUCUGCAUUCUAUGCACAAUAACAUGAUUAAUGAAAAUGGAUUGUAGGACUGGAAAGAUCCGUGGUGGCCUGAGCUCGCAGGAAGAAUUUCAAUGGUUAAUUCUCCCCGAGAGGUUAUUGGUUCAGUUUUGAAGUAUAUGGGAGCAUCAUAAAAUUCAAACAAUAUUGAUUUGCAAGUUGCUGGUGGGAAGAUUGCUGUUCAGCAGAAUCUGGCAUUACUGGCAAACCAGGUACUCUUAAAGAAAUGAUAUCUGAUCAUUGCAUGUUAUUGCCUGACAACUGAUUUUGUUUGUAGAAGUCUGCUUCUUCAUACAUAUGAAUGCAUAUGCUAGUGUUUUCUUCUCCUUUUCAUACAUAUGAAUGCGUAUGUUGGUGUUGUCUUUUCCUUUUCAUACGUAUUAAUAAUACAUAUGUUGGUGUUCUCUCCUGAGAUGGAUGCAAUAAAGGCUUUUGCUCCUAAAUUUAGCUGAAGAAAUGGCAAGGGAUGUGAGAUUCUGUCUCAUUAAAUUAACAAAAACCCAAAACAAUGAAAAACCAUAAUAAUGUGGUGUGGGUAAACUGGCUCCAUUUGGUUCGUUUCCUUAAUGUGAAUACGCAAACAAUGGAGACUAACAAAAUGAAGUGACAACAACAAGUCAGUGUCCUUUGAUGGAUGCAUUUUUAAGCAGAAAUAGGUUUGUAAUUGACCAAAUUUGUCUGGCAUGCCAAUUUCGAAAAAAUUAAAUUAUGUGAUUAUUACCUGUAAUGAAGGGGGAUAGUAGGUGCAAUCAGGUGGAUCCCGGAAAGUUCAACAAAGUUCUGGUAUGGUGUAUUGAAAUUGGUUUGUGCAACUCAAGAGUCUUUCAGGUGAACGAUGAUGGGUUUUGAUUUAUGAAUGUUAUAAAUCUACUGUGCAUAGUAUUCUAGUAGAAUCAUUUAUAAGUUCUAGUUAUUGAAAUUGUCUACUUUGUCCGGUUUGAGUUAAGGGCACAUGUAAUAUGAAAAAUAGUUGUCGCAUCUUUUAGGUUACCUAACAUUUGAUCAAUCCUAUUAUGAGGGCUUCAAGAUGUCUAACAAUAUGUAGAAUGCCCAUGCUCCUCCCCAUUGUUUAUCUUAUACAAUAAUUUGUUUUAGAUGCUAAUAUCUUUGUCGAUACUGGUAACAUUAUUACAAUCUCUGCUUUUAUUGGGUUCUACAUAGGUUCGACUGUUUGACAGUACACACUAUCUGAAGGCAUUUGGAAUUGGAGAUGUAUGGGUUGCUGUUGGGUGGAGUAGUGAUGUUCUUCCUGCUGUCAAACGUAUGUCUAAUGUUGCUGUUGUUGUUCCCAAGUCUGGUGCAAGCUUAUGGGCCGAUCUUUGGGUAUUCCCAUGCCUGCCAUUCUACUUCGAUAUUCACUUUGUUAUCACCUUCAUAUUAGUGAUCAGUAAACACGAUAAUGUGACUAAUAAGUUUGUAUUCUCUUUAUAGGCGAUCCCUGCUGCCUCAAGACUUGAAACAAAACAAAUUGGAGGGCAAGUCAGAGGUCCGUCUCCAUUAAUCCAUCAAUGGAUAGAGUUCUGCUUGCAAACAGCAAGAGCAUUGCCUUUCAAGCAAGAGGUUAUCCCAGGCGCAUCUCCCUCUGCCCUUGAAAGUACUCUGGUUAAGUUGCCUGAAGAACUUCUGAAGGGUAAACCAAGUGUGGAUACUAACUUAAUUGCUGGAGUACCCCCCCGCUGAAAUUCUGGCCAGAUGUGAGUUUUUGGAGCCAUUAUCUGAAGCUACAUUGUCAGAUUAUGAGUGGCUGGUUGCUAAUCUGCAAAACCUGCUCCUGUCUUGAUGAAAAGGGUGCAGCAUUACUUGUCAUCAUUAAUCCAAAGCUUUCUAGCAAAGCUACAUUGAAAAGUUAAUGGCACUGCAUACAAUCAUGAGUUUUAAUGGAGCAAGAACUAAAUACAAUUAUCGCUAACAAAUACUGAAAACACAACCCACACAGGAAAUCACCCUUCGCGUGGGGAUGGAGAUGUUUACUGGAGCGAUAUUGAAUAUGUGCAAGGUGUUGUCCACUGCUCUUUGGGUUAUGGUGUGACUUGCGAUUUCAAGAUUGCCCAGAAACAAUGGAAAAGAUUAACAUAUCCUCCCAUGAGUGAAAACGGCUUGACUAAUUCUAAUUACCGAAUUGACUCAGGAUCAGGUAGCAAUAAUAACAGUUAACUAACAUUGCACAGUCCCGAGUACUUUUCCAGGAUCAGAUACAACGUGGUCUAAUGUUGAUAAUAAUACCUUAUUAAAGGACAAAUCAUUGUUCUUGGGUGUUGAUAGUAAUAGCUUAUUAAAGUAGAAGAUGAAGGUUGUGCAGGUGAUUUCAGAAAUAAAAUACAUUCUGAGAGAUGAUGGUCUACUAUUGCAAGCCCCCAGAUUUCAGAAUCUUUUGAUUGCGGCAUUUGGCAACGAUUCCACAAAUUCUAGAUUCCAACUGAGUUAUCAAUUGAAAAUGAAGUUGAAUUGAAAAAGAACAACAAAUACACAGUGAAGUUGAAUUGAAAAUGAAGUUGCAAGUUGCGCCCAUAGCUGCUGACUAAUAAUAAAACGAGACAAAUUAAUUAAACUCAGAUCUCUAUGUACAUGUCAACCUAACUUUACUUUUCCUUGUUUGUUAUAUUCACUUAACACUUGAUGCCUAAACCAUUAAAACCAAAUGACCAUAGAGGUAUUUGUAAUAUGUAAAAACAAACAAAAACACGUAAAAAAUUUUAAAAACAAUUAAUAAUCACACUCUAAAUUUACCACUCAACUCUAAAUAAUAACCAUACUCAAACAAUUUACAACUUUUGACGGGAGUAGCUAUGAGGAAAAUCCUUUCUCAAUGGAUUGCCAUUGCCCAAGAGUUGCAAUGAAAACGUACCACCUGCAGCUGUGCCGGAAGAUUCAACUAGGUCUGAAAAAGAUGAUAAUUUAAUUGAUAUGGACAGUAAUUGUGAUAUCGGAAAGCAUUAGUAUUCUAUAUGUGAACCAUUAUUGGCGACAUCGAUAGUUUUAUAUUAUUAAAAUGUGGAUGACUUCCAUUUACUAUUUUGUUAUAGACAAUCUUAUUCAAUUAACAUAUAGUUUUAAACUAUUAUGUAAAUCAAUCUAUUAAUUUUCAUGAUAUUUAACUGAGUUAAAACUAAGUGCAAUCAAUAAAUCUCUUUUCCUUUAAAAAACCGCUACGUUUUAAUUUUAGUGCUUAAUAUUUAUUGAACUCUGAUACAGGAAAUUUGAAAUCAAACUCGUAACUACAAAUUAUUUAAUUGCGAGUUGCUGUCCAUAGCUGCUGAUCUGUAGUAAUUAUCUAAUUGACUGAGGUGACAACAAUUUUUUUUUUUUUCGGAAAAAUGUCAAUAGCACAAAUUCAAUAAUUAAAUUCUCAUGUUUAAUUUGUUUCAAGUUAAAUUAUUAAUUACUAAAACUCUGUUUUAAGUCUUUAAUUUUAUAUCUUGGCGUAUAUGCAGAGUUGGAUUCUUGAGUGAGUUGGGCAUUAAAAUGUGUGGACUCCGGUAGCUGUCCCACAAGUGUACAACUCUACAAUAAUAAUUGAGUACACACUUUUAAUUCUGGGGACCCUUCAAUGAAUUUCUAGCCCCGUUGACUCCACUGACUAGAGUUUUGUAAAAUAAUAAAAAAAAAGUACAUAGAAUUCCACCAAAUGCAAAAGCAAAAUGUGUGGAAUUUAAUUUUUGGCCGUGUGGACCAAAAUACAAUUUAACGAAAAAAGAAAAAAAAAAUUGUAAGAUUUCUAAAAUAUGUGGAAAGUGAUUCAUGUUUUACUGAAAUGACUUGUCUCAUGAUUGAUUUUUUUUUUUUUUUGAAAAAUAUCAACGUCCAUAUCUUUCUACCCUAGAACAUGCUCACAUUCAAGUCUAUCUUUGCUAAUUUGAGAAAGAAAAUCAAAUCAAAUCAAUACCAAAGCAAUGAAAAGUUAAGCUUUUGAAUUUUAACUUCAGCUAGCAAACGUAUUCAGCGUUUUCAAAUUCUUCCCAUUGCAUAUCUUCUUCCUCCAUCAAUGCAAUAUUAAGUACUUUUUCUUCAUUAUAUUCUUUUCUUUGCAUUUCUUCUUCCUCCAUCAAUGCAAUAUUUGAACAAUUAAGAAAGAGUUUAAGAACAUAAAAAAUCUUCUAGGUUUAUACGGUACAACAAAUUUAAAUUCUCAAUUAUAAUAGAUAAUAAUUAAACUAAUAAUUAUUUAUUUACUUAUUUUGGUAAUUUCACCUAAGAAUAAUAUUGCAUUAGAAAAAAUCUAAUAAGUGGGGUGGUUUUAUACAAAAUCAACUACAUACAGUAAUAAGUGAGUACGCACCUUUGAUUCUCGGGACCCUUCAAUGAAUUUCUAGCCCCGUUGACUCCACGGGCUACGGCUAAAGAUCUGUAAAACAAGUAAAUAGAAUUUCCACAAAAUGCAAAACUUGUCGAAUUUAAUUUUUGACCAUGUGGAUCAAAAUGUAAAUUAAAGAAAAAGACAAAACAAAAAGAGGUAAAAUUUCCAAAACGUGUGAAAGAUGACUCAUGAUUUAUUAAAACGACCUGCCUCGAAUAUCAAGACGAUUAAUCUUUUUAAAUUUUUUUUUUUGAAAUAAUAUCAACUCUCAUAUUUUUCCACUCGCAGAACAAGUUCACAUUCAAGUCUAACUUGCUAAUUUGGAAAACGAAAUCAAAUCAAAUCAAUAUCAAAGCAAUGAAAAGUAAAACUUUUGGAUUCUAACUCCAGCUAGCAAACGUUGGAAUGCAAUAAUUAAAUUCUUCUGUUUAAUUUGUUUUAAGUUAAAUUACUAAUUACUUAAACUCUGUUUUAAGUAUUUAAUUUUAUGUGUUGGUGGGUAUGCAGAAUUGGAUUCUUGAGUGACUUGGACAUGACCACAAUGAAAUUGAUGGCAAACAAACAUUAAAAUGUGUGGACUCCGGUACCUGCCGCACAAUUCUACAAUAAUAAGUGAGUACGCACCUUUGAUUCUCGGGACCCCUUCAAAAAAUUUCCAGCCUUGUUGACUCCACUGGCUAAGGCUAAAAUUUUGUAAUAGAAAAAAGGUCAAUUCUUGUGGAAUUUAAUUUUUGGCCUUGUAGACCAAAAUGUAAAUUAAAGAAAAAGACAAAAAAGAAAAGGGGCAAGAUUUAUAAAACGUGUAGAAGGUGGUCCAUGAUUUAUUCGAAUAACCUGCCUCGACUCGAAUAUUGUAAUGAUUGAUUUUUUUUAUUUUUUUAAAAUAAUAUCAAUUCUCAUAUCUUCCCACUCCUUGAAAAUGCUCACAUUCAAGUCAAAUUAAAUGGACACCAAAACAAUGAAAAUUGAAAAGUAAAACUUUUGAAUUCUAACUCUAGCUGGCAAACGUAUUCAGUAUUUUUAAAUUCUUCGAAUCGCUUAUCUUCUUCCUCCAUCAAUGCAAUAUCAAGUAUUUUUUUCUUUUUCGUAAUCUUUUCUUUGCAUUUCUUUUUGCUCCAUUAAUGUAAUUUAACUUCUUUUUUUAUUUGAACGGCUCGGAAAGAGUUGAAGAACAUAAAAAAGCUCUUGGUUUUAUACGGUAAAACAAAUUUAACUUAUAAUUAUUCAACUAACAAUUAUUUAUUUACCUAUUUUAGUAAUUUCACCGAAGAAUAAUAAUCUAAUUACAAAAAAUCUAGUCAGUUGGGUGGUUUUAUACAAAGAGUAAUGAUAUAGCCACAAACUCUUGUACAAACUUAUUUUGUACAAACUGAUGUGGCGUUAAUUCAUUGGUUGAAUUAAAUAUCUCUUGGCCCACAUGAUUUGUUUAUAUUAUUUUAUAUUUCUAUUCAACCAAUGAAUUAAUGCCACAUCAGUUUGUAUAAUAUAAAUUUAUACAAGAGUUUGUGGCUGUAUCAUUACUCUUAUACAAAAUCAACUACAUACCCAUAUACAGAUGCAAAUGCAAAUAAUAUUUUUAAAUAAGAAAAUUGUAUAUUGAGAUGAAUAAGAUGUUUCUAUGAUUCUAUCUUAGGAAAGCUCGGUGGUGGUAACGACAUGAAGUUGCGAGUUGCCGCACACAGUUGCUAGUAAUAUAAUAAAACAAGACAAAUUAAUUAAACUCAGGCCUUUACGUAUAUGUUAUCUUAACUUUACUUGCCCUUGUUUGAUGAUAUUCAUUCUUGGAGCUAAGGGCGCAUGUAAUAUUUGUAAUUGUAUUAAGUAUAUAUUAAUGUGAUUUUCAAAAUCAGGUUUUAAAAUCUGUAGGAUAGGCUGAUUUUGGUAGUUUUGGGUCGGCCGUUGCAGUCAUUGGGACUGACUUAUUAUUAUUAUUAUUAUUAUUAUUAUUAUUAUUAUUAUUAUUAUUAUUAUUAUCAUCAUUAUUAUUAUUAUUAUAAUUAUAAUAUCAACUUCCAUAUCUUUCUAAACCCGGAAUAUGCUCACGUCACGUUCAAGUCUAUCUUGCUAACCUGAAAAAGAAAAUCAAAUCCAAUCAACACCAAAACAAUGAAAAUUAAAGCUUUUGAAUUUCAACUCCAGCUAGCAAACAUAUUCAGCGUUCCCAAUUUCUUCCCAUUGCAUAUCUUCUUCCUCCAUCAAUGCAAUAUUAAGUACUUUUUCUUGAUCAUAUUCUUUUCUUUGCAUUUCUUCUUCCUCCAUCAAUGCAAUAUUUGAUCGAUUAGGAAAGAGUUUAAGAACAUAAAAAAUCUCCUAGGUUUAUACGGUAUAGCAAAUUUAAAUUCUCAAUUAUAAUAGAUAAUAAUUAAACUAAUAAUUAUUUAUUUACUUAUUUUAGUAAUUUCACCUAAGGAUAAUAUUGUAAUUAGAAAAAACUAAUUAGAACAAUUUAAUUUUUGGCCGUGUAGACCAAAAUAUAAUUUAACGAAAAAGGAAAAAAAAAAGGGUAAAGAUUUUUAAAAUGUGUGGAAAGUGAUCCAUAUUUUGUUCGACUUGUCCCGAACAUCACGACGAUUGAUUUUUUUAUUUUUUUUUUAAUAACAUCAACUUCCAUAUCUUUCUACCCUCAGAACAUGCUCACAUCCAUAUUUUUUAUGUACUUAUUUUAGUAAUUUCACCUAAGAAUAAUAUUGUAAUUAGAAAAAAAUCAAAUAAGUAGGGUGGUCUUAUACAAAAUCAACUGCAUACAUAUAUGCAGAUGCAGAUAAUAAUUUUUAAUUCCUUUUUUUAAUAAGAAAAUUGUGUAUUGAGAUGAAUAAGAUGUUUAAUUUAAUUAAUUUCCUUACUUUCAUAUACAUUGUCUUUCUAUCUAGAGAAAGCUUGGUGCUCAGAACGACAUGAAGUUGCGAGUUGUCGCCCAUGGCUGCUGAUUAAUAAUAAAACGACACAAAUUAAUUGAACUCUGGCCUCCAAGUAUAUGUUAUCCUAACUUUACUUGCUCUUGUUUGUUAAUAUUCAUUCUUAGAGAGGUGAAAAAAAUUACAAGUCUUGAAUAACGAGGAGUUUAAUUGCCUCUAACUUUACUUGGCCUUCUAUAAUCUCAUUAAUAAUACAGAGAAUUAAUUAUCUUUUUAUUAUUAAACCAAAGAAUUAGUAGCAGUUAAUAUUAAUAUUGCCCACCCAAGAAAUAUGAGUGAAUUAAAGUAUUGGCAAGAGUUCGCUCAGAGGAGCAUUUAAACCACUUCCUUAUCAAUUGCGGCAGCCGUCUAUUAACUAAAACGCCAAUCUAAUACACGAAGAAAGAACAUUUACAGACUUGGCAAUUGAGUUCAUUAAGAAGUAGCAUCGCAUUCGGGUGAUGAGUUUCCUUUUGUUAAUAAUUUUAGUCUAAUUUCCAUUGUACUGAGAUCGCUUCUCGAGGUAAGUGAAAGUUACAGAUGUGGCAAAAUAAAUAAUUAAAUUAACAAAAUGCUAACUAAUUUUCCUAAAUACCUAGGGUUGUACAAUUUCAUCAACCUGGAAGAAUUGACAUUAAUGGACUGGUCUCCUCCCCAUAUAAUUAUAAUCCUUCUAGAAAGCUAAUUUUUAUUAAAUAUUUUCUUUUAAGUUAAUUUCAAUUAAAAUUUUUUUUAAGUUAUAUAUACUCUAAUGAGAUUCUGAAUUCCUUUCUUCCAAUAAUAAUGAAAACGUAUUAAAUUAGAAAUGAAAAAAUUGGUGUUGAUGAUUCAACCUGUUUGGAUAGAUUACGCGAAUAAAAUUGAAAUUUUGAUUUAAUUUUUGUUUAUUGUUAAUUCUCAGGCUAUCUUAAUUUCAAGAAUUUAGAAUGUUAAUUUGGUCAUGGAUUUCAACCCAUGAGUGUCAUAUUCUAGACUUAAUGGUACCAUUCUUUGAUUGAGGGCAAUGACUCUCACUCCUCUUGUAAAAAACUAUUUUCAACUAUUUUGAUGACUUAAAAAUUGAUAGAUUUAUUGUUGUCAUGACCAAAUUAUUCAUUUUAAUUAAACAUAAUUAAUGCAUCAAAGUUACCAGGUUUAUGUUCUAUCUUAAUGCGCUUUUUUUUUUUUUUCAGUUAUCAGCUAUGCCCCUGAGGCAUUUUGUAGAGUAUAGCUUCUGCUUACCUCUGUUUCAUUUUUUUUAAUAAAAAAAACAAGGGAAGGUUUUUCCGAGUCGUCCAUUAUUUGAUUACCGUCAAUCAAGAAAACGACCAAAUUAAUUUCUCUCCAAAAUUUCCAAAAGCUAGAAAAUUUUGUUAUUUGAAAAUAACAUCAUUAAUUAUAGAGUGGAUCAAACCGCGUUAUUGUCUUUUAUAAAAUUGAUGUCUUUUUAAGAGUCAAUGCAUUUUAUUUACACAAACCAGUCGACAUCAACUUGAACUUCCAUAUUUUUAUUAUUAUGUUAUUUAUUUUAAUCCCCGAUUAUUUGAUUAGCCACUAUAUAUAUCAAGAAAGCGACAAAAUUUAUUUCUCAUGACUUCCAAAAACUAGAAAACAACAUCAUUUAUUAUUUUUUUGCAACCCUAAUUGACAUCAACUUUAACUUUAUUAUGUUAUUAUUUCAAUCCCCCAUUAUGACCUUUCUAAUCCUCCAUUAUGCAUCUUUUAUAGUGCAAAUUUAAUUGCACAUCUAAAUAAAUUGAUUAUUGUCACUCCACCACCAAUAUUUCAAAUAGUCACUAGACCAUUUCUGCCUUUAAUUUUCCCUUAACUAUUGACUGUUUUUAGCAUCUUAAAAUAUACAUUUAUUCCUUGAUUAUGUGAUAAAAUUAUGAAAAUAUCCAUUUUAGCUUAAAUUAAUUGAAAUAACCAUAAGCGUAACUUAAAUUAAUAGAACAAAAUUAUCAAGUGUAUGUUCUAUGUUACAUUUUGAAGAAUUUAACAUAUACAAUGCUAUACUAUUAAUUCAUUUAUCAUUUAAUAUAUAUGUUCAAAUAUUUUAUAUAUUUAUUAAUUGUUAUAUAGUCAAAGGAUGAAUGAUUUUUCAGGUCUACAUGAGUUGGUGCAUCUGCAAGACUCAAUUUUGACAACAAUGAUCUAAGGGGUAAUUUACCUUGGCGUUUGACAAAUUUAACCUCUCUUCAAGAUUUACUUCCAAUCUACUUACUGUAAAUAUCUCCUCAUCUCCUCUCAUUUAUAUGAUAACCCUUGAAGAUCUCACAUUUUCAAACAAUCAUAUUAGGGUUUUUAUUAUUAGCAUCAUCGUGUCAAUAAUAUAUGUUGCAGUAAGAUUUUUUCAGACCAAUUCCCUUCUUCAAAUAAUAAUGGAAAAGUAUUAAUUUAAAAAUAAAAUGAAUAUUGUAAAAUAAAGAACAGAGUUUAUGAAUAAAACUCUUGUAUUCCUUGCAUUAACGUUGCUACAUAUAUAUAUAGAUGUACAACCCUAAAGAAUAGAAUCCCAGGUAGAAAAGCAUUACAGAUUCAUAAUAUAUAUACAAAUCUAAUUGCUUUAAAUAUGAAACCGAAUUCUAUACGACUUCUAUAUACAAAACCGAAUGCUAUACGAAUUCUAUACGUUAAUAAAUAUGCAUUGAUUAUAUCCUAAUUUUCAUCAAUUAUAGCGAGAGUUUCUCCAAAUCAACUCCCUUAUUCAAAUAAUACAGAAAAAAUAGUAAUUUAAUAGUAAAAUUAACAAGUGUUGAUUAUAUAUCCUAAGUUUCAUCGAUUAUGUGAUCAAAGUGGCAUUGUUGAUUUAUUUCUUGUUCAAUGUAAAUUUUUAGGUUAUCUAAAUUUCAAGGAUUUAAAAUCUUUGUUCAUGGAUUACACGCUUAUUAAUUUUUCUGCCAUUGACUGUCAUAUUCUAGACUUAAUGGUACCUUCCUUGAUCGAGGAUAAUUACUCUAUGUUCUCCUCUUAUAAAUUCUUCUUCCAUUAACAUCACUAGGAGUAUGUUGAUCUCUCAGACGUUAACUUCAGUGGAGAGUUUCCAAAUUGAUUGUCACAAAACAACACAAAAACUAGACACACUUGAUCUGUCUAAUAAUUCUCUUUCGGUAAAAUUAAUUAAUUUUAGGGGAAUAUUCGACCAACCUAUAUAAUUUUAGAUUGAUCAUUAAUUAAUUGGACGAAAAAAGUACUUGUGCUUUUGUGGCGACAAUUGAACCAGAGAAGUGAAGCUGUAAAGAUUUGGCAGUAGUAAAUUGUUAGAAAGACAUAAAGACAAGUUCCCAUUAUUAUAAUUUUUUCAAAAAACUUUUUUACAACACAUGCACCUGGCCAAAAAUUUUAUUUUGCUAACUAACAAUAAUUGAUUAGCUGACCGAAUUGACUCCACCUACUUGCUAAAGUAAAAAAAUAGAAAUAGAAUUUCCACAAAAUGGCAAACAUGUAAAAUCUAAUAUUUGGCCGUGUGGAACAAAAUACAAAUGAAAAAAAAAAUAGAAAAAAGGCCUAAAGACUUUUAAAAUGUGUGGAAGUCUUUCUGCCCUUUUAUAAUGGUGUGUUUUUCAAAGGAACAAAUAAUAAUAAUGACACUUCAACGGUUUGUUUUGAUAAUCACACCUAUACUCUUUAAUUUGAUAAAUGGUUACACAAAUUUUGUUUACAAAAAUAUAUUAUUCAUGUUCUGUAUUAUUUUUUAACAUCAUAUUUUUAUUUAUUAUAAUUGUUUAAAGUUAAUUGUUGGGUUGAUAUAUAAUAAAAAUGUAUAAUCGUUCUCUUACUAAACACACAUACUCAUAGUUUCUGUUCAUUUGUCAUCUCAAUCUAUCUCAUUUAUCCUUUGUUGAUAGCUCAAAACGCGUCACUGUAGAAAAUUAUAGCAAAACGACAAAUAUGGAAAAAAUGGGAAGAAAAUUAAUGCAUGAAAGAGUUGCAGAAGACAACCAAAUAAGUCAACUAUACGCUAGUUGGGUGUAUAAAUUGUUAGAUGUGUUAUAAACAAAUAGCAUAGAGCCUUGGUUGGUUACAGAGAUAGAAAAAGUGUGUGUUUUUUAGAACUUAAAGAUAUAGUUAGAAUGGGUGGUUCAAAAUCAAAAAUGGUGAUAAUGUUUGUUCUGUUAUUAAUAAUAUUAGAAGGUGGGUGGAGUGAAGGAUGUUUGGAUCACGAGAGAUUUGCUCUUUUGCGACUGCAACAUUUCUUCAAUGAUCCUUAUAAUUAUCUUCCCAACCGGGUAGAUGAUGAGGGAGCUACUGAUUGUUGUCAGUGGGAAAGGGUUGAGUGCAGCAACACCACAGGCCGACUGAUAGCGCUAGACCUUUUUGGCACGUAUUGGCGAGAGUACAGCUGGUAUCUGAAUGCUUCUUUGUUUACUCCCUUCCAACAACUUGAGUCACUUGAUUUACAUGGCAACAACAUAGCCGGUUUUGUUGAGAAUGAAGGUGCUUCGUCUAAUUCAAUUAAAUUACAUUUCGCUCUCCUAAUUUAAGUCGAAUAUCAAGACUGAGCAGCUAUAUGCAUAUUCAUUCAAUUGACAAUUUUUACAUAUUUUUUAAAAUGUUUAAUUUUGAAAUUACACCAAACAUCAUAUGUGAUCUUUGUUUUGAUUUUACUUGCAGGUCUAGAAAGAUUGAGCAACUUGAAGAGGCUUGAUUUAAGUUAUAACUUGUUCAACAAUAGCAUCUUAUCAUCUGUGGCUCGUCUUUCAUCAUUAGCAUUAUUAUAUUUAAGUGGUAAUAGGUUGGAGGGAAGUAUUGAUGUUAAAGGUACAUAAUAAAAACGUCAUCUCUUCUCCCAACUCUUUCAUUAACAUGCUAAAAUAAGAUUCAAGGCUUUGAAUUCAAUUUUUUUUAUGAGUAAAUAUUAGAAAAAUAGUUUUAAGCAAUUCAUAAAUACAAUUUUCAAUGUUUCUCAUAAUUUCAUCUUGUACUUUUGUAUGUCUUGACUUUAAGAUUAAAAAAAAAAUUACUCUAACUGUGAAGCAAAUACCCCAUGACUAAUUUACAAUUUUGUCCAGUUAAAAAUGAUAAAAUUUAUCAUUUGUUCAUAUUGAUUUAUUAACUCUAUUUUAAGUCUUAAGUCUUGGCGUCUUGGCAUGUUUGCAGAAUUUGAUUCCUUGAGCAACUUAGAGGAGUUGGACAUGAGCUACAAUGAAAUAGACAAUUUCGAGGUUCCUCAAGGUACACAAUUAAAAUAUUAUUUAAUUACAUUAAUUUAUUUCGUUUGAUUAGGGAAGGCCCAAAAUGUACAAAAACAUAAUUAAAAAAAAUAAAGAAACAGAGAAUUCAUAUUAUUUCAAAAAACAAAACGUAAUACUAUUAUUUCAAAAAAAGAAUGUAAUAAAGAUUUGAUUUCGGUUCUUUAAUCUUUACAGCAAUUGAAAAACGAUGUUGCUCUUUUCCUAAAGCAUAAAAUAUGAAAUGAGUCAUAAUUGAAUUAGUCAUUUAUUUUGUUUAGAUCUAAAUUUAGACAAUAAAUUUUGAUUUUUUUUUCAAUCAUUUCCUAAUUAUUAUUAUUAAACAGGUUACAGAGGUUUGAGGAAGCUGAAAAGCCUGCAUCUAUCGGGAGUUGGAAUUAGAGAUGGAAGCAAGUUGUUACAGUCAAUGGGAUCAUUCCCAUCCCUCAACACUCUUCACCUUUCGUUUACUAGUUUUACGAAAACAGUGACAACUACUCGAGGUAAGUAAAAGGUACGGAUGUAGCCAAAUUUAUAAAUUAAUUGUUAAUUAAUUAAUUUUUCCGUAUUAUUAAUUAAGCUAAAUUUGUUGCUCCUUCCUUCUAAAUCUAAACAGAGUUGCACAGUUUCACCAACUUGGAAUAUUUGAGAUUGGACGACUCCUCUCUCCAUAUAAGCCUUCUGCAAAGCAUUGCAUCAAUAUUCCCUUCAUUAAAAAAUCUGUCGAUGUUGGGUGGUAAAGUCAACGGUCUCCUACGCGGUCAAGGUAAAAGAAAAGCUUUGAUUGUGAACUCACUCAAUGGUGUCCUACGUGUUCAACAUUUUUAUUUAUUUAUUUUAUUGUUUAAUGUUUCUGCUAGGUUUUCCUCAUUUCAAGAGUUUGGAAUAUUUGAAUAUGGAUUUCACGCGCAUUGCACUCAACACCAACUUUCUUCAAAUCAUCAGUGAAUCGAUGCCUUCUCUUAAGUACUUAUCACUGUCAGAUUCAUAACAGUAAAAAUUUGUUGCUCAACAUGAUGUGUAUUUUUUUUCAAGGCACUUUGGAAACACAAUUGUUACUACAGAUAUUCUUCUCAACUUGGAGAUAAAUACAAAUAUUAAAAUGCAUAUGAUCACACAUAUUACUUCGAGUUUAGUAAGAUUUCAUUAAAAGAAGCAAUCAAACCACUUAUCAAUUGUCGCAGUCGUUCUAUAAACUAAAAUAGCAAUAUAAUACAAGAAAAAGAACAUAUAGAUACUUGGCAAGAGUUCAUUAAGAAGUCGCAUCACAUUCGGGUGAGGAGUUUGCUUCUGAUAUCUUGCUAGCUGGGGCUUUUUCUUGUCUUUCUACGUAUGCCGAGGGAAACCAACCAGCUUGGCCCUUGCAUUCACCUUCCGACCAUCCAAUAGGAGCAACCUUGAGAAGUUAUAACUAAAACGGUGAAUUAAACAAAAGUUGACCGUUCAAAGACCUAAGGGGAAAACUAAUUCUUUUACGUAGAAUGAGUGAACUAGUUGUGAUCACUGAAAUAACAACAUAACUAUGGAAGCAUAACUAGAUAUAAAUUCACAUGGCUAUAAGGGUAAACUGAGUGGUUUAGAACUGAGCUAGCAACCCUACUAUAUUCUGAUUUGCACUUCAAUGUAAAAGGGAAUAUAUGGUAGGAAGAAAGAAAACCAACCAUCAUUUGUUAACUCAUUGCUUUUCAAUCAAAAUUUUAAGAACAAAAUGCCAUGUGCUUUGAACAUCAAAUAAGUAUAAGCAUUAGUUCUAAAUUCCACAUAUCAUAAGUUGUUAGAAGGAUAAGUUAAUAGCAGAGUAGAAAAAUCUAUGUGUUGGUAUUUAGAGGGGAAAGUACCUGGCGAACCACAAUAUAAUCAUCAAUUGAAAGACUUAGCUUUCCAUUUGCUUGAGCAUCAAAUGGAUGUAUAACCUGCAAGAUAAUGGGAUAAAUAGAACUUUAAAAAAGCAUAACAAAAGCAGCAACAGUAGCAGCAACGUUCAUUGUAACCACUAUGAUCAUGGCCAACAAAGAUAUAUUAGAAACAAAAUUCCAUUUUUACUACGACAUUAAUAUGUACUAUACGAUAUCAUGACGAUUGGGUUACUAAGAGCUAUCAAAGUCUAAUAAGUUCUGUAUAACUUUAUGUAGUUAUUUAAAUUAUGGAUCAGAUUUUAAAUUUGAAAUUUUGACUGCUCUCCACAAAACAUGGCCUAUGCACAAGAAAGUCAUAGAUAAUGAGGAUUACAAGUGUCCGACAUCUUUUGAGUGAUGGAUUUAACAUGAGAGCUUAUGGUCAGUCAAUUUCCUCUGCCUAGCAAUAUAAGCUUUCUCGGCCAGAUUUAUCAUCAAAUACAUAGAUUGCCCCCAAGUCACAUCCAUAUAAACAUAGUUUUUCUAGGUAAACCAAGUAAGGAGUAUCAUAAUUCAGACAUAAUCAUAAAAAGGCCCAUCUAACUUAAGAGAAAAUCUCAAAAAUGGCUACAUCGUCUUGUAUCUAUAAGCAAUAUCAAGACUUUACAUCACCUGCUACAUCGUGAGUGGCUACACAACUUUCAAUGGUUUGUCUUUCUUUGGCAUGCCUAACUCAGCUUUGAUGUUGCUGAGAUAUUGAUAGUAGAGACACAUGAUACUUCUAGCUCAUGCAUUCUAUCUAACUCAUCCAACAACUAUCUCUUUUUUAAUUCAUUAGUGUUUGCUAAACCUCAUGCUUAAAAGUCCUGUUCUCCUAAACAAAGUUUCCUAAGAAUGACUUCCUUAGCACCACAUUUGGACACUUUUAGAGCAAUUUUAUUUUGGGGAAAAGAAUUUUCAAGGUGUUAACUAAUAAAUUUUAAAAAAUAAUUACAAUUUUUCCUACGAUCAUAUGACAAUUUAUCUGGGAUGAAAGGAUACAGAUAGACAUCUUCCACUUUCAAGACUAAUCACUACUUCCGUAGAUGUUGUGCAAUAAUACAAAUACUUGAUCAGAUGGUAGUGAUGGUAGAAAAAAAUUUUAUUGCUCCAAAAUUAAAAUAAGAAUGCAAUAUGUUAAGCAAAAGGCUGUGCAACAUCAAAUUAAUUGAUAAGUUUGUAAUUCAGUAAAUUAACAACUUUCAUGGUAAAAUACAACAAAUUUCUUUUGAAAAAAAUAAAUCUUAAAAGACAGCAUUCAAUUUUGUGCGCAUCUUAUUUCUUAAGAUUUUUCAGGAGGAGGGCAAUAGAGGGACUUUCACCUAUGCAAGAGAGCAGAAGCCUUACUUUCCCUAUAAAGUAGACGUCAUUCUGAUUAAUAUGCGUUUGCAAAUCAGCUCCGUUUGAAUCAGUAUUCUGAUAGACACACGAGGCAUUGACAUCCAUUUCCAAAGUCACAUGUUGCGAGGAGGACUCAUUUGAUUGCUCCUAUACGAUCAUCUAAUUCAAGUAGCAAGGGUUGGAAGAGAAUAAAAAGUCACAAUUAUUCUUUUGCAUAAGUGAGACGAAAAUGAUAAAUGCAAUAUUAUCAACAGUAAACAAGAAGAAGAUGAUAGUGGAAGUAUGCGGUGUGGCUGCCAGGUACUUGGAUUGUAUUGUCGGGUAAGGUAAUAGUAGAGAAUUAUAAGUUUGAACAGAGCAUGUUGGACUUUUGUUGACCAAAUUCAAAAGCCCAAUGGCACGGCCCGGAAGCUUUUGAAUAGAAAAACUUGCUAGAAAGCAUCAGUUUAAAUCACUACUUAAACGCUUGCUUUAACUGCACCACUUUGUACUGUUUUAUGUGUGUAGCGGUUGUGCGGUUGUAAUUCACGGCUGACGCUACGUGUUUGUUAGGUCAAAACUAUGAUACAAUAGUGGUACGGUACCAUUGUUACUUUCAAUCAUUGGAUCUAUAGUUGUACAGUUGCAUUAAUAAGAUCUAAUGGCUGAAAACAACAGUGGUACCAUACCACUGUUGCAACAUAACAGGACCCUAUUAGUUAUUUCAAAGGGAUAAAUAAGAUUGCUUACAACAAACCUACUAAUUUUAUAAAAUUCAAGUAAUAUAGAAUAAAAUAAAAAAAUAAAUACAAAAUUGACUUUUAUUUUUUAUGGUUGACUAUAUUUUGUGUUCUCUUCGGGCACUACUACAAUUCUUCCCUAUAUAUCAAUUACACCACAUACUAUCGACACAAGAAAUGAAAUCUAAUAUCACCCGUUUAGUUAAAAAAUCACUCAUGAAAAAAUUUUACCAUUUUGAUUUGAGGAUCCAUAUUUUAAACUGCAAGCUAAUGUUCAUCAAGAAUUACUGAUGGCCGUUGAGUAGAAAAAUUAUUUUUGGACAAAUUAUUUUUGUUGAUAGAAGAAUUUCUUUAGGGACUACUAAAUUAUUAAUAAAAAUGUCGAACACACCCACAUAUCAUCGACACAAUUGAUUUUGAGGAUCCAUGCUUUGAACUGCAGCCUAAUGUUCAUCAAGAAUAGAGUAUGGCUUGUGAGUAGAAAAUUUUCUUAUUUUGGCCCGAAAUAAAAAGAAAUUAAAUUGGAUGAGAAUCUGCCACUUUCUCAUGAAGAAAGGCAUACGGAGCAUACCAUGGUACCAUACAAAAUAAGGAGCCUCUAUUCUUUGGUUUUUCAAACUCUAAAGGGGCCAAUAUUGCCAAAUUCCCCCUUGAAAAUUCUGAUUACGACAUUAUUCAUCGCUUGAUGCAAUCAAAGUAGUGACAAAGUUAGGAAAAAUAUGAGUCCUAAGUAAUUGCUAGGCAGGGUUCCUGAGAGCAAAAUUGUCCUAAGCAUUAUAUGCAUACAUGGUGCGGUACAUAGAGCACGUUGAAUUCCCCACUAUAACACAAACCCAGAAAGACAAGUAAUAACUCAACUGAUAUAAAGACAAAAAGAAGAUAAAAUGAUAUAGAAAAAAGAAUUCAAAGAGACAGCAACAUACGAUAGACUGAAGCCACUUGAUCUGCUCAUUGAUUGCAGCCUUAAACUUGCAAAUAGUUACUGUACGCUAGUGCUCUAAGAAGUGAAAAUGAUGCCAGCCCUGAUUCCCUUUUGACUUCCAUUUACUGUCAAACAUUCUAGUAAUACAAAAAAUUGUUUAGAUAUCUUGCUAUAAAUAUAGCCGUUUGACUGUCAUAAUAAAGUCACAAAUAACCAUUCAUAUUGAUCUACUGUCACACAGCAUGCUUUAUGCAUACAACAGCUGUAUGUAUACCAACUCCUAACCUUAUCAAUACAUUUGGCAAAAACUUAAGAAGAAAGCUAUUUCUCCAUCUCUUUUUUGAAAUUUCACAAUAACCAGCACAAUGUGAAAGCUAUGUUCUAACCUUAUGAUAAAUGCUCCAGACUCCAAAAGGAUUUUAUAUAUGAGAGUUUGUUGCAGCAGAUAUAUUGACUUAUCAAGUAUGAAUCAUUGUCUGGAUGAACUAUCUUUAGAUAAAAGAAUAUUAGAACCACUGUAGAAUAUCUUUACGCUGCUGGUUCUAACAGGAAUCUGCAUGUGGCAACAAUUGCUAGAUCCACAAUUCCCCAACUUGAAAUACAUAGUUGCACACCAUGAGAUAGUGCUACAAUCUACUGAGAUCUAACUUAUAUGGUACUUUAAGCUACUAAUGUUUGCAUAUUUCUACAUGUUAAAUUAACACUAUCAUCUAUAAUCACUCCAAAACAACAAAUGAUAAGCAGCUUUUGGCCACUUAUUACUAGCAUCCACAAUUAUAAAUAAGAGAUCAUGGGUUUACUUGUUGCACCUACUUAAUUAUCUGCAGUUGACAUCCUGAAGCAAGGUUUAAAUAGUGACUGCUUAGAACCCUUGUAGUUGGAUCUUGACCUCUCCCAUUGUAGCCAAGAUUGGUUACUCUGGUAAUGAAUCAACACUCUCCUGCUCAGGGCCAUGAAGAUCUGAAAGCUCAGCACUAGUGGAGAACUUCAUCAAUCUCUUCUUCUCAGCACACUUGAGACAAGGCUGCAUUACGAGACCAAUCACCACAGCACCAACGCUUAAAACUGCAACUUUUAAAGAAGAAAGAGCCAACACAACACAACACAACACAACACAAAUCAAUAUGGUUGGAGGAAUACACAUGAUAAUGGCUCCAACAGUGCCAGUGGGUAUCUUGUAGGGACGAGAUGCAGCAGGAUAUUGUAUCCUUAACCAUACAAAUGCUAUGAACUCCAUAACCAUUCCAAAACAGUACAGGAAGUUCUCUGCAGCUACAAUAUCUCGAAAGCUCAGCCAUGAUAGCAAAACCACACCAGAUGCUGAGAAUAUGAUUCCAAUCAAAGGAGUCCCAUAACAAGACCUCUUAGCAAAAAACUCAGGUAGCAUUCCACACUCAGCCAUCCCCAAAAGUUGGAAAGAGUUGCUGCUCAUCUCAGCCACAAACAUGCCCAUAUUGGACAUUGCUGCAGCCCCCUGGAUGCAUUAUCUCAACCAAACUCCUCCAAGCACUUUAGCGAUAUCUGAAAAGUAACCAUCGGUCCACAAGUCGCGAUCUAAUGGAAUAGCUCCAGUUCCAACUAGAAGGGGAAAGAAAUACCCAAAAAUGACCAAGAUCAAAGCAUAAAACAAAGCCUUUGGAAGAGUCUUCUUGGGGUUAUCCACCUCUCCAGCUAGUGUACUUAUUGAGUCCCAGUAGUUGAGAUUCCAAAACAGGGUGUUCAAAUACAAAUUCCAAUCCACUUCACCUAAAUUUACUACAAGCCAUCUUGAAGGCUCUAACUUGGGAAGGGACACAAGUCCCAUAACCACAAAAGGAAGGAGUGAGAAAAUCCCUAAAAGAACAGCAGCCCAUCCCACAAUGGUUAGACCCCUAUAGUUCAUGAAAGUGAGAACAAAAGUCAAAGCUAACGCCGCAAAGGCUCUAGGUAACCCAUUGCCCAACGCAGGGAUACCAGACUUCAAGUAGUCAAGAAACAGAACUGGGUAUAAAGCAUUAUCAAUAACCCCACUUAGCCAUUUCAUCCAACCUUGCUGAAAACCCCAAUAUGGGCCUAAGGCAGAUGAAACCCAAACCACAUAACCACAAUUUUCAGAAAACACGGUACCCAUCUCGGCAGUAAUUAAAGCUUCAGGGACACUCCAUAUAAUCGGAAACACCAAGAAACCAAGAAGUGCUAAAAGAGGACCAGCUGCCUUUACACUAUCCUCAACACCAAACGGCCCCCCAGAAACCUCAUAGAAUAUAAGGAAAAUAAGUGGCAAGAUUGAUACUUUUUUAGUGCCAUGGACUCUAGGAGAAGAUGGUUGGUCAUUGAUAUUAACAUAUUCAACAGCAUCAGACUGCCCCAUUUCUACUGAAACUUGCCUAUUUACAGUGUUCCUCAAUUUCUGCAUCAAGUUUUAGCAUAACUAUCAAAAGGGUAUCCGCAUGUAAAUUAUGAAACAAAAUGAGCAUUUACUUUUUAAAAAAAAAUCAAAAAACAGAAAUGGAUUUCGCAGAGCACAUGAAUUUAAGUUCAACAUUAAACAGGCGCUUAAGAAAACAAAAGGGUCUGUUCGUAAAGCCAUCAGAUUGCAAGAUUGAACAACAUUAACGGAAUCAAUAGAAUAGAUGUAAAGAGAUCUGAAAAGAAAAUAAAAUAAAAGAUGAAGAGAGAUAAAACGAACCAUCAAAUAAGUGCAUGCAGAGCAGAGAGGCAGAUACUAGAGAAGCUCCGUCAUGUUAGAGAGAGCCUAAAUCAAUCAGAGCUCACUGAGUUUCUUUUCAACCGACCGGCAAAUUUGGAGUGGCACAAAAUAAUAUUUUUGCUUUUAAUUUUUGGAACACUUUUGAAUGGAAUUUUUUGUUUUUAAAAAAGGUAAGGGAGAUUAGGGCAUCAUAAAAAGAUUUUUUAAAUAAAAUUUUAUUAAUUAUUUAAAAAAUUAUUUUAAUAUUUAAUAUUUUAAAAAAUAUUUUAAUUAAAAUUUUUUAAAUAAAAAAUAAUUUUUUUUAAAUUUAGAGAAUUAAUUUUUUUUAUAAUUUUUUUUAUUAUUUUUUAUUGAAAAAAAAGAGAUAAAUACUUUAAUUGUUAUUAUUUUUUUUAAAUAAUUAUUUGAUUAAAAUAAUAUUAAAUUAUUUUUAUUUGAAGAGUUUUUUAAAAAAUAUCAUAUUUUUUUAUCCUUCUAUUUGCCACAUGAGUAAACAAAUAGAUAUUUAAAGAAUAAAAUUUAUAUAAUCUUUUGGAAAUGCUCUUAAUAUUUAUUUAGUCUUAUAUUUUUUAAAAUAUUUUUAAAAUAUUUUUGUCGUUAAAAUAUUGAUAUUAUUAUUAUUUUUUUAUAUUUUUUAAUUUAUUUUUAUAAUAUUAUUUUUAUAAUAAUUUUUUAUUUAGAUAUUAAUAAAAAAAUAAUUUAAUUAAUAAUUUAAUCCUAAAAUAAAUAAACACGUGUUUGGUUUUGGGCCUUUUCUUUUGUUCGUUUAAUAUCAUCUGGCUCGCUGAUUUGUGACUAAUUAUCAACGGAAUCCCGUUGGUUUCUAAAUUGAAAUAAUAGAAGGUCAUGAGACUAUUUACUCCAUUUAGCACUGCAGACUUAGAGUAUAUUGAAAAAGCUUUGUCAAAUAGUAGUAAUAGGGGCAUAAGAAAUAAAUUAUAGCUAUCACAAAUUCGUUAGGAGAAUUUCAAUUUUUUCCGUCAAUAAUGGCUAUGAAGCAAAAUUACCUUAGGUUAUAUUGCAACACUAAUACUUCAAAUCCUGAUAAGGGGUGAUAAAAUUAAGGUUGUUCAAAUCCCUUAAAAUGCUCCUUUGUUUAGUUUAAAAGUUGUUCUUAAAAUGGAAACGAUGACUUAUUUAGAAGAAAUGGUAAAUUUAUAAUUUGUAAUAUUAUUUGCACAAACAAUAAUAAUGAAGUGUUAAUUACCACUUAACAUUUUUAAUUAAUUUCUAAAUUUAAAACAAAUAUGAAAGUUGAUUGCUUCGAAGGUUGGAUCGACAAAUUGACAUUUGAAAAGAGAAGUAGGGAAUGUAUAUUCUGAUGAAAGGGACAAGAUUAAGUAAGGGGACAAUAUUCUCUAUUGGACCUACAAAUGGGGGGAAAGAUAUAUAUAUAUAUAUAUAUAUUCUUAUUUGUGGAUUGGGCAUCACGUGUAACUAAUAUAAAAGGAGAAAAUUUAGCAUGGUUUUAACAUAUAUAAGAAGAGAAAAUUAAUUGUUCAAACAAAUUAGAAGCAAAUUCUUUCAUAUCUUUCUUUAUUUUUCCGCUUACUUUCUUAGCAUCCAAACAAGUUAAAGUUAAAACGCUGUUGAGCCAACAAUAUGCAGGCAUCAAUAAGCAUAGUAGUUUUGUAUAUGUAUUCUAUACGAUAUUCUGGGGAUGUCAAUUGUAGAACAUUUUGUGGUAACUUUUUUACAUUAAUUAAUGUUUGAAGAACUUGUUAAAAAGAAAAUGGUAAUUUUAUUAUUUUGAAAGACAAAAAAAAAUAAAAAUAAAAGAGUGAAAGUGGCGUUACCUCAUGGUCAUUAGAGACUUGUUGCAAUGAUAGCUCAAAAUUAAAAAUUUGUGAAGAAUUAGUAGACAACGACGAUACUAUAUUUAUAUAGUCACCAACAUGUUGAUUUUUGUUUAAUGUUUGAUCGAUAGAAACUUUUGUCGUCGUCGUCGCCGUUGUUGAAUUCAUGCUUAGAAUACCACAAGAGAAGAAGAAGGGAUGAAAGGGAAGAGAAGAAGAGAGAAGUAGUGGAUAGCAAAUAUGAUAUGCUAGCUACACACAGGCCUUAGAGAGUUUUUUUUUUAAUAUUUAUUGUAUUUUUGUUUUUGUUAUUGGUUUGUCAUAUGCUUCCAAGGCAGCAAUGUGUUACAUCAUAAAUUGCACCUUUUAGGGGAGGUGGUAAAAAACAUGAGAGGAAUGCAUUCUAGCGCAUACAUGCAGAAAGAGUUUCCAAAUUUUCAAAAGUUUGUUAUUUCUUCCACCUUUUUUUUGCUUAAAAUAAAUUUUAAUUGUAUUUUGCAUUAACUUAGAGAAAAAAAAAAUCAAGUUCUAUGCAUAAACGCAUACAUUGAUUAGAAAAUGAGUUUUAUGGACACAAAGGGACAAUAUAAGAGAUUCUUUUUGUUUAUUAGAAGUAACAUAACUAGUUAGUGUAACAUGUAAUUAUAAGCUACCAAGAAUUUGCACUGAUGAUAAUUAACGGUAUAGAUUUUGAGCUAUGAAUGUCUUGUGGCUAGUUUAAUUGGAUUUUCGAGUUUUCAGCAGAUCUAUUUUAAUGAUUAUUAAAUUAUUUUCACUUCUUAUGCUUUAAUAAAAAAAAUUCAAUAUUUUUUGCUGUAUUCUAUAUUUUAAAACUUAAUUUUUAAUUCUUUAUAUUGCAAACCAAACUGAGUCAAAUAGAGUAUGCUCGAAUUUUUCCAAUGCCUUCAAGAAGAAUUCAUUUUAUUUUUAUAUAUUAAUUUAACACAUGUAAACCGGGCCGUUGGAUUGCACAUAAAGCAAAUGAUCAAACCGUUACAAGACCGGCCCAGGCCCACCGACUCUAUUUUCUUUCAUUUGACCAUUAAAAAGCUUUUGGCCACCCCCACCAAAUAAAUAAGCUCUUGUUCUCUUUUGUUUCCCUCUCAAAGGAAAAUAUCUGAUCACCGGAUAAUGAUUCCGGUGACACAAAAGAUCGAAACACCCCCCUAAAUUCCCUAAAUUUACAAUAAUACCCCACCAUGGAUGAUUCCGUUGAAAUGCCGCCUUACGAUGAAAGGCCUAAAAAGGGUUUUAACUUCACCUCCAUGCGCUUGAUCUUAACCCUCGUUUUCCCAAUUUUAACUUGCUUUUUGUUGGCAUUUUUUAUUGGAAUCGUAGCUGUUUUAUUCGGCGAAUCAUCAGUUUCCAGUUCCAUUUUUGUCCCUUCCUAGUGCAAAAUAGUGUCCAGCAGUAAGCUUUUUUUAACAUUUUCAAUUUUUUUUCCAUUUAUGAAGUCCAAAAAUUUUAUUAAUUUUGAUUUUUUUGAAUGAUUUUGCAGGUGUUGAUAUAAGGUCAUCAAAAGUUCGUGAACUUGGGGUGUUGAAUUAUAAGGCGAAGCGUGCGUUUUAUCCAUUUGAAGCAAUUAAAUUUCGCUGUCGGUAUGAUUACUAUUGGGCUUCUAUCUUCAAGGUAUUCAUACAUUUUCCCCUGUACUAUAAGCUUCUUAGUGGCGGUCUUGUGAGCGGAAGUGAGCGGUGUGGCUGACAGCUUCUUGAAAAUUAUGAACAGAGCAUGUUAGACUUUUGUUGACCAAAUUCAAAAGCCAAAUGGCACAACUCAGAAGCUUUUGAAUUGAAUAACUUACUAGAAAGCUCCAAUUUUUUGUUGGCUACAGUAAAAGGAUGUUGUUUUAUUCUUCUUAUACUUUACGCUUGCAUCAGCUUAAAUCACUUCUUAAACGCUUUGCUUUAACUCUACCGCUUCAUACUGUUCUAUAUAUGUAUCGGGUAUGCGGUUGUAGUUCAUUGCUGAGACUACGUGUUUGUUUGACGUGGUAGUUACGUUCCGAGUCUGUUAAACAUUCGGUGAUUAAAGUAUUAUCAGUUAUUUCAAAGGGGCAAAUAAGAUUAGCUACAACACACCCACUAGUUUUAUAAAAUUCGAAUAAGAUGGAAUAAAAUAAAAAAAUAAAUAAGUAAAUUGACUUUUAAUUUUUGUGGUUGAAUAUAUUUUGUAUUCUCUCAGGGCACUGCUGUAAUUGUUCCUUAAAUGUCAGUCACACCCACAUGUUACAGACACAAGAAAUGAAAUCUAAGAUCACCUGUUUAAUUAAAGAAUCACUCAUAAAAAAAUUUUGCCAUUUUGAUUUGAGGAUCCACAUUUUGAACAACCAACUUAUCUUCAUCAAGAACAGAUCAUGGCCUUUGAGUAGAAAAAUUAUUUUUGGACAAACUAUUUUUAUUAAUAGAAGAAUUUCUCAAGGGACUAUUAAAAUUACUAAUGAAAAUGUCAGACACACCCACGUACCAUCGACACAAUUGACUAUGAGGAUCCAUGUUUUGAACUGCCACUUAAUGUUAAUCAAGAACAGAGUAUGGCUUGUGAGAAGAAAAAUUUCUGAUUUUGGCCUGGAACAAAAAGAAAUUAAAUUGAAGGAGAAUCUGGUACUUUCUCAUUAAGAAAGGCAGACGGGGCAUACUAUGGUACCAUACAAUACGAAAAGUCUCCGUUCUCUGGCUUUUAAACUCUAAAGGGGGCAAUAUUCCCCAAUUACCCCGUGAAAAUUCUGAUUACGACAUUAUUUAUUGCUUGAUACAUAAGUAAAAGUAGUGACAAAAUUAGGAAAAAUAUGACUCAUAAGUAAUUACUAGGCAGGGCUCUUGAGAGCAACAUUGUACUAGGCUUUAUAUGCAUACAUGGUGUGGUACAUAGAGCACGUUGAAUUCCACACUAUAACAUAAACCCAGAAAGACAAGUAAUAUCUCAACAUAUAUAAAGACAAAAAGAAGAUAAAAUGAUACAGAACAAAGAAUUUCUAAGAGACAGCAACAUACAAUAGACUGAAGCCAGUUGAUCUGCUCAUUGAUUGCAGCCUUAAACUUGCAAAUGUUUACUGUAGCCUGGUGCUCAAAGAAGUGAAAAUGAUGCAAACCUUGAUUCCCUAUUUACUUCCAUUUACCAUCAAACAUUCUAUUCAUAAGAAAAAAAAUGUUUAGAUAUCUUGCCGUAAAUAUAGCCAUUUGAUUGUUUUAAUAAAGCCACACACAACCAUUCAUAUUGAUCCACAUUGCCACAUAGCCUGAUUUAAGCAUACAACAGCUGAAUGUAUACCUGACUCCUAACCUUAUCAAUACAUUGGCGACAACUUAAGAAGAAAACUAUUUCUCCAUCUCUUUUUUGAAAUUUCACAAUAAAACAGCACAAUGUAAGAGCUGCAAUGAAAAUGGACCGUCUGGAACUAUGGCGGAAGCUUCAACUAGUGUAGUGAUUUGACCUUCUUAUUAACCUGGCAAGAUCAAACACUGCCCUUGAUCUUGAACAGAUCAAUACGAUACGCACAACUUAUGAUUGAAUCCAGAAACCAUCAAAUCUUUAGCAAGAAUAAUUAAUCAGAAUCAAGAAACAAGUUUAAUGAAUAUAAACCUAUAAUUGGAACAAACACAGCCAAAGAACCCAAGAAUGACACAACGUACACCAAGGGAGAAGCUUUCCAGUGAGAUUAUAUUGAUGAUCAAAGAAGAAUCUUUUUACAAAGGUAACAAAAGUGAUUUCAGAGAAUAAGCUAUGACCCUCUCUCUUUUCAAUCUCUGUCUAGUUUGUUAACAGUGAUGACCCCAAUCUGCUUCGUUAGCCAGGUUCAUAACUGCGUCAGUGACAAACUAGCAAACCUAGAUUGAGCAGACUAACGACACGUGCAUAACGGCUUUAACGAACUUGGUUAAAGAACUGCUCACAUGUUCGUCACGCGUGUUGCUUAAAUGAUAGCCAAAACGACUUCAACCAGAUGCCGUUUUGAAGCUUAUGAAUUAUAAGUGAAAACACGUGCUUGUCUCGUGACAUUUAAAUGCAACAACAAGCCCAAAACACUGUCGUUUCACUAUGUUGAGUUUGCCAUCUCCAAGCUUCACAACUAGCAGCGAACAAGAUGAUAAUUUAAUUGACAUGGAGAGCUUUUAUAUCACUUUUACAACAUUCUAUAUAAUUGUGAUAUUGGGAAUCGUCGGUGCUGUAUAUGUGAACCCUCAUUGGCGACACUGGUGGUUUUAUCUUUGUUAAAAUAUGGAUGACUUUUCGUUACUAUUUUGUUGUACAUAACCUUAUUCCUACGAGAUUUAAUCAUUGAAAUUAUGUUAGUUUCAUUAGAAGGCUGAGUGGUUAGUGCUGCUACCCUCCAAUUUGGAGGGCAGUAGUUUGAACCCCCACAAGCGCAAUGUGGGGGUAUUUCCUUCUUUAAUUACAUUGUAUAAUUGAGUAAAGGUAAUUUUCUCUCUUACCCAAGUGUGAGUGGAGUAGACAUCCCUCGAUGGUUAAAACCUGGGCAGAGCUUCAUAAGUAUUGAUGUAAGUUGGUCCCAGUAAUAGUCUGAUUUGUAAAUAUCAGUUAUAGUCUCAUGUUUCCUUCCUUAAUUAUAUUGUAUAAUUAAGUAAAGGUACUCUUUUCCCCUACCCAAGUGUGAGUGGAGUAAAUAUCCAUCGAAUAUUAGUGAGGGUUAAAAUCUGGGCAAAGCUCCAUAAGUAUUGAUGUAAGUUGAUCCCAGUAAUAGUAUGAUUUGUAAAUAUCAGUUAUAGUCUCAUGUAAUAUGAGUUGUAAUUUGAGCAAUAGUUUCAUGUAAUUAAAAAAAAUGUUACUUUCAUUACAUUUUUCUUCGUUAAAAUUCUCAAGUAUCAAUUAUGUUUGCUUAAGAAAUAAAAUUUUGUCAUUAAAGUUGUAGUAGUAUUUCUAAGCAUCUCACAUUUUCAAUGAUUUUUCAUAAAUCAAUUAAUAUGUCGUACCAAUAUCAUGUUUAGUUUUUCAGACUAAAUAAUCAAGAAAGCAAACAAAUUCACAGUUUAGAGGGGUAAACUAGCUUUUAGAUUUUAGAACUAGGCUAGCUACCUCACCAAAUUCCAGUUUGUACAGUGAACUACAAGAUUGAGAAAAUAAUGUAUUUAUAGUUUAAUUGAAUCAUGACAAACAAUGUAGUCAUAGCUCAAUCGGACAUGAUCACGGAGAGGCAUAUUCUUUUCAAGUUAAUUUGAUCCAUUUAUAAGAAAUGAAGUGGAUCGAAGUUAAAAGUUCAAAUAAAAAAUCCUUGUUCUUGAGUUUUACGACGUCGUUACUCCUUCAAGAGGCUGAUUAUGCAAGUGAAUGGAGAAACAUAAUGCAUUUAUAAUUUUUUUAAUAAUUAUAAAAAUAAUUAACCAUAACAAAUCCCUUGCGUAAAUAAUAAUCAUUAUUUAAAAGGUCCAAAGAUGGUUAGUGCACAAUCAAAUUUUAAGCCCCUACCUCCUCGGCCCAAGAUUCAAACUUAGAUGAUAAGCCAAAUAAAAUUAUUUGAAAAUCAUUCAAUCAAGUUCCGGGGCAAAAAUACAAGAUCCUUAUUUACAUGAUAUAUAUGAAUUAAUGUAAUUUAUUUGAAUUGUCCAAAUUCAUUAGAGAUAAAACUAUAAAAUAUACCAAAAAAGUUAGAAGGAAGGCUGUGUUGGGAUAUUUUACAAACUAUAGGGAUCUGGUGAGAUUUUGAGCCAAACUGUAGGGAGUUGAAGGCAUUUGCCCAAUAUGUUUAGACGUACACUAACCGUUAUUUGAUCUUGUUGUUGGUCCCGGAUGAGCUGUAGUCUUAUUUUAAUUUUAUUUAAACUCACCAUAAGAUUCGCGGAGCUCCUAACUAACUUAAAUGACUCUGCAGAGCAUGUCAACACAUACCAUGUUUAACCGUUUUAUUUGUAGAAGAAUUUAUGAUUUCCCAUUAGCAUUAUUAUUGAAGUGGGGCAGGUCAAAUCUCAAUUGCUUGAAAAUUUUAUUUAUUAUUAUUAGUCUUGAAGUGGGGUGGGUAACGGUUCGCUCAAUUCGAGGGGAAUCAAAUAUAUCAUCCAAGGUAGAAUUGUGGAAAAUUAAAGCAAAAUAAGAAAUAUGGAAAGACAAGAAGAAAGUUAAGGCAUGAAAGACAUAUACAGUUGAAAUUGAUAAUCAUGUUUCUAUUUUGUUAACUAAUCAAAUGGAAAGCUGAACUGUAAACAAACAUUAAAACGUGUGGACCAAGCUCGCUGUCCUACAAGUCUACAAUAAUAAUUGAGUACUUUGAUUCAUCCUUCUAUGAAUUUCUACCCAUAUUGACUCCACCGAAAUUUCCACAAAAUAAAAUUAAAAAAAAAAACUGAAUUUCCACAAAAUACAAAACCCGUUGAACUUAAUUUUUGGUCAUGUGAACUAAGAUGUAAAUUAUAAAAAAAAGUAUAAAAUUAAAAAAGAUGAGAUUUCUAAAAUGUGUGGAAAGUGAUUCAUGAUUCACUGAAAUUACUUACCCCAGAUAUAAAGGUAAACCUAUCUAAUUUCAUUAAAAAUAGUUGAAAAACAUUAACUAAUAGAAAGCUACGGAAAUUAACCCCCCACAAAAAUGACUUUUUAUAGAAGAAUUUAUGUUUUUUAAAAUAUGUUAUCAAAGUGUAUUUGAUCAAAUCUGAAUUGCUUAGUAUGGUUAGGAUUUUGUGAACAUCACUAAAAAGUGAAAACUAUGAAUGAUAGGGGUGAUGCUUGCAAUAUGAAUAAAUAAUGGACUGAUUCAAUUUCUGAUUACAUUUAUAUAUUAUUGAUUAUUUAUGAAUUUUCAGACUUGUUAUGAUGUAUAACUAUGUGAUUUUGAAACUUGAAACCGUGGCAAACAUUGAAAGGAAUUAUAACUUGAAAGCAUGACUCACGGGGUAUGUCAUGAUUCACGUGCACAAAAAAGGUAGAAUUGUGGAAAUUUACAACCCAACGACAAGUACGGAAAGAAAGGAAGAAAAUUAAAAGACUUUGGGCCUAGCUGCGUGUAUAAAUUAUUAGAUUACUUUUUUUUUUAUAAGGGUAAUCAUCAAUUUACUCCAUAAAAAUCUUUAAUUCAAUUAAAAUUUAUGGUAUUUUAUAUAUUAAAAAUUCUAAAAUAAUUAUGUAUUCACUUGAAUAUAGUUUUAGUUAUAAAUGUUAAAAUAUUGUGGUAUUUAAUAUAUUAUUUAUUUGACAUUCAAAUUUAAUAAGGAUACAAAUGUAAAAGUAUAUAUUUUUCAGCUUUUUAAGUUGAAAAAAACAAACAACUUAAUACUUAUUUUUUGAGAUUCAGACAAAAAAAUAAACAUAUUAUUCAGAUUCAGACAUUCAGAUCUAUUCAGAAUUCUCACUAAUUCAGAUCUAUUCAGAUUUCAGAUAAAAAAAAAAAAAACAAAACGCCACCUAAGUAUAGUUAGGAUUGUGUGAACAUCACUGAAAACUAUGAUUGAUAGAAGUGAUCUUGGCAAUAUGAAUAAAUAAUUAACUGAAUCAAUUGAUUUAUAUAUUAAUGAUUGUUUAUGAAUUUGCGGACUUGUUGCGAUAUAAUAAUAGCAUAUGAUUUUGAAACUUGAAACAGUGGUAAAUAUUGAAAGGAAUUAAUUUGAAAGCAUGAUCCGUGGGGAAUGUGAUGAAUCGUGUUUACAAAAAAGGUAGAAUUGUGGAAAUUUAUAAUAGAACGAUAAAUAUGGUAAAAAGGAAGAAAAUUGAAAGACUUGGGGCUUGGCCUGGGUGUAUUUUCUAACAGUCCAAUGGACAAAAUUAUAUUUGUAUACUUUCUUUUCAGGAAAAAGUUAUUCUCAUCCCUAGGUUUCAUGCAAUAGCUCAUUCCAUCCUUAUUUUUUAAAUAAUAGACCAAAACAUUCUUCCGUUAACUCACUGUUAGUUGAAUGUCGUUUGUUAGUUAUUCAUUAAGAGUAAAAAAUGAUUUUCUAUCAAAGAGAAAAUUAGAAAAAUAAAUAAAAGUUGACAUAUAACUAAAAAUGAUUUUAUCUAAUCCCACUAAAUAAGAAAUACCAAAAAAGAUGAAAAUUUUAUAUUUCAAGCAGUUCUUUUUUCACUUAUUUCUAUUUUGGCGGUAUGAAAGCCCUAUAAACCCUAGAUCUAAGUACCAAAAAUAUUGCAAUUUUCUUAUUCAUAUAAGUAUACUCUCUAAUUGCACUAUAAAAUGACUUGAAUUGAAUUGAAGAUAAAGAAUAUAUUCAGCACAUACAAAGCACAUAAAAAUUGGUGGCAUUUUUGAGUUUUUCUUCCAAUGAUUUAAAUAUAUUAUUUUAAUUACAGUUUGUUCCUUAUGACAAUUAUUAAAUGGCUAUAUCAAACUAUAUCAUCGUUGAUUUCAUUUAAAAAAAAAAGUUAAUGAAUUUUGCAUACUUUGUAGUGUUAUUUAAUUGUGUAAAAAAAUUAUUUUAAUAUAGUUUGUAUCACUUUAAUGAAAAAUUCUAUUUUGCCCUCAAUGAAUUACUAGUUAACAGUUUUACACUAACGGUGAAUUAACAUAAGGAUAUUUUAGGCUAUUGUUUGAAAAGGAGGGAUAAAAUGGGCUAUUACAUUAAACUCUAAGGAUGAAAAAUGCUUUUUCCCCUUUCUUAUCAAUCAACUAACUGAUAAAAGUCAAAACUCAUAUUUUUUUUUCCUUGUUUCAAUCCCCUCUCAAUCAAAAAAGUUUCAUUGUCUAAGCAAUGAGGAAUAUGGCUAGAAAGAUUGUUAUUAGAAAGAUUUAUCAAUAGUAAUUGGUUCACAAUUGAACCGUUUUAGAUUAUUGUGAGUCAAUAUAGGUCCUGUUUGGAAUUGAAGUGUUGCAGCUCUUAAGUUAUAGAUGCUUUGGAAAAAAAACUAAAAUUAUGAAAUAAGAGUUAAUAAUAUAUAAUAAAUAUAAAUUUUAAAUAAUAAUUGUGACAAAAUUAUUAAAAAUAUAAUAGAUUUUUGAUAAUACAAGUAAAAAAAUCAUAACAACAUAGCUUGCAAGCUACAACAGUUAGUGUUUAACAAAUACUUUAAUACUGUGGCUUUUAAGUUACAGCUGUUCAAUACCUCAAUUCCAAACGCACCUAUAAAAUGGCUUGCUUCAAAAGUCUAUCAACCCAACUUGGAAUGCUCUCAUUCAAGUGGCUAUAACUAAGAUAAAACUUCGCUAAGGAAGAGUAAUUAAAAAAUGUAACUUUAACAUGUCCAUAUAGCAUUUUUGUUUACAAGUGAAUUUGUGUGAUAGAGAGAGGAUGUAAGCAAGAUAGUAAAGUCCUAAAUAUAUUAUUGUGUAUAAUGUCUAAAAUUUAAAGAGAAUCAAGCUGAUAAAACUCCAUUGAAAUUAGACCUUCAAGAAUACGGUUCUUGGGCAUUAUAAAAUGUUGUAAUGUUGAGAGAUUACCCAACCAUUAUGGAAUCCUACCAAGAUGAUUGUUACCACUAAGAUACAAUCCUUCUAGUGAACAACAAUCAGAUAAAUUUUUUGGGGAUCUCUCUUACAAAGUGAUUACCAUCCAAUCGCAAUUUUGAAUGAAAAUAAAUUUUUUUUAUUGGGAGUUUAACCUUAACAUUAAAUUUAGACAAUGAAUUUUAACUUUCUACAGUUAUUAAGCAGAUUACGGACAUUUGAGGAAUUUGAAAACAUUUCAUCCAUCGAAAGUUAAAAUUAGAGAUGGAAGAUAGGUGCUACAGCUAAUGGGAACAUUACUUCCUGUCCCUCAUCACACUUUAUUUUGGGUCUAAUAAUUUUACGGUAGCAUUGACCACUGCUCAAGGUAAGUAAAACUUACAAAUGUGUGGCAAAAUAAAUAAUUAAGUACAUAAACUGUUAACCAAUUUUCUUGAUAUAUACAGCUAAAGUAGUUGUAUAUUAGUGUCCUGAAACAUGUUUAUUAUGAUAGACACCUCCACCGUACCUCAAACAAAUCUGUCAUUAUUAGUGUCCUGAAACAUGUUUCGGCCGUCAAAGUCAUGAGAGGGUUGAUGACGCUACUACGUAUGAUGACACACCAGCCGACAGUGUAGUAACAGCUCAAAAACAAAAUCUACCAAAAUCAACGGAAGUUAAUAAAAAAAUAUUUUAUUAAUAAAAAAACUUAUUAUUUGUGGAGAUAUGUGUAUUUGAGUCUGUGGACUGAAAUGGAAAAUAUGAAGAAGUUCAGAGUCGUUGUGCAGAUUGACUUCAGUUGAGCGGGUCUAAUAGAUAUUUUAUGCUGACGUGGCACGAAUUAGUUAUAAUCUGUUAUAACGAUUCCAGAAAUAUCGGUAUAAAUAGAAGUUGAUGAGCAGUGCCUGUUGUACGAUCCUUUUCUUCUUCAGCAGUUCGUCAAUUUGCAUAGAAUCUGUUUCACUUAUGUUUGAUUAGUUGUUGAUCGAUAACGAGAGUAAAUUUUUCCUUCAAAUCUUGCUGGUUCGUGCCCCUGUUUCAGUUUUGGGUUUUUUUUUUUUUUUAGUUCUGGUUUCUUAAUUCAAUUGAAUUUCUUGGUGCUUAAUUCAUCAAGAUUCAGUGGAAUUGACUUGAAAAGGACUCAAUAGACUCAACAUUAUUUAACGACACUCGGACCGUGGGGUACCGUAAUCAUAAUAUUAAAAGAUUUAAAAUUUUAUGCAUUUAUUAAUUGUUAUAAUCUAAAAAAAAAUUAAUUAAUUCAGGUCAAUCUGAGUUGGUGCAUCUGCAGAGCCUUUUUUUUUUUUCCCCUUAUUGACCAUAACUUUCGACUUAUUAAUAGUUAUAUCAAAGGGUGUGGGUGUUUUACCUCAUCAUGUCUUCAAGCGGAAGAUGAAGACUAUGCAAGUGAAUACAGUGCAUUUCAACAUAGCAUAUUUAACCGUUUUAACAGUUAUUUGGACCGUCUUCAGAGCUAACAUCAACAUACUCAUUCAUAUGCUUAAUAAUGAACGAAUAGUCAUGGAUCGAUGUUUUGCAGCAAGAGCAACUCGACACAAUCUGGAUUCAACCUCCUCCUUUCUAACAGGGUGAUACGCCGCGGAGGUCGUCAAGGAUUCCAAAGCCUAGCAACAAGUAUGCUGGGUACAUUUGAAUUAUGCAUGGAUGCUUGGAAGUCGAACGGUCACAUGGCUCAAGACUUAUGCAUACGUUACAUGCAACAUGCAGCACGUUGGAAGAAUGGUCAUUGGAGCAGUCUACAUGGAUCAUGGGGGGGAUUCGGUCAACAUGGGAUCACUUGCUGAUUUAAUGGAGAUUUAUCAUUUGGUUUAAUUCAUUUUCGGUUGUUUAGUUAAGCUAAAAGAAUAAGUUAAGUUGUUAGCUUAGGACCUGCCUACAAUCUCGAGUGAUAGUUAGAUUGUUUGGCUAAGUUGUUUUAAGUAUAAAUAAGCUCCAACGGACUUGAAUAAAGGGCAUUGACUAUUAUCCAAAAAUCAAAUAUCUUGUGGUCUUAUUUCUCACCCUAAGUAGAAAUAUAUUCAACCACUUACGCUUUGACUGGGACCCCUAUCAGUGGUAUCAGAGCGAGGUUACUAUGUCAACCAACAAGGAACGCAUAGAGCGUGUGGAAGCCGAGAUCGGAAGCUUGCAAGAUGGAAUGAAGCGUAUGGAACUAGGGCUUACUGACAGAUUGCACCGCCUAGAAGAAACAAUGAGCAAACUGGUAGAUUCACUUCCAACUUCAAAAGGGAUGCCAAGUCACAACAAUUCUGAUCACGUUGGAUCCUCACAGCCUAGCCGUGGAGAUAGUGAAGGGAGCCGCCAUCAGCUAGCAUCAAGACUUACCAAACUGGAGUGUCCACGAUAUUCCGGCGACGACCCAACGGAGUGGUAUAAUAGGAUCAUGCAAUUUUUCGAGUACCAGAAAGCAACCAAUGAACAGAAAGUCUCCUUAGCUUCUUUUCACCUCGAAGGAGAGGCCAACCAAUGGUGGCAGUAGAUGCGACGAACUUAUCAAGAAGACGAAAAAAUAGUAACGUGGGAAAUUUUUGUGGAGGAGCUUUGGGCACGGUUUGGCCCUACUGAGUGCGAAGAUUAUGAUGAGGCGUUGUCCAGGGUUAAGCAGACAGGGUCACUACGUGAUUAUCAGAGGGAAUUCGAAAGGCUUGGGAACUGGGUACGAGGCUGGACGCAAAAGGCCUUGGUCGGGACCUUUAUGGGAGGAUUGAAGCCGGCAAUCUCAGAGGAAAUUCGGAUGUUUCGGCCCAAAACUUUAAAAGAAGCUAUAAGCCUCGCACGUAUGAAGGAUGAUCAAUUAACGCGACAAAGGAAGUUGCUACGACCACAGUACCUCAACCGUACACCACCAACACCAACAAACAAUACCCGUGCCCAACCAACGAGACCCAUCAAACGGCUGACUUGGGACGAAAUGCAGCGGCAUCGAGUAAUGGGACUUUGCUUCAAUUGCAACGAUCGGUUUACAGCAGGUCAUAAGUGCACCCAACCUCAGCUAUUGCUCCUUGAAAGUGAGACAAUGAAUGAUGAAACUACAUAUGAGGGAAUUCCUGAAGUCUUAUGAACAAAACCUGACACUAAAGAGCCUACCGAUCCAAAAAUCACUUUCUAUGCCCUCACUGGAUGGGCAGCCCCAAGAACCAUGCGGGUCACGGCAACGGUAGGACCAUAUGAGAUUAUGGUUCUGAUCGAUAGCGGUUCAACUCACAAUUUCAUCAGCUCCCGAAUGGCCAACAUGUUACGGCUGCCAAUCAUUCCCACAGCAGGAUUUUUGGUGCGAGUGGCAAACGGAGAAACGCUAUCGUGCAAGGGAAAAUUCGAACGGGUUCAGGUAUUAUUACAAGAAGUUCCAUUCACUUUGACUCUUUAUUCACUUCCAAUUACAGGGUUGGAUAUGGUGCUUGGAGUCUAGUGGCUUGAGAUGCUAGGCUCAGUGGUUUGCAAUUGGAAACAACUUACCAUGGAUUUCACUUGGGAGAACAAAAGUUGCCGGUUACAAGUCAUCGGGCCUCAAUCAAUCCAAACAGCAUCCUUGACCGAAAUUACCAAAGAGCUGAGACAAGGGCAGUCCGGUUUUGCUAUUUGUUUCCAUGUGAAUGUAGAAGACUCUCUCAACACAACAACUCCAGAUAUGCAAGACUUGUUAAAGGAAUACAACACUUUAUUUCAAAAGCCAACAAAACUGCCACCUAGACGAGAAAUCGACCAUAACAUCACAUUGAAAGAGGGAACUGAGCCAGUCAACGUACGGCCAUACCGUUAUGCCUAUUUCCAGAAAGCCGAAAUUAAAAAACAAGUCCAGGAGAUGCUGAAUUCGGGACUCAUUCGGCCUAGUACCAGCCCUUUUUCAUCACCAGUACUACUUGUCAAAAAAAAAGAUGGAAGUUGGCGAUUUUGCACCGACUAUCGGUCUCUCAAUAACGCCACUGUUAAAGACCGAUUUCCAAUCCCUACAGUCGAUGACAUGCUGGACGAGUUACAUGGAGCAGCAUACUUCACUAAAUUGGACCUAAGGGCCGGAUACCAUCAGGUACGUGUAAACCCAGCCGAUAUCCACAAAACGGCUUUUCGUACAUACAAUGGACAUUACGAAUACUUAGUAAUGCCGUUUGGCUUAUGCAAUGCACCAUCGACAUUCCAGGCCAUCAUGAACUCUAUCUUCCGUCCCUAUCUCAGGAAAUUUAUCCUUGUUUUCUUUGACGAUAUAUUGAUAUACAGUCCCUCUUGGUGUAGCCACCUUACUCAUGUUAAGCAGGCAAUGGAGGUUCUUAAACAACAUCAAUUUUUUCUUAAAGCAAGCAAGUGCACUUUUGGCCAACAAGAACUCGAGUACCUUGGCCACAUAAUUACCAGCCAAGGGGUAAAAGUAGAUGAGACAAAAAUUGCGGCCAUGGUCUCCUGGCCUCAACCGAAGAACAUCUCAGAGUUACGGGGAUUCCUUGGCCUUACAGGUUACUAUAGAAAGUUCGUCCAAGGAUAUGGAGUUUUAGCUCGGCCACUCACGAAUCUUCUAAAAAAAGGACAGUUUGAAUGGAAUGCAGAAGCGGACAAAGCUUUUAUCAAUUUAAAAAAGGCAAUGACAAGUACACCCACAUUAGCCAUGCCUAAUUUUAAUGAAACUUUUAUUAUUGUGACAGAUGCAUCCGGUGACGGCAUCGGCGCAAUACUCCAGCAACAAGGGCAUCCCAUCGCAUUUAUGAGUCGUGCCUUGGGAGUCACAAAAAAAUCUUAGUCCACAUACGCAAAAGAGAUGUUGGCGAUUAUAGAAGCUAUCCGUGUGUGGCGACCUUAUCUGGUGGGACGAAAGUUUAUCAUCCAAACCGAUCAACGCAGCCUUAAGUACCUUUUGGAACAAAAAAUAACGACACCCGAAUAGCAACAGUGGCUGGCCAAAUUGAUGGGGAUUGAAUAUGAAAUCCAAUAUAGGCCCGGCCGUGAGAAUGUUGCCGCCGACGCCCUUUCACGACGACCUGACAGUUCUGCUCUUAACAGUUUAUUUGUGGCGCAGGUAUCUAUUUGGAAUGAAAUAAAAACGGCUGCCCAAGAUGAUGAUUACAUGCAGCAAAUUACACAUCAGGCUCUGACUCAACCUACUGGCCCUUAUUUCAUGCGUAACGGGCUAAUUUUCUUCAAGGGCCGAGUUGUAGUUCCUCUUCGACUCCGUCAAUCUUUAAUUUUUUAAGCCCAUGACACUAAGAUGGGAGGUCAUUCAUGAGUUCUACGUACUUACAAACGUUUGAAACAACAAUUCUAUUGGCCUUCAAUGUUUCAAACGGUUCAUGACUAUGUAGGUAAAUGCGAGAUUUGUCAAAAAACGAAAGCAUCAACCCUUAAGCCUGCGGGUCUCCUCCAGCCCUUGCCAAUUCCUUGCCAAGUGUGGGAUGAUAUCACGCUCGACUUCAUUGAAGGGCUGCCAAACUCACACGGUAAAAAUUCUAUUCUAGUGGUGGUGGAUCGGCUCAGCAAGAGUGCACACUUUAUGGCCUUGACUCACCCAUUCACAGCAAAAACAGUGGCUGAGAAGUUUAUUGAUGGAGUGGUAAAAUUACAUGGCAUGCCGAAAUCAAUAAUCAGUGACCGAGACCCUAUUUUUAUUAGCAAGUUUUGGCAGGAGUUUUUUCAUAUGUCCGGUACACAACUCAAUAUGAGUUCUGCGUACCAUCCGCAAACCGACGGUCAAACGGAAGUUAUUAAUAGAUGUCUUGAACAAUACCUGCGAAGCUUUGUUCACCAAUGGCAGAAGCAAUGGAACUCUUACCUACCUUGGGCAGAAUACUGGUACAACACAACGUACCAUGAGUCCACAAGCAUGACUCCUUUUUUGGCUUUGUAUGGGCGACAUCCACUGGUAGUACCAAUGUAUCAUGUGGAAUCUUCUCCAGUGCACAAGGUAGAUCAAGCUUUGUUGUCUAGGGAUGAGCUGCUGCGACAAUUAAAACAGAAUUUGAAAAUGGCAACCAAUCGCAUGAAACAAUUUGCGGAUACAAAAACGCGCGACGUGGAGUUUAAGGAGGGUGACAUGGUAUUCCUAAGACUUCCACCGUAUAGGCAGACUACUGUAUUCCGUCGUGCUCAUCAGAAGUUGACCAGCAAAUACUCUGGGCCAUAUCCAAUUCUGCGAAGAGUGGGACAAGUGGCUUAUGAGCUUAAACUACCGACGGGAUCUCGAGUGCAUCCGGUAUUUCAUGUGUCCUUACUCAAAAAAUACGUUGGUGAGAUGCCUCAAUUCAGUGCAGAUCUUCCAUAUGUCAAUGACGACGGAGUACUCGUUUUAGAACCGGACAAAAUUAUUGAUGUUCGUUGGCUUAAAAGAGGUGGCAAGUUGGUGGAACAAAGUCUUGUCCGUUGGAAACGCCUUCCACAUGAGGACGCAACAUGGGAAGAUUCAGAGUUCCUGGCAAAGCAAUUCCCUCACCUGACCCUUGAGGACAAGGGUCCUCUUCGUGGAGGCGGUAUUGAUACACCGCGGAGGUCGUCAAGGAUUCCAAAGCCUAGCAACAAGUAUGCUGGGUACAUUUGAAUUAUGCAUGGAUGCUUGGAAGUCGAACGGUCACAUGGCUCAAGACUUAUACGUUACAUGCAACAUGCAGCACCUUGGAAGAAUGGUCGUUGGAGCAGUCUACAUGGAUCAUGGGGGGGAUUCGGUCAACAUGGGAUCACUUGCUGAUUUAAUGGAGAUUUAUCAUUUGGUUUAAUUCAUUUUCGGUUGUUUAGUUAAGCUAAAAGAAUAAGUCAAGUUGUUAGCUUAGGACCUGCCUACAAUCUCGAGUGAUAGUUAGAUUGUUUGGCUAAGUUGUUUUAAGUAUAAAUAAGCUCCAACGGACUUGAAUAAAGGGUAUUGACUAUUAUCCAAAAAUCAAAUAUCUUGUGGUCUUAUUUCUCACCCUAAGUAGAAAUAUAUUCAAUCACUUACGCUUUGACUGGGACCCCUAUCACAGGGGAUUUCGAUUUGAGUUACUUUGUGCUCAAGCAAAUUCACAUCAUAGUUUUGAUUCUUUAGAUAUGAAUUCAUCACAUUACAUAUAUCAGAUUAAGUGUAACAAAAUUUUUAAUUUACUGCGAAAAGAAUAUGCACUAAACAAUGAUUUCAAGACGAUUUGACUACCAAAAGCAGCUGUCAGAGUGCACUAAAAAUUUCUGUAGGAUAUUUUGUAGCUGUUUAAUAUGUUAUGAUGGGCAUAUAAUUCUCAAAUUUUGAUGCCUCUCAGCGAAAAAUAUAUCAAAGUUUAGAUUAUGUGUUCGAGCUUUAAUAAAUGGUCGGAAAAAAAGCUGCUGUCAGAGUGCACUGAGUGAAUAAUAAUAACGACAAUAAUAAUAAACUAAAAAACAGAAUUAAUUACUAUUGAAUGGUCGGAAAAAAAUUUGAAAACGUGUGAACUCCAAUAAUCACCCCACAAAUUCAGUGGCGAAUUUUGGAGAGGGCAAGGCCGGGCUUCUCAGAAAAAAAUUUAUUUAGUUACAAAAUUAUCUUUAUUGAAACCUAUAUAAAUUUUUUUUUAUAUUAAUUAGUUAUGUUACCUCUUCAAUUAUCAUCAAAUUUUUGUCUGUUCAUCAUUUGGUGAAUAAAUGUGUGUCUAAAUAAUUUCAAAUAACAUUUAGAACAAAUAUUUUGAGAGGUAAAGUUUAUUUUGUCUCCCAUUAUUAGGUGCAUCUAUAAUUUCUUAUUUACAAAAUUAUAUUGUACGAUAAAAAUUUAUUGAAUUAGGGGGAAAAAAAAAGUUCAGCUCACUCAAAAACAAAAAAUGGUAUUAACUUCGCCACCGCACAAAUCUAGAAUAAUAAUUAUUCCUUAUCAUGCUGGGGAUCCUUUACUUUCUAGCCGUAUUGACAGCACCAGGUAAAGCUUUGUAAAAUAAUAAGUUACUCAUUAGUGGUUUUUAAUCUUUUUAAUUCUUUUUACCGCACACCUGAUCAAGAAUUUUAUUUUGUUAACUAAUCAAUUGCAAAGCAUAUAUAAGUGUUGAACGGUACGCAAGAUUGGAAAAAAAAAUCUUAAAAAACGUGUGGAUUCGGGUGGCCACACCAGAAAUCUAUUACAAUAAUUAGCUUUGAUGCUGGGAAUCUUUUAAUUUCUGGCCGUAUUGAAAUUUUUAAAAUAACAAGUUCCCCUUCUCGUUUUUUUUUUUAUAAAUAUAUAAGCUUAUAACAAUUUUAGAAUAAUGACUCAUUUGUAGAAGAAUUUAUGAUUUCCCAUUAAUAUUAAUAUUGAAGUGGGGUGGGUCAAAUCUCAAUUGCUUGAAGAAUUUAUUUAUUAUUAUUAAUAUUAUUAGUAUUGAAGUGGGGUAGGGAACGGACCAGCAGUUCACUCAAUUCGUGGCGAAUUAAAUAUUACCAUCCAAGGUAGGAUUGUGGAAAAUUAAAGCAAAAUGACAAGUAUGGAAAGGAAGGCUGAAAGUAAGGCAUGACGAAAGGCUUUGAGAAGGCUGAAGACUUACCAAAGAAGUCAACUGAAAACUAGCUGGGGCCUGAGUGUAUAAAUUGUUAGAUGCGUUUGUUAUAAAUAACAUAGAGCCCUUUUGUUAUUUAUAGUUAUAGAGAAAGAGAGAAUGUGUGUCUUUUAAGAGUUAGAGAUAUAGCUAGAAUGGGCGGCUCAAAAUCCAAAAUGGUGACAAUGUUAGUUCUCGUAUUGGUAAUAUUUUGGGUGGGGGGGGGGGGGGGGGGGGGGGGGGGUUGUGAGGGAAGGAAGGUCCACAGGCCGAGUGGUACAACUACACCUUGGCCUUACUAGGAAUAUCGAUCUGGGAGAGUGGUAUCUGAAUGCUUCUCUAUUUACUUCCUUUCAACAACUUGGUAACAAAAUAGCCGGCUGCAUGCGUUGAGAAUGAAGGUCCUUCAUUUAAUUUAAUUUACUUAAUUUCUCCCUCCCAAUUAAUGUCUAAUGGAGCUCAUUCUUUGGUUUUACUUGCAGGUCUAGAAGCAGGUGUCAUCUAACAGCUGCUUUGAUAAUUUCCCACCCCUUCAUCUUUGAUGGAAAGAUGAAAUAAAAACAAAAUGGUGAAAAUGGUAUUGGUACCUGAGGCUAUGUAAUCUAAUUCAACAACUGCACCAUCAAAACGAUUACAUAAGUCCCAGAAGAAUCAAACAUUAGUUUGCAAAAUAUCAAUUGCUGGAGGUUAGAUUCUAACUUCCGCUCUUGAUUUUUAUGGGCAUGUUGUAUUGUACUUGCAUACGAAAAUCAUAUUUUAGUUUACUUACACUCAAUGCUUGGAUUAAAGUUUCAGGUGGGGAAAAUUGAAGGAGACUAAAAUGACUCAAAAAAAUAGUUGAAUGAGUGAGGGUUUUGUCUUCAUUUGAGGAGCUCUUUAUAAAUUUUAGGAUUUUUUUUCCCGAGAAAAUUUAUGCCAACUUAUUCUUUGCUUCUUUUCUGAAGGGACAAAUGCAACUGAAAGUGUAUUCUUGAAUUCUCCAGGAUAAGAGACAUAUGUUUAAUUAGAUUCUCGAGCCUUCAAAACAAUAUAAAAUUUUAUAUAUCUGAGCAUGAUGGUGUUUGACAUGACUUAAAAUUGUUUAAUUUACUCUCACGUACAAGAAUGCCUAGUUAUAUUGUCGCUCAGAGUCCGAGGUUAAUCCAUAAAGAAAUGAUUUAAUUUGUUUAUUUAAGAUUAUCCCAAAAAAUAAAAAUAAAAUUUAAAUAUAUGUAAUUUAAUUUGAAAAAAGUUAUGAAAUUAAAUUAUUUAGAGUCAUGGAUCCACUCUUAGUAAUAAAUACAAUUUAAUAAAUUCUUUUUAUUUUUAUUUUAUUGCCCAAAAGAUUAAUUAUAUAAAUUAUAAUUAUUUUUCCAUUAAUUUUAUUAUGGAUUAAGUACUUAAUGUGCCAAAACUUAACUUGUCUACAAUAUGUCAAAAUACCAUUUUACCAUACUUUAUGCUAAGAUAUUAAGAAUUCAUGUGCCAAACUCCCAUGUUUGUCUACAAUAAAUCCAAAUUUCAAAACAUAAAAUAUGGAUCAAAUUAAAUAAAAAAUAAUUUAAUUUAUAUAAUUAAAAAUAGAAUUUGAUUAAAUCAUAUUUUUCUACUUAGAGUUUUACCUCACCCUAACUAUUAGUAUUUAGCUAAACAUAUUUGAAAUAAAUGAAAUUAUUAAAAUUGAAAAAUACAUAAUUAAAAAAAUGGUAUUUGAAAAUUAGAAAUAAAACUAAUUUUAUUUAUUGAAAAUGUAUUACAAAGAGAGAUGAGAAGAAGAAUUUGAGGGAAAAGAAGAGAAGAAAAUGUGUGGAGAGGUGUGUGAAAUUAUAUUGUAAAGAUGUUACACAAACAAAUGAAUAAAAAAAAACUAAAUGAAAAUUACACAAAUUAAAAAGAAAAUGAAAAUUAAAUAAAAAAGAUAAAUGUGUAAGAAAAAAAUGCGCAAUAAAAAUAAAUAAACUGAAAAGUAAUUAACUAAAAUUAAAAUAACUAAAUAGGCGGUAAACAAAGUAAAUGCCAAAAAUAAAAUAAGUGCGAAAAUUAAAUUACAGAAAUUAAAAGAAGAAAGAAAGAAAAAAAUAAUUAUCUCAAAGUGUAAACUCUUUUUCUUUUUCUUUUCAAAUUUUAAAUAUUACCAGCCAAUUAAGUGAUUAAUUCAAAUUAUUAGGCUUUAAUAGUAAUUUUUAAAAUCAAUAUUCAGUUUAUUGAGUCCAAAUAAGGUCCAAAGAAGUUCAAGUUGUUGGUCUAAAAUUGAGAAUUUUGGGAAAUAUUGGCAACGGACCUAUUCAAAAAGCUCUAUAAUUUUGUGGUCAAACUGCAAUUAUGAGAAGAAUGAUCCAAAAAUUAGAAUUUUUGGGGUGAGUGAGAUUUAGAAAGAUUUUGUGGAUAUAACAUAAUUUAAGAAAGAAAAAGGAGGUAAAUGAAAAUUUACACAAAAAGUAUAAAAAGAAAGAAAAAAGAAAACAAAAUAAAUACCUCUCCCAGCAAUGGCGGUAAAAACUUAACACGACUUAAAAGCAUUUAAUUUACUCUAAAGUAUAAGAGUACCUAGUUAUAUUAUAUCGCGAGAAGUCCGAGAUCGAUCUACAGAAAAAUGAUUUAAUUUAUUUAUUUAAGUUUAUCUAAAAAAUAAAAAUAAAAUUAAAUACAUGCAAUUUAAUUUGAGAAAAACUAUGAAAUUGAAGUAGUUAGGAUUAUGGAUCUACUCCUAGUAAUAAAUGUAAUUUAAUAAAUUCUUUUUAUUUUUAUUUUAUUGACCAAAAGAUUACUUGUAUAAAUUACAAUUAUUUUCCCAUUAAUUUUAUUAUGGAUUAAGUACUUAAUGUGCCAAAGCUUAACUUGUCUACAAUAAGUCAAAAUACUAUUUUACCAUACUUUAUACUAAGAUAUUAACAAUUCAUUGUGCCAAACUCCCAUGUUUGUCUACAAUAAAUCAAAAUUUCAAAAUAUAAAAUAUAGAUAAAAUUAAAUAAAAAAUAAUUUAAUUUAUAUAAUUAAAAAUAGAAUUUGAUUAAAUCAUAUUUUUCUACUCAGAGUUUUACCUCACCCUAACUAUUAGUAUUUAGCUAAACCUAUUUGAAGUAAAUGAAAUUAUUAAAAUUGAAAAAUACAUAAUUAAAAAAAUAGUAUUUGAAAAUUAGAAAUAAAACUAAUUUUAUUUAUUGAAAAUAUACUACAAAAAGAGAUGAGAAGAAAAAGUUGAGGGGAAUGAAGAGAAAAUAAGGUGUGGAGAGGUGUGUUCCUCCCCCCACUUCUCUAUUUAUACUAAUACAUGAUUAAUCUAUACCACACAAAUAAAUAAAACUAAUUACAUCUUAGGCAUACAUUUGUCCCACUAACAAAAUAUAAACCUAAGUUAAUCCACUUAAGCACAUCCAACACAUUUCACUAACAAUUACCACACCUAACAUGAUAAAAACUUAUAAUUUCACAAUUACCACAUUUACUUUUACAACAAAAACCACGAAUCUUCUCGACAAUAACCUAAUUUCUCGGACUUUCGGAAUCUAAAAAUUUAAAUAAUAUUAAAUUUAUCUAAUAUAAUUAAAUGUAUUAAAUAAAAUAAUGUUUCAUUUUAUAUUUACCCUCCUUUUAUUAAAUUUACUAUAAUUAUAUUUAAUAAAAUAAAUAAUAUUAUAUAUUUAAAUAAUAUUAGUUAUAUUUAACUAAAUUAAAGCAAAAUGACAAGUAUGGAAAGGAAGGCUGAAAGGAAGGCAUGACAAAAGGCUUUGAGAAGGCUGAAGACUACCAAAGAAGUCAACUGAAAGCUAGCGGGGGCGUGAGUGUAUAAAUUGUUAGAUGUGUUUGUUAUAAAUAACAUAGAGCCCUUUUGUUAUUUAUAAUUAUAGAGAAAGAGAAUGUGUGUUUUUUAAUAGUUAGAGAUAUAGCUAGAAUGGGUGGCACAAAAUCCAAAAUGGUGACAAUGUUAGUUCUCGUAUUGAUAGGGGGGGGGGGAGAGGUCGAGUGAGGGAUGUUUGGAGCAUGAGAAAUUUGAUCUUUUGCGGCUGGAUGUUUGGAGCAUGAGAAAUUUGAUCUUUUGCGGCUUAAACAUUUCUUCAAUUCCCCUUAUACACUUCAAAACUGGGUAGGUGAACAAAGGGAAAGGGUUGAGUGCAGCAACUCCACAGGCCAAGUGGUACAACUACACCAUGGCCUUACUAGGAAUAUUGAUCUGGGAGAGUGGUAUCUGAAUGCUUCUCUAUUUACUUCCUUUCAACAAUUUGGUAACAAAAUAGCCGGCUGCAUGCGUUGAGAAUGAAGGUCCUUCAUUUAAUUUAAUUUACUUAAUUUCUCCCUCCCAAUUAAUGUCUAAUGGAGCUCAUUCUUUUGUUUUAUUUGCAGGUCUAGAAGCAGGUGUCAUCUAACAGUUGAUUUGAUAAUUUCCCACCCCUUCAUCUUUGAUGAAAAGAUGAAAUAAAAACAAAAUGGUGAAAAUGGUAUUGGUACCUGAGGCUAUGUAAUCUAAUUCAAAAACUGCACCAUCAAAACGAUUACAUAAGUCCCAGAAGAAUCAAACAUUAGUUUGCAAAAUAUCAAUUGCUGGAGGUUUGAUUCUAACUUCUGCUCUUCAUUUUUAUGGGCAUAUUGUGUUGUACUUGCAUCCGAAAAUCAUAUUUUAGUUUACUUACACUCAACGCUUGGAUUAAAGUUUUAGGGGGGGCAUUGAAGAAGACUAAAAUGACACAAAAAAAGAGUUGAGCGAGUGCGGGUUUUGUCUUCAUUUAAGGAGCUCUUUGUAAAUUUUAGGAUUUUUUUCCUAAGAAAAUUUAUGCCAACUCAUUCUUUGCUUCUUUUCUGAACGGACAGAUGCAACCGAAAGUAUAUUCUUGAAUUCUUUAGGAUGAGAGACAUACGUUUAGAUUCAUCGAGCCUUUAAAACAAUAUCAAAUUUUAGAUUGCUGAAAUUUUAUAUAUCUGAGUAUGAUGGUGUUCCAAUUAUAAGCUCCAGGGUGCAACUUCACUAAGGUUUAGAAUACCUUCCUAUAGAAUUGAGAAAUCUCCAUUGGCAUAAAUAUCCUUUGAAAAUAUUGCCAUCAGAUGUUGAAUUGGAGAACCUGAUUGAACUCAGCUUGCCUUGUAGUAAGGUUAAGCAAAUUUGGAAAAGAGAAAAGGUAUAAUGUAUUACUAUUACCAAAGUAUCUAUUUUUCUUUCUUUAAGUAUUUAUAAUGAAUAACUUUGAAAUUGAAUGAUGCUCAUUUAGUAUAGUUGUGUAUCUUUGGUUAUAGGAAGCUGUCAAGUUAAAAUCUAUAGAUCUUCACCACCCUCUGUAUCUCAAUAGGAUCCCAAAAAUACUAAAUCUUAAAAAAAUAAAUCUUUCAAAAUGUGAAAGCAUGCUUACGUUACCCGCGUAUAUCCACAAUUUCAACUAGCUCAGUAUGUUGUGUUUCAUGGGAUGCAAAAUUCAUUUUGUUUCUCAUGAAAGGAUUGACUUGUUCGGAUGUAUUAGGGUUAAUAAACCAACUAAUCCCAUAAUUUGUUGAUGUCGGGUCCUAACAAAUUACUGCAGUAUAUUGUAGAUCAAUACACUAUUUGAAAACGUAUUUGAUCCACACAGUGAAUGUUUGAGGGUGCAUUUCUCGCGAACCAGCCAUACCCUAAACGAGGAGCCGGUCUCCUUGUAAUUGAGCAGGCAGGUGAAGUCUGGUAGCAAAUAUCCAAGAGCAGGAAUUCUAUGCUCAAUCACAAGGACAUCCUCUUUUGGACUAUAAUUCGAACAAGGUUCCUGCUAGGAGCCGAGAGCCUUUCCUGCUGGAGAGCGGGGUCGGCAGGCCUAGUCUAUAACGGUUAGCGAGACGUGCACUCCUAUUCGAGAAUCUAGGCACGAAACCAACUCAGCUGCAACUACGACAUUCAGGCAUCCACUUCCGUAAGCUGAGGGAGGUGAUGGACGUGGAUCGUAGGGCGUCGGAUUUGUAAGACGGCUAUAAAACGGUAAUCAACGAAGGUAAAGGGGUUAGACACUUUUACACUAGAACUUAAGAAAUAAGACCAUUUACUAAAAAAGGAGAGAAACACUCAUAGGUGUUCCACUGCCUAAGAGAUCAUGAGAGAGCCACGAGAUCAGUGGCCGAGUUUCCCAAAAAGUAAACCUAAAUUUCUGACUUGAGCGUAGGAGGAUUUUUCCGGCGUGCUCUGACAAGUUUUUGUGUGCGCAUGAGUCUGCUAAGUCAUACAAGGCAUAGCUUUGCUCGGUUAGAAGAGUUACGUGAAGUAUCCUAGGUUGGUCGUGAGUUCGGGAGUUAAGGAGAGAUCCUGGUUGCAGACGAGCAGACACCAGAAUCUCGCAUCAACAGUGAAGAUGAUUCAAUAUUAAGCAUGUCAUAUAAUCUAGAAGUGGAUAUUGGACCAAUUUGAUGAUAAUGAAUUUCUUUCAAUCUCAAUCUUUUUCUUUUUAGCAACAUGACUAGUAAUUGUGCAAAUUUAAACUCUGAGAAUGAUUUCUCAAUCGGUUUCUAAAAUGAUGACCAUGCAUGUAUACGUGUGUGUGUGUAGAGAGAGAGAGAGAGAGAUCACACGUGUGUGAUUUCCUUUUGCCAAUAGGAUAUGCAGAGAGCUUGAUCUUACCCAAUAGCGAAACAAACUUCCUAAUAAGUGAAGGUAUAGUAUAAAUACUUAUACUUUCAUGUUAUUUUGUUCAUCGGUAGCUUGAUUAUUUUAUAUGCGUCUUCGAUUUUAAUUUUCUUUCCCUAUAAUCGCUAUUAUCUUUGAACUGGUCAUGAUUUGCCUAUUAGAUUUCUCAUGUUGUUUUGAGGUGCAAUGGAUUUUGAAUUUAGUGACGAGCAGUGGAAGCCAGAAGGCAAAUUAUGAAAAUGGAUAAAGAUCUAUAAUUAGCUGUUAUGGGAUGUCACAUAUCAUAUUGAUGGUAACAUUAUAUAUAUGUACAUAUAAUUAAUGGGGUUGGCUCACGAGCCCAUUAAUAAUCGUAUAUUAGCUUAUAUACUUCAAACAAUGUACUAUGAAGUAAUUUCACAAAUACUUGUUAGCUUAUGUGGAGCUUUAUUGAAUCAGUAGUUCACAGUUCAAUAAAAUGCAGGUUUGCUAUUUGAAGUACAUGGUCAUGGUGCGUACAUUCUUCAUAAGGCUAACUACUAAUUUAUCAUUGAAACUUGAAAAAUGUGAUAGAGAGAUGUAGAUAACAGCCGCAAAACACUGAGAUUGAAAAUCAGGGCUACUAAAUUCUAUUAAAAGCCCUUAAAAUAGACAGCGAUCAUCCUAAAAUAUUAAUUGCAAAGUUAUGCACUAAUAGAACUAUUGACUACUUAUCUUUAGCAGAAGGUAUAUUUUUAACUACAGCUUUCUGCUUUGUUCUAAGAACUAGGCAAAAGUGGUAUAUCUUCAAUCCAAUCAACAUAUAUACCACUUAUUUUCCCCUUCACUUCUGUCCAUUUUGAUUUGCACUUCAUAUCCUGCACUUGCUGCUUAGAAAUAGUCUUAGUCUGGACAUUGAAAGUAGAAAAAGUACUUGAAACAAUCAUUGGCACAGCCCGAGAUUCCAUUGAAUCGUGGACUCCAAGCUUUCAUAGUUCUAUAAAGAAAAUGACAAAACAUCAUACAACUGGCAUUCGGCUUUUAACAUUUGCACAACCUGAGCGCGUUAGCAAGCCCCUUAUUGCGUUCCCAUUGAAUAGACCUACUUCUGUUAUCCACAGAAGAUCCACCUCUCAAAAUGUUUAUCACCAGGCUAUUCUUAAACUGAGCCUAAACUGAGUAGAAACUUCCGCACAUCUCUCAGCAUUUACAUGAAGAAAGCGACAACUAUCCUCAUCUCUCAGCACAUCUCUCAGCAUUCUACAAAGUUGCAUUUCACUAAGCAAUCUAUCCUCUCCAUUCCUAGCAAAGUGACAUUGAUUCCCGUAUUUGUAAUCGCCUAACUUGGGUUUUGGGCAUAGCGUGGUCUUAAAAUUACCACCCAAUACUUUGUUCAGUGCCACUGGCAUCCACAAGCUCUAGCCUUGUUAGCUGAAUCAUAUUCAAUAGGACAGUGAGACAGCAUUUCACUGACAUAUUCAAUUUGACUACUUAUAUUGACGCAAAUAUUAGAAUUUGAAAUCACUUCUUUUAUUGGAAUAUUAUAUUAAAAUGACCCCAAAUGAAAGUUCUUGAAUGGAAAUGAUUUUUAUUUAAUUUUCCAACAGAUUCAAGAAAACCCAGAGAACAUUAAUUUACACAGUAAUAUGAUUAAGAGCUGAGAACGUACAUGUAGUAAAUGUCUAUCAAAAAACACCCAAGGGUUUCUUUAAAAUUAGAAACUAGUAAACAAAAAGAAAGAAUCAUUUUACAUUUUUAUCAACUUUGGGGUGAGUGAGGAGUGAGAAAUUGAAACCCUAAAGUAAUGACAACAGUAAGAUUCAGUAUGAAGUGAAACCCCAAUUUGAAAUGUAGGCAUGAGUUGCUGAGUCAGUAGAUGAAGCUGUAAAUAGGCAUUCGGUUUCCUUCUUUUCGGUUUGGAGGGCCAUGGAAUAGUGUAUUGGAGUGGGCUCCAAGUAAUAGCCUCUAUCACUGGAAUGACACAUCUAUAAAAUGUGAUACAUGGGGAAGGAUUGGACAUUAUAUUCUUAGAUUAGCGCCUUAUUUAGGGUGUAUAUUAAGCAGAUUAUAUAUUACAUGGAGAUGGAGUUUAUGAAAUAGAUUAAAAAGAAAAGGAAAUUUUGGUGCCUAAAGUUUGCCACUUGGAAUAUUUCGGUGUCUAAAAAUUCACUCACCACUUAUUUCAUGUUUGAUUAUAUGUUGAAAAGAUAUUAAAAUAGUAUAAUGCUAUUAAGGCUUAACGUAUAUUUUUUAUUAGUAGAGUGUAGAAUUUUUAAGAAAUAAAUUAUUAAAUUAUUAUAACUAACAUAUUAUUUUAAAGUUGUGUUAUGAAAAAAAUGAAAUAAAAAUGUACAGUAAAUAAGAAUAUUUUAAAACUUUUAUCUUUUUAAAAUUAUUUUUUAACAUAAGGUGAACUAUUUUUUUUUUAAAUCACAUAUUCUAGUUAAAAUCAAAUAUGUAUUUAUAUGAAGCUUGUAAAUUUUUUUUUUAGUACUGAUAUUUGGAUAUUACCAAUAAAAAAAAAGGUAAUGUGCAUGCUGAAUUAUUUUUGUAGCACACAAAAGGACAACACCGUUUAUGUUAUCAUACUAUCACUUCUGUUAUGAUAAUAUUUUUUUGUGGCCAAAUAUCUUCUUUUUUUUUUUAAGUAAAAGUGUGGACAAAAUGCAAAUCAGUUUUUAAUCCUCAAUCUCUCCCAAAAUAUAAAUUCGUAGGUACAUGGGUUGUUAAAACUAUAGCUGACAAAAAGUUACUAACAAAAACAGAAUGUCCAUUUUAUAACUUUCUUAAAAAACUUUCCUUAACUUUUUUAAAAAGUUACCAAUAAAAAGUUAUUUCUAAUUUUUAUUUUGUUAUAAUUUUUAUAACAAAAUUCGUAGUUCGUAGUUAACUAAACUCUUCUUAUUCCCUUUCUCAACUGCCAUACCCUAACCUUGUUCCCCACACUAAACCACGCUCAAUUAAGGCCAUCAGAUUCUCCCGGGCCCACAUUAAUCCAACUGCUCACAGAGACCGACAGCCUCUCUAUCUCCAUUUCAAGCUCCCUCUUCAACUGGCUUCUGCUACCGUCCUACUCUUUCUCGGCUUCGGAGUCCGUAUUUGCUCGGCCUGUCCCACGAAGCUCCCUCUCACUCCAAUUGUCGCCCCACAAGACCAAUUGCUUAAUCAAGACACCGAACAAGAAAAGGAUGAGAAGUUGAAACAAGAAUUUGAGAAUUGGAAAUAAAAAACGUACGCAUUGACCGUGCCUUUGAGAGUCGUUUCUCUUCAGAACUCAGUGCCUCAAUCUUGGGUUAAGGAUUUUAUGCGAAGUCAGGGAAAGAGAUUGAAGUUUCAGAUGAAUUUGUGUGCUAGCAUUGAUGGGAUCUUUAACAAUUUAUCUGUGCCCUUUAACAAAGUUAAGGCUAAGUCAGCUUCUUAUAUGGCUGCUGAUUUGGUUAGUGUUGGUGAUUCAUGGCUUAGUUUUGCCAUUAAAAAGAGAUUGAUUGAGCCAAUGGCUGGAGCUGAAGACCAAGAUUGGUUCAAAUGCUUAAGUCACAAAUGGAAGGUAACAUCUUUGUCUUUGAUCCUCGAGGUAAAAUAUGGGCGGCACCGUACAGGUGGGGCACAACGGUGAUAGCCUACAAGAAAAGUAAAUUUCGAAAGCAUAAUUUGGCUCCGAUUGAGGUAAUAAUUUUCUUUAAACUCAUUUAGUUUUAUAUCAAACAAAAUCAAGACUGCCUUUCUUUUCAAUAUUUUUUAUGAUAAUAUCUUUAGAAGCAUCUCAUUGACGGGUAACAAUGGCAUCCCUGAAAGAGUCUAUAAACUCAAUGAUAUUAUCUUCUACAAAUGGUUCAUUAAACUUUGUCGUUGUACUCAAAUGUACACUCAGAUCAAUGAGAAGCUAUGCUACGUUAGCAUGUAGUGAUGGCACUUAAUAAGUGAGUUGCUAGGAUGUGAACUAGAAAAAUUAAAUAUUGUCUCCUUGGGUAUGCUAGCUGGUAAGUCAGGGUUAAUAUCAGAGCUUAAGAUAGUAUAACCGUGAGAACCUAUUGACUGCCAAUUAAAAUAUCCAUUGAAAUGUCUAGGGAGUUAUGAAGGUGGAGGUAACUUCCAAUUUCUAAGGCCACAGAGUAGACAUCAUCCAGGAUCCUAAAAUAUCCAGUUAACCUCCUGCUCGAUGCGAUUAAUAAAUUUGGUCAAUGCCACUGAAACCUGCUAACUGACGUCACAAUGCGACAUGAGCACUUCAAAAUGGGACAGAUGGUCAGUAGCACUAAAUUUUUCUUGCCUAAGAUUGAGCAAUUGGUCUAACUACUAAUCCCUAUUGUAGGUUGAUCAUUAUUUUUUCAAUUAUGUUCAGUUUGACCCAAAAAGUUGCAGAAUCUUGAGCUGAAUAUUGUCACUGAACACUGUCAAUGUUGUUUAGCAUAGCCAACUAACUUGAUGUUAAAACAAACACACAGUGUGUCUCAUGUCUCACAAUUCAAAUUAUCAUCUGUAAUGAUGGAGAAUUUUUCCAAUGUAUGAAGUAUGCUUUGAUACGUGGGUUACCUUGGAGAAGAUAUCUCAAAAUAAAGAAUAUGGGGAGAAAACAGUUCAGUAGUUUAUUAUUCUGUAGUCAAGUUUUGUCUCGAAAAUGGUCAAAAUUUAAAUGAAUAAGGACAGGGAAUCUUCAUUCUUUUUUCCCUUUUUUAUACCAAGAUAUCUCUCAACCUUUAUAUAAUCCCCACUGGAUAUCUGCUUCUAAUAAUUAAAAUAAAAAUUUCACCGCUCUAACAAUAAAAAGUAACAUCUUUAAUCAAAUAAUUUACAGUUCCUCAUCACCUUAGUGUGAGACUAUCAGUACAUUCCAAAAACUUAAUAAAACUGGUUUGAUCCUGUUUAUUGAUGUUUAAAUGUUGUUCAUUGUGACAUGUAGAAAUGAUGAGGCGAAGUUUAUUUGGACAUCAAUUAGUAAGAUCUUGUUUGAAGUUGUUUUCUGAAAUGAACUGCCCAAUGGUAGUUUUUUGGGGGCAUUUGAUGGCUCUUUUUUUCCUCAUUUUCAACAUGUGCCUGCUUGGAACAGGAAGGAUUAGGCUGCAGAGUUGUUAUAUAUUUUUAGAUGCUCUGGUCAUUGCACAAUUUGUUCACACUGGAAAUUAGAAUGAGAAAUUUGUUGAUGCUGUUUUGAGAGAUCUGCAUUCUAUGCACAAUAACGUGAUUAAUGAAAAUGCAUUGUAGGACUGGAAAGAUCUGUGGCAGCCUGAGCUCGCAGGAAGAAUUUCAAUGGUUAAUUCUCCCCGAGAGGUUAUUGGUUCAGCUUUGAAGAAUAGGGGAGCAUCAUACAAUUCAAACGAUAUUGAUUUGCAAGUUGCUGGUGGGAAGAUUGCUGUUCAGCAGAAUCUGGCAUUACUGGCAAACCAAGUACUCUUACAGAAAUGAUAUCUGGUCAUUGCAUGUUAUUGCCUGACAACUGAUUUUGUUUGUACAAGUCUGCUUCUUCAUACAUAUGAAUGCAUAUGUUAGUGUUUUCUUCUCCUUUUCAUACAUAUAAAUGCAUAUGUUAGUGUUGUCUUUUCCUUUUCAUACAUAUUAAUACAUAUGUUGGUGUUCUCUCAUGAGAUGGAUGCAAUAGAGGCUUUUGCUCCUAAAUUUAGCUGAAGAAAUGGGAAGGGAUGUGAGAUUCUGUCUCAUUAAAUUAACAAAAACCCAAAACAAUGAAAAUCCAUAAUAAUGUGGUGUGGGUAAAUUGGCUCCAUUUGGUUCGUUUCCUUAAUGUGACUGCGCGAGCAAUAGAGACUAACAAAAUGAAGUGACAACAAGAAGUCAGUGUCCUUUGAUGGAUGCAUUUUUAGGCAGAAAUAGGUUUGUAAUUGACCAAAUUUGCCUGGCAUGCCAAUUUCAAAAAAAUUAAAUUAUGUGGUUAUUGGCUGUAAUGAAGGGGGAUAGUCGGUGCAAUCAGGUGGAUCCUGGAAAGUUCAACAAAGUUUGGUAUGGCGUAGUGAAAUUGGUUUGUGCAACUCAGGAGUCUUUCAGGUGAACGAUGAUAGGUUUUGAUUUAUGAAUAUUAUAAAUCUACUGUGCAUAUUAUUCUAGCAGAAUCAUCUAUAAGUUCUAGUUAUUGAAAUUGUAUACUUUGCCCGGUUUGAGUUAAGGGCACAUGUAAUAUGAAAGAUAGUUGUCGCAUCUUUUAGGUUACCUAACAUUUGAUCAAUCCUAUUAUGGGGGCUUCAAGAUGUCUAACAAUAUGUAGAAUGCCCAUGCUCCUCCCCAUUGUUUAUCUUAUACAAUAAUUUGUUUUAGAUGCUAAUAUCUUUGUCGAUACUGGUAACAAUAUUACAAUAUCUGCCUUUAUUGGGUUUUACAUAGGUUCGACUGUUUGACAGUACACACUAUCUGAAGGCAUUUGCAAUUGGAGAUGUAUGGGUUGCUGUUGGGUGGAGUAGUGAUGUUCUUCCUGCUGUCAAACGUAUGUCUAAGGUUUUAUGAGAAACGAAAGAUGAGUGUUUGUUUGAACAAAGUUGUUGCCAAUCUUGCAGAGUUCGAAAAGAAAGAUCACGGAGCGAAUGCCACCGAUUUCUUCAUCAUUUUAGCCUCCAUAGUUGAAGUUUCCUCAUUUGAAGCUGUUUAUGCAUACGCUUUUUCCCUGCUCUAGUACAGGAAAUUGAAGAAUUAACCAGAUGUGAUAUGCUGAAAGAGGGAAGUUUUCUUCCUUGAAUGUGGCCUUUGUGAUUUGUCUUGAAGGAAUAGGAUGAUCACUGGCAAAAACCCUAUCAAGGUAGAUUUUAUGAUGUUAACAUAUUAUUAAGCAUUUUGUUACAUCAGCAAUGAUGCUUUCAUAGCAUGAAAGUGUCUAAAUUUAACUGAAUGAUCUUGAUUAAUCAAUUAUGAGUUUUAAUCGAGUAAAAACUAAAUACAAUAAUCGUUGACAAAUACUGAAAUUGGGUAAAUAUGAUCUUGAUAUUGAGAAUCUGAAAACACAACCCACACAGGGAAUCACCCUUCGCGUGGGGAUGGAGAUGUUUACUGCAGCGAUAUUGCAUAUGUCCACUGCUCUUUGGGUUAUGGUGCGACUUGCGAUUUCAAGGUUUCCCUGAAACAAUGAAAAGAUUGACGUACCCUGCAAUGAAUGAAAGCGGCUGGACUAAUUCUGAUUACCUAAUUGACUCAGGAUCGGCUGGCAAUAAUGACAGUUUAUUAACAAUGCACAGUCCCGAGUACUUUCCAGGAUCAGAUAUUACGUGGUCUAAUGUUGAUAAUAAUAGAUUAUCAAAUGACAAAUCGUUGUUCUUGGGUGUUGAUUUCAGAAAUAAAAUACGUUCUGAGAGAUGCUGGUCUACUAUUGCAAGCCCCCAGAUUUAAGAAUCUUUUGAUGAUAAUUUACCACCUGUAACUGUGCCGGAAGAUUCACCUAGCACUGAAAAAGAUGAUAAUUUAAUUGAUAUGGACAGUUUCCAUAUCACUUUUAAAUCAUCUUAUGUAAUUGUGAUGUUAGGAAGCAUUAGUGAUCUACAUGUGAACUAUUAUUGGCGCCAUUUGUGGUUUUAUUUUAUUAAAAUAUGGAUGACUUCCCGUUACUAUUUCGUUGUAGACAAUCUUAUCAAUUAACAUAUAGUUUAAAAUCAUUAUGAUCUAUUAAUUUUCAUGAUAUUUAACUGAGUUAAAACUAAGUGCAUUCAAUAAAUCUUUCUUCCUUUAAAAAACUGUUGCGCUUUAAUUUUAGUGCUUAAUAUUUACAGAACUCUGGUACAGGGAAUUCGAAAUCAAACUAGUAACUACAGAUUAUCUAAUUGCAAGUUUUUGUCCAUAGUUGCAGAUUUGUAGUGAUUAUCUAAUUGACUGAGGUGACAACAAUUUUUUUUUUAAUUUUCAAUAGCAUAAUGUGGAAUUCAAUAAUUAAAUUCUCCUUUUUAAUUUGUUUCCAGUUAAAUUAUUAAUUACUUAAACUUUGUUUUAAGUCUUUAAUUUUAUGUCUUGGCCUAUAUGCAGGGUUGGAUUCUUGAGCGUGUUGGACACGACCAACAAUGAAAUUGACAGUAAACAAACAUUACAACACGUUGAGUGUCGACUCCAGUAGCUGCCCUACAAGUCUACAACUUUACAAACAAUAAUUGAGUACACACAUUUGAUUCUCGGGACCCUCCAAUGAAUUUCUAGCCCCGUUGACUCCGCCGACAAAAGUUUUGGAAAAUAAAAAAAAUUCAUAGAAUUCCACCAAAUACAAAACGCGUGGAAUUUAAUUUUCGGCCAUGUGGACCAAAACACAAUUUAAUGAAAAAAAAGAUAAGAUUUCUAAAAUGUGUAGAAAGUGAUCCAUAUUUUACUGAAACAACUUGUUAAAUUUUUCAAGGAUUUAGAAUAUUUGAUCAUAAAUUACGCCCAUGUUAAUUUUUCCGCUAUUGACUAUCAUUUUCUAGACUCACUGUCACCUUUCUUGAUGAACGGUACUUAGUCUCUCUUCUCCUCUUAUAAAAAUUAUAUUAAUUGAUUUCUUAUUAUAAUAAAUAGUCUUUAAGAACGUAUAGAUUUAUUGUUUUCGUGACCAAAUUAUGCCUGCUUAAGGUUGAGACUAUUAAUAAAAUUAAUAUUUAAUGUUUAUGUUAAAAGAUAUAAGAUUUUAUGCAUUCAUUAAUUGUUAUUAGCUAAAGGAUUAAUUAUUUUUUCAACCCAAUCAGUUGAUGCAUCUGCAAGAGUUUUUUCUUUUAUUUACCAUAAUUAUAUUCCGGGUACAAUAAAUUAUCUUUGGUGCUUGGAAAAUAUGACUUCUUACUUCAAGUUUGAUGUGUCUCUCUCCGUAAGCUUACUGGAAAUAUAUCCUCAUUUACUGUCAUUUAUCUAAUAUCAAAUGAAAGAUCUCACUUUUUCAAACUAUCACUUCCAAGUCUCAUUGUCACUUAGCCAUUCUUGGACCAUUCAAAACCAAUCUGUUGAAAUAAUCAAAUAUAUGCAAAAUUAGAGUCACGAUUGUUGGUCCCCCAAAUUCUAAUUAUAUAACUUCUAUAUAUCUCAUUGUCAGGUCACGAACUUGUUGGCACAUUUCCAAAUUCCUCUUCCAUCAGCUCUCACACGUUAAUUUUUAGGUUAUCUAAAUUUCAAGGAUUUAAAAUCUUUGAUCAUGGAUUACAUGUUUAAUUUUUCUGCCAUUGACUGUCAUAUUCUAGAUUUAAUGGUACCUUUCUUGAUCAAGCGUAAUUACUCUCUCGUCUCCUCUUAUAAAUUCCUCUUCCAUUAGCUGUUAGCCUAUAUGGCUAUAGAUAUUGAUUUUGAUGAUAACAAACCACAUGUGUUGAUUAAACAAAGAUUUAUGAAUUGUGCAUUUAUAAUAAGAAAAUGAUGUUAUGGAAUUAAAGUGUUUUUGGACUAAAGUGAAAGUAUUUUAAAACCUUUGAUAUUAUUUUAAAAUUUCAGAUUUGGACCUAUUUGAAAAUAUUUAAAUAUUUUGGGUCAUUCUAUAUUUUUACAUGGUUUGGGUGAAAUCAUAAUUUCAAUUUGAGUGUGUGAGACACUUGAGUGAAGAGGUUGGGAGAUAAUCUCUUUGUUGUAAGGGUUCAUUGACACAUUGAAGUCAAUUGUAAACGUUUGAAGCCUUAAAAAAACUUGGAUAGUGAAAUCCUCAAGUUUGAAUCGCUUGGAGGCGUGGACGUAAGCGGGGAUUGCCGAACUACGUAAAAAUUCGUGUGUUUGUUUCUCUUCUCUCUUGCUCAAUUGUUAUUGUGCUUUUAUUGAACUUAUUACUUUUGAAUUUAUUAAUGCAUUAAAUUGGAUUGUUAUGUGGCUUUGUUAGGAUAUUUUUUAAAAUACCAAUUCACCCCCCUCUUAGGUUGCACACUUGUAUUUCAUUAGCAUUACUAGGAAUUUGUUGAUCUCUAAGAUGCUAACUUGAGUGAAGAGUUUCCAAAUUGAUUGUUACAAAACAACAAAAAAACUAGACACACUUGAUCUGUCUAAUAAUUCUCUUUCGGUAAAAUUAAUUAAUUUUAGGGGAAUUUUCGGCCAACCUCUGUAAUUUCAAAGUGAUCAUUAAUUAAUUAAACGAUACAAAUAUCUAAAGUGAUUAGAUGUUUGCUGACAAUACAAGUUCAUGGCUUGAAAUUUGAUCUCUAUCGAUUGGUUUACAAAUGGACGCACUUGUGCCUUUGUGGCGAUAAUUAAACAGAGAUGUGAAGUUGUAAAGAUUUGACAAGUUCCCAUGAUUAGUAUUUUUUUUCAAAAACUUUUUUACAACAAAUUCAUCUCGCCCAAAAAUUAUAUUUUGCUAUCUAACAAUAAUUGAGCACUUGGCCGCAUUGACUCCACGUCUCCACCUACUUUCUAAGUAAAAACAUGGAAAUGUAAUCUCCACAAAAUGUCAAACGUGUGGAAUUUAAUUUUUGGCCUUGUGAACCAAAAUGCAAAUGAAAGAAAAAGAGAGAAAAAAACAAGGCCCAAAGACUACGAAAAGAUAUAAAAGUCUUUGGGCCUUUUUAUAACGGUGGAUUUUUUAAAAGGAAAAAAUAACAACACUUCUAUGGUUUGUUUUGAUAAUCACAUUUACAUAUACUCUCUAAUUUUUAAAAUGGACACAUAAAUCUUUUUUUUUUUUUUCUACAAACGUAUAUUAUUCGUAUUUUUUAUUAUUUUUAAUAUCAUAUUGUUAUUUUUUUUAGAAGAUAUUGUUAUUUAUUAUAAAUGUUUAAAGUAAAUUUUUAGGUUGAAAUAUAAUAAAAAGGUAUAAUCGUUCUCUUAUUAAACACCCAUACUUUUAAUUUCUAUCCAUUUGUCAUCUCAAUCUCUCUCAAUUAUUCUUUAUUGCUAGCUCAAAACGCGUUGCUGUUGCAAAUUAUAGCAAAAAGACAAAUAUGGAAAAGAAAAAAGGGAAGAAAAUUAAUGCAUGAAAGAUUUGGAGAAAACAACGAAGUAAGUCAACUAUAAUCUAGUUGGGUGUGUAAAUUGUUUGAUGCUUUAUAAGCAAAUAACAUAUAGAGACAGACAAUGUGUGUUCGUUUUUUCAUAGUUAAAGAUAUAGUUAGAAUGGGUGGUUCAAAAUCAAAAAUGGUGAUAAUGUUUGUUAUGUUAUUAAUAAUAUUUAAAAGUGGGUGGAGUGAGGGAUGUUUGGAUCACGAGAGAUUUGCUCUUUUGCGACUUAAACAUUUCUUCGAUGAUACUAGUAGUUAUCUUUACGAUUGGGGAGAUGGUGAGGGAGCUACUGAUUGUUGUCAGUGGAAAAGGGUUGAGUGCAGCAACACCACAGGUCGAGUGAUAGUGCUAGACCUUUCUAGCAUGUAUUGGGGAGAGUACAGCUGGUAUCUGAAUGCUUCUUUGUUUACUCCCUUCCAACAACUUGAGUCACUUGAUUUAACUGACAACAAAAUAGCCGGUUGUGUUGAGAAUGAAGGUGCUUCGUUUAAUUUAAUUAAUUUACUUUCUCCACCCUAAUUUAAGUUGAAUAUCAAGACCGAGCAAUUAUACACAUAUUCAUUUAGUCGACAAUUUUGACUUUUUUUUAAAUGAUUAAUUUUGAAAUUACACCAAUAUCUAUGAUCCUUUUUUUUUAUUUUACUUGCAGGUAUAGAGAGGCUAUCAAGAUUGAACAACUUGAAGAUGCUUAAUUUAAGUGAUAACUCGUUCAACAAUAGCAUUUUAUCAUCUCUAACUCAUCUUUCAUCAUUAAGAUCAUUAAAUUUAUUUUGGAAUAGAUUGGAAGGAAGUAUUGACGUUAAAGGUACAUAAUUAAAACUUCAUCCCUUCUCCAAGCUCUUUCAUUAACUUGCUAAAAUAAGAUUCAAGGCUUUGAAUUCAAAUUUUUUUAUGAUUAGUAUUAAAAAAAAACAGUUUUAAGCAAUUUAUAAAUACAAGUUUUAAUGUUUCUCAUAAUUUCAUCUUGUACUUUCAUAUGUCUUGAAUUUAAGAUUAAAAAAAAAAAACUCUAAUAGCGAACCAAACACCUCCACAACUAAUUAUUAUUAUUAUUAUCAUUUUUUUUUUAUUUGUGGUGAGGUUUGAAACAUUCAACUCAAUUUGUACUUAUUACAGAAUUUGAUUCUUUGAGAGAUUUAGAGGAGCUAGACAUUGGCGAGAACAAGAUUGACAAAUUUGUGGUCUCAAAAGGUACUAGAACGACUGCAAAAAAUGUAAACUUCUACAAAUUAGCUAGAUUCUUUGCCAUUUGGUUUAUUAUUUUGCAGGUUUGAGGAAGUUGAGGUAUCUCAGUUUAAGUGGUAUCAAACUCAAUCAUAGCAUAUUAUCUUCUCUGACUGUCUUUUCUUCGUUAAGAGAAUUAUAUCUAGAUGAUACGGGAUUCAAAGGAACAUUAGAUAUUCGAGGUAAGUCUAAGCCCUGCUUUCUCAUUUUAUAUAUGCCAGCUAGACUUGUGUAUCAUCGACAUAAUUUAAUAUUUAAUUUGAUUAGUCUGAAGGAAUUACAUGCUAAUUUAAACAUACUUUUAUUUACUCUGUCAAUCAAUUAAUUAAUUAAUUACUAUUUGGCUUGGUUUGGAUGAAUUCUCAUGAUGUUUUAAUUUCUUUAAAUUAAUUAAUUAAUUAACUCUGUUUUUAAGUCUUAAGUCUGGGCAUGUUUGCAGAAUUUGAUUCCUUCAACAACUUAGAAGUGUUGGACAUGAGUUACAACAAAAUCGACAAUCUUGUGGUUCCUCAAGGUAAACAAUUAAAAUAUUAUUCAAUUACAUUAAUAUAAUUCAUUUGGUUAGGGAAGGCCCAAAAGGUACAAAAAAAAUUAAAUAAAGAAACAGAGAAUUUGUAUUAUUUAAAAAACAGAAUGUAAUAAAGAUUUGAUUCUAGUUCUUUAAUCUUUAAAGCGAUUGAAAAAUAAUGUUGCUCUUUUCCCAAAGCAUAAAAUACGAAUUGAAUGCCAAUUAACUUAAUCAUUCAUUUCGUUUAGCUCUAAAUUUAGACAAUGAAUUUUUAUAUUAUUUCAAAAACAGGACGUAAUAGAAUUUAAAAAAAAAACAGAUUGUAAUAAAGAUUUGAUUCUAAUUUUUUAAUCUUUACUGCGAUUGAAAAAUGAUACAGCUCUUUUCCCAAAGCAUAAAAUACGAAUUGACUCCCAAUUAAAUUAAUCAUUUAUUCCAUUCAUCUCUUAAUUUAAAUAAUGAAUUUUGUUUUCUUAAAUCGUAUUCUAAUUACUAUUAAAAAACAGGUUACAGAGGUUUGAGGAAGUUGAAAAGCCUUUAUCUAUUGAGAGUUAGAAUUAGAGAUGGAAGCAAGUUGUUACAGUCAAUUGGAUCAUUCCCAUCCCUCAACACUCUUUACCUUUCGUCUAAUAAUUUGACGGAAACAGUGACAACUACUACUCAAGGUAAUUAAAAGGUACAAAUGUCGCCAAAUUUAUAAAUAAAUUGUUAAUUAAUUAAUUUUUCCGUAUUAUUAAUAAAGCUAAAUUCGUUGCUCCUUCCUUCUAAAUCUAAACAGAGUUGCACAAUUUCACCAACUUGGAAUAUUUGACAUUGGACGAUUCCUCUCUCCAUAUAAGCCUUCUGCAAAGCAUUGCAUCAAUAUUCCCUUCGUUAAAAAAUUUGUCGAUGAUUGGUUGUGAAGUCAAUGGCGUCCUACGUGGUCAAGGUAAAAGAAAAGUGUUAAUUGUGAACUCGCACAAUGGUGUCCUACGUGUUCAACAUUUUUAUUUAUUUAUUUUAUUGUUUAAUGUUUCUGCUAGGUUUUCCUCAUUUCAAGAGUUUGGAAUAUUUGAAUAUGGAUUUCACGCGCAUUGCACUCAACACCAACUUUCUUCAAAUCAUCAGUGAAUCGAUGCCUUCUCUUAAGUACUUAUCACUGUCAGAUUCUACUCUUGGCACUAACAGCAGCAGGAUUCUUGAUCGAGGUUAAUCAGAUGCUCCCACCCUCCCUUCUUAAUCUAUAAUAUUAAUUUUCAAUUCAAUAUUUAAUUACACAAACGAAUCACUUAUUAUAAAAGAAUAAUACGCAUUCAUUAAUUUUUAUGCUGUAUUAAUUGAUGAAUUUAAUAAAUUUUCAGGCCUCUGUUCGUUGGUGCAUCUGCAAGAGUUGCGCAUGGCUGAUAAUGAUUUAAGAGGUAGCUUGCCUUGGUGCUUGGCAAAUAUGACAUCCCUCCGAAUAUUAGAUGUUUCUUUCAAUCAACUUACUGGAAGCAUCUCCUCAUCUCCCCUCGUUCAUUUGACAUCCAUUGAAGAGCUGAGGCUUUCAGACAAUCAUUUUCGGAUCCCAAUUUCACUUGAACCACUUUUCAAUCACUCAAGACUCAAGAUUUUCCAUGCUAAAAAUAACCAAAUGAAUGCAGAAAUAACUGAGUCACAUUCUUUGACCGCCCCAAACUUCCAAUUACAAUCUCUCUCAUUGUCUUCCAGUUAUGGAGAUGGUGUCACAUUCCCCAAAUUCCUUUACCAUCAACAUGACCUGGAGUAUGUUCGUCUCUCACAUAUAAAGAUGAAUGGAGAAUUUCCAAAUUGGUUGUUGGAAAACAACACAAAAUUAGCAACUCUUUUUUUGGUUAAUGAUUCUCUUGCAGGACCUUUUUGGUUGCCAAUUCAUUCACACAAGCGGUUAGGAAUAUUGGAUAUAUCCAACAACAACAUCCGAGGCCACAUUCCAGUAGAAAUUGGAGAUGUUUUACCAAGUUUAUACGUUUUCAACAUUUCCAUGAAUGCUUUAGAUGGUAGCAUUCCCUCUUCAUUUGGUAAUAUGAAAUUCCUCCAAUUGCUGGACUUAUCCAACAAUCAAUUGACUGGUGAAAUCCCCGAGCACUUGGCCGUCGGUUGCGUCAACUUGCAGUUUCUCAUGUUAUCAAACAACAGCCUAAAAGGUCACAUGUUCUCUUGAAAUUUUAACCUGGCCAAUUUGAUGUGGUUACAAUUGGAGGGCAAUCACUUCGUAGGAGAGAUCCCACAAAGUUUGUCUAAAUGCUCCUCCUUAGAAGGAUUGUAUCUUACCAAUAAUAGUCUCUCGGGUAACAUUCCAGGAUGGUUGGGUAAUCUCACAUGGUUAAUACAUAUUAUAAUGCCCGAGAAUCAUCUUGAAGGUCCUAUUCCAGUGGAGUUUUGUCAACUUUAUUCGCUUCAGAUUUUGGACAUUUCAGACAACAACAUAUCUGGAAGUUUGCCAUCCUGUUUCCAUCCUCUCUCUAUCGAACAAGUUCAUCUUUCAAAAAAUAUGUUACAUAGACAGCUAAAAAGAGGUACAUUCUUUAAUUGCUCUUCCCUUGUGACAUUAGAUCUUAGUUAUAACCUCUUGAAUGGCAGCAUUCCGGAUUGGAUUGGUGAGCUUUCUCAGUUAAGCCACCUUAUCUUAGGUCACAAUAAUCUUGAAGGUGAAGUGCCAGUUCAAUUGUGCGAAUUGAACCAACUACAAUUGUUAGAUCUUUCUAAUAAUAGUCUUCACGGUUCUAUUCCUCCAUGCUUUGAUAACACAACACUUUAUGAAAGUUACAACAACAGUUCUAGUCUUGAUGAGAAAUUUGAAAUAUCUUUUUUCAUCGAAGGCCCUCAGGGAGAUGUAGAAAAGUGAAUCCGUGAAAAAUUUGAGUUCACAACAAAGAAUAUUGCGUACAUUUACCAAGGAAAAGUGCUUAGCCUCCUAUCAGGACUUUAUCUUUCUUGCAAUAAGCUAAUCGGUCAUAUUCCUCCUCAAAUUGGAAAUUUGACAAGGAUUCAAACAUUGAAUCUAUCAUAUAACAACUUGACAGGAUUGAUCCCAUCAACAUUUUCAAACUUGAAGCAUAUCGAAAGUUUGGAUCUUUCCUACAAUAAAUUAAAUGGGAAAAUCCCUCAUCAACUUGUGGAGUUAAAGACAUUGGAGGUUUUUAGUGUGGCAUACAAUAACUUAUCGGGCGAAAUUCUAGAAUGGACUGCACAAUUUGCAACAUUUAACAAGAGUAGCUAUGAGGGAAAUACUUUUCUUUGUGGAUUGCCAUUGCCCAUUUGCAGAUCACCAGCAACUAUGUCGGAGGCUUCAAUUGGCAAUGAACGAGAUGAUAAUUUAAUUGACAUGGAUAGUUUCUUUAUCACAUUUACAACAUCGUACGUAAUUGUGAUAUUCGCAAUUGUUAUUAUUUUAUAUGUAAAUUCUUAUUGGCGACGUAGAUGGUUUUACUUUGUUGAAAUGUGGAUAACUACAUGUUACUAUUUUGUUGUAGACAAUCUUAUUCCAACAAGAUUUUGUCAUUGAAAUUAUUUAGUAGUUUAAUUACGAUUCUUUAAGUACUAAUCAAGUUUGUAUAGGAAAUAAUUUUUUAUUAAAAUUGUAGUAGUAUUUAGCAUUAUAUAGCUUCCAACUUCCAAGCACUUCACAUUUGUCUCUACACUUACAAAACUGAGUGAUCAUGUUUUGCAGAUCUGGAUUUGGAGCAGGAUGGAUCCAAACCCAUAUCUGUCCACCAUAACUUAUAGCUUCCCUAUACUGUGCAGCAUACUUAAAUAAGAGAACCAUCUCCAAUGUUAAAAGCAUUCACUCUAUAACAUUCAUUUAGAAACUAUAUUCAGAAUAAUUUUAUAAUUAAACACAAGAAAUGAAACACCUAGAUACACUUGAUCGCCUAUUUUACUCUAAAAAAUAACGAUUAUGGUGCUAUCAUCAUCUUCUUCACUAGCAACAUUAACACCAAAUCGAUGGACCCAUACAUUUCAUCAAGAAAGGUAUAUAUCCAAUAAAGUUGAAGCCUAACAAAAAAAUCAGGAAGAUUAAUGCCUCACCACAACAAGGGGCAUAACAACAUCAAAGUAGAGAUUAAACAGUAUUCUCAAAGCUAAAACUCUCAAAUCCACCCACCAGAAUUUCAUAUCUCCUCAACAAUUUUAAGAACUAAAGAUAAUUAGGAUUUAACAUUAGUUUUUUAUAUAUUAGUUUCAUAAUUUACAAAUCAAUGAAGAUGAAGAUUAUGCGAAUAAAUUCAAAUUAUACCAUACAUUCUCUAGAUGUUACCAAAAAUUUCUAAGUCAAUCCCACAUAUUUCAUAAUUUUAAGACUAGAAAAUUCACUAGUUAGAAGUUUCAUUACCUUCAAGUGGAAGAUGAAGAACAUUAUGCAAGUGAUUCAGAUUAUAUCAUACAUACUCCAAAUGCAACUAGAAAUUAACAAGUUCAUGUGCACAUAUUUCAUAACAUUAUGAUUGAAAAGUUUCACAAAGAGAAAUUCUAAAUUCAAUCUCUUGCAUGAAGGCAGUUUGAUUGAUUUGAGUUACUUUAUGAUCAAGCUACUAAUAUAACAUUCAAGUCAGGGAGAAAGUAAAUUAAAAAUGGGAAGAAAUAACAGUAAAAAUUUGUUGCUAAACAUGAUGUGUAUUUUUUUCAAGGCAAUUUGGAAACACAAUUGUUACUACAGAUAUUCUCCUCAACUUAGAGAUAAAUACAAAUAUUAAAAUGCACAUGAUCGCACAUAUUACUUGGAGCUUAGUAAGAUUUCAUUAAAAGAAGCAAUCAAACCACUUAUCAAUUGUCGCAGUCAUUCUAUAAACUAAAAUAGCAAAUAUAAUAUAAGAAAAAGAACAUAUAGAUACUUGGCAAGAGUUCAUUAAGAAGUCACAUCACAUUCGGGUGAGGAGUUUGCUUCUGAUAUCUUGCUAGCUGGGGCUUUUUCUCGUCUUUCUAUGUAUGCCGAGGGAAACCAACCAGCUUGGCCCUUGCAUUCACCUUCCAACCAUCCAGUACGAGCCACCUUGAGAAGUUAUAACUAAAACGGUGAAUUAAACAAAAGUUGACCGUUCAAAGACCUAAGGGGAAAACUAAUUCUUUUAUGUAGAAUGAGUGAACUAGUUGUGAUCACUGGAAUAACAACAUAACUAUGGAAGCAUAACAAGAUAUAAAUUCACAUGUCUAUAAGGGUAAACUGGGUGGUUUAGAACUGAGCUAGCAACCCUACUAGAUUAUGAUUUGCAUUUCAAUGUAAAAGGGAAUAUAUGGUAGGAAGAAAGAAAACCAACCAUCAUUUGUUAACUCAUUGCUUUUCAAUCAAAAUUUUAAGAACAAAAUGCCAUGUGCUUUGAAUAUCAAAUAAGUAUAAGCAUUAUUUCUAAAUUCCACAUAUCAUAAGUUGUUAGAAGGAUAAGUUAAUAGCAUAGUAGAAAAAUCUAUGUGUCAGUAUUUAGAGGGGAAAGUACCUGGCGAACCACAACAUAAUCAUCAAUUAAAAGACUUAGCUCUCCAUUUGCUUGAGCAUCAAAUGGAUGUAUAACCUGCAAGAUAAUGGGAUAAAUAGAACUUAAAAAAAGCAUAACAAAAGCAGCAACAGUAGCAGCAGCGUUCAUUGUAACCACUAUGAUCAUGGCCAACAAAGAUAUAUUAGAAACAAAAUUCCAUUUUUACUACGACAUUAAUAUGUACUAUACGAUAUCAUGACGAUUGGGUUACUAAGAGCUAUCAAAGUCUAAUAAGUUAUGUAUAACUUUUGUAGUUAUUUAAAUUAUGGAUCAGAUUUUAAAUUUGAAAUUUUGACUGCUCUCCACAAAACAUGGCCUGUGCACAAAAAAGUCAUAGAUAAUGAGGAUUACAAGUGUCCGACAUCUUUUGAGUGAUGGAUUUAACAUGAGAGCUUAUGGUCAGUCAAUUUCCUCUGCCUAGCAAUAUAAGCUUUCUCGGCCAGAUUUAUCAUCAAAUACAUAGAUUGCCCCCAAGUCACAUCCAUAUAAACAUAAUUUUUCUAGGUAAACCAAGUAAGGAGAAUCAUAAUUCGGACAUAAUCAUAAAAAGGCCCAUCUAACUUAAGAGAAAAUCUUAAAAAGAGGGAUGCUGAGCUAUCAGUCUUGUAUCUAUAAGCAAUAUCAAGACUUUACAUCACCUGCUACAUCGUGAGUGGUUACACAACUUUUAGUGGUUUGUCUUUCUUUGGCAUGCCUAACUCAGCUUUGAUGUUGCUGAGAUAUUGAUAGUAGAGAGCAGAAGCCUUACUUUCGCUAUAAAUUAGACGUCAUUCUGAUUAAUAUGCGUUUGCAAAUCAGCUCUGUUUGAAUCAGUAUUCUGAUAGACACAUGAGGCAUUUACAUCCAUUUCCAAAGUCACAUGUUGCGGGGAGGACUCAUUUGAUUGCUCCUAUACGAUCAUCUAAUUCAAGUAGCAAGGGUUGGAAGAGAAUAAAAAGUCACAAUUAUUCUUUUGCAUAAGUGAGACGAAAAUGGUAAAUGCAAUAUUAUUAGCAGUAAAUAAGAAGAGAACGCUCCAAGGAAUAGAUAGAUGCAGACAAGCAAGUUAAAAUGCAUAGUCCCAAACCUCCGCAUACAACUUCUCUAAAAUAGCAAUAACGUGUUGAUGAUAUAUUUUCUCAGCAUCUACCUGCAAAGGCCCGAGACCGGGAAAACAACAAUAAAACCACUAGCUGAAGGAGAAAGCAAAGAAAAAAAUACACUUGACAUAAAUCUUGACAAGAAGCACAAUUUAAGACAUAACAAACCCCAAUCAUAUUAUUUUUGCUAGUCACACGCUAGUCUGUGCUAGUGAUGUAAGAAGUCACAAGGUCUCUUCAACAUUUGAACCAAUAAAAUUAUUAAGUCAUGGAUGUCACUAGCAAUGAUUUUAAUAUAAAACAUUAAAUAUUUCAGAGUUGUAACUUUAAAAUGGAUUCUUUUAUUCAAUACCAUAGAACUAAGUUUCCUUAUGAGAAGAUAGUAGUUUCGAUAAUAUUUUACAUAUAAUUUUUGCGAUACCUUCGUCUCGCACUACCAGUGAUACCCUCACUCUUNNNNNNNNNNNNNNNNNNNNNNNNNNNNNNNNNNNNNNNNNNNNNNNNNNNNNNNNNNNNNNNNNNNNNNNNNNNNNNNNNNNNNNNNNNNNNNNNNNNNUGUUGAAAUUUAUCUAAGUUCAAAAGUAAUGCAGAGUGGGUUUCUAAACUCCAUUCCACUAGCUACUUCCUUUAAGAAAAAUUCCACAUCAUUGGUUUGAAUUUUAACUGGUGGCAUAGGAUCAUAUGUCUUAAGCUUGAACUUCAUUGUGAUUUCGAAUUCCGAAGUAUUUAUAUCAAUAACUUGAGCUAUCUUCUCCACCAAUUCGGCAUAUGUUGUCGAUCGUGGUAUCAUUAUCCCUUUAGCCUUGGAACCUUUGAAUUUAUACUCGUCAUUUUGCUCAAUCCAUUCACCAUUGAAGAGAAUAAGCACACGUACCAAAACCAUAUAUGAUGAUACAAUAAAAACAAUAAUAUCAAAUUUCAUAUACAAGUAACUACACGACCUACACAACUACAUUACUUACAUGACCUACAUGACCUACAUGACUAUAUUACUUACAUGACCUACACGAAUUAUACGACUUACACGACUAUAUUACUUACACGACUUACAUGACUAACUAUAUGACAUACACAGUAUCAAAAGGAAUGCACGACGCGAAACAUUUUCGCCAUAAAUAAGUUAUAAACAACCUAUAUUGCAUAUAUUUCUAUAUAUAAGAAAAAAUGGUGAAAAUAAAACAUUAUAAUGUGAAGAAAAUUUCUAAAUUUUCCUAAAAAUAAAAAAACUUAAAACCCAACAACAUUAACAUACCUUAUUGGGUUGUUUAAUAAGUAAUGCACAUUAUUUCAGUUAAAAAAAAGUGGGUGUUAAAGAAAUGAAUACAUAAUCAUAUUUGUGUAAGAAGUUAUGAGAGAUUUUGAGAGAUUCUAGGAGAUUUUGAGAGAAUUUCGGCAGCAAGAAGAGAUUUGGGUGUUAAAGAAAUAUGAAGACAAGGAAGUUGAGUGAAUUUGAUUCAUUCAUUAAGGGCAUUUUAGACUUUACUCACAUUUGUUAGGGUAUCCAUGAAAACAAAAAAGGAAAGGGGUAUUUAAAUAAUUUUAAAACUAUUAAAGGGUAUUUAAUUAAAAACCCUAGGAGAAGAUGAUAGUGGAAGUAUGCAGUGUGGCUGCCAGGUACUUGGAUUGUAUUAUCGGGUAAGGUAAUAGUAGAGAAUUAUAAGUUUGAACAGAGCAUGUUGGACUUUUGUUGACCAAAUUCAAAAGCCCAAUGGCACGACCCAGAAGCUUUUGAAUAGAAAAACUUGCUAGAAAGCAUCAGUUUAAAUCACUACUUAAACGCUGCACCGCUUUGUACUGUUUUAGGUAUGUAGCGGUUGUGCAGUUGUAAUUCACGGCUGACGCUACGUGUUUGUUUGUACUGUUCUAUUCAGUGAUAGAGUAUUAUUAGUUAGGCCAAAACUAUGUUGCAACAGUGGUACAGUACCACUGUUGCUUUCAUAGCUGGACCCUAUUAGUUAUUUCAAAGGGAUAAAUAAGAUUGGUUACAACAAAUCUACUAUUUUUAUAAAAUUCAAGUAAUAUAGAAUAAAAUAAAAAAAUAAAUACAAAAUUGACUUUUAUUUUUUAUGGUUGACUAUAUUUUGUGUUCUCUUCGGGCACUGCUACAAUUGUUCCCCAUAUAUCAAUUACACCACAUACUAUCGACACAAGAAAUGAAAUCUAAUAUCACCUGUUUAGUUAAAAAAUCACUCAUGAAAAAAGUUUACCAUUUUGAUUUGAGGAUCCAUAUUUUGAACUGCAAGCUAAUGUUCAUCAAGAAUCACUGAUGGCCGUUGAGUAGAAAAAUUAUUUUUGGACAAAUUAUUUUUGUUGAUAGAAGAAUUUCUUUAGGGACUACUAAAUUAUUAAUAAAAAUGUCGAACACACCCACAUAUCAUCGACACAAUUGAUUUUGAGGAUCCAUGCUUUGAAUUGCCGCCUAAUGUUCAUCAAGAAUAGAGUAUGGCUUGUGAGUAGAAAAUUUUCUUAUUUUGGCCCAAAAUAAAAAGAAAUUAAAUUGGAUGAGAAUCUGCCACUUUCUCAUGAAGAAAGGCAUACGAAGCAUACCAUGAUACCAUACAAUAUAAGGAGCCGCCGUUCUUUGGUUUUUCAAACUUUGAAGGGGCCAAUAUUGCCAAAUUCCCCCUUGAAAAUUCUGACUACGACAUUAUUCAUCGCUUGAUGCAAUCAAAGUAGUGACAAAGUUAGGAAAAAUAUGAGCCCUAAGUAAUUGCUAGGCAGGGUUCCUGAGAGCAAAAUUGUCCUAAGCAUUAUAUGCAUACAUGGUGCGGUACAUAGAGCACGUUGAAUUCCCCACUAUAACACAAAUCCAGAAAGAGAAGUAAUAACUCAACUGAUAUAAAGACAAAAAGAAGAUAAAAUGAUAUAGAAAAAAGAAUUUCAAAGAGACAGCAACAUACGAUAGGCUGAAGCCACUUGAUCUACUCAUUGAUUGCAGCCUUAAACUUGCAAAUAGUUACUGUAUGCUAGUGCUCUAAGAAGUGAAAAUGAUGCAAGCCCUGAUUCCCUUUUGACUUCCAUUUACUGUCAAACAUUCUAGUAAUACAAAAAAUUGUUUAGAUAUCUUGCUAUAAAUAUAGUUGUUUGACUGUCAUAAUAAAGUCACAAAUAACCAUUCAUAUUGAUCUACUGUCACACAGCAUGCUUUAUGCAUACAACAGCUGUAUGUAUACCAACUCCUAACCUUAUCAAUGCAUUUGGCAAAAACUUAAGAAGAAAACUAUUUCUCCAUCUCUUUUUUGAAAUUUCACAAUAACCAGCACAAUGUGAAAGCUAUGUUCUAACCUUAUGAUAAAUGCUCCAGACUCCAAAAGGAUUUUAUAUAUGAGUUUUUGUUGCAGCAGAUAUAUUGACUUAUCAAGUAUGAAUCAUUUUCUGGAUGAACUAUCUUUAGAUAAAAGAAUAUUAGAACCACUGUAGAAUAUCUUUACGCUGCUGGUUCUAACAAGAAUCUGCUUGUGGCAACAAUUGCUAGAUCCACAAUUCCCCAACUUGAAAUACAUAGUUGCACACCAUGAGAUAGUGCUACGAUCUACUGAGAUCUAACUUAUAUGGUACUUUAAGCUACUAAUGUUUGCAUAUUUCUACAUGUUAAAUUAACACUAUCAUCUAUAAUCACUCCAAAACAACAAAUGAUAAGCAGCUUUUGGCCACUUAUUACUAGCAUCCACAAUUAUAAUAAGAGAUCAUGGGUUUACUUGUUGCACCUACUUAAUUAUCUGCAGUUGACAUCCUGACGCAAGGUUUAAAUAGUGACUGCUUAGAACCCUUGUAGUUGGAUCUUGACCUCUCCCAUUGUAGCCAAGAUUGGUUACUCUGGUAAUGAAUCAACACUCUCCUGCUCAGGGCCAUGAAGAUCUGAAAGCUCAGCACUAGUGGAGAACUUCAUCAAUCUCUUCUUCUCAGCAUACUUGAGACAAGGCUGCAUUACGAGACCAAUCACCACAGCACCAACGCUUAAAGCUACAACUUUUAAAGAAGAAAGAGCCAACACAACACAACACAAAUCAAUAUGGUUGGAGGAAUACACAUGAUAAUGGCUCUAACAGUGCCAGUGGGUAUCUUGUAGGGACGAGAUGCAGCAGGAUAUUGUAUCCUUAACCAUACAAAUGCUAUGAACUCCAUAAUCAUUCCAAAACAGUACAGGAAGUUCUCUGCAGCUACAAUAUCUCGAAAGCUCAGCCAUGAUAGCAAAACCACACCAGAUGCUGAGAAUAUGAUUCCAAUCAAAGGAGUCCCAUAACAAGACCUCUUAGCAAAAAACUCAGGUAGCAUUCCACGCUCAGCCAUCCCCAAAAGUUGGAAAGAGUCGCUGCUCAUCUCAGCCACAAACAUGCCCAUAUUGGACAUUGCUGCAACCCCCUGGAUGCACCAACUCAACCAAACUCCUCCAAGCACUUUAGCGAUACCUGAAAAGUAACCAUCGGUCCACAAGUCGCGAUCUAAUGGAAUAGCUCCAGUUCCAACUAGAAAGGGAAAGAAAUAUCCAAAAACGACCAAGAUCAAAGCAUAAAACAAAGCCUUUGGAAGAGUCUUCUUUGGGUUAUCCACCUCUCCAGCUAGUGUACUUAUUGAGUCCCAGUAGUUGAGAUUCCAAAACAGGGUGUUCAAAUACAAAUUCCAAUCCACUUCACCUAAAUUUAAUACAAGCCAUCUUGAAGGCUCUAACUUGGGAAGGGACACAAGUCCCAUAACCACAAAAGGAAGGAGUGAGAAAAUCCCUAAAAGAACAGCAGCCCAUCCCACAAUGGUUAGACCCCUAUAGUUCAUGAAAGUGAGAACAAAAGUCAAAGCUAACGCCGCAAAGGCUCUAGGUAACCCAUCGCCCAAAGCAGGGAUACCAGACUUCAAGUAAUCAAGAAACAGAACUGGGUAUAAAGCAUUAUCAGUAACCCCACUUAGCCAUUUCAUCCAAACUUGCUCAAAACCCCAAUAUGGGCCUAAGGCAGAUGAAACCCAAACCACAUAACCACAAUUUUCAGGAAACACGGUACCCAUCUCGGCAGUAAUUAAAGCUUCAGGGACACUCCAUAUAAUCGGAAACACCAAGAAACCAAGAAGUGCUAAAAGAGGACCAGCUGUCUUUACACUAUCCUCAACACCAAACGGCCCCCCAGAAACCUCAUAGAAUAUAAGGAAAAUAAGUGGCAAGAUUGAUACUUUUUUAGUGCCAUGGACUCUAGGAGAAGAUGGUUGGUCAUUGAUAUUAAAAUAUUCAACAGCAUCAGACUGCCCCAUUUCUACUGAAACUUGCCUAUUUACAGUGCUCCUCAAUUUCUGCAUCAAGUUUAAGCAUAACUAUCAAAAGGGUAUCCGCAUCUAAAUUAUGAAACAAAAUGAGCAUUUACUUAUUAAAAAAAAAAUCAAAAAACAGAAAUGGAUUUCACAGAACACAUGAACUUAAGUUCAACAUUAAACAGGCGCUUAAGAAAACAAAAGGGUCUGUUCGUAAAGCCAUCAGAUUGCAAGAUUGAACAACAUUAACGGAAUCAAUAGAAUGGAUGUAAAGAGAACUGAAAAGAAAAUAAAAUAAAAGAUGAAGAGAGAUAAAACGAACCAUCAAAUAAGUGCAUGCAGAGCAGAGAGGCAGAUACUAGUGAAGCUCCGUCAUGUUAGAGAGAGCCUAAAUCAAUCAGAGCUCACUGAGUUUCUUUUAAACCGACCGGCAAAUUUGGAGUAGCACAACAUAAUAUUUUUGCUUUUAUUUUUGGAACACUUUUGAAUGGAAUUUUUUGUUUUAAAAAAUGGCAAAGGAGAUUAGUAUUUCUAUCGUUAAAAUAAUAAUUUUCCUAACAUUAUUUUUUAUAUUUUUUAAUUUAUUUUUAUAAUAAUUUUUUAUUUAAAUAUUAAUAAAAAAUAAUUAAAUUAACAAUUUAAUCCUAAAAUAAAUAAACACGGUUUUGGGUUUUUUCUUUUGUUCGUUUAAUAUCAUCUGGUUCCCUGAUUUGUGACUAAUUAUCAACGGAAUCCCGUUAGUUUCUAAAUUGAAAUAAUAGAAGGUCAUGAGAUUAUUUACUCCAUUUAGCACUGCAGACUUAGAGUAUAUUGAAAAAGCUUUGUCAAAUAGUAGUAAUAGGGGCAUAAGAAAUAAAUUAUAGCUAUCACAAAUUCGUUAGGAGAAUUUCAAAUUUUUCCAUCAAUAAUGGCUAUGAAGCAAAAUUACUUUAGGUUAUAUUGCAACACUAAUACUUCAAAUCCUGACAAUAAAUUUGAAGAACUUGUUAAAAAGAAAAUGGUAAUGUUAUCAUUUUGAAAGACAAAAAAAAAAAGAGUGAAAGUGGCGUUACCUCAUGGUCAUUAGUGACUUGUUGCAAUGAUAGCUCAAAAUUAAAAAUUUGUGAAGAAUUAGUAGACAACGACGAUAUUAUAUUUAUACAGUCACCAACGUAUUGAUUUUUGUUUAAUGUUUGAUUGAUAGAAACUUUUGUCGUCGUCGCCGUUGUUGAAUUCGUGCUUAGAAUACCACAAGAGAAGAAAAAGGGAUGAAAGGGAAGAGAAGAAGAGAGAAGUGGUGGAUAGCAAAUAUGAUAUGCUAGCUACACACAGGCCUUAGAGAGUUUUUUUUUUUAAUAUUUAUUGUAUUUUUGUUUUUGUUAUUGGUUUGUCAUAUGCUUCCAAGGCAACAAUGCAUUACAUCAUAAAUUGCACCUUUUAGGGGAGGUGGUAAAAAACAUGAGAGCAAUGCAUUCUAGCGCAUACAUGCAGAAAGAGUUUCCAAAUUUUCAAAAGUUUCUUUAUUUCUUCCACCUUUUUUUGCUUAAAAUAAAUUUUAAUUGUAUUUUGCAUUAACUUAGAGAAAAAAAAAUCCAAUUCUAUGCAUAAACGCAUACAUUGAUUAGAAAAUGAGUUUUAUGGACACAAAGGGACAAUAUAAGAGAUUCUUUUUGUUUAUUAGAAGUAACAUAACUAGUUAGUGUAACAUGUAAUUAUAAGCUACCAAUAAUUUGCACUGAUGAUAAUUAACGGUACAGAUUUUGAGCUAUGAAUGUCUUGUGGCUAGUUUAAUUGGAUUUUUGAGUUUUCAGCAGAUCUAUUUUAAUGAUUAUUAAAUUAUUUUCACUUCUUAUGCCUUAAUAAAAAAAAUUCAAUAUUUUUUGCUGUAUUCUAUAUUUUAAAACUUAAUUUUUAGUUCUUUAUAUUGCAAACCAAACUGAGUCAAAUAGAGUAUGCUCUUCAAAUAAUUUUUCCAUUGCCUUCAAGAAGAAUUCAUUUUAUUUUUAUAUAUUAAUUCAACACUUGUAAACCGGGCCGUCAGAUUGCACAUAAAGCAAAUGAUCAAACCGUUACAAGACCGGCCCAGGCCCACUGACUCUAUUUUCUUUAAUUUGACCAUUAAAAAGCUUUUGGCCACCCCCACCAAAUAAAUAAGCUCUUGUUCUCUUUUGUAGGGGUGGGCAAAAAAACCGUAGUCUUAAAAAAACCGAACCGAACCGACGGUUUUUUCUAAUUCGGUUUGGUUUUUAUUUUUUUAAAAAACCGAAAUAUACCAUUUGUAAAAAAAAACCGAAAUGUCGGUUUGGUAUUCGGUUCACUUAGCUGAACCGAAAAACUGAACCGAAAAACCGAAUUAUUUUUUGAUUUUAUUCAAAUCAAACAUGUGUUAAUUUUUAACUGAUUGUGCAAGAUAACUAACAUAAACUUGCAUACACACAAUCAUGAGUAUAUAUAUGUAAGUGUUACAAUUUCGUAAAUCUUUAUUUCCCCCAAAAUAAACCCUAAAGCUAAAAUCAAAGAUUCAAAAUCGAAACCAAAUCCAAAUCACCCACCCCAAUCCACUGCAAUCACAGCCGACGCUGCUCACCGGCGAUAGUGUCACCGUGCAACACGCUGCUCACCGCGAAAGCUGCAGCUUCUUUUCACCGUGGGACAGCUUCAACUCACAGGCCUGAGGCCACCACGCGACAGCUUUGCUCUGCUCACCUGAUUGGAGUGGAAAUUCGAUGGUUUUGAAUGGUUUAUAUAUGCAUGUGAGGUGUUCGGCGCAUAUAAUCAACUUAAUUGUGCAAGAUGGGUUGUCACAAGUGAGUCAAUCAAUAGCUAGUAUUCGAAAUGCGGUGAAAUAUGUUAGAUCAUCUCCGGCAAGAUUACAAAAGUUCAAAACAUGUGUUGAUAGGGAGAAAAUCUCACGUGGAGGGCUUAUGGUGUUAGACGUGCCGACUCGGUGGAAUUCAACAUAUUUGAUGUUAGAAAAAGCGGUAGCAUUUGAGAGGCUAAAGGAAGAUGAUGGCCAUUAUACAAACUGGUUUGAUGAGGAUGAGAGUGAAUAAAGGAGGGUGGGGCCACCGAUUGAUAAGGAUUGGGAAAAUGCAAAGAGGUUAGUCAAGUGUCUUUCGAUUUUUUAUCAUGUGACUUUAAAAUUCAGCAGCUCUUUAACAGUCACUUCCAAUAAUUUCUUGAAUGAAAUGUGGAAAGUUUAUAUUCAUUUGAAGUCACUGGUUGAUUUUGUUAACAUAUAUGUUUUCAUAAUGUUAAUUUUGAUGAUAACAAACAAGAUUAAGAAUGAUUAAUCUUUUAAGAUCAAAUUAUUUUUUAUAUAUUUUAAAUAAAUCAUUAUUUUCACAUUAUAAAUGUUUUAUAUUUAAUGGAAAAAUGAUUUUAUGAAAAAUGAUUGUUUAAAUACAUGAAAUGUUUGUCAUCAUCAAAAAGGGGGAGAUUGUUAACAUAUAUGUUUUCAUAAUGUUGAUUUUGAUGAUAACAAACAAGAUUAAGAAUGAUUAAUCUUUUAAAAUCAAAUUAUUUUUUAUACAUCUUAAAUAAAUCAUUAUUUUCACAUUUUAAAGGUUUUAUAUUUAAUGGAAAAAUAUUUUAUGAAAUUGAUUGUUUUUAUUCUUUUUAAAUAAAUCAUUAUUUUCACAUUAUAAAUGUUUCAUACUUAAUGGAAAAAUGAUUUUAUGAAAUUGGUUGUUUUUCAAAGUUUAUGGUUUAAUUGAAAGAAUUUUGAAAACUUUGAUAUAAACAAGUAUUGCUUGAAAUUUUGGUAAAGGACUUAUUUGAAAAGUGUCAUAGCAUCUUUGGGCGAAAUCAUAAUUUCAGAAAGUUUUGGGAUUAACGAAGAAUUAUUUAGAAAUUCUGAAAUUGGACUUAUUUGCAAAGUUUAAUAACGUUUUGGGCCAUACUACAGUUUUAUAAAGUUUUGGGGUCAAACUAUAAAUUUUGGGAAAUGUUUUACUGUAGCAGUUACUGUAGCAAGCGGCUUACCGGAUACUAAUAAACGGCAAGUCGGAUACGGGGUAGUAAGCACCAGAACGAAAGCGGCUAACCGGAUGUCCAUAAACGGCAAGCCGGUUACGACAAAAAAUGUGCAUAACGGCUAGUAACGGCUAGUUUUUGAGUUCAAACUAUAUAAACUCAAAACCAAUUCAUUUUUGGUAACUCAAGCAAGCAUAAACAAGUGCACACAACUUAUAUUGAGCUUCAAAUUCGAAAAUCUUCAUAGAUUAAAUCUUCAUUGGGCUAUCAUUUGUAAAUCCACUCUUAAAGAGAGUUUUUGUUGUAAUUUUCAUUUCUCAUCAAAUUGUGAGAGUACAAGUGUGAGAAACACUUGGAGUGAAGAGAUUGGAGAUAUAAUCUCUUGUUGUAAAGGUUCAUUGACACCUUGAAGUCAAUUGUAAUCGUUUGAAGCCUUGGAAAGGCUUGGAUAGUGAAAUCCUCAAGCCCGGUGUGCUUGGAGGCGUGGACGUAGGCGGGGAUUGCCAAACCACGUAAAAAUCCUUGAGUUUGCUUUCUCUUCCCUUACUCUUUAAUUAUUGUGCUUUGAUUGAAUUUAUUGUUUUCGAAUUUAUUAAGGCAUUAGAUUGCUUGUUGUGUGGAUUUGUUAGGAUAAUUUUUAAAAUUCCAAUUCACCCCCCCCUCUUGGGUUGCACACUCAUAUUUCAGAUUUUAAUGAUUUUUUGUUAAAUCAAAUGGGUUACAAGAUGGAGGAAAAAUUUGUCAAGUAUUGGGGUCAUUUUUUUGAAAAGGUUAACAUGUUGUUGAUUGUGGCAAAUGUGCUUGAUCCUCGCUGCAAACUUGACUUUGUUAUAUGGUGUUUUAGUAGCUUGUAUGAUAUUAGAAAGGUUGAUGAAUUGAGAGCUAAUAUUAAAGAGUUGUUGUUGAAGCUUCUUGAAAGCUAUGGUGGUGAGAGUAAUCCAAAUAGAGGUGAGAGAUGUACGGCUGUUCAUGAUGGUGCUAGUAGUAGUAUUGAGUUAUUUGAUCCUUUUACACAAUUUAAAAAGAUGAAAGAAAGUUCAAAUGAUGACAUUAGUGGAAAAAAUGAUGUUGAAAAGUACUUGUCAGAGACUUGUGAGAGUGCUAGUAAUCCCCAGUUUGAUAUUUUGACUUGGUGGAAAUUGAAUGGGCCUCGGUAUCUGAUUUUAUCUCAAAUUGCCAAAGAUGUUUUGGCAAUUCCGGUGUCUACUGUGGCUUCUGAAUCAGCAUUUAGUACAGGAGGGCGCAUUCUUGAUCCUUUUAGGAGUUCUUUAACUCAUAAAACAGUCGAGUCAUUAAUAUGCACUCAAAAUUGGCUUCGUUCAACUCUAUUAGGAGAGCGUACAAUACAACCAAGUCAGGAAGAAGCUGAAUUCUAUGAAUUAGUUGAAACAUGUAAUAUUGUAAUUUAUUAUGUUAUUUUUUUCUAUUUCACUUAUAACAUUUUGAAUAUUAGAAUUAAUUAUUUUAAUAUAAUUGUUUUAAUUUCUUGAAGAAUUUUUUAGGCCAAUGCAAUCUCAAGAACAACAGCAAGUAGCUGAGGAGUAAAUGACAAUUGAUUGAUGUUGCUUACCAGUAAGUUUUCUUUAUUUUUUUUAAACUAGCAUCUUAUUUAUAUAGAUUGUUUAUUUAAUUAUUUAUUGUUUAAAUUUUUUUUAUAGAUCCAAAUAUUGAGUUGGAAAAUGCCUAAAGUUGAUGUUGAUAUUGAUGAAGAUGGGAGAAUAUUGUUGGCAUUUGUUUGCAAUUUUUUUUUUAUUUUGUGUUGUAAGUUGUAAUUGUUGUUAUUUUUAUUUCUCUUUAUAACAUUAUGAUUAUGUUUAUAUAGAUGGAGUAUUGGAGUUUGGUUAUGUAUUUUGAAAUUUUAAUAUUUCAUAUUUUGGGAGUAUCUUAUUAAUAGUUAGUAAGAUAUUAGUGAUAAAAUGUGUUUUGAAUACUUUGUAUUUAUUGUUAAUAUUUGUAAUAAAAUUAGAAUAAAUUAAUUGUUAAAAAAAUUAUUACAUUCAUGAGGCCCAAUGGGCUAAAAAUUCAAAAUAGGCCCAAUAGGCCCAGAAUCGAAAAAACCGAACCGAACCGAACCGAUCCGAAAAGAACCGUUUGAGUUCGGUUCUUAUUGAGUUCGGUUCUUAUUCAGUUCUUUUGAUAAAAUAACUGAUUUAAAUCGGUUCUACUUAAUUUCGAUCCGAACCGAACCGUGCCCACCCUUACUCUUUUGUUCCCUCUCAAAGGAAAAUAUCUAAUCACCGGAUAAUGAUUCCGGUGACACAAAAGAUCGAAACACCCCCUAAAUUCCCUAAAUUUAUGAUAAUACCCCACCAUGGAUGAUUCCGUUGAAAUGCCGCCUUACGAUGAAAGGCCUAAAAAGGGUUUUAACUUCACCUCCAUGCGCUUGAUCUUAACCCUCGUUUUCCCAAUUUUAACUUGCUUUUUGUUGGCAUUUUUUAUUGGAAUCGUAGUUGUUUUAUUCGGCGAAUCAUCAGUUUCCAGUUCCAUUUUUGUCCCUUCCCAGUGCAAGAUAGUGUCCAACAGUAAGCUUUUUUUAACAUUUUCAAUUUUUUUUCCAUUUAUGAAGUCCAAAAAAUUUAUUAAUUUUGAUUUUUUUGAAUGAUUUUUCAGGUGUUGAUAUAAGGUCAUCAAAAGUUCGUAAACUUGGGGUGUUCAAUUAUAAGGCGAAGCGCGUGUUUUAUCCAUUUGAAGCAAGUAAAUUUCGCUGUCGGUAUGAUUACUAUUGGGCUUCUAUCUUCAAGGUAUUCAUACAUUUUCCCCUGUACUAUAAGCUUCUUAGUGGCGGUCUUGUGUGCGGAAGUGAACGGUGUGGCUGACAGCUUCUUGAAAAUUAUAAGUUUGAACAGAGCAUGUUAGAGCACCACCAAAAGGCUCUUUAAAUAAGAUUUUAUUAUUUAUUUGAAGAGCCACAUCAAUAUUGAAAACUUCAAAAGACACUUCAAUUAAAAUUCUUCAAAUAAGAAUUGAUUCUCUCUCUUCAAAUUUGGAGAGUUAAUUUAUUCCUCUUCAAUUUAUAUUUUAUUACUUUUCAUUGAAGAAAGAGAGAAGUGCUUUAAUUGCUAUUGACUUUUCCUUUAAAAAACUAAUUAUAUGAUUAAAACAAUAUUAACUUAUUUAUAUUUGAAGAGUCUUUUGGAGAAUAUCAUAUUUUUUCACCCUUCUAUUUGCCACAUAGGUAAACAAAUAGAUAUUUAAAGAGUAAAAUUUAUAGAGGCUUUUAGAGAUGCUCUUAGACUUUUGUUGACCAAAUUCGAAAGCCAAAUGGCACAGCUCAGAAGCUUUUGAAUUGAAUAACUUACUAGGAAGCUCCAAUUUUUUGUUGGCUACAGUAAAAGGAUGUUGUUUUAUUCUUCUUAUACUUUACGCUUGCAUCAGCUUAAAUCACUUCUUAAACGCUUUGCUUUAACUCCACUGCUUCGCUGGGGCGGAUUUACCUUGGAACAAGUGGGGACUUAAGUCCCCACUGAAAAAAAAAAAUUGUUUUAAUAAUUAAUUUGAUUUGCCAAAACUUCUCAAUAAAUUUUUCUUAAGCCCCCCAUAAUUUCUUUCAACAAACAAUUGAUCUAAAUGAGUUAUUUUCUGUCAGUUGUAUCCAAAUGAGUUCUCUGCAAUUGAUAUCAUGGCACUUAAAAUUCAACUUGAUACAUAUAUUUUGGAUAUGCGCACUAGUGCGAGACUAAAAGACAUAAGGUAUAUCCAUUGGUUUACUUGUUAAUAAUAUUAGCAUUGACUUUACCUGUUGCCACUGCUAGUGUAGAGAGAGUAUUUUCAGCCAUGAACAUUUUGAAGAAUUGAUUAUAAAGCUGUGAGUAAUGGAUGAAUGAUAGUUUAAUUAUUUACAUAGAAAAAUACUUAUUUAAUAAUAUUGAUAAUGAACUUGUAAUGCAACAUUAUUAAUGUAUGAAAACUUGAAAGGACAAUUGUAAACAUAUAUUGAAGUAUGAUAAAUCUUUCAAAUUUAUAUAUUUAUUACUUUUUAAAUUUUUUUAUAUUGCCGUUGAAUGAGCCCCCAGUCAAUCAAUAUGUUGUCUUCGCCCUACUUCGUACUCUUCUAUAUAUGUAUCGGGUAUGCAGUUUUAGUUAACAGCUGAGACUACGUGUUUGUUUGACGUGGUAGUUACGUUACGAGUCUGUUAAACAUUCAAUGAUUAAAGUAUUAUCAGUUAUUUCAAAGGGACAAAUAAGAUUAGCUACAACACACCCACUAGUUUUAUAAAAUUCGAAUGAGAUGGAAUAAAAUAAAAAAAUAAAUAAGUAAAUUGACUUUUAGUUUUAGUGGUUGAAUAUAUUUUGCAUUCUCUUAGGGCACUGCUGUAAUUAUUCCUUAAACGUCAGUCAUACCCACAUAUAAUAGACACAAGAAAUGAAAUCUAAAAUCACCUGUUUAGUUAAAGAAUCAUCAUGAAAAAAUUUUGCCAUUUUGAUUUGAGGAUCCACAUUUUGAACAACCAACUUAUGUUCAUCAAAAACGGAUCAUGGCCUGUGAGUAGAAAAAUUAUUUUUGGACAAAUUAUUUUUUUUAAUAGAAUAAUUUCUCAAGGGACUAUUAAAAUUACUAAUAAAAAUGUCAGACACACCCACGUACCAUCGACACAAUUGACUAUGAGGAUCCAUGUUUUGAACUGCCACAUAAUGUUCAUCAAGAAUAGAAUAUGGCUCGUGAAAAGAAAAUUUUCUGAUUUUGGCCUGGAACAAAAAAAAAUUAAAUUGAAGGAGAAUCUGCUACUUUCUCAUUAAGAAAGGCAGACAGGGUAUACUAUGGUACCAUACAAUAUAAAAAGUCUCCGUUCUCUGGCUUUUCAAACUCUGAAGGGGGCAAUAUUCCCCAAUUCCCCCUUGAAAAUUCUGAUUACGACAUUAUUCAUCACUUGAUACAUAAGUACAAGUAGUGACAAAAUUAGGAAAAAUAUGACUCAUAAGUAAUUACUAGGCAGGGCUCUUGAGAGCAACAUUGUACUAGGCUUUAUAUGCAAACAUGGUGUGGUACAUAGAGCACGUUGAAUUCCACACUAUAACACAAACCCAGAAAGACAAGUAAUAUCUCAACUGAUAUAAAGACAAAAAGAAGAUAAAAUGAUACAGAACAAAGAAUUUCUAAGAGAUAGCAACAUACAAUAGACUGAAGCCAGUUGAUCUGCUCAUUGAUUGCAGCCUUAAACUUGCAAAUGUUUACUGUAGCCUGGUGCUCUAAGAAGUGAAAAUGAUGCAAACCUUGAUUCCCUGUUUACUUCCAUUUACCAUCAAACAUUCUAUUCAUAAGAAAAAAAAUGUUUAGAUAUCUUGCCGUAAAUAUAGCCAUUUGAUUGUCUUAAUAAAGCCACACACAACCAUUCAUAUUGAUCCACAUUGCCACAUAGCCUGAUUUAAGCAUACAACACCUGAAUGUAUACUGACUCCUAACCUUAUCAAUACAUUGGCGACAACUUAAGAAGAAAACUAUUUCUCCAUCUCUUUUUUGAAAUUUCACAAUAAAAUAGCACAAUGUAAGAGCUGCAAUGAAAAUGGACCAUCUGGAACUAUGGCGGAAGCUUCAACUAGUGUAGUGAUUUGACCUUCUUAUUAACCUAGCGAGAUCAAACACUGCCCUUGAUCUUGAACAGAUCAAUACGAUACGCACAACUUAUGAUUGAAUCCAGAAACAAUCAAAUCUUUAGCAAGAAUAAUUAAUCAGAAUCAAGAAACAAGUUUAAUGAAUAUAAACCUAUAAUUGGAACAAACACAGCAAAAGAACCCAAGAAUGACACAACCAGCACCAAGGGAGAAGCUUUCCAGUGAGAUUAUAUUGAUGAUCAAAGAAGAAUCUUUUUACAAAGCUAACAAAAGAGAUUUCAGAGAAUAAGCUAUGACCCUCUCUCUUCUCAAUCUCUGUCUAGUUUGUUAACAGUGAUGACCCCAAUCUCCUUCGUUAGCCAGCUUCAUAACUGCGUCAGUGACAAACUAGCAAACCCAGAUUGAGCAGACUAACGACACGUGCAUAACGGCUUUAACGAACUUGGUUAAAGAACUGCUCACAUGUUCGUCACGCGUGUUGCUUAAAUGAUAGCCAAAACGACUUCAACCAGAUGCCGUUUUGAAGCUUAUGAAUUAUAAGUGAAAACACGUGCUUGUCUCGUGACAUUUAAAUGCAACAACAAGCCCAAAACACUGCCGGUCCACUAUGUUGAGUUUGCCAUCUCUAAGCUUCACAACUAGCAGCGGACAAGAUGAUAAUUUAAUUGACUUGGAGAGCUUUUAUAUCACUUUUACAACAUUCUAUAUAAUUGUGAUAUUGGGAAUCGUCGGUGUUGUAUAUGUGAACCCUCGUUGGCGACACUGGUGGUUUUAUCUUUAUUGAAAUAUGGAUGACUUUUCGUUACUAUUUUGUUGUACAUAACCUUAUUCUCAGGAGAUUUAAUCAUUGAAAUUAACAUGUUAGUUUCAUUAGAAGGCUGAGUGGUUAGGGCUGCUACCUUCCAACUUGGAGGGCAAUAGUUUGAACCCACAAGCGCAAUGUGGGGGUAUUUCAUUCUUUAAUUACAUUGUAUAAUUGAAUAAAGAUAAUAUUCUCUCUUACCCAAGUGUGAGUGGAGUAGACAUCCUUCGAAUAUUAGCGAGGGUUAAAACUUGGGCAGAGCUCAAUAAGUAUUGAUGUAAGUUGGUCCUAAUAAUAGUCUGAUUUGUAAAUAUCAGUUAUAGUCUCAUGUUUCCUUCCUUAAUUAUAUUGCAUAAUUAAGUAAAUGUACUCUUUUCUCUUACCCAAGUGUGAGUGGAGUAAACAUCUCUCGAAUAUUAGUGAGAGUUAAAAUCUGGGCAGAGCUCCAUAAGUAUUGAUGUAAUUUGAUCCCAAUAAUAGUAUGAUUUGUAAAUACCAGUUAUAGUAUCAUGUAAUAUGAGUUGUAAUUUGAGUAAUAAUUUCAUGUAAUUACAAAAAAAAAUGUUACUUUCAUUACUUUUUUCUUCGUUAAAAUUCUCAAGUAUCAAUUAUGUUUGCUUAAGAAAUAAAAUUUCAUUAUGAAAAUUGUAGCAGUAUUUCCGAGCACCUCACAUUUUCAAUGAUUUUUCAUAAAUCAAUUAAUCUGCCAUACCAAUAUCAGGUUUAGUUUUUCAGACUAAAUGAUCAAGAAAGCAAACAUACAAAUUCACAUUUUAGAGGGGUAAACUAGCUUUUAGAUUUUAGAACUAGGCUAGCUACCUCACCAAAUUCCAAUCUGUACAGUGAACUACAAGAUUAAGAAAAUAAUGUAUUUAUAGUUUAAUUGAAUCAUGAGAAAACAAUGUAGUCAUAGCUCAAUCGGACAUGAUCACGGAGAGGCAUAUUCUUUUCAAGUUAAUUUGAUCCAUUUAUAAGAAAUGAAGUGGAUUGAAGUUAAAAGUUCAAAUAACAAAUCCUUGUUCUUGAGUUUUACGACGUCGUUACUCCUUCAAGAGGCUGAUUAUGCGAGUGAAUGAGGAAACAGAAUGCAUUAUCCAAUUUCACUCAUAUAGAAAAUUAAUUUUUUAUAUAUACUAAUCAACACUAGAUUGAUUAUGUUUUGUAUGUUUAUAUGCUAAUCAACAAUAAAUUAUAGUAAAUGAAGAAAUGCUUCAAAAUUUUUUAAUUUAAUUUAGAAAAUCAAUUAUUAACAUUAAUAUUCCUAAUAAAAAUUAUUUUCCAUCGGUAUUCAAAAUUUUCACUUAUAGAAAAUGCGUUUUACGUGAAUACAAGUUAUUGUGUAAAUUUGAAUGAUAGCGAAAAAUAUUUUUUUUAAUAAUUGUAAAAAUAAUUAACCAUAACAAAUCGCUUGCGUAAAUAAUAAUCAUUAUUUAAAAGGUAGAAAGAUGGUUAGUGCACAAUCAAAUUUUAAGCCCCUACCUCCUCGGCCCAAUAUUCAAACUUAGAUGAUCAGCCAAAUAAAAUUAUUUGAAAAUCAUUCAAUCAGGUUCUCGGGGCAAAAAUACAAGAUCCUUAUUUGCAUGAUAUAUAUGAAUUAAUGUAAUUUAUUUGAAUUAUCCAAAUUCAUUAGAGAUAAAACUAUAAAAUAUACGAAAAAAGUUAGAAGGAAGGGUGUGUUGGGAUAUUUUACAAACUAUAGGAAUCUGGUGAGAUUUUGAGCCAAACUGUAGGGAGUUGAAGGCAUUUGCCCAAUAUGUUUAGCCGUACACUAACCGUUAUUUGAUCUUGUUGUUGGUCCCGGAUGAGCUAUAGUCUUAUUUUAAUUUUAUUUAAACUCACCAUAAGAUUCGCAGAGCUCCUAACUAACUUAAAUGACUCUGCAGAGCAUGUCAACACAUAGCAUGUUUAACCGUUUUAUUUGUAGAAGAAUUUAUGAUUUCCCAUUAGCAUUAUUAUUGAAGUGGGGCGGGUCAAAUCUCAAUUGCUUGAAAAUUUUAUUUAUUAUUAUUAAUUUUGAAGUGGGGUGGGUAACGGUUCGUUCAAUUCGAGGGAAUCAAAUAUAUCAUCCAAGGUAGAAUUGUGGAAAAUUAAAGCAAAAUAAGAAAUAUGGACAGAAAAGAAGAAAGUUAAUGCAUGAAAGACAUUUACAGUUGAAAUUGAUAAUCAUGUUUCUAUUUUGUUAACUAAUCAAAUGGAAAACUGAACUGUAAACAAACAUUAAAACGUGUGGACCAAGCUAGCUGCCCUACAAGUCUACAAUAAUAAUUGAGUACUUUGAUUCAUCCUUCUAUGAAUUUCUACCCAUAUUGACUCCUCCGAAAUUUCCACAAAAUAAAAAAAAAAAAAAAACUGAAUUUCCACAAAAUGCAAAACCCGUAGAACUUAAUUUUUGGUCAUGUGAACUAAGAUGUAAAUUAAAGAAAAAGUAUAAAAUUAAAAAAGAUAAAAUUUCUAAAAUGUGUGGAAGGUGAUUCAUAAUUCACUGAAAUUACUUGCCCCAGAUAUAUAGGUAAACCUAUCUAAUUUCAUUAAAAAUAGUUGGAAAAAAUUAACUAAUAGAAAGCUACGGAAAUUAACCCCCCACAAAAAUAACUUUUUAUAGAAGAAUUUAUGUUUUUUAAAAUAUGUUAUCAAAGUGUAUUUGAUCAAAUCUCAAUUGCUUAGUAUGCUUAGGAUUUUGUGAACAUCACUAAAAAGCGAAAGCUAUGAAUGAUAGGGGUGAUGCUUGCAAUAUGAAUAAAUAAUGGACUGAUUCAAUUGAUGAUUACAUUUAUAUAUUAUUGAUUAUUUAUGAAUUUUCAGACUUGUUACGAUGUAUAACUAUGUGAUUUUGAAACUUGAAACCGUGGCAAACAUUGAAAGGAAUUAUAACUUGAAAUCAUGACUCACGGGGUAUGUCAUGAUUCACGUGCACAAAAAAAGGUAGAAUUGUGGAAAUUUAUAACCCAACGACAAAUACGGAAAGAAAGGAAGAAAAUUAAAAGACUUCGGGCCUAGCCUGCGUGUAUUAAUUAUUAGAUUAUUUUUUUUUUAUAAGGGUAAUCAUCAAUUUACUCCAUAACAAUCUUUAAUUCAUUUCUUAAAACUAUCAAAACUUUAAUUUAUCUUUUAAACAUCGUUACCUCUUCAUUGGUUUUAAUAGUUCAAAGGGUAAAAUUAUGUUUGCAUAUUUUCUUGACCGCCAACUAAAUGAUAAAACUCAAAAUUCAAUCUUGUUAUCUUGUUUCAAUCCUCUAUCAAUCAAAUAAGAUUUCUAAAAUAUGUGGAAGAUAUUGCAUGAUUUCCUCAACCUACCUGGCCCGAACAUCAAGGUAAAUAUCUCUAAAAUAGUUUAUUAAAUCUCAGUUGCUAAGUAUAGUAAGGAUUGUGUGAACAUCAAUCAAAACUAUGAUUGAUAGAAGUGAUCUUUGCAAAAUGAAUAAAUAAUUAACUGAAUCAAUUGAUUUACAUAUUAAAGUUUAUGAAUUUUCGGACUUGUUGCGAUAUAAUAAUAGCAUAUGAUUUUGAAACUUGAAACAGUGGUAAAUAUUGAAAGGAAUUAAUUUGAAAGCAUGAUCCGUGGGGAAUGUGAUGAAUCGUGUUUACCAAAAAGGUAGAAUUGUGGAAAUUUAUAACAGAACGAUAAAUAUGGUAAAAAGGAAGAAAAUUGAAAGACUUGGGGCCUGGCCUGGGUGUAUUUUCUAACAGUCCAAUGGACAAAAUUAUAUUUGUAUACUUUCUUAACAGUCAACUGAUUGAUAAAAGUCAAAACUGGUCUCUUUUUUUUUUCCUUGUUUCAAUCCCCUCUCAAUCAAAAAUGUUUCCUUGUCUAAGCAAUGAGGAAUAUGGCUGAAAAGAUUGCUAUUAGAAAGAUUUAUCAAUUGUAAUUGGUUUAAAAUUGAAUAGACACUUCAUUUUUAAGAUUGUUAUGAGUCAAUAUAGGUCCUAUUUGGGAUUGAGUUCUUGUAAUUUUUAAGCUACAGCGGCUGUGGAAAAAAAAUUAUAAUUAUGAAAUAAGAGUUAAAAACAUGUAAUAAAUAUAAAUUUUAAAUAAUAGUUUUGACAAAAUUAUAAAAUAUAUAAUAUAUCUUUCAUAAUACAAGUAAAAGAUCAUAUCAACAUAGAUUGCAAGCCACAACAGUUAGUGUUUACCAAACAAUUUAGUGCUGUAACUUUCAAGUUACAGCUGCCCAAUCUCAAUUUCAAAUGCACUUAUAAAGUGACUUGCUUCAAAAGCCUAGCAACCCAAAUUGGAAUGCUUUCAUUCAAGUGGCUAUAACUAAGAUAUAACGUCCCUAAGGAAGAGUAAUUAAAAAAUGUACCUUCUUUAACAUGUCCGUAUGGCAUUUUUUUUUUAAGUGAAUUUGUGUGAUAGAGAGAGGAUGUCAGCAAGAUAGUAAACUCCUAAAUAUAUUAUUGUUUGUAAUGUCUAAAAUUUGAAGAGAAUCAAGCUAAUAAAACUCCAUUGAAAUUAGACCUUCAAGAGUACGGUUCUUGGGCAUUAUAAAAUGUUGUAAUGUCGAGAGAUUACCCAACCAUUAUGGAAUCCUACCAAGAUGAUUGUUACCACUAAGAUACAAUCCUUCUAGUGAACAACAAUCAGACAAAUUUUUUGGGGAUCUCUCUUACAAAGUGAUUACCAUCCAAUCGCAAUUUUGAAUGAAAAUAAAUUUUUUUUAUUGGGAGUUUGACCUUAACAUUAAAUUUAGACAAUGAAUUUUAACUUUCUUCAAUUAUUAAACAGUUUACAGACAUUUGACAAAUUUGAAAACACUUCAUCCAUAGAAAGUUAAAAUUAGAGAUGGAAGCUAGGUGCUACAGCUAAUGGGAACAUUAAUUCCUGUCCCUCAUCACACUUUAUUUUGGGUCUAAUAAUUUUACGGCAGCAUUGACCACUGCUCAAGGUAAGUAAAACUUACAAAUGUGUGGCAAAAUAAAUAAUUAAGUGCAUAAAUUGUUAGCUAAUUUUCUUGAUAUAUACAGCUAAAGUAGUCGUUCCCCUUUAAAAAAAAUGUUAAACAAUUUCGGCUGAGCCUGCUUGUGGUUUUGAUAAAAAGGAGGGGCUGGCUUCAAAUAUUUGAAUAGGCAUCUCCGCCGUACCUCAAACAAAUCUGUCAUUAUUUGUGCCAUGAAACAUGUUUCGGCCGUCGAAGUCACGAGAGGGUUGAUGACGCUACUACGUAUGAUGACACACCAGCCGACAGUGUAGUAACAGCUCAAAAACAAAAUCUACCAAAAUCAACGAAAGUUAAUAAAAAUUUAUUUUAUUAAUAAAAAUAAAUAAAUAAACUUAUUAUUUUUGGAGACGUGUGUAUUUGAGUCUGUGGACUGAAAUGGAAAAUAUGAAGAAGUUCAGAGUCGUUGUGCAGAUUGACUUCAGUUAAAUGGGUCUAGUAGAUAUUUUAUGCUGACGUGGCACGAAUUAGUUAUAAUCUGUUACAACGUUUCCAGAAACAUCAGUAUAAAUAGAAGCUGAUGAGCAGUGCCUGUUGUACGAUCCUUUUUCUUCGUCAGUUGUUCGUCAAUUUUCAUAGAAUCUGUUUCAUUGUGAUCUGUACAAAGUCUUCUGUAAAUCCACUUAUGUUUGAUUAGUUGUUGAUCACUAACGAAGUAAAUUUUUCCUUCAAAUCUUGCUGGUUCGUGCCCCUGUUUCAGUUCUGGAUUUUUCUUUUUCUUUUUUUAGUUCUGGUUUCUUAAUUCAAUUGAAUUUCUUGGUGCUUAAUUCAUCAAGAUUCAGUGGAAUCGACUUGAAAAGGAAAACAUUAUCCACCUGGAACGACUUCAAGUCCAAAGUAAAAGACAAGAGUGGCUCCCCGCAAUUUUCUUGUUUUCAGUAUAUUUUCUCUUUUUCUUUUUUAAAAUCUUUUGACGCAUGCAUAAUAUACCCUUGUUUAUUAUCUCUACUUUGCUCUGCUCAAGUCCAUUUUUUUCAAAUAUUAUUUUAAAUAAUAAAUUUAAUAAAAGUACAUUUGUGUAAUUAAGACUCUGCUAUUAUAUCACACAUACGCAUAUAAUAUAACUAAGCAUUUGUUAUUAUAGCAAAGAUCCAUAGCAUGAAAGUGAAUAAAUUUAACUAAAUGGUUAAUUAAUCAAUUAAGUUUCAUGAGCUUUAAUCGAGUUAAAACCAAGUACAAACAUCGUUAACAAAUACUGAAAUUGAGUAAAUUAAAAAAAUAAAAAAAAUUAAUUCAAGUAAUAUGUAGUUUUUACAUGUUGAUCAGCAGAAUACAACAUUAAAUUUUGUCAUUGACAAUAUUGCAUACCAGUCAUCUAAAGCAUUACCUCACGAGGUUUUAUGAGAAACGAAAGAUAAGUGUUUGCUCUGAACAAUUAAAGUUGCUGCUACCAACCUCCCCGAAGACCAAGAAGACGGAACAGGAAGCUAAUGCAUCAAUGUCUUCUUCAUUAUAGCUGCUGCGUAGUUAGGUGUAGUUUCCUCAUUUGAAGCUGUCUAUACAUAGGCUUUCCCCCUGCUUAUGUACAAAUAAAUGAACAGCCUUGAAGCUUUAUUAUUCGCAACAAAAGGGAUUACCAAUUGGAGAAGACUUUACAGAGUUCCUCUCACACACUCUCUCAAUUUCAUCUAGAAGUCCCUCCGAAAGCAUCUCCCAAAACAGUUAGUCAUCUUUUAUACUCUGUUUUCUAGAAACAGAGUCCUAACUAAAUUAAUUGACUGUACAGUGCAUUUCAACAUAGCAUAUUUAACCGUUUUAACAGUAAUUUUAACCGUCUUCUGAGUUAUCAUCAACAAAUUCAUUCAUAUUUCUCCAGUCUUACGGACGAUAUCAUAUGUUUAAUAAUGAAUGAAUAGUCUUGGAUCAGUGUUUUGCAGCAAAUUCACAUCAUAGUUUUGAUUCUUUAGAUAUGAAUUCAUCACAUUACCGAAAAGAAUAUGCGCUAAAAAAUGAUUCCAAGACUAUUUGACUACCAAAAGCUGCUGUCAGAGUGCACUGAAAUCUUGACUCCUCUCAGCGAAAAAUAUAUCAAAGUUUAGAUUAUGUGUUCGAGCUUUAAUAAAUGCCUGAGUUAAUAAUAAUAACAACAAUAAUAAUAAACUAAAAAGCAAAAUUACUAUUGAAUGAUCGGAAAAAAAAAAAUUUGAAAACGUGUGAACUCCAAUAACCACCCCACAAAUUUAGUGGCGAAUUUUGGAGAGGGCAAGGCCGGGCUUCUCAGAAAAAAAAUGACGAGUAGAAUUGUGGAAAAUUAAGCAAAAUGACAAGUAUGGAAAGGAAGGCUGAAAGUAAGGCAUGACGAAAGGCUUUGAGAAGGCUGAAGACUACCAAAGAAGACAACUGAAAGCUAGUUGGGGCCUGGGUGUAUAAAUUGUAGAUGUGUUUGUUAUAAAUAACAUAGAGCCCUUUUGUUAUUUAUAGUUAUAGAGAAAGAGAGAAUGUGUGUUUUUUAAUAGUUAGAGAUAUAGCUAGAAUGGGUGGUUCAAAAUCCAAAAUGGUGACAAUGUUAGUUCUCGUAUUAAUAAUAUUAGGGAGGGGGGGGGGGGGGGGUGUGGAGUGAGGGAUGUUUGGAGCAUGAGGAAUUUGCUCAUUUUCGGCUUAAACAUUUCUUCAAUUCCCCUUAUAGACUUCAAAACUGGGUAGGUGAACAAAGGGAAAGGGUUGAGUGCAGCAACUCCACAGGCCGAGUGGUACAACUACACCUUAGUCUUACUAGGAAUAUCGAUCUGGGAGUGUGGUAUCUGAAUGCUUCUCUAUUUACUCCCUUUCAACAACUUGGUAACAAAAUAGCCGGCUGCAUGCGUUGAGAAUGAAGGUCCUUCAUUUAAUUUAAUUUACUUAAUUUCUCCCUCCUAAUUAAUGUCUAUAACCAUUAGGAGGAACAAGGGAUUUUAUUAACUCAAAUAUAUCUAAUGGAGCUCAUUCUUUGGUUUUACUUGCAGGUAUAGAAGCAGGUGUCAUCUAACAGCUGCUUUGAUAAUUUCCCACCCCUUCAUCUUUGAUGGAAAGAUGAAAUAAAAACAAAAUGGUGAAAAUGGUAUUGGUACCUGAGGCUAUGUAAUCUAAUUCAAAAACUGCACCAUCAAAACGAUUACAUAAGUCCCAGAAGAAUCAAACGUUAGUUUGCAAAAUAUCAAUUGCUGGAGUUGUUUCGGUUGCACGUUAAUAUCAAUUCCGCUCUUGAUUUUUAUGGGCAUGUUGUAUUGUACUUGCAUACGAAAAUCAUAUUUUAGUUUACUUCACUCAACACUUGGAUUAAAGUUUUAGGUGGGGAAAAUUGAAGGAGACUAAAAUGACUCAAAAAAAUAGUUGAAUGAGUGAGGGUUUUGUCUUCAUUUAAGGAGCUCUUUAUAAAUUUUAGGAUUCUUUUUCCUGAGAAAAUUUAUGCCAACUCAUUCUUUGCUUCUUUUUUGAAGGGACACAUGCAACCGAAAGUAUAUUCUUGAAUUCUCCAGGAUAAGAGACAUACGUUUAGAUUCUGGAGCAUUUAAAACAAUGUCAAAUUUUAGAUUGCUGAAAUUUUAUAUAUCCGAGUAUGAUGGUAUUCCAAUUAUAAGCUCCAGGGUGCAACUUCACUGAGGUUUAGAAUGCCUUCCUAUAGAAUUGAGAAAUCUCCAUUGGCCUAAAUAUCUUUUGAAAAUACUGGCAUCAGAUUUUGAAUUGGAGAACCUGAUUGGACUCAGCUUGCCUUGUAGUAAGGUUAAGCAAAUUUGGAAAAGAGAAAAGGUAUAAUGUAUUACUAUUACCAAAGUAUCUAUUUUUCUUUCUUUAAGUAUUUAUAAUGAAUAACUUUGAAAUUCAAUGAUGCUCAUUUAGUAUAGUUAUGUAUCUUUGGUUAUAGGAAGCUGUCAAGUUAAAAUCUAUAGACCUUCACCACCCCUCUAUCUCAAUAGGAUCCCAGAAAUACUAAAUCUUAAAAAAAUAAAUCUUUCAAAUUGUGAAAGCAUGCUUACGUUACCCCCGUAUAUCCACAAUUUCAACUAGCUGAGUAUGUUGUGUUUCAGGGAUGCAAAAUUCAUUUUGUUUCUCAUGAAAGGAUUGACUUGUCCGGAUGUAUUAGGGUUAAUAAACCAACUAAUCCCAUAAUUUGUUGAUGUAGUAGAUUGUAGAUCAGUACACUAUUCGAAAAUGUAUUUGAUCCACACAGUGAAGUGGAUAUUGGACCAAUUUGAUGAUAAUGAUUUUCUUUCAAUCUCAAUCUUUUUUCCUUUUAGCAACAUGACUAGUCAUUGCGCAAAUUCAAACUCUGACAAUGAUUUCUCAAUCGGUUUCUAAGAUGAUGACCAUGCAUGUAUAUGUAUAUGCGUGUGUAUAUGUGUGUGUGUGUGUGUGUAGAGAGAGAGAGAGAGAUCACACGUGUGUGAUUUCCUUUUGCCAAUAGGAUAUGCAGAGAGCUUGAUCUUACCCAAUAGCGAAACAAACUUCCUAAUAAGUGAAGGUUAGUAUAAAUACUUACACUUUCAUGUUAUUUUGUUCAUCAGUAGCUUGAUUAUUUUAUAUGCGUCUUCGAUUUUAAUUUUCUUUCCCUAUAAUCACUAUUAUCUUUGAACUGGUCGUGAUUUGCGUAUAAGAUUUCUCAUGUUGUUUUGAGGUGCAAUGGAUUUUGAAUUUAGUGACGAGCGGUGGAAGCCAGAAGGCAGAUUAUGAAAAUGGAUAAAGAUCUAUAAUUAGCUGUUAUGGGAUGUCACAUAUCAUAUUGAUGGUAACAUUAUAUAUAUGUACAUAUAAUUAAUGGGGUUGGCUCACGAGCCCAUUAAUAAUCAUAUAUUAGCUUAAAUACUUCAAACAAUGUACCAUGAAGCAAUUUCACAAACACUUUUUAGCUUAUGUUGAGCUUUAUCAAUAAAAUGCAGGUUUGCUAUUUUACGUACAUGGUUAUGGUGUGUGCAUUCUUCAUAAGGCUAACUACUAAUUUAUCAAUGAAACUUGAAAAAUGUGACAGAGAGAUGUCGAUAACAGCCGCAAAACACUGAGAUCGAAAAUCAGGGCUACUAAAUACUAUUAAAAGCUCUUAAAAUAGACAGUGAUCAUCCUUAAUCGCAAAGUUAUGCACUAAUAGAACUAUUGACUACUUAUCUUUAGCAGAAGGUAUAUUUUUAACUACAGCUUUCUGCUUUGUUCUAAGAACUAGGCAAGUGGUAUAUCUUCAAUCCAAUCAACGCAUAUACCACUUAUCUUCCUCUUCACUUUUGUCUAUUUUGAUUUCCACUUUAUAUCCUGCACUUGCUGCUUAGAAAUAGUCUUAGUCUGGACAUUGAAAGUAGAAAAAGUACUUGAAACAAUCAUUGGCACAGCCCGAGAUUCCAUUGAAUCGUGGACUCCAAGCUUUCAUAGUUCUAUAAAGAAAAUGACAUAACUUUAUACAACUGGCAUUCUGCUUUUAACAUUUGAUCAACCUGAGCGAGUUAGCAAGCCUCUUGUCGCGUUCCCAUUGAAUAGACCUACUUCUGUUAUCCACAGAAGAUCCACCACUCAAAAUGUUUAUCACCAGGCUAUUCUUAAACUGAGCCUAAACUGAGUAGAAAUUUCCGCACAUCUCUCAACAUUUACAUGAAGAAAUCGACAACUAUCCUCAUCUCUCAGCACAUCUCUCAGCAUUCUACAAAGUUGCAUUUCACUAAGCAAUCUAUCCUCUCCAUUCCUAGCAAAGUGACAUUGAUUCAUGUAUUUGUAAUCGCCUAACUUGGGUUUUGGGCAUAGCGUGGUCUUAAAAUUACCACCCAAUACUUUGUUCAGUGCCACUGGCAUCCACAAGCUCUAGCCCUGUUAGCUGAAUCAUAUUCAAUGGGAGAGUGAGGCAGCAUUUCACUAACAUAUUCAAUUUGACUACUUAUAUUGAUGCAAAUAUUAGAAUUUGAAAUCACUUCUUUUCUUGGAAUAUUAUAUUAAAAUGACCCCAAAUGAAAGUUCUUUAAUGGAAAUUAUUUUUAUUUAAUUUUCCAACAGAUUCAAGAAAACCCAGAGAACACAAAAUUUACACAGUAAUAUGAUUAAGAGCUGAGAACAUACAUGUAGUAAAUGUCUAUCAAAAAACACCCAAGUGUUUCUUUAAAAUUAGAAACUAGUAAACAAAAAGAAAGAAUCAUUUUACAUUUUUAGCAACUUUGGGGUGAGUGAGUGAGUGAGUGAGUGAGAAAUUGAAACCCUAAAGUGAUGACAACAGUAAGAUUCAGUAUGAAGUGAAACCCCAAUUUGAAAUGUAGGCAUGAGUUGCUGAGUCAGUAGAUGAAGCUAUAAAUAGGCAUUCGGUUUCCUUCUUUUCGGUUUGGAGGGCCAUGGAAUAGUGUAUUGGAGUGGGCUCCAAGUAAUAGCCUCUAUCACUGGAACGACACAUCUGUAAAACGUGAUACAUGGGGAAGGAUUGGGCAUUAUAUUCUUAGAUUAGCGCCUUAUUUAGGGUGUAUAUUAAGCAAAUUAUAUAUUACAUGGAGAUGGAGUUUAUGAAAUAGAUUAAAAAGAAAAGGAAAUUUCGGUGUCUAAAGUUUGCUACUUGGAAUAUUUCGGUGUCUAAAAAUUCACUCACCACUUAUUUCAUGUUUGAUUAUAUGUUGAAAAGAUAUUAAAAUAGUAUAAUGCUAUUAAGGCUUAACGUAUAUUUUUUAUUAGUAGAGUGUAGAAUUUUUAAGAAAUAAAUUAUUAAAUUAUUAUAACUAACAUAUUAUUUUAAAGUUGUGUUAUGAAAAAAAUGAAAUAAAAAUGUACAAUAAAUAAGAAUAUUUUAAAACUUUUAUCUUUUUAAAAUUAGUUUUUAACAUAAGGUGAACUAUUUUUUUUUUUAAAUCACAUAUUCUAGUUAAAAUCAAAUAUGUAUUUAUAUGAAGCUUGUAAAUUUUUUUUUUUAGUACUGAUAUUUGAAUAUUAUCAAUAAAAAAAAGGGUAAUGUUCAUGCUGCAUUAUUUUUGUAGCACACAAAAGGACAACAAAGUUUAUGUUAUAAUACUAUCGCUUCUGUUAUGAUAAUAUUUUUUUGUGGCCAAAUAUCUUUUUUUUUUUUAAGUAAAAAAAAGUGGACAAAAUGCAAAUCAGUUUUUAAUCCUCAAUCUCUCCCAAAAUAUAAAUUCGUAGGUCCAUGGGUUGUUAAAACUAUAGCCGACAAAAAGUUACUAACAAAAACAGAAUGUCCAUUUUAUAACUUUCUUAAAAAACUUUCCUUAACUUUUUUAAAAAGUUACCAACAAAAAGUUAUUUCUAAUUUUUAUUUUGUUAUAAUUUUUAUAACAAAAUUCGUAGUUAACUAAACUCUUCUUAUUCCCUUUCUCAACUGCCAUACCCUAACCCGAGCAAAUUGCGUAGGAUAUACCUGUUUUCCCUCAAAAUACUUAAAAUAUACCUCCAUAUAUUAAAAUUGCUAGCUUUACACAUUUAUACUUAAAAAGAUCAGGGAAAAUACAAAAAUAACCUUAAUAAAAAUACUCAACUUAUUAAUAUGCUUAAUCGACUCAUUUAAUAUUCUUACUCGACUUUUUACCGGACCAUACACUCGACUUAGUUAAUAUGCUUACUCGACUUAUUUAAUAUUCUUACUCGACUUCUUACCCGACCAUAUACUCGAUUUAUUUAAUAUGUUUACUCGACUCAUUUAAUAUUCUUACUCGACUUCUUACCCGACCAUAUACUCGACUUAUUUAAUAUGCUUACUCGACUCAUGUAAUAUUCUUACUCGACUUCUUAUCCGACCAUAUACUCAACUUAUUUAAUAUGCUUACUCGACUCAUUUAAUAUUCUUACUCGACUUCUUACCGGACCAUAUACUCAACUUAUUUAAUAUGCUUACUCGACUCAUUUAAUAUUCUUACUCGACUUCUUACCGGACCAUAUACUCGACUUAUGUAAUAUGCUUACUCGACCCAUGUAAUAUUCUUACUCGACUUCUUACCCGACCAUAUACUCAACUUAUUUAAUAUGCUUACUCGACUCAUUUAAUAUUCUUACUCGACUUCUUACCCGACCAUAUACUCGACUUCUUUAAUAUGCUUACUCGACUCAUUUAAUAUUCUUACUCGACUCAUUUAAUAUUCUUACUCGACUUCGUACCCGACCAUAUACUCGACUUCUUUAAUAUGCUUACUCGACUCAUUUAAUUUUCCUACUCGACUUCUUACCCGACCAUAUACUCGACUUAUUUAAUAUGCUUACUCGAUUCAUUUAAUAUUCUUACUCGACUUCUUACCCGACCAUAUACUCGACUUACUUAUCUCUAAUUCUUACUCGACUAAAUUCUCGAUUUACCCGACUUCUUCCUGCACUGAUUCUUCAAUCACUCAUAACUUAAAUGUAGUCUUAAAUCCCUACAUUGAAAUAGUGUGUGUGUGCAAGCACAAAAAAUGAAUAAUGUACUACUAAAAUUCAUAAAUCAUUAGGAAGUACACUUAUAAGAAAAAUAGAGAAUGGUGAGAGAAGCCCAAAAAAGAGAAGCAAUGGGAGAAGAGAGAUGUGAAUUCUUAGUUUUUUUAAGGUUAUUUUUGACUUGUCCUAUCUUCAUAAGGUAUAUGUGUGUAAUAGGGUACAAAUUUGGCAUUUAAGGGUAAAUUGAGGGUAUUUAAAUAAAAAACCCCCUAACCCUGUUCCCCAUGUCCCCACUAAACCACGCUCAAUUAAGGCCAUCAGAUUCUCCCGGGCCCACAUUAAUCCAACUGCUCACAGAGACCGACAGCCUCUCUAUCUCCAUUUCAAGCUCCCUCUUCAACUGGCUUCUGCUACCGUCCUACUCUUUCUCGGCUUCGGAGUCCGUAUUUGCUCGGCCUGUCCCACGAAGCUCCCUCUCACUCCAAUUGUCGCCCCACAAGACCAAUUGCUUAAUCAAGACACCGAACAAGAAGAGGAUGAGAAGUUGAAACAAGAAUUUGAGAAUUGGAAAUCAAAAACGUUUGAGAGUCGUUUCUCUUCAGAACUCAGCGCCUCAAUCUUGGGUUAAGGAUUUUAGAAGUCAGGGAAAGAGAUUGAAGUUUCAGAUGAAUUUGUGUGCUAGCAUUGAUGGGAUCUUUAACAAUUUAUCUGUGCCCUUUAACAAAGUUAAGUCUAAGUCAGCUUCUUAUAUGGCUGCUGAUUUGGUUAGUGUUGGUGAUUCAUGGCUUAGUUUUGCCAUUAAAAAUAGAUUGAUUGAGCCAAUAGCUGGAGCUGAAGACCAAGAUUGGUUCAAAUGCUUAAGUCACAAAUGGAAGGUAACAUCUUUGUCUUUGAUCCUCGAGGUAAAAUAUGGGCGGCACCAUACAGGUGGGGCACAACGGUGAUAGCCUGCAAGAAAAUUAAAUUUCGAAAGCAUAAUUUGGCUCCGAUUGAGGUAAUAAUUUUCUUUAAACUCAUUUAGUUUUAUAUCAAACAAAAUCAAGAAUGCCUUUCUCUUCAAUAUUUUUUAUGAUAAUAUCUUUAGAAGCAUCUCAUUGACGGGUAACAAUGGCAUCCCUGAAAGAGUCUAUAAACUCAAUGAUAUUAUCUUCUACAAAUGGUUCAUUAAACUUUGUCGUUGUACUCAAAUGUACACUCAGAGCAAUGAGAAGCUAUGCCACUUUAGCAUGUAGUGAUGGCACUUAAUAAGUGAGUUGCUAGGAUGUGAACUAGAAAAAUUAAAUAUUGUCUCCUUGGGUAUGCUAGCUCGUAAGUCAGGGUUAAUAUCAGAGCUUAAGAUAGUAUAACCGUGAGAACCUAUUGACUGCCAAUUAAAAUAUCCAUUAAAAUGUCUAGGGAGUUAUGAAGGUGGAGGUAACUUCCGAUUUCUAGGGCCACAUGGUAGACAUCAUCCAGGAUUCUAGGAAAGUGCAGUUAACUUCCUGCUCGAUGCAAUUAAUAAAUUUGGUCAAUGCCACUGAAACCUGCUAACUGACAUCACAAUGUGACAUGAGCACUUCAAAAUGGGACAGACGGUCAGUAGCACUAAUUUUUUCUUGGCUAGGAUUGAGCAAUUGGUCUAACUACUAAUCCCCUAUUGUAGGUUGAUCAUUAUUUUUUAAAUUAUGUUCAGUUUGACCCAAAAAGUUGCAGAAUCUUGAGCAGAAUUUUGUCACUGAACACUGUCAAUGUCAUUUAGCAUAGCCCACUAACUUGAUGUUAAAACAAACACACAGUGUGUCUCAUGUCUCACAAUUCAAAUUAUCAUCUGUAAUGAUGGAGAAUUUUUCCAAUGUAUGAAGUAUGCUUUGAUAUGUGGGUUACCUUGGAGAAGAUAUCUCAAAAUAAAGAAUAUGGGGAGAAAACAGUUCAGUAGUUUAUUAUUCUGUAGUCAAGUUUUGUCUCGAAAAUGGUCAAAAUUUAAAUGAAUAAGGACAGGGGAUCUUCAUUCUUUUUUCCCUUUUUUAUACCAAGAUAUCUCUCAACCUUUAUAUAAUCCCCACUGGAUAUCUGCUUCUAAUAAUUAAAAUAAAAAUUUCACCGCUCUAACAAUAAAAAGUAACAUCUUUAGUCAAAUAAUUUACAGUUCCUCAUCAUCUUAGUGUGAGACUAUCAGUACAUUCCAAAAACAUAAUAAAACUGGUUUGAUCCUGUUUAUUGAUGUUUAAAUGUUGUUCAUUGUGACAUGUAGAAAUGAUGAGGCGAAGUUUAUUUGGACAUCAAUUAGUAAGAUCUUGUUUGAAGUUGUUUUCUGAAAUUUCUGAAAUGAACUGCCAAAUGGUAGUUUUUUUGGGGCAUUUGAUGGCUCUUUUUUUUCCCUCAUUUUCAACAUGUGCCUGCUUGGAACAGGAAGGAUUAGGCUGCAGAGUUGUUAUAUAUUUUGAGAUGCUCUGGUCAUUGCACAAUUUGUUCACACUGGAAAUUAGAAUGAGAAAUUUGUUGAUGCUGUUUUGAGAGAUCUGCAUUCUAUGCACAAUAACAUGAUUAAUGAAAAUGCAUUGUAAGACUGGAAAGAUCUGUGGCAGCCUGAGCUCGCAGGAAGAAUUUCAAUGGUUAAUUCUCCCCGAGAGGUUAUUGGUUCAGUUUUGAAGUAUAGGGUAGCAUCAUACAAUUCAAAUGAUAUUGAUUCGCAAGUUGCUGGUGGGAAGAUUGCUGUUCAGCAGAAUCUGGCAUUACUGGCAAACCAGGUACUCUUACAGAAAUGAUAUCUGCUCAUUGCAUGUUAUUGCCUGACAACUGAUUUUGUUUGUAAAAGUCUGCUUCUUCAUACAGAUGAAUGCAUAUGUUAGUGUUUUCUUCUCCUUUUCAUACAUAUAAAUGCAUAUGUUAGUGUUGUCUUUUCUUUUUCAUACAUAUUAAUACAUAUGUUGGUGUUCUCUCCUGAGAUGGAUGCAAUAAAGGCUUUUGCUCCUAAAUUUAGCUGAAGAAAUGGCAAGGGAUGUGAGAUUCUGUCUCAUUAAAUUAACAAAAACCCAAAGCAAUGAAAAUCCAUAAUAAUGUGGUGUGGGUAAAUUGGCUCCAUUUGGUUUGUUUCCUUAAUGUGAAUGCGCGAGCAAUAGAGACUAACAAAAUGAAGUGACAACAAGAAGUCAGUGUCCUUUGAUGGAUGCAAUUUUAGGCAGAAAUCAGUGUCCUUUGAUGGAUGCAUUUUUAGGCAGAAAUAUGUUUGUAAUUGACCAAAUUUGUCUGGCAUGCCAAUUUCAAAAAAAUUAAAUUAUGUGGUUAUUAGCUGUAAUGAAGGAGGAUAGUAGGUGCAAUCAUGUGGAUCCAGGAAAGUUCGACAAAGUUUUGGUAUGGCGUAGUGAAAUUGGUUUGUGCAACUCAGGAGCCUUUCAGGUGAACGAUGAUAGGUUUUGAUUUAUGAAUAUUAUAAAUCUACUGUGCAUAGUAUUCUAGUAGAAUCAUCUACAAGUUCUAGUUAUUGAAAUUGUAUACUUUGCCCGGUUUGAGUUAAGGGCACAUGUAAUAUGAAAGAUAGUUGUCGCAUCUUUUAGGUUACCUAACAUUUGAUCAAUCCUAUUAUGGGGGCUUCAAGAUGUCUAACAAUAUGUAGAAUGCCCAUGCUCCUCCCCAUUGUUUAUCUUCUACAAUAAUUUGUUUUAAAUGCUAAUAUCUUUGUCGAUACCGGUAACAAUAUUACAAUAUCUGCAUUUAUUGGGUUUUACAUAGGUUCGACUGUUUGACAGUACACACUAUCUGAAGGCAUUUGCAAUUGGAGAUGUAUGGGUUGCUGUUGGGUGGAUUAGUGAUGUUCUUCCUACUGUCAAACAUAUGUCUAAUGUUGCUGUUGUUGUUCCCAAGUCUGGUGCUAGCUGCCUGCCAUUCUACUUCGAUAUUCACAUUGUUAUCUCCUUCAUAUUAGCGAUCAGUAAACACGAUAAUGUGGCUAAUAAGUUCGUAUUCUCUUUAUAGGCAAUCCCUGCUGCCUCAAGACUUGAAACAAAACAAAUUGGAGGGCGAGUCAGAGGUCCAUCUCCAUUAAUCCAUCAAUGAAUAGAAUUCUGCUUGCAAACAGCGAGAUUUUUGCCUUGCAAGCAAGAGGUUAUCCCGGGUGCAUCUCCCUCUGCCCUUGAAAGUACUCUGGUUAAGUUGCCUGAAGAACUUCUGGAGGGUAAACCAAGUCUGGAUACUAACUUAAUUGCUGGAGUACUCCCGGCUGAAAUUCUGGCCAGAUGUGAGUUUUUGGAGCCAUUAUCUGAAGCUACUUUGUCAGAUUAUGAGUGGCUGGUUGUUAAUCUGCAAAAACCUGCUCCUGUCUUGAUGAAAAGGGUGCAACAUUACUUGUCAUCAUUAAUCUAAAGCUUUCUAGCAAGAGCUACACUGAAAAGUUAAUGGCGCUGCAUGCCAGUCAUUAUAAUGCUGUCAGGGCAAUUGGGUCAGGGCAAUUAGGUCUGAGCAUAACUUCAUUAGGAAAAGAGGCUUCAGCUACGUUAAAUAUUACAGGAUGUACUGAGAUGGCUGAAGUUCUGAAGGUUUUAUGAGAAGCGAAAGAUGAGUGUUUGUUUGAACAAAGUUGUUGCCAAUCUUGCAGAGUUCGGAAAGAAAGAUCACGGAGCGAAUGCCACCGAUUUCUUCAUCAUUUUAGCCUCCAUAGUUGAAGUUUCCUCAUUUGAAGCUGUUUAUGCAUACGCUUUUUCCCUGCUCUAGUACAGGAAAUUGAAGAAUUAACCAGAUGUGAUAUGCUGAAAGAGGGAAGUUUUCUUCCUUGAAUGUGGCCUUUGUGAUUUGUCUUGAAGGAAUAGGAUGAUCACUGGCAAGAACCCUAUCAAGGUAGAUUUUAUGGUGUUAACAUAUUAUUAGGCAUUUUGUUACAUCAUGAAAGUGUUUAAAUUUAACCGAAUGAUCUUGAUUGAUCAAUUAUGAGUUUUAAUCGAGUAAAAACUAAAUACAAUAAUCGUUAACAAAUAUUGAAAUUGGGUAAAUAUGAUCUUGAUAUUGAAGAAUUUGAAAUCACAACCCACACAGGAAAUCACCCUUCGCGUGGGGAUGGAGAUGUUUACUGCAGCGAUAUUGAAUAUGUCCACUGCUCUUUGGGUUAUGGUGCGACUUGCGAUUUCAAGGUUGCCAUGAAACAAUGGAAAAGAUUAACAUACCCUCCAAUGAAUGAAAACGGGUGGACUAAUUCGGAUUACCUAAUUGACUCAGGAUCAAGAUCGGCUGGCAAUAAUAACAGUUUAUUAACAAUGCACAGUCCGAGUACCUUUCCAGGAUCAGAUACGACGUGGUCUAAUGUUGAUAAUAAUAGUUUAUUAAAUGACAAAUCGUUGUUCUUGGGUGUUGAUUUCAGAAAUAAAAUACAUUCUGAGAGAUGCUGGUCUACUAUUGCAAGCCCCCAGAUUUAAGAAUAUUUUGAUGAUAAUUUAUCACCGGCAACUGUGCCGGAAGAUUCAAGUAGCACUGAAAAAGAUGAUAAUUUAAUUGAUAUGGACAGUUUCCAUAUCACUUUUAAAUCAUCUUAUGUAAUUGUAAUGUUAGGAAGCAUUAGUGAUCUAAAAGUGAACUAUUAUUGGUGUCAUUGGUGGUUUUAUCUUGUUAAAAUAUGGAUGAUAUUUUAUUGUAGACAAUCUUAUUCAAUUAACAUAUGGUUUAAAACCAUUAUGUUUUAUAUAAAUCAAUCUACUAAUUUUCAUGAUAUUUAACUGAGUUAAAAUCAAGUGCACUCAAUAAAUGUCUUUUCCUUUAAAAAAACAGCUACGCUUUGAUUUUAGUGCUUAAUAUUUCGUAACUACAAAUUAUAUAAUUGCGAGUUGCUGUCCAUAGCUGCUAAUUUGUAGUGAUUAUCUAAUUGCCUGAGGUGACAAUAAUUCUUUUAUCUUCAAUAGCACAAUGUGGAAUUCAAUAAUUAAAUUCUCCUAUUUAAUUUGUUUCAAGUUAAAUUAUUAAUUACUUAAACUCUGUUUUAAGUCUUUAAUUUUAUGUGUUUAUGCAGAAUUGGAUUCUUGAGCGUGUUGGACAUGACCAACAAUGAAAUUGACAGUAAACAAACAUUACAACGUGUGGACUCCGGUAAGCACCAAUGAAUUUCUAGCCCUGUUGACUCCGCCAACUAAAGUUUUGUAAAAUAAAAAAAUAAUACAUAGAAUUCCACCAAAUGCAAAACGCGUGAAAUUUAAUUUUCGGCCGUGUGGACCAAAACAUAAUUUAACGAAAAAGGAAAAAAAUAAUAAGAUUUUUAAAAUGUGUGGAAGGUAAUCCAUAUUUUACUGAAACGACUUAUUAAAUUUUUCAAGGAUUUAGAAUAUUUGAUCAUAAAUUACGUGCAUGUUAAUUUUUCCGCCAUUGACUAUCAUAUUCUAGACUUAAUGGUACCUUUCUUGAUGAAGGGUACUUAGUCUCUCUUCUCCUCUUAUAAAAAUUAUAUUAAUUGAUUUCUUGUUAUAGUUAAUAGACUUUAAGAACGGAUAGAUUUAUUGUUUUCAUGACCAAAUUAUGCAUGCCUAAGGUUGCAACUAUUAAUAAAAUUAAUAUUUAAUGUUUAUGUUAAAAGAUAUAAGUUUUUAUGCAUUCAUUAAUUGUUAUUAGCUAAAGGAUGAAUUAUUUUUUCCCAAUCAGUUGAUGCAUCUGCAAUAGUUUUUUUUUUCUUUUAUUGACCAUAAUUAUAUUCCGGGUGCAAUAAAUUGUCUUUGGUGCUUGGAAAAUAUGACAUCUCUCCGUCAACUUACUGGAAAUAUCUCCUCAUCUACUCGCAUUUAUCUAAUAUCAAUUGAAGAUCUCAUAUUUCCAAACUAUGACUUCCAAAUCUCAUUAUCAUUUGAGCAUUCAAAACUAAUCAAGUGUGGAAAUAAUCAAAUAUAUGCAAAAAUCGAGUCACAAUCUUUGGCCCCUCAAAAUUCUAAUUAUAUAACUUCUAUAUAUCUCAUACAUUUUCCAAAUUCCUCUUCCAUCAACAUCACUAGGAGUAUGUUCAUCUCUCACACAUUAACUUGAGUGAAGAGUUUCUAAAUUGAUUGUUAGAAAAUAAUACAAAAGCUAGACACGCUUGAUCUGUCUAAUAAUUCUCUUUCUGUAAAAUUAAUUAAUUUUAGGGGAAUUUAGCCAACCUCUGUAAUUUCAGAGUGAUCAUUAAUUAAUUAAACAAUACAAAUAUCUAAAGUGAUUAGAUGUUUGCUGACAAUACAAGUUCAUGGCUUGAAAUUUGAUCUCUAUCGAUUGACUUACAGAUGGACGUACUUGUGCCUUUCUGGUGAUAAUUGAACCAGAGAUGUGAAGCUGUAAGGAUUUGGCAGUAGUAAAUUGUUAUAAAGACAUAAUGACAAAUUCCCAUGAUUAUUAUUUUUUCCAAAAACUUUUUUACAACAAAUUCAUCUCGCCAAAAAUUUUAUUUUGCUAACUAACAAUAAUUGAGCACUUGACCGCAUUGACUCCACGUCUCCACCUACUUUCUAAGUAAAAACAUGGAAAUGUAAUCUCUACAAAAUGCCAAACGUGUGGAAUUUAAUUUUUGGCCUUGUGGACCAAAAUGCAAAUGAAAGAAAAAGAGAGAAAAAAACAAGGCCCAAAGACUUCUAAAAGAUGUAAAAGCUUUGGGCUUUUUUAUAAUGGUGGAUUUUUUAAAAGGAAAAAAUAACAACACUUCUAUGGUUUGUUUUGAUAAUCACAUUUACAUAUACUCUCUAAUUUUCAAAAUAGACACAUAAAUAUUUUUUUUCUACAAAUGUAUAUUAUUCAUAUUUUUUUAUUAUUUUUAAUAUCAUAUUAUUAUUUAUUAUAAAUGUUUAAAGUAAAUUUUUAGGUUGAAAUAUAAUAAAAGGGGAUAAUCGUUCUCCUAUUAAACACCCAUACUUUUAGUUUCUAUCCAUUUGUCAUCUCAAUCUCUCUCGAUUAUUCAUUCUUUCUAGCUCAAAACGCGUUGCUGUGGAAAAUUAUAGCAAAAAGACAAAUAUGGAAAAGAAAAAAGGGAAGAAAAUUAAUGCAUGAAAGACUUGGAGAAAACAACGAAGUAAGUCAACUAUAAUCUAGUUAGGUAUAUAAAUUGUUUGAUGCUUUAUAAGCAAAUAACAUAUAGAGACAGACAGUGUGUGUUCGUUUUUUCAUAGUUAAAGAUAUAGUUAGAAUGGGUGGUUCAAAAUCAAAAAUGGUGAUAAUGUUUGUUAUGUUAUUAAUAAUAUUUAAAAGUGGGUGGAGUGAGGGAUGUUUGGAUCACGAGAGAUUUGCUCUUUUGCGACUUAAACAUUUCUUCGAUGAUACUGGUAGUUAUCUUUACGACUGGGCCGAUGAUGAGGGAGCUACUGAUUGUUGUCAGUGGGAAAGGGUUGAGUGCAGCAACACCACAGGUCGAGUGACAGCGCUAGACCUUUCUGACACGUAUUCGGGAGAGUACGGCUGGUAUCUGAAUGCUUCUUUGUUUACUUCCUUUCAACAACUUGAGUCACUUGAUUUUAGUUUAAACAAAAUAGCCGGUUGUGAUGAGAAUGAAGGUACUUCGUUUAAUUUAAUUAAUUUACUUUCACUCUCCUAAUUUAAGUGGAAUAUUAAGACUGAGCAACUAUAUGCAUAUACAUUAGUUGACAAUUUUGACAUAUUUUUUGAAGUGAUUAAUUAAUUUUGAAAUUACACCAAUAUCUAUGAUCUUUUUUUUUUUUUUAAUUUUGCUUGCAGGUCUAGAGAGGUUAUCAAGAUUGAACAAUUUAAAGAUGCUUAAUUUAAGUUAUAACUGGUUCAACAAUAGUAUCUUAUCAUCUUUAACUCGUCUUUCAUCAUUAAGAUCAUUAAAAUUAUAUGCGAAUAAUUUGGAAGGAAGUAUUGAUGUUAAAGGUACAUAUUUAAAACUUCUCUCUUCCCCAAGCUCUUUCAUUAACCUGCUAAAAUAAGAUUCAAGGCUUUGAAUUCAAUUUUUUUAUGAUUAAUAUUUUAAAAAAAAGUUUUAAGCAAUUUAUAAAUACAAGUUUUAAUGUUUCUCAUAAUUUCAUCUUGUACUUUCAUAUGUCUUGAAUUUAAGAUUAAAAAAAAAACUCUAAUAGCGAACCAAACACCUCCACAACUUAUUAUUAUUAUUUUUUAAUUUGUGGUGAGGUUUGAAACAUUCAAGUCAAUUUGUACUUAUUACAGAAUUUGAUUCUUUGAGAGAUUUAGAGGAGCUAGACAUUGGAUGGAACAUGAUUGACAAAUUUGUGGUCUCAAAAGGUACUACAAAUACCAUAAAAAAAUGCCAACUUUUACAAAUAAGCUGGAUUCUUUGCCAUUUGGUUUAUUAUUUUACAGGUUUGAGUAAGUUGAAGUCUCUCGGUUUAGCUGGUAUCAAACUCAACCGUAGCAUCUUAUCUUCUCUGACUGUCUUUUCUUCGUUAAGAGAAUUACAUCUACGUGAUACCGGAUUCAAAGGAACAUUCGAUGUUCGAGGUAAGUCUAAGCCUUGCUUUCUCAUUUUAUAUAUGCCAGCUAGAUUUGUGUAUCAUUGACAUAAUUUAAUAUUUAAUUUGAUUCGUCUGAAGGAAUUACAUGCUAAUUUAAACAUACUUUUAUUUACUUUGUCAAUUAAUUAAUUAAUUAAUUACUAUUUGGCUUGGUUUGGAUGAAAUUCUCAUGAUGUUUUAAUUUCUUUAAAUUAAUUAAUUAAUUAACUUUGUUUUUAAGUCUUAAGUCUGGGCAUGUUUGCAGAAUUUGAUUCCUUCAAUAACUUAGAAGUGUUGGACCUGAGUUGGAACGAAAUCGACAAUCUUGUGGUUCCUCAAGGUAAACAAUUAAAAUGUUAUUUAAUUACAUUAUUUUAAUUCAUUUGAUCUGGGAAGGCCAAAAAGGUAAAAAAAAAAUUAAAUAAAGAAACAGAGAAUUUGUAUUAUUUAAAAAACAGAAUGUAAUAAAGAUUUGAUUCUAGUUCUUUAAUCUUUAAAGCGAUUGAAAAACAAUGUUGCUCUUUUCCCAAAGCAUAAAAUACGAAUUGAAUGCCGAUUAACUUAAUCAUUCAUUUUGUUUAGCUCUAAAUUUAGACAAUGAAUUUUUAUAUUAUUUCAAAAACAGGACGUAAUAGAAUUUUUUUUAAAAACAGAUUGUAAUAAAGAUUUGAUUCCAAUUCUUUAAUCUUUACAGUGAUUGAAAAACGAUACUGCUUCCCAAAGCACAAAAUACGAAUUGACUCCCAAUUAAAUUAAUAAUUUAUUUCGUUUAGGUCUAAAUUUAGAAAAAUGAAUUUUGAUUCUCUUCAAUCCUUUCCUAAUUAUUAUUAAUAAACAGGUUACAAAGGUUUGAGGAAGUUGAAAAGCCUUGAUCUAUCGGGAGUUGGAAUUAGAGAUGGAAGCAAGUUGUUACAGUCAAUGGGAUCAUUCCCAUCCCUCAACACUCUUCACCUUUUGUUGAAUAAUUUUAACAAUAUAGCGACAGCUACUCAAGGUAAGUAAAAGUUGGAGAUGUGACCAAAUUUAUAAAUAAGCUGUUAAUUAAUUAAUUAAUUAAUUUUUCCGUAUUAUUAAUUAAGCUAAAUUCCUUGCUCCUUCCUUCUAAAUCUAAACAGAGUUGCACACUUUCACCAACUUGGAAUAUUUGACAUUGGACCAUUCCUCCCUCCAUAUAAGCCUUCUGCAAAGCAUUGCGUCAAUAUUCCCUUCGUUAAAAGAUUUGUCGAUGUUUGAUUGCAAAGUCAACGGUCUUGUACGCGGUCAAGGUAAAAGAAAAGUGUCGAUUGUGAACUCACUCAGUGUUGUCCUACGUGUUCAACAUUUUUAUUUAUUUAUUUUAUUGUUUAAUGUUUCUGCUAGGUUUUCCUCAUUUCAAGAGUUUGGACCAUUUGGACAUGGUUUUCGCGCGCACUGCACUCAACACCAGCUUUCUUCAAAUCAUCCGUGAAUCAAUGCCUUCUCUUAAGUACUUAUCAAUGUCAGAUUCUACUCUUGGCACUAACAGCAGCAGGAUUCUUGAUCAAGGUUAAUAAUAUAAAUAUUUAAUUACACAAACGAAUCACUUAUUAUAAAAGAAUAAUACGCAUUCAUUAAUUUUUAUGUUGUAUUAAUUGAUGAAUUUAAUAAAAUUUCAGGCCUCUGUUCGUUGAUGCAUCUGCAAGAGUUGUACAUCGAUAAUAAUGAUUUGAGAGGUAGCUUGCCUUGGUGCUUGGCAAAUAUGACAUCCCUCCGAAUAUUAGAUGUUUCUUCCAAUCAACUUACUGGAAGCAUCUCCUCAUCUCCCCUCGUUCAUUUGACAUCCAUUGAAGAACUGAUGCUUUCAAACAAUCACUUCCAGAUCCCAAUUUCACUUGAACCACUUUUCAAUCACUCAAGACUCAAGAUUUUCGAUGCUGCGAACAACGAAAUAAAAGCUGAAAUAACUGAGUCACAUUCUUUGACCGCCCCAAACUUCCAAUUACAAGCUCUCUCAUUGUCUUCCGGUUAUGGAGAUGGUGUCACAUUCCCCAAAUUCCUUUACCAUCAACAUGACCUGGAGGAUGUUCGUCUCUCACACGUAAAUAUGGAUGGAGAAUUUCCAAACUGGUUGUUGGAAAACAACACAAAAUUGAGACAACUUUAUCUCGUCAAUGAUUCUCUUACAGGACCUUUCCGAUUGCCAAUCCAUUCACACAGAUGGUUAAGAUUCUUGGAUGUCUCCAACAACAACUUCCAAGGCCACAUUCCAGUGGAAAUUGGAGAUAUUUUACCAAGUUUAAUAUCCUUCAACAUUUCAAUGAAUGCUUUAGAUAGUAGCAUUCCCUCUUCAUUUGGUAAUAUGAAAUUCCUCCAAAUUCUGGACUUAUCCAACAAUCACUUGACUGGUGAAAUCCCCGAGCACUUGGCCGUGGGUUGCGUCAACUUGCAGGCUCUUGCAUUAUCAAACAACAACUUAAAAGGUCAUAUGUUCUCCAGAAACUUUAACCUGACAAACUUGAGAUCAUUACAAUUGGAAGGCAAUCACUCGUAGGUGAGAUCCCACAAAGUUUGUCUAAAUGCUCCUCACUAGAAGGAUUGUAUAUUAACAAUAAUAGUCUUUCGGGUAAGAUUCCACGAUGGUUGGGUAAUCUCACAUGGUUACAAUAUAUUAUAAUGCCCAAUAAUCAUCUUGAAGGCCUUAUUCCAGUGGAGUUUUGUCAGCUUGAUUCGCUUCAGAUUUUGGACAUUUCAGACAACAACAUAUCUGGAAGUUUACCAUCUUGUUUCCAUCCUCUCUCUAUUGAACAAGUUCAUCUUUCAAAAAAUAUGUUACAUGGACAGCUAAAAAGAGGUACAUUCUUUCAUUGCUCUUCCCUGGUGACAUUAGAUCUCAGCUAUAACCGUUUGAAUGGCAGCAUUCCGAAUUGGGUUGAUGGGCUUUCUUAGUUAAGCCACCUUAUCUUAGGUCACAAUAAUCUUGAAGGUGAAGUGCCAGUUCAAUUGUGCGAACUGAACCGAUUGCAAUUGUUAGAUCUUUCUAAUAAUAAUCUUCACGGUCCUAUUCCUCCUUGCUUUGAUAACACCACACUUCAUGAAAGUUACAGCAAUAGUUAUAGUCUUGAUGAGCAAUUUGAAAUAUUUGUUUCCAUCGAAGGCUCUUGGGGAUCGGUAGAAAAGUAAAUCCAUGAAAUUUUUGAGUUCACAAUAAAGAACAUUGCGUACAUUUACCAAGGAAAAGUUCUUAGCCUCCUAUCAGGACUUGAUCUUUCUUGCAACAAGCUAAUCGGUCAUAUUCCUCCUCAAAUUGGAAAUUUGACAAGGAUUCAAACAUUGAAUCUAUCACACAACAACUUGACAGGAUUGAUCCCAUCAACAUUUUCAAACUUGAAGCAUAUCGAAAGUUUGGAUCUUUCCUACAACAAAUUGAAUGGGAAAAUCCCUCAUCAACUUGUGGAGUUAAAGACAUUGGAGGUUUUCAGUGUGGCAUACAAUAACUUAUCAGGCGAAAUUCCAGAAUGGACAGCACAAUUUGCAACCUUCAAUGAGAGUAGCUAUGAGGGAAAUACUUUUCUUUGUGGAUUGCCAUUGCCAAUUUGUAGAUCACCAGCAACUAUGUCGGAGGCUUCAAUUGGCAAUGAACGAGAUGAUAAUUUAAUUGACAUAGACAGUUUCUUUAUCACAUUUACAACAUCGUACGUAGUUGUGAUAUUCGGAAUUGUUAUUGUUUUAUAUGUAAAUUCUUAUUGGCGACGUAAAUGGUUUUACUUUGUUGAAAUGUGGAUAACUUCAUGUUACUAUUUUGUUGUAGACAAUCUUAUUCCAACAAGAUUUUGUCAUUAAAAUUAAUUAGUAGUUUAAUUACGAUUCUUUAAGUUCUAAUCAAGUUUGCUUAGGAAAUAAAUUUAUUUUUAUUUUUUAUUAAAAUUGUAGUAGUAUUUAGCGUUACAUAGCUUCCAACUUCCAAGCACUUCACAUUUGUCUCUACACUUCCAAACCCAUAUCUAUCCACCAUAACUUAUACUUCCCUAUACUGUGCAGCCUACUUAAAUAAGAGAACCAUCUCCAAUGUUAAAACCAGCCACUCUAUAACAUUCAUUUAGAAACUAUAUUUAGAAUAGUUUUAUUAUCAUACACAAGAAAUGAAACACCUAGAUGCACUUGAUCGCCUAUUUUACUUUAAAAAACAAUAAUUAUCGUGCUAUCAUCAUCUUCUUCACUAGCAACAUUAACACCAAAUCCAGCGAUGGACCCAGACAUUUAAUCAAGAAAGGUAUAUAUAUAACAAAGUUGAAGCUUGACAAAAAAUUCAGGAAGAUUAAUGCCUCGGUAUAUAUAUAUAAUAAAGUUGAAGCUUGACAAAAAAUUCAGGAAGAUUAAUGCCUCGCCACAACAAGGGGCACAACAACAUCAAAGUAGAGAUGAAGCAAUAUUCUCAAAGCUAAAACUCUCAAAUCCACCCACCAGAAUUUCAUAUCUCCUCGACAAUUUUAAGAACUAAAGAUAAUUAGGAUUUAACAUUAGUUUUUUAUAUAUUAGUUUCAUAAUUUACAAAUCAAUGAAGAUGAAGAUUAUGCUAAUGAAUUCAAAUUAUACCAUACAUUCUAUAGAUGUUACCAAAAAUUUCUAAGUCAAUCCCACAUAUUUCAUAAUUUUAAGACUAGAAAAUUUCAUUAGUUAGAAGUUUCAUUACCUUCAAGUGGAAGAUGAAGAACAUUAUACAAGUGAUUCAGAUUAUAUCAUACAUACUCCAAAUGCAACUAGAAAUUAACAAGUUCAUGCGCACAGAUUUCAUAACAUUAUGAUUGGAAAGUUUCACAAAGAGAAAUUCUAAAUUCAAUCUCUUGCAUCAAGGUAGUUUGAUUGAUUUGAGUUACUUUCUGAUCAAGCUACUAAUAUAACAUUCAAGUUAGGGAGAAAGUAAAUUAAAACUGGGAAGAAAUAACAGUAAAAAUUUGUUGCUAAACAUGAUGUGUAUUUUUUUUAAGGCAAUUUGGAAACACAGUUGUUACUACAGAUAUUCUCCUCAACUUGGAGACAAAUACAAAUAUUAAAAUGCAUAUGAUCGCACAUACUACUUGGAGCUUAGUAAGAUUUCAUUAAAAGAAGCAAUCAAACCACUUAUCAAUUGUCGCAAUCGUUCUAUAAACUAAAAUAGCAAUAUAAUACAAGAAAAAGAACAUAUAGAUACUCGGCAAGAGUUCAUUAAGAAGUCGCAUCACAUUAGGGUGAGGAGUUUGCUUCUGAUAUCUUGCUAGCUGGGGCUUUUUCUUGUCUUUCUACGUAUGCCGAGGGAAACCAACCAGCUAGGCCCUUGCAUUCACCUUCCGACCAUCCAGUAGGAGCCACCUUGAGAAGUUAUAACUAAAACGGUGAAUUAAAAAAAAGUUGACAAUUCAAAGACCUAAGGGGAAAACUAAUUCUUUUACGUAGAGGAAGUGAACUAGUUGUGAUCACUGAAAUAAAAAAAUAACUAUGGAAGCAUAACAAGAUAUAAAUUCACAUGUCUAUAAGGGUAAACAGGGUGGUUUAGAACUGAGCUAGCAACCCUACUAUAUUCUGAUUUGCACUUCAAUGUAAAAGGGAAUAUAUGGUAGGAAGAAAAAAAACCAACCAUCAUUUGUUAACUUAUUGCUUUUCAAUCAAAAUUUUAAGAACAAAAUGCCAUGUGCUUUGAACAUCAAAUAAGUAUAAGCAUUAGUUCUAAAUUCCACAUAUUAUAAGUUGUUAGAAGGAUAAGUUAAUAGCAUAGUAGAAAAAUCUAUGUGUUGGUAUUUAGAGGGGAAAGUACCUGGCGAACCACAACAUAAUCAUCAAUUGAAAGACUUAGCUCUCCAUUUGCUUGAUCAUCAAAUGGAUGUAUAACCUGCAAGAUAAUGGGAUAAAUAGAACUUAAAAAAAGCAUAACAAAAGCAGCAACAGCAGCAGCAGCAUUCAUUGUAACCACUAUGAUCAUGGCCAACAAAGAUAUAUUAGAAACAAAAUUCCAUUUUUACUACGACUUUAAUAUGUACUAUACGAUAUCAUGACGAUUGGGUUAUCAAGUGCUAUCAAAGUCUAAUAAGUUCUGUAUAACUUUAUAUAGUUAUUUUAAUUAUGGAUCAAAUUUUAAAUUUGAAAUUUUGACUGCUCUCCACAAAAUAUGGCCUAUGCACAAGAAAGUCAUAGAUAAUGAGGAUUACAAGUGUCCGACAUCUUUUGAGUGAUGGAUUUAACAUGAGAGCUUAUGGUCAGUCAAUUUCCUCUGCCUAGCAAUAUAAGCUUUCUCGGCCAGAUUUAUCAUCAAAUACAUAGAUUGCCCCCAAGUCACAUCCAUAUAAACAUAGUUUUCUAGGUAAACCAAGUAAGGAGAAUCAUAAUUUAGACAUAAUCAUAAAAAGGCCCAUCUAACUUAAGAGAAAAUCUCAAAAAGAGGGAUGUUGAGCUAUCAGUCUUGUAUCUAUAAGCAAUAUCAAGACUUUACAUCACCUGCUACAUCGUGAGUGGCUACACAACUUUCAGUGGUUUGUCUUUCUUUGGCAUGCCUAACUCAGCUUUGAUGUUGCUGAGAUAUUGAUAGUAGAGACACAUGAUACUUCUAGCUCAUGCAUUUUAUCUAGCUCAUCCGACAACUAUUUCUUUUUUAAUUCAUUAGUGUUUGCUAAACCUCAUGCUCAAAAGUCCUGUUCUCCUAAACAAAGUUUCCUAAGAAUGACUUCCUCAACACAACAUUUGGACACUUUUAGAGCAAUUUUAUUUGGAGGAAAAGAAUUUUCAAGGUGUUAACUAAUAAAUUUUAAAAUAUAAUUACAAUUUGUCCUACGAUCAUAUGACAAUUUAUUUGGGAUGAAAGGAUACAGACAGACAUCUUCCACUUUCAAGACUAAUCACUACUUCCGUAGAUGUUGUGCAAUGAUACAAAUACUUGACCAGAUGGUAGUGAUGGUAGAAAAAAAUUUAUUGCUCCAAAAUUAAAAUAAGAAUGCAAUAUGUUAAGCAAAAGACUGUGCAACAUCAAAUUAAUUGAUGAGUUUGUAAUUCAGUAAAUUAACAACUUUCAUGGUAAAAUACAACAAGUUUCUUUUAAAAAAAAUAAAUCUUAAAAGACAGCAUUCAUUUUUGUGCGCAUGUUAUUUCUUAAGAUUUUUCAGGAGGAGGGCAAUAGAGGGACUUUCACCUAUGCAAGAGAGCAGAAGCCUUACUUUUGCUAUAAAGUAGACGUCAUUCUGAUUAAUAUGCGUUUGAAUCAGCUCCGUUUGCUAUAAAGUAGACGUCACACAUGAGGCAUUUACAUCCAUUUCCAAAGUCACAUGUUGCGAGGAGGACUCAUUUGAUUGCUCCUCUAGGAUCAUCUAAUGCAAGUAGUAAGGGUUGGAAGAAAAUAAAAAGUCACAAUUAUUCUUUUGCGUAAGUGAGACGAAAAUGAUAAAUGCAAUAUUAUCAGCAGUAAACAAGAAGAGAACGCUCCAAGGAAUAGAUAGAUGCAGACAAGCAAGUUAAAAUGCAUAGUCCCAAACCUCCGCAUACAACUUCUCUAAAAUAGCAAUAACGUGUUGAUGAUAUGUUUUCUCAGCAUCUACCUGCAAAGGCCCGAGACCAGGAAAACGGCAAUAAAACCACUAGCUAAAGGAGAAAGUAAAGAAAGAAAUACACUUGACAUAAAUCUUGACAAGAAGCACAGUUUAAACCCCAAUCAUAUUGUUUAGAACUACCAUUCGUUAUUGUAACAUUUCGAACAAGUGUUGACUUAAUUCAACAUUGUUGGAAAGAUAGGCUUUUAAAAGCGGAAGAAAGCCACUCAAACCAAAGUGAUUGUCCUUGUAUUGAUCAAGGGAUGUAAACAUAUUACAUUUGCAGGAUAAGUUUUAAUUAAUCACUCCCCUGAUUUAUUUGGGUUGCAGUUUAAUUUGUGAAUUUCGUUAUUGUAACAUUUCGAACAAGUGUUGACUUAAUUCAACAUUGAAAAAUUAUUCAAUAAAUUAUGCAAACAUUAAAAUAGAGGACAUAUUAAAAAGUUUCUAAUUACAAUGUUAAUAUUUCCUAUAUUUUAGCAUUUGCAUAUUUUAAUUUAUUUAAAAGCUACGUCGAUCAACUUUGGGCGUGAAGAUUUUAGCUUCUACGAGACUUGAUUGGAAUAUGCAUAAGGAAGAGUGUUAAAAUAUGAUGCAUCCAACGAAAGACAAACCACGUGUAGUCUUUUAAUUAAGCCAAAGUAGCAGCUCAAACAAAUGACACUUGGACCAACAUGCAAUCAUGAAGUGGCCGGAAAAAGGACAAAUGCAACUUUGGCUUAAAUAAAAAAUAACAUGUGACUUGACUUUUGCUGGACAUGCAUCAUGUUAUUACAAGACAACAGAAAUCAGUAUGAUAGUACUAAAAGUUGACAAUAACAUGAAGAUAAGAGGCAGAAUAUCAACACAUGCAUAGGCACACACAAGGAAGUAUUAACUUAUAUACCAUAGCAAAAAGUCUUUGAUAUGUCAUCUGUUGCUGCUGUGAUUCAACUGACAGCAUGGCAGUUGUCGCUUCUCUACCAAGAGCCAUUAUUGUAGAUUUAAGCUCGGUCAAUCUUGCUUCUGCAUUUCGAAGCUUCACAGCACUCUCUGCUGAUAUAUCAGAUUCCCUAAUCUUUGAUCGGCGCCUAAAUACUUCAGCUGCCUGGUGAAAAUAUUCAAUAUAAAUCUAACAUAAUUCUAAUCUUGCCUUAUACAUGCAUAUGUUAACUCAAAGCUUACCUGGGCUUCAACUUCAUGUCGAAGUUUGUCAUAACGAUGAGUCAGGUGUCGAGCAUCUUCCAAAGGUGCUCCGUUGAUUAACGCCCGUAGUGGCUCAGAUACCUACAUGUCCAAAAACCUGUAACAUAGUUAGAAAAAUGAAAAGAAAGAGCGAAACCUCAAUUAAAAAGUUCCUCCAACAUAAUCAUGGAAUUUGGGCCUACUUCAAGGACAUAUAUAAGGAUAAUUUAUGCAAUUUUGGGUCUUAGGAUGAUUGGCAUUAGGUUAGUGUUCUUCUCUUCUGUAUUUAAGGUUAAAAUAGAAAUAAACCUAUGAAAAUAUCUAAAUUAGGGCUGUAAGACUUCCACAUGCAUCCUUCAGUCUCAUGGAUUUGAUUUUACUAUAGAUGCAAGUGUCUUUAUCGAAAAUGCUUGGAGUCAAUUGAGAGAACUCACGGCCAAUAACUUGUCACACGCUAGUCUUUGCUAGUGAUGUAAGAAGUCACAAGGUCUCUUCAACAUUUGAACCCAUAAAAUUAUUAAGUCAUGGAUGUCACUAGCAAUGAUUUUAAUAUAAAACAUUAAAUAUUUCAGAGUUGUAACGUUAAAAUUCUUUUAUUCAAUAUCUUAGAACUAAGUUUCCUUAUGAGAAGAUAAUAGUUUCAGUAGUAAUUUACAUAUAAUUUUCUAUAUUUGAAUUAUUUUCUAGUUAGGGAUGAACUAACCUGAUCACCAAGAAUCCCAAGCAAAGUUUCCCUCUCAUUUUCCAUCAAAUCAUGUGAAGUGCCAAAUUGAAGAGCAGCUCUUGCAACGCAAGAAUUGUCACUUUGAUUCUCCGCUCCAUACUUGCAACAAUCUUCAGCCAACUUUCUCGCUACAAUAUUUGAAUACAAAAAUAUUGUGCACAAGAACUAGUCAAGAAAAAAAAAAUCAAAUAUUAUAACGAAUGCAAGAGCAAACAAACAACCUAUUUCCAUUUGUUUCAAGCUUACUGCAACAAGCCCUUCAAUGCCACGAACAAUAUUCCUCUGAAAAUGCUGCGCUACAGAGCAUAUAUUCCAAAUUAUUGUUCAGAUAAAACCAUAGAAACCAUCAUAAUUAUUCAACAUACAUUAAGCUCCGUUUGGUAAAUACUUGCAACUUCAGUCUAGAGAAUACAGUUCUAUAUAUGUAGCAGUCUAAAGGAGGAUGGUGCCUUAGCUGCCCUGGUGGAAUUGUAUAGAUUUUGAAGUUGUUGGUGACACUCAAUUUCAGCUUCAUCAACUGCCUGUACAAAUCAUAAAAAACUAAUGAAAAAAAUAAAUAAAAUCGAGAAAUUUCACUAAUUAAAAGUCUAAAUAUAAUUUUAAAAAAGAAAGAAACGCACUUGGUGCUGCUUGGCGACUUGUUCUCGGAGCUUGAUUGCCUGUUUCUUGAUAGCUUCCAUACUGUUUCUUUCAAAAAGCGGCGACGGCUCAGCUCAUGGAAGUUGGGGAAAAAAAAAAGUGUGAUCAAGAAAAUAAAAAGGCAUAUUAUUGUUGACAAAAUGUGAAAAUAAAAAAGAAAAAAGAAAAUUAUAAGUUUGAAAGGAGAAGAUGAUAGUGGAAGAGUGCGGCGUGGCUGCCAGCUACUUGGAUUGUAUUGUCGGGUAAGGUAAUUGUAGAAAAUUAUAAGUUUGAACAGAGCAUGUUAGACUUUUGUUGACCAAAUUCAAAAGGCAAAUGGUACGGCCCAGAAGCUUUGGAAUACAGUAACUUACAAGAAAGCUCCAUUUAUUCUUCUUAUACUUUACGCUUGCAUCAGCUUAAAUCACUUCUUAAUCGCUUGCUUUAACUGCGCCGCUUUGUACUGUUCUAUAUAUGUAGCAGUUAUGCGGAUGUAGUUCACGGCUGAGGGUACGUGUUUGUUUGACGUGGUAGUUACGUUACGACGUUACGAGAGUAUUAUUAGUUAUUUCACAGGGAUAAAUAAGAUUAGUCACAAUAAACCCACUAGUUUUAUAAAAUUCGAGUAAUAUAGAAUAAAAUAAAAAAUGAAUACAAAAUUGACUUUUAUUUUUUAUGGUUGACUAUAUUUUGUGUUCUCUUCUGGUACUACUACAAUUGUUCCCUGUAUAUCACUCAUACCCAUAUAUCAUUGACACAAGAAAUGAAAUCUAAUGUCAGAUGUUUAGUUAAAGAAUCACUUAUGAAAAAAUUUUACCAUUUUGAUUUGAGGAUCCCUAUUUUGAACUGCAAGCUAAUGUUCAUCAAGAACAGAGUAUGGCAGUUGAGUAGAAAAACUAUUUUUGGACAAAUUGUUUUUAUUGAUAGAAGAAUUUCUCAAGGGACUACUAAAAUUAUUAAAAAAAAAUGUCAAACACGCCCAUAUAUCAUCAACACAAUUGGUUUUGAGAAUCCAUACUUUAAACUGCCGCCUAAUAUUCAUCAAGAGCAGAGCAUGGCUUGUGAGUAGAAAAUUUUCUGAUUUUGGCCCCAAAUAAUCCAGCACUUUCUCAUGAAGAAAUGCAUACAAAGCAUACCAUGGUACCAUACAAUACAAGGAGUCUCCGUUCUCUAGUUUUUCAAACUCUAAAGGGGCCAAUACUCCCUAAUUCCCCCUCGAAAAUUCUGAUUAUGACAUUAUUCAUCCCUCGAUGCAAUCAAAGUAGUGACAAAGUUAGGAAAAAUAUGAGUCCUAAGUAAUUGCUAGGCAGGGCUCCUGUGAGCAAAAUUGUCCUAAGCAUUAUAUGCAUACAUGGUGUGGUACAUAAAGCACAAUGAAUUCCACACUAUAACACAAACCCAGAAAGAGAAGAAACAACUUAAUUGAUGUAAAGACAAAAAGAAGAUAAAAUGAUAUAGAAAAAAAAAUUCAAAGAGAUAGCAACAUACUAUAGACUGAAGCCACUUGAUCUGCUCAUUGAUUGCAGCCUUAAACUUGCAAAUAGUUACCGUAAGCUAGUGCUAUAAGAAGUGAAAAUGAUGCACACCCUGAUUCCCUUCGACUUCCAUUUACUGUCAAACAUUCUAUUAAUACAAAAAAAUUGUUCAAAUAUCUUGCCAUAAAUAUAGCCGUUUGACUGGCUUAAUAAAGUCACAAAUAACCAUUCAUAUUGAUCCACAGUGUCACACCGCCUGCUUUAUGCAUACAACAGCUGUAUGUAUACCAACUCCUAACCUUAUCAAUACAUUUGGCAAAAACUUAAGAAGAAAACUAUUUCUCCAUCUCUUUUUUGAAAUUUCACAAUAAACCAGCAUAUUGUAAACGUUAUGUUGUAACCUUAUGAUAAAUGCUCUAGACUCCAAAUGAAUUUUAUAUAUGAGGGUUUGUUGCAGCAGAUAUAUUGACUUAUCAAGUAUGAAUCAUUGUCUAGAAGAACUAUCUUUAGAUAAAAGAAUAUUAGAACCAUUCUAGAAUAUCUUUAGGUUGCUAGUUCUAACAGGAAUCUGCAUGUGGCAACAGUUGCCAGAUCCACAAUUCCCCAACUUGAAAUACAUAGUUGCACACCGUGAGAUAGUGCUGCAAUCUACUGAGAUCUAACUUAUAUGAUACUUUAAGCUACUAAUGUUUGCAUAUUUCUACAUGUUAAAUUGACACUACCAUCUAUAAUCACUCUAAAACGACAGAUGAUAAGCAGCUUUUGGCUACUUAUUACUAGCAUCCACAAUUAAUUUUUGUUCAGCAAUCAGCUUAUUUUAUAGAAAUUGAUUUAGUCAGCAACAAACACUAUAAUCCUUGAAAUUAGUUCUUGUUCUUUGUAAUUUUCUAUGAUUUUUCAUACAUCAAUUAAUCUGCAGUGCCAAGAUGAGGUUUGGUUUUUCAAACUAAAUAAUCAAGUAGCAAAAAUACAAAUUUAGAGAUUAGGGGGUGAACUAGCUAGGUGGUUUACAAAUAUUCCUAUUUGUAAGGUGAAUUAAUUGAAUCAUGAGAAAACAAUGUGACCAUAGCUCAAUAUGAGAUGAUUUCGGAGAGGCAUAUUGUUUUCAAGUGAAUUUGAUCCAUUAAGAGAUGAAGUGGAUUGAAGUGGAAAGUUUAAAUAACAAAUCCUUGUUCUUGAGUUUUACGACGUUGUUACUCCUUCAGGUGGCAGAUUAUGCAAGUGAAUUCAAAAACACAAUGCAUCAAUCACGGGGAUGCUACACCAAAAGACGGGAUCAUAGUCUAUGCAUUGAACAGUUACAGUUGCUGCUACCAAUUGACUCGGCAAAGAUCAAGAAGACUGAACGGGAAGUUAAUGCCAUCAAUGUCGUCUUCACUAUAGCUGCUGGGAAUGUAGGUGAACUUUCCUCAUUUGCGGCUGUCUAUACAUAGGCUUUUCCCCAGCUUAAGUACAAAUAAAUGAACCUGCUUUGAAGGCUUUAUUAUUGACCACAAUAAGGAUUACUAAUUGAAGAAGACUAUACGGAGUUAAUCCCACACUUUCGUUCUCUCAAUUUCUUUCAGAAGUGCCUCUGAAAAUAGCUGCCAAACCGUUAGUCAGCUUGUUAGACUCUGUUUUCUGGAAACAGAGCCCUAACUAACUGACUGUACAGAGUAAGUCAACAUAGCAUAUUUAAUCGUUUUAAUUGAAUUGUCUUCGUAGCGAUCAUCAACAAACUCAUCAUGAGAUUUUUGAAGCACCCAAGGACUAUCACUGGGUUUCUCUUCUGGUUGAUUAAUUAAUUAAUCAAAGAACGGUUGGAUACCCAAGGACAAUUAAAAUUAUUCGACUUCUGGAACUGGGAAUGAAGUGCAAUGAUGGAGCAAAAUUUACAAUGUCUCCGGUUUCUCCUACCAUCGGACUUUUGCAGUGAGAACAUAUAACAAAAAGGCCUUCAUCAAAAUUUGUAGACUCCGGGUAUGGAUUGGAUCGAUUUUUUUGUUUGAUAUUGAAGAACCUCUUUACUAUCGCGAUAUAGAUUAUGUGCAAGGAGUUGUCUACUGUUCUUUGCCUUGUGCUAUGAUCGGUGCUCUUGAGGCUGCCCUGAAACACAGGAAAAUACUUCGAUAUCCUCCGUUCGAUGAUGCAAAGAACCGGUUAAUGUAUGAUUACCUAAUUGACUCAGGAUCAGGUAACAACAACAACAAUUUAUUAAUAUCACAAACGAAGAAGAUCGCGGAGAGGGAGAUGUAUGCCUAUACUGUUUACAGGUUUGAUCCAUUGGGGAUGAAGUGGUCUCAAGUCGAAAGUGAUUUAUUAAACAACAAAUCAUUGUUCUUGGGUUAUACCUCAUGAUGUCAUCAAGUGGAAGAUUAAGAUUAUGCAAGACGAAGAUCGUUUGAUAUUGAAGAAUUUGAACAGAAAGCCCAUAGAAAGUACUUAAAAAAGCAUAUUCUUGUUGGGGUAGAAUAUUGAGAAAGGAGUUGUCUACUGUGUGUUGCGUGAUUAUGCUAUGAUCUGUGCUUUGAACAUUGCCCUGAAAACAGUGGAAAAUACUUCAUAUCCUCGACAUGAUGAUAAAAAAUUGGUUACCGAUUACGUAACUGACUCAGGUGACAACAAUCCAUUAAUAGCACAAUUUGAGGUGAUGCCGUUUAGGUAUAUGGUUAACAGGUUUGAUUCAUCAAUGAUGAAGUGGGCUUAAAUUAAAAGAUCAUAUAAUAAGUCGUUCUUCUUGGGCAUAUCGUCAUUACUACUUCAAGUGAUCAAAGAUGAAGAUGAAGAUGAAAAUUGUGCAAGUGAGUUCAAGAAUACCAUACAUCGUUACUUGGGAUACUUCUUCAAAUAUGGAUGGGGUCAUAAUUUACUCCCACGAAUUUCAACCCAAUUUUAUGAUUGGAGUGUCCCACCAUGACUCAGAAAAAUUUUGAUUCAACCUCCUCCACCAAUGGAUUUUGAUUAGUCACUUUGUGAUCAAGCAACUUAAUUAAACUCAGAGAGUCAGAGUUCGAUUUUGCUGGCACCGCAUUUUCUUUAAAAUGUGGCCAUGUAAGGAGAGCGGCACAUAAUGUCACUUCCUUAUCAAGCACUUUAAAGAGGGAUUUUAGAAGAAGAUACAACUGCAAUUGUUUUCGUAUGUAUAUAUAUAAACAACAGCACACAUUCAGUUCAUAAAAGAAAUUUUUGCUAACCAUGAUAUGUGGUAGUGCUUUUUAGGCAAUUUAGAAACAGAGUUGUUCAACUUACAGCAGGUAUUCUCCUCAAGUUCGACGUAAAUACAAAUAUUAAUUAGAAUCCAUAUUAUAAUGACACACAUAACUUGCUUCAAAAUUAUCAGAAAUUAAAAUUGCUGAUUCAUAAUGCAGAUAACUUGGAUGAAUUGAUGUUAAAGGAAAAAUCACAGGCAUAACUUGGAGAGCAAUUGCGACAGCAGCCAAGUAUAUAUUUUUAUUUGAGAGUUGAGAAGAAUAUAUUUAAUGAAGCUUGAUAACAUUUGAUGGGAUAGCAAGUAAGGGUAAAUAAGAUAUUUUUAUUUGUUAUUUAUUUGAAUUAUAUCUAUUUUGUUCAAGUUAAAAUACUAAAUAUAAAUUGGAGGUAGACAUUUUAACAGAUCAUCUAAGCUCUCAAAUCUGAAAUUUUGUGUAGAUUUAAAUUCAUAAUUUUAGUUAAUUUUCAUUCAUUCAUAUAAACAAAUUUAUGAGAUUUUUCUUUUCAGCAUGUUAUAUUUUGAAACUUUCAAUGUAUUAUUCUAGCUUUAUUUAAACAAUUAAUUUAUUUAAUUUUGAAUUUGAUCAGUAGUAAAAUUAUUUUUAUAUCAAAUUUUUUUUAUUUAAAUAGUUCGUGGAUUGGACAAAAUUAAAAAAUUUUAAUCUACAAAAUGGUGGAUUAGAUAUGAAUUGGGUUAAAUCCACAUUCGAUUUGCAGUCGUAUGAAUUUGAUUUGGAUUGAAUUUCAUCAAUCCAUGGAUUAGAUUGGAUUGAAAAUUUAUUAUCCGCAAAAUCGUGGAUCGAAUAUGGACUGAUGUCCAAUCAGCAAAAUCCGAUCCCCGAACACGCCUCUAUCAAAAUUUUCAAGAAUAUGUUUUAUCUUACAAAUUUUUUUUUAAAGUCAUAAUCUAAUGGCAGCCCAAUUUUAUAAAGUCACACACAACCAUUCUUAUUAAAUUAGAAAGAUCAAACACUGCACUGGAUCUUGAACAGAUCAACACAAGUUGCACAACUUGCGAUUGAAUCCGGCCUGAAACAAUCAACUCUUUAGCAAGAACAAUUAAUCAGAGUCAAGAAACAAGUUUAAUGAAUAUAAACCUAUAAUUGAAACAAACAUAGCAAAGAAAAAAAAUACAGAUUUUACACGGUUCAGUUGUACCUAGGAUGGCACAACCUACACCACGAGAGAAGCUUUCUGGUGAGAUUUUAUUGAUGAUCAAAGAAGAAUCUUUUGACAAAGCUAAUAAUAGAGAUUUCAGAGAAUAAGCUAUAACCUCUCUCCCUCUUCAAUCUCUCUCUAUUUUGUUCCCAUUGAUGACCCCAAUCUGCUUAGUUAGCCAGCUUUAUAGCUGCAUCAGUAACAAACCAGCAAACCCAGAUUGAGCAGAUUGACGACACGUGGAUAACGGCUUUAACGAACCUGGUUAAGAACUGCUCACAUGUUCGUCACGCGUACUGCUUAAAUGAUGGCCAAAACGACUUCAAACAAAUGUCGUUUUGAGGCUUAUGAAUUACAAGUGAUAACACGAGAUUGUCUCAUGACUUUUAAAUGCAACAACGUGCCCAAAACGCUGUCGUUUUACUCUGUUGAGUUUGAUUCAUUACUAAGCUUUACGACUGGCAAUGGAGAAGAUGAUAAUUUAAUUGAUAUGGACAGUUUUUAUAUCACUUUUACAAAAUCCUAUGCAAUUGUAAUAUUGGGAAUUAUUGAUGUUUUAUAUGUGAAUCCUCAUUGGCAAAAACUAGUGGUUUUAUCUUUGUUGAAAUGUAGAUUACCUCUCGUUACUAUUUUAUUAUAAACAUAUAGUUUCGUAAGUGAAACUAUAUAUUUAUAAUAAAANNNNNNNNNNNNNNNNNNNNNNNNNNNNNNNNNNNNNNNNNNNNNNNNNNNNNNNNNNNNNNNNNNNNNNNNNNNNNNNNNNNNNNNNNNNNNNNNNNNNCAUUUCUGCCUCAUUAAGAUUCUCAAAUACCAGUCAGGUUUGCUUAAGAAAUAAAAUUUUUCCAUUAAAAUUGCAGUAGUAUUUCCAAGCAUAUCGCAUUUUCUAUGAUUUUUCAUAAAUUAAUUAAUCUGCGGUGCCAAUAUCAGAUUUAGUUUUUCAAACUAAAUAAUCAAGAAAGCAAACAUACAAAUAUACAGUUUAGAGGGGUAAACUAGGCAGGUGGUUUAGAUUUUAGAACUAAGGCAGCUACCUCACUAAAUUCCGAUUCGUACAGUGAACUGCAAGAAAUUGAGAAAACAAUGUAUUUAUAAUUUAAUAGAAUCAUAACAGAUGAAGUGGAAUGAAGUUGAAAGUUUAAAUAACAAAUCCUUGUUCUUGAGUUUUUACGACGUCGUUACUCCUUCAAGUGGCAGAUUAUGCAAGUGAAUGCAGAAACACAAUGCAUCUUCCGCGGGAUGAUACAUCAAAAGGCGGGAUUUGUUUAUGCCUUCAGAUUAGCAAUUUCACUCAUAUAGAAAAUUAAUUUUUUAUAUAUACUAAUCAACACUAAAUUGAUUAUGUGUUGUAUGUUUAUAUGCUAAUCAACACGAAAUUAUAUUGAAUUAUUAACAUUCAUAUUCCUAAUAAAAAUUAUUUUCCAUUAGUAUUCAAAAUUUUCACUUAUAGAAAAUGCAUUUUACGUGAAUACUAGUUAUUGUGUAAAUUUGAAUGAUAGCAAAAAAUAAACCUAUUUGAAAACUGUAAGGGUGUGUUGGGAUAUUUUACAACUGUCGGAAUCUGGUAGGAUAUUGCACCAUUUGCCCAAUAUUUUUAGACGUACUCUAACCGGUAUUCAAGAUAAGUAAAAUUUACAAGCGUGGCAAAAUAAAAAAAAUUAAAUUCGUAAUUUGUAAACGAAUUUUCCUGACAUGUAUAGUAGAUGAAGUUGUUGACCCUUUCUUUGGAUUAUUUCAGCUCUGGUUGUUGGUCACCGAUGAGCCGAAGUCUUAUUUUAAUUCUAUUUAAACUCAUCAUAAGAUUCGUGGAGCACCUAACUAACUUAACUGACUGUGCAGAGCAUCUCAACAUGGCAAAUUUAACCAUCAUUCAAGUGAUGGGUUUAAUAAGACUGCUUUUGUUCUACCAAGUUCCUCCGCCUCUAAGCAGAAUUACUAUUGAAGGGCCAAAUGGAAAAUGAAAACGUGUGAACUCCAACAACCACCCCACAAAUUCAAUGACGAUGCUCGGAGAGGGUUAGGUUGGGCCUCUGAGAAAAAAAAAAAUUAUUUAGUUAAAAAGUUACCCUUAUUGAAACCUGUAUAAAAAUUUUAUAUUAAUUAGUUAUGUUGCCUCUUCAACUAUGAUCAAAUUUUUAUCUGAGCUCAUCAUUUAAUGAGUAAACAUGUAUUUUAAUGAUCUCAAUUAAUAUUUAGAACAAAUAUUUUAAGAAGUAAAGCUCAUUAUAUCCCCCAUUAUUAUGUAUCUCUGUAAUGUAUUGAAUUAGAAGAAAAAAAAAAUUCAACUCACUCAAAAAAAAAAAAAUGCUGGUAGCUUCGUAAUAAUUACUGUCUUGACUGCACCAGAUAAAGUUUUGUAAAAGAAUUCUGAUAUUUACCCCGGGUCAAACCCCGAAAAUAACUUAAACGGUGUCGUUUUGAUUUUUUUUUUUUUUAUACUCCAAAACGUUCUUACCAUUUCCGUUUCACUUACCAUUUAAUGCUCACAACUCAAAUAAAAAGCCCAGAAACUAGAAUCAAACUUUACAGAAACUAGAAUGCCCAGAAACGUUGUAUAGCAGGAACGUAUGUAAAGAGAGUAAACAAGAGGGAUUAAACAGAACAUACGUUUUCUUCACUUAUUAUUAGCAACAAACACCCUACACAACACACAUUUAAUGCUCACAACUCAAAUAAAAAGCCCAGAAACUAGAAUCAAACUUUACAGAAACUAGAAUCAAACAAUACACAUUUCAUUUCUUCAAGGUUAGGGAGAGACUCAGGGGAGUGAUUAAUUAACAAAAAUAAGAAUAAUAAUACCAACAUUUGUACAGGUCAAAUAAGAAUAAUAAUACUCAACCUAAUACCCAGUAUAUACAAACAAAUGCCCAGGCCAUCGUUCCUAUUUUGCCAUAACCUAAAGAGGAAAAAGCGAAGCACUACCUCAGGCUGUGAACUUUGCCGCUUCGUGAGUUUAAUUUCCCGAACAAGUUUCGGCUACCAGCGUUACCAGUGUUGACGGUGACCGUGGCUGUCAGCGUUGACGGUGACCGUUGGUGGAUCCCGAAUGCCUGGACCUUGGUCGAGGAAGGAAAGUAACGAAUUUUUUGAACAAACGAAGAAACGAAGCACCGAAGAGAUUUACGGUCAAACGGAACAAGACCAACUUGCUCUUCUAUCUAUGGCUUUCCCAGUUGAAACGAAGAAACGAAGAGGAAGAGGUUUAAUUCUUCUCAAAAUCGUCCAUCAGAAACGGCAACGUUUUGGAGUAUAAAAAAAGAAAAAAAAAUCAAAACGACGCCGUUUAAGUUAUUUUUCGAGUUUGACCCAGGACAAACAUCAUUUUCCUUUGUAAAAUAAUAAGUUCUCAUUAGUGGUUUUUAAUUUUUAAUUUUUUUUUCGGCACACCUGAUCAAGAAUUCUAUUUUGUUAACUAAUAAAUUGCAAAGCAUAAGUGUUGAACGGUACAAAAAAAUUUGAAAAAAAACACUUAAAACGUAGGGAAAUGAGAAAUAUAGAAAGAAAGGAAGAAAGUUAAGACAUGAAACUGAUCUGCCGUGAAAUUGAUAAUCAUGUUUCUAUUUCGUUAACUAAUCAAACGGAAAACUGGAACUGUAAACAAACAUUAACACGUGUGGACUCUGCUAGCUGCCCUACAAGUCUACAAUAAUAAUUGAGUACCUUUGAUUCAUCCUUCUACGAAUUUCUAGCUGUAUUGACCCCAACUGCUAAAGUUUUGUAAAAUUAAAAAAAUAAAAAAUAAAAACUGGAAUUUCAACAAAAUUCAAAACGUGAGAAAUUUAAUUUUUGGCCAUGUGGAACAAAAUGUAAAUUACGGAAAAAGUAUAAAUCUCAAUUGCUUAGUAUGGUUAGGUUUUGUGAGCAUCACUAGAAAGUGAAAACUAUGAAUGAUAGGGGUGAUGUUUGCAACAUGAAUAAACGAUGAACUGAAUCAAUUGAUGAUCGUAAUUAUAUAAUGAACAAAAUUUACAAAAUCAACAAAAGUUAAUAAAAAUUUAUUUUAAUAAUAAAAAAUAAUAAAACUUAUUAUUUAACGGCGCUCUAACCAUGGAGUGCCAUAAUCAUAUUCUUCUUUUAAGAAAAUUAUAACUUAUUUCAAAUAGCACCAUAACAUAAUUCUAGAUAUUUAAAAGAAAAGCAUUAUCCACCUGAAAUGACUUGAAGUCUAAAGAAAAAGAGAGAGUGGCUCCCCACAAUUUUCUUGUUUUCAGUAUAUUUUCUUUUUUUUUUCUUUUUAAAAUCUUUUGACGCAUACAUAAUCUACCCUUGUUCAUUAUCUCUAUUUUGCUCUGUUCAAGUCCCUUUUUUUCAAAUCUUAGUUUAAAUAAGAAAAUUGAAUAAAAGUACAUUUGUGUAAUUAAUUAGUAUCUGUUUUUUUUGGGGGGGGGGGGGGGGGGGGGGGGGGGGGAGGGGGAGGAUAUUUGGUGUAAUGUUUUGCUAUGUAAGACUCAGCUAUUAUUAAACAGUUCCUUAACCUGUUUCGCAGUUUAUUUGCUAUCUUUGUGGAUCUCAUAGGCGUUGCAGAAUUUAAUAAUUUUAUUCGUCAGAAGAAUAGGAUACUGACUUCAAUAAAUUUAAUUUAAACCAACUUUUAUUUACUCCAUCAAUUAAUUAAUGCCAUUUUGUUUUGAAAAAUUCAAUAAUUAAAUUCUCACGUUUUAUGUGUUUGAAGUUAAAUUAUUCAUUAACUAGAACUCUGUUCAAAAUUGACUGUCUUGUGGUUCCCAAAUGUAGUUGUAAUAUUGAAUGAAAGUAAAAACUUUCUAUGGCGAGUUUAAAUCUAAAUCUGAACAAUGAAUUUUGACUUUCUCAAUGCUAUUCUAAUUACAAAAAUUAUAUUGAUUGAUUUAUUGUUACAGUUACUACCCUUUGAAAAUGUAUGGAUUUAUUGUUUCCGUGACCAAAUUAUGCCUGCCUAACGCUGCAACUAUUAAAAAAACUAAUAUUUAAUGCAUGUGUUAAAAGAUUUAAAAUUUUAUGCAUUUAUUAAUUGUUAUAAUCUAAAAAAAUUAAUUAGUUCAGGACAAUCUGAGUUGGUGCAUCUGCAGAGCCUUUUUUUUUUCCCCCCUUAUUGACCAUAAUGAUCUAAGGGGUAUAAUACGACCUUGGUUCUUGGUAAAAAUUAAUUAGUUCAGGUCAAUCUUUUAUGCUCUGUUUUCUAGAAACAGAGUCCUAACUAAAUUGAUUGACUGUACAGUGCAUUUCAACAUAGCAUAUUUAACCGUUUUAACAGUUAUUUGAACCGUCUUCAGAGUUAACAUCAACAAACUCAUUCAUAUUGGUCCAAUCUUACGGCCGAUAUCAUAUUAUCAUAUGCUUAAUAAUGAACAAAUAGUCUUGGAUCAGUGUUUUGCAGCAAGAGCAACUCGACACAAUCUGGAUUCAACCUCCUCCUAUCUAACAGGGGAUUUCGAUUUGAGUUACUUUGUGCUCAAGCAAAUUCACAUCAUAGUUUUGAUUCUUUAGGUAUGAAUUCAUCACAUUACAUAUAUCAGAUUAAGUGUAACAAAAUUUUUAAUUUAUUGCGAAAAGAAUACGCGCUAAAAAAUUAUUUGACGACUAUUUGAUUACCAAAAGCUGCUGUUAGAGUGCACUAAAAAUCGCCAUUGGCAUAAAUAUUUUUUGAAAAUACUGCCAUUAGAUAUUUUUAUUAUUCAUACUUCAUUGCACAAGGCAGCACCUAGCUUCUAUUUCCAGCCCUAAUAAUGAUCCGCUGCUGGAAAAGAAUUUGUGCAGCAUGUACGCUCCUUGACCACAACAGCAAAGUUUAUUGAUGUUAUUUCAUAUUCUGCUGUGACUCAAAUAAAAAUUUACCAUGCCCUUUCGGCAUGGCUUGCCUUUCAGCAAAAAAAGAAAAAAAAAAAUCUUUCAAAUUGUGGAAGCAUGCUUACAUUAAUCAGCUCAGUAUGUUGUGUUUCAUGGGAUGCAAAAUUCUUUUUGUUUCUCAUGGAAGAAUUGACUUGUCUGGAUGUAUUAAUCUCAUAGAUUUUCCACAGAUUCGUGGGAAUAUAACAAAGCUAGACUUAAGUGAGACCCCAAUAGAAGAAGUUCCGUCAUCAAUAGAGUGCCUAGCUGAUCUUAAAACGUUGCGUUUGAGUAAUUGCAUGAGGCUGAAGAGGCUUUCCAUCAAGCAUUUGUAAAUUGAAAUCUCUUCUUGAGCUUUAUCUCUAUAACUGCUCAAACCUUGAAAGUUUUCAAGAAAUCAUGGAGAAAAUGGAACGUUUAAAGAUAUAAAUUUAAAAAGGACGGCCAAUUACAGAGCUGCAAUCUUGAUAGCCUUCGGGAUAACAUUAGAAAUUUAAAAUCUUUGAGGUACAUCUCUACUAAUGGAUCGGCCAUUAGUCCUCUGUCGCAGGUUCGAUUGUACUUAAAUAUCUAUCAUUUUCUCAAUGCAGAGGUUUGGUAUCAUUGCCUCCAAUAUUAUUUUCAGGUUUAGUUUAUCGAAUUUGUUACAGCUAAAUUUAAGGGACUCUGCUAUAAUGGAAAUUCCCCAAAAUAUUGUUUGUCAAUCCUCAUUGAAAAUUUUAAAUCUAAAGGCUUGUUUGUUAACUACUUGAAGUAUGUAAUUAAUGCUUUUUUUUGUGUAAUUUAUGUUUGAUUUUGAGAUAUUUACAUUUGAAUAAAAAAAAAAAACUUUUGUUACAUUUAUCUAAAUAAGAAAAAGGCUGAAUGAGAAGUAAAUAAUCUCCUUUUUUGUUUUAACUUAGAAAAACAUAAACGUUAACUAACUAUGUUUAAAAAAAAUUUUAUUUAUGAAAAGAAACCAAAUACUACUUAUAUUCAUAUAUCAAAAAAUGAAAAACAAACAUAUUAUUCAUACGUGCACGCACAAACUCAUUCAGACCUCAGCUACAUACAAAUCCAUUUAGAUUUCAAACAAAAAAAUAAAUACUUCCUAAGUGGGAAUAACUUUGAGAGUUGACUUGCAAAUGUCAAGCAACUUGCAGGGCUAGAAUAUCUUGACUUGAACGGUUGCAAUGAUUUCUCAUCAUUGAGAGUUUAUCAUUGUGCUUCAUCAUCAUCAUCAUCAUCAUUAUUAAUAAAAAGGUAAGCAAUUAAGAGUCAAAUUAAACCACUUGAAAAUCACUCAUCCACACUUUUGGGACAUCAUCUGCUCAUUAUUUUUAUUCCGUAUCUUCAUUGUUUUAUUUGGUAAUUAUUACCAUUAGUAAAUAAAGGGAUUAGUUGAUUAUUGUGAAGUAACUAAAUGGAGCUCACCCUUAAAUGUCGGCUUAUAUCAAGGAGGCGCCUUAGGGUUAAUAAAUCAACUAAUCCCAUAAUUUGUUGAUGUAGGGUCCUAACAAAUUAUUGCCGUAGAUCAGCACACAGCUCGAAAACAUAUUUGAUCCACACAGUGAAGAUGAUUCAAUAUUAAGCAUGUCAUAUAAUCUGGAGUUGGAUAUUGGACCAAUUUGAUGAUAAUGAGUUUCUUUCAAUCUCAAUCUUUAUCUUAUUCGCAACAUGACUAGCCAUUGCGUAAAUUCAAACUCUGAAAAUGAUAAGUUUGUGAUAAAGGAAUCUAUGAGUACAAUGGGAAAAUUACAUGAACUUAUGUUAUCAAUCAUUGUUUUUCCUUCUCGUGAUAGAAUUCAGUGCAACAUAAAACAUGAUAUAUUUGUACCUUACCAUGCCAUGUUGUGAACCUAGAAGCAAUGCAAAUUGCAAGGAACAUUAAGCUAUCCACUGUAUAUAACAAAUUCUUAUUAGCCCACAAUCUUGUGCCGCCACAUUGAUCAAGUAACACUAUUAUAUCAUUUCCAAAAUGGCAUAUAUAAUCUAAUGUUGAACAAACCAAAUUGGGAAUCAUCAUUCCUUACAUUAAGUUGACAUUCGUACCUGCUAGUCCAUGAGCAAAGUUGCAUAUAUUUCUACACAGGCCGCUCCCCUUAUCUCUCGGUUCCGACAGAGCUUUGUUUUCCCAUCACCAGCUUUGGAUUCAUUCGAUCACUGGUGCUCCGAGUUAGAACGGUCUACAAAGCUGCAUUUCGUUAGGCAAUCUAGUCUCUCCAUUCCUAGCAAAGUGACAUUGAUUCCCGUAUUUGUAAUUGCCUAAUUGGGGUUUUGGCAAUAGCCUGGCUUAAAAUUACCACCCAUUACUUUGUUCAAUGCCACUGGCAUCCUCUGAUUAGGAACAUUUUCACAAUUUUUGGUCCUGUUAGUCGAAUCACAUUCAACGGGAUAGUGAGGCAGUAUUUCACUAAAAGAUUCAAUUUGACUACUCAUAUUGAUGCACAUAUAAGAAUUUGAAAUCACUUUCUCUUGGAAUAUUUAAUGACCCUUGAUGAAAGUUCUUGAAUGGAAUUAUUUAAUUUGAUUUGAUUUCCAACAAAUUCAAGAAACCCCACAUAGUAGCUAAACAAAAAUCAACCAAUAAUACGCAAUGGGUUUCUUUCUUUUUGCCUUUGGAGGGCCAUGGAGAUCUGGAGUGGGCUGUAAGUAAUAGCCUUUAUCACUGGAAUGACAGAUUUGCAGAAGAUGAUACAUGGGGAAGGAUUGGGCGAGCAUAAAAAUGGGUUUACACUCUUGGAUUAGCGCCUCAUUUAGGUUGUAGGCUUGUAGCGAGAUAAAGAUAUUAAUUAAAGUUUUAUAAUCCCUGUUAUGAUUAAGGCUUCACUUAGUAUAGCAUAGAGCUUUUUGAGUUUUACCAGAAAAUUUUUUUAAAAUUAUUAUUUAUCGGAAAAAGGAGACUUACACUCCAUGGUCUAAGGAAAUAGUCACAAAGAUACUAAGUUUUCAAUAAAAGACACCAAUUUUUUUUUUUUUUUCAUAAUGCCCUUUGACUCCAUAAAUUUCUAAAAAAAUAACUCCAAAAUUUUAUAAUAAAUGAAAAUAUGGCAUUAAAAUAAAUGCAGUAAUAUAUACAUUUCAAAAUAAUUUUAAUAUUUAGAAAUAUUUUAAUAUUUUUCAAUCUAUUAAACCUAUUUUUAAGCUGUUGACCUAUUAAAGUAAUUCUUAAUAAUGAUAGAAACAUAAUAUUAAAAUAAAUUAAUUAAAAUUAAAAUUAAAAUUAAAAGUAUUUUGAAAUUAUAUAAAACUAAUUUUAAUAUUAUUAAUAGGUAGAUUUUUAAUUGUAAAAUCUAUUUAACAAAAGAUUUAUUCAAAAUCUUUAUGAUAUUACAAAUAUAUUGUUAAAAUAAAUAUAAUAAUUUAAAAUUUUAAUAUUAUUUUAAAUGUAAAAAAUAAUUUAAUAUUAUUAGUCUACUAGAUAGAUUAUGUUAUUUAUAUUAAAUUUGUUUUAAUUAAAAGUCUUUAAAGUUAAUUUUUUAAUUACUAUAGUGAAAGGGUAUUAUGGGCAAAAAAGUGUCUUGGUAUCCUUCUUUUAAAACUUGAGAGUUUUUGUGACUAUUUUCCUAAAUCUUAAAGGUAUAAGUGUCAUUAUCCCUUAUUUAUUUGGUUGUUUUGCUCUCGAGAGUUUUUAAAGCUCCAAAAUCUUUAAUCAGUACUUUUUUUUUUUAAGUAAAACUUUUAACAAAAAAUUAUUAUUCAUUUGAUUGUUUACGAGAGUUUUUAUUAGAAGUUAUAUAAAGUUCUUUAAUUUUUUUAUUGGUGCAGCUUUUUACAUGUAUAAUUUUUAUUUUUUAACAAAAAUUAAUUAAAUAAUAUUAGAAAUCCUAAUAUUUGAGUCCCAAUAUCAUAUAUCACUCAUUUUUUAGAUGACAGAUUUCAUAACUUAUAAAAUUAUUUAACUAACAUCCAAUUAGUGAAUGUUACUAUAGUGAAGACUCAAAUUGAAAUUUAAAUGUUGGGUUGCGUGACAUUUCUCUUAUUUGGUUGUUUAUGAGAGCUUUCUUGUACAAAAUAAUUUUUAUACAAAUUGAUAUAGUCUAAAUUCAUUAAUUAGAUUAAAAUACAAAAUAAUAAAAAUAAAUAAGUUUGUAUAAGAAUAAUUCAUUCUUUAAUCCAUCUAAUUGAAUUAUCCUAUGUCUAUUUAUACUAAAUAAGUUUAUAUAAAAAUUUAUAGUUUUGUUUUUAGAUGUGCAACUAAAUUUUUAGUCUCUUAUUCCUCGUAAAAUUCAAAUCUGAGUGGCUCAUCAAAUAAAAUUAUUUGAAACCAUACGGUAUGGUAGCUGGAACCCUUGAAACCAUCGAGGUCAUGAAAUUUACCAGCCAAAAGAGUUUUAAAUGUCUAUUUUAUAAACUUUUAAAAAAAUUUUUAUUUACCAUUUUACCAUCCGUAGUAAAGGUGUCGCAUCGACAUUGAACAGAUCAACAUAUCAGUCAUUUCUCAUUCAGCCAUUAGGAAUUUACGUUUGGGGUAUUUUUGUAAUUAUAAGAAGGUAAACUAAUCGCAAAACUCGUUUGGCUUGCACUUGCUCGCCUGUGCUCUGUGACUCUGUGUAUGGUUAUGGCGUUAUCAUUAUCAUCUUCUCCACUCCUACUGACGCCAGACCUUAACAGUUCAGAUUCCCUUUCUCGACUGUCAUACCCUACGCCCCGUCUCCGUGUCUCCGAUAAACAGUGCUCAAUUAAGGCCAUCAGAUUAUCCCGGACCCACAUUGAUCCAACGGCUCACAAUGACCGACAUCCUCUCUAUCUCCAUUUCAAGCUCCCUCUUCAACUGGCUUCUGCUUCUGUCGUACUCUUUCUUGGAUUCGGAGUCCGUAUUUGCUCAGCCGGUCCCGCACAGCUCCCUCUCACUCCAAUUGUCACCCAACAAGACCAAUUGCUUAAUCAAGGCACAGACCAAGAAGAGGAUGAGAAGUUGAAACAAGAAUUUGAGAAUUGGAAAUCGAAAACGUACGCAUUAACCGUGCCUUAAAGGGUUGCUUCUCUUCAGAAUUCAGUGCCUCAAUCUUGGGUUAAGGAUUUUAUGCGAAGUCAAGGAAAGAGAUUGAAGUUUCAGAUGAAUUUGUGUGCUAGCAUUGAUGGGAUCGUUAACAAUUUAUCUGUGCCCUUUAACAAAGUUAAGGCUAAGUCAGCUUCUUAUAUGGCUGCUGAUUUGGUUAGUAUUGGUGAUUCAUGGCUCAGCUUUGCGAUUAAAAAGAGAUUGAUUGAGCCAAUAGCUGGAGCUGAAGACCAAGAUUGGUUCAAAUGCUUAAGUCACAAAUGGAAGGUAACAUCUUUAUCUUUGACCCGAUAAUUUUUAUUGUCUUACAUUGAAAUUUGGUAAUGUAAUUUGUUCUCUAUCUGUAUUACCCUUUUUAGUCGUUUUAUUUAUUUGUUUGUUUGUUUAUUUGCUUUUAUUUGCACUAACGAAGUCUCGGGUAUAUCUACCCAGGAAUGAUGCAGGAGAAAUUGAUCCUCGAGGUGAAAUAUGGGCGGCACCAUACAGGUGGGGCACAAUGGUGAUAGCCUACAAGAAAAGUAAAUUUCGAAAGCAUAAUUUGGCUCCGAUUGAGGUAAUAACUGUCUUUAAACUCAUUUAGUUUUAUAUCAAACAAAAUCAAGGCUGCCUUUCUCUUCAAUAUUUUUUAUGAUAAUAUCUUUAGAAGCAUCUCAUUGACGGGUAAUAAUGGUGUCCCUGAAAGAGUCUAUAAACUCAAUGAUAUUAUCUUCUACAAAUGGAUCAUUAAACUUCUUUUUUGUAGUCAAAUGUACACUAAGAACAAUGAGAAGCUAUGCCACUGUAGCACGUAGUGAUGGCACUUAAUAAGUGAGUUGCUAGGAUGUGAACAAGAAAAAUUAAAUAUUGUCUCCUUGGGUAUGCUAGCUCGUAAGUCAGGGUUAAUAUUAGAGCUUAAGAUACUAUAACCAUGCGAAACUAUUGACUGCCAAUUAAAAUAUCCAUUAAAAUGUCUAGGGAGUUAUGAAGGUAGAGUUAUCUUCCAAUUUCUAAGGCCACAUAGUAGACAUCAUCCAGGAUCCUAGGAAAGUGCGGUUGAUCUCCUGCUUGAUGCAGUUAAUAAAUUUGGUCAAUGCGACUGAAACCUGCUAACUGACGUCGCAAUGCGACAUGAGCACUUCAAAAUGGGAUAGACAGUAGCACUAAAUUUUUCUUGCCUAAGAUUGAGCAAUUGGUCUAAAUACUAACCCCUAUUGUAAGUUGAUCAUUAUUUUUUCAAUUAUGUUCAUUUUGACCCAAAAGUUACACAAUCUUGAUCUGAAUAUUGUCACUGAACACUGUCAAUGUCGUUUAGCAUUGGCAACUAACUCGAGUUUAGUAAAACAAACAUACACACUGUCUCAUGUCUCACAAUUCAAAUUAUCAUCUGUACUGAUGGAGAAUUUUUCUGAUGUAUGAAGUAUGCUUUGAUAUGUAGGUUAAGCUUGGAGAAGAUAUCUCAAAAUAAAGAAUAUGGGGAGUGAAUGGGAAGAAUCUGUAGUCAAGUUUUGUCUCAAAAAUGGUCAAAAUUUAAAUGAAUGGACGGGGGAUCUUCAUUCUUUUUUCACUUCUUUAUACCGAGAUAUCUCUCAACCUUUAUAUAAUUCCCACUGGAUAUCUGCUUCUAAUAAUUAAAAUAAAAAUUUCAACCACACCAAUAAAUAAUCAUCUUAGAGUGAGACUAUCAGUACAACCCAAAAACAUAAUAAAACUGGUUUGGUUCUUUUUGUUGAUGUCUAAAUGUUGUUCAUUGUGACAUGUAGAAAUGAUGAGGUGAAGUUUCUUUGGUCAUCAAAUAGUAAGAUCUUGUUUGAAGUUAUUUUCUGAAAUGAACAGUCAAAUGGUAGUUUUUUUGGGCCAUUCGAUGGCUCUUUUCUUCCUCAUUUUAAACUUGUGCCUGCUUGGAACGGGAUGGAUUAGGCUGCAGAGUUAUAUAUUUUGACAUGCUCUGGUCAUUACACAAUUUGUUCAUACUGGAAAUUAGGAUGAGAAAUUUGUUGCUGCUGUUUUGAGAGAUCUGCAUUCUAUGCACAAACAUGAUUAAUGAAAAUGGAUUGUAGGACUGGAAAGAUCUGUGGCAGCCUGAGCUCGCAGGAAGGAUUUCAAUGGUUAAUUCUCCCCGAGAGGUUAUUGGUUCAGUUUUGAAGUAUAUGGGAGCAUCAUACAAUUCAGACGAUAUUGAUUCACAAGUUGCUGGUGGGAAGAUUGCUGUUCAGCAGAAUCUGGCAUUACUGGUAAACCAGGUACUCUUAAAGAAAUGAUAUCUGGUCAUUGCAUGUUAUUGCCUGACAACUGAUUUUGUUUGUAAAAGUCGGCUUCUUCAUACAUAUGAAUGCAUAUGUUAGUGUUUUCUUCUCCUUUUCAUACAUAUGAAUGCAUAUGUUAGUGUUGUCUUUUCCUUUUCAUACAUAUUAAUACAUAUGUAGAUUUCUUCAUCAUUGUAGCCUCCAUAGUUGAAGUUUCCUCAUUUGAAGCUGUUUAUGCAUAUGCUUUUUCCCUUCUCAAGUACAGGAAAUUGAAGAAUUAACCAGAUGUGAUAUGCUGAAAGAGUGAAGUUUUCUCCCUUGAAUGUGGCCUUGUGAUUUGUCUUGAAGGAAUAGGAUGAUCACUGGCAAGAACCCUAUCAAGGUAGAUUUUAUGGUGUUAACAUAUUUUUAAGCAUUUUGUUACAUCAGCAAUGAUGCUUUCAUAGCAUGAAAGUGUUUAAUUUAACUGACUGAUCUUGAUUAAUCAAUUAUGAGUUUUAAUCGAGUAAAAACUAAAUACAAUCAUCGUCAAAAAAUACUGAAAUUGGAUUUGGAAACACAAUCCACACAGGAAAUCACCCUUCGCGUGGGGAUGGAGAUGUUUACUGCAACGAUAUCGAAUAUGUGCACGGUGUUGUCCACUGAAACAAUGGAAAAAAUUAACAUAGGGGUAUUUAAAUAAUUAAACUCAGACCUCUUUGUAUAUGUUAUCCUAACUUUACUUACCCUUGUUUGUAAUUUUCACUUAACAGUUGAUGCCUAAACCAUUAAAACCAAAUGACCAUAGGGGUAUUUAAAGUAUGUAAAAAUAAACAAAAACACGUAAAAAAUUUCAAACAAUUAAUAAUUACACUCUAAAUGUACCACUUAACUCUUAAUAAUAGCCAUACUCUAAAACAAUCUACAACCUUUGAGGGGAGUAGCUAUGAGGAAAAUCCUUUUCUCAGUGGAUUGCCAUUGUCCGAGAGUUACAAUGAAAAGAGACCACCAGCAACUGAGUCGGAAGAUUCAACUAGCACUGAAAAAGAUGAUAAUUUAAUUGAUAUGGACAGUUUCCAUAUCAUUUUUAAAUCAUCCUAUGUAAUUGUGAUGUUAGGAAGCAUUAGUGAUCUGUAUGUGAACUAUUAUUGGCGCCAUUGGUGGUUUUAUCUUGUUAAAAUAUGGAUGACUUCCAGUUACUAUUUUGUAGUACACAAUUUUAUUCAAUUAACAUAUAGCUUAAAACCAUUAUGUAUGUGCUUUAUUAAGAUUCUCAAGUACCAAUCACGUUUGCUUAAGAAAUAAAAUUUUGCCAUUAAAAGCGUAGUAAUAUUUCCAAGCGCUUCGCAUUUAUCUCAACAUUUUGAAGGAAUUUUGAGAAAUACACGGGUCCAAAAGUCUAGUCAUCAUCCUUAUUUUUCUAUCGUUCUUUUGGGUUUGCAGUUGGUGGUGCUUUCAAUGUUUCCCUGAAACAUAGCAAAAGAACGUACAUAUUCUUGGUAUGAGUUGAUUUUUAGUGAUUAUCUAAUUGACUGGGGUGACAACAAUAGCACAACGUAGAAUUCAAUAAUAAAAUUCUCUUGUUUAAUUUGUUUUAAGUUAAAUUAUUAAUUACUUAAAAUUCUGUUUUAAGUCUUUAAUUUUAUGUCUUGGCGUAUAUGCAGAGUUGGAUUCUUGAGUGAGUUGGACAUGACCUACAAUGAGAGUGGCAGUAAACAAACAUUAAAACGUGUGGACUCCGGUGGCUGCCCUGCAAGUCCACAACUCUACAAGAAUAAUUUCUAGCCCCGUUGACUCCACUAACUAAAGUUUUUUAAAAUUUAAAAAGGUACAUAGAAUUCCACAACAAGCAAAACGUGUGGAAUUUAAUUUUUUGCCCGUGUGGAACAAAAUACAAUUUAGCAAAAAAGGACAAGAAAAAUGGUAAGAUUUCUAAAAUGAGUGGAAGGUGAUCCAUAUUUUACUGAAACGACUUGUCCCGAACAUCACGACGAUUGAUUUUUUUUAUUUUAUUUUUGAAUAACAUCAACUUUCAUAUUUUUCUAACCCCCAGAAUAUGCUCACGUUCAAGUCUAUCUUGCUAAUUUAAAAAAAGAAAAUCAAAUCAACACCAAAACAAUGAAAAGUAAAGCUUUUGAAUUUCAACUCCAGCUAGCAAACGUAUUCAGCGUUUUCAAAUUCUUCCCAUUGCAUAUCUUCUUCCUCCAUCAAUGCAAUAUUUGAACGAUUAUGAAAGAAUUUAAGAACAUAAAAAAUCUCCAAGGUUUAUACGGUAUAACAAAUUUAAAUUCUCAAUUACAAUAGAUAAUAAUUAAACUAAUAAUUUUUUAUGUAUUUAUUUUAGUAAUUUCACCUAAGAAUAAUAUUGUAAUUAGAAAAAAAAAAUCUAAUAAGUAGGGUGGUCUUAUACAAAAUCAACUGCAUACAUUUACGCAGAUGCAGAUAAUAAUUUUUAAUUCCUUUUUUUAAUAAGAAAAUUGUGUAUUGAGAUGAAUAAGAUGUUUAAUUUAAUUAAUUUCCUUACUUUCGUAUGCAUUGUCUUUCUAUCUAGAGAAAGCUUGGUGUUCAGAACGACAUGAAGUUGCGAGUUGUCGCCCAUGGCUGCUGAUUAAUAAUAAAACGAGACAAAUUAAUUGAACUCAGGCCCAUAUGUAUAUGUUAUCCUAACUUUACUUGCUCUUGUUUGUUAAUAUUCAUUCUUAGAGAGGUGAAAAAAAUUUCAAGUCUUGAAUAACGAGGAGUUAGUUGCCUCUAACUUUACUUGGCCUUCUAUAAUCUCAUUAAUAAUACAGAGAAUUAAUUAUCUUUUUAUUAUUAAACCAUCUUCAGGAAGAUUUUCCUCAAUUUGCUCCAGAAGAGUUGGAGCUGUGGUUCUGAUAAACCAAAGAAUUAGUAGCAAUAUUAAUAUUGCCCACCCAAGAAAUAUGAGUGAAUUAAAGUAUUGACAAGACUUCGCUCAGAGGAGCAUUUAAACCACUUCCUUAUCAAUUGCGGCAGCCGUCUAUUAACUAAAACGCCAAUCUAAUACAAGAAGAAAGAACAUUUACAGACUUCGCUCAGAGGUCUAUUAACUGCGGCAGCCGUCUAUUAACUAAAACGCCAAUCUAAUACAAGAAGAAAUAACAUUUCCUUUUGUUAAUAAUUUUAGUCUAAUUUCAAUUGUACUGUGACCGCUUCUCAAGGUAAGUGAAAGUUACAGAUGUGGCAAAAUAAAUAAUUAAAUUAACAAAAUGCUAACUAAUUUUCCUAAAUACCUAGGGUUGUACAAUUUCACCAACCUGGAAGAAUUGACAUUAAUGGACUGGUCUCCUCCCCAUAUAAUUAUAAUCCUUCUAGAAAGCUAAUUUUUAUUAAAUAUUUGCUUUUAAGUUCAUUUCAAUUAAAAAAUGUUUUAAGUUAUUGAGAUUCUGAAUUCCUUUCUUCCAAUAAUAAUGAAAACGUAUUAAAUUAGAAAUGAAAAAAUUGGUGUUGAUGAUUCAACCUAUUUGGAUAGAUUACGUGAAUAAAAUUGAAAUUUUGAUUUAAUUUUUGUUUAUUGUUAAUUUUCAGGCUUAGUUUCAAGAAUUUAGAAUAUUACUUUGUUCAUGGAUUCAACUCGUGAGUGUCAUAUUCUAGACUUAAUGGUACCAUUUUUGAUUGAGGACAAUGACUCUCACUCAUCUUGUAAAAAAAUAUUUUCAACUAUUUUAAUGACUUAAAAAUUGAUAGAUUUAUUGUUGUCAUGAACAAAUUAUUCAUUUUAAUGAAAUAUAAUUAAUGCAUCAAAGUUAUCAGGUUUAUGUUCUAUCUUAACGCACUUUUUUUUUUUUUUGGGUUAUCAGCUAUGCCCCUGAGGCAUUUUGUAGAGUAUAGCUUCUGCCUACCUUUGUUUCAUUUUUUUUAAUAAAAAAACAAGGGAAGGUUUUUCCGAGUCAUCCAUUAUUUGAUUACCGUCAAUCAAGAAAACGACCAAAUUAAUUUCUCUCCAAAAUUUCCAAAAGCUAGAAAAUUUUGUUAUUUGAAAAUAACAUCAUUAAUUAUAGAGUGGAUCAAACCGCGUUAUUGUCUUUCAUAAAAUUGAUGUCUUUUUAAGAGUCAAUACUUUUUAUUUACGCAAACCAGUCGACAUCAACUUAAACUUCCAUAUUUUUAUUAUUAUUAUGUUAUUUAUUUUAAUCCCCGAUUAUUUGAUUAGCCACUAUAUAUAUCAAGAAAGCGACAAAAUUUAUUUCUCAUGACUUCCAAAAACUAGAAAAACGACAUCAUUUAUUAUUUUUUUGCAACCCUAAUUGACAUCAACUUUAACUUUAUUAUGUCAUUAUUUCAAUCCCCCAUUAUGACCUUUCUAAUCCUCCAUUAUGCAUCUUUUAUAGUGCAAAUUUAAUUGCACAUAUAAAUAAAUUGAUUAUUGUUACUCCACCACCAAUAUUUCAAAUAGUCACUAGACCAUUUCUGCCUUUAAUUUUCCCUUAAGUUUAACUAUUGACUGCUUUUAGCAUCUUAAAAUAUACAUUUAUUCCUCGAUUAUGUGAUAAAAUUAUGAAAAUAUCCAUUUUAGCUUAAAUUAAUUGGAAUAACCAUAAACAUAACUUAAAUUAAUAGAACAAAAUUAUCAAGUGUAUGUUCUAUCUUACUUUUUGAAGAAUUUAACAUAUAUAAUGCUAUACUAUUAAUAAAUUUAUCAUUUAAUAUAUAUGUUCAAAUAUUUUAUAUAUUUAUUAAUUGUUAUAUACUCAAAGGAUGAAUGAUUUUUCAGGUCUACAUGAGUUGGUGCAUCUGCAAGACUCAAUUUUGACAACAAUGAUCUAAGGGGUAAUUUACCUUGGUGUUUGACAAAUUUAACCUCUCUUCAAGAUUUACUUCCAAUCUACUUACUGUAAAUAUCUCCUCAUCUCCUCUCAUUUAUAUGAUAACCCUUGAAGAUCUCACAUUUUCAAACAAUCAUAUUAGGGUUUUUAUUAUUAGCAUCAUUGUGUCAAUAAUAUAUGUUGCAGUAAGAUUUUUUCAGACCAGUUCCCUUCUUCAAAUAAUAAUGGAAAAGUAUCAAUUUAAAAAUAAAAUGAAUAUGCAUUGAUUAAUUAUAUCCUGAUUUUGAUCGAUUAUAGCGAGAGUUUCUCCAAAUCAACGCCCUGAUUCAAAUAAUACAGAAAAAAUAGUAAUUUAAUAGUAAAAUUAACAAGUGUUGAUUAUAUAUCCUAAGUUUCAUCGAUUAUGUGAUCAAAGUGGCAUUGUUGAUUUAUUUCUUGUUCAAUGUUAAUUUUUAGGUUAUCUAAAUUUCAAGGAUUUAAAAUCUUUGUUCAUGGAUUACACGCUUAUUAAUUUUUCUGCCAUUGACUGUCAUAUUCUAGACUUAAUGGUACCUUCCUUGAUCAAGGACAAUUACUCUCUGUUCUCCUCUUAUAAAUUCCUCUUCCAUUAACAUCACUAGGAGUAUGUUGAUCUCUCAGACGUUAACUUCAGUGGAGAGUUUUCAAAUUGAUUGUUAUAAAACAACACAAAAACUAGACACACUUGAUCUGUCUAAUAAUUCUCUUUCGGUAAAAUUGAUUAAUUUUAGGGGAAUAUUCUACCAACCUAUAUAAUUUUAGAUUGAUCAUUAAUUAAUUAGACGAAAAAAGUACUUGUGCUUUUGUGGCGACAAUUGAACCGGAGAAGUGAAGCUGUAAAGAUUUGGCAGUAGUAAAUUGUUAGAAAGACGUAAAGACAAGUUCCCAUUAUUAUAAUUUUUUCAAAAAACUUUUUUACAACACAUGCACCUGGCCAAAAAUUUUAUUUUGCUAACUAACAAUAAUUGAGUAGCUGACCGUAUUGACUCCACCUACUUGCUAAAGUAAAAAAAUAGAAAUAGAAUUUCCACAAAAUGGCAAACAUGUAAAAUCUAAUAUUUGGCCGUGUGGAACAAAAUACAAAUUAAAAAAAAAUAGAAAAAAGGCCUAAAGACUUUUAAAAUGUGUGGAAGUCUUUCGGCCCUUUUAUAAUGGUGUGUUUUUCAAAGGAACAAAUAAUAAUAAUGACACUUCUAUGGUUUGUUUUGAUAAUCACACAUAUACUCUUUAAUUUGAUAAAUGGUUACACAAAUUUUGUUUACAAAAAUAUAUUAUUCAUGUUCUGUAUUAUUUUUUAACAUCAUAUUUUUAUUUAUUAUAAUUGUUUAAAGUUAAUUGUUAGGUUGAUAUAUAAUAAAAACGUAUAAUCGUUCUCUUACUAAACACACAUACUCGUAGUUUAUGUUCAUUUGUCAUCUCAAUCUCUCUCAUUUAUCCUUUAUUGAUAGCUCAAAACGCGUCACUGUGGAAAAUUAUAGCAAAACGACAAAUAUGGAAAAAAUGGGAAGAAAAUUAAUGCAUGAAAGAGUUGCAGAAGACAACCAAAUAAGUCAACUAUACGCUAGUUGGGUGUAUAAAUUGUUAGAUGUGUUAUAAACAAAUAGCAUAGAGCCUUGGUUGGUUACAGAGAUAGAAAAAGUGUGUGUGUUUUUUAGAACUUAAAGAUAUAGUUAGAAUGGGUGGUUCAAAAUCAAAAAUGGUGAUAAUGUUUGUUCUGUUAUUAAUAAUAUUAGAAGGUGGGUGGAGUGAAGGAUGUUUGGAUCACGAGAGAUUUGCUCUUUUGCGACUCAAACAUCUCUUCGAUGAUACUGGUAAUUAUCCUUACGAUUGGGGAGAUGGUGAGGGAGCUACUGAUUGUUGUCUGUGGGAAAAGGUUGAGUGCAGCAACACCACAGGCCGAGUGAUAGCGCUAGACCUUAUUGAUACGUAUGGGGGAGAGCACAGCUGGUAUCUGAAUGCUUCUUUGUUUACUCCCUUCCAACAACUUGAGUCACUUGAUUUACAUGGCAAAAAUAUAGCCGGUUUUGUUGAGAAUGAAGGUGCUUCGUCUAAUUCAAUUAAAUUACAUUUCGCUCUCCUAAUUUAAGUCGAAUAUCAAGACUGAGCAGCUAUAUGCAUAUUCAUUCAAUUGACAAUUUUUACAUAUUUUUUAAAAUGUUUAAUUUUGAAAUUACACCAAACAUCAUAUGUGAUCUUUGUUUUGAUUUUACUUGCAGGUCUAGAAAGAUUGAGCAACUUGAAGAUGCUGGAUUUAAGUGAAAACUUGUUCAACAAUAGCAUCUUAUCAUCUCUAGCUCGUCUUUCAUCAUUAACAUCAUUAGAUUUAUCUGAUAAUAGAUUGGAAGGAAGUAUUAAUGUUAAAGGUACGUAAUUAAAACAUCAUCUCUUCUCCCAACUCUUUCAUUAACAUGCUAAAAUAAGAUUCAAGGCUUUGAAUUCAAUUUUUUUAUGAGUAAAUAUUAGAAAAAUAGUUUUAAGCAAUUCAUAAAUACAAUUUUCAAUGUUUCUCAUAAUUACUCUAACUGUGAAGCAAAUACCCCAUGACUAAUUUAUCAUUUUGUCCAGUUAAAAAUGAUAAAAUUUAUCAUUUGUUUAUAUUGAUUUAUUAACUCUAUUUUAAGUCUUAAGUCUUGGCGUGUUGGCAUGUUUGCAGAAUUUGAUUCCUUGAGCAACUUAGAGGAGUUGGACAUGCGCGGUAAUGAAAUAGACAAUUUCGAGGUUCCUCAAGGUAAACAAUUAAAAUAUUAUUCAAUUACAUUAAUUUAAUUCGUUUGAUUAGGGAAGGCCCAAAAUGUACAAAAACAUAAUUAAAAAAAAAUAAAGAAACAGAGAAUUCAUAUUAUUUCAAAAAACAAAAGGUAAUACUAUUAUUUCAAAAAAAGAAUGUAAUAAAGAUUUGAUUCCGGUUCUUUAAUCUUUAUAGCAAUUGAAAAACAAUGUUGCUCUUUUCCUAAAGCAUAAAAUAUGAAAUGAGUCAUAAUUGAAUUAGUCAUUUAUUUUGUUUAGAUCUAAAUUUAGACAAUAAAUUUUGAUUUUUUUUUCAAUCCUAUCCUUAUUAUUAUUGUUAAACAGGUUACAGAGGUUUGAGGAAGUUGAAAAGCCUCUAUCUAUCGGAAGUUAAAAUUAGAGAUGGAAGCAAGUUGUUACAGUCAAUUGGAUCAUUCCCAUCCCUCAACACUCUUUACCUUUCGUCUAAUAAUUUUACGGAAACAGUGACAACUACUACUCAAGGUAAGUAAAAGGUAUAGAUGUGGCCAAAUUUAUAAACAAAUUGUUAAUUAAUUAAUUUUUCCGUAUUAUUAAUUAAGCUAAAUUUGUUGCUCCUUCCUUCUAAAUGUACACAGAGUUGCACAAUUUCACCAACUUGGAAUAUUUGACAUUGGACUCUUCCUCUAUCCAUAUAAGCCUUCUGCAAAGCAUUGCAUCAUUAUUCCCUUCAUUAAAAAAUCUGUCGAUGUCUAGUUAUGAAGUCAAUGGCGUCCUACGUGGUCAAGGUAAAAGAAAAGUGUUGAUUGUGAACUCGCUCAAUGGUGUCCUACGUGUUCAACAUUUUUAUUUAUUUAUUUUAUUGUUUAAUGUUUCUGCUAGGUUUUCCUCAUUUCAAGAGUUUGGAACUUUUGGAUAUGGAGUGCACGCGCAUUGCACUCAACACCAGCUUUCUUCAAAUCAUCAGUGAAUCGAUGCCUUCUCUUAAGUACUUAUCACUGUCAGAUUCUACUCUUGGCACUAACAGCAGCAAGAUUCUUGAUCGAGGUUAAUCAGAUGCUCCCACCCUCCCUUCUUAAUCUAUAAUAUUAAUUUUCAAUUAAAUAUUUAAUUACACAAACGAAUCACUUAUUAUAAAAGAAUAAUACGCAUUCAUUAAUUUCUAUAUUGAAUUAAUUGAUGAAUUUAAUAAUAUGCAUUUGUUAAUUUUUUUAUUGUACUGAUGGAUGAAUUAAUAAAUUUUCAGGCCUCUGUUCGCUGGUGCAUUUACAAGAGUUGUACAUUUAUAAUAAUGAUCUGAGAGGAAGCUUGCCUUGGUGCAUGGCAAAUAUGACAUCCCUCAGAAUAUUAUAUGUUUCUUCUAAUCAACUUACUGGAAGCAUCUCCUCAUCUCCCCUCGUUCAUUUGACAUCCAUUGAAGAGCUGCAUCUUUCAAACAAUCACUUCCAGAUCCCAAUUUCACUUGAACCACUUUUCAAUCACUCAAGACUCAAGGUUUUUUGGGCUAAGAACAAUGAAAUAAAUGCAGAAAUAACUCAGUCACCUUCUUUGACCGCCCCAAACUUCCAAUUAUCACGUCUCUCAUUGUCUUCCGGUUAUGGAGACGGUGUCAUAUUCCCCAAAUUCCUUUACCAUCAACAUGACCUGGAGUAUGUUGAUCUCUCACACAUGAAGAUGAAUGGAGAAUUUCCAACUUGGUUGUUGGAAAACAACACAAACUUAGAAUCUCUUUUUUUGGUUAAUGAUUCUCUUGCAGGACCUUUCCGGUUGCCAAUUCAUUCACACAAGCGGUUAAGACUGUUGGAUAUAUCCAACAACAACUUCCGAGGCCACAUUCCAGUAGAAAUUGGAGAUGUUUUACCCGGUUUAUUUUCUUUAAACAUUUCCAUGAAUGCUUUAGACGGUAGCAUUCCCUCUUCAUUUGGUAAUAUGAAAUUCCUCCAAUUACUGGACGUAACCAACAACCAAUUGACUGGUGAAAUCCCUGAGCACUUGGCUGUGGGUUGCGUCAACUUGGAGUAUCUUGCGUUGUCAAACAACAGCUUAGAAGGUCAUAUGUUCUCCAGAAACUUCAACCUGACAAACUUGAAAUGGUUACAAUUGGAAGGCAAUCACUUCGUAGGAGAGAUCCCACAAAGUUUGUCUAAAUGCUUCGUACUAGAAGGAUUGUUCCUUAAUAAUAACAGUCUUUCGGGUAUGAUUCCACGAUGGUUGGGUAAUCUCACAAGGUUACAACAUAUUAUGAUGCCCAAGAAUCAUCUUGAAGGUCCUAUUCCAGUGGAGUUUUGUCAACUUGAUUGGCUUCAGAUUUUGGACAUUUCAGACAACAACAUAUCUGGAAGUUUACCAUCUUGUUUCCAUCCUCUCUCUAUCGAACACGUUCAUCUUUCAAAAAAUAUGUUACAUGGACAAUUAAAAAGAGGUACAUUCUUUAAUUACCAUUCCCUUGUGACAUUAGAUCUUAGCUAUAAUCGCUUGAAUGGCAGCAUUUCGGAUUGGGUUGAUGGGCUUUCUCAGUUAAGCCACCUUAUCUUAGGUCACAAUAAUCUUGAAGGUGAAGUGCCAGUUCAAUUGUGCAAAUUGAACCAACUACAAUUGUUAGAUCUUUCUAAUAAUAAUCUUCAUGGUCCUAUUCCUCCCUGCUUUGAUAACACCACACUUCAUGAAAGUUACAGCAAUAGUUCUAGUCCUAAUAAGCAAUUUGAAAUAUUCUUUUUCAUCCAAGGCCCUCAGGGACAUGUAGAAAAGCAAAUCCAUGAAAAUUUUGAGUUCACAACAAAGAACAUUGCGUACAUUUACCAAGGAAAAGUGCUUAGCCUCCUAUCAGGACUUGAUCUUUCUUGCAACAAGCUAAUCGGUCAUAUUCCUUCUCAAAUUGGAAAUUUGACAAGGAUUCAAACAUUGAAUCUAUCGCACAACAACUUGACAGGAUCGAUCCCAUCAACAUUUUCAAACUUGAAGCAAAUCGAAAGUUUGGAUCUUUCCUACAACAAAUUGAAUGGGGAAAUCCCUCAUCAACUAGUGGAGUUAAAGACGUUGGAGGUUUUCAGUGUGGCAUACAAUAACUUAUCAGGCGAAAUUCCAGAAUGGAAAGCACAAUUUGCAACCUUCAACGAGAGUAGUUAUGAGGGAAAUACUUUUCUUUGUGGACUGCCAUUGCCCAUUUGCAAAUCACCAGCAACUACGCCAGAGGCUUCAAUUGGCAAUGAACGAGAUGAUAAUUUAAUUGACAUGGACAGUUUUUUUAUCACAUUUACAACAUCGUACGUAAUUGUGAUAUUCGGAAUUGUUAUUGUUUUAUAUGUAAAUUCUUAUUGGCGACGUAGAUGGUUUUACUUUGUUGAAAUGUGGAUAACUUCAUGCUACUAUUUUGUUGUAAACAAUCUUAUUGCAACAAGAUAUUGUCAUUGAAAUUAAUUAGCAGUUUAAUUACGAUUCUUUAAGUUCUAAUCAAGUUUGCUUAGGAAAUACAUUUAUUUUUAUUUUUUAUUAAAAUUGUAGUAGUAUUUAGCAUUAUAUAGCUUCCAACUUCCAAGCACUUCACAUUUGUCUCCACACUUCCAAACCCAUAUCUAUCCACCAUAACGUAUACUUCCCUAUACUGUGCAGCAUAAUUUAUUUAAGAGAACCAUCUCCAAUGUUUUUUUUUUUUUUUUGAAUACUGAUUAAUCAUCAGAUUACUGCAUUAUACAGAUAUUUACAACAACUGCUAUUGUAGAAGAGAUAUUAUACUGAUAUUUACAAUCAGAUAUACAUAAUUGGGACUUAUAUUAUGACAUUAAAUUCUAUGAAGUACAUGCCCAAACAAAUAACCUCUCACAAGAUAGGGAUGUCCAUACUCCACUCGCAUUUCGCAAGGAAGAAGGAUUUUGAAAUAUGAAGAACAUUUAGCCCCCACAAUGCUUUUAUGGGGGCUAGAACCGCUGCCCUCACAAUUCUUGUGAGGGCAGCAGCCCACCACUUCGGCCAUCUCCAAUGUUAAAAGCAGCCACUCUGUAACAUUCAUUUAGAAACUAUAUUCAGAAUAGUUUUAUAAUCAUACACAAGAAAUGAAACACCUAGAUGCACUUAAUCGCCUAUUUUACUUUAAAAAAUAAUGAUUAUGGUGCUAUCAUCAUCUUCUUCACUAGCAACAUUAACACCAAAUCCAACGAUGGACCCAGACAUUUUAUCAAGAAAGGUAUAUAUAUAUAUAAUAAAGUUGAAGCUUGACAAAAAAUUCAGGAAGAUUAAUGCCUCGCCACAACAAAGGGCACAACAACAUCAAAGUAGAGAUGAAGCAAUAUUCUCAAAGGUAAAACUCUCAAAUCCACCCACCAGAAUUUCAUAUCUCCUCGACAAUUUUAAGAACUAAAGAUAAUUAGGAUUUAACAUUAGUUUUUUAUAUAUUAGUUUCAUAAUUUACAAAUCAAUGCAGAUGAAGAUUAUGCUAAUGAAUUCAAAUUAUACCAUACAUUCUCUAGAUGUUACCAAAUAUUUCUAAAGUCAAUCCCACACAUUUCAUAAUUUUAAGACUAGAAAAUUUCAUUAGUUAGAAGUUUCAUUACCUUCAAGUGGAAGAUGAAGAACAUUGUACAAGUGAUUCAGAUUAUAUCAUACAUACUCCAAAUCCAACUAGAAAUUAACAAGUUCAUGCGCACAGAUUUCAUAACAUUAUGAUUGGAAAGUUUCACAAAGAGAAAUUCUAAAUUCAAUCUCUUGCAUCAAGGUAGUUUGAUUGAUUUGAGUUACUUUCUGAUCAAGCUACUAAUAUAACAUUCAAGUCAAGGAGAAAGUAAAUUAAAACUGGGAAAAAGUAACAGUAAAAAUUUGUUGCUAAACAUGAUGUGUAUUUUUUUUUUAAAGCAAUUUGGAAACACAGUUGUUACUACAGAUAUUCUCCUCAACUUGGAGAUAAAUACAAAUAUUAAAAUGCAUUUGAUCGCACAUAUUACUUAGAGCUUAGUAAGAUUUCAUUAAGAGAAGCAAUCAAACCACUUAUCAAUUGUUGCAGUCAUUCUAUAAGCUAAAAUAGCAAUAUAAUACAAGAAAAAGAACAUAUAGAUACUUGGCAAGAGUUCAUUAAGAAGUCGCAUCACAUUCGGGUGAGGAGUUUGCUUCUGAUAUCUUGCUAGCUGGGGCUUUUUCUUGUCUUUCUACGUAUGCCAAGGGAAACCAACCAGCUUGGCCCUUGCAUUCACCUUCCGACCAUCCAAUAGGAGCCACCUUGAGAAGUUAUAACUAAAACGGUGAAUUAAACAAAAGUUGACCGUUCAAAGACCUAAGGGGAAAACUAAUUCUUUUACGUAGGGGGAGUGAAUUAGUUGUGAUCACUGAAAUAACAGCAUAACUAUGGAAGCAUAACAAGAUAUAAAUUCACAUGUCUAUAAGGGUAAACUGGGUGGUUUAGAACCGAGCUAGCAACCCUACUAUAUUCUGAUUUGCACUUCAAUGUAAAAGGGAAUAUAUGGUAGGAAGAAAGAAAACCAACCAUCAUUUGUUAACUCAUUGCUUUUCAAUCAAAAUUUUAAGAACAAAAUGCCAUGUGCCUUGAACAUCAAAUAAGUAUAAGCAUUAGUUCUAAAUUCCACAUAUCAUAUGUUAAUAGCAUAGUAGAAAAAUCUAUGUGUUGUUAUUUAGAGGGGAAAGUACUUGGCGAACCACAACAUAAUCAUCAAUUGAAAGACUUAGCUCUCCAUUUGCUUGAGCAUCAAAUGGAUGUAUAACCUGCAAGAUAAUGGGAUAAAUAGAACUUAAUCUUAGAAAAAGCAUAACAAAAGCAGCAACAGUAGCAGCAGCGUUCAUUGUAACCACUAUGAUCAUGGCCAACAAAGAUAUAUUAGAAACAAAAUUCCAUUUUUACUACAACCUUAAUAUGUACUAUAUGAUAUCAUGACGAUUGGGUUACCAAGAGCUAUUAAAGUCCAAUAAGUUCUGUAUAACUUUAUGUAGUUAUUUAAAUUAUGGAUCAGAUUUUAAAUCUGAAAUUUUGACUGCUCUCCACAAAACAUGGCCUAUGCACAAAAAAGUCAUAGAUAAUGAGGAUUACAAAUGUCUGACAUCUUUUGAGUGAUGGAUUUAACAUGAGAGCUUAUGGUCAGUCAAUUUCCUCUGCCUACCAAUAUAAGCUUUCUCGGCCAGAUUUAUCAUCAAAUACAUAGAUUGCCCCCAAGUCACAUCCAUACAAACAUAGUUUUUCUAGGUAAACCAAGUAAGGAGAAUCAUAAUUCAGACAUAAUCAUAAAAAGGUCCAUCUAACUUAAGAGAAAAUCUCAAAAAGAGGGAUGUUGAGCUAUCAGUCUUGUAUCUAUAAGCAAUAUCAAGACUUUACAUCACCUGCUACAUCGUGAGUGGCUACACAACUUUCAGUGGUUUGUCUUUCUUUGGCAUGCCUAACUCAGCUUUGAUGUUGCUGAGAUAUUGAUAGUAGAGACACUUGAUACUUCUAGCUCAUGCAUUCUAUCUAGCUCAUCCGACAACUAUCUCUUUUUUAAUUCAUUAGUGUUUGCGAAACCUCAGGCUUAAAAGUCCUGUUCUCCUAAACAAAGUUUCCUAAGAAUGACUUCCUCAGCACCACAUUUGGACACUUUUAGAGCAAUUUUAUUUGGGGGAAAAGAAUUUUCAAGGUGUUAACUAAUAAAUUUUAAAAAAUAAUUACAAUUUGUCCUACGAUUAUAUGACAAUUUACCUAUGUGGCAAAUAAAAGGGUGAAAAAAUAUGAUAUUCUCUAAAAGACUUUUCAAAUAGAAAUAAAUUAAUAUUAUUUUAAUCAUAUAAUUAAUUUUUUAAAGGAAAAGUCAAUAGCAAUUAAAGCACUUCUCUCUCUUUCUUCAAUGAAAAAUAAUAAAAUAUAAAUUGAAGAGAGAUAAAUUAACUCUCCAAAUUUAAAGAGAGAGAAUCAAUUCUUAUUUGAAGAAUCUUAAUUGGAGUGUCUUUUGGAGCUUUAAAUAUUGAUGUGGCUCUUCAAAUAAGUAAUAAAAUCUUAUUUGAAGAACUUUUUGGUGAUGCUCUAAGAAGUGAAAAUGAUGAGAGCCCUGAUUCCCUUUUGACUUCCAUUUACUGUCAAACAUUCUAGCAAUACAAAAAAUUGUUUAGAUAUCUUGCUAUAAAUAUAGCCGUUUGACUGUCAUAAUAAAGUCCCAAAUAACCAUUCAUAUUGAUCCACUGUCACACAGCAUGCUUUAUGCAUACAACAUCUGUAUGCAUACCAACUCCUAACCUUAUCAAUACAUUUGGCAAAAACCUAAGAAGAAAACUAUUUCUCCAUCUCUUUUUUGAAAUUUCACAAUAAACCAGCACAUUGUGAAAGCUAUGUUCUAAUCUUAUGAUAAAUGCUCUAGACUCCAAAAGGAUUUUAUAUAUGAGAGUUUGUUGCAGUAGAUAUAUUGACUUAUCAAGUAUGAAUCAUUGUCUGGAUGAACUAUCUUUAAAUAAAAGAACAUUAGAACCACUGUAGAAUAUCUUUACGCUGCUGGUUGUGGCAACAAUUGCUAGAUCCACAAUUCCCCAACUUCAAAUACAUAGUUGCACACCAUGAGAUAGUGCUACAAUCUACUGAGAUCUAACUUAUAUGAUACUUUAAGCUACUAAUGUUUGCAUAUUUCUACAUGUUAAAUUAACACUACCAUCUAUAAUCACUCCAAAACGACAAAUGAUAAGCAGCUUUUGGCUACUUAUUACUAGCAUCCACAAUUAUAAAUAAGAGAUCAUGGGUUUACUUGUUGCACCUACUUAAUGAUCUGCAGUUGAGACCCUGACGCAAGGUUUAAACAGUCACUGCUUAGAACCCUUGUAGUUGGAUCUUGACCUCUCCCAUUGUAGCCAAGAUUGGCUACUCUGGUAAUGAAUCAACACUCUCCUGCUCAGGGCCAUGAAGAUCUGGAAGCUCAGCACUAGUGGAGAACUUCAUCAAUCUCUUCUUCUCAGCAUACUUGAGACAAGGCUGCAUUACGAGACCAAUCACCACAGCACCAAUGCUUAAAGCUGCAACUUUUAAAGUAGAAAGAGCCAACACAACACAAAUCAAUAUGGUUGGAGGAAUACACAUGAUAAUGGCUCCAACAGUGCCAGUGGGUAUCUUGUAAGGACAAGAUGCAGCAGGAUAUUGUAUCCUUAACCAUAUAAAUGCUAUAAACUCCAUAAUCAUUCCAAAACAGUACAGGAAGUUCUCUGCAGCUACAAUAUCUUGAAAGCUCAGCCAUGAUAGCAAAACCACACCAGAUGCUGAGAAUAUGAUUCCAAUCAAAGGAGUCCCAUAACGAGACCUCUUAGCAAAAACCUCAGGUAGCAUUCCACGCUCAGCCAUCCCCAAAAGCUGGAAAGAGUCGCUGCUCAUCUCAGCUACAAACAUGCCCAUAUUCGACAUUGCUGCAGCCCCCUGGAUCCACCAUCUCAACCAAACUCCACCAAGCACUUUAGCGAUAUCUGAAAAGUAACCAUCGGUCCACAAGUCGCGAUCUAAUGGAAUAGCUCCAGUUCCAACUAGAAGGGGAAAGAAAUACCCAAAAAUGACCAAGAUCAAAGCAUUAAACAAAGCCUUUGGAAGAGUCUUCUUUGGGUUAUCCACCUCUCCAGCUAGUGUACUUAUUGAGUCCCAGUAGUUGAGAUUCCAAAACAGGGUGUUCAAAUACAAAUUCCAAUCCACUUCACCUAAAUUUACUACAAGCCAUCUUGAAGGCUCUAACUUGGGAAGGGACACAAGUCCCAUAACCACAAAAGGAAGGAGUGAGAAAAUCCCUAAAAGAACAGCAGCCCAUCCCACAAUGGUUAGACCCCUAUAGUUCACGUAGAACAAAAGUCAAAGCUAACGCCACAAAGGCUCUAGGUAACCCAUUGCCCAACGCAGGGAUACCAGACUUCAAGUAGUCAAGAAACAGAACUGGGUAUAAAGCAUUAUCAAUAACCCCACUUAGCCAUUUCAUCCAACCUUGCUGAAAACCCCAAUAUGGGCCUAAGGCAGAUGAAACCCAAACCACAUAACCACCAUUUUCAGGAAACAUGGUACCCAUCUCGGCAGUAAUUAAAGCUUCAGGGACACUCCAUAUAAUCGGAGACACCAAGAAACCGAGAAGUGCUAAAAGAGGACCAGCUGCCUUUACACUAUCCUCAACACCAAACGGCCCUCCAGAAACCUCAUAGAGUAUAAGGAAAAUAAGUGGCAAGAUCGAUACUUUUCUAGUUCCAUAGACUCUAGGAGAAGAUGGUUGGUCAUUGAUAUUAACAUAUUCAACAACAUCAGACUGCCCCAUUUCUACUGAAACUUGCCUAUUCACAGUGCUCCUCAAUUUCUGCAUCAAGUUUAAGCAUAACUAUCAAAAGGGUAUCCACAUCUAAAUUAUGAAACAAAAUGAGCAUUUACUUAUUAAAAAAAAAUCAAAAAACAGAAAUGGAUUUCGCAGAGCACAUGAAUUUAAGUUCAACAUUAAACAGGCGCUUAAGAAAACAAAAGGGUCUGUUCGUAAAGCCAUCAGAUUGCAAGAUUGAACAAACAUUAAGGGAAUCAAUAGAAUGGAUGUAAAGAGAUCUGAAAAGAAAAUAAAAUAAAAGAUGAAGAGAGAUAAAACGAACCAUCAAAUAAGUGCAUGCAGAGCAGAGAGCCAGAUGCUAGGGAAGCUCCGUCAUGUUAGAGAGAGCCUAAAUCAAUCAGAGCUCAUUGAGUUUCUUUCAACUGACCGGCAAAUUUGGAGCAUCAUAACAUAAAAUUUUUGCUUUUAAUUUUUGGCACUCCUUCGAAUGGAAUUUUUUGUUUUUAAAAAAUAACGAAAUCAUAAAAUAAAUAAACACGUGUUUGGUUUUGGGCAUUUUCUUUUGUUCAUUUAAUAUCACCUGGCUCCCUGAUUUUUGACUAAUUAUCAACCGAAUCCUGUUAGUUUCUAAAUUGAAAUAAUAUUAGGUCAUGAGAUUAUUUACUCCAUUUAGGAUUCCUCCCACUUUAGUGUUUACUUAUUAAUUUUAAGAGAGUGCGAAUCCCACUCUAUGGGACUCAUUCUUUUUUGGAGUGUAGAGUGGGAUUCCCACUCCCAUGGGGGGAGGUGAGAGUGGGAAUCCACUCCCCCCUCUUCCAUUUUUAUCUUUAUAUUUAAUUUAAUAAAAUAAAAUAAUAUCAUAUUUACUUAAAUAAUAUUAUUAUAUUAUUUUAUAAAUUAUACUUAUUAAAAAUAAUAAUUUAUAUUGAUUCUAAGUUAAAAUUACUUAAAAAAAUAUUAUUAUACUCAUAGAGAAUUAAUAAUAUUACUAUAUACUCUUUUUAUUUGAAAAUAUAAUAUUAUUAUAUUUAUUUAAAAAUAAUAGUAUUAUAUUUAUUUAAUAUUAGUAAUUAAUAAUAAUCAAUAUUUUAUUCUGAGAAAAUAUUAAUUUUGUAUUAUAUUAUUAAUAAUAAUGUUUCAUUUGUGUUGCUCUUAAUAAUAAUUUUUUAUUUACAUAAUUAAAAUUAAAUUUAAUAAAAAAAUUAUUUACAUAAUUAAGAAUAUUAAUAAUUAUUAUUAAUUUACAAAUAUAAUAAAAUAAAUAUUUUAUUUUUCAAAUCUAUUUUUUAUUAAUUUUGUAAUUAAAAACUAUAAUUCUUUAAAUAAGGAUAAAACUGUAAUUUAAAAUUAUUUACUCCCAAAUCUAUGCUCUCAUUCCAGUGUAAGUAAAUAACUUACUCUCACUCCCACUCCACACUCCUAAUCCCAGGAUUCUUAUUUCAAUCCAAAAUGUAAACGCAGCAUUAGCACGGUAGACUUACUUAUAGUAUAUAAUACUAUUGAAAAAGCUUUGUCAAAUAGUAGUAAUAGGAGCAUAAGAAAAAGUUCUUCAGAAUUUAGAUAACGCACUUGGCUCUAGGAAGAUUGCCCUCUUAUCACUCGAGUUAGGCUUUUGGCUUAGAGUUGAGUAAAUCAUUAAAAUAAAUUAUAGCUAUCACAAAUUGUUAGGAAAAUUUCAAUUUUUUUUCCCAUCAAAUGUCUAUGAAGCAAAAUUUUCUUAGCUUAUAUUGCAACACUAAUACUUCAAAUCCUGACAAUAAAUUUGAUGACAGUUGUUUUUUUGUAUAGUAAUUGUCACUCUAUUGUUUAGUUUAAAAGUAGUUCUUAAAAUGAUAAUGAUGACUUAUUUAGAACAAAUGGUAAACUUGUAGUUUGUAAUAUUAUUUGUACAAACAAUAAAGACUAAUUUGAUAAUAAUCUUUCAAAGAAUAAAUUACUAUUUAACAUUUUAAAUUAAUUUCUAAAUUUAAAACAAAUAUGAAAGUUGAUUGCUUCGAAGGUUGGAUCGUGACAAAUUGACAAUUGAAAAGAGGAGGGAAUAUAUAUUUUGAUGAAAGGGACAAGAUUAAGCAAGGGGACAAUAUUUUCUAUUGGACCUACAAAUAGGGGGAAAGAUUUAUAUAUUUCAAAAUUUCUUAUUUGUGGAUUGGCCAGCACGUGUAACUAAUAUAAAAGGAGAAAAUUUGUCAUGGUUUUAACCGAUAUAAGAAGAGAAAAUUUUGAGUGCACAACAAGAACGAAGCAAAACUAGGGUUGGCAGAAAAGCCCGGGCCGGCCCAGGCCCGCAUCGGCCCGGGCCAGGCCCGCGGGCUUUAAGCCCGGCCCGUGGCUUGAAAUUAUGGGUAAGGGCUCAAAGUUAAUAAAGCCCAUAACAUAUGGGCUCAGUCAAGGACCUAAAUGAAAAGUCCGGGCUUAAGCCCGGGCUUUAUAAUAAAUAAUAAAUAAUAUAUAUAUAUAUAUAUAAUAUUAUGGAUAAUGGCUUUAUAUAUAUAUUAAAAAAUGUAUAAUAUAUUAUAAAAUUGAAAAAAUAAUUAAACAAAAUAAUAAAAAAAUCGGGCAAAGGGAAAGGGCAAAGGUUUUGUCACAAAAUGUCAAAAUUCCUAAAUCGGUAAAUCUCUAUUAGUUUUUUUUUUAUAUUAGUGGUUGAUUUGUACGUUGUGUACGGUAUUUGUAUUGUUAGUAUUUUUAUAUUUUGUGUUGCUAAUCAUGUAUUAGAGAAUUAUAUUUAAGUUUUUAGCCUAUUGUAGUAUUAUGUAUUGGUUAAUUAUGUUUUGAAAAUUUAUAAUUUUAUUUUUUAAAAAAAAAUUUUAAAAUUUCGUAAAAGCCCGGGCUUGGCCCGCGGCCCGGCCCAGACCCGUCAAGGCCCGGCCCGCCCAAAGUCUGCUCAACUUGGAUGGACUUUAAGAGGGCCUGGACUUAUUUAACAUUAUAUGGGCCUGGUCCUGAGCUUGAUAAAGCCCGGCCCAGGCCCUUAAAUUGCCAACCCUAAGCAAAACCCAUGAAAAUUCACCUUGUGGGUUGGAUUGGAUAAAAUCAAUAUCUUGAAUCAAACAAAAUGUUUGGUACAUUAAGGUUUUGAGUGUGUGUAAUGAGCAAGAAUCUACAUAAGGAUAUUUUAGUAAAUAUAAGAAAAAGGGCUCAAGGAAUGGCCUAGAGAUAGAAGCCCACAGCCCAUGAGUGAUGAGAAUACAAUUUAACCAUUCAAACUAAUUAGAAGCAAAUUAUUUCAUAUCUUUCGUUAAUUUUUCCGCUUACUUACUUAGCAUCCAAACAAGUUAAAGUUAAAACACUGUUGAGACAACAAUAUGCAGGCAUCAAUAAGCAUGGCAGUUUUUUAUAUGUAUUCUACACGAUAUUCUGGGGAUGUCAAUUGUAGAACAUUUUGCGGCAACUUUUUACAUUAAUUAAUGUUUGAAGAAUUUGUUAAAAAAGGGUAAUUUUAUCAUUUUGAAAGAGAAAAAAAAAAGUAAAAGUGGCGUUACCUCAUGGUCAUUAGAGACUUGUUGCAAUGAUAGCUCAAAAUUAACAAUUUGUGAAGAGUUAGUAGACGAUGCCGAUGUUGUCGUCGUCACUUUUGUCGUCGCCGCUGUUGUUGAAUUCAUGCUUAGAACACAACAAGAGAAGAAGAAGGGAGGAAAGGGAAGAGAAGAAGAGAGAAGUGGUGGAUAGCAAAUAUGAUAUGCUAGCUACACACCCGCCUUAGAAUUUUUUUUUUGUGUUUAUUAUAUUUUUGUUUUCGUUAUUGUUUUGUCAUAUACUUUCGGUGUAGCAGUGCCUUACAUCAUAAAUUGCACCUUUUAGGAGAGGUGGUAAAAAACGUGAGGGCACUGCGCUCCAGCGCAUACAUAUAGAAAGAGCUUCUUAAUUUUAAAAAGUUUCUUUAUUUCUUCCACAUUUUUGUGCUUAAAAUAAAAUUUAAUUGUAUUUUGCAUUAACUUAGAAAAAAAAUCCAGUUCUAUACAUAAACGCAUGCAUUAAUUAGAAAAUGAGUUUUACUAACGCAAAUGUACAAUAAAAGAGAUUCUUUUUGUAUAUUGGAAGUAACAUAACUAUUUAGUAUAAAAUGUAAAUAUAAGCUACCAAGAAUUUGCACUUGUGGUAAUUAACGACACAGAUUUUGAACUAUGAAUGUUUUGUGGCUGGUUUGAUUGGAUUUUCGAGUUUUCAGCAAACCUAUCUCAAUAAUUAUUAAAUUAUUUUCACUUCUUACGCCUUAAUAAAAAAAAUCAAUAUUUUUCUGGUCUAUUCUGUAUUUUAAAACUUAAUUUUAAUUUUUAUAUUGCAAACCAAAAUGAGUCAACCGGAGUAUGCUCUUCAAAGAAAUUUUCCAUUGCCUUCAAGAAGAAUUUAUUUUAUUUUUAUACAUUAAUUUAACAUUUUUUCAUUCACUUGUAAACCGGGCCGUCGGAUUGCACAUAAAGCAAAUGAUCAAACCGUUACAAGACCAGCCCGGACCCACCGACUGUCAUUUUCUUUCAUUUGACCAUUAAAAGCUUUUGACCACCCCCACCAAAUAAAUAAGCUCUUGUUCUCUUUUGUUCCCUCUCAAAGGAAAAAAAAUAUCUGAUCACCGGAUAAUGAUUCCGGUGACACAAAAUAUCAAAACACCCCCCUAAAUUCCCUUAAAUUUACAAUAAUACCCCACCAUGGAUGAUUCUGUUGAAAUGCUGCCUUACAGUGAAAGGCCUAAGAAGGGUUUUAACUUCACACCCAUGCGCUUGAUCUUAACCCUCGUUUUCCCAAUUUUAACUUUCUUUUCGUUGGCAUUUUUGAUUGGGAUCGUUGCUGUUUUAUUCGGCGAAUCAUCAGUUUCGAGUUCCAUUUUUGUCCCUUCCCAGUGCAAGAUAGUGUCCAGCAGUAAGCUUUUUCAAAAUUUUCAAUUUUUUUACCUUAAUGAAGCUAAAAAGUUUUAUUAAUUUUUUUUUUUGAAUGAUUUUGCAGGUGUUGAUAUAAGGUCAUCAAAGGUUUGUGAACUUGGGGUGUUGAAUUAUAAGGCGAAGCGUGUGUUUUAUCCAUUUGAAGCAAGUAAAUUUCGCUGUCGAUAUGAUUACUAUUGGGCUUCUAUCUUCAAGGUAUUCAUACAUUUUCUCAACUUUAAUUACUUACCUGUACUAUAAGCUUCUUAGUGGCGGUCUUGUUUUGUGUUUUGAUGAAUGUGUUUAAGGGUCAGUUUGGGAAUGCUGGUAAUAGGAUGUUGUUAGUGUUUGGCAGUAAAUUUGCUAUGCAUAAUUCAGCAAUGUGCUUGAUUUUGGUUAUUGUCUUUAACAAUUUUUAGGUAGAGUACUUAGAUCAUUCACUGGGACAAACGCAGAGCUUGGUUGACCAAAGAUAAGUUCCAGGUUGGGGUCGGCAAUGCAGAGCUUCUGCGUGUAUUAAAAUUUGAAGCCUAGUAAAUGAAUUUCUAAUUUAUUUAUAGUGUUUGUUUUAUCUUGACAGAAAUGAAUGCUAACUCAAGAUUUUCCCAACUUUAAUUACUUACCUGUACUAUAAGCUUCUUAGUGGCGGUCUUGUGAGCGGAAGUGAGCGGUGUGGCUGACAGCUUCUUGAAAAUUAUAAGUUUGAACAGAGCAUGUUAGACUUUUGUUGACCAAAUUCGAAAGCCAAAUGGCACAGCUCAGAAGCUUUUGAAUUGAAUAACUUACGAGAAAGCUCCAAUUUUUUGUUGGCUACAGUAAAAGGAUGUUGUUUUAUUCUUCUUAUACUUUACGCUUGCAUCAGCUUAAAUCACUUCUUAAACGCUUUGCUUUAACUCCACUGCUUCGUACUGUUCUAUAUAUGUAUCGGGUAUGCGGUCGUAGUUCACGGCUGAGACUACGUGUUUGUUUGACGUGGUAGUUACGUUACGAGUCUGUUAAACAUUCGGUGAUUAAAGUAUUAUCGGUUAUUCCAAAGGGACAAAUAAGAUUAGCUGCAACACACCCACUAGUUUUAUAAAAUUCGAAUGAGAUGGAAUAAAAUAAAAAAAUAAAAAAGUAAAUUGACUUUUAAUUUUAGUGGUUGAAUAUAUUUUGUAUUCUCUUAGGGUACUGCUGUAAUUAUUCCUUAAACGUCGUCAUACUCACAUAUAAUAGACACAAGAAAUGAAAUCUAAGAUCACCUGCUUAGUUAAAGAAUCAUCAUGAAAAAAUUUUGCCAUUUUGAUUUGAGGAUCCACAUUUUAAACAACCAACUUAUGUUCAUCAAGAACAGAGUAUGAAUUGUGAGUAGAAAAAUUAUUUUUGGACAAAUUAUUUUGUUAAUAGAAGAAUGUCUCAAGGGACUAUUAAAAUUACUAAUAAAAAUGUCAGACACACCCACGUACCAUCGACACAAUUGAUUAUGAGGAUCCAUGUUUUGAACUGCCUCCUAAUGUUCAUCAAGAACAGAGUCAAUUGAAGGAGAAUAUGCUACUUUUUCAUUAAGAAAGGCAGACGGGGCAUACCAUGGUACCAUACAAUACAAAAAAUCUCCGUUCUCUGACUUUUCAAACUCUGAAGGGGGCAAUAUUCCCCAAUUCCUUUGUGAAAAUUCUGAUUACGACAUUAUUCAUCGCUUGAUACAUAAGUAAAAGUAGUGACAAAAUUAGAAAAAUUAUGAUUCAUAAGUAAUUACUAGGCAGGGCUCUUGAGAGCAACAUUGUCCUAGGCUUUAUAUGCAUACAUGGUGUGGCCACACCAUAACACAAACCCAGAAAGACAAGUAAUAUCUCAACUGAUAUAAAGACAAAAAGAAGAUAAAAUGAUACAGAACAAAGAAUUUCUAAGAGACAACAACAUACAAUAGACUGAAGCCAGUUGAUCUGCUCAUUGAUUGCAGCCUUAAACUUGCAAACGUUUACUGUAGCCUGGUGCUCUAAGAAGUGAAAAUGAUGCAAACCUUGAUUCCAUGUUUACUUCCAUUUACCAUCAAACAUUCUAUUCAUAAGAAAAAAAAUGUUUAGAUAUCUUGACGUAAAUAUAGCCAUUUGAUUGUCUUAAUAAAGCCACACACAACCAUUCAUAUUGAUCCACAUUGCCAUAUAGCCUGAUUUAAGCAUACAACAGCUGAAUGCAUACUGACUCCUAACCUUAUCAAUACAUUGGCGACAACUUCAGAAGAAAACUAUUUCUCCAUCUCUUUUUUGAAAUUUCACAAUAAAACAGCACAAUGUGAGCUGCAAUGAAAAUGGACCGUCUGGAACUAUGGCGGAAGCUUCAACUAGUGUAGUGAAUAUAAACCUAUAAUUGGAACAAACACAGCCACAGAACCCAAGAAUGACACACCCUACACCGCGGGAGAAGCUUUCCAGUGAGAUUUUAUUGAUGAUCAAAGAAGAAUCUUUUUACAAAGCUAACAAAAGAGAUUUCAGAGAAUAAGCUAUGACCCUCUCUCUCUUCAAUCUCUCUCUAGUUUGUUCACAGUGAUGACCCCAAUCUGCUUCGUUAGCCAGCUUCAUAACUGCGUCAGUGACAAACUAACAAACCCAGAUUGAGCAGAUUACCGACACGUGGAUAACGGCUUUUAAGAACUUGGUUAAAGAACUGCUCACAUAUUCGUCACGGGUGUUACUUAAAUGAUGGCCAAAACGACUUCAACCAGAUGCCGUUUUGAAGCUUGUGAAUUAUAAUUGAAAACACGUGCUUGUAUCGUGACACUUAAAUGCAACAACAAGCCCAAAACACUGCCGUUUCACUUUGUUCAGUUUGCCAUCUCUAAGCUUCACAACUAGCAACGGAGAAGAUGAUAAUUAAAUUGACAUGGAGAGUUUUUAUAUCACUUUUACAACAUUCUAUAUAAUUGUGAUAUUGGGAAUCGUCGGUGUUGUAUAUGUGAACUCUCGUUGGCGACACUAGUGGUUUUAUUUUUGUUGAAAUAUGGAUGACAUUUCGUUACUAUUUUAUUGUACACAACCUUAUUCUUAGGAGAUUUAAUCAUUGAAAUUAACAUGUUAGUUUCAUUAGCCACUAGGCCUUUGGCUGAGUCGUUCGGGUGUCUGCCCUCCAACUUGGAGGGCAGCAGUUUGAACCCCCACAAGCGCAAUGUGGGGUAUUUCCUUCUUUAAUCCCUCGAAUAUUACUGAGGGUUAAAAUCUAGGUAGAGUUCCAUAAGUAUUAAUGUAAGUUGGUUCCAGUAAUAGUCUAAUUUGUAAAUAUCAGUUAUAGUCUCAUGUAAGAUGAGUUGUAAUUUGAGCAAUAGUCUCAUAUAAUAAUAAUAAAAUAAAAUAAACAUGUUAGCUUCAUUACAUUUUUCUUCGUUAAAAUUCUCAAGUAUUAGUCAGGUUUGCUUAAGUAAUAAAAUUUUGUCAUUAAAAUUGUAGUAGUAUUUCUGAGCACCUCACAUUUUCAAUGAUUGUUCAUAAAUCAAUUAAUCUGCCGUACCGAUAUUAGGUUUAGUUUUUCAUACUAAAUAAUCAAGAAAGCAAACAUACAAAUUCACAGUUUAGAGGGGUAAACUAGGUAGGUGGUUUAGAUUUUAGAACUAGGCUAGCUACCCCACUAAAUUCCAAUUUGUACAGUGAACUACAAGAAAUUGAGAAAACAGUGUAUUUAUAGUUUAAUUGAAUCGUGAGAAAGCAAUGUAGUCAUAGCUCAAUCUGAGAUGAUCACGGAGAGGCAUAUUCUUUUCAAGUUAAUUUGAUCAAUUUAUAAGAGAUGAAGUGGAUUGAAGUUAAAAGUUUAAAUAACAAAUCCUUGUUCUUGAGUUUUACGACGUCGUUACUCCUUCAAGAGGCAGAUUAUUUAUGCAAGUGAAUGCAGAAACGCAAUGCAUCAUCCACGGGGAUGGUACACCAAAAGGCGGGAUCAUAGUCUAUGCCCGCAGAUUAACAAUUUCGCUCAUAUAGAAAAUUAAUUUUUUAUAUAUACUAAUCAAUACUAAAUUGAUUAUGUUUUGUAUGUUUAUAUGCGAAUCAACACUAAAUUAUAUUAAAUGAAGAAAUAAUUCAAUUUUUUCUAAUUUAAUUUAGAAAAUAAAAUUAUUAACAUUAAUAUUCCCAACAAAAAUUAUUUUCCAUUAGUAUUCAAAGCUUCACUUAUGGAAAAUGUGUUUUACAUGAAUAUUAGUUACUGUGUAAAUUUGAAUGAUAGUGAAAAAUAAUUUUUUAAUUAUUGUAAAAAUAAUUAACCAUAUCAAAUCCCUUACGUAAAUAAUUUUUAUUUUUCAAAAAGGUAGAAAGAUGGUUAAUGCACAAGCAAAUUUUAAGCCCCUCUCUUCUUGGCCUAAGAUUCAAACUCAGAUGACUAGUUAAAUAAACCUAUGUGAAAAUCAUUCGGCCAGGUCCGCGGGGCAAAAAUACAAGAUCCUUAAUUUCAUAAUAUAUAUGAAUUAAUGUCAUUUACUUGAAUUAUCCAAAUUCAUCAGAGGUUAACGAGUUUUCCUGACAUGUAGCAGAUGAAGUUGUUGCUUCCUUCUUGGCAUUAUUUCAGCUCUGGUUGUUGGUCCCGAUGAGCUUUAGUCUUAUUUUAAUUUUAUUUAAACUCAUCAUAAGAUUCGUGAAGCACCUAACUGACUUAACUGACUGUGCAGAAAUGUCACAUAGCAUAUUUAACCGUUUUAACAGUAAUUUUGAACGGUCUUCGCAGUUAUCAUCUACAAACUCGUUCGUGUUGGUCCACUAGGUGAAGUUUUUGAAAUAAUAAUAAGCUCCCAUUCUUGAUUUUAAAAAAUGUGCUUAUAAUAAUUUUAGAAUAAUGGCUUAUUUAUAGAACAACUUAUGAUUUCCCAUUAGCAUUAUUAUUGAAGUGGGGUGGAUAACGGUUCACUCAAUUCGUCGGGAAUCAAAAAUUACCAUCCAAGGCAGAAUUGUGGAAAAUUAAAGCGAAAUGAGAAAUAUGGAAAUGAAGGAAGAAAGUUAAGGCAUGAAAGACUUCCAGUUGAAAUUGAUAAUCAUGUUUCUCUUUGGUAACUAAUCAAAUGGGAAACUGAACCAUAAACAGACAUUAAAACGUGUGGACUCCGCUAGCUGCCUUACAAGCCUACAAUAAUAACUGAGUACCUUUGAUUCAUCCUUCUAUGAAUUUCUAGCCGUAUUGACUCCACCGAAAUUUCCACAAAAAAAAAAAAAAAAAGAAUUUCCACAAAAUGCAAAACGCAUGGAACUUAAUUUUUGGCCCUGUGAUCACUAAGAUACAAUCCUUCUAGUGAAGAGCAAUCAGGCAAAUUUUUUUAGAUCUCUCCGACAAAGUGAUUACCAUCUAAUCGCAAUAUUGAAUAAAAAUAAAAAUUUUAAUGGGAGUUUGACCUUAAAUUUAGAAAAUGAAUUUUCACUUUCUUCAAUUAUUAAACAGAUUACAUACAUUUGAGGAAUUUGAAAACACUUUAUCCAUCGACAGUUAAAAUUAGAGAUGGAAGCUAGGUGCUACAGCUAAUGGGAUCAUUAAUUCCCCUCCCUCAAAUGUGUAGUUGUUCCUCUUUCCACAGCAUAAGCCUUAUAGUUAGAGUUUCUUUAAAAAAAAAAUGUUAAACAAUUUCGGUUGAGCAUGGUUUUGGUAGUUGAAUAGACACCUCCGCCGUACCUCAAACAAAACUGUCAUUAUUCGUGCCAUGAAACAUGUUUCGGCCGUCAAAGUCAUGAGUAGGAGUGUGCAUGGGUUGGUUUGGGUUAGAUUUUAAGUCAAUUCAAAGCAAACCAUAAAAAUUUGGGUUCAAUCCAAAUCAACCCAAAUAUUUUUAACCCAACCCAAACCAACCUAUUUGGGUUUGGGUUUGGAUUUUAUAAUUAAAAUAUUUUUUAUUUUAAUAAAUUUAACUAUAUCAAAUUAUAAUAAUUAUUAAAUUAAUAUUAAAAUACGAAAAAAUGUAGUGGAUAAAAAUUAUGAAUAAUGGAUUUUACAAUAACUUUGUUCUUAAAUAUUAACCAUAUUACAACAUAAAUUCUAACAAUGUCAAUACAAAUUAAAGUAAGAUAAGAUAUCUCAACUCAAGUAUCAAAGCAAUCCAUCAAAAUUAAAUUAUUUAAUUUUAUAAAUUUAAAUUUUCCGAGAAAUAAAUCUAAAAUUUAUUGUAAUUAGAAAAAGCGCCAAAAUUUUAAACGCAAUAAGAAAAAUUAGACAUAAAAUCUAAUUAGGUUUAAAUUUAAUUAAAAAAUAACAAUAGAAUCAUAUUUUAUUUGAUAAAAUCUUAAAAUCAAUUUCAUUUUUUAUUUUAAUAAGUUACAAUACAAAUAGGAUUAUAAAAUUAUAUUACAGAAUUUCAUAAAAAUAUUGUUUGAGUAAUUUAUUAAAGGACUCACCUACGUUGCCACAGUUGUAGCUUACCACGCUUUUUGUCUUUUUCCAGUAAAAUCGUAGAUGCUUUCAAAUUUAAUCUAACGGCUGCAAUUAAUUAUUAGAUAAUUUAAUCAGCCAUUGGCAACCUUUACAACCGGUUAUAUUCUCUCGUUACAUUUCUCGGCUACCAAAUAAUCCCCAAGAAAAUGACGAAGUGAGUAACUAAUACGCACACCGCAGAGAAAGAUGACAGGAGAAGAGAUGACGGUAGGCUCACCGGCACAAAGGUUCUUCGAUUGCUCUAUUUCUUCGGCGCUGGAUUUAUCUACACAGCUACAAUCGACAAGUGGCGGGAACUCGAGCAGAAGUCAUUGAAGAAGAAACAGCAAGAGAGCAAUCUAUGGACUGAUGAUAACUCAGCAACUACGGUAAAGAAAGCCGUCAAAUGAUCUUUUUUAUUUGACUUUUGAUGGAUUUUCAAGAGUUUUGGUAAUAAAAUGUCUCUUAAUUUUUCAUUUCAAUGGCCUAUUGUUUGAGUUAUUAUUAUGCAUAAUUGUUGGAAGAGUUAGGGUUUUACUAUUGGAUUUUGGAAUUUGUAUUUUGGCUUUGAUAUGUUAUUGUUGUGAUGUUGGUCAAGAAAUUUUUGACAACACUCUCCUCGAGUUUGAUACUAUAGCUAAUGAAUUUUUACGGCAGAUAUAUUCUUUUCUUUGAAAAAAAAAAACACUUUACAACUGGUUAUGCAUUCAUUUAGGAGCUGUUAACUGAGCGUGACUUCCAUAAUUUUCCAACCAGUGGUUAGGGUUUCACAGAAAAAUGUCGACAUUGAUCUUUAGGCAGCACUUAAGACUGAAAUUGGUUGUAGAGGAUUGAAUUUGGGGGACUAGAAAUUUCUGAUCAUUAAUAAUUGAAAAUGGCCUCUCACUUGUAGGCAGUUGUUGGAUGUAAUGUAUCCAGUUUCUGAAAUCGAAAGCAGAGUGAGUUCUUAGGUUAGAUGUACCUACAUGCAUUAAGGUUCGAAGAUGUAGAAUAGGCCAAUUGUUUGAUGUCAGCUUUGUUGCACAUGUUCUGAAAUUGAUCAUUUAAGAUGGCUUGGAAGCACUCCGUGAUGUGACUAAGAAGAUUCGAGGAAGUAUUAAAUAUGUUGAAAGUUCACAAUUAAUACAAGGAAAGUUCAAUGAGAUCACCCAACAAGUUGAAAUCAACAGUCAAAAGAGCCUAAAGUGUGAUAUUUUUCUCUUGGAUUGUUUUUUUAUUUUCCAUUUCAAAGCUGAUAGUGUAAAUAUUUUGUUUGCAAAAGUUUCUAAAAAGUACUUGAGUCAAGAUGGUUAGGUAUUUCAUAACUUCCUUUUUACUCUUAACUAGAUUCAUAGAGAGUUAUAACAUUAACAUAAUUUUUUUCUUUUAAAAGUGAUCAAUUAGACACUGAUGAGAUAUCUCACUUUUGAAUCAUUUAGCUUUAUGUAAUUUCAUUACUAUUAUAUGCCCCCAGGAAUUGUUGAAGUAUAUAUAUCUUGGCAUUUCUUCACUGACUGAAUUAUCUUUCAUAAUAUUCCAGCUUCAAAUGGGUACACUGCAGAGCCUAUUGGAUGCAGAAUUCCUUCUAGCUCAUAUGUGCUCUGUAAAAUUCAAAGACUGAAUAGUGGUUAUGGCAACUCUUUGUAGAUGAUCUAAGGUAUAAUGCCCAAUUAUUGCUUUUGCUUUAUCUGUUUUACCUUGCAACAUUUUGAAAUUUAUGAGAAGCAUAAAAUUACUGAGCCAAAAUUGAGGAUCUGAACUUUCGUAAAAAUAUUUGUAUUUUUAAAUUAUAAAAUAUUGCAUUUGAUGCUUUAGGUGGAACUUAGUUCACUACAGAAAGGAAAAUUAUGUUGGGCAUAACCAGAUGUUUUUCAAGAGAAAAUUUCACUUCUGAGGAUUUUACUUGGCCAUCUUAUUUCAAGCUGCUUGAAUUUUUUCUUUAUAUCAUCUUGGUUGUAUACUAUAACUCAUUGAAUUUGCUAGCACUUUUGCUAGUUGUUUAUUCUAUAUGUGAUUGUGGUGGUAAAGUUUGGAAGCUCAAAAAGUAAUGGAACUUAGGAAGNNNNNNNNNNNNNNNNNNNNNNNNNNNNNNNNNNNNNNNNNNNNNNNNNNNNNNNNNNNNNNNNNNNNNNNNNNNNNNNNNNNNNNNNNNNNNNNNNNNNNNNNNNNNNNNNNNNNNNNNNNNNNNNNNNNNNNNNNNNNNNNNNNNNNNNNNNNNNNNNNNNNNNNNNNNNNNNNNNNNNNNNNNNNNNNNNNNNNNNNNNNNNNNNNNNNNNNNNNNNNNNNNNNNNNNNNNNNNNNNNNNNNNNNNNNNNNNNNNNNNNNNNNNNNNNNNNNNNNNNNNNNNNNNNNNNNNNNNNNNNNNNNNNNNNNNNNNNNNNNNNNNNNNNNNNNNNNNNNNNNNNNNNNNNNNNNNNNNNNNNNNNNNNNNNNNNNNNNNNNNNNNNNNNNNNNNNNNNNNNNNNNNNNNNNNNNNNNNNNNNNNNNNNNNNNNNNNNNNNNNNNNNNNNNNNNNNNNNNNNNNNNNNNNNNNNNNNNNNNNNNNNNNNNNNNNNNNNNNNNNNNNNNNNNNNNNNNNNNNNNNNNNNNNNNNNNNNNNNNNNNNNNNNNNNNNNNNNNNNNNNNNNNNNNNNNNNNNNNNNNNNNNNNNNNNNNNNNNNNNNNNNNNNNNNNNNNNNNNNNNNNNNNNNNNNNNNNNNNNNNNNNNNNNNNNNNNNNNNNNNNNNNNNNNNNNNNNNNNNNNNNNNNNNNNNNNNNNNNNNNNNNNNNNNNNNNNNNNNNNNNNNNNNNNNNNNNNNNNNNNNNNNNNNNNNNNNNNNNNNNNNNNNNNNNNNNNNNNNNNNNNNNNNNNNNNNNNNNNNNNNNNNNNNNNNNNNNNNNNNNNNNNNNNNNNNNNNNNNNNNNNNNNNNNNNNNNNNNNNNNNNNNNNNNNNNNNNNNNNNNNNNNNNNNNNNNNNNNNNNNNNNNNNNNNNNNNNNNNNNNNNNNNNNNNNNNNNNNNNNNNNNNNNNNNNNNNNNNNNNNNNNNNNNNNNNNNNNNNNNNNNNNNNNNNNNNNNNNNNNNNNNNNNNNNNNNNNNNNNNNNNNNNNNNNNNNNNNNNNNNNNNNNNNNNNNNNNNNNNNNNNNNNNNNNNNNNNNNNNNNNNNNNNNNNNNNNNNNNNNNNNNNNNNNNNNNNNNNNNNNNNNNNNNNNNNNNNNNNNNNNNNNNNNNNNNNNNNNNNNNNNNNNNNNNNNNNNNNNNNNNNNNNNNNNNNNNNNNNNNNNNNNNNNNNNNNNNNNNNNNNNNNNNNNNNNNNNNNNNNNNNNNNNNNNNNNNNNNNNNNNNNNNNNNNNNNNNNNNNNNNNNNNNNNNNNNNNNNNNNNNNNNNNNNNNNNNNNNNNNNNNNNNNNNNNNNNNNNNNNNNNNNNNNNNNNNNNNNNNNNNNNNNNNNNNNNNNNNNNNNNNNNNNNNNNNNNNNNNNNNNNNNNNNNNNNNNNNNNNNNNNNNNNNNNNNNNNNNNNNNNNNNNNNNNNNNNNNNNNNNNNNNNNNNNNNNNNNNNNNNNNNNNNNNNNNNNNNNNNNNNNNNNNNNNNNNNNNNNNNNNNNNNNNNNNNNNNNNNNNNNNNNNNNNNNNNNNNNNNNNNNNNNNNNNNNNNNNNNNNNNNNNNNNNNNNNNNNNNNNNNNNNNNNNNNNNNNNNNNNNNNNNNNNNNNNNNNNNNNNNNNNNNNNNNNNNNNNNNNNNNNNNNNNNNNNNNNNNNNNNNNNNNNNNNNNNNNNNNNNNNNNNNNNNNNNNNNNNNNNNNNNNNNNNNNNNNNNNNNNNNNNNNNNNNNNNNNNNNNNNNNNNNNNNNNNNNNNNNNNNNNNNNNNNNNNNNNNNNNNNNNNNNNNNNNNNNNNNNNNNNNNNNNNNNNNNNNNNNNNNNNNNNNNNNNNNNNNNNNNNNNNNNNNNNNNNNNNNNNNNNNNNNNNNNNNNNNNNNNNNNNNNNNNNNNNNNNNNNNNNNNNNNNNNNNNNNNNNNNNNNNNNNNNNNNNNNNNNNNNNNNNNNNNNNNNNNNNNNNNNNNNNNNNNNNNNNNNNNNNNNNNNNNNNNNNNNNNNNNNNNNNNNNNNNNNNNNNNNNNNNNNNNNNNNNNNNNNNNNNNNNNNNNNNNNNNNNNNNNNNNNNNNNNNNNNNNNNNNNNNNNNNNNNNNNNNNNNNNNNNNNNNNNNNNNNNNNNNNNNNNNNNNNNNNNNNNNNNNNNNNNNNNNNNNNNNNNNNNNNNNNNNNNNNNNNNNNNNNNNNNNNNNNNNNNNNNNNNNNNNNNNNNNNNNNNNNNNNNNNNNNNNNNNNNNNNNNNNNNNNNNNNNNNNNNNNNNNNNNNNNNNNNNNNNNNNNNNNNNNNNNNNNNNNNNNNNNNNNNNNNNNNNNNNNNNNNNNNNNNNNNNNNNNNNNNNNNNNNNNNNNNNNNNNNNNNNNNNNNNNNNNNNNNNNNNNNNNNNNNNNNNNNNNNNNNNNNNNNNNNNNNNNNNNNNNNNNNNNNNNNNNNNNNNNNNNNNNNNNNNNNNNNNNNNNNNNNNNNNNNNNNNNNNNNNNNNNNNNNNNNNNNNNNNNNNNNNNNNNNNNNNNNNNNNNNNNNNNNNNNNNNNNNNNNNNNNNNNNNNNNNNNNNNNNNNNNNNNNNNNNNNNNNNNNNNNNNNNNNNNNNNNNNNNNNNNNNNNNNNNNNNNNNNNNNNNNNNNNNNNNNNNNNNNNNNNNNNNNNNNNNNNNNNNNNNNNNNNNNNNNNNNNNNNNNNNNNNNNNNNNNNNNNNNNNNNNNNNNNNNNNNNNNNNNNNNNNNNNNNNNNNNNNNNNNNNNNNNNNNNNNNNNNNNNNNNNNNNNNNNNNNNNNNNNNNNNNNNNNNNNNNNNNNNNNNNNNNNNNNNNNNNNNNNNNNNNNNNNNNNNNNNNNNNNNNNNNNNNNNNNNNNNNNNNNNNNNNNNNNNNNNNNNNNNNNNNNNNNNNNNNNNNNNNNNNNNNNNNNNNNNNNNNNNNNNNNNNNNNNNNNNNNNNNNNNNNNNNNNNNNNNNNNNNNNNNNNNNNNNNNNNNNNNNNNNNNNNNNNNNNNNNNNNNNNNNNNNNNNNNNNNNNNNNNNNNNNNNNNNNNNNNNNNNNNNNNNNNNNNNNNNNNNNNNNNNNNNNNNNNNNNNNNNNNNNNNNNNNNNNNNNNNNNNNNNNNNNNNNNNNNNNNNNNNNNNNNNNNNNNNNNNNNNNNNNNNNNNNNNNNNNNNNNNNNNNNNNNNNNNNNNNNNNNNNNNNNNNNNNNNNNNNNNNNNNNNNNNNNNNNNNNNNNNNNNNNNNNNNNNNNNNNNNNNNNNNNNNNNNNNNNNNNNNNNNNNNNNNNNNNNNNNNNNNNNNNNNNNNNNNNNNNNNNNNNNNNNNNNNNNNNNNNNNNNNNNNNNNNNNNNNNNNNNNNNNNNNNNNNNNNNNNNNNNNNNNNNNNNNNNNNNNNNNNNNNNNNNNNNNNNNNNNNNNNNNNNNNNNNNNNNNNNNNNNNNNNNNNNNNNNNNNNNNNNNNNNNNNNNNNNNNNNNNNNNNNNNNNNNNNNNNNNNNNNNNNNNNNNNNNNNNNNNNNNNNNNNNNNNNNNNNNNNNNNNNNNNNNNNNNNNNNNNNNNNNNNNNNNNNNNNNNNNNNNNNNNNNNNNNNNNNNNNNNNNNNNNNNNNNNNNNNNNNNNNNNNNNNNNNNNNNNNNNNNNNNNNNNNNNNNNNNNNNNNNNNNNNNNNNNNNNNNNNNNNNNNNNNNNNNNNNNNNNNNNNNNNNNNNNNNNNNNNNNNNNNNNNNNNNNNNNNNNNNNNNNNNNNNNNNNNNNNNNNNNNNNNNNNNNNNNNNNNNNNNNNNNNNNNNNNNNNNNNNNNNNNNNNNNNNNNNNNNNNNNNNNNNNNNNNNNNNNNNNNNNNNNNNNNNNNNNNNNNNNNNNNNNNNNNNNNNNNNNNNNNNNNNNNNNNNNNNNNNNNNNNNNNNNNNNNNNNNNNNNNNNNNNNNNNNNNNNNNNNNNNNNNNNNNNNNNNNNNNNNNNNNNNNNNNNNNNNNNNNNNNNNNNNNNNNNNNNNNNNNNNNNNNNNNNNNNNNNNNNNNNNNNNNNNNNNNNNNNNNNNNNNNNNNNNNNNNNNNNNNNNNNNNNNNNNNNNNNNNNNNNNNNNNNNNNNNNNNNNNNNNNNNNNNNNNNNNNNNNNNNNNNNNNNNNNNNNNNNNNNNNNNNNNNNNNNNNNNNNNNNNNNNNNNNNNNNNNNNNNNNNNNNNNNNNNNNNNNNNNNNNNNNNNNNNNNNNNNNNNNNNNNNNNNNNNNNNNNNNNNNNNNNNNNNNNNNNNNNNNNNNNNNNNNNNNNNNNNNNNNNNNNNNNNNNNNNNNNNNNNNNNNNNNNNNNNNNNNNNNNNNNNNNNNNNNNNNNNNNNNNNNNNNNNNNNNNNNNNNNNNNNNNNNNNNNNNNNNNNNNNNNNNNNNNNNNNNNNNNNNNNNNNNNNNNNNNNNNNNNNNNNNNNNNNNNNNNNNNNNNNNNNNNNNNNNNNNNNNNNNNNNNNNNNNNNNNNNNNNNNNNNNNNNNNNNNNNNNNNNNNNNNNNNNNNNNNNNNNNNNNNNNNNNNNNNNNNNNNNNNNNNNNNNNNNNNNNNNNNNNNNNNNNNNNNNNNNNNNNNNNNNNNNNNNNNNNNNNNNNNNNNNNNNNNNNNNNNNNNNNNNNNNNNNNNNNNNNNNNNNNNNNNNNNNNNNNNNNNNNNNNNNNNNNNNNNNNNNNNNNNNNNNNNNNNNNNNNNNNNNNNNNNNNNNNNNNNNNNNNNNNNNNNNNNNNNNNNNNNNNNNNNNNNNNNNNNNNNNNNNNNNNNNNNNNNNNNNNNNNNNNNNNNNNNNNNNNNNNNNNNNNNNNNNNNNNNNNNNNNNNNNNNNNNNNNNNNNNNNNNNNNNNNNNNNNNNNNNNNNNNNNNNNNNNNNNNNNNNNNNNNNNNNNNNNNNNNNNNNNNNNNNNNNNNNNNNNNNNNNNNNNNNNNNNNNNNNNNNNNNNNNNNNNNNNNNNNNNNNNNNNNNNNNNNNNNNNNNNNNNNNNNNNNNNNNNNNNNNNNNNNNNNNNNNNNNNNNNNNNNNNNNNNNNNNNNNNNNNNNNNNNNNNNNNNNNNNNNNNNNNNNNNNNNNNNNNNNNNNNNNNNNNNNNNNNNNNNNNNNNNNNNNNNNNNNNNNNNNNNNNNNNNNNNNNNNNNNNNNNNNNNNNNNNNNNNNNNNNNNNNNNNNNNNNNNNNNNNNNNNNNNNNNNNNNNNNNNNNNNNNNNNNNNNNNNNNNNNNNNNNNNNNNNNNNNNNNNNNNNNNNNNNNNNNNNNNNNNNNNNNNNNNNNNNNNNNNNNNNNNNNNNNNNNNNNNNNNNNNNNNNNNNNNNNNNNNNNNNNNNNNNNNNNNNNNNNNNNNNNNNNNNNNNNNNNNNNNNNNNNNNNNNNNNNNNNNNNNNNNNNNNNNNNNNNNNNNNNNNNNNNNNNNNNNNNNNNNNNNNNNNNNNNNNNNNNNNNNNNNNNNNNNNNNNNNNNNNNNNNNNNNNNNNNNNNNNNNNNNNNNNNNNNNNNNNNNNNNNNNNNNNNNNNNNNNNNNNNNNNNNNNNNNNNNNNNNNNNNNNNNNNNNNNNNNNNNNNNNNNNNNNNNNNNNNNNNNNNNNNNNNNNNNNNNNNNNNNNNNNNNNNNNNNNNNNNNNNNNNNNNNNNNNNNNNNNNNNNNNNNNNNNNNNNNNNNNNNNNNNNNNNNNNNNNNNNNNNNNNNNNNNNNNNNNNNNNNNNNNNNNNNNNNNNNNNNNNNNNNNNNNNNNNNNNNNNNNNNNNNNNNNNNNNNNNNNNNNNNNNNNNNNNNNNNNNNNNNNNNNNNNNNNNNNNNNNNNNNNNNNNNNNNNNNNNNNNNNNNNNNNNNNNNNNNNNNNNNNNNNNNNNNNNNNNNNNNNNNNNNNNNNNNNNNNNNNNNNNNNNNNNNNNNNNNNNNNNNNNNNNNNNNNNNNNNNNNNNNNNNNNNNNNNNNNNNNNNNNNNNNNNNNNNNNNNNNNNNNNNNNNNNNNNNNNNNNNNNNNNNNNNNNNNNNNNNNNNNNNNNNNNNNNNNNNNNNNNNNNNNNNNNNNNNNNNNNNNNNNNNNNNNNNNNNNNNNNNNNNNNNNNNNNNNNNNNNNNNNNNNNNNNNNNNNNNNNNNNNNNNNNNNNNNNNNNNNNNNNNNNNNNNNNNNNNNNNNNNNNNNNNNNNNNNNNNNNNNNNNNNNNNNNNNNNNNNNNNNNNNNNNNNNNNNNNNNNNNNNNNNNNNNNNNNNNNNNNNNNNNNNNNNNNNNNNNNNNNNNNNNNNNNNNNNNNNNNNNNNNNNNNNNNNNNNNNNNNNNNNNNNNNNNNNNNNNNNNNNNNNNNNNNNNNNNNNNNNNNNNNNNNNNNNNNNNNNNNNNNNNNNNNNNNNNNNNNNNNNNNNNNNNNNNNNNNNNNNNNNNNNNNNNNNNNNNNNNNNNNNNNNNNNNNNNNNNNNNNNNNNNNNNNNNNNNNNNNNNNNNNNNNNNNNNNNNNNNNNNNNNNNNNNNNNNNNNNNNNNNNNNNNNNNNNNNNNNNNNNNNNNNNNNNNNNNNNNNNNNNNNNNNNNNNNNNNNNNNNNNNNNNNNNNNNNNNNNNNNNNNNNNNNNNNNNNNNNNNNNNNNNNNNNNNNNNNNNNNNNNNNNNNNNNNNNNNNNNNNNNNNNNNNNNNNNNNNNNNNNNNNNNNNNNNNNNNNNNNNNNNNNNNNNNNNNNNNNNNNNNNNNNNNNNNNNNNNNNNNNNNNNNNNNNNNNNNNNNNNNNNNNNNNNNNNNNNNNNNNNNNNNNNNNNNNNNNNNNNNNNNNNNNNNNNNNNNNNNNNNNNNNNNNNNNNNNNNNNNNNNNNNNNNNNNNNNNNNNNNNNNNNNNNNNNNNNNNNNNNNNNNNNNNNNNNNNNNNNNNNNNNNNNNNNNNNNNNNNNNNNNNNNNNNNNNNNNNNNNNNNNNNNNNNNNNNNNNNNNNNNNNNNNNNNNNNNNNNNNNNNNNNNNNNNNNNNNNNNNNNNNNNNNNNNNNNNNNNNNNNNNNNNNNNNNNNNNNNNNNNNNNNNNNNNNNNNNNNNNNNNNNNNNNNNNNNNNNNNNNNNNNNNNNNNNNNNNNNNNNNNNNNNNNNNNNNNNNNNNNNNNNNNNNNNNNNNNNNNNNNNNNNNNNNNNNNNNNNNNNNNNNNNNNNNNNNNNNNNNNNNNNNNNNNNNNNNNNNNNNNNNNNNNNNNNNNNNNNNNNNNNNNNNNNNNNNNNNNNNNNNNNNNNNNNNNNNNNNNNNNNNNNNNNNNNNNNNNNNNNNNNNNNNNNNNNNNNNNNNNNNNNNNNNNNNNNNNNNNNNNNNNNNNNNNNNNNNNNNNNNNNNNNNNNNNNNNNNNNNNNNNNNNNNNNNNNNNNNNNNNNNNNNNNNNNNNNNNNNNNNNNNNNNNNNNNNNNNNNNNNNNNNNNNNNNNNNNNNNNNNNNNNNNNNNNNNNNNNNNNNNNNNNNNNNNNNNNNNNNNNNNNNNNNNNNNNNNNNNNNNNNNNNNNNNNNNNNNNNNNNNNNNNNNNNNNNNNNNNNNNNNNNNNNNNNNNNNNNNNNNNNNNNNNNNNNNNNNNNNNNNNNNNNNNNNNNNNNNNNNNNNNNNNNNNNNNNNNNNNNNNNNNNNNNNNNNNNNNNNNNNNNNNNNNNNNNNNNNNNNNNNNNNNNNNNNNNNNNNNNNNNNNNNNNNNNNNNNNNNNNNNNNNNNNNNNNNNNNNNNNNNNNNNNNNNNNNNNNNNNNNNNNNNNNNNNNNNNNNNNNNNNNNNNNNNNNNNNNNNNNNNNNNNNNNNNNNNNNNNNNNNNNNNNNNNNNNNNNNNNNNNNNNNNNNNNNNNNNNNNNNNNNNNNNNNNNNNNNNNNNNNNNNNNNNNNNNNNNNNNNNNNNNNNNNNNNNNNNNNNNNNNNNNNNNNNNNNNNNNNNNNNNNNNNNNNNNNNNNNNNNNNNNNNNNNNNNNNNNNNNNNNNNNNNNNNNNNNNNNNNNNNNNNNNNNNNNNNNNNNNNNNNNNNNNNNNNNNNNNNNNNNNNNNNNNNNNNNNNNNNNNNNNNNNNNNNNNNNNNNNNNNNNNNNNNNNNNNNNNNNNNNNNNNNNNNNNNNNNNNNNNNNNNNNNNNNNNNNNNNNNNNNNNNNNNNNNNNNNNNNNNNNNNNNNNNNNNNNNNNNNNNNNNNNNNNNNNNNNNNNNNNNNNNNNNNNNNNNNNNNNNNNNNNNNNNNNNNNNNNNNNNNNNNNNNNNNNNNNNNNNNNNNNNNNNNNNNNNNNNNNNNNNNNNNNNNNNNNNNNNNNNNNNNNNNNNNNNNNNNNNNNNNNNNNNNNNNNNNNNNNNNNNNNNNNNNNNNNNNNNNNNNNNNNNNNNNNNNNNNNNNNNNNNNNNNNNNNNNNNNNNNNNNNNNNNNNNNNNNNNNNNNNNNNNNNNNNNNNNNNNNNNNNNNNNNNNNNNNNNNNNNNNNNNNNNNNNNNNNNNNNNNNNNNNNNNNNNNNNNNNNNNNNNNNNNNNNNNNNNNNNNNNNNNNNNNNNNNNNNNNNNNNNNNNNNNNNNNNNNNNNNNNNNNNNNNNNNNNNNNNNNNNNNNNNNNNNNNNNNNNNNNNNNNNNNNNNNNNNNNNNNNNNNNNNNNNNNNNNNNNNNNNNNNNNNNNNNNNNNNNNNNNNNNNNNNNNNNNNNNNNNNNNNNNNNNNNNNNNNNNNNNNNNNNNNNNNNNNNNNNNNNNNNNNNNNNNNNNNNNNNNNNNNNNNNNNNNNNNNNNNNNNNNNNNNNNNNNNNNNNNNNNNNNNNNNNNNNNNNNNNNNNNNNNNNNNNNNNNNNNNNNNNNNNNNNNNNNNNNNNNNNNNNNNNNNNNNNNNNNNNNNNNNNNNNNNNNNNNNNNNNNNNNNNNNNNNNNNNNNNNNNNNNNNNNNNNNNNNNNNNNNNNNNNNNNNNNNNNNNNNNNNNNNNNNNNNNNNNNNNNNNNNNNNNNNNNNNNNNNNNNNNNNNNNNNNNNNNNNNNNNNNNNNNNNNNNNNNNNNNNNNNNNNNNNNNNNNNNNNNNNNNNNNNNNNNNNNNNNNNNNNNNNNNNNNNNNNNNNNNNNNNNNNNNNNNNNNNNNNNNNNNNNNNNNNNNNNNNNNNNNNNNNNNNNNNNNNNNNNNNNNNNNNNNNNNNNNNNNNNNNNNNNNNNNNNNNNNNNNNNNNNNNNNNNNNNNNNNNNNNNNNNNNNNNNNNNNNNNNNNNNNNNNNNNNNNNNNNNNNNNNNNNNNNNNNNNNNNNNNNNNNNNNNNNNNNNNNNNNNNNNNNNNNNNNNNNNNNNNNNNNNNNNNNNNNNNNNNNNNNNNNNNNNNNNNNNNNNNNNNNNNNNNNNNNNNNNNNNNNNNNNNNNNNNNNNNNNNNNNNNNNNNNNNNNNNNNNNNNNNNNNNNNNNNNNNNNNNNNNNNNNNNNNNNNNNNNNNNNNNNNNNNNNNNNNNNNNNNNNNNNNNNNNNNNNNNNNNNNNNNNNNNNNNNNNNNNNNNNNNNNNNNNNNNNNNNNNNNNNNNNNNNNNNNNNNNNNNNNNNNNNNNNNNNNNNNNNNNNNNNNNNNNNNNNNNNNNNNNNNNNNNNNNNNNNNNNNNNNNNNNNNNNNNNNNNNNNNNNNNNNNNNNNNNNNNNNNNNNNNNNNNNNNNNNNNNNNNNNNNNNNNNNNNNNNNNNNNNNNNNNNNNNNNNNNNNNNNNNNNNNNNNNNNNNNNNNNNNNNNNNNNNNNNNNNNNNNNNNNNNNNNNNNNNNNNNNNNNNNNNNNNNNNNNNNNNNNNNNNNNNNNNNNNNNNNNNNNNNNNNNNNNNNNNNNNNNNNNNNNNNNNNNNNNNNNNNNNNNNNNNNNNNNNNNNNNNNNNNNNNNNNNNNNNNNNNNNNNNNNNNNNNNNNNNNNNNNNNNNNNNNNNNNNNNNNNNNNNNNNNNNNNNNNNNNNNNNNNNNNNNNNNNNNNNNNNNNNNNNNNNNNNNNNNNNNNNNNNNNNNNNNNNNNNNNNNNNNNNNNNNNNNNNNNNNNNNNNNNNNNNNNNNNNNNNNNNNNNNNNNNNNNNNNNNNNNNNNNNNNNNNNNNNNNNNNACUCAUUUUCCGUUCCAUUUUUAUGGCUUUUUCAGUGCGAAGAUGGAGCUCAGCUUCUCUACGGCCUGUAAAUGUUGCGGAUACUGGUGCUGAUAUUGAGUGUAGAGAAAUUUCGCUUCUUCAAAGUCCAACUUGUUUAAAUGCAAAAAAAGAAAAGAAACGGACUUGCUGCUGCUUGGCGACUUGUUCUCGGAGCUUGAUUGCCUGUUUCUUGAUAGCUUCCAUACUGUUUCUUUCAAAAAGCGACGACGGCUCAGCUCGUGGAAGUUGGGAAAGAAAAAAAGUGUGAUCGAGAAAAAUAAAAAGGCAUGAAUAAUUGUUGACAAAAAGCGAAAAUCAAGGAAAGCCAGCUCUUUCCAGAAAAUAAAAAAGAAAAAAGAAAAUUAUAAGUUUGAAAGGAGAAGAUGAUAGUGGAAGUGUGCGGUGUGGCUGCCAGCUACUAGGAUUUUACUGUUGGGUAAGGUAAUAGUAGAGAAUUUUUUUUUUUUUUUUUUAAGAAAAAUAGUAGAGAAUUUUUUAAGAAGCUAGAACAGAGCAUGACAUUAGACUUUUGUGGACCAAAUUCAAAACCGAAUGGCACGGCCCAGAAGCUUUUGAAUAGCAAAACUUGCAUCAGCCUCAAUCACUUCUUAAUCGCUUGCUUUAACUGCAUCGCUCUCUCUGUGCUCUUGUACAUAUGUAACGGUUAUGCGGUUGUAGUUCACGGCUGAGGCUACGCGUUGGUUUGACGUGGCAGUUACGUGACAAGGGGAUAAAUAAGAUUGGUUGCAACAAACCCACUAAUUUUAUAAAAUUCGAGUAAUAUAGAAUAAAAUAAAAAAACAAAUACAAAAUUGGCUUUUAUUUUUUAUGGUUGACUGUAUUUUGUGUUCUCUUCCGGCACUACUACAAUUGUUCCCUAUAUAUCAGUCACACCCAUAUAUCAUUAACACAAGAAAUGAAAUCUAAUGUCACCUAUUUAGUUAAAAGAAUCACUCAUGAAAAAAAUUUACCAUUUUGAUUUGAGGAUCCAUAUUUUGAACUGCAAGCUAAUGUUCAUCAAGAAUCACUGAUGUUCAUAAAAAUCAGAGUAUGGACGUUGAGUAGAAAAACUAUUUUUGGACAAAUUAUUUUUGUUGAUAGAAGAAUUUCUUAAGGGACUACUAAAAUUAUUAAUAAAAAUGUAUAACACACCCACAUAUCAUCGACACAAUUGACUUUGAGGAUCCAUGCUUUGAACUGCCGCCAAAUGUUCAUCAAGAAUAGAGUAUGACUUGUGUGUAGAAAAUUUUAUGAUUUUGGCCCGAAAUAAAAGGAAAUUAAAUUAGAUGAGAAUCUGCCACUUCUCAUGAAGAAAGGCUAAAUUGUUGAACUGCUGCUUGGCAACAUAUAUCACUCUAACUCAUUAAGAAAAAUAUGAGUCCUAAGUAAUUGCUAGGUAGGGUUCCUGAGAGUAAAAUUGUCCUAAGCAUUAUAUGCAUACAUGGUGUGGUACAUAGAGCACGUUGAAUUCCACACUAUAACACAAACUCAGAAAGACAAGUAAUAACUCAACUGAUAUAAAGACAAAAAGAAGAUAAAAUGAUAUAGAAAAAAGAAUUUCAAAGAGACAGCAACAGACGAUAGACUGAAGCCACUUGAUCUGCUCAUUGAUUGCAGCCUUAAACUCGCAAAUAGUUACUGUACGCUAGUGCUCUAAGAAGUGAAAAUGAUGCGAGCCCUGAUUCCCUUUUGACUUCCAUUUACUGUCAAACAUUCUAGUUCCAGCAAUUUUUUUUUUUGAUAUCUCGCUAUAAAUAUAGCCGUUUGACUGUCAUAAUAAAGUCACAAAUAACCAUUCAUAUUGAUCCACUGUCACACAGCAUGCUUUAUGCAUACAACAGCUGUAUGUAUACCAACUCCUAACCUUAUCAAUACAUUUGGCAAAAACUUAAGAAGAAAACUAUUUCUCCAUCUCUUUUUUGAAAUUUCACAAUAAACCAGCACAUUGUAAACGUUAUGUUGUAACCUUAUGAUAAAUGCUCUAGACUCCAAAUGAAUUUUAUAUAUGAGGGUUUGUUGCAGCAGAUAUAUUGACUUAUCAAGUAUGAAUCAUUCUCUAGAAGAACUAUCUUUAUAUGAAAGAAUAUUAGAACCACUCUAGAAUAUCUUUAGGCUGCUGGUUCUAACAGGAAUCUGCAUGUGGCAACAGUUGCCAGAUCCACAAUUCCCCAACUUGAAAUACAUAGUUGCACACCGUGAGAUAGUGCUGCAAUCUACUGAGAUCUUACUUAUAUGAUACUUUAAGCUACUAAUGUUUGCAUAUUUCUACAUGUUAAAUUGACACUACCAUCUAUAAUCACUCCAAAACAACAGAUGAUAAGCAGCUUUUGGCCACUUAUUACUAGCAUCCACAAUUAUAAAUAAGAGAUCAUGGGUUUACUUGUUGCACCUACUUAAUGAUCUACAGUUGAGACCCUGACGCAAGGUUUAAAUAGUGACUGCUUAGAACCCUUGUAGUUGGAUCUUGACCUCUCCCAUUGUAGCCAAGAUUGGCUACUCUGGUAAUGAAUCAACACUCUCCUGCUCAGGGCCAUGAAGAUCUGGAAGCUCAGCACUAGUGGAGAACUUCACCAAUCUCUUCUUCUCAGCAUACUUGAGAUAGGCUGCAUUACGAGACCAAUCACCACAGCACCAACGCUUAAAGCUGCAACUUUUAAAGUAGAAAGAGCCAACACAACACAAAUCAAUAUGGUUGGAGGAAUACACAUGAUAAUGGCUCCAACAGUGCCAGUGGGUAUCUUGUAAGGACGAGAUAAAUAGUAGAGAAGUUUUUAAGAAGCUAGAACAGAGCAUGUUAGACUUUUGUGGACCAAGUUCAAAAGCCUAAUGGAACGGCCCAGAAGCUUUUGAAUACAAUAACUUGCUAGAAAGCUCCAUUUUUUGUUGGCUACAGUAAAAGGAUGUUGUUUUAUUCUUCUUAUACUUUACGCCUGCAUCAGCUUAAAUCACUUCUUAAACGCUUGCUUUAACUGCACCGCUUCGUACUGCUCUACAUAUGUAACCGUUAUGCGGUUGUAGCUCACGGCUCAAGCUACGCGUUUGUUUGACGUGGUAGUUACGUUAUGACGUUUCGAGUCUGUUAAACAUUCGGUGAUAAGAUUCGUUACAACAAACCUACCAGUUUUAUAAAAUUCAAGUGAGAUGGAAUAAAAUAAAAAAUAAAUAUAAAAUUGGCUUUUAUUUUUUAGGUUGACCAUAUUUUGUGUUCUCUUCGGGCACUACUACAAUUAUUCCCUAUUUAUCAGUUACACUCACGUAUCAUCGACACGAAAAAUAAAAUCUAAUAUCACCUGUUUAGUUAAAGAAUCACUCAUGUUUGAACUACCAAUUAAUGUUCAUCAAGAACGGAGUAUGGCCGUUGAGUAGAAAAACUAUUUUUGGACAAAUUAUUAAAUUCCAAUAUUGUAUCCAUAUGCAAACGAUGCCUGAAGCAGAGCCUCCAAACACUGACCAGGGCACAAAACAAGAGUGUAGUAAUCAAGUGUAUUGUCUCAUAAUCAAUUAAAAGCAGAUAUACAGGAUACCAUAUUCAAUUCCAAAAUAACAAAAGCAUAAUGAGGAUGAGAAGAACAAUGCAAGAUUUGUUGUCGUUUUAGUUGCUUCUAAUAUUUUUUAUGACGCACAUCUAUUGAAUUAAGAGAUUUCUAUAAUCAGUGCCGCAGUACUGAAAAUAAACUACUUGUCAGUCAAAUAGCUGAGUAUUUCUAUGAGAAUGUCAUUAUUAAUGAGUGUCAUUAUCUAUUCAAAUUAAUCAGUGUCAUUAUCGACUUAUUUAUAAAGACAAAAAGAAGAUAAAAUCAUAUAUAUAUGAAAAAAAAAAAGAAUUUCAAAGAGAUAGCAACAUACAAUAGACUGGAGCCAUUUGAUCUGCUUAUUGAUUGCAGCCUUAAACUAGUAAUUAGUUACUGUACGCUAGUGCUCUAAGAAGUGAAAAUGAUGCAAACCCUGAUCCCCUUUUGACUUCCAUUUACUGUCAAAUAUUCUAUUCAUACGAAAAAAAUGUUUAGAUAUCUUACUAUAAAUAUAGCCGUUUGACUGUCUUAAUAAAGUUACACACAACCAUUCUUAUUAAAUUAGCAAGAUCAAACACUGCCCUGGAUCUUGAACAGAUCCACGCAAGUUGCACAACUUACGAUUGAAUCCGGCCAGAAACAAUCAACUCUUUAGUAAGAACAAUUAAUCAGAGUCAAGAAACAAGUUUAAUGAAUAUAAACCUAUAAUUGAAACAAACAUAGCCAAGAAACAAAUAGAGAUUUUACAUGUUUCAGUUGUACCAAGGAUGGCACAACCUACACCACGGGAGAAGCUUUCUGGUGACCCCAAUCUGCUUAGUUAAUAAUAGAGAUUUCAGAGAAUAAGCUAUAACCCUCUCUCCCUCUUCAAUCUCUCUCUAUUUUGUUCCCAUUGAUGACCCCAAUCUGCUUAGUUAGCCAGCUUUAUAGCUGCAUCAGUAACAAACCAGCAAACCCAGAUUGAGCAGAUUGACGACACGUGGAUAACGGCUUUAACGAACCUGGUUAAGAACUGCUCACAUGUUCGUCACGCGUACUGCUUAAAUGAUGGCCAAAACGACUUCAAACAAAUGUCGUUUUGAGGCUUAUGAAUUACAAGUGAUAACACGAGCUUGUCUCAUGACUUUUAAAUGCAACAACGCGCCCAAAACGCCGUCGUUUUACUCUGUUGAGUUUGAUUCGUUACUAAGCUUUACGACUGGCAAUGGAGAAGAUGAUAAUUUAAUUAACAUGGACAGUUUUUAUAUCACUUUUACAACAUCCUAUGCAAUUGUGAUAUUGGGAAUUAUUGAUGUUUUAUAUGUGAAUCCUCAUUGGCAAAAACUGAGUGGUUUUAUCUUUAUUGAAAUGUAGAUGACCUCUCGUUACUAUUUUAUUANNNNNNNNNNNNNNNNNNNNNNNNNNNNNNNNNNNNNNNNNNNNNNNNNNNNNNNNNNNNNNNNNNNNNNNNNNNNNNNNNNNNNNNNNNNNNNNNNNNNNNNNNNNNNNNNNNNNNNNNNNNNNNNNNNNNNNNNNNNNNNNNNNNNNNNNNNNNNNNNNNNNNNNNNNNNNNNNNNNNNNNNNNNNNNNNNNNNNNNNNNNNNNNNNNNNNNNNNNNNNNNNNNNNNNNNNNNNNNNNNNNUCAAGUUAAUUUGAUCCGUUUAUAAGAGAUGAAGUGGAAUGAAGUUGAAAGUCUUGAGUUUUACGACGUCGUUACUCCUUCAAGUGGCAGAUUAUGCAAGUGAAUGCAGAAACACAAUGCAUCAUCCGCGGGGAUGAUACAUCAAAAGGCGGGAUUUGUUUAUGCCUGCAGAUUAGCAAUUUCACUCAUAUAGAAAAUUAAUUUUUUAUAUAUACUAAUCAACACUAAAUUGAUUAUGUGUUGUAUGUUUAUAUGCUACUCAACACGAAAUUAUAUUGAAUUAUUAACAUUCAUAUUCCUAAUAAAAAUUAUUUUCCAUCAGUAUUCAAAAUUUUCACUUAUAGAAAAUGCGUUUUACGUGAAUACUAGUUAUUGUGUAAAUUUGAAUGAUAGCGAAAAAUAAACCUAUUUGAAAACUGUAAGGGUGUGUUGGGAUAUUUUACAACUGUCGGAAUCUGGUAGGAUAUUGCACCAUUUGCCCAAUAUUUUUAGACGUACUCCAACCGGUAUUCAAGAUAAGUAAAAGUUACAAGCGUGGCAAAAUAAAAAAUUAAAUUCGUAAUUUGUAAACGAAUUUUCCUGACAUGUAGAGUAGAUGAAGUUGUUGAUCCUUUCUUUGGAUUAUUUCAGCUCUGGUUGUUGGUCACCGAUGAGCCGAAGUCUUAUUUUAAUUUUAUUUAAACUCAUCAUAAGAUUCGUGGAGCACCUAACUAACUUAACUGACUGUGCAGAGCAUCUCAACAUGGCACAUUUAACCAUCAUUCAAGUGAUAGGUUUAAUAAGACUGCUUUUGUUCUAUCAAGUUCCUCUGCCUCUAAGCAGAAUUACUAUUGAAGGGCCAAAUGGAAAAUGAAAACGUGUGAACUCCAACAACCACCCCACAAAUUCAAUGACGAUGCUCGGAGAGGGUUAGGUUGGGCCUCUGAGAAAAAAAAAAAUAUUUAGUUAAAAAGUUACCCUUAUUGAAACCUGUAUAAAAAUUUUAUAUUAAUUAGUUAUGUUGCCUCUUCAACUAUGAUCAAAUUUUUAUCCGAGCUCAUCAUUUAAUGAGUAAACAUGUAUUUUAAGGGUCCGCCUAAGUUACGUUAAACGUAACUUACGGCUUGGCUGUGAAAUUUCAUCCAGCCCCCCAUAUUCGCUGUUAUUUAUAUUAUAUUCAUAAAUAUUAUAAAAUUUUUUGAUUUAAAAAAUUUCAUUUAACCCCUUACACUCAAUUUUAUUUUAUUAAAAUCUUAGAGUAUGAAUUCGCCCCCUAUAAUUUUAAAUUCUCAAAAUAACCUCAUUUAAUUAAAAAUUUUAAUUAUUAUUAAUUGAAUUAUAAUUAUAAUUAUUAUUUUAUUAUAAUCAUAAAUAUAUUUAUAUUUUUUAAAUAGAUUAUUAUUAUUAUUAAUCACAAGAAUAAAAAGUAUUACAAUUAAUUAAUCUAUUAACAAUAAUUAAUAAUAAUUUUCUAUUAAAUUAAUAAUAAUUAACGAUAAUUAUUAUUAAUAAUUAAUUUUUGAAAAUUAAUGAUAAUUGUUCAGAGUCCUAGGAAUGCCAAUGCCCACCUAGGCUUAGCUAGCAAAGUAGCAACAUACCCUCAUCACUGAUAUUAAUUGCAGUACUACUUAGUGCCAUAAUUGUCCAAGUCCUUGUUAGUUUUGAGAAACGUGUGUUUCUGAUUUUGUUAAAUCUCUUGUUUGGUUAACAAGAAAGCUAUUGCUUUAAUUUCUUUUGCAGCUAGAAGUGAAUGCAUACAGUAUGAUAUAAAUAUCGGGCAACUUGUUCAGAGUCAGUCACAAUCUAUUAACGAUAAUUGUUAAUUAUUAUUAUUAUUCAAAAAUUAAUUAUUAAUAAUAAUUAUCGUUAAUUAUUAUUAUUAUUAUUAACAAUUUAAUAAAAAAUAUUAUUAAUUAUUGUUAAUAGAUUAAUUAAUUGUAAUACUUUUUAUUCUUGUUAUUAAUAAUAACAAUAAUCUAUUUAAAAAAUAUAAAUAUAUUUAUAAUUAUAAUAAAAUAAUAGUUAUAAUUAUAAUUCAAUUAAUAAUAAUUAAAUAAGGUUAUUUUGAGAAUUUAAAAUUAUAGGGGGCGAAUUCGUACUCUAGGACUUCAAUAAAAUAAAAUUGAGUGUAAGGGGUUAAAUGAAAUUUUCUAAAUAAAAAAUUAUUAUAAUAUUCAUGAAUAUAAUAUAAAUAACAGUGAAUAUGGGGGGCUGGAUGAAAUUUCACAGCCAGGCUGUAAGUUACGUUUAACGUAACUUAGGCGGACCCGUAUUUUAAUGAUCUCAAUUAAUAUUUAGAACAAAUAUUUUAAGAAGUAAAGCUCAUUAUAUCCCCCAUUAUUAUGUAUUUCUUUAAUUUCUUAUUUACAUAAUUAUAUUGUACAUUAAAAAUAUAUUGAAUUUGAAGAGAAAAAAAUUCAAAAAAUUCAACUCACUCAAAAAAAAUGCUGGUAGCUUCGUAAUAAUUACUGUAUUGACUGCACCAGAUAAAGUUUUGUAAAAUAAUAAGUUCUCAUUAGUGGUUUUUCGUUUUUUAUUUUCUUUUCCGGCACACCUGAUCAAGAAUUCUAUUUUGUUAACUAAUCAAUUGCAAAGCAUAAGUGUUGAACGGUACAAAAAGUGAAAACUAUGAAUAAUAAUUAUUCCUUAUUAUAUUGACUGCACCAAGCAAUAAACUAAUAAGUUCUCAUCAGUGGUUUUUAAUCUUUUUAAUUCUUUUUACCGCACACCUGAUCAAGAAUUCUAUUUUGUUAACUAAUCAAUUGCAAAUCAUUUAUUAGUGUUGAACGGUGAACAAAAUUGAAAAAAAAAAAAAUCUUAAAAAACGUAUAUUCUUAAAAAAUUCUUAACUUGCAAGGCUAGAAUAUCUUGACUUGAACGGUUGCAAUGAUUUCUCAUCAUUGAGAGUUUAUCAUUGUGCUUCAUCAUCAUCAUCAUCAUCAUCAUCAUCAUUAUUAAUAAAAAGGUAAGCAAUUAAGAGUCAAAUUAAACCACUUGAAAAUCACUCAUCCACACUUUUGGGACAUCAUCUGCUCAUUUAUUUUAUUCUGUAUCUUCAUUGUUUUAUUUGAUAAUUAUUACCAUUAGUAAAUAAAGGGAUUAGUUGAUAAUUGUGAAGUAACUAAAUGGAGCUCACCCUUAAAUGUCGGCUUAUAUGAAGGAGGUGCCUUAGGGAUAAUAAAUCAACUAAUCCCAUAAUUUGUUGAUGUAGGGUCCUAACAAAUUAUUGCUGUAGAUCAGCACACAGCUUGAAAACAUAUUUGAUUCACGAGAAAUGUUCCAGUCAGGAAUUUUAAAGUGCAGGAAAAUACGGAAAACCUUUAAAACCGCAUGGUUUUAAAGGCUUAAAACUGUAAGCCUUUAAAGCCGUGUGGUUUUAAAGCUUUCCCGGACUUUCCCGCACUUUAAAUUCCCUGACCAGAAAACUACUGUUUGAUCCACACAGUGAAGAUGAUUCAAUAUUAAGCAUGUCAUAUAAUCUGGAGUUGGAUAUUGGACCAAUUUGAUGAUAAUGAAUUUCUUUCAAUCUCAAUCUUUAUCUUAUUCGCAACAUGACUAGCCAUUGCGUAAAUUCAAACUCUAACAAUGAUAAGUUUGUGAUAAAGGCAUCUAUGAGUACAAUGGGAAAAUUACAUGAACUUAUGUUAUCAAUCAUUGUUUUGCCUUCUCGUGAUAGAAUUCUGUGCAACAUAAAACAUGAUAUAUUUGUACCUUACCAUGCCGUGUCGUGAACCUAGAAGCAGUGCAAAUUGCAAGGAACAUAUUAAGCUAUCUACUGUAUAUAACAAAUUCUUAUUAGCCCACAAUCUUGUGCCGCCACAUUGAUCAAGUAACACUAUUAUAUCAUUUCCAAAAUGGCAUAUAUAAUCUAAUGUUGAACUAACCAAAUUGGGAAUCAUCAUUCCUUACAUUAAGCUGACAUUCGUACCUGCUAGUCCAUGAGCAAAGCUGACAUUUGAAAUCACUUUCUCUUGGAAUAUUUAAUGACCCUUGAUGAAAGUUCUUGAAUGGAAUUAUUUAAUUUGAUUUGAUUUCCAACAAAUUCAAGAAACCCCACACAGUAGCUAAAUAAAAAUCAACCAAUAAUACGCAAUGGGUUUCUUUCUUUUUGCCUUUGGAGGGCCAUGGAGAUCUGGAGUGGGCUGUAAGUAAUAGCCUUUAUCACUGGAAUGACAGAUUUGCAGAAGAUGAUACAUGGGGAAGGAUUGGGCGAGCAUAAAAAUGGGUUUACACUCUUGGAUUAGCGCUGUUGAGAAUCAAAUAAAAUGGCAUUGAAUGAAGCUUUCAAAGACAGAAUCUGCACUUGUCAAAGGGGUAAUCUACACUUGUCAAAGACAAGAUCCGCGCCGAACGGAUUGACACAUUUCCUUCCGUAUUCACAUAUAUAAUCUAUGAAAAAAUGUAGCCUCUGCAUCUAUAAAUAACUCUCAAUGUAUAAUAUUUUUUUAAGAAAUGAAAACACGUUUCUUCAUGGUAUCAGAGCCAUGAAUACGCUCAACUUUCUUCAAGUUCCGCUGCUCUGUUUGUAACAAAAACAGAGGAAACCAAAUUCCUCCCACAACCAUUUUUCCCACCAUUUUCUUUCUUAAACCCAUUCUUACCAUUACACAUAUCCAUGCCGAUCAAGAAACAAGCCACCCAUACGUAAAAAACUCGAGUUUUCAAAUUUAUCAACAAUCCCAUCAAUUUUCCAAGAGUGUGCUCUUCAAAAACCAAGAACACCAUCAAAUUUCUCAGUUUUCAGUGAGGAAACUGUAAACAUUUCGCAAUUAAACACAUUUUCACGCGCUCACACGCGCCACCCGAAGCCACGGCCAGUCAACCACGCGCCUCUGUCAUUAUUCACGCGCUCUCACGCGCUCCAAAGGUUGAAGAAGACUUCAACCGACAUGUCGUUUUUUAUCUCAGAAGUGCAGCAGUAAAACACGACUUGUCGUUUUUUUAUUAUAUUACAACCGACAAGUCGUUUCUAAAUUAGAGAUAAAACGACGUGACGUUUAGUCUCCAGAAGUGCAGCAGGAUUCAAACGACAUGUCGUUUAUAUUCCACCAUAACCGACAUGUCGGUUUGUCAAGCAGUGGUCAAACGACCUGUCGUUUUGUUAUCUAAAAAGGUUAUUUUUUUCCUUCUUUCAAUCUAGACGAAAAAAAAACAAAAAAAAAAAAGAAAAAAGAGAAAAAAAAGAAAAAUAAAGAAAAAUAAAAAAAUAAAAAAAUGGAGAAAACUCCAACUGAAUCUAGUCCUGUUGUCAUUCAAUCUGAUGGAGUAUUUAAUGCUGGAAUUAUCCUCACUGAGACAAACUACGAUGUUUGGUCUCAAAUAAUGGAGAUGCAUCUUGCAGAAAGAGAAAAACUCUCAUAUAUUCGUAGCAGCACAAAGCCAUCUGAGGAAUUUUCAAAGGAAUAUGAGAAAUGGUAUAGUGAGAACCAAAAAGUAAAAAGAUGGUUACUCAUAUCCAUGUCUCCGGAGAUCAUGAAGCGGUAUUUACGAAUUCCUACAGCCUACGAAAUCUGGGAUGCAUUAUCAAAAGCCUUCUAUGAUGGAAGCGAUGAAUUACAAGUUUUCACUCUAAACCAGAAGGCAUUCUCUACCAAGCAAAAUGGACUACCACUCUCUAAAUUCUAUGGAGAAUUGAUCGAAAUAUUUCGAGAACUUGAUCACCGAGAUAAAGUGGUCAUGAAGGAUCCAGAAGAUGUUGUAAUAUACAGAAGGUCUGUUGAAAGAUUGAGAGUGCACAUUUUUCUUGCUGGGCUAGAUGAAGAAUUUGACCAAGUUCAUGGAGAAAUUCUACGAAAAGAUAUUAUCCCAGACUUAGAAGAAUGUUAUUCUCUGAUCCGAAGAGAAGAUGUACGGCAAAGCAAACUAAACAAGAAGGUCGACUCAGAAACGUCUGCUAUGAUAGCACGACAACAGCCUCAAAGAAAGUUUGUUGACAAGUCAUCACUCCAUUGCACUCAUUGUAGAAAGAAGGGUCAUACGAAAGAACAAUGUUUUGAAAUCAUUGGAUAUCCUGACUGGUGGGAUACUUGAAAGAAGAACACCAAGCAUGGAUCAAAAAGUGCAGUAGCUGAAUCCACAUCCACUACAGAUCUUAGAAAAGAAUCUUCAGUACAAAUCGCAACCGCUGUCAAUCCAGGUAAGGCCCUUAAAACUCUUACACCUGUUAUUAAUAGUACAUGGAUAAUUGAUUCUGGGGCAACUGAUCAUAUGACUUUUGAUUCUCGACAAGUUUCUCAACUGAAAACAUCUUCACAAAAACAUAUUUCCACUGCAAAUGGAACCACAACCUCAGUUAUUGGGGAAGGAUCUUUACGACUCACAAAUGAAUUAAAUUUAGACACUGUGUUAAUUGUUCCAUCUUUAGAUUAUAAUCUUUUAUCUGUGUCUCAAUUAACCACUUACUUAUCAUGUGUUUUAAUUUUUUGGCCUGAUCAUUGUGUGUUUAAGGACAUCCAAACGAAGCAAACGAUUGGUUAUGGUAUUAGACGAGGUAACUUGUACUACUUGGAAAUGUCAUCAACAAACACUGGAAAGCUAAGCCCCGCACUAGUCGCAGAUAGUUUCAUAAAAAAAGGGCAAUUAGAAAUUUGGUUAUGGCAUAGACGUUUAGGGCAUGUGUCAUUUGGUUACUUAAAAAAACUAUUUCCUAGUUUGUUUCUGAAAUUUGAUGUUUGUAACUUUAAAUGUGAUGUUUGUGAACUUUCAAAAAGCCAUCGAACUACUUUUCCAUUGUCCUUAAAUAAAAAUCCAGUUCCUUUCAUGGUAGUACAUUUCUGAUGUAUGGGGGCCAUCUAAAGUUUCUACAAUUGGAGGUGCUCGUUGGUUUGUUACAUUUAUUGAUGAUUGUAGCAGAAUGACAUGAUUUUUUCUGAUGAAAUCGAAAGACGAAGUAAACUCUUUAUUUCAAAGAUUUCAUAAGAUGGUGACAACUCAAUUUCAGACACAAAUUCGAGUUCUACAUACUGAUAAUGGAGGCGAGUAUAUGAGCACAGCAAUUCAACAGUUUCUGAAAUCACAAGGAUCUGUCCAUCAAACCACUUGUGUGGGGACACCCCAACAAAAUGGCGUUGCCGAACGAAAAAACAGAUAUUUACUAGAAGUUGUUCGAGCAUCACUAAUCCAAGCCCACAUGCCAUUAUCUUAUUGGGGAGAAGCACUGGCAUCCGCAGCAUACUUGAUCAAUCGAACACCUUCAAGCUCCCUUGGAUUCCAGACUCCUUUCCAAGUUCUGAAUGAUGCAAUUAUGUCACCAAAUGUGCCGAAUCUGCCCCCACAUGUGUUUGGCUGUGUUGCCUUCGUUCAUUUGCCGCAAUAAGACAAAUUAUCUCCUCGAGCGCUACGUUGUGUGUUUGUAGGGUAUGCCUUACAUCAAAAGGGAUACCGAUGCUAUCAUCCACCAUCAAGAAAAAUAUACAUCACCAUGGAUGUCGUUUUUCAUGAAGAUAUCAUGUACUACUUGUCAGAGUCUGAAUUUCAGGGGGAGUAUAAUGAAGAGGAAAUUCAUACUCUUACUUGUCUUCCACCUGAAGAAAGUCAAUCUUCCAUUGAGAUAGUAAACCUUCAAGAAACUGGAAAAGAAAAUGGUGAUGAUUCUCAGGCUGAGAUAAGUGAAGACACAUUUGGGGAGCACAAUAACUCAGACACAACUGCAAUCGAGAAUGAGUCACAUGAAGAAAUACCUAACCAAUCGUCUGCAGAGGAUGUUCCUACCACAAGUCCAAUAAGAAGAAUUCUUCCUCAGCGUCAAAAUAGAGGUAUCCCUAAACCCACAUAUGAGCCUGACUUCUCUAGUAGAGUCAAAUACCCUAUGAGUCAUUUUGUGUCUAACCAUCGCUUGUCAGAAUCAAAUCAGUCAUUUGUGAAUCAAUUAUCUGCUGUAUCUAUUCCUAACAGUGUGCAGGAAGCUUUAAAAGACCCAAAGUGGAAAGCGGCUAUGAAUGAUGAAAUGAGAUCUUUUCAGAAAAAUCAAACAUGGGAACUAGUUGAUCUUCCACCAAGAAAGAAACCAAUGGGUUGUCGAUGGAUUUACACUAUAAAAUACAAAGCAGAUGGCUCUAUUGAACGAUACAAAGCAAGACUCGUAGCUAAGGGUUACACCCAAACCUACGGGAUUGAUUAUACUGAUACGUUUGCACCGGUAGUAAAAAUUAAUACUAUUCGUAUCUUAUUAUCAUUAGCAGUCAUCUUGGAUUAGCCAGUGCAACAGUUCGAUGUAAAGAAUGCUUUCCUCCAUGGAGACUUGUCUGAAGAAAUUUAUAUGGAUCUGCCACCAGGAUGCAGUGGACCAGAACGACUCAAUCAGAAAGUAUGCAAAUUGAAGAAAUCAUUGUAUGGGUUGAAGCAAUCCCCAAGAGCAUGGUUCGGGAAAUUCACAAAGGCUAUGGUUCGUUUUGGGUAUAACCAAAGCAAUUCAGAUCAUACCUUAUUCAUUAAAAAACGACAAGGUAAAAUCACUGCCCUUAUUGUCUAUGUGGAUGAUAUGGUAGUUACAGGCAACGACGAGGAAGAAACAGAGGCUCUUCAGAAGUACUUGUCAAGAGAAUUUGAGAUGAAGGAUUUAGGUGCCUUAAAAUACUUUCUUGGAAUUGAGGUUUCUCGAUCCAAGGGAGGAAUCUUUCUGUCUCAAAGGAAAUAUGCCUUAGAUCUAUUGCACGAAACGGGAAUGACAGCUUGUCAGCCUAUUGACACCCCAAUAGAAGAAGGACUGAAGUUUUGUAUUACUUCAGACCAAGUUCCAGUAGACAAAGGAAGAUAUCAAAGGCUGAUUGGAAGAUUGAUGUACUUGUCCCACACAAGGCCAGAUCUUGCUUAUGCAUUGAGUGUUGUAAGUCAGUUUAUGCAUAAUCCCGGAGAACAACACAUGAAAGCAGUAAUGCGGAUCCUGAGGUACCUGAAGACAAAUCCAGGAAAAGGAAUCCUAUUUUCCAAAAAUGAAGAUUACAACAACAUAGAAGUUUAUACUGAUGCAGAUUGGGCCGGGUCAGUUAGUGAUAGACGCUCUACUUCAGGAUACUUUACCUUUGUGGGAGGCAACCUUGUCACAUGGAGAAGCAAGAAACAAAAUGUCGUUGCCCGUUCGAGCGCUGAAGCAGAAUAUCAAGGCAUGGCCCUUGGGAUAUGUGAAGGGCUAUGGAUAAGUUUUAUCUUAAACGAUUUGGGCUAUCCAUCACAACAACCAAUACAACUAUACUGUGACAACAAAGCUGCACGAGAUAUUGCUCAUAACCCAGUUCAACACGAUCGAACAUUACAUGUGGAGGUAGAUAGAUUUUUCAUCAAAGAGAAAUUAGAUGAAAAAAAUUUUUGAAAAACAAAAAAUAUUAUCAAAAGAUCAACUAGCAGAUAUUUUAAUGAAGGCCNNNNNNNNNNNNNNNNNNNNNNNNNNNNNNNNNNNNNNNNNNNNNNNNNNNNNNNNNNNNNNNNNNNNNNNNNNNNNNNNNNNNNNNNNNNNNNNNNNNNCCUAGACAAGUUGGGUAUGCAAGACAUCUAUGCACCAGCUUGAGGGGGAGUGUUGAGAAUCAAAUAAAACGGCAUUGAACGAAGCUUUCAAAGACAGAAUCUGCACUUGUCAAAGGGGUAAUCUACACUUGUCAAAGACAAGAUCCGCGCCGAACGGAUUGACACAUUUCCUUCCGUAUUCACAUAUGUAAUCUAUGAAAAAAUGUAGCCUCUGCAUCUAUAAAUAACUCUCAAUGUAUAAUGUUAUUUUUAAGAAAUGAAAACACGUUUCUUCAAGCGCCUCAUUUAGGUUGUAGGCUUGUAGCGAGAUAAAGAUAUUAAUUAAAGUUUUAUAAUCCCUGUUAUGAUUAAGGCUUCACUUAGUAUAGCAUAGAGCUUUUUGAGUUUUACAAGUAAUUUUUUUUUUACAGGUAUAAUUUUUAUUUUUAACAAAAAUUAAUUAAAUAAUAUUAGAAAUCCUAAUAUUUGAGUCCUAAUAUCAUAUAUCACUCAUUUAUUAGAUGACAUAUUUCAUAACUUAUAAAAUUAUUUAACUAACAUCCAAUUAAUGAAUGUUACUAUAGUGAAGACUCAAAUUGAAAUUUAAAUGUUGGGUUGCGUGACAUUUCUCUUAUUUGGUUGUUUAUGAGAGCUUUCUUGUACAAAAUAAUUUUUAUACAAAUUGAUAUAGUCUAAAUUCAUUAAUUAAAUUAAAAUAUAAAAUAAUAAAAAUAAAUAAGUUUGUAUAAGAAUAAUUAAUUCUUUAAUCCAUCUAAUUGAAUUAUCCUAUGUCUAUUUAUAUUAAAUAAAUUUGUAUAAAAAAUUAUAGUUUUGUUUUUAGAUGUGCAACUAAAUUUUUAGUCUCUUAUUCCUCGUAAAAUUCAAAUCUGAGUGGCUCAUCAAAUAAAAUUACAACUACUGGUUAAUCAAAUAAAGUUAUUCCAUCGAGGUCAUGAAAUUUACCAGCCAAAAGAGUUUUAAAUGUCUAUUUUAUAAAUUUUUUAAAAAUUGUUUUAUUUACCAUUUUACCAUCCGUAGUAAAGGUGUCGCAUCGACAUUGAACAGAUCAACAUAUCAGUCAUUUCUCAUUCAGCCAUUAGGAAUUUACGUUUGGGGUAUUUUUGUAAUUAUAAGAAGGUAAACUAAUCGCAAAACUCAUUUGGCUUGCACUUGCUCGCCUGUGCUCUGUGUAUGGUUAUGGCGUUAUCAUUAUCAUCUUCUCCACUCCUACUGACGCCAGACCUUAACAGUUCAGAUUCCCUUUCUCGACUGUCAUACCCUACGCCCCGUCUCCGUGUCUCCGAUAAACAGUGCUCAAUUAAGGCCAUCAGAUUAUCCCGGACCCACAUUGAUCCAACGGCUCACAGUGACCAACAUCCUCUCUAUCUCCAUUUCAAGCUUCCCUCUUCAACUGGCUUCUGCUUCUGUCGUACUCUUUCUUGGAUUCGGAGUCCGUAUUUGCUCGGUCGGUCCGCACAGCUCCCUCUCACUCCAAUUGUCACCCAACAAGACCAAUUGCUUAAUCAAGGCACAGAGCAAGGAGAGGAUGAGAAAUUGAAUCAAGAAUUUGAGAAUUGGAAAUCGAAAACGUACGCAUUGACCCUGCCUGUGAGAGUCGUUUCUCUUCAGAAUUCAGUGCCUCAAUCCUGGGUUAAGGAUUUUAUGCGAAGUCAAGGAAAGAGAUUGAAGUUUCAGAUGAAUUUGUGUGCUAGCAUUGAUGGGAUCGUUAACAAUUUAUCUGUGCCCUUUAACAAAGUUAAGGCUAAGUCAGCUUCUUAUAUGGCUGCUGAUUUGGUUAGUGUUGGUGAUUCAUGGCUCAGCUUUGCGAUUAAAAAGAGAUCGAUUGAGCCAAUAGCUGGAGCUGAAGGCCAAGAUUGGUUCAAAUGCUUCAGUCACAAACGGAAGGUAACAUCUUUGUCUUUGACCCGAUAAUUUUUAUUGUCUUACAUUGAAAUUUGGUAAUGUAAUUUGUUCUCUAUUUGUGUUACCCUUUGUAGUCGUUUUAUUUAUUUAUUUGUUUGUUUAUUUGCUUUUAUUUGCACUAACGAAGUCUCAGGUAUAUCUACGCAGGAAUGAUGCAGGAGAAAUUGAUCCUCGAGGUGAAAUAUGGGCGGCACCAUACAGGUGGGGCACAAUGGUGAUAGCCUACAAGAAAAGUAAAUUUUGAAAGCAUAAUUUGGCUCCGAUUGAGGUAAUAACUGUCUUUAAAGUCAUUUAGUUUUAUAUCAAACAAAAUCAAGGUUGCCUUUCUCGUCAAUAUUUUUGAUGAUAUUAUCUUCUACAAAUGGAUCAUUAAACUUCUUUUUUGUAGUCAAAUGUACAGUAAGAACAAUGAGAAGCUAUGCCACUGUAGCACGUAGUGAUGGCACUUAAUAAGUGAGUUGCUAGGAUGUGAACAAGAAAAAUUAAAUAUUGUCUCCUUGGGUAUGCUAGCUCGUAAGUCAGGGUUAAUAUUAGAGCUUAAGAUACUAUAAACAUGCGAAACUAUUGACUACCAAUUAAAAUAUCCAUUAAAAUGUCUAGGGAGUUAUGAAGGUAGGGAUAUCUUCCAAUUUCUAAGGCCACAUAGUAGACAUCAUCCAGGAUCCUAGGAAAGUGCGGUUGAUCUCCUGCUUGAUGCAGUUAAUAAAUUUGGUCAAUGCGACUGAAACCUGCUAACUGACGUCGCAAUGCGACAUGAGCACUUCAAAAUGGGAUAGACAGUAGCACUAAAUUUUUCUUGCCUAAGAUUGGGCAAUUGGUCUAAAUACUAACCCCUAUUGUAAGUUGAUCAUUAUUUUUUCAAUUAUGUUCAUUUUGACCCAAAAGUUACACAAUCUUGAUCUGAAUAUUGUCACUGAACACUGUCAAUGUCGUUUAGCAUUGGCAACUAACUCGAGUUUGGUAAAACAAACACACACAGUGUGUCUCAUGUCUCACAAUUCAAAUUAUCAUCUGUACUGAUGGAGAAUUUUUCUGAUGUAUGAAGUAUGCUUUGAUACGUAGGUUAGCUUGGAGAAGAUAUCUCAAAAUAAAGAAUAUGGGGAGCGAAUGGGAAGAAAACAGUUCGGUAGUUUAUGAUUCUGUAGUCAAGUUUUGUCUCGAAAAUGGUCAAAAUUUAAAUGAAUGGACAGGGGAUCUUCAUUCUUUUUUCACUUCUUUAUACCGAGAUAUCUCUUAACCUUUAUAUAAUCCCCACUGGAUAUCUGCUUCUAAUAAUUAAAAUAAAAAUUUCAACCACACCAAUAAAUAAUCAUCUUAGAGUGAGACUAUCAGUACAACCCAAAAACAUAAUAAAACUGGUUUGGUUCUGUUUGUUGAUGUUUAAAUGUUGUUCAUCGUGACAUGUAGAAAUGAUGAGGUGAAGUUUCUUUGGCCAUCAAAUAGUAAGAUCUUGCUUGAAGUUGUUUUCUGAAAUGAACAGUCAAAUGGUAGUUUUUUUGGGCCAUUCGAUGGCUCUUUUCUUCCUCAUUUUAAACUUGUGCCUGCUUGGAACAGGAUGGAUUAGGCUGCAGAGUUAUAUAUUUUGACAUGCUCUGGUCAUUACACAAUUUGUUCAUACUGGAAAUUAGGAUGAGAAAUUUGUUGCUGCUGUUUUGAGAGAUCUGCAUUCUAUGCACAAACAUGAUUAAUGAAAAUGGAUUGUAGGACUGGAAAGAUCUGUGGCAGCCUGAGCUCGCAGGAAGGAUUUCAAUGGUUAAUUCUCCCCGACAGGUUAUUGGUUCAGUUUUGAAGUCUAUGGGAGCAUCAUACAAUUCAGACGAUAUUGAUUCACAAGUUGCUGGUGGGAAGAUUGCUGUUCAGCAGAAUCUGGCAUUACUGGUAAACCAGGUACUCUUAAAGAAAUGAUAUCUGGUCAUUGCAUGUUAUUGCCUGACAACUGAUUUUGUUUGUAAAAGUCGGCUUCUUCAUACAUAUGAAUGCAUUUUUUUGUGUUUUCUUCUCCUUUUCAUACAUAUGAAUGCAUAUGUUAGUGUUGUCUUUUCCUUUUCAUACAUAUUAAUACAUAUGUAGAUUUCUUCAUCAUUGUAGCCUCCGAUUUCUUCAUCAUUGUAGCCACCGAUUUCUUCAUCAUUGUAGCCUCCAUAGUUGAAGUUUCCUCAUUUGAAGCUGUUUAUGCAUAUGCUUUUUCCCUUCUCAAGUACAGGAAAUUGAAGAAUUAACCAGAUGUGAUAUGCUGAAAGAGUGAAGUUUUCUCCCUUGAAUGUGGCCUUGUGAUUUGUCUUGAAGGAAUAGGAUGAUCACUGGCAAGAACCCUAUCAAGGUAGAUUUUAUGGUGUUAACAUAUUUUUAAGCAUUUUGUUACAUCAGCAAUGAUGCUUUCAUAGCAUGAAAGUGUUUAAUUUAACUGACUGAUCUUGAUUAAUCAAUUAUGAGUUUUAAUCGAGUAAAAACUAAAUACAAUCAUCGUCAACAAAUUCUGAAAUUGGGUAAAUAUCAUCUUGAUAUUGAAGAAUUUGAAAACACAAUCCACACAGGAAAUCACCCUUCGCGUGGGGAUGGAGAUGUUUACUGCAACGAUAUCGAAUAUGUGCACGGUGUUGUCCACUGAAACAAUGGAAAAAAUUAACAUAGGGGUAUUUAAAUAAUUAAACUCAGACCUCUUUGUAUAUGUUAUCCUAACUUUACUUACCCAUGUUUGUAAUUUUCACUUAACAGUUGAUGCCUAAACCAUUAAAACCAAAUGACCAUAGGGGUAUUUAAAGUAUGUAAAAAUAAACAAAAACACGUAAAAAAUUUCAAACAAUUAAUAAUUACACUCUAAAUGUACCACUUAACUCUUAAUAAUAGCCAUACUCUAAAACAAUCUACAACCUUUGAGGGGAGUAGCUAUGAGGAAAAUCCUUUUCUCAGUGGAUUGCCAUUGUCCGAGAGUUGCAAUGAAAAGAGACCACCAGCAACUGAGCCGGAAGAUUCAACUAGCACUGAAAAAAAUGAUAAUUUAAUUGAUAUGGACAGUUUCCAUAUCACUUUUAAAUCAUCCUAUGUAAUUGUGAUGUUAGGAAGCAUUAGUGAUCUGUAUGUGAACUAUUAUUGGCGCCAUUGGUGGUUUUAUCUUGUUAAAAUAUGGAUGACUUCCAGUUACUAUUUUGUAGUACACAAUUUUAUUCAAUUAACAUACAGCUUAAAACCAUUAUGUAUGUGCUUUAUUAAGAUUCUCAAGUACCAAUCACGUUUGCUUAAGAAAUAAAAUUUUGCCAUUAAAAGCGUAGUAAUAUUUCCAAGCGCUUCGCAUUUAUCUCAACAUUUUGAAGGAAUUUUGAGAAAUAUACUUUUAUUUACUUUGUCAAUUAAUUAAUUAAUUAAUUACUAUUUGGCUUGGAUUGGACGAAAUUCUCAUGAUGUUUUAAUUUCUUUAAAUUAAUUAAUUAAUUAACUCUGUUUUUAAGUCUUAAGUCUGGGCGUGUUUGCAGAAUUUGAUUCCUUCAACGAUUUAGAAGUGUUGGACAUGAGUGGCAAUGAAAUCGACAAUCUUGUGGUUCCUCAAGGUAAACAAUUAAAAUAUUAUUCAAUUACAUUAUUUUAAUUCAUUUGAUUAGGGAAGGCCAAAAAGGUAAGAAAAAAUUAAAUAAAGAAACAGAGAAUUUGUAUUAUUUAAAAAACAGAAUGUAAUAAAGAUUUGAUUCUAGUUCUUUAAUCUUUAAAGCGAUUGAAAAACAAUGUUGCUCUUUUCCCAAAGCAUAAAAUACGAAUUGAAUGCCAAUUAACUUAAUCAUUCAUUUCGUUUAGCUCUAAAUUUAGACAAUGAAUUUUUAUAUUAUUUCAAAAACAGGACGCAAUAGAAUUUUUUUUAAAAACAGAUUGUAAUAAAGAUUUGAUUCCAAUUCUUUAAUCUUUACUGCGAUUGAAAAAUGAUACUACUUCCCAAAGCAUAAAAUACGAAUUGACUCCCAAUUAAAUUAAUCAUUUAUUUCGUUUAGGUCUAAAUUUAGAAAAAUGAAUUUUGAUUCUCUUCAAUCCUUUCCUAAUUAUUAUUAAUAAACAGGUUAUAGAGGUUGGAGGAAGCUGAAAAGCCUGUAUCUAUCGGGAGUUGGAAUUAGAGAUGGAAGCAAGUUGUUACAGUCAAUGGGAUCAUUCCCAUCCCUCAACACUCUUUACCUGAAGCAUAAUAAUUUUACCGAUAUAGCGACAACAACGAACUAAAUGCAGAAAUAACUGAGUCACAUUCUUUGACCGCCCCAAACUUCCAAUUAUCACGUCUCUUGUUGUCUUCCAGUUACGGAGACAGUUUCAUAUUCCCCAAAUUCCUUUACCAUCAACAUGACCUGGAGUAUGUUGAUCUCUCACACAUAAAGAUGAAUGGAGAAUUUCCAACUUGGUUGUUGGAAAACAACACAAAAUUGAGACAACUUUCUCUCGUCAAUGAUUCUCUUGGAGGACCUUUUCGGUUGCCAAUUCAUUCACACAAGCGGUUAGGAAUGUUGGAUAUGUCCAACAACAACUUCCGAGGCCACAUUCCAGUAGAAAUUGGAGAUGUUUUACCAAGUUUAUACGUUUUCAACAUUUCCAUGAAUGCUUUAGACGGUAGCAUUCCCUCUUCAAUUGGUAAUAUAAAAUUCCUCCAAAUUCUGGACUUAUCCAACAAUCACUUGACUGGUGAAAUCCCCGAGCACUUGGCCGUGGGUUGCGUCAACUUGCAGUCUCUUGCAUUAUCAAAUAACAACCUACAAGGUCAUUUGUUCUCUAGAAAUUUUAACUUGACAAACUUGCAAUGGUUACAAUUGGAGGGCAAUCGCUUCGUAGGUGAGAUCCCACAAAGUUUGUCUAAAUGCUCCCCACUAGAAGGAUUGUAUCUUAACAAUAAUAGUCUUUCGGGUAAGAUUCCACGAUGGUUGGGUAAUCUCACAUGGUUACAAUAUAUUAUAAUGCCCAAUAAUCAUCUUGAAGGCCCUAUUCCAGUGGAGUUUUGUCAGCUUGAUUCGCUUCAGAUUUUAGACAUUUCAGACAACAACAUAUCUGGAAGUCUACCAUCUUGUUUCCAUCCUCUCAAUAUCAAACAAGUUCAUCUUUCAAAAAAUAUGUUACAUGGACAGCUAAAAAGAGGUACAUUCUUUAAUUGCUCUUCCCUUGUGACAUUAGAUCUUAGCUAUAACCGCUUGAAUGGCAGCAUUCCGGAUUGGGUUGAUGGGCUUUCUCAGUUAAGUCACCUUAUCUUAGGUCACAAUAAUCUUGAAGGUGAAGUGCCAGUUCAAUUGUGCGAAUUGAACCAACUACAAUUGUUAGAUCUUUCUAAUAAUAAUCUUCACGGUCCUAUUCCUCCUUGCUUUGAUAACACCACACUUCAUGAAAGUUACAGCAAUAGUUCUAGUCUUGAUGAGCAAUUUGAAAUAUCUUUUUCCAUCGAAGGCCCUGACGGAGAUGUAGAAAAGCAAAUCCGUGAAAAUUUUGAGUUCACAACAAAGAACAUUGCGUACAUUUACCAAGGAAAAGUGCUUAACCUCCUAUCAGGACUUGAUCUUUCUUGCAACAAGCUAAUCGGUCAUAUUCCUCCUCAAAUUGGAAAUUUGACAAGGAUUCAAACAUUGAAUCUAUCGCACAACAACUUGAUAGGAUCGAUCCCAUCAACAUUUUCAAACUUGAAGUAUGUCGAAAGUUUGGAUCUUUCCAACAACAAAUUGAAUGGAAAAAUCCCUUAUCAACUAGUGGAGUUAAAGACAUUGGAGGUUUUCAGUGUGGCAUACAAUAACUUAUCAGGCGAAAUUCCAGAAUGGAAAGCACAAUUUGCAACCUUCAACGAGAGUAGCUAUGAGGGAAAUAUUUUUCUUUGUGGACUGCCAUUGCCCAUUUGCAUAUCACCAGCAACUACACCGGAGGCUUCAAUUGACAAUGAAGGAGAUGAUAAUUUAAUUGACAUGGACAGUUUCUUUAUCACAUUUACAACAUCGUACGUAAUUGUGAUAUUCGGAAUUGUUAUUGUUUUAUAUGUAAAUUCUUAUUGGCGACGUAGAUGGUUUUACUUUGUUGAAAUGUGGAUAACUUCAUGUUAUUAUUUUAUUGUAGACAAUCUUAUUGCAACAAGAUAUUGUCAUUGAAAUUAAUUAGCAGUUUAAUUACGAUUCUUUAAGUUCUAAUCAAGUUUGCUUAGAAAAUAAAUUAAUUUUUAUUUUUUAUUAAAAUUGUAGUAGUAUUUAGCGCUAUAUAGCUUCCAACUUCCAAGCACUUCACAAUUGUCUCUACACUUCCAAACCCAUAUCUAUCCACCAUAACUUAUACUUCCCUAUACUGUGCAGCAUACUUAAAUAACAGAACCAUCUCCAAUGUUAAAACCAGCCACUCUAUAACAUUCAUUUAGAAACUAUAUUUAGAAUAGUUUUAUAAUCAUACACAAGAAAUGAAACACCUAGAUGCACUUGAUCGCCUAUUUUACUUUAAAAAAUAAUGAUUAUGGUGCUAUCAUCAUCUUCUUCACUAGCGUCAUUAACACCAAAUCCAGCGAUGGACCCAGACAUUUUAUCAAGAAAGGUAUAUAUAUAAUAAAGUUGAAGCUUGACAAAAAAAUUCAGGAAGAUUGAUGCCUCGCCACAACAAGGGGCACACCAACAUCAAAGUAGAGAUGAAGCAAUAUUCUCAAAGCUAAAACUCUCAAAUCCACGCACCAGAAUUUCAUAUCUCCUCAACAAUUUAAGAACUAAAGAUAAUUAGGAUCUAACAUUAGUUUUUUAUAUAUUAGUUUCAUAAUUUACAAAUCAACGAAGAUGAGGAUUAUGCUAAUGAAUUCAAAUUAUACCAUAGAUUCUCGAGAUGUUACCAAAAAUUUCUAAAGUCAAUCCCACAUAUUUCAUAAUUUUAAGACUAGAAAAUUUCAUUAGUUAGAAGUUUAUUACCUUCAAGUGGAAGAUGAAGAACAUUAUACAAUUGAUUCAGAUUAUAUCAUACAUACUCCAAAUGCAACUAGAAAUUAACAAGUUCAUGCGCACAAAUUUCAUAACAUUAUGAUUGGAAAGUUUCACGAAGAGAAAUUCUAAAUUCAAUCUCUUGCAUCAUGGUAGUUUGAUUGAUUUGAGUUACUUUCUCAUCAAGCUACUAAUAUAACAUUCAAGUCAGGGAGAAAGUAAAUUAAAACUGGGAAGAAAUAACAGUAAAAAUUUGUUGCUAAAAAUGAUGUGUAUUUUUUUUUGAAGGCAAGUUGGAAACACAGUUGUUACUACAGAUAUUCUCCUCAACUUAGAGAUAAAUACAAAUAUUAAAAUGCAUAUGAUCGCACAUAUUACUUGGAGCUUAGUAAGAUUUCAUUAAGAGAAGCAAUCAAACCACUUAUCAAUUGUUGCAAUCGUUCUAUAAGCUAAAAUAGCAAUAUAAUACAAGAAAAAGAACAUAUAGAUACUUGGCAAGAGUUCAUUAAGAAGUCGCAUCACAUUCGGGUGAGUUUGCUUCUGAUAUCUUGCUAGCUGGGGCUUUUUCUUGUCUUUCUAUGUAUGCCGAGGGAAACCAACCAGCUUGGCCCUUGCAUUCACCUUCCGACCAUCCAGUAGGAGCCACCUUGAGAAGUUAUAACUAAAACAGUGAAUUAAACAAAAGUUGACCGUUCGAAGACCUAAGGGGAAAACUAAUUCUUUUACGUAGGAGUGAAUUAGUUGUGAUCACUGAAAUAACAGCAUAACUAUGGAAGCAUAACAAGUUAAAAAUUCACACGUCUAUAAGGGUAAACUGGGUGGUUUAGAACUGAGCUAGCAACCCUACUAUAUUCUGAUUUGCACUUCAAUGUAAAAGGGAAUAUAUGGUAGGAAGAAAGAAAACCAACCAUCAUUUGUUAACUCAUUGCUUUUCAAUCAAAAUUUUAAGAACAAAAUGCCAUGUGCUUUGAACAUCAAAUAAGUAUAAGCAUUAGUUCUAAAUUCCACAUAUCUUAAGUUAGAAGGAUAAGUUAAUAGCAUAGUAGAAAAAUCUAUGUGUUGUUAUUUAGAGGGGAAAGUACCUGGCGAACCACAACAUAAUCAUCAAUUGAAAGACUUAGCUCUCCAUUUGCUUGAGCAUCAAAUGGAUGUAUAACCUGCAAGAUAAUGGGAUAAAUAGAACUUAAUCUUUAAAAAAGCAUAACAAAAGCAGCAACAGUAGCAGCAGUGUUCAUUGUAACCACUAUGAUCAUGGCCAACAAAGAUAUAUUAGAAACAAAAUUCCAUUUUUACUACGACAUUAAUAUGUACUAUAUGAUAUCAUGACGAUUGGGUUACCAAGAGCUAUCAAAGUCCAAUAAAUUCUGUAUAACUUUAUGUAGUUAUUCAAAUUAUGGAUCAGAUUUUAAAUCUGAAAUUUUGACUGCUCUCCACAAAACAUGGCCUAUGCACAAGAAAGUCAUAGAUAAUGAGGAUUACAAGUGUCUGACAUCUUUUGAGUGAUGGAUUUAACAUGAGAGCUUAUGGUCAGUCAAUUUCCUCUGCCUAGCAAUAUAAGCUUUCUCGGCCAGAUUUAUCAUCAAAUACAUAGAUUGCCCCCAAGUCACAUCCAUAUAAACAUAGUUUUUCUAGGUAAACCAGGUAAGGAGUAUCAUAAUUCAGACAUAAUCAUAAAAAGGCCCAUCUAACUUAAGAGAAAAUCUCAAAAAGAGGGAUGUUGAGCUAUCAGUCUUGUAUCUAUAAGCAAUAUCAAGACUUUACAUCACCUGCUACGUCGUGAGUGGCUACACAACUUUCAGUGGUUUGUCUUUCUUUGGCAUGCCUAACUCAGCUUUGAUGUUGCUGAGAUAUUGAUAGUAGAGACACAUGAUACUUCUAGCUCAUGCAUUCUAUCUAGCUCAUCCGACAGCUAUCUCUUUUUUAAUUCAUUAGUGUUUGCUAAACCUCAUGCUUAAAAGUCCUGUUGUUCUAAACAAAGUUUCCUAAGAAUGACUUCCUCAGCACCACAUUUGGACACUUUUAGAGCAAUUUUAUUUGGGGGGAAAGAAUUUUCAAGGUGUUAACUAAUAAAUUUUAAAAAAUAAUUAUAAUUUGUCCUAUGAUUAUAUGACAAUUUAUCUGGGAUGAAAGGAUACAGACAGACAUCUUCCACUUUCAAGACUAAUCACUACUUCUGUAGAUGUUUUGCAAUAAUACAAAUACUUGACCAGAUGGUAGUGAUGGUAGAAAAAAAUUUUAUUGCUCCAAAAUUAAAAUAAGAAUGCAAUAUGUUCAGCAAAAGACUGUGCAACAUCAAAUUAAUUGAUAAGUUUGUAAUUCAGUAAAUUAACAACUUUCAUGGUAAAAUACAACAAAUUUCUUUUCAAAAAAAAAAAUCUUAAAAGACAGCAUACAAUUUUGUGCGCAUCUUAUUUCUUAAGAUUUUCCAGGAGGGCAAUAGAGGGACUUUCACCUAUGCAAGAGAGCAGAAGCCUUACUUUCGCUAUAAAGUAGACGUCAUUCUGAUUAAUAUGCGUUUGCAAAUCAGCUCCAUUUGAAUCAGUAUUCUGAUAGACACAUGAGGCAUUUACAUCCAUUUCCAAAGUCACAUGUUACGACUAUAUUUGAAGAUUGUUCUAUAGUUAGAAGAAAUGCCAAAUGAAUGAACUUACUUGACCUUAAUGUAAAAUGUUAUCACAUGCAUAAGUGAGACGAAAAUGAUAAAUACAAUAUUAUCAGCAGUAAACAAGAAGAGAACACUCCAAGGAAUAGAUAGAUGCGGAUGAGUAAUAUGAGGAACUCCGGUGAGUCUCACCCGAGCAACAAUGCCCAACUUCUCUAACUUAUGAUGAUAUGUUUUCUCAGCAUCUACCUGCAAAGGCCCGAGACCAGGAAAACAACAAUAAAACCACUAGCUAAAGGAGAAAGUAAAGAAAGAAAUACACUUGACAUAAAUCUUGACAAGAAGCACAAUUUAAGACAUAACAAACCCCAAUCAUAUUGUUUAGAACUACCAUUCGUUAUUUCGUUAUUGUAGCAUUUCGAACAAGUGUUGACUUAAUUCAACAUUGUUGGAAAGAUAGGCUUUUAGAAGCGGAAGAAAGCCACUCAAACCAAAGUGAUUGUCCUUGUAUUGGUCAAGGGAUGUAAACAUAUUACAUUUGCAGGAUGAGUUUUAAUCACUCCCCUGAUUUAUUUGGGUUGCAGUAAAACUAAGCGAGCAACUGUUUGACUUUCAAGCAACAUCUAAAUCAGCUAUUAAAAUUCAAAUAAAAUUAUAAUAGAAUAAUAACAGGCCAUCUUGCAUCAAAAAUUAAGUUUAGUUUGUGAAUUUUUUUCUAUAGACAUGUUAGUUCCUGCUAUUGAAAUGUUAAAAGCAUUGAAAAAUUAUUCAAUAAAUUAUGCAAACAUUAAAAUAGAGGACAUAUUAAAAAGUUUCUAAUUACAAUGUUAAGAUUUCCUAUAUUUUAGCAUUUGCAUAUUUUAAUUUAUUUAAAAGCUACGUCGAUCAACUUUGGGCGUGAAGAUUUUAGCUUCUACGAGACUUGAUUGGAAUAUGCAUAAGGAAGAGUGUUAAAAUAUGAUGCAUCCAACGAAAGACAAAUGACACUUGGACCAACAUGCAAUCAUGAAGUGGCCAGAAAAAGGACAAAUGCAACUUUGGCUUAAAUAAAAAAUAACAUGUGACUUGACUUUUGCUGGACAUGCAUCAUGUUAUUACAAGACAACAGAAAUCAGUAUGAUAGUACUAAAAGUUCACAAUAACAUGAAGAUAAGAGGCAGAAUGUCAACAAAUGCAUAGGCACACACAAGAAAGUAUUAACUUAUAUACCAUAGCAAAAAGUCUUUGAUAUGUCAUCUGUUGCUGCUGUGAUUCAACUGACAGCAUGGCAGCUGUCGCUUCUCUACCAAGAGCCAUUAUUGUAGAUUUAAGCUCGGUCAAUCUUGCUUCUGCAUUUCGAAGCUUCACAGCACUCUCUGCUGAUAUAUCAGAUUCCCUAAUCUUUGAUCGGCGCCUAAAUACUUCAGCUGCCUGGUGAAAAUAUUCAAUGUAAAUCUAACAUAAUUCUAAUCUUGCCUUAUACAUGCAUAUGUUAACUCAAAGCUUACCUGGGCUUCAACUUCAUGUCGAAGUUUGUCAUAACGAUGAGUCAAGAAAAUAUCUUAGAACUAAGUUUCCUUAUGAGAAGAUAAUAGUUUCAGUAGUAAUUUACAUAUAAUUUUCUAUAUUUGAAUUAUUUUCUAGUUAGGGAUGAACUAACCUGAUCACGAAGAAUCCCAAGCAAAGUUUCCCUCUCAUUUUCCAUCAAAUCAUGUGAAGUGCCAAAUUGAAGAGCAGCUCUUGCAACGCAAGAAUUGUCACUUUGAUUCUCCACUCCAUACUUGCAACAAUCUUCGGCCAACUUUCUCGCUACAAUAUUUGAAUACAAAAAUAUUGUACACAAGAACUAGUCAAGAAAAAAAAAAUCAAAUAUUAUAACGAGAGCAAGAGCAAACUAACAACCUAUUUCCAUUUGUUUCAAGCUUACUGCAACAAACACUUCAACGCCACGGACAACAUUCCUCUGAAAAUGCUGCGCUACAGAGCAUAUAUUCCAAAUCAUUGUUCAGAUAAAACCAUACAAACCAUCAUAAUUAUUCAACAUACAUUAAGCUCCGUUUGGUAAAUACUUGCAACUUCAGUCUAGAAAAUACAGUUAAUUUUUAUUUAAAAAACAUCAUAAUUAUCAACAUACAUAUUUGACAAAAUUAUUAUUUAAAAAUCAUAACUAAUUACCAAAAGCCACAAUAAAUCAAUAUCAAACAGAGUCUUAUUAUUAGCUAAAGGAGGAUGGUGCCUUAGCUGCCCUGGUGGAAUUGUAUAGAUUUUGAAGUUGUUGGUGACACUCAAGUUCAGCUUCAUCAACCGCAACAUUUUCAAUGCCAAGAUGGAGCAGAUGCUUCAAUACUGCCUGUACAAACCAUAAAAAACUAAUGAAAAAUAAAUAAAAUCGAGAAAUUUCACUAAUUAAAAAAGAAAAGAAACGGACUUGCUGUUGAAAACAGCAGCUGUGAAGAGUCAAAGAUUGACCUUGAAUCCAAGCUGGCAUGCCACCUAAGCUUCUGUAAUCUACAGCCAGCUGACAUGGAAGAUGAGUCAGGAUUAUUGAGCUGGCAGAACAGCUGUGCUGAAGAAUAUCAGCACAUAAGCAUGGAGCAGCUGAAGCUUCUAGAAUUCUAAAAUGAUUGGCUCAUGAUUGGCAGUCUGACAAAAUUAGUUUUUCUGUGUAAUAUUCUUUAUUAGCUGUCAUUAUUUUCUUGUCUCUAUAUAUACUACAAUUGCUCUGUAAUACGUCAGUUGGGUAAGCAAUAAUAAAAGGAAUACUCUGUCUUGUUCACUCUGCUUGCAAUACUAAGCAAUUCUUUAGAAUUUAAGUUGGUAUCAGAGCCAUCUUUUAGCUAUGGCAAGCAGCAGCGACAAUGAAACAAAUGUUAAUCCAACACAGGUUGAUUCAAGUGAUCAACCAGACGAUUUGAAUCAAAACACUGAGCCACAAAAUCCAGGCCUUAACACCAGAAACACAGCACAAAUAAGUGCAUCACCAACCCAGCAUAUCACCAGCAACACCUAUGUCUUUACUACUCCAAUCAAACUAACUCAAAGCAACUUUAUGCUCUGGAAAUCACAAGUGAUUUCUAGCAUUAGAGCAAAUGAGCUUAAGGGGUUUAUUGAUGGCAGCCAUGUCUGCCCUCCUAAGGUCUUCAUGAGUCCUGGACCAAAUCGAUCCACCAUUACCACACCUAACCCUGAAUACCAGAUUUGGAGGAAACAUGAUCAUAUCCUAUUGAGUUGGCUACUCUCCUCUCUAAGUGAAGGAGUACUAGGCACAGUGGUAGAUUGUUCCACCUCCUGUGAGGUGUGGACAACUCUAGCCAACCAAUUUGGUGCUAGAACAAGGGCAAGAGUCCUAUAUCUCAGAACUCAAAUUCAAACUACUAAAAAGGGUUCAUCAACCAUUCACGAAUACUACUCAAAAAUGAAAACUUUAUUGAACUCACUUAGAGCUGCAGGGAAUAACAUGAAUGAUGAUGAUUUCAUCAUGUGUGUGCUUGCUGGUUUGGGGACAAAAUAUUACUCAGUAGUUACCAACAUCAACUCAAUGCAGGAGAGUCCCUCGAUCUCGGAAGUAUAUGGUAUGCUCUUGAGUCAAGAAAACAGAACUGAGCAAAACUUGAGCUCAGGGAACAUUGAAGCAAACUAUGCUCAAAUGAGGAAUGGAAGAAGGAGCUGGAACAACAGUGAAAGAACUACACAUCAGCAGCUGCCUGGAAUUGUUUUCAGAAAUCCUGGAAACAACCCCACGAAUAACCAAACCAAUCAGAAUCCUCAAGACAAAGGAAAAGGAAAAGCAGUGGCUGAUGACAGUGGUUCUGACCCAAAAGGGCCUUGUCAAAUCUACUGGAAAAUGGGACACACAGCAGCUGAGUGUUGGCACAGAUUCAAGAAGAACUUUGUACCUCAGCCAAACAGAAGAAGAGAGCAGAGAGGUGCUUAUGUUGCUGCAGCUGAAGGUCAAAGUAGUGGAGCUUGGUACCUUGACAGUGGUGCUACAAAUCAUGUGACUAACUCUCUUGGAAAUCUCAGCAUCAACUCUGAAUACCAAGGUAAAAACAAGCUAGCUGUUGGUAAUGGUGAAAAGCUUUUGAUUAGUCACAUUGGUUAUUCUGCUUUGCCCACAUAUGAUCCACACAAGCACAUCACCUUAACUGCUAUACUAUGUGUGCCUGACAUAACCAAAAACCUUAUUAGCAUUUCUAAAUUGCUGCAUGACAAUGAUGUUGAUGUUGAGUUUCAAAAAUCUGUUUGUUUUAUUAAGGACAAGAGACAAGGGAAAAUUCUGGUGAAAGGAGUGGCUAGAGAUGGGCUAUAUGAGCUGAUGCACUUACCUGCCAUCCUGAGCAGGAACAAAAAUCCACAUGCUGUUUUGUCUUCUAUUCUGUCAAAUUCAGAGUCAAUGAAUAAUAAUAGUUGUCCAGUGUCCAUGUUGUCUUUCAAUUCAAGUAAUGAGUCCGUCAAAGUUAGUGUCGAGCCAAAUAUAGCUGAUGAGUCAAGAAGCAACAAUCUGCAAGCUGCUGAAGAAACUGAUGUGUGGCAUUCCAGACUAGGACACCCUAGUACUUCAGUCCUGAAAAACACCUUGUUAUCUUGUAAUCAGCUCAAAAUUAAUAAAGAUAUUGUUCCUUCAUUUUGCUCAGCAUGCCAAUAUGGAAAGCAAUCAAAACAAUCUUUCAAAAGCACUGAAACCAAAACUAAGACAGCCCUUGAACUGAUUCACACAGACCUUUGGGGACCAGCACCAAUUCUAUCCACUCAUGGACACAGAUAUUACAUCUCCUUUGUUGAUGACAGAACAAGAUACACAUGGCUCUUCCCUUUAGCAACCAAGUCUCAAGCUCUUGAAACCUUCAUUACCUUUAAAAAUCAGAUCGAAAAAUAAUUGAACCUAACAAUCAAAGCACUACAAACAGACAUGGGAGGAGAGUUCAGAGCCUUUGAACCAUAUUUGAAAAGAGAGGGAAUAACUCUAAGGCAUUCAUGUCCAUACUUACAUGAACAAAAUGGCAAGGUUGAGAGAAAACAUAGACACAUUGUGGAGACUGGACUUGCCUUACUUGCCCAAGCCAAAAUGCCCUUAAAAUUUUGGCAAGAAGCUUUCAGCUAUGCUAUCUUCAUUAUCAACAGACUUACCUCACCUGUGCUAAAGAACAAGACACCAUUUGAGUUAUUGUAUUCUUUCAAACCAGAUUAUACACAAAUUAAAAUCUUUGGCUGUGAGUGUUUUCCAUUUCUUAGACCAUACAACAGACACAAAUUUGAUUUUCACACUUCCAAAUGCAUCUUAUUGGGGAUCAGCAGUGCUCACAAAGGUUAUGUUUGUAUGAACAGUUCAGGAAGAGUUUAUAUCUCAGCUAGUGUCAAAUUCAAUGAAAAAUCCUUUCCUUUCGAAAAUGAUUCUAGCUUUAGGAAACAAGAGUCAGUAAAGGAAGGUGAUGAAAUUGCCUUACUUGAAAAAUUCCAGGUUGUGUCAUUCUCUGUCAACAAUCCCCAUGGUCUCACACAAGUGGCAACAUCUCAUAGCAACUCUCCAGACACUACUGGAAACACAGAAUGCAUCCUAAGUCCAGUCCAGAAUGAAAUGCAACAGGUAAAUGAUACUGACACAAUAUCAGGUAGCCUUUCAACUCACAGUCCACCUCACAUUACAGAAAUAAACAGCCAAAACCUUCCCACACAAAAGGCCUUGCCUUCACACCCCAUGGUAACAAGAUCCAAGGCUGGGAUCUUCAAACCAAAGCUGUACCAGGUUUCCAGUAAACCACAACCUUCUCUUCCCAAAAACACAUUUGAGGCUUUGAAGGAUCCCAAGUGGAGAAAGGCAAUGAAGGAUGAGUAUCAUGCAUUGAUGAAAAACAAAACCUGGACCUUGAUACCAAACAACCAAAAUUGCAAAUUGAUUGGAAAUAAGUGGAUCUACAAAGUAAAGGAAAACUCAGAUGGCAGCAUCAACAAGUACAAGGCCAGAUUAGUAGCAAAUGGAUUCUUACAAACUCCAGGACUUGAUUUCAAUGAAACUUUCAGCCCUGUUAUUAAGGCUGCAACUAUUAGAAUCAUCCUAACCAUGGCAGUAAGCAAUGACUGGUUGCUUAGGCAAGUGGACAUAAACAAUGCCUUCUUGAAUGGUGACCUGACAGAGGCAGUAUACAUGCCACAACCUGAGGGUUUUGAAGACAAGAAUAGACCAAGCUACAUUUGCAAACUGGAAAAGGCUUUGUAUAGAUUGAGGCAAGCUCCGAGAGCAUGGUUCGACAAACUAAAAGGUGCCUUGAGUUCUUGGGGAUUCAAAAAUUCCAGGAGUGACACAUCUUUGUUUUUCAGAAGAAUUGAAUCAAAGAUAGUCAUCAUGCUCAUAUAUGUAGAUGACAUUAUAAUCACUGGAAGUGACAGUCAAGGCAUUGAGGAAGUCAUUAAAGAUCUGAACACAUCCUUUGCUCUGAAGGAUCUCGGAAAUUUGAAUUUCUUCCUUGGGAUACAAGUUCUAAGGAAUCAAAACUCUAUCCUACUCUCUCAAGCAAAAUAUAUUCAAGACUUGUUGGCCAAAACAGAAAUGACAGACUGUAAAGGAAUAGAGACACCCUUCAGCUCUUCUGAGAAAUUGGAAAAGGAUGCUGGGAAUAGAUUCCACGAUCCCAUACUCUAUAGAAGCAUCAUAGGAAGCCUGCAAUAUGCAGUAUUGACCAGGCCAGAGCUUGCUUUCUCAGUUAACAAGCUCAGUGAGUUCAUGUCUGAUCCUAGACAGCCACAUUGGGUAGCAUGCAAAAGAGUGCUGAGAUAUCUCAAAAACACAAUGAAUAUGUGUUUAAGUUUCAAAAAAUCUGAACAUCUGGAUCUCAUUGCCUAUACGGAUGCAGAUUGGGCAACUGAUCCAGAUGACAGAAGAUCCAUAAGUGGAUACUGUGUGUACUUGGGAGAUAAUCUGGUUGCUUGGAGCUCGAGAAAACAAGGCAUAGUAGCAAGGUCAACAGCUGAAUCAGAAUAUAGAGCAAUGGUUCUAUGCAGCACUGAAAUCACAUGGAUUAAUUCUCUACUUGGUGAGUUGAAGAUGGAUGUUGAAAAUAUACCAAUUAUCCUAAGUGACAGCACCAGUGCAGCAGCCAUAGCAGCAAACCCAGUCUAUCACUCCAAAACAAAACAUUUCGAGAUAGACCUUUAUUUUCUCAGAGACAAAGUUACAAAGGGAGAAUUGGAAAUAAACUAUAUUGGCAGCAAUGAUCAAAUUGCGGAUGUGCUGACCAAGCCAUUACCACAUCACAAGUUUAGCUGUUUUAGAAGCAAACUCAAAGUCAUUGACAAGACCUUGAGUUUGAGAGAGGGUGUUGAAAACAGCAGCUGUGAAGAGUCAAAGAUUGACCUUGAAUCCAAGCUGGCAUGCCACCUAAGCUUCUGUAAUCUACAGCCAGCUGACAUGGAAGAUGAGUCAGGAUUAUUGAGCUGGCAGAACAGCUGUGCUGAAGAAUAUCAGCACAUAAGCAUGGAGCAGCUGAAGCUUCUAGAAUUCUAAAAUGAUUGGCUCAUGAUUGGCAGUCUGACAAAAUUAGUUUUUCUGUGUAAUAUUCUUUAUUAGCUGUCAUUAUUUUCUUGUCUCUAUAUCUACUACAAUUGCUCUGUAAUACGUCAGUUGGGUAAGCAAUAAUAAAAGGAAUACUCUGUCUUGUUCACUCUGCUUGCAAUACUAAGCAAUUCUUUAGAAUUUAAGUCUUGCUGCUGCUUGGCGACUUGUUCUCGGAGCUUGAUUGCCUGUUUCUUGAUAGUUUCCAUACUGUUUCUUUCAAAAAGCGACGACGGCUCAGCUCAUGGAGGUGGAAAAAAAAAAGUGUGAUCGAGAAAAAUAAAAAGGCAUGAAUAAUUUUUGAAAAAAAAAACGAAAAUCAAGGAAAGCCAGCUCUUUCCAGAAAAUAAAAAAAGAAAAAAAAAAUUAUAAGUUUGAAAGGAGAAGAUGAUAGUGGAAGUGUGCAGUGUGGCUGCCAGCUACUUGGAUUGUAGAGAAUUUUUUUUUUGUGGACAGAGCAUGACAUUAGACUUUUGUGGACCAAAUUCAAAAGCCGAAUGGCACGGCCCAGAAGCUUUUGAAUACAAUAACUUGCUAGAAAGCUCCAUUUUUUAUUCUUCUUAUACUUUACGCUUGCAUCAGCCUCAAUCACUUCUUAAUCGCUUGCUUUAACUGCAUCGCUCUCUCUGUGCUCUUCUAUAUAUGUAACAGUUAUGCGGUUGUAGUUCACGACUGAGGCUACGUGUUGGUUUGACGUGGCAGUUACGUUACAAGGGGAUAAAUAAGAUUGGUUGCAACAAACCCACUAAUUUUAUAAAAUUCGAGUAAUAUAGAAUAAAAUAAAAAAUAAAUAUAAAAUUGGCUUUUAUUUUUUAUGGUUGACUGUAUUUUGUGUUCUCUUCCGGCACUACUACAAUUGUUACCUAUAUAUCAGUCACACCCAUAUAUCAUUAACACAAGAAAUGAAAUCUAAUGUCACCUAUUUAGUUAAAGAAUCACUCAUGAAAAAUUUUUACCUUUUUCAUUUGAGGAUCCAUAUUUUGAACUGCAAGUUAAUGUUCAUCAAGAAUCACUAAUGUUCAUAAAAAUCCGAGUAUGGCCGUUGAGUAGAAAAAUUAUUUUUGGACAAAUUAUUUUUGUUGAUAGAAGAAUUUCUUAAGGGACUACUAAAAUUAUUAAUAAAAAUGUAGAACACACCCACAUAUCAUCAACACAAUUGACUUUGAGGAUCCAUGCUUUGAACUGCCGCCUAAUGUUCAUCAAGAACAGAGUAUGACUUGUGAGUAGAAAAUUUUAUGAUUUUGGCCCGAAAUAAAAAGAAAUUAAAUUAGAUGAGAAUCUGCCACUUUCUCAUGAAGAAAGGCAUACGGAGCAUACCAUGGUACCAUACAAUACAAAGAGUCUCCGUUCUCUGGUUUUUCAAACUAUAAAGGGGCCAAUAUUCCCGAAUUCUCCCUUGAAAAUUCUGAUUACGACAUUAUUCAUCGCUUGACGCAAUCAAAGUAGCGACAAAGUUAAGAAAAAUAUGAGUCCUAAGCAAUUGCUAGGUAGGGUUCCUGAGAGUAAAAUUGUCCUAAGCAUUAUAUGCAUACAUGGUGUGGUACAUAGAGCACGUUGAAUUCCACACUAUAACACAAACCUAGAAAGACAAGUAAUAACUCAACUGAUAUAAAGACAAAAAGAAGAUAAAAUGAUAUAGAAAAAAGAAUUUCAAAGAGACAGCAACAUACGAUAGACUGAAGCCACUUGAUCUGCUCAUUGAUUGCAGCCUUAAACUUACAAAUAAUUACCGUACGCUAGUGCUCUAAGAAGUGAAAAUGAUGCAAGCCCUGAUUCCCUUUUGACUUCCAUUUACUGUCAAACAUUCUAGUAAUACAAAAAAUUGUUUAAAUAUCUUGCUAUAAAUAUAGCCGUUUGACUGUCAUAAUAAAGUCACAAAUAACCAUUCAUAUUGAAAUAUCUUGCUAUAAAUAUAACCAUUCCUUAUCAAUACAUUUGGCAAAAACUUAAGAAGAAAACUAUUUCUCCAUCUCUUUUUUGAAAUUUCACAAUAAACCAGCACAUUAUGAAAGCUAUGUUCUAAUCUUAUGAUAAAUGCUCUAGACUCCAAAAGGACUUUAUAUAUGAGAGUUUGUUGCAGCAGAUAUAUUGACUUAUCAAGUAUGAAUCAUUGUCUGGAUGAACUAUCUUUAAAUAAAAGAACAUUAGAACCACUGUAGAAUAUCUUUACGCUGCUGGUUCUAACAGGAAUCUGCAUGUGGCAACAAUUGCUAGAUCCACAAUUCCCCAACUUGAAAUACAUAGUUGCACACCAUGAGAUAGUGCUACAAUCUACUGAGAUCUAACUUAUAUGAUACUUUAUGCUACUAAUGUUUGCAUAUUUUUACAUGUUAAAUUAACACUAUAAUCUAUAAUCACUCCAAAAUGACAAAUGAUAAGCAGCUUUUGGCUAGUUAUUACUAGCAUCCACAAUUAUAAAUAAGAGAUCAUGGGUUUACUUGUUGCACCUACUUAAUGAUCUGCAGUUGAGACCCUGACGCAAGGUUUAAAUAGUGACUGCUUAGAACCCUUGUAGUUGGAUCUUGACCUCUCCCAUUUUAGCCAAGAUUGGCUACUCUGGUAAUGAAUCAACACUGUCCUGCUCAGGGCCAUGAAGAUCUGGAAGCUCAGCACUAGUGGAGAACUUCACCAAUCUCUUCUUCUCAGCAUACUUGAGACAAGGCUGCAUUACGAGACCAAUCACCACAGCACCAACGAUUAAAACUGCAACUUUUAAAGUAGAAAGAGCCAACACAACACAAAUCAAUAUGGUUGGAGGAAUACAUAUGAUAAUGGCUCCAACAGUGCCAGUGGGUAUCUUGUAAGGACGAGAUAAAUAGUAGAGAAGUUUUUAAGAAGCUAGAACAGAGCAUGUUAGACUUUUGUUGACCAAAUUCAAAAGCCAAAUGGCACAGCCCAGAAGUUUUUGAAUAGAAUAACUUACUAGAAAGCUCCAUUUUUUGUUGGCUACAGUAAAAGGAUGUUGUUUUGUUCUUCUUAUACUUUACGCCUGCAUCAGCGUAAAUCACUUCUUAAACGAUUGCUUUAACUGCACCGCUUCGAGUCUGUUAAACAUUCGGUGAUAAGAUUAGUUACAACAAACCUACUAGUUUUAUAAAAUUCAAGUGAGAUGGAAUAAAAUAAAAAAUAAAUAUAAAAUUGGCUUUUAUUUUUUAUGGUUGACUGUAUUUUGUGUUCUCUUCGGGCACUACUACAAUUGUUCCCUAUAUAUCAGUUACACUCACGUAUCAUCGACACGAAAAAUGAAAUCUAAUAUCACCUGUUUAGUUAAAGAAUCACUCAUGAAAAAAAAUUACCAUUUUGAUUUGAAGAUCCAUAUUUUGAACUACCAAUUAAUGUUCAUCAAGAACAGAGUAUGGCCGUUAAGUAGAAAAACUAUUUUUGGACAAAUUAUUAAAUUCCAAUAUUGUAUCGAUAUGCAAACGAUGCCUGAAGCAUAGCCUCCAAACAAUGACCAGGGCACAAAACAAGAGUGUAGUAAUCAAGUGUAUUGUCUCAUAAUCAAUUAAAAGCAGAUAUACAGGAUACCAUAUUCAAUUCCAAAAUAACAAAAGCAUAAUGAGGAUGAGAAGAACAAUGCAAGAUUUGUUGUUGUUUUAGUUGCUUCUAAUAUUUUUUAUGACGCACAUCUAUUGAAUUAAGAGAUUUCUAUAAUCAGUGCCGCAGUACUGAAAAUAAACUACUUGUCAGUCAAAUAGCUGAGUAUUUCUAUGAGAAUGUCAUUAUUAAUGACCGACUUUUUCCAGAUUCUUGGACAAACAUAAGAGACUAUUGUGCUUAGUUAAAAUGAUCACUCAAAUAUGAUUUCUUCACUUUGGUUGUCAAUUAUCUAUUCAAAUUAAUCAGUGUCAUUAUCGACUUAUUUAUUUAGAAGAGCGGGUGAUAAAUAUAUUUAAUAAUGUGAACAAGAAGUUCGUUAACUUUUAUGAUCAUUUGGAAGGUCGGCGUGUCAUCACUCGUCAAACACAUUGCAUCGAUCCACCAGCAUGAACCGACAGGAUUAUGAUUGAACACAAGAUGCACAACUUAUGAUUGAACCCAGAAACAAUCAAAUCUUUAGCAAGAACAAUUAAUCAGAGUCAAGAAACAAGUUUAAUGAAUAUAAACCUAUAAUUGAAAAUUUGAAACAAACAUAGCCAAGAAAAAAAUACAGAUUUUACACGGUUCAGUUGUACCUAGGAUGGCACAACCUACACCACGAGAGAAGCUUUCUGGUGAGAUUUUAUUGAUGAUCAAAGAAGAAUCUUUUGCCAAAGCUAAUAAUAGAGAUUUCAGAGAAUAAGCUAUUACCCUCUCUCCCUCUUCAAUCUCUCUCUAUUUUGUUCCCAUUGAUGACCCCAAUCUGCUUAGUUAUCCAGCUUUAUAGCUGCAUCAGUAACAAACCAGCAAACCCAGAUUGAGCAGAUUGACGACACGUGGAUAACGGCUUUAACGAACCUGGUUAAGAACUGCUCACAUGUUCGUCACGCGUGCUGCUUAAAUGAUGGCCAAAACGACUUCAAACAAAUGUCGUUUUGAGGCUUAUGAAUUACAAGUGAUAACACGAGCUUGUCUCAUGACUUUUAAAUGCAACAACGUGCCCACAACGCCGUCGUUUUACUCUGUUGAGUUUGAUUCAUUACUAAGCUUUACGACUGGCAAUGGAGAAGAUGAUAAUUUAAUUGACACGGACAGUUUUUAUAUCACUUUUACAACAUCCUAUGCAAUUGUAAUAUUGGGAAUUAUUGAUGUUUUAUUCUGUGAAUCCUCAUUAGCAAAAACUAGUGGUUUUAUCUUUGUUGAAAUAUAGAUGACCUCUCGUUACUGUUUUAUUAUAAACAUAUAGUUUCGUAAGUGAAACUAUAUGUUUAUAAUAAAAUUAACAUAUAGUUUCGUUACAUUUCUGCCUCAUUAAGAUUCUCAAAUACCAGUCAGGUUUGCUUAAGAAAUAAAAUUUUUCCAUUAAAAUUGCAGUAGUAUUUCCAAGCAUAUCGCAUUUUCUAUGAUUUUUCAUAAAUUAAUUAAUCUGCGGUGCCAAUAUCAGAUUUAGUUUUUCAAACUAAAUAAUCAAGAAAGCAAACAUACAAAUAUACAGUUUAGAGGGGUAAACUAGGUAGGUGGCUUAGAUUUUAGAACUAAGCCAGCUACCUCACUAAAUUCCGAUUCGUACAGUGAACUGCAAGAAAUUGAGAAAACAAUGUAUUUAUAAUUUAAUAGAAUCAUAAGAAAACAAUGUAGUCAUUGCUCAAUAUAAGAUGAUGAUUUCGGAGAGGCACAUUGUUUUCAAGUUAAUUUGAACCGUUUAUAAGAGAUGAAGUGGAAUGAAGUUGAAAGUUUAAAUAACAAAUCCUUGUUCUUGAGUUUUACGACGUCGUUACUCCUUCAAGUGGCAGAUUAUGCAAGUGAAUGCAGAAACACAAUGCAUCAUCCGCGGGGAUGAUACUUCAAAAGGCGGGAUUUGUUUAUGCCUGCAGAUUAGCAAUUUCACUCAUAUAGAAAAUUAUUUUUUUAUAUAUACUAAUCAACACUAAAUUGAUUAUGUGUUGUAUGUUUAUAUGCUAAUCAACACGAAAUUAUUUUGAAUUAUUAACAUUAAUAUUCCUAAUAAAAAUUAUUUUCCAUCAGUAUUCAAAAUUUUCACUUAUAGAAAAUGCAUUUUACGUGAAUACUAGCUAUGUAUUUGGUGUAUUGUUAUACUAUGUAAGACUCAGCUAAAAUCAAACCGUCCCUUAACCUGUUUCUCAUAAGCAUGGCAGAAUUUAAUAAUUUUAUUUGUCAAAAGAAUAAGAUAUUGGCUUCAGGAAAUUUAAAACAACUUUUAUUUACUCUAUCAAUUAAUUAAUGUUAUUUUGUUUUGAAAAAUUCAAUAAUUAAAUUCUCACGUUUCAUAUGUUUGAAGUUAAAUUAUUCAUUAACUUGAACUCUGUUCAAAAUUGGCCAUCUUGUGGUUCCCAAAUGUAGUUAUAAUAUUGAAUGAAAGUAAAAACUUUCUAUGCGAGUUUAAAUCUAAAUCUGAACAAUUUUGACUUUCUCAAUGCUAUCCUAAUUAUAAAAAAUAUAUUAUUUCAUUUAUUGUUAUAGUUACUAGUCUUUGAAAAUGGAUGGAUUUAUUGUUUCCGUGACCAAAUUAUGCCUGCCUAAGGCUGCAACUAUUAAUAAAUCUAAUAUUUAAUGCACAUGUUAAAAGAUUUAAAAUUUUAUGCAUUUAUUAAUUGUUAUACUCGAAAAGAUUAAUUAGUUCAGGUCAAUCUGAGUUGGUGCAUCUGCAGGAGCCUUUUUUUCCCCCUCGUUGACCAUAAUAAUAAUAAUAAUGGAUAAAAAUGACAUCUCUUUCAACACGACUAGGAGCGUGUAAAAACAUGGAAACAGAAUUUCCACAAAAUGCCAAAUGUGUGGAGCUUAAUUUUUGGGCUGUAGACCAAUACAAAUGAAAGAAAAAAGGAAAAGAAGCCCAAAGACUUCUGUAGAACGUGAUCUAUCUUCUAAUAAUAAUAAUAAUGGGUUUUCAAAAUUAAAAAAAAAAAAAAAAAAACAAAGACGCCUCUUAUUAAACACGGAUACUCUUAGUUCUAUCCACUUCUCAUCUCACAAUCUCUCUCAAUUAUCCUUUAUUGAUAGCUCAAAGCGAGUUGCUGUGGAAAACUGUAGCAAAAUGAAAAAUUGGAAAGAAAGGGAUGAAAAUCAAUGCAUGAAAGACUUGGAGAAAACAACCAAAUAAGUCAACUCCUCUUUAAUGAGAGCAUAUUACAAAAAGGCCUCGAUCAUCAUAUCGUAGACUCGGGGAUAAGGAUUGGAUCGAGUUUUUGUUUUGAUAUUGAAGGACCUGUGUUCCUGUCGCGAUGUAGAAUAUGUGCAAGGAGUUGUCUACUGCUCUUUAGGUCAUAAUAAUGCGAUUGUCGUUGCCCUGAAACAGUGGAAAAUACUUCCAUAUCCUCCGGAUGACAACUGAUUUAUAUCUGAUUUCCUAAUUGACUCAGGAUCAGCUGACAACAACAACUUAUUAAUAGUUAUAUCAAAACGGCAGAAGACGUACAUUGUUUAUAGGUUUGAUCCAUUUGGAAUGAAGUGGUCUCAAGUCGAAAGUAAUUUGUUAUUACAACUAGGAUGUACUAGAACUUAGAUCAAAACUUUAAUUUACUGUAAAAAGAAUAUGCUUAGCAAUUCAAGACCAUGUGGUUACCAAAAGCUAUGAGUCAUAUAACAGUUGAUAAAUUAGUUAAUUAAUAAUUGCCGGUCAAUCUUGUCACAUCUCUGCACGUGGCAGAAUCUUGUUCAUUCGCUUGUCACUUCAGAUUCUGUUGAAGACAUAGUUUGAAACGUUGGGAUGUAGGUGUACGCCGUAUGAUUAUUAUUACAUGCCGGCAAAGAAUUCUAUUUUUAUUAUUAACUAAUUAAUCAACUGGAAAUUAAGCUGUAUGUGAAAAAACAUUAACUUGUGGACUCAGCUGCUUACUUAUCUAACACGCUGACUGUGCAUGCAUAACGGCAUUGGGGUUUCCGAAGAAUUUAUAUUUCAGACACAAAAAAAAUCUUACUUAUAUGAAUCCUUUCAACAAACUGAGACAGAUCAUAUUUUACACCCACAGAUUUCAUAAUUUUGUCAUUGGAGUGUUUGCCUAACGACGACUUGAGAAAUUCUGAAUUCAGCCUCCUCCACCAAGGGAUUUCGAUUGAUGUUAAUUUUACUAUUGGAGUUAAUUUGUGAUCAACCUUUCAAAUCUUGUGCCAUUUAAGGAAUAUGAUAAUUGAUCACUAGAAAGAAACCUAUCAAGCUAUAUUUUAUGAUGUUAAUUAACAUGUAAUUAAGCAUUUGUUAUUAUAGAACUGGUUCAUAGCAUGAAAGUGAAAUAAAUUUAACUAAAUGAUUGAUUAAUCAAUUCAUUUUCAUGAGCUUUAACAGAGUUAAAACCAAGCACAAACAUCGUUAUCAAAUACUGAAAUUGGCUAAAUUAAAAAAAAAAAUUCUAAUUCAUGUAAUAUGUACUUCUCACAUCUAAAGCAUUACCUCACAAGGUUUAAUGAGAAACGAAAGACGAGUCUUUGCUUUGAACAAUUAAAGUUGCUGCUACCAACCUCGGCAAAGAUCAAGAAGACAGAACAGGAAGCUAAUGCCAUCAAUGUCUUCUUCAUUAUAGCUGCUGCGUAGUUAGGUGUAGUUUCCUCAUUUGAAGCUGUCUAUGCACAGGCUUUUCCCCAGGUAGUGUACAAAUAAAUGAACAGCCUUGAAGCUUUAUUAUUCUUAAAGCUUUAGUGUUCGCAGCAAAAAGGAAUACUAAUUGGAGAAGACUUUACAGAGUUUCACUCACACUCUCUCUCUCUCAAUUUCAUCAAAAAGUCCCUCCGAAAGUAUCUCCCAAAAUAGUUAGAGCAUCUCCAAAAGACUCUAUAAAUUUUACUCUUCAAAUAUUUAUUUGCUUACCUAUGUGGCAAAUAGAAGAGUAAAAAAAUAUAUUAUUCUCCAAAAGACUCUUCAAAUAUAAAUGAGUUAAUAUUAUUUUAAUUAAAUAACUAUUUUUUUAAUGGAAAAGUCAAUAGUAAUUAAAACACCUCUCUCUCUUUCUCCAAUAAAAAGUAAUAAAAUAUAAAUUGAAGAGGGAGAAAGCAACUCUCCAAAUUUGAAGAGAGAAAAUCACUUCUUAUUUGAAAAAUCUUAAUUGGAGUAUCUUUUGGAACUUUAAAUAUUGAUGCGACUCUUCAAAUAAGUAAUAAAAUUUUAUUUGAAAAGUCUUUUGGUAAUGCUCUUAGUCUUCUUUUAUACUCUGUUUUUUGGAAACGGAGUCCUAAGUAACUUAACUGACUGUACUGAGUAUGUCAACAUAACAUAUUUAACCGUUUUAACAGUAAUUUGAACCGUCUUCAGAGUUAUCAUCAACAAGCUCAUUCAUAUUGUCUCUACACUUCGUAUUUGUCUCUACACUUAGAAAGCUAAGCAACAUGUUUUGUAUAUAGCUUUCCUAUGUUGUGCAACAUACUAAAACGAGAGCACCAUCUCCAGUGUUAAAAGUAGCCACUUUAUAACAUUCAUUUAGAAAAUAUGUUUAGAAUAGUUUUAUAAUCAUGCAUAAGAAGCCCAGAUGCACUUGCUAGCCUAUUUUGUUGGAAAAAUUUUCAAAAUAAAUGGUGUCUUGUUGUAAAGACAUGUCUAAACAAAUGGUGUCUUAUUGUAAAGAGAUGUCCAAUUAAUGGUACCUUAUAGAAAAUGUAUAUUUUCACUUGAGGAUAUAAUUUUUCAUGGUGACAUUCCACUUGAAAUGCAUCAUUUUAUGGUGACAUUUCAUUUGAAAUGAUGAUGGUUCAAUUUGAACAAUUGAUUAAAAUUAAAUUCUGAUCCAAAGGCCAUGAAUAAAGGGGUAUCAUAAAAAAUGACAACCCAAAUGGAAGGGCACAAGUAUGUCUAUAAAGAAAGGUCAUGUUUAAGCCAUUUAGACAUGCAAAUAAUGAUCCUACACCACUCUUUUCUUAACCCUCUUUCCAAAAAUGAAUUUCAUCAUAUAACACAUACUUUUUGUACUUUAAAAAUCCAAUAUAUUGUUUUCUGCAGGAACAAUAUAUUGUUUCUUAGCAGGCUUGCAACAUUCAAGAGUAUUCUGAUUUACUUUCGUCGAUGCACAAUGCAAGCAAACAAAUAACUACUUCAUUGUAUCCUGGAGGCAUAUUUGCUUAACCCAUGUGCAUCACUUAAUUGGUGGGGGCAAAUAACGUCUUAAGGAAAGCGACAUUUGUAACGUGCCUUGAAGAACACAUUAAUUUUCUACAGUUUACCUAUAACUAUUAUUUUCUUUCGACAUACAGAGUUGUAAACACAUUACUUUACACAAUAAAAUUCUACAAUUAUUACUGUGAUUCUCAAUAUUUUCCAUUCCCCACCAACAUAUAUUACUCUGAACAAGAACAAUUAUGGCGUUAUCAUCAUCUUCUUCACUUGCAACAUUAACACCAAAUUCAAGAUAGACUCAGACAUUUCAUCAAGAAAGGCAUACGUCCAAUAAAGUUGAAGCUUGAUAAAAAAUUCAGUGGAAGGUCAAUGCCUCGCCACAACAAAGGACCUAACAAUAUCAUUCUAGCAAAGAUGAAGCAAUAUUCCUAAAGCUAAAGCUCUCAAAUUCACCACACCAGAAUUUAAUAUCUCAUCAAUUUUAAAAACUAAAGAUAAUUAGGAUUUAACAUUAGGUUGUUAUAUAUUAGUUUCAUAAUUUACAAGUCAACAAAGAUAUAGAUUAUGCAAUUGAAUUCAAAUCAUGCUGGAUGUUACUAAAAAUUUACAAGUCAAUCCCAUAUAUUUCAUAAUUUUAUGACUGGAAAGUUUCAUUGGUUUAAAUUUUUAUUACCUUCAAGUGGAAGAUGAAGAUGAACAUUAUGCAAGUGAUUCAGAUUAUAUCAUACACUCUCCAAAUGCAACUAGAAAUUAACAAGUUGAUGCCCAUAGAUUUCAUAACUUUAUGAUUGGAAAGUUUCAAAAAGUUUGAAACUUGAGAAAUUCUGAAUUUAACCUCCACGAAGCUAUUUUGAUUGAUUUGACUCACUUUGUGAUCAAACUAAAAAUACAACAUGCAAUUCAAGGUAGGAGUAAACUAAAACUAGGAAGAAAUAGUGGUAAAAAUUUGUUGUUAAAUUGAAAGCACAACAAAGAUAAGAACCUAUAAAAAGUACACGCAUAUAAAGUAUCCAUAAAAUUACUACAUUCUACAAAGGAUUAUAAAUUAUUCUCUCACUUGUACUCCCUCUAAAUUCCAUGAGGAAUCUGUUUAUCUUAUAGAAAUUGGUUUAGUCAGCAACAAGCACUAUAAUUCUUGAAAUAAAUUUUUUUAAUGCAAUUUUCAAUCAUUUUCCAAAAUACAAUUAAAUUGGAGCCAAGAUUAGGUUUAGCUUUCACACAAAAUAACCAAGCAAACAUAAAAAAACUCACAAUUUAGAGGGGUAAACUGAGUGGUCUAGAAUUGAGCUAGCAGCCUUACUAUAUCCUGAUUUGGACUUCAAUGUAAUAAGGAAUAUGACAGGGUUAGGAAAAGAGAAAAUCAACCAUCAUUGCAGUUGUUAUUUGUUGACUCAUUACUUUUCAAUCAAAACUUUAAGAACAAAAUGCCAUGAGCUUUGAAUAUCAAAUAAGUAUAAAUAUUAGUUCUAAAUUCCACAUAUAAAGUUGUUAGAAAGAUAAAUUAAUUGCGGAGUCGAAAAAUCUAUAUGCUGUUGUUUGAACUAGCAAAGGAGAAAGUACCUGGCGAACCACAACAUAAUCAUCAACUGAUAGACUUAACUCCCCAUCUGCUUGAGCAUCAAAUGGAUAUAUAACCUACAAGAUAAUAGGAUAAAUAAAACUUAAUAUUAAAAAAAAUUAAUAAAAGCAGAGCAAUAGUAGCAGCAUCUAUUAACAACUAUGAUCAUGACAAAUAAGGAUAUACUAGAAACAAAAUUCUAUUUCUACUAGGAAAAGAAUACCUUCUAGAUGAUAUCCAGGACUACUGGACUACCAACAGUUAUUAGACUCCCAUAUAUGAGUUUUGUAUGACUUAAUGUAGUUGUUUAAAUUAUAGAUGGGAACAUAAUUCUCAAAAUUUGACUGUUUUCCACAAAGCAUAGCCUAUGUAACAAGAAGGCCAUAGAUGUUAACAUAUAUGUUUCCAUAAUGUUGAUUUUGAUGAUAACAAACAAGAUUAAGAAUUAUUGAUCUUUCAAGCUCAAAUUAUUUAAUAUUCUUUUUAAAUAAAUCAUUAUUUUCACAUUAUAAAUGUUUUAUAUUUAAUAAUGAUUUUAUGAAAUUGAUUGUUUUUAUUCUUUUUAAAUAAAUCAUUAUUUUCACAUUAUAAAUGUUUCAUAUUUAAUGGAAAAAUGAUUUUAUGAAAUUGGUUGUUUUUCAAAGUUUAUAGUUUAAUUGAAAGAAUUUUGAAAACUUUGAAAUAAACAAGUAUUGCUUGAAAUUUCGGAUUUGGACCUAUUUGAAACUAUUUAAAUAUUCUUGGGCCAUUCUAUAAUUUCACAAAGUUUGGGUGAAGUCAUAAUUUCAGAAAGUUGUGGGAUUGACAAAGCAUUAUUCUAAAAUUCUGAAAUUGGACUUUUUUGUAAACUUUCAUAACAUUUUGGGCCACACUAUAGUUUUAUAAAGUUUUGGGGUCAAACUAUAAUUUUGGAAAAUAGUUUACUGUAGCAGUCACUGUAGCAAGCGGAAAUCCGAAUUCUGACAAAUGGAAGUCCGGAUUUUAGGCAGAAUCUAUCCGAAUUAAAAGCGGAAAUCCAGAUCCUGACAAACGAAAAUCCAGUUGUUGGGCAGUAAGCUACUGAGCGUAAGUGGAAAUUCAGAUGUGACAAAGCGGAAGUCCGGAUGUUCAGAAAUUCAAAUUUGUGGCUGUAACGGUAACAUUAAGCAAAAUUCCGGAUAUCCAUAACCGGUAAUCCGGUUACGACCAAAAUGUGCAUAACGGCUAGUUUUUUAGCUCAAACUAUAUAAACUCAAAACCAAUUCAUUUUUGGUUAAUCCAAGCAAGCAAGAACAAGUGCACACAACAUAUAUUGAGCUUCAAAUUCGUAACUCAUCAUUCAUUCAAUUAUCUUUGUUCUUCAAUUUGUAUAUCCAUUCUUAAAGAGAGUUUCAUUGUUGUGAUUUUCAUUUCUCAUCAAUUUGUGAGUGCACAAGUGUGGGAAACACUUAGGGUGAAGAGAUUGGGGAUAUAAUCUCUUGUUGUAAAGGUUCAUUGACACCUUAGAAGUCAAUUGUAAACAUUUGAAGCCUUGGGAGGCUUGGAUAGUGAAAUCCUCAAGCCGGGUGAGCUUGGAGGCGUGGACGUAGGCGGGGAUAGCCGAACCACGUAAAAAUCCUUGUGUUCGUUUUCUCUUCCCUUACUCUUUUAAUAUUGUGCUUGAUUGAAUUUAUUGUUUUCGAAUUUAUUAAGGCAUUAGAUUAAAUUGUUGUGUGGUUUGCCUAGGAUAAUUUUUAAAACUCCAAUUCACCCCCCCUCUUGGGUUGCACACUUAUAUUUCAUUUGGUAUUAGAGCGAGGUGCUCUUGUGUAGACUUAACCGUCUAGAGUUAAAGAUUCAUGGCAACCCAUAAUGACUCAAUCUUUAGGGAAGGACAAUUCACAAUUAGACCACCGUUCUUUGACGGUAAUGACUACCCAUAUUAGAAAACUAGGAUGAGAAUUUAUUUACAAGCACUAGAUUAUGAAAUUUGGGAAGUUGUUUGUGAUGGUCCUUUUAUGCCUUUAACUAAAAAUGAAGUCGAGGAAGAUAUUCCAAAACCUUCACGGGAAUGGAAUGAAUUGGAAAAGAGAAAAGCUACUCUAAAUUCCAAAGCUAUGAAUGCCUUGUUUUGUGCACUAGAUAAGAAAGAAUUUCAUAGAGUAUCUAGUCGUGAGAGUGCUAAUGAAAUUUGGCAUAAACUUGAAGUUGUUUAUGAAGGCACAAAUCAAGUGAAAGAGUCUAAAAUUAGUAGGUACACUCGGCAAUAUGAAUUGUUCCAAAUGGAACAAAAUGAGAGAGUGUAUUCUAUGUAUACUAGAUUUACGGACAUAGUGAACACUCUAGGAGCCCUAGGAAAGACUUUUUCAAAUAGCGAGAAGGUUAAGAAAAUUAUUAGAUCACUACCUAAUGAAUGGAGACCAAAAAGGAUUGCCAUUGAGGAAGCCAAGGAUUUAAAUAUCUUACCUAUUGAUGAUUUAAUUGGUUCUCUUAUUUCUUAUGAGGAAGACUUGGCAGCCGAAAGAGGCAAUGAGGAGAAGAAGAAAAACAUUGCUCUCAAAACCUCGAAACAGGAGAGUGAUGAGGAAAGCGAGCUGGAUGAGGAGGAGAUGGAUAUGCUGGCUAGGAGGUUCAGAAAACUUUUUAAGAAAUCCGAUGAGCGAAGAAAACUUAGAGACCUCAAGAACCGAAAGGAAAAGAAGGAAUUAAUCAAAUGUUAUGAGUGCAAGAAGCUUGGCCAUAUAAAAAUGGAAUGUCCUCUUCUCAACAAGCUCAAGAAGAAAGCAAUGGUAGCCACAUGGGAUGAUAGCGAUGAGGAAACAAGUGAUGAUGAAGAGCAUCAAGAAAUGAAAAAUCUAGCUCUCAUGGCAAUUGGAGAUGAAUCGGAUGAUGAACUUGAUGAGGUAAAUGAUCUUUUUACUUAUGAUGAAUUAUAUGAUGCUUUUAAAGAAUUGCAUGAUAAUUGGAUAAAAAUUGGUAAAAAGAAUGCAUGUCUUAAAAAGAAAAUGGUAGAGCUCAAAAAUGAAAAUGAAUCUCUAUGUGCAAAGAUUACAUGCCUAGAAUUAGAGAAUAAAACAUUGCAUGAUAGAGUUGUAUUAUCAAAUGAGAAAUCUAGCACUUCACAUGAGCAUGAAAAAUCACAUGUUGAUGAAUUGAUGAAAGAAAAUGAAGUGCUUAAGAAAAAGAGUAAUGAACUCAAUGAAAUUGUAUUAAAAUUCACAAAUGGUCAAAAGAACUUAGAAAAAUUACUAAGCACUCAAAAAUGUGUGUUUGAUAAAGGAGGACUUGGGUAUAAGCCUUACUUGAAACAAAAAUAUUAUAAGAAUUAUUUUGUUAAGGCUACCUCCACAAGUGAUCAUAAAAUUGUUUGUCAUUAUUGCAAUCAAAAUGGUCAUAUGAAGAAUAGAUGUCCUAUUAAAAGAAAUGUGUAUUAUGGAGUCAAAUGUAUUUGGGUUCCGAAAGGAACUAAAUCUAACACUCAAGGACCCAAGAGUAUUUGGGUACCAAGGGAUACAACUUGAAUUUGUUUUGUAGGUACCACAAACAAGGAAUGGUGGAGAGUUCCUUGAUGAAGCUUGUGAGGAUAAUCAUUUGAGCAUGAUCUAGGAGAAAAAGAUGAGGCAAGAUGAUUUAAUUGUUUUGGUAACAAUUCUUGUCAUAUUAAUUUUGUUGAAUGAAUCAUGAUAAAUGGAAUUUGCGAAAGUAUACUUGUAUGUUUACAUGAUAGAAUUAUCAUUGUGUAUAAUAUUCAGUGAUUUAUCAUGAUGCCUUUGUUUGAUUUUGAUGAUUGUAUGGUCUUUGAUUUCAUCUUCUAAAAUGUCUAUCAUCAUUGUCCAUCUCUUAUAUAUGUGUGAAAUCAUAUGCCAUUAAUUGUGUUAUAUCAUCAUUCUUUUAUAAAAUUGACAUCAUUGUUUGAUAUGACGUCAUAUGUUUGGUCUUGUAUGCAUAUAUGUUUCAUGCAUUAAAUGGCUUAUUGAAAAGUUUUAAAUCUCAAAAUGAUUUAAAAUUAAUCAAUCUUUAAAGCCAAAAAUAAAAUGGUGUGUGUAAUACUAGUAUAAGAGCUUGCCAAAAAUCAAUUAGAGCCAAAUAGAUUUCCAAUGACUAAACCGGUUUAUCACUUUCUCUAAUCCGGAAAAUGCUCUCUUAUUGAUUACUCUCGGGUCAACAUUCGGAUAACCGGAUUUGCAAUCCGGAAGACCGGAUUUGCUAAGCCUCCUCUAUGCCUCAAAACCGGAUAACCAGUGCUUAAAAUCCGGAAAACCGAAUUCAAGAGGCAACUUUUUGCCUCAAACCGGACUACCGGUUAUCAAAACCGGAAAGCCGGUUUCGCGUCGAACCUUGCUGGAGAAAACCGGAUUUCCGGUUCAUCUCAUCCGGCAAGCCGGUUUCGGGUUUCAAGCUUCUGGUCACAACCGGAAUUCCGGUUAGUGCAAACCGGAAAUCCGGUUUCGGAAGCUAUUUCAACUGUUCUUCUUCCAUCUUCAAACAGAAAUCCGGUUCUCUCACUCUCUCUAAAAACCGUUUGCUUCUCUCUCUUUCUCACUUGAUUUCAUUCCAAAAUCCAUCAUUCUCAUUUGUUUUUCAAUCCAAAUUGAUUCAUAUAAAUUAUUCCCCAUCCAUUCUUGUGUCUAAAAUCUUUUUAAUUGAUUAAAACUUACUCAAUUUUACUCAAUAUCUUAAAAAAAUUCGAAUUUAUGCAUUUUGAGUAUUUCAAAUUACCACUUCCAUAGUGUGCUUUCCUUAUGGAUUUUACCGUAGUUUUCUAUUAUAUUAUGUACUUACAUUUUCAUAUGCAUUGUUGCUUUCAUUGUGGAUUGAUGAUGAUUAUUGUUUGAUAUUUGGAUGUUUUAUAUUUGGAUAAUGUGGAACUAAUGUGCUUAUCUUGACUUUUUGAUGAUCAAGAGGGAGAUAUGAGAUGUAAGGGAGAAAUACAUCUACUUUGAGAAUCUUAAGCAUAUGAGAUUUUUUUUAAGUUAUAUUAAAAUGUCACAUUAAGAUCUUUGAUGAGCUUAGUUGUCUUGAUUUCUAAAAUGUGAUUAGUAAUUAUAUGACUUUUGAAUUGUUGACAUUAUGCUCUUAUGACUUUUGCAUUCCCUUGCUUAGCUUAUUACUUGUUCUAUUUUGGAUAAUAUGCUUUUUGAACAUUUUUUAUUGUCCAAAGGGGGAGACAAAGUAAUAAAUCAUUUUAAUGAUAUAAAUUGGGGGAAAUAAUAUGCAUUUUGAGCAUUCUUUUAAUAGUUGAUAAAUGAUUAUGGAAUCCUCGGAUUUAAUUGUUACAAGUGUUUGAGGAAUUCAUAUUGAUUUUGAUGAUUAAUGAUUAUAUGUGCAUUGCUUGAUGAAUGGAUGGAGUUAUUGAUUUGUUAUAAUUGUUUAAGCUUAUAUGGAAGUAUUUUUAACCAUGUUGUGUAUUUGAGGAUUUGUUCAUUUUUAAGGGGAGACUUUACCGAAAUUUUUGCUCAUACAAAAUUGGUAAUAUCUUUAUCAACUUAUUUUUUAUGCUCUUGUUUCGAUUGCAUCUAUCUAUUUUUUAUGAAAGGGGAGAUAAAUAUGAUAUGUUUUUGGAUAAAAUCGUUUUGGUUAAAAUUUUUAAUUGGCCAUAUAUUUAGGGGGAGCAUAUAAUAUGAUUUUGGAUAAUAUGCAUUUUGAAUUUUUUUAUUGUCCAAAAGGGGAGACAAAAUAAUAUAUCAUUUCGAUGUUGUCAAAAGGGGGAGAAUAACAUGCACUUUGAAUAUUCUUUUGAUGAUUAAUAUGUGCUUAUGGUGAUGAUUUUAAGAUAUGAUGAUGAUUUGAUUACAUUGUUUUAUAUGAUAUUUUGGAAGUGAUAUCACUAAUCUUGUAUUUGAGGUGAUGCUUGUUGUUAGGGGGAGAUUCUUUCAAAAUUUCCACUUGGACAACAUGGGUAACAAAUUUGCUAUUUUUAUUCUUUUCCUUUAAGUUUUCUUUUUUUAUGAUGAAGGGGGAAAAGAAUACAUGCUUUUAAAUUUAUAAAAAUUUACUACUCUUUUUCUUUGCCAAUUAAGUUUUCUUUUUGAUGAUGAGGGGGAGAAAAAUCCAUGUAUUUAAAUCAUUAAUUUAGCUAAUUGGCAAAUUGUAAAAGAAUAUUAUAUUUAGGGAAGCAAUUUGUGGAAUCAUUCUUUAAAUACAUGAAAUGUUUGUCAUCAUCAAAAAGGGGGAGAUUGUUAACAUAUAUGUUUCCAUAAUGUUGAUUUUGAUGAUAACAAACAAGAUUAAGAAUUAUUGAUCUUUCAAGCUCAAAUUAUUUAAUAUUUUUUUAAAUAAAUCAUUAUUUUCACAUUAUAAAUGUUUUAUAUUUAAUAAUGAUUUUACGAAAUUGAUUGUUUUUAUUCUUUUUAAAUAAAUCAUUAUUUUCACAUCAUAAAUGUUUCAUAUUUAAUGGAAAAAUGAUUUUAUGAAAUUGGUUGUUUUUCAAAGUUUAUAGUUUAAUUGAAAGAAUUUUGAAAACUUUGAAAUAAACAAGUAUUACUUGAAAUUUCGGAUUUGGACCUAUUUGAAAUUAUUUAAAUAUUUUUGGGCCAUUCUGUAAUUUCAUAAAGUUUGGGCAAAGUCAUAAUUUCAGAAAGUUGUGGGAUUGACAAAGCAUUAUUCUAAAAUUCUGAAAUUGGACCUUUUUGUAAACUUUCAUAACGCUUUGGGCCACACUAUAGUUUUAUAAAGUUUUGGGGUCAAACUAUAAUUUUAGAAAAUAGUUUACUGUAGCAGUCACUGUAGCAAGCGGAAAUCCGGAUUCUGACAAACGGAAGUCCGGAUUUUAGGCAGAAUCUAUCCGAAUUAAAAGCGGAAAUCCGGAUCCUGACAAACGGAAAUCUGGUUGUUGGCAGUAAGCUACUGAGCGUAAGCGGAAAUUCGGAUGUGACAAAGCGGAAGUCCGGAUGUUCAGAAAUUCAAAUUUGUGGCUGUAACGGUAACAUUAAGCGGAAUUCCAGAUGUCCAUAACCGGUAAUCCGGUUAUGACCAAAAUGUGCAUAACGGCUAGUUUUUUAGCUCAAACUUUCAUUGUUGUGAUUUUCGUUUCUCAUCAAUUUGUGAGUGUACAAGUGUGGGAAACACUUAGGGUGAAGAGAUUGGGGAUAUAAUCUCUUGUUGUAAAGGUUCAUUGACACCUUAGAAGUCAAUUGUAAACAUUUGAAGCCUUGGGAGGCUUGGAUAGUGAAAUCCUCAAGCCGGGUGAGCUUGGAGGCGUGGACAUAGGCGGGGAUAGCCGAACCACGUAAAAAUCCUUGUGUUCGUUUUCUCUUCCCUUACUCUUUUAAUAUUGUGCUUGAUUGAAUUUAUUGUUUUCGAAUUUAUUAAGGCAUUAGAUUAAAUUGUUGUGUGGUUUGCCUAGGAUAAUUUUUAAAACUCCAAUUCACCCCCCCUCUUGGGUUGCACACUUAUAUUUCAAUAGAUAAUUAGGGUUACAAGUGUCCGUCAUCUUUCGAGUAAUGGAUUUAAUAUGACAGCUUAUGGUCAGUCAAGUUCCCCUACCUAACAAGAUAAGCUUUCUGGGCUAGAUUUCUCAUAAAAUGCAUUGAUUGCCCCGAGGUCACAUCACUCGUAUCUAUAUGAACAUAGUUAUUUUAGGUAAACAAAGCAAAGAGAAUCAUAAUUCAACCACAAUCAUAAAAAAAGGCCAAACCAACUUAAGAGAAAAUCUUAAGAGGGAUCAUAUGUUGAGCUAUUAGCCUCAUAUCUAUAAGCAAUAUCAAGACUUUAGAUCACCUUCGAGGGAUGGCAAAUAUCCAAUUACGUGUCCAAGGCCUUUUGUUCUUUUUGGCAUCUGUUGUUUUGGCACAAAUAUUUUUGGCUCUUAAAAAGAAACAGUUUGAGAAAGUUCAAUUGUCCGAAAUGAAUUUCUAGAUCCGCGGAUUUAUCGACAUCAAGUUUGUAAAAAGAAUCCAAUUUUUCUUGGCAAUUAUAAUUAUAUUAUGUAGGAGCACAAAACUUACGAAAAGCCUUUUGAUUAUUUCAAUUCUGUUUCUACCGGAUGUCGGGAAUUUCUUGUACUGCAUUCCUAAAGCACAGUAUAUAUAUUGUGAAGAAGACUAUUGAACUUUCCCCCUUCUUUGUUUUUUCAAUACAAACUGGAGAAUGUCACUAUUACCAUAUUUAAAUAUCAUAGAAUGUGUCAAUAGUUUUCGAUUCUAUUAGACUAGAAUCAAAUUCGGCCUAUUUCCAAUUCUUUUUGCCUGAGAGCUUGUUUGUGCGAGCUCAUGUCCGUAUUUCCGUACUUUCAUCUCAUUCCCUUCCUCUAUAUGCUCUUCUCUUUCCUUUCCUUUCUAAGCGGGGGUUGGAAGCGACUCUCGUACAUUCGCUUUCCUCUGGCAGCACGAUGCCAAUUCCACCUCAGAGCCAGAAAAGAGUGGUGGUUCCUUACCGUUACAGAAGAAAUGAAUUGCGCGGGGACGAAGGCCCUUAGGCCAGAGUCCAUGGGGAGAUCCAUGGAUAUUUUAUUUUUAUUAUAUAAAAAUAAUAAUAUAAAAUAGUUAAAAUUUCAAUAUUAAAUUUGGUUAUUAAACUAUUUAUAUUAGUAAUAAUAUAUAUAUAUAUAUAUAUAUAUAUAUAUAAAAUAAAAUGGCGGUCCGGUGGUCGGUGGCGGCGGUCCAGCAACUUUCCGGUGAAUUCCGGCGGAGCUCCGGCGACCUUCCGGCGAUGUCUGCGGUGGUCCGGCGAUCUUUCGGCGAGGUCCGGGGAUGUCCGGCGGUGGUCCGGCGAGGUCCGUCGUUAAUUCCGGCGGAGUCUGACUGUGGCCCGGCGAGGUCCGGCGGUAAUUUCGGCAAUGUCCGAUGGUGGUCCAGCGAUGUCCGGUGGUGGUCUGGCGACUUUCCGCUGGAUGUCCAUUUAUAAUAUUAAAUUAAUAAAAUAAAAUAAUAAUUAUUAAUAGUAUUAAAUAAGUUAAAAAAUUAAAGGAUAAUUUUGAAAACUUUAGUUUUUAAUAUAAGAGGAAUUUAAAAUUUCACUAGUUAAUAUAAUAUUUUUACAAUUGUUUGUUUAUUAUAUUUUUAUUUUUAAUUUUAUUAAAUUAAAAUUUUUUAAACUUGUGUUGGGUUAAACGGAUAUCCAUUGGAUAAAAAUAAUUAACCAUAUCCAUCCAUAUCCAUCUGGAUAUAAUUUUAAAAUAUCCAUUUCAAAAUCCAAAAAUUUUUGGAUAGAUAUUAUCCGAUCCAAUUGGAUGGAUAUUGUAGAUAUCUAUUAUGGAGCGAUCCAGUUGUCAUCCCUACCUACGACAUCAUAAGUGGCAACACAACUUUGGAGUGGUCAGACAAUCGAGUUAGGAUGCAUAGUCCCAAACUUCAGCAUACAACUUCUCUAAAAUAGCAAUUGUUAACAUAUAUGUAUGCAUAAUGUUGAUUUUGAUGAUAACAAAUAAGAUUAAGAAUGAUUAAGUUUUAAAAACUCAAAUUAUUUUUCAUACAUUUUAAAUAAAUCAUUAUUUUCAUAAUAUAAAGGUUUUAUACUUAAUGGAAAAAUAAUUUUAUGAAAUUGGUUAUUUUCAAUUAAUGGCCUUCAACAAAAGCUUUCCAAGUUACUGUUUGUCCUUCUUCCUAGUAUGCCCUACACAACCACUGCCACCACUGAUUGGCUUCUCCCUCGAGGUGAAAGGAUGCUAACACCACUCGUUGAUCUUCGGUUGUUUCCUAGUAAUCAAAAACUUGGGUUACACGAUUAAACCACUCAGUGGGAUCAUCACCUGAGUAACGUGGGAAUUCAAUCCUAGCCAAUCUUGAUGGGAACUGUUGUCGUUCCCUGCCACUCUCUUCUCUUCUAGGCCGUGAUGUUGUGCGCGGAAUGCGGAAUCAAGCGCACCAAAUAAUUAUAGAAAAAUAAAGGAAACAAGAAUUACGUGGUUCGGUAAUUAAACCUACAUCCACGGAGGCGAGAAAGAAUAAUUGUUUAUUUAACAAUUAACAGAGUACAAUAUUUGAGUAACGAAUCUUACUUGCUAGAAACCCAAAUAUACCCAGUACUCUCACACUCUGCAGGAAAGAUAAAUUCUUCAGACACACUUCUCUCACUUCUCUCAAAAGCUUAUAAACUUAUAAGCUUAACAAUUUUGGGAUGAUUCCAAAUGAAUGAAAUCCUUAGCUAUUUAUAGGAGAAAUGAAUUACUAUGCUAAGAAUAAAAUAAUAAAAAAUAUAAUUUUUAAUUAUUAUUUUUCAAUUAUUAUUAUUUUUCAACAAAUUGUUGGUGCACCAACAAUUUGUUGACUUCAACACGUGAUGAUGCUGCAUGCUCAUGAUGACUCGAUACUCCCUUAGAUGCACUAAUUGAGCCGGCCAAUUUGCUGAUCACUCUUCCAAGUGAUGCAAUUUAUUGUUAAUGCCCAUCUCCAUCCGCUGCAUGCUAUCUUGCAUACUUCCGAGCUCUACUUCGACACGUUCAAUUCGCUCCUUGUUGGUUGUCAUUGUUGAUCCUAUGCUCUGAUACCAAUGAUAAGUCCCGAUCAUAAACGUACAACAAUGGCUAAGUUUACGUUGUUCUACUUAUGGUGAGAACUACCAAGAAUAGUAAUUUGAGAUAAUUCUAUGGAUAAUCCUCUUAUUAAUUGCAGGAGCUUAUUUAUAGUAGUUAAUAAAACACUACAAAUUAUUUGUAGCCACAAUUCCCGGCUAAAAUCAAUUCAAAUAAGUAAUAUUAAAUAACAAACUAGAACCAACGAGGCAUUGGAUCAAUUGGCAACUGGUCCCCCUUAAGUGGCUCGAAUGGGUGUGAUUCUCAGUUCGUGUCGCAGAGAAGUAAUCUUUGUUAGGAGGACUCGUGCCUCCCGGUCCGAAUCCGGAUUACUCGGGACCUAAUGCGGUCUACCGAUACCGAGUGACUUCAAUAAAAAUAAAUAACAAACUAGAAACAGAAAUAGAAUCCCACUUGAUUUGAUUCUCCACUCGAUCCGCAACGUGGCUUGACGUGGUAAUUUCCUUGCCUUGCUCCAACAAACAACUACUCUUUAAUCCAUACGUAGAUAAGUCUUGCAUGAUUUUGCAUGCAACAUGCAUGACCACAUGCAUGGCUGCAUGAGAUUGAUAAAUGUUCAAACAAAGCCCUCAUAUCUGUAGUUAGGCUUAUGAACCCUUGCUGACCUCCUUGGCUCUCUAUCAAUAAACCAUCGAAGCAAUUUGCAUGCUUAUAUACUAUGAAUUCAGUGGUGGAGGCGGUGCUGUGGUGGUGCUGGUGAUCGUUCUGCUGGCGGGGGAAAAAUCAACCAGCUAUGACGAUUAUUUAUCUUCGGUGAAGAUGGUUCUAUAUUCCGUACUCUAAGGGACCUAUGUGACGCCAUCUUCAAAUUAUGAAAAUUAAUAACUUGUGAAGAUAUUUCAAUCAAAGACGACUUGGAAACAAUUUCAGUGGCUUUGGUCAUAUAAGCAUCAUGUGAAAGAAGCAGCCCAUGAAUCUAGAAGAAAAUGAGAAAAUAUGAAUUGGCAUUCAUUUUCAAGCAAUGAUGUUAUGACCUCUUUAAGCCAUGCUCUUAAUAUACAUGUCAGUGAAAUAUGUAAUUGGUUUAUUUAUCAAGAGAAGUCAUGACUAUUAUAUUUGAAUAGAAGAAUUUAUGAUUUCCCGUUAACAUUAUUAUUGAAGUGGGGUGGCUCAAAUGUCAAUUGCUUGAAGAAUUUAGUUAUUAUUAGUAGUAUUGAAGUGGGGUGGGUAACGGUUCACUCAAUUCGUGGGGGAAUCAUAUAUUACCAUCCAAGGUACAAUUGUGGAAAAUUAAAGCAAAAUGAGAAAUAUGGAAAAAAAAAUGGAAGAAAGUUAAGGCAUGAAAGACCUACAGUUGAAAUUGAUAAUCAUGUUUCUAUUUUGUUAACUAAUCAAAUGGAAAACUGAACCGUAAACAAACAUUAAAACGUGUGGACUCCGCUAGCUGCCCUACAAGUCUACAAUAAUAAUUGAGUACCUUUGAUUCAUCCUUCUAUGAUUUUCUAGCUCUAUUGACUCCAUAGACUCAACAUUAUUUAACGACACUCUGACCUUUUUUUUUUUAAAUAGCGCCACAAUAUAAUAGUCUGAUUUUAGAAUUUCAGUGUAAUCAUAGUCUGAUUUUAAGAAAAUUAUAACUUAUUUUAAAUAGCGCCACAAUAUAAUUCUAAAUAUUUAAAAGGAAAACAUUAUCCACCUGGAACGACUUCAAGUCCAAAGUAAAAGACAAGAGUGGCUCCCCGCAAAUUUCUUGUUUUCAGUAUAUUUUCUCUUUUUCUUUUUUAAAAUCUUUUGACGCAUGCAUAAUCUACCCUUGUUUUUUAUCUCUACUUUGCUCUGCUCAAGUCCCUUUUUUUCAAAUAUUAUUUUAAAUAAUAAAUUGAAUAAAAGUACAUUUGUGUAAUUAAUUAGUAUCUUGUAAUUAAUUAGUAUCUGAGGGGGCAUAUUUGGUGUAAUACUAUGUACAAACAUCGUUAACAAAUACUGAAAUUGGGUAAAUUGAAAAAAAAAAAAUCUAAUUCAAGUAAUAUGUAGUUUUUACAUGUUGAUCAGCAGGAUACAACAUUAAAUUUUGUCAUUGACAAUAUUGCAUGCCUGUCAUCUAAAGCAUUACCUCACAAGGUUUUAUGAGAAACGAAAGACUAGUGUCACAAGGUUUUACUAUUCGCAACAAAAAGGGGUUACUAAUUGGAGAAGACUUUACAGAGUUCCUCUCACACUUUCUCUCACUCAAUUUCAUCUAGAAGUCCCUCCGAAAGCAUCACCCAAAACAGUUAGUCAUCUUUUAUACUCUGUUUUCUGGAAACAGAGUCCUAACUAACUUAACUGACUGUACAGAGCACGUCAACAUAGCAUAUUUAACCAUUUUAACGGUAAUUUGAACCGUCUUCAGAGUUAUCAUCAACAAGCUCAUUCAUAUUUGUCCAAUCUUACGGACGAUAUCAUAUGCUUAACUCGACACAAUCUGGAUUCAACCUCCUCCUAUCCAACAAGGGAUUUCGAUUUGAGUUACUUUGUGCUCAAGCAAAUUCACAUCAGAGUUUUGAUUCUUUAGAUAUGAAUUCAUCACAUUAUAUAUGUCGGGUUAAGUGUAACAAAAUUUUUAAUUCAGUGCGAAAAGAAUAUGCGCUAAAAAAUGAUUUCAAGACUAUUUGAUUACCAAAAGCUGCUGUCAGAGUGCACCGAAAGUUUCUGUAGGAUGCUUUGCGGUUGUCUAUUAUGUUAUGAUGGGCAUAUAAUCCUCAAAUUUUGACUCCUCUCAGCGAAGAAUAUGUCAAAGUUUAGAUUAUGUGUUCGAGCUUUAAUAAAUGCCUGAGUUAAUAAUAAUAACAACAAUAAUAGUAAACUAAAUAACAGAAUUACUAUUGAAUGGUUGGAAAAAGAAUUGAAAACGUGUGAACUCCAAUAACCACCCCACAAAUUCAGUGCGAAUUUUGGAGAGGCAAGGCCGAGCUUCUCUGAAAAAAAAUUAUUUAGUUACAAAAUUACCUUUAUUGAAACCUAUAUAAAAAUUUUUAUAUUAAUUAGUUAUUUNNNNNNNNNNNNNNNNNNNNNNNNNNNNNNNNNNNNNNNNNNNNNNNNNNNNNNNNNNNNNNNNNNNNNNNNNNNNNNNNNNNNNNNNNNNNNNNNNNNNAGGGGAAAAAAAAAAUUCAGCUCACUCAAAAACAAAAAAAUGGUAUUAACUUCGCCACCGCACAAAUCUAGAAUAAUAAUAAUUCCUUAUCAUGCUGGGGAUCCUGUAAUUUCUCGCCGUAUUGACAGCACCAGGUAAAGCUUUGUAAAAUAAUAAGUUACUCAUUAGUGGUUUUUAGUCUUUUUAAUUCUUUUUACCGCACACCUGAUCAAGAAUUUUAUUUUGUUAACUAAUCAAUUGCAAAGCAUAUAUAAGUGUUGAACGGUACACAAGAUUGGAAAAAAAAAUCUUAAAAAACGUGCGGAUUCGGGUGGCCACACCAGAAAUCUAUUACAAUAAUUAGCUUUGAUGCUGGGAAUCUUUUAAUUUCUGGCCGUAUUGAAGUUUUUAAAAUAACAAGUUCCCCUUCUCGUUUUUUUUUUUUUAAAUAUAUAUGGUUAUAACAAUUUUAGAAUAAUGACUCAUUUGUAGAAGAAUUUAUGAUUUCCCAUUAAUAUUAAUAUUGAAGUGGGGACUGGGGUGGGUCAAAUCUCAAUUGCUUGAAGAAUUUUUUUAUUAUUAUUAAUAUUGUUAAUAUUGAAGUGGGGUGGGUAACGGACCAGCGUUUCACUCAAUUCGUGGCGAAUUAAAUAUUACCAUCCAAGGUAGAACUGUGGAAAAUUAAAGCAAAAUGACAAAUAUGGAAAGGAAGGCUGAAAGUAAGGCAUGACGAAAGGCUUUGAGAAGGCUGAAGACUACCAAAGAAGUCAACUGAAAACUAGCUGGGGCCUGAGUGUAUAAAUUGUAAAAUGUGUUUGUUAUAAAUAACAUAGAGCCCUUUUGUUAUUUAUAGUUAUAGAGAAAGAGAGAACGUGUGUUUUUUAUUAGUUAGAGAUAUAGCUAGAAUGGGUGGUUCAAAAUCCAAAAUGGUGACAAUGUUAGUUCUCAUAUUAAUAAUAUUAGGAGGGGGGGUGGAGUGAGGGAUGUUUGGAGCAUGAGGAAUUUGCUCAUUUUCGGCUUAAACAUUUCUUCAAUUCCCCUUAUAGACUUCAAAACUGGGUAGAUGAACAAAGGGAAAGGGUUUAGUGCAGCAACUCCACAGGCCGAGUGGUACAACUACACCUUAGUCUUACUAGAAAUAUCGAUCUGGGAGUGUGGUAUCUGAAUGCUUCUCUCUUUACUCCCUUUCAACAACUUGGUAACAAAAUAGUCGGCUGCAUGCGUUGAGAAUGAAGGUCCUUCAUUUAAUUUAAUUUACUUAAUUUCUCCCUCCUAAUUAAUGUAUAUAACCAUUAGGAGGAACAAGGGAUUUCAUUAACUCAAAUUUACCUCAUGGAGCUCAUUCUUUGGUUUUACUUGCAGGUCUAGAAGCAAUUGUCAUCUAACAGCUGCUUUGAUAAUUUCCCACCCCUUCAUCUUUGAUGGAAAGAUGAAAUAAAAACAAAAUGGUGAAAAUGGUAUUGGUACCUGAGGCUAUGUAAUCUAAUUCAACAACUGCACCAUCAAAACGAUUACAUAAGUCCCAGAAGAAUCAAACAUUAGUUUGCAAAAUAUCAAUUGCUGGAGGUUUGAUUCUAACUUCUGCUCUUCAUUUUUAUGGGCAUAUUGUGUUGUACUUGCAUCCAAAAAUCAUAUUUUAGUUUACUUACACUCAACGCUUGGAUUAAAGUUUUAGGGGGGGGGGGGAUUGAAGAAGACUAAAAUGACACAAAAAAAGAGUUGAGCGAGUGCGGGUUUUGUCUUCAUUUAAGGAGCUCUUUGUAAAUUUUAGGAUUUUUUUCCUAAGAAAAUUUAUGCCAACUCAUUCUUUGCUUCUUUUCAGAACGGACAGAUGCAACCGAAAGUAUAUUCUUGAAUUCUCUAGGAUGAGAGACAUACGUUUAGAUUCUCGAGCCUUUGAAACAAUAUCAAAUUUUAGAUUGUUGAAAUUUUAUAUAUCUGAGUAUGAUGGUGUUCCAAUUAUAAGCUCCAGGGUGCAACUUCACUAAGGUUUAGAAUACCUUCCUAUAGAAUUGAGAAAUCUUCAUUGGCAUAAAUAUCCUUUGAAAAUAUUGCCAUCAGAUUUUGAAUUGGAGAACCUGAUUGAACGGAGCUUGCCUUGUAGUAAGGUUAAGCAAAUUUGGAAAAGAGAAAAGGUAUAAUGUAUUGCUAUUACCAAAGUAUCUAUUUUUCUUGCUUUAAGUAUUUAUAAUGAAUAACUUUGAAAUUGAAUGAUGCUCAUUUAGUAUAGUUAUGUAUCUUUGGUUAUAGGAAGCUGUCAAGUUAAAAUCUAUAGAUCUUCACCACCCCCUGUAUCUCAAUAGGAUCCCAAAAAUACUAAAUCUUAAAAAAAUAAAUCUUUCAAAAUGUGAAAGCAUGCUUACGUUACCCGCGUAUAUCCACAAGUUCAACUAGCUCAGUAUGUUGUGUUUCAUGGGAUGCAAAAUUCAUUUUGCUUCUCAUGAAAUGAUUGACUUGUCCGGAUGUAUUAGGGUUAAUAAACCAACUAAUCCCAUAAUUUGUUGAUGUAGGGUCCUAACAAAUUAUUGCAGUAGAUUGUAGAUUAAUACACUAUUCGAAAACGUAUUUGAUCCACACAGUGAAUGUUUGAGGGUGCAUUUCUCGCCAACUAGCCAUACCCUAAACGAGGAGCCGGUCUCCUUGUAAUUGAGCAGACAUGUGAAGUCUGGUAGCAAAUAUCCAAGAGUAGGAAUUCUCUGCUCAAUCACAAGGACAUCCUCUUUUGGACUAUAAUUCGAACAAGGUUCCUGCUAGGAGCCGAGAGCCUUUCCUGCUGAAGAUCGGGGUCGGCAAACCUAGUCUAUAAUGGUUAGCGAGACGUGUACUCCUAUUCAAGAAUCUAGGCACGAAACCCACUCAGUCGCAACUACGACAUUCAGGCAUCCACUUCCGUGAGCUGAGGAAGGUGAUGGACGUGGAUCGUGGGGCACCGGAUUCGUAGGAAUGCUAUAAAACGGUAAUCAACGAAGGUAAAUGGGUUAGACACUUUUACACUAGAACUUAAGAAAUAAGAGCAUUUACUAAAAAAAGGAGAGAAACACUCAUAGGUGUUCCACUGCCUAAGAGAUCAUGAGAGAGCCACGAGAUCAGUGGCCGAGUUUCCCAAAAAGUAAACCUAAAUUUCUGAUUUGAGCGUAGGAGGGUUUCUCCGGCGUGCUCUGACCAUUUUUUGUGUGCGCAGGAGUCUGCUAAGUCAUACAACGCAUAGCUCUGCUCGGUUAGAAGAGUUACGUGAAGUAUCCUAGGUUGGUCGUGAGUUCGGGAGUUGAGGAGAGAUCCUGGUCGCAGACGAGCAGGCACCAGAAUCUCGCAUCAAUAGUGAAGAUGAUUCAAUAUUAAGCAUGUCAUAUAAUCUGGAAGUGGAUAUUGGACCAAUUUGAUGAUAAUGAAUUUCUUUCAAUCUCAAUCUUUUUCUUUUUAGCAACAUGACUAGUCAUUGUGCAAAUUUAAACUCUGACAAUGAUUUCUCAAUCGGUUUCUAAAAUGAUGACCAUGCAUGUAUAUGUAUAUGCGUGUGUAUAUGUGUGUGUGUGUGUAGAGAGAGAGAGAGAGAGAUCACAUGUGUGUGAUUUCCUUUUGCCAAUAGGAUAUGCAGAGAGCUUGAUCUUACCCAAUAGCGAAACAAACUUCCUAAUAAGUGAAGGUAUAGUAUAAAUACUUAUACUUUCAUGUUAUUUUGUUCAUCAGUAGCUUGAUUAUUUUAUAUGCGUCUUCGAUUUUAAUUUUCUUUCCCUAUAAUCGCUAUUAUCUUUGAACUGGUCAUGAUUUGCCCGUAAGAUUUCUCAUGUUGUUUUGAGGUGCAAUGGAUUUUGAAUUUAGUGACAAGCAGUGGAAGCCAGAAGGCAAAUUAUGAAAAUGGAUAAAGAUCUAUAAUUAGCUGUUAUGGGAUGUCACAUAUCAUAUUGAUGGUAACAUUAUAUAUAUGUACAUAUAAUUAAUGGGGUUGGCUCACGAGCCCAUUAAUAAUCGUAUAUUAGUUUAUAUACUUCAAACAAUGUACUAUGAAGCAAUUUCACAAAUACUUGUUAGCUUAUGUUGAGUUUUAUUGAAUCAGUAGUUCACAGUUCAAUAAAAUGCAGGUUUGCUAUUUGAAGUACAUGGUUAUGGUGCGUACAUUCUUCAUAAGGCUAACUACUAAUUGAUCAUUGAAACUUGAAAAAUGUGACAGAGAGAUGUAGAUAAUAGCCGCAAAACACUGAGAUUGAAAAUCAAGGCUACUAAAUUCUAUUAAAAGCCCUUAAAAUAGACAGCAAUCACCCUGAAAUGUAUAUACUGAAACUAAGAAAUAUUAAUCGCAAAGUUAUGCAUUAAUAGAACUAUUGACUACUUAUCUUUAGCAUAAGGUAUAUUUUUAACUAUAGCUUUCUGCUUUGUUCUAAGAACUAGGCAAAAGUGGUGUAUCUUCAAUCCAAUCAAUAUAUAUACCACUUAUCUUCCUCUUCACUUCUGUCUAUUUUGAUUUGCACUUCAUAUCCUGCACUUGCUGCUUAGAAAUAGUCUUAUUCUGGACAUUGAAAGUAGAAAAAGUGCUUGAAACAAUCAUUGGCAUAGCCCGAGAUUCCAUUGAAUCGUGGACUCCAAGCUUUCAUAGUUCUAUAAAGAAAAUGACAAAACUUCAUACAACUGGCAUUCUGCUUUUAACAUUUGCACAAUCUGAGCGAGUUAGCAAGCCCAUUGUUGCGUUCCCAUUGAAUAGACCUACUUCUGUUAUCCACAGAAGAUCCACCACUCAAAAUGUUUAUCACCAGGCUAUUCUUAAACUGAGCCUAAACUGAGUAGAAACUUCCGCACAUCUCUCAGCAUUCUACAAAGUUGCAUUUCACUAAGCAAUCUAUCCUCUCCAUUCCUAGCAAAGUGACAUUGAUUCCCGUAUUUGUAAUCGCCUAACUUGGGUUUUGGGCAUAGCGUGGUCUUAAAAUUACCACCCAAUACUUUGUUCAGUGCCACUGGCAUCCACAAGCUCUAGCCCAGUUAGCUGAAUCAUAUUCAAUGGGACAGUAAGGCAGCAUUUCACUAACAUAUUCAAUUUGACUACUUAUAUUGACGCAAAUAUUAGAAUUUGAAAUCACUUCUUUUCUUGGAAUAUUAUAUUAAAAUGACCCCAAAUGAAAGUUCUUGAAUGGAAAUUAUUUUUAUUUAAUUUUCGAACAGGUUCAAGAGAACCCAGAGAACACAAAAUUUACACAGUAAUAUGAUUAAGAGCUAAGAACGUACAUAUAGUAAAUGUCUAUCAAAAAACACCCAAGGGUUUCUUUAAAAUUAGAAACUAGUAAACAAAAAGAAAGAAUUAUUUUACUUUUUUAGCAACUUUGGGGUGAGUGAGUGAGUGAGUGAGAAAUUGAAACCCUAAAGUGAUGACAACAGUAAGAUUCAGUAUGAAGUGAAACCCCAAUUUGAAAUGUAGGCAUGAGUUGCUGAGUCAGUAGAUGAAGCUAUAAAUAGGCAUUCAGUUUCCUUCUUUUCGGUUUAAAUCACAUAUUCUAGUUAAAAUCAAAUAUAUAUUUAUAUGAAGCUUGUAAAUUUUUUUUUUUAAUACUGAUAUUUGAAUAUUAUCAAUAAAAAAAGGGUAAUGUUCAUGCUGCAUUAUUUUUGUAGCACACAAAAGGACAACACCGUUUAUGUUAUAAUACUAUCGCUUCUGUUAUGAUAAUAUUUUUUUUGUGGCCAAAUAUCAUUUUUUAAGUAAAAUGGUGGACAAAAUGCAAAUCAGUUUUUAAUCCUCAAUCUCUCCCAAAAUAUAAAUUCGUAGUUAACAAAACAAAAUUGUUGGAAAACCAUUAAGCUAGGUUUAAAACUAUAGCUGACAAAAAGUUAAUAACAAAAACAGAAUGUCCAUUUUAUAACUUUCUUAAAAAACUUUCCUUAACUUUUUUAAAAAGUUACCAACAAAAAGUUAUUUCCAAUUUUUAUUUUGUUAUAAUUUUUAUAACAAAAUUCGUAGUUAACUAAACUCUUCUUAUGCCCUUUCUUAAUUGCCAUACCCUAACCACGCUCAAUUUAGGCCAUCACAGUGACCGACAGCCUCCCUAUCUCCAUUUCAAGCUCCCUCUUCAACUGGCUUCUGCGAUCGUCCUACUCUUUCUCGGAUUCGGAGUCCGUAUUUGCUCGGCCGGUCCCACGCAGCUCCCUCUCACUCCAGUUGUGACCCAACAAGACCAAUUGCUUAAUCAAGGCACAGAACAAGAAGAGGAUGAGAAGUUGAAACAAUAAUUUGAGAAUUGGAAAUCGAAAAAGUACGCAUUGACCGUGCCUGUAAGGUUUGUUUCUCUUCAGAAUUCAGUGCCUCAAUCUUGGGUUAAGGAUUUUAUGCGAAGUCAAGGAAAGAGAUUGAAGUUUCAGAUGAAUUUGUGUGCUAGCAUUGAUGGGAUCUUUAACAAUUUAUCUGUGCCCUUUAACAAAGUUAAGGCUAAGUCAGCUUCUUAUAUGGCUGCUGAUUUGGUUAGUGUUGGUGAUUCGUGGCUUAGUUUUGCCAUUAAAAAGAGAUUGAUUGAGCCAAUAGCUGGAGCUGAAGACCAAGAUUGGUUCAAAUGCUUAAGUCACAGGUGGGGCACAACGGUGAUAGCCUACAAGAAAAGUAAAUUUCGAAAGCAUAAUUUGGCUCCGAUUGAGGUAAUAAUUUUCUUUAAACUCAUUUAGUUUUAUAUCAAACAAAAUCAAGACUGCCUUUCUCUUCAAUAUUUUUGAUGAUAAUAUCUUUAGAAGCAUCUCAUUGACGCGUAACAAUGGCAUCCCUGAAAGAGUCUAUAAACUCAAUGAUAUUAUCUUCUACAAAUGGUUCAUUAAACUUUGUCGUUGUACUCAAAUGUACACUCAGAUCAAUGAGAAGCUAUGCCACUGUAGCAUGUAGUGAUGUCACUUAAUAAGUGAGUUGCUAGGAUGUGAACUAGAAAAAUUAAAUAUUGUCUCCUUGGGUAUGCUAGCUCGUAAGUCAGGGUUAAUAUCAGAGCUUAAGAUACUAUAACCGUGAGAACCUAUUGACUGCCAAUUAAAAUAUCCAUUAAAAUGUCUAGGGAGUUAUGAAGGUGGGGGUAACUUCCAAUUUCUAAGGCCACAGAGUAGACAUCAUCCAGGAUCCUAGUACAGUGCAGUUAACCUCCUGCUUGAUGCAAUUAAUAAAUUUGGUCAAUGCCACUGAAACAUGCUAACUGACGUCGCAAUGCGACAUGAGCACUUCAAAAUGGGAGAGACAGUCAGUAGCACUAAAUUUUUCUUGCCUAAGAUUGAGCAAUUGGUCUAACUACUAAUCCCUAUUGUAGGUUGAUCAUUAUUUUUUCAGUUAUGUUCAGUUUGACCCAAAAAGUUGCAGAAUCUUGAGCUGAAUACUGAACAUUGUCAAUGUCGUUUAGCGUAGCCAACUAACUUGAGUUUGGUAAAACAAACACACAGUGUGUCUCAUGUCUCACAAUUCAAAUUAUCAUCUGUAAUGACGGAGAAUUUUUCCAAUGUAUGAAGUAUGCUUUGAUACGUGGGUUACCUUGGAGAAGAUAUCUCAAAAUAAAGAAUAUGGGGAGAAAACAGUUCAGUAGUUUAUUAUUCUGUAGUCAAGUUUUGUCUCGAAAAUGGUCAAAAUUUAAAUGAAUAAGGACAGGGGAUCUUCAUUCUUUUUUCCCUUUUUUAUACCAAGAUAUCUCUCAACCUUUAUAUAAUCCCCACUGGAUAUCUGCUUCUAAUAAUUAAAAUAAAAAUUUCACCGCUCUAACAAUAAAAAGUAACAUCUUUAGUCAAAUAAUUUACAGUUCCUCAUCAUCUUAGUGUGAGACUAUCAGUACAUUCCAAAAACAUAAUAAAACUGGUUUGAUCCUGUUUAUUGAUGUUUAAAUGUUGUUCAUUGUGACAUGUAGAAAUGAUGAGGCAAAGUUUAUUUGGGCAUCAAUUAGUAAGAUCUUGUUUGAAGUUGUUUUCUGAAAUGAACUGCCAAAUGGUAGUUUUUUGGGGGCAUUUGAUGGCUCUUUUUUUUUCCUCGUUUUCAACAUGUGCCUGCUUGGAACAGGAAGGAUUAGGCUGCAGAGUUGUUAUUUAUUUUGAGAUGCUCUGGUCAUUGCACAAUUUGUUCACACUGGAAAUUAGAAUGAGAAAUUUGUUGAUGCUGUUUUGAGAGAUCUGCAUUCUAUGCACAAUAACAUGAUUAAUGAAAAUGUAUUGUAGGACUGGAAAGAUCUGUGGCAGCCUGAGCUCGCAGGAAGAAUUUCAAUGGUUAAUUCUCCCCGAGAGGUUAUUGGUUCAGUUUUGAAGUAUAGGGGAGCAUCAUACAAUUCAAACAAUAUUGAUUCGCAAGUUGCUGGUGGGAAGAUUGCUGUUCAGCAGAAUCUGGCAUUACUGGCGAACCAGGUACUCUUACAGAAAUGAUAUCUGGUCAUUGCAUGUUAUUGCCUGACAACUGAUUUUGUUUGUAAAAGUCUGCUUCUUCAUACAUAUGAAUGCAUAUGUUAGUGUUUUCUUCUCCUUUUCAUACAUAUAAAUGCAUAUGUUAGUGUUGUCUUUUCCUUUUCAUACAUAUUAAUACAUAUGUUGGUGUUCUCUCCUGAGAUGGAUGCAAUAAAGGCUUUUGCUCCUAAAUUUAGCUGAAGAAAUGGCAAGGGAUGUGAGAUUCUGUCUCAUUAAAUUAACAAAAACCCAAAGCAAUGAAAAUCCAUAAUAAUGUGGUGUGGGUAAAUUGGCUCCAUUUGGUUCGUUUCCUUAAUGUGAAUGCGCGAGCAAUAGAGACUAACAAAAUGAAGUGACAACAAGAAGUCAGUGUCCUUUGAUGGAUGCAUUUUUAGGCAGAAAUAUGUUUGUAAUUGACCAAAAUUGUCUGGCAUGCCAAUUUCAAAAAAAUUAAAUUAUGUGGUUAUUAGCUGUAAUGAAGGAGGAUAGUAGGUGCAAUCAGGUGGAUCCAGGAAAGUUCAACAAAGUUUUGGUAUGGCGUAGUGAAAUUGGUUUGUGCAACUCAGGAGUCUUUCAGGUGAACGAUGAUAGGUUUUGAUUUAUGAAUAUUAUAAAUCUACUGUGCAUAGUAUUCUAGUAGAAUCAUCUAUAAGUUCUAGUUAUUGAAAUUGUAUACUUUGCCCGGUUUGAGUUAAGGGCACAUGUAAUAUGAAAGAUAGUUGUCGCAUCUUUUAGGUUACCUAACAUUUGAUCAAUCCUAUUAUGGGGGCUUCAAGAUGUCUAACAAUAUGUAGAAUGCCCAUGCGCCUCCCCAUUGUUUAUCUUCUACAAUAAUUUGUUUUAGAUGCUAAUAUCUUUGUCGAUACCGGUAACAAUAUUACAAUAUCUGCGUUUAUUGGGUUUUAUAUAGGUUCGACUGUUUGACUGUACACACUAUCUGAAGGCAUUUGCAAUUGGAGAUGUAUGGGUUGCUGUUGGGUGGAUUAGUGAUGUUCUUCCUGCUGUCAAACAUAUGUCUAAUGUUGCUGUGUUGUUCCCAAGUCUGGUGCUAGCUGCCUGCCAUUCUACUUCGAUAUUCACAUUGUUAUCUCCUUCAUAUUAGCAAUCAGUAAACACGUAAUGUGGCUAAUAAGUUUGUAUUCUCUUUAUAGGCAAUCCCUGCUGCCUCAAGACUUGAAACACAACAAAUUGGAGGGCGAGUCAGAGGUCCAUCUCCAUUAAUCCAUCAAUGGAUAGAAUUCUGCUUGCAAACAGCGAGAGCAUUGCCUUGCAAGCAAGAGGUUAUCCCGGGUGCAUCUCCCUCUGCCCUUGAAAGUACUCUGGUUAAGUUGCCUGAAGAACUUCUGGAGGGUAAACCAAGUCUGGAUACUAACUUAAUUGCUGGAGUACUCCCGGCUGAAAUUCUGGCCAGAUGUGAGUUUUUGGAGCCAUUAUCUGAAGCUACUUUGUCAGAUUAUGAGUGGCUGGUUGUUAAUCUGCAAAAACCUGCUCCUGUCUUGAUGAAAAGGGUGCAACAUUACUUGUCAUCAUUAAUCUAAAGCUUUCUAGCAAGAGCUACAUUGAAAAGUUAAUGGCGCUGCAUGCCAGUCAUUAUAAUGCUGUCAGGGCAAUUGGGUCAGGGCAAUUAGGUCUGAGCAUAACUUCAUUAGGAAAAGAGGCUUCAGCUACGUUAAAUAUUGCAGGAUGUACUGAGAUGGCUGAAGUUCUUAAGGUUUUAUGAGAAACGAAAGAUGAGUGUUUGUUUGAACAAAGUUGUUGCCAAUCUUGCAGAGUUUGGAAAGAAAGAUCACGGAGCGAAUGCCACCGAUUUCUUCAUCAUUUUAGCCUCCAUAGUUGAAGUUUCCUCAUUUGAAGCUGUUUAUGCAUACGAUUUUUCCCUGCUCUAGUACAGGAAAUUGAAGAAUUAACCAGAUGUGAUAUGCUGAAAGAGGGAAGUUUUCUUCCUUGAAUGUGGCCUUUGUGAUUUGUCUUGAAGGAAUAGGAUGAUCACUGGCAAGAACCCUAUCAAGGUAGAUUUUAUGGUGUUAACAUAUUAUUAAGCAUUUUGUUACAUUAGCAAUGAUGCUUUCAUAGCAUGAAAGUGUUUAAAUUUAACUGAUUGAUCUUGAUUGAUCAAUUAUGAGUUUUAAUCGAGUAAAAACUAAAUACAAUAAUCGUCAACAAAUAUUGAAAUUGGGUAAAUAUGAUCUUGAUAUUGAAGAAUUUGAAAUCACAACCCACACAGGAAAUCACCCUUCGCGUGGGGAUGGAGAUGUUUACUGCAGCGAUAUUGAAUAUGUCCACUGCUCUUUGGGUUAUGGUGCGACUUGCCCUGAAACAAUGGAAAAGAUUAACAUACCCUCCAAUGAAUGAAAACGGGUGGACUAAUUCUGAUUACCUAAUUGACUCAGGAUCGGCUGGCAAUAAUAACAGUUUAUUAACAAUGCACAGUCCGAGUACCUUUCCAGUAACAGUUUAUUAACAAUGCACAGUCCGAGUACCUUUCCAGGAUCAGAUACGACGUGGUCUAAUGUUGAUUUCAGAAAUAAAAUACAUUCUGAGAGAUGCUGGUCUACUAUUGCAAGCCCCCAGAUUUAAGAAUCUUUUGAUGAUAAUUUAAUUGAUAUGGACAGUUUCCAUAUCACUUUUAAAUCAUCUUAUGUAAUUGUGAUGUUAGGAAGCAUUAGUGACCUAUAUGUGAAUUAUUAUUAGCGACAUUAGUGGUUUUAUCUUGUUAAAAUAUGGAUGACUUCUAGUUAUUAUUUUAUUGUAGACAAUCUUAUUCAAUUAACAUAUAGUUUAAAACCAUUAUGUAAAUUAAUCUAUUAAUUUUCAUGAUAUUUAAUUGAGUUAAAACUAAGUGCAAUCAAUAAAUCUCUUUUGCUUUAAAAAACUGCUACCUUUUGAGUUUAGUGCUUAAUAUUUAUUGAACUCUGAUGCAGGGUAUUUGAAAUCAAACUCGUAAUACAGAUUAUCUAAUUGCGAGUUGCUGUCCAUAGCUGCUAAUUUGUAGUGAUUAUCUAAUUGAUUGAGGUGACAAUAAUUCUUUUAUUUCAAUAGCACAAUGUGGAAUUCAAUAAUUAAAUUCAUGAUAUUUAACUGAGUUAAAACUAAGUGCAUUCAAUAAAUCUCUCUUCCUUUAAAAAACUGUUGCGCUUUAAUUUUAGUGCUUAAUACUUACUAAACUCCGAUACAGGGAAUUUGAAUUCAAACUCGUAACUACAGAUUAUCUAAUUGCAAGUUUCUGUCCAUAGCUGCUGAUUUGUAGUGAUUAUCUAAUUGACAUAGGCCACGACAACUUUUUUUUUUUUUAAUUUUCAAUAGCACAACGUGGAAUUCAAUAAUUAAAUUCUCCUUUUUAAUUUGUUUCAAGUUAAAUUAUUAAUUACUUAAACUCUGUUUUAAGUCUUUAAUUUUAUGUGUUUAUGCAGAAUUGGAUUCUUUAGCGUGUUGGACACGACCAACAAUGAAAUUGACAGUAAACAAACAUUACAACGCGUUGAGUGUCGACUCCGGUAGCUGCCCUACAAGUCUACAACUUUACAAAAAAUAAUUGAGUACACACAUUUGAUUCUCGGGACCCAAAUUUCUAGCCCCGUUGACUCCACCGACAAAAGUUUUGGAAAAUUAAAAAAAAAAUUCAUAGAAUUCCACCAAAUGCAAAACGCGUGGAAUUUAAUUUUCGGCCGUGUGGACCAAAACAUAAUUUAAUAAAAAAAAAGAUAAAAUUUCUAAAAUGUGUGGAAGGUGAUCCAUAUUUUAUUGAAACAACUUAAAUUUAUUAAGGAUUUAAAAUAUUUGGUCAUAAAUUACGCUCAUGUUAAUUUUUCCGCUAUUGACUAUCAUAUUCUAGACACAAUGAAAUUGACAGUAAAGAAACAUUACAACGUGUCGACUCUGGUAGCUGACCUACAAGUCUACAACUUCACAAAUAAUAAUUGAGUAAGCACCUUUGAUUCUCGGGACCCUUCAAUGAAUUGCUAGCCCCGUUGACUCCACCGACAAAAGUUUUGUAAAAUAAAAAUAAUAUAUAGAAUUCCACCAAAUGCAAAACGCGUGGAAUUUAAUUUUCGGCCGUGUGGACCAAAACAUAAUUUAAUGAAAAAAGAAAAAAAAUGAUAAGAUUUCUAAAAUGUGUGGAAUGUGAUUCAUAUUUUACUGAAACGAUUUGUUAAAUUUUUCAAAGAUUUAGAAUAUUUGGUCAUAAAUUAGGCGCAUGUUAAAUUAGGAGCAUGUUAAUUUUUCCACCAUUGACUAUCAUAUUCUAAACUUAAUGAUACAUUUCUUUAUGAAGAGUACUUAGUCUCUCUUCUUCUCUUAUAAAAAUUAUAUUAAUUGAUUUCUUAUUAUAAUAAAUAGUCUUUAAGAACGUAUAGAUUUAUUGUUUUCGUGACCAAAUUAUGCCUGCCUAAGUUUGUGACUAUUAACAAAAUUAAUAUUUAAUGUUUAUGUUAAAAGAUAUAAGAUUUUAUGCAUUCAUUAAUUGUUAUUAGCUAAAGGAUUAAUUAUUUUUUCAACCCAAUCUGUUGAUGCAUCUGCAAGAGUUUUUUCUUUUAUUGACCAUAAUUAUAUUCCGGGUACAAUAAAUUGUCUUUGGUGAUUGGAAAAUAUGACUUCUUACUUCAAGUUUAAUAUGUCUCUCUCCAUAAGCUUACUGGAAAUAUAUCCUCAUCUACUGUCAUUUAUCUAAUAUCAAUUGAAGAUCUCACUUUUUCAAACUAUCACUUCCAAGUCGCAUUGUCACUUGGCCAUUCUUGGACCAUUCAAAACCAAUCAAGUGUUGAAAUAAUCAAAUAUAUGCAAAAUUAGAGUCACGAUUUUUGCUCCCUCAAAUUCUAAUUAUACAACUUCUAUAUAUCUCAUUGUCAGGUCACGAACUUGUUGGCACAUUUUCCAAAUUCCUAUUCCAACUUAAGUGGAAAGUUUCCAAGUUCAUUGCUAGAAAACAACACAAAAACUAGACACACUUAGUUUGUCUAAUAAUUCUCUUUCGGUAAAAUUAAUUAAUUUCAGGGGAAUAUUCUGCCAACCUCUGUAAUUUCAGAGUGAUCAUUAAUUAAUUAAACGAUACAAAUAUCUAAAGUAAUUAGAUGUUUGCUGACAAUACAAGUUCAUGACUUGAAAUUUGAUCUCUAUCGAUUGGUUCACAAAUAGACGUACGUGUGCCUUUGUGGCGAUAAUCGAACAAGUUCCCAAGAUUAUUAUUUUUUCCAAAAACUUUUUUACAACAAAUUCAUCUCGCCAAAAAUUAUAUUUUGCUAACUAACAAUAAUUGAGCACUUGACCGCAUUGACUCCACGUCUCCACCUCUUUCUAAAUUCUAAGUAAAAACAUGGAGAUGUAACCUCCACAAAAUGCCAAACGGGUGGAAUUUAAUUUUUUUGCCUUGUGGAUCAAAAUACAAAUGAAAGAAACAGGAGAAAAAAAAGGCCCAAAGACUUCUAAAAGAUGAAGAAGUCUUUGGGCCUUUUUAUAAUGGUGAAUUUUUUAAAAGAAAAAAAAUAACAACAUUUUUAUGGUUUGUUUUGAUAAUCAUAUUUACAUAUACUCUCUAAUUUUCAAAAUGGACACAUAAAUUUUUUUUUUUUACAAAUAUAUAUUAUUCAUAUUUUUUUAUUAUCAUAUUUUUAUUUAGAGCAAAUUUUUAGGUUGAAAUAUAAUAAAAAGGUAUAAUUGUUCUCUUAUUAAACACACAUACUUUUAUUAGUUUUAUUAGUUUCUAUCCAUUUGUCAUCUCAAUUAUUCUUUAAUGCUAGCUCAAAACACGUUGCUGGUGCAAAUUAUAGCAAAAUGACAAAUAUGGAAAAAAAGGGAAGAAAAUUAAUGCAUGAAAGACUUGGAGAAAACAACAAAAUAAGCCAACUAUGAGUUAGUUGGGUGUAUAAAUUGUUAGAUGUGUUAUAUACAAAUAGCGUAGAGCCCUCUAGUUGGUUCCAAAGACAGAAAGAGCGUGUGUGUUUUUUCACAGUUAGAGAUAUAGUUAGAAUGGGUGGUUCAAAAUCAAAAAUGAUGAUAAUGUUUAUUAUGUUAUUAAUAAUAUUUAAAAGUGGGUGGAGUGAGGGAUGUUUGGAUCACGAGAGAUUUGCUUUUUUGAGACUCAAACAUUUCUUCAAUGAUCCUCUUAAUUCUCUUUACGACUGGGUAGAUGGUGAGGGAGCUACUGAUUGUUGUCAGUGGGAAACGGUUGAGUGCAGCAACACCACAAGUCGAGUGAUAGCGCUAGACCUUUCUUACAGGUAUGGGGGAGAGUACAGUUGGUAUCUGAAUGCUUCUUUGUUUACUCCCUUCCAACAACUUGAGUCACUUGAUUUAACUCGCAACAACAUAGCCGGUUGUGUUGAGAAUGAAGGUGCUUCGUUUAAUUUAAUUAAUUUACUUCUUCUCUCCUAAUUUAAGUGGAAUAUCAAGACUGAGCAACUAUAUGCAUAUUCAUUCAGUUGACAAUUUUGACAUAUUUUUUUAAGUGAUUAAUUAAUUUUGAAAUACACUAGUAUCUAUGAUCUUUUUUUUUUAUUAUUUGGCUUGCAGGUCUAGAGAGGCUAUCAAGAUUGAACAACUUGAAGAUGCUUAAUUUAAGUGGAAACUCAUUCAAUAAUAGCAUUUUAUCAUCUCUAACUCAUCUUUCAUCAUUAAGAUCAUUAAAUUUAUUGUGGAAUAGAUUGGAAGGAAGUAUUGACGUUAAAGGUACAUAAUUAAAACUUCAAGCUCUUUCAUUAACUUGCUAAAAUAAGAUUCAAGGCUUUGAAUUCAAUUUUUUUAUGAUUAAUAUUAAAAAAACAGUUUUAAGCAAUUUAUAAAAACAAGUUUUAAUGUUUCUUGUAAUUUCAUCUUGUACUUUCAUAUGUCUUGAAUUUACAAUUAACAAAAAGACUCUAAUAGCGAACCAAACACCUCCACAACUUCUUAUUAUUUGUGGUGAGGUUUGAAACAUUCAACUCAAUUUGUACUUAUUACAAAAUUUGAUUCUUUGAGAGAUUUAGAGGAACUAGACAGUGGCGGGAUCAAGAUUGACAAAUUUGUGGUCUCAUAAGGUACUACAAUUUACCAUAAAAAAAAUUUGCUACCUUUUACAAUUUAGUUUAGAUUCUUUGCCCUUUGGUUUAUUAUUUUUACAGGUUUUGAAAAAAGUUGAAAUCCUCCUCGGUUUAAGUGGUAUCAAACUCAAUCGUAGCAUCUUAUCUUCUCUGACUGUCUUUUCUUCGUUAAGAGAAUUACAUCUACGUGAUACGGGAUUCAAAGGAACAUUCGAUGUUCGAGGUAAGCCUAAGUCUUGCUUUCUCAUUUUAUAUAUGCCAACUAGAUUUGUGUAUCAUCGACAUAAUUUAAUAUUUAAUUUGAUAAGUUUGAAUGAAUUACAUGCUAAUUUAAACACACUUUUAUUUACUUUGUCAAUUAAUUAAUUAAUUAAUUAAUACUAUUUGGCUUGGUUUGGACGAAAUUCUCAUGAUGUUUUAAUUUCUUUAAAUUAAUUAAUUAAUUAACUCUGUUUUUAAGUCUUAAGUCUGGGCGUGUUUGCAGAAUUUGAUUCCUUUAACGACUUAGAAGUGUUGGAUAUGAGAUACAAUGAAAUCGACAAUCUUGUGGUUCCUCAAGGUAAACAAUUAAAAGGUACAGAUGUGGCCAAAUUUAUAAAUAAAUUGUUAAUUAAUUAAUUUUUUCGUAUUAUUAAUAAAGCUAAAUUCGUUGCUCCUUCCUUCUAAUUCUAAACAGAGUUGCACAAUUUCACCAACUUGGAAUAUUUGACAUUGGAAUCUUCCUCUCUCCAUAUAAGCCUUCUGCAAAGCAUUGCAUCAAUAUUCCCUUCGUUAAAAAAUCUGUCGAUGUCUUUUUGUGAAGUCAAUGGUGUCGUACGCGGUCAAGGUAAAAGAAAAGCGUUGAUUGUGAACUCACUCAAUGGUGUCCUACGUGUUCAACAUUUUUAUUUAUUUUAUUGUUUAAUGUUUCUGCUAGGUUUUCCUCAUUUCAAGAGUUUGGAACAUUUUGACAUGAGGUUCGCGCGCAUUGCGCUCAACACCAGCUUUCUUCAAAUCAUCGGUGAAUCGACGCCAUCUCUUAAGUACUUAUCACUGUCAGAUUUUACUCUCAGCACUAACAGCAGCAGGAUUCUUGAUCGAGGUUAAUCAGAUGCUCCCACCCUCCCUUCUUAAUCUAUAAUAUUAAUUUUCAAUUAAAUAUUUAAUUACACAAAUGAAUUAUAAAAGAACAAUACGCAUUCAUUAAUUUUUAUAUUGUAUUAAUAAUUGAUGAAUUUAAUAAAUUUUCAGGCCUCUGUUCAUUGGUGCAUCUGCAAGAGUUGUACAUUGAUAAUAAUGAUUUAAGAGGUAGCUUGCCUUGGUGCUUGGCAAAUAUGACAUCCCUCCGAAUAUUAGAUGUUUCUUCCAAUCAACUUACUGGAAGCAUCUCCUCAUCUCCCCUCGUUCAUUUGACAUCCAUUGAAGAGCUGAGGCUUUCAGACAAUCACUUUCGGAUCCCAAUUUCACUUGAACCACUUUUCAAUCACUCAAGACUCAAGAUUUUCUAUGCUUACAACAACGAAAUAAAUGCAGAAAUAACUGAGUCACAUUCUUUGACCGCCCCAAACUUCCAAUUACAAUCUCUCUCAUUGACUUCCGGUUAUGGAGAUGGUGUCACAUUCCCCAAAUUCCUUUACCAUCAACAUGACCUGGAGGAUGUUCGUCUCUCAAACAUAAAGAUGAAUGGAGAAUUUCCAAAUUGGUUGUUGGAAAACAACACAAACUUAGAAUAUAUUUUUUUGGUUAAUGAUUCUCUUGCAGGACCUUUCCGGUUGCCAAUUCAUUCACACAAGCGGUUAAGACUGUUGGAUAUAUCCAACAACAACAUCAGAGGCCACAUUCCAGUAGAAAUUGGAGAUGUUUUACCGGGUUUAUUUUCUUUAAACAUUGCCAUGAAUGCUUUAGACGGUUGCAUUCCCUCUUCAUUUGGUAAUAUGAAAUUCCUCCAAUUUCUGGACUUAUCCAACAACCAAUUGACUGGUGAAAUCCCUAAGCACUUGGCCGUGGGUUGCGUCAACUUAGAGUCUCUUGCGUUGUCAAACAACAGCUUAGAAGGUCAUAUGUUCUCCAGAAACUUCAACCUGACAAACUUGAAAUGGUUACAAUUGGAAAGCAAUCACUUCGUAGGAGAGAUCCCACAAAGUUUGUCUAAAUGCUCCUCACUAGAAGGAUUGUAUCUUAACAAUAAUAGUCUUUCGGGUAAGAUUCCACGAUGGUUGGGUAAUCUCACAUGGUUACAAUAUAUUAUAAUGCCCAAUAAUCAUCUUGAAGGUCCUAUUCCAGUGGAGUUUUGUCAGCUUGAAUCGCUUCAGAUUUUGGACAUUUCAGACAACAACAUAUCUGGAAGUUUACCAUCUUGUUUCCAUCCUCUCUCUAUCAAACAAGUUCAUCUUUCAAAAAAUAUGUUACACGGACAGCUAAAAAGAGGUACAUUCUUUAAUUGCUCUUCCCUUGUGACAUUAGAUCUUAGUUAUAACUGCUUGAAUGGCAGCAUUCCGGAUUGGGUUGAUGGGCUUUCUCGGUUAAGCCACCUUAUCUUGGCUCACAAUAAUCUUGAAGGUGAAGUGCCAGUUCAAUUGUGCAAAUUGAACCAACUACAAUUGUUAGAUCUUUCUAAUAAUAAUCUUCAUGGUCUUAUUCCUCCUUGCUUUGAUAACACCACACUUCAUGAAAGUUACAACAAUAGUUCUAGUCCUGAUGAGCAAUUUGAAAUAUUUGUUUUCAUCGAAGGCCCUCAGGGAGGUGUAGAAAAGAAAAUCCAUGAAAUUUUUGAGUUCACAACAAAGAACAUUGCGUACAUUUACCAAGGAAAAGUGCUUAGCCUCCUAUCAGGACUUGAUCUUUCUUGCAACAAGCUAAUCGAUCAUAUUCCUCCUCAAAUUGGAAAUUUGACAAGGAUUCAAGCAUUGAAUCUAUCGCACAACAACUUGACAGGAUCGAUCCCAUCAACAUUUUCAAACUUGAAGCAUGUCGAAAGUUUGGAUCUUUCCUACAACAAAUUGAAUGGGAAAAUCCCUCAUCAGCUUGUGGAGUUAAAUACAUUAGCUGUUUUCAGUGUGGCAUACAAUAACUUAUCAGGCGAAAUUCCAGAACGGAAAGCACAAUUUGCAACCUUCAACGAGCGUAGCUAUGAGGGAAAUACUUUUCUUUGUGGACUGCCAUUGCCCAUUUGCAGAUCACCAGCAACUACGCCGGAGGGUUCAAUUGGCAAUGAACGAGAUGAUAAUUUAAUUGACAUGGACAGUUUCUUUAUCACAUUUACAACAUCGUACGUAAUUGUGAUAUUCGGAAUUAUUAUUGUUUUAUAUGUAAAUUCUUAUUGGCGACGUAGAUGGUUUUACUUUGUUGAAAUGUGGAUAACUUCAUGUUAUUAUUUUAUUGUAGACAAUCUUAUUACAACAAGAUAUUGUCAUUGAAAUUAAUUAGCAAUUUAAUUACGAUUCUUUAAAUUCUAAUCAAGUUUGCUUAGGAAAUAAAUUUAUUUUUAUUUUUUAUUAAAAUUGUAGUAGUAUUUAGCGCUAUAUAGCUUCCAACUUCCAAGCACUUCACAUUUGACUCUACACUUCCAAACCCAUAUCUAUCCACCAUAACUUAUACUUCCCUAUACUGUGCAGCAUACUUAAAUAAGAGAACCAUCUCCAAUGUUAAAACCAGCCACUCUAUAACAUUCAUUUAGAAUAGUUUUAUUAUCAUACACAAGAAAUGAAACACCUAGAUGCACUUGAUCGCCUAUUUUACUUUAAAAAAUAAUGAUUAUGGGCUAUCAUCAUCUUCUUCACUAGCAACAUUAACACCAAAUCCAGCGAUGGACCCAGACAUUUUAUCAAGAAAGGUAUAUAUAUAAUAAAGUUGAAGCUUGACAAAAAAUUCAGGAAGAUUAAUGCCUCGCCACAACAAGGGGCACAACAACAUCAAAGUAGAGAUGAAGCAAUAUUUUCAAAUCUAAAACUCUCAAAUCCACCCACCAAAAUUUCAUAUCUCCUCAACAAUUUUAAGAACUAAAGAUAAUUAGGAUCUAACAUUAGUUUUUUAUAUAUUAGUUUCAUAAUUUACAAAUCAAUGAAGAUGAAGAUUAUGCUAAUGAAUUCAAAUUAUACCAUAGAUUCUCGAGAUGUUACCAAAAAUUUCUAAGCCAAUCCCACAUAUUUCAUAAUUUUAAGACUAGAAAAUUUCAUUAGUUAGAAGUUUCAUUACCUUCAAGUGGAAGAUGAAGAACAUUAUACAAUUGAUUCAGAUUAUAUCAUACAUACUCCAAAUGCAACUAGAAAUUAACAAGUUCAUGCGCACAGAUUUCAUAACAUUAUGAUUGGAAAGUUUCACAAAGAGAAAUUCUAAAUUCAAUCUCUUGCAUCAAGGUAGUUUGAUUGAUUUGAGUUACUUUCUCAUCAAGCUACUAAUAUAACAUUCAAGUCAGGGAGAAAGUUAAUUAAAACUGGGAAGAAACAACAGUAAAAAUUUGUUGCUAAACAUGAUGUGUAUUUUUUUUUAAGGCAAUUUGGAAACACAGUUGUUACUACAGAUAUUCUCCUCAACUUAGAGAUAAAUACAAAUAUUAAAAUGCAUAUGAUCGCACAUAUUACUUGGAGCUUAGUAAGAUUUCAUUAAGAGAAGCAAUCAAACCACUUAUCAAUUGUUGCAAUCGUUCUAUAAGCUAAAAUAGCAAUAUAAUACAAGAAAAAGAACAUAUAGAUACUUGGCAAGAGUUCAUUAAGAAGUCGCAUCACAUUCGGGUGAGUUUGCUUCUGAUAUCUUGCUAGCUGGGGCUUUUUCUUGUCUUUCUACGCAUGCCGAGGGAAACCAACCAGCUUGGCCCUUGCAUUCACCUUCCGACCAUCCAGUAGGAGCCACCUUGAGAAGUUAUAACUAAAAGUCUAAAACAAUGAAUUAAACAAAAGUUGACCGUUCAAAGACCUAAGGGGAAAACUAAUUCUUUUACGUAGGAGGAGUGAAUUAGUUGUGAUCACUGAAAUAACAGCAUAACUAUGGAAGCAUAACAAGAUAUAAAUUCACACGUCUAUAAGGGUAAACUGGGUGGUUUAGAACUGAGCUAGCAACCCUACUAUAUUCUGAUUUGCACAUCAAUGUAAAAGGGAAUAUAUGGUAGGAAGAAAGAAAACCAACCAUCAGUUGUUAACUCAUUGCUUUUCAAUCAAAAUUUUAAGAACAAAAUGCCAUGUGCUUUGAACAUCAAAUAAGUAUAAGCAUUAGUUCUAAAUUCCACAUAUCAUAAGUUAGAAGGACAAGUCAAUAGCAUAGUAGAAAAAUCUAUGUGUUGUUAUUUAGAGGGGAAAGUACCUGGCGAACCACAACAUAAUCAUCAAUUGAAAGACUUAGCUCUCCAUUUGCUUGAGCAUCAAAUGGAUGUAUAACCUGCAAGAUAAUGGGAUAAAUAGAACUUAAUCUUAAAAAAAGCAUAACAAAAGCAGCAACAGUAGCAGCAGCGUUCAUUGUAACCACUAUGAUCAUGGCCAACAAAGAUAUAUUAGAAACAAAAUUCCAUUUUUACUACGACAUUAAUAUGUACUAUAUGAUAUCAUGACGAUUGGGUUACCAAGAGCUAUCAAAGUCCAAUAAAUUCUGUAUAACUUUAGGUAGUUAUUCAAAUUAUGGAUCAGAUUUUAAAUCCGAAAUUUUGACUGCUCUCCACAAAACAUGGCCUAUGCACAAGAAAGUCAUAGAUAAUGAGGAUUACAAGUGUCUGACAUCUUUUGAGUGAUGGAUUUAACAUGAGAGCUUAUGGUCAGUCAAUUUCCUCUGCCUAGCAAUAUAAGCUUUCUCGGCCAGAUUUAUCAUCAAAUACAUAGAUUGGCCCCAAGUCACAUCCAUAUAAACAUAGUUUUUCUAGGUAAACCAAGUAAGGAGAAUCAUAAUUCAGACAUAAUCAUAAAAAGGCCCAUCUAACUUAAGAGAAAAUCUCAAAAAGAGGGAUGUUGAGCUAUCAGUCUUGUAUCUAUAAGCAAUAUCAAGACUUUACAUCACCUACUACAUCGUGAGUGGCUACACAACUUUCAGUGGUUUGUCUUUCUUUGGCAUGCCUAACUCAGCUUUGAUGUUGCUGAGAUAUUGAUAGUAAAGACACAUGAUACUUCUAGCCCAUGCAUUCUAUCUAGCUCAUCCGACAACUAUCUCUUUUUUAAUUCAUUAGUGUUUGCUAAACCUCAUGCUUAAAAGUCCUAUUCUCCUAAACAAAGCUUCCUAAGAAUGACUUCCUCAGCACCACAUUUGGACACUUUUAGAGCAAUUUUAUUUGGGGGAAAAGAAUUUUCAAGGUGUUAACUAAUAAAUUUUAAAAAAUAAUUACAAUUUGUCCCACAAUUAUAUGACAAUUUAUCUGGGAUGAAAGGAUACAGACAGACAUCUUCCACUUUCAAGACUAAUCACUACUUCUGUAGAUGUUUUGCAAUAAUACAAAUACUUGACCAGAUGGUAGAAAAAAAUUUUAUUGCUCCAAAAUUAAAAUAAGAAUGCAAUAUGUUAAGCAAAAGACUGUGCAACAUCAAAUUAAUUGAUAAGUUUGUAAUUCAGUAAAUUAACAACUUUCAUGGUAAAAUACAACAAAUUUCUUUUCAAAAAAAUUUAAAAAAUAAUUAAAAGACAGCAUUCAAUUUUUUGCGCAUCUUAUUUCUUAAGAUUUUCCAGGAGGAGGGCACUAGAGGGACUUUCACCUAUGCAAGAGAGCAGAAGCCUUACUUUCGCUAUAAAGUAGACGUCAUUCUGAUUAAUAUGCGUUUGCAAAUCAGCUCCAUUUGAAUCAGUAUUCUGAUAGACACAUGAGGCAUUUACAUCCAUUUCCAAAGUCACAUGUUGCGAGGAGGACUCAUUUGAUUGCUCCUCUAGGAUCAUCUAAUUCAAGUAGCAAGGGUUGGAAGAGAAUAAAAAGUCACAAUUAUUCUUUUGCAUAAGUGAGACGAAAAUGAUAAAUGCAAUAUUAUCAGCAGUAAACAAGAAGAGAACACUCCAAGGAAUAGAUAGAUGCGGACAAGCAAGUUAAAAUGCACAGUUCCAAACCUCCGCAUACAACUUCUCUAAAAUAGCAAUAACGUGUUGAUGAUAUGUUUUCUCAGCAUCUACCUGCAAAGGCCUGAGACCAGGAAAACAACAAUAAAACCACUAGCUAAAGGAGAAAGUAAAGAAAGAAAUACACUUGACAUAAAUCUUGACAAGAAGCACAAUUUAAGACAUAACAAACCCCAAUCAGAUUGUUUAGAACUACCAUUCGUUAUUUCGUUAUUGUAGCAUUUCGAACAAGUGUUGACUUAAUUCAACAUUGUUGGAAAGAUAGGCUUUUAGAAGCGGAAGAAAGCCACUCAAACCAAAGUGAUUGUCCUUGUAUUGAUCAAGGGAUGUAAACAUAUUACAUUUGCAGGAUGAGUUUUAAUCACUCCCCUGAUUUAUUUGGGUUGCAGUAAAACUAAGCGAGCAACUGUUUGACUUUCAAGCAACAUCUAAAUCAGCUAUUAAAAUUCAAAUAAAAUUAUAAUAGAAUAAUAACAGGCCAUCUUGCAUAAAAAAUUAAGUUUAAUUUGUGAAUUUUUUUCUAUAGACAUGUUAGUUCCUGCUAUUGAAAUGUUAAAAGCAUUGAAAAAUUAUUCAAUAAAUUAUGCAAACAUUAAAAUAGAGGACAUAUUAAAAAGUUUCUAAUUACAAUGUUAAGAUUUCCUAUAUUUUAGCAUUUGCAUAUUUUAAUUUAUUUAAAAGUUACGUCAAUCAACUUUGGGCGUGAAGAUUUUAGCUUCUAGGAGACUUGAUUGGAAUAUGCAUAAGGAAGAGUGUUAAAAUAUGAUGCAUCCAACGAAAGACAAACCACGUGUAGUCUUUUAAUUAAGCCAAAGUAGCAGCUCAAACAAAUGACACUUGGACCAACAUGCAAUCAUGAAGUGGCCGGAAAAAGGACAAAUGCAACUUUGGCUUAAAUAAAAAAUAACAUGUGACUUGACUUUUGCUGGACAUGCAUCAUGUUAUUACAAGACAACAGAAAUCAGUAUGAUAGUACUAAAAGUUGACAAUAACAUGAAGAUAAGAGGCAGAAUGUCAACACCUGCAUAGGCACACACAAGAAAGUAUUAACAUAUAUACCAUAGCAAAAAGUCUUUGAUAUGUCAUCUGUUGCUGCUGUGAUUCAACUGACAGCAUGGCAGCUGUCGCUUCUCUACCAAGAGCCAUUAUUGUAGAUUUAAGCUCGGUCAAUCUUGCUUCUGCAUUUCGAAGCUUCACAGCACUCUCUGCUGAUAUAUCAGAUUUCCUUAUCUUUGAUCGGUGCCUAAAUACUUCAGCUGCCUGGUGAAAAUAUUCAAUAUAAAUCUAACAUAAUUCUCAUCUUGCCUUAUACAUGCAUAUGUUACCUCAAAGCUUGCCUGGGCUUCAACUUCAUGUCGAAGUUUGUCAUAACGAUGAGUCAGGUGUCGAGCAUCUUCCAAAGGUGCUCCGUUGAUUAACGCCCGUAGUGGCUCAUAUACCUACAUGUCCAAAAACCUGUAACAUAGUUAGAAAAAUGAAAAGAAAGAGCGAAACCUCAAUUAAAAAGUUCCUCCAACAUAAUCAUGGAAUUUGGGCCUACUUCAAGGAUAUAUAUAAGGAUAAUUUAUGCAAUUUUGGGUCUUAGGAUGAUUCAUAUUAGGUUAGUGUUCUUCUCUUCUGUAUUUAAGGUUAAAAUAGAAAUAAACCUAUGCAAAUAUCUAAAUUAGGGCUGUAAGACUUCCACAUGCAUCCUUCAGUCUCAUGGAUUUGAUUUUACUAUAGAUGCAAGUGUCUUUAUCGAAAAUGCUUGGAGUCAAUUGAGAGAACUCACAGCCAAUAACUUGUCACAUGCUAGUCUUUGCUAGUGAUGCAAGAAGUCACAAGGUCUCUUCAACAUUUGAACCAAUAAAAUUAUUAAGUCAUGGAUGUCACUAGCAAUGAUUUCAAUAUAAAACAUUAAAUAUUUCAAGUUGUAACUUUAAAAUGAAUUCUUUUAUUCAAUAUCUUAGAACUAAGUUUCCUUAUGAGAAGAUAAUAGUUUCAGUAGUAAUUUACAUGAAAUUUUCUAUAUUUGAAUUAUUUUCUAGUUAGGGAUGAACUAACCUGAUCAUGAAGAAUCCCAAGCAAAGUUUCCCUCUCAUUUUCCAUCAAAUCAUGUGAAGUGCCAAAUUGAAGAGCAGCUCUUGCAGCGCAAGAAUUGUCACUUUGAUUCUCCGCUCCAUACUUGCAACAAUCUUCAGCCAACUUUCUUGCUACAAUAUUUGAAUACAAAAAUAUUGUACACAAGAACCAGUCAAGAAAAUAAAAAAAAAAUCAAAUAUUAUAACGAGAGCAAGAGCAAACAAACAACCUAUUUCCAUUUGUUUCAAGCUUACUGCAACAAACCCUUCAACGCCACGGACAAUAUUCCUCUGAAAAUGCUGUGCUACAGAGCAUAUAUUCCAAAUUAUUGUUCAGAUAAAACCAUAGAAACCAUCAUAAUUAUCAACAUACAUUAAGCUCCGUUUGGUAAAUACUUGCAACUUCAGUCUAGAAAAUACAGUUGUUUGUACCAUAUUUGACAAAAUUAUUAUUUAAAAAUCAUAACUAAUUACCAAAAGCCACAAUAAAUCAAUAUCAAACAGAGUCUUAUUAUUAGCUAAAGGAGGAUGGUGCCUUAGCUGCCCUGGUGGAAUUGUAUAGAUUUUAAAGUUGUUGGUGACACUCAAUUUCAGCUUCAUGAACCGCAAUAUUUUCAAUACCAAGAUGGAGCAGAUGCUUCAAUACUGCCUGUACAAAUCAUAAAAAACUAAUAAAAAUAAAUAAAAUCGAGAAAUUUCACUAACUAAAAGUCUAAAUAUAAUUUUUGAAAAAAGAAAAGAAACGGACUUGCUGCUGCUUGGCGACUUGUUCUCGGAGCUUGAUUGCCUGUUUCUUGAUAGCUUCCAUACUGUUUCUUUCAAAAAGCAACGAUGGCUUAGCUCAUGGAGGUGGAAAAAAAAAGUGUGAUCGAGAAAAAUAAAAAGGCAUGAAUAAUUUUUGACAAAAAGCGAAAAAUAAAAAGGCAUGAAUAAUGAAUAAUUUUUGACAAAAAGCUCUUUCCAGAAAAUAAAAAAAGAAAAAAGAAAAAAGAAAAUUAUAAGUUUGAAAGGAGUAGAUGAUAGUGGAAGUGUGCGGUGUGGCUGCCAGCUACUUGGAUUGUAUUGUCGGGUAAGGUAAUAGCAGAGAAUUUUUUUUUUUGAAGAAAAAUGGGUAAUUUUUAAAAACCUCCGCUGAGGUUUGGGCUUGUUGUAAGUAGAUGGCGAGAAUCCAUUUAUUUGUAAAAAACCCCCUACGUUUUUGCUCCGCUUGGUUGCCGUUUGGGCAAUUGUGGGCAUUGUUGACAUUUCGCAAUAAAACAAAUCUUUUGCAACUUUCGUUUCCUUGAGAACAAUAGCUAGAUUUCUCAAUCUGUUUCAUCCAACACUUCAAAAAUUUCAACUUUUAUGAGUUAUUGCAUUCUCUGGCAAAGUAGACUUCUUCUAAUUUUAUCACAGUGCUUUCAGGAACAAGAAUGGGAUGCAUUAACAUCCCCUCAAAUUUUACAGCUUCCUUACAGCUAUACACUGCUGUAACACGAAGUUUAAUGAUUCCAUCGCCAAAUAGUCCCCAAAAUCUAUUCUUCCCCAUAUUGAACAACUUAAGUUCACAACACUUGCAUUCUAAAGGCUUCCCACUAACAUCUAAUAUCUCAAGACUCAACGUUGCUUUACAAUAAUUGUUAUUACUACCAAACAAACAUGAAGAAACCCCGAUUAUCGGAUAAAUCAACCCAAAAUGAACAAGAGAAGAACCCAAAACAAGUGAAUCGCUAGAGCAAAACCCCCAACCCAUAUCCCUAAUCCCACACUCAAAAAAACCCAAUUUCUCUCCAAAGUCAUUGACACUAGCAUCACUACUAGACUCUAAUUCCAAUCCUAGAUUACAUUUAAUGUUAACCCAACUAAAAUGAAUGUUCUUACUACAAUACGCAUCGUUUACACUCUCAAACAACGCGCUGAACUUACUCUUAAACGAUCCCACAUUGGUCAAACACUCAUCACUCACAUCGACAUCCAAGAAUUCACUCAAAAACUUCAUAGACUCGACAAUUGGAGAAAACAAAACCACUAAACUCAACUUUAUACAAGCAUACCCAUCGAGAAUCUUACCGUCAUUAACCGAAUCACAACAAAUGACCGGGUCCCACGCGCAGUCGUGAACGAGCUUACGCAUGGACGGGGCAACAUUUAACCCCCGCGGCAAAAACGACGAAGCUUUGGAAAAAUUGUGUUUUAGAGCUGGGUUGAGGAGUAGAGAUUGGAGAGAUUGGAAGGUGGAAUCGGGACGGUCAAAGGAUAGAGAGAUAGAAGGGAAGGGGAUCUUUAAAAGAGAAGUGGGGAGAGGGAGGAGAAGAAGGAUUUGAAAGAGAAAAGAGAGGAACGGAGAGGCGGGAAUGAGAUUAAGGUUUUCACUGCAACUAAAAGAGUAAUCAUGUAUGGCUCUUGGUCUUGGAGAUGAAGGAGAGGAUUCAGGUCGAUUAAGAGGACUAUACGCUGCAUUUUGGUGUAGUCUGCCGCCAUUGGUAGAAGUUUCGAAGUGGGUUUCUGUUUAGAUCCGAGUUUGACGAAGAAACGUGGUGGUUGCGCUUGGGACAAUAUUGUUUUUGCACUGGUCAUUGUAAAAAUUAAAUGACGGUAGGGAGUUUUUUUAUAAAUAAAUGAAUUCUCGUCAUUUAUAACAAGUCGAAACCUCAAAAAAGAUUUUAAAAAUUAGCCGAAGAUUCGAAAAAUAGUAGAGAAUUUUUUAAAAAGCUAGAACAGAGCAUGUUAGACUUUUGUGGACCAAAUUCAAAAGCCGAAGGGCACGGCCCAAAAGCUUUUGAAUACAAUAACUUACUAGAAAGCUCUAUUUUUUGUUGGCUACAGUAAAAGUAUGUUGUUUUAUGCUUCUUAUAUGUUACGCUUGCAUCAGCCUCAAUCACUUCUUAAUCGCUUGCUUUAACUGCAUCGCUCUCUGUGUACUCUUCUACACAUGUAAUGGUUAUGCGGUUGUAGUUCACGGCUGAGGCUACGUGUUGGUUUGACGCGACAGUUACGUUACGACAUUACGAGUCUGCUAAACAUUCGGUGAUAGAGCAUUAUUAGUUAUUUUAAGGGGACAAAUAAGAUUGGUUGCAAUAAACCCACUAAUAUUAUAAAAUUCGAGUAAUAUAGAAUAAAAUAAAAAAAUAAAUACAAAAUUGGCUUUUAUUUUUUAUGGUUGACUGUAUUUUGUGUUCUCUUCCGGCACUACUACAAUUGUUCCCUAUAUAUCAUCAAUACAAGAAAUGAAAUCUAAUGUCACCUAUUUAGUUAAAGAAUUACUCAUGAAAAAAUUUUACCAUUUUACUUUUUUACUUUGAGGAUCCAUAUUUUGAACUGCAAGCUAAUGUUCAUCAAGAAUCACUAAUGUUCAUAAAAAACAAGUAGAAAAACUAUUUUUGGACAAAUUAUUUUUGUUGAUAAAAGAAUUUCUUAAGGGACUACUAAUAUUAUGAAUAACAUUAUGAAUAACAAUGUAGAACACACCCACAUAUCAUCGACACAAUUGACUUUAAGGAUCCAUGCUUUGAAUUGCCACCUAAUGUUCAUCAAGAACAGAGUAUGCCUUGUGAGUAGAAAAUUUUAUGAUUUUGGUCCGAAAUAAAAAGAAAUUAAAUUAGAUGAGAAUCUGCCACUUUCUCAUAAAGAAAGGCAUACGGAGCAUACCAUGGUACCAUACAAUACAAAGAGUCUUUAUUCUCUGGUUUUUCAAACUCUGAAGGGGCCAAUAUUCCCGAAUUCCCCCUUGAAAAUUCUGAUUACGACAUUAUUCAAUUCUUGACACAAUCAAAGUAGCGAGAAAGUUAAGAAAAAUAUGAGUCCUAAGUAAUGGCUAGGUAGGGUUCUUGAGAGCAAAAUUGUCCUAAGCAUUAUAUGCAUACAUGGUGUGGUACAUAGAGCACGUUGAAUUCCACACUAUAACACAAACCCAGAAAGACAAGUAAUAACUCAACUGAUAUAAAGACAAAAAGAAGAUAAAAUGAUAUAGAAAAAAGAAUUUCAAAGAGACAGCAACAUACGAUAGACUGAAGCCACUUGAUCUGCUCACUGAUUGCAGCCUUAAACUUACAAAUAGUUACUGUACGCUAGUGCUCUAAGAAGUGAAAAUGAUAAGAGACCUAAUUUCCUUUUGACUUCCAUUUACUGUCAAACAUUCUAGUAAUACAAAAAAUUGUUUAGAUAUCUUGCUAUAAAUAUAGUCGUUUGACUGUCAUAAUAAAGUCACAAAUAACCAUUCAUAUUGAUCCACUGUCACACAGCAUGCUUUAUGCAUACAACAUCUGCAUGUAUACCAACUCCUAACCUUAUCAAUACAUUUGGCAAAAACUUAAGAAGAAAACUAUUUCUCCAUCUCUUUUUUGAAAUUUCACAAUAAACCAGCACAUUGUGAAAGCUAUGUUCUAAUCUUAUGAUAAAUGCUCUAGACUCCAAAAGGAUUUUAUUUAUGAGAGUUUGUUGCAGCAGAUAUAUUGACUUAUCAAGUAUGAAUCAUUGUCUGGAUGAACUAUCUUUAAAUAAAAGAAUAUUAGAACCACUGUAGAAUAUCUUUACGCUGCUGGUUCUAACAGGAAUCUGCAUGUGGCAACAAUUGCUAGAUCCACAAUUCCCCAACUUGAAAUACAUAGUUGCACACCGUGAGAUAGUGCUGCAAUCUACUGAGAUCUAACUUAUUUGAUACUUUAAGCUACUAAUGUUUGCAUAUUUCUACAUGUUAAAUUGACACUACCAUCUAUAAUCACCCCAAAACGACAAAUGAUAAGCAGCUUUUGGCCACUUAUUACUAGCAUCCACAACACAAUUAUAAAUAAGAGAUCAUGGGUUUACUUGUUGCAACUACUUAAUGAUCUGCAUUUGAGACCCUGACGCAAGGUUUAAAUAGUGACUGCUUAGAACCCUUGUAGUUGGAUCUUGACCUCUCCCAUUGUAGCCAAGAUUGGCUACUCUGGUAAUGAAUCAACACUCUCCUGCUUAUUUUUUUGUUUUUAAAAAAUAACGAAAUCAUAAAAUAAAUAAACACGUGUUUGGUUUUGGGCAUUUUCUUUUGUUCAUUUAAUAUCAUCUGGCUCCCUGAUUUUUUACUAAUUAACAACGGAAUCCUGUUAGUUUCUAAAUUGAAAUAAUAAAAGGUCACGAGAUUAUUUACUCCAUUUAGCACUGUAGACUUAGAGUAUAUUGAAAAAGCUUUGUCAAAUAGUAGUAAUAGGGGCAUAAUAAAUAAGUUUUUCAGAAUUUACAUAAUGUACUUGGCUCUAGGAAGAUUGCCCUCUUAUCACUCAAGUUAGGUUUUGCCUUAGAGUUGAGGUAAAUCAUUAAAAUAAAUUAUAGCUAUUACAAAUUCGUUAGGAGAAUUUCAAUUUUUUUUCCAUUAAAUGGCUAUGACGCAAAAUUACCUCAGCUUAUAUUGCAACACUAAUACUUCAAAUCCUAACAAUAAAAUUGAUGACAAUGGUUUUUAUGUAUAGUAAUUUUCACUCUUUUGUUUGAUCUAAAAGUAGUUCUUAAAAUGACAAUGAUGACUUAUUUAGAAGAAAUGGCAAACUUAUAGUUUGUAAUAUUGUUUGCACAAACAAUAAAGACUAAUUUGAUAAUAAUGAAGUGUUAAUUACUAUUUAACAUUUUUAAUUAAUUUUUAAAUUUAAAAAAAAUGAAGGCCGAAACUUGUGCAUUAAAUUUUAAUUAAAAGUUGAUUGCUUCGAAGGUUUGAUCGUGACAAAUUGACAAUUGAAAAAAGAAGUAGGGAAUAUAUAUUCUGAUGAAAGGGACAAGAUUAAGCAAGGGGACAAUAUUGUCUAUUGGACCUACAAAUGGGGGCAAAGAUCUAUAUAUUCCAAAAUCUCUUAUUUGUGGAUUGGCCACCACGUGUAACUAAUAUAAAAAGAGAAAAUUUGGCAUGGUUUUAACCGAUAUAAGGGUCCGUUUGGGAUUGAGGUGUUGUAGCUUUUAAGCUAUAGCUGUUGUGGAAAAAAAACUGUAAGUAUUAAAUAAAAGUUAAUAAUAUAUAGUAAAUAUAAAUUUUAAAUAAUAAUUUUGAUGAAAUUAUUAAAGAUAUAAUAGAUUUUCUAUUAUACAAAUGAAAAUUCAUAUCAACAUAGCUUAAAAGUUACAGCAGUUAGUGUUUACCAAACACUUUAGUGCUGUAGCUUUUAAACUACAGCUGCCCAACCUCAAUCUCAAACGCACCCUAAGAAGAGAAAAUUUUGAGUGUAUAAGAAGAGAAAAUUUUGAGUGCACAACAAGAACAAAGCAAAACCCAUGAAAAUUCACCUUUCAUGUGGGUUGGAUUGGAUAAAAUCAAUAUCUUGAAUCAAACAAAAUGUUUGGUACUUGAAGUUUUUUUUAACAUUUUCAUUUUUUUUCCAUUUAUGAAGUCCAGUUUUUUUUUAAUUUUUAUUUUUUUGAAUGAUUUUGAAGGUGUUGAUAUAAGGUCAUCGAAGGUUUGUGAACUUGGGGUGUUGAAUUAUAAGGCGAAGCGUGUGUUUUAUCCAUUUGAAGCAAGUAAAUUUCGCUGUCGGUAUGAUUACUAUUGGGCUUCUAUCUUCAAGGUAUUCAUACAUUUUCCCCUGUACUAUAAGCUUCUUAGUGGCGGUCUUGUGAGCGGAAGUGAGCGGUGUGGCUGACAGCUUCUUGAAAAUUAUAAGUUUGAACAGAGCAUGUUAGACUUUUGUUGACCAAAUUCGAAAGCCAAAUGGCACAGCUCAGAAGCUUUUGAAUUGAAUAACUUACUAGAAAGCUCCAAUUUUUUGUUGGCUACAGUAAAAAGAGGUUGUUUUAUUCUUCUUAUACUUUACGCUUGCAUCAGCUUAAAUCACUUCUUAAACGCUUUGCUUUAACUCCACCGCUUCGUACUGUUCUAUAUAUGUAUCGGGUAUGCGGUUGUAGUUCACUGCUGAGACUACGUGUUUGUUUAACGUGGAAGUUACGUUACGAGUCUGUUAAAACAUUCGGUGAUUAAAGUAUUAUCAGUUAUUUCAAAGGGACAAAUAAGAUUAGCUACAACACACACUAGUUUUAUAAAAUUCGAAUGAGAUGGAAUAAAAUAAAUAAGUAAAUUGACUUUUAAUUUAGUGUUUGAAUAUAUUUUGUAUUCUCUUUGGGCACUGCUGUAAUUGUUCCUUAUCACACCCAUAUGUUAUAGACACAAGAAAUGAAAUUUAAGAUCACCAGUUUAAUUAAAGAAUCACUCAUGAAAAAAUUUUGCCAUUUUGAUUUGAGGAUCCACAUUUUGAACAACCAACUUAUGUUCAUUAAGAACAAAGCAUUGCCUGUGAGUAGAAAAAUGAUUUUUGAACAAAUUAUUUUUUGUUUAUAGAAGAAUUUCUCAAGGGACUAUUAAAAUUACUAAUAAAAAUGUCAGACACACCCAUGUACCAUCGACAAAAUUAACUAUGAGGAUCCAUGUUUUGAACUGCCACCGAAUGUUCAUCAAGAACAUAGUAUAACUUGUGACAAGAAAUUUUUUUGAUUUUGGCCUGGAACAAAAUGAAAUUAAAUUGAAGGAGAAUCUACUACUUUCUCAUUAAGAAAGGCAGACGGGGCAUACCAUGGUACCAUACAAUACAAAAAGUUUCUGUUCUCUGGCUUUUCAAACUCUGAAGGGGGUAAUAUUCCCCAAUUCCCUUGUGAAAAUUCUGAUUACGACAUUAUUCAUCGCUUGAUACAUAAGUAAAAGUAGUGAUAAAAUUAGAAAAAAUAUGACUUAUAAGUAAUUACUAGGCAGGGCUCUUGAGAGCAACAUUGUGCUAGGCUUUAUAUGCAUACAUUGUGUGGUACAUUCUACACUAUAACACAAACCCAGAAAGACAAGUAAUAUCUCAACUUAUAUAAAGACAAAAAGAAGAUAAAACGAUACAGAACAAAGAAUUUCAAAGAGACAGCAACAUACAAUAGACUGAAGCCAGUUGAUCUGCUCGUUGAUUGCAGCCUUAAACUUGCAAAUGUUUACUGUAGCCUGGUGCUCUAAGAAGUGAAAGUGAUGCAAACCUUGAUUCCCUGUUUACUUCCAUUUACUGUCAAACAUUCUAUUCAUACGAAAAAAAUUGUUUAGAUAUCUUGCCGUAAAUAUAGCCAUUUGAUUGUCUUAAUAAAGCCACACACAACCAUUCAUAUUGAUCCACAUUGCCAUAUAGCCUGAUUUAAGCAUACAACAGCUGAAUGCAUACUGACUCCUAACCUUAUCAAUACAUUGGAGACAACUUAAGAAUAAAACGAUUUCUCCAUCUCUUUUUUUGAAAUUUCACAAGAAAACAGCACAACGUAAGAGCUGCAAUGAAAAUGGACCGUCAGGAACUAUGGCGGAAGCUUCAACUAGUGUAGUGAUUUGACCUUCUUAUUAACUUAGCGAUAUCAAGCACUGCCCUUCAUCUUGAACAGAUCAAUACAAUACGCACAACUUAUGAUUGAAUCCAGAAACAAUCAAAUCUUUAGCAAGAAAAAUUAAUCAGAAUCAAGAAACAAGUUCAAUGAAUAUAAACCUAUAAUUGGAACAAACACAGCCAAAGAACCCAAGAAUGACACAACCUACACCACGGGAGAAGCUUUCCAGUGAGAUUUUAUUGAUGAUCAAAGAAGAAUCUUUUUACAAAGCUAACAAAAGAGAUUUCAGAGAAUAAGCUAUGACUCUCUCUCUUCAAUCUCUCUCUCUUCAAUCUCUCUCUAGUUUAUUCACAGUGAUGACCCCAAUCUGCUUCGUUAGCCAGCUUCAUAACUGCGUCAGUGACAAACUAGCAAACCCAGAUUGAGCAGAUUACCGACACGUGGAUAACGGCUAUUAAGAACUUGGUUAAAGAACUGCUCACAUAUUCGUCACGCGUGUUACUUAAAUGAUGGCCAAAACGACUUCAACCAGAUGCCGUUUUGAAGCUUGUGAAUUAUAAUUGAAAACACGUGCUUGUCUCGUGACACUUAAAUACAACAACAAGCCCAAAACACUGCUGUUAUCCACCUCUCCAGCUAGUGUGCUUAUUGAGUCCCAGUAGUUGAUAUUCCAAAACAGGGUGUUCAAAUACAAAUUCCAAUCCACUUCACCUAAAUUUAAUACAAGCCAUCUUGAAGGCUCUAACUUGGGAAGGGACACAAGUCCCAUAACCACAAAAGGAAGGAGUGAGAAAAUCCCUAAAAGAACAGCAGCCCAUCCCACAAUGGUUAGACCCCUAUAGUUCAUGAAAGUGAGAACAAAAGUCAAAGCUAACACCGCAAAGGCUCUAGGUAACCCAUCGCCCAAAGCAGGGAUACCAGACUUAAAGUAGUCAAGAAACAGAACUGGGUAUAAAGCAUUAUCAAUAACCCCACUUAGCCAUUUCAUCCAAACUUGCUGAAAACCUCAAUAUGGGCCUAAGGCAGAUGAAACCCAACCCACAUAACCACAAUUUCAGGAAACACGGUACCCAUCUCGGCAGUAAUUNNNNNNNNNNNNNNNNNNNNNNNNNNNNNNNNNNNNNNNNNNNNNNNNNNNNNNNNNNNNNNNNNNNNNNNNNNNNNNNNNNNNNNNNNNNNNNNNNNNNAAACACCAAGAAACCAAGAAGUGCUAAAAGAGGACCAGCUGCCUUUACACUAUCCUCAACACCAAACGGCCCCCCAGAAACCUCAUAGAAUAUAAGGAAAAUAAGUGGCAAGAUUGAUACUUUUUUAGUGCCAUGGACUCCAGGAGAAGAUGGUUGGUCAUUGAUAUUAACAUAUUCAACAGCAUCAGACUGCCCCAUUUCUACUGAAACUUGCCUAUUUACAGUGUUCAUCAAUUUCUGCAUCAAGUUUUAGCAUAACUAUCAAAAGGGUAUCCGCAUGUAAAUUAUGAAACAAAAUGAGCAUUUACUUAUUAAAAAAAAAUAAAAAACAGAAAUGGAUUUCACAGAACACAUGAACUUAAGUUCAACAUUAAACAGGCGCUUAAGAAAACAAAAGGGUCUGUUCGUAAAGCCAUCAGAUUGCAAGAUUGAACAACAUUAACGGAAUCAAUAGAAUAGAUGUAAAGAGAUCUGAAAAGAAAAUAAAAUAAAAGAUGAAGAGAGAUAAAACGAACCAUCAAAUAAGUGCAUGCAGAGCAGAGAGGCAGAUGCUAGAGGAGCUCCGUCAUGUUAGAGAGAGCCUAAAUCAAUCAGAGCUCACUGAGUUUCUUUUCAACCGACCGGCAAAUUUGGAGUGGCACAACAUAAUAUUUUUGCUUUUAAUUUUUGGAACACUUUUGAAUGGAAUUUUAAAAAAAAAAAAAGGUAAGGGAGAUUUGUAUUUAUUUAGCCUUAUAUUUUUUAAAAUAUUUUUAAAAUAUUUUUAUUAAUAUUUUUAUUAUAUUUUUUAAAUUUUUAAAUUUAUUUUUAUAAUAUUAUUUUUUUAUAAUAAUUUUUUAUUUAGAUAUUAAUAAAAAAAAUUAAAUUAACAAUUUAAUCCCAAAAUAAAUAAACACGUGUUUGGUUUUGGGCUUUUUCUUUUGUUCGUUUAAUAUCAUCUGGCUCCCUGAUUUGUGACUAAUUAUCAACGGAAUCCCGUUGGUUUCUAAAUUGAAAUAAUAGAAGGUCAUGAGACUAUUUACUCCAUUGAGCACUGCAGACUUAGAGUAUAUUGAAAAAGCUUUGUCAAAUAGUAGUAAUACGGGCAUAAGAAAUAAAUUAUAACUAUCACAAAUUCGUCAGGAGAAUUUCAAUUUUUUCCAUCAAUAAUGGCUAUGAAGAAAAAUUACCUUAGGUUAUAUUGCAACACUAAUACUUCAAAUCCUGAUAAUAAAUUUGAUGACAGUCGUUUUUAUAUAUAGUAAUUUUCGCUCCUUUAUUUAGUUUAAAAGUUGUUCUUAAAAUGACAACGAUGACUUAUUUAGAAGAAAUGGUAAACUUAUAACUUGUAAUAUUAUUUGCACAAACAAUAAUAAUGAAGUGUUAAUUACUACUUAACAUUUUUAAUUAAUUUCUAAAUUUAAAAAAAAUAUGAAAGUUGAUUGCUUCGAAGGUUGGAUCGUGACAAAUUGACAUUUGAAAAGAGAAGUAGGGAAUGUAUAUUCUGAUGAAAGGGACAAGAUUAAGUAAGGGGACAAUAUUCUCUAUUGGACCUACAAAUGGGGGGAAAGAUAUAUAUAUAUUUUAAAAAAAAAUUCUUAUUUGUGGAUUGGGCACCACGUGUAACUAAUAUAAAAGGAGAAAAUUUAGCAUGGUUUUAACAGAUAUAAGAAGAGAAAAUUAACUGUUCAAACAAAUUAGAAGCAAAUUCUUUCAUAUCUUUCUUUUAUUUUUCCGCUUACUUUCUUAGCAUCCAAACAAGUUAAAGUUAAAACGCUGUUGAGCCAACAAUAUGCAGGCAUCAAUAAGCAUAGUAGUUUUGUAUAUGUAUUCUAUUCGAUAUUCUGGGGAUGUCAAUUGUAGAACAUUUUGUGGUAACUUUUUUACAUUAAUUAAUGUUUGAAGAACUUGUUAAAAAGAAAAUGGUAAUUUUAUCAUUUUGAAAGACCAAAAAAAAAAAAAAGAGUGAAAGUGGCGUUACCUCAUGGUCAUUAGAGACUUGUUGCAAUGAUAGAUCAAAAUUAAAAAUUUGUGAAGAAUUAGUAGACAACGACAAUACUAUAUUUAUACAGUCACCAACGUGUUGAUUUUUGUUUAAUGUUUGAUCGAUAGAAACUUUCGUCGUCGUCGCCGUUGUUGAAUUCAUGCUUAGAAUACCACAAGAGAAGAAGAAGGGAGGAAAGGGAAAAGAAGAAGAGAGAAGUGGUGGAUAGCAAAUAUGAUAUGCUAGCUACACACAGGCCUUAGAGAGUUUUUUUUUUUUAAUAUUUAUUGUAUUUUUGUUUUUGUUAUUGGUUUGUCAUAUGCUUCCAAUGCAACAAUGCGUUACAUCAUAAAUUGCACCUUUUAGGGGAGGUGGUAAAAAACAUGAGAGCAAUGCAUUCUAGCGCAUACAUGCAGAAAGAGUUUCCAAAUUUUCAAAAGUUUCUUUAUUUCUUCCACCUUUUUUUUUGCUUAAAAUAAAUUUUAAUUGUAUUUUGCAUUAACUUAGAGAAAAAAAAAAACCAGUUCUAUACAUAAACGCGUACAUUGAUUAGAAAAUGAGUUUUAUGGACACAAAGGGACAAUAUAAGAGAUUCUUUUUGUUUAUUAGAAGUAACAUAACUAGUUAGUGUAACAUGUAAUUAUAAGCUACCAAGAAUUUGCACUGAUGGUAAUUAACAGUACAGAUUUUGAGCUAUGAAUGUCUUGUGGCUAGUUUAAUUGGAUUUUCGAGUUUUCAGCAAACCUAUUUUAAUGAUUAUUAAAUUAUUUUCACUUCUUAUGCCUUAAUAAAAAAAUUCAAUAUUUUUUGCUGUAUUCUAUAUUUUAAAACUUAAUUUUUAAUUCUUUAUAUUGCAAACCAAACUGAGUCAAACAGAGUAUGCUCUUCAAAGAAUUUUUUCCACUGCCUUCAAGAAGAAUUCAUUUUGUUUCUAUAUAUUAAUUUAACACUUGUAAACCGGGCCGUCGGAUUGCACAUAAAGCAAAUGAUCAAACCGUUACAAGACCGGCCCAGGCCCACCGACUCUAUUUUCUUUCAUUUGACCAUAAAAAAGCUUUUGGCCACCCCCACCAAAAAAAUAAGCUCUUGUUCUCUUUUGUUCCCUCUCAAAGGAAAAUAUCUGAUCACCGGAUAAUGAUUCCGGUGACACAAAAGAUCGAAACACCCCCCUAAAUUCCCUAAAUUUACGAUAAUACCCCACCAUGGAUGAUUCCGUUGAAAUGCCGCCUUACGAUGAAAGGCCUAAAAAGGAUUUUAACUUCACCUCCAUGCGCUUGAUCUUAACCCUCGUUUUCCAAAUUUUAACUUGCUUUUUGUUGGCAUUUUUUAUUGGAAUCGUAGCUGUUUUAUUCGGCGAAUCAUCAGUUUCCAGUUCCAUUUUUGUCCCUUCCCAGUGCAAGAUAGUGUCCAGCAGUAAGCUUUUUUUAACAUUUUCAAUUUUUUUUCCAUUUAUGAAGUCCAAAAUUUUUUUUAAUUUUGAUUUUUUUGAAUGAUUUUGCAGGUGUUGAUAUAAGGUCAUCAAAGGUUUGUGAACUUGGGGUGUUGAAUUAUAAGGCGAACCGUGCCUUUUAUCCAUUUGAAGCAAGUAAAUUUCGCUGUGGUAUGAUUACUAUUGGGCUUCUAUCUUCAAGGUAUUCAUACAUUUUCUCAACUUUAAUUACUUACCUGUACUAUAAGCUUCUUAGUGGCGGUCUUGUGAGCGGAAGUGAGCAGUGUGGCUGACAGCUUCUUGAAAAUAUAAGUUUGAACAGAGCAUGUUAGACUUUUGUUGACCAAAUUCAAAAGCCAAAUGGCACAGCUCAGAAGCUUUUGAAUUGAAUAACUUACUAGAAAGCUCCAAUUUUUUGUUGGCUACAGUAAAAGGAUGUUGUUUUAUUCUUCUUAUACUUUACGCUUGCAUCAGCUUAAAUCACUUCUUAAACGCUUUGCUUUAACUCCACCACUUCGUACUGUUCUAUAUAUGUAUCGGGUAUGCGGUUGUAGUUCACUGCUGAGACUACGUGUUUGUUUGACGUGGAAGUUACGUUACGAGUCUGUUAAAACAUUCGGUGAUUAAAGUAUUAUCAGUUAUUUCAAAGGGACAAACAAGAUUAGCUACAACACACACUAGUUUUAUAAAAUUCGAAUGAGAUGGAAUAAAAUAAAUAAGUAAAUUGACUUUUAAUUUUAGUGCUUGAAUAUAUUUUGUAUUCUCUUUGAGCACUACUGUAAUUGUUCCUUAAAUGCCAGUCACACCCAUAUGUUAUAGACACAAGAAAUGAAAUUUAAGAUCACAUGUUUAAUUAAAGAAUCACUCAUGAAAAAAAUUUGCCAUUUUGAUUUGAGGAUCCACAUUUUGAACAACCAACUUAUGUUCAUCAAGAACAAAGCAUUGCCUGUGAGUAGAAAAAUGAUUUUUGAACAAAUUAUUUUUUGUUAAUAGAAGAAUUUCUCAAGGGACUAUUAAAAUUACUAAUAAAAAUAUCAGACACACCCAUGUACCACCGACAAAAUUAACUAUGAGGAUCCAUGUUUUGAACUGCCACCGAAUGUUCAUCAAGAACAUAGUAUAACUUGUGAGAAGAAAAUUUUCUGAUUUUGGCCUGGAACAAAAAGAAAUUAAAUUGAAGGAGAAUUUGCUACCUUCUCAUUAAGAAAGGCAGACGGGGCAUACUAUGGUACCAUACAAUACAAAAAGUUUCUGUUCUCUGGCUUUUCAAACUUUGAAGGGGGCAAUAUUCCCCAAUUCCCUUGUGAAAAUUCUGAUUACGACAUUAUUCAUCGCUUGAUACAUAAGUAAAAGUAGUGAUAAAAUUAGAAAAAAUAUGACUCAUAAGUAAUUACUAGGCAGGACUCUUGAGAGCAACAUUGUCCUAGGCUUUAUAUGCAUACAUUGUGUGGUACAUUCUACACUAUAACACAAACCCAGAAAGACAAGUAAUAUCUCAACUGAUAUAAAGACAAAAAGAAGAUAAAAUGAUAUAGAACAAAGAAUUUCUAAGAGACAGCAACAUACAUAGACUGAAGCUAGUUGAUCUGCUCAUUGAUUGCAGCCUUAAACUUGCAAAUGUUUACUGUAGCCUGGUGCUCUAAGAAGUGAAAGUGAUGCAAACCUUGAUUCCCUGUUUACUUCCAUUUACUGUCAAACAUUCUAUUCAUAAGAAAAAAAAUGUUUAGAUAUCUUGCCGUAAAUAUAGCCAUUUGAUUGUCUUAAUAAAGCCACACACAACCAUUCAUAUUGAUCCACAUUGCCACAUAGCCUGAUUUAUGCAUACAACAGCUGAAUGUAUACUGACUCCUAACCUUAUCAAUACAUUGGCGACAACUUAAGAAGAAAACUAUUUCUCCAUCUCUUUUUUGAAAUUUCACAAUAAAACAGCACAAUGUAAGAGCUGCAAUGAAAAUGGACCGUCUGGAACUAUGGCGGAAGCUUCAACUAGUGUAGUGAAUAUAAACCUAUAAUUGGAACAAACACAGCCACAGAACCCAAGAAUGACACACCCUACACCGCGGGAGAAGCUUUCCAGUGAGAUUUUAUUGAUGAUCAAAGAAGAAUCUUUUUACAAAGCUAACAAAAGAGAUUUCAGAGAAUAAGCUAUGACUCUCUCUCUUCAAUCUCUCUCUAGUUUGUUCACAGUGAUGACCCCAAUCUGCUUCGUUAGCCAGCUUCACAACUGCGUCAGUGACAAACUAGCAAACCCAGAUUGAGCAGAUUACCGACACGUGGAUAACGGCUUUUAAGAACUUGGUUAAAGAACUGCUCACAUAUUCGUCACGGGUGUUACUUAAAUGAUGGCCAAAACGACUUCAACCAGAUGCCGUUUUGAAGCUUGUGAAUUAUAAUUGAAAACACGUGCUUGUAUCGUGACACUUAAAUGCAACAACAAGCCCAAAACACUGCCGUUUCACUUUGUUGAGUUUGCCAUCUCUAAGCUUCACAACUAGCAACGGAGAAGAUGAUAAUUAAAUUGACAUGGAGAGUUUUUAUAUCACUUUUACAACAUUCUAUAUAAUUGUGAUAUUGGGAAUCGUCGAUGUUGUAUAUGUGAACUCUCGUUGGUGACACUGGUGGUUUUAUUUUUGUUGAAAUAUGGAUGACAUUUCGUUACUAUUUUAUUGUACACAACAUUUUGUUACUAUUAACAUGUUAGUUUCAUUAGCCACUAGGCCUUUGGCUGAGUCGUUCGGGUGUCUGCCCUCCAACUUGGAGGGCAGCAGUUUGAACCCCCACAAGCGCAAUGUGGGGUAUUUCCUUCUUUAAUCCCUCGAAUAUUAGUGAAGGUUAAAAUCUAGGCAGAACUCCAUAAGUAUUGAUGUAAGUUGGUUUCAGUAAUAGUCUAAUUUGUAAAUAUCAGUUAUAAUCUCAUAUAAGAUGAGUUGUAAUUUAAGCAAUAGUCUCAUAGAAUAAUAAUAAUAAUAAACAUGUUAGCUUCAUUACAUUUUUCUUCGUUAAAAUUCUCAAGUAUUAGUCAGGUUUGCUAAAGUAAUAAAAUUUUGCCAUUAAAAUUGUAGUAGUAUUUCUGAGCACCUCACAUUUUCAAUGAUUUUUCAUAAAUCAAUUAAUCUGUCGUACCGAUAUCAGGUUUAGUUUUUCAUACUAAACAAUCAAGAAAGCAAACAUACGAAUUCACAGUUUAGAGGGGUAAACUAGGUAGGUGGUUUAGAUUUUAGAACUAGGCUAGCUACCCCACUAAAUUCCAAUUUGUACAGUGAACUACAAGAAAUUGAGAAAACAGUGUAUUUAUAGUUUAAUUGAAUCGUGAGAAAGCAAUGUAGUCAUAGCUCAAUCUGAGAUGAUCACGGAGAGUCGGAGAGGCAUAUUCUUUUCAAGUUAAUUUGAUCAAUUUAUAAGAGAUGAAGUGGAUUGAAGUUAAAAGUUUAAAUAACAAAUCCUCGUUCUUGAGUUUUACGACGUCGUUACUCCUUCAAGAGGCAGAUUAUUUAUGCAAGUGAAUGCAGAAACGCAAUGCAUCAUCCACGGGGAUGGUACAUCAAAAGGCGGGAUCAUAGUCUAUGCCCGCAGAUUAACAAUUUCGCUCAUAUAGAAAAUUAAUUUUUUAUAUAUACUAAUCAACACUAAAUUGAUUAUGUUUUGUAUGUUUAUAUGCGAAUCAACACUAAAUUAUAUUAAAUGAAGAAAUAAUUCAAUUUUUUCUAAUUUAAUUUAGAAAAUAAAAUUAUUAACAUUAAUAUUCCCAACAAAAAUUAUUUUCCAUUAGUAUUCAAAGCUUCACUUAUGGAAAAUGUGUUUUACAUGAAUAUUAGUUACCGUGUAAAUUUGAAUGAUAGUGAAAAAUAAUUUUUUAAUUAUUGUAAAAAUAAUUAACCAUAUCAAAUCCCUUACGUAAAUAAUUUUUAUUUUGAAAGAUGGUUAAUGCACAAGCAAAUUUUAAGCCCCUCUCUUCUUGGCCUAAGAUUCAAACUCAGAUGACUAGUUAAAUAAACCUAUGUGAAAAUCAUUCGGCCAGGUCCGCGGGGCAAAAAUACAAGAUCCUUAAUUUCAUAAUAUAUAUGAAUUAAUGUCAUUUACUUGAAUUAUCCAAAUUCAUCAGAGGUUAACGAGUUUUCCUGACAUGUAGCAGAUGAAGUUGUUGCUUCCUUCUUGGCAUUAUUUCAGCUCUGGUUGUUGGUCCCGAUGAGCUUUGGUCUUAUUUUAAUUUUAUUUAAACUCAUCAUAAGAUUCGUGGAGCAGCUAACUGACUUAACUGACUGUGCAGAAAUGUCACAUAGCAUAUUUAACCGUUUUAACAGUAAUUUUGAACGGUCUUCGCAGUUAUCAUCUACAAACUCGUUCGUGUUGGUCCACUAGGUGAAGUUUUUGAAAUAAUAAUAAGCUCCCAUUCUUGAUUUUAAAAAAUGUGCUUAUAAUAAUUUUAGAAUAAUGGCUUAUUUAUAGAACAACUUAUGAUUUCCCAUUAGCAUUAUUAUUGAAGUGGGGUGGAUAACGGUUCACUCAAUUCGUCGGGAAUCAAAAAUUACCAUCCAAGGCAGAAUUGUGGAAAAUUAAAGCGAAAUGAGAAAUAUGGAAAUGAAGGAAGAAAGUUAAGGCAUGAAAGACUUCCAGUUGAAAUUGAUAAUCAUGUUUCUCUUUGGUAACUAAUCAAAUGGGAAACUGAACCAUAAACAGACAUUAAAACGUGUGGACUCCGCUAGCUGCCUUACAAGCCUACAAUAAUAACUGAGUACCUUUGAUUCAUCCUUCUAUGAAUUUCUAGCCGUAUUGACUCCACCGAAAUUUCCACAAAAAAAAAAAAAAAAAGAAUUUCCACAAAAUGCAAAACGCAUGGAACUUAAUUUUUGGCCCUGUGAUCACUAAGAUACAAUCCUUCUAGUGAAGAGCAAUCAGGCAAAUUUUUUUAGAUCUCUCCGACAAAGUGAUUACCAUCUAAUCGCAAUAUUGAAUAAAAAUAAAAUUUUUAAUGGGAGUUUGACCUUAAAUUUAGAAAAUGAAUUUUAACUUUCUUCAAUUAUUAAACAGAUUACAGACAUUUGAGGAAUUUGAAAACACUUUAUCCAUCGAAAGUUAAAAUUAGAGAUGGAAGCUAGGUGCUACAGCUAAUGGGAUCAUUAAUUCCCCUCCCUCAAAUGUGUAGUUGUUCCUCUUUCCACAGCAUAAGCCUUAUAGUUAGAGUUUCUUUUAAAAAAAAUGUUAAACAAUUUCGGUUGAGCAUGGUUUUGGUAGUUGAAUAGACACCUCCGCAGUACCUCAAACAAAACUGUCAUUAUUCGUGUCAUGAAACAUGUUUCGGCCGUCAAAGUCAUGAGUAGGAGUGUGCAUGGGUUGGUUUGGGUUACAUUUUAAGUCAAUUCAAAGCAAACCAUAAAAAUUUGGGUUCAAUCCAAACCAACCUAAAUAUUUUUAACCCAACCCAAACCAACCUAUUUGGGUUUGGUUUGAAUUUUAUAAUUAAAAUAUUUUUUAUUUUAAUAAAUUUAACUAUAUCAAAUUAUAAUAAUUAUUAAAUUAAUAUUAAAAUACGAAAAAAUGUAGUGGAUAAAAAUUAUGAAUAAUGGAUUUUACAAUAACUUUGUUCUUAAAUAUUAACCAUAUUACAACAUAAAUUCUAACAAUGUCAAUACAAAUUAAAGUAAGAUAAGAUAUCUCAACUCAAGUAUCAAAGCAAUCCAUCAAAAUUAAAUUAUUUAAUUUUAUAAAUUAAAAUCAUCUGAGAAAUAAAUCUAAAAUUUAUUGUAAUUAGAAAAGCGCCAAAAUUUUAAACACAGUAAGAAAAAUUAGAUAUGAAAUCUAAUUAGGUUUAAAUUUAAUUAAAAAAUAAUAAUAGAAUCAUAUUUUAUUUGAUAAAACCUUAAAAUCAAUUGCAUUUUUAAUUUUAGUAAGUUACAAUACAAAUAGGAUUAUAAAAUUAUAUUACAGGAUUUCAUAAAAAUAUUGUUUGAGUAAUUUAUUAAAGGACUCACCUACGUUGCCACAGUUGUAGCUUACCACGCUUUUUGUCUUUUUCCAGUAAAAUCGUAGAUGCUUUCAAAUUUAAUCUAACGGCUGCAAUUAAUUAUUAGAUAAUUUAAUCAGCCAUUGGCAACCUUUACAACCGGUUAUAUUCUCUCGUUAGAUUUCUCGGCUACCAAAUAAUCCCCAAGAAAAUGACGAAGUGAGUAACUAAUACGCACACCGCAGAGAAAGAUGACAGGAGAAGAGAUGACGGUAGGCUCACCGGCACAAAGGUUCUUCGAUUGCUCUAUUUCUUCGGCGCUGGAUUUAUCUACACAGCUACAAUCGACAAGUGGCGGGAACUCGAGCGGAAGUCAUUGAAGAAGAAACAGCAAGAGAGCAAUCUAUGGACUGAUGAUAACUCAGCAACUACGGUAAAGAAAGCCAUCAAAUGAUCUUUUUUAUUUGACUUUUGAUGGAUUUUCAAGAGUUUUGGUAAUAAAAUGUCUCUUAGUUUUUCAUUUCAAUGGCCUAUUGUUUGAGUUAUUAUUAUGCAUAAUUGUUGGAAGAGUUAGGGUUUUACUAUUGGAUUUUGGAAUUUGUAUUUUGGCUUUGAUAUGUUAUUGUUGUGAUGUUGGUCAAGAAAUUUUUGACAACACUCUCCUCGAGUUUGAUACUAUAGCUAAUGAAUUUUUACGGCAGAUAUAUUCUUUUCUUUGAAAAAAAAAACACUUUACAACCGGUUAUGCAUUCAUUUAGGAGCUGUUAACUGAGCGUGAGUUCCAUAAUUUUCCAACCAGUGGUUAGGGUUUCACAGAAAAAUGUCGACAUUGAUCUUUAGGCAGCACUUAAGACUGAAAUUGGUUGUAGAGGAUUGAAUUUGGGGGACUAGAAAUUUCUGAUCAUUAAUAAUUGAAAAUGGCCUCUCACUUGUAGGCAGUUGUUGGAUGUAAUGUAUCCAGUUUCUGAAAUCGAAAGCAGAGUGAGUUCUUAGGUUAGAUGUACCUACAUGCAUUAAGGUUCGAAGAUGUAGAAUAGGCCAAUUGUUUGAUGUCAGCUUUGUUGCACAUGUUCUGAAAUUGAUCAUUUAAGAUGGCUUGGAAGCACUCCGUGAUGUGACUAAGAAGAUUCGAGGAAGUAUUAAAUAUGUUGAAAGUUCACAAUUAAUACAAGGAAAGUUCAAUGAGAUCACCUAGCAAGUUGAAAUCAACAGUCAAAAGAGCCUAAAGUGUGAUAUUUUUCUCUUGGAUUGUUUUUUUAUUUUCCAUUUCAAAGCUGAUAGUGUAAAUAUUUUGUUUGCAAAAGUUUCUAAAAAGUACUUGAGUCAAGAUGGUUAGGUAUUUUAUAACUUCCUUUUUACUUUUAACUAGAUUCAUAGAGAGUUAUAACAUUAACAUAAUUUUUUCUUUUAAAAGUGAUCAAUUAGACACUGAUGAGAUAUCUCACUUUUGAAUCAUUUAGCUUUAUGUAAUUUCAUUACUAUUAUAUGCCCCCAGGAAUUGUUGAAGUAUAUAUAUCUUGGCAUUUCUUCACUGACUGAAUUAUCUUUCAUAAUAUUCCAGCUUCAAAUGGGUACACUGCAGAGCCUAUUGGAUGCAGAAUUCCUUCUAGCUCAUAUGUGCUCUGUAAAAUUCAAAGACUGAAUAGUGGUUAUGGCAACUCUUUGUAGAUGAUCUAAGGUAUAAUGCCCAAUUAUUGCUUUUGCUUUAUCUGUUUUACCUUGCAACAUUUUGAAAUUUAUGAGAAGCAUAAAAUUACUGUGCCAAAAUUGAGGAUCUGAACUUUCGUAAAAAUAUUUGUAUUUUUAAAUUAUAAAAUAUUGCAUUUGAUGCUUUAGGUGGAACUUAGUUCACUACAGAAAGGAAAAUUAUGUUGGGCAUAACCAGAUGUUUUUCAAGAGAAAAUUUCACUGAUAUUUUUCUGAGGAUUUUACUUGGCCAUCUUAUUUCAAGCUGCUUGAAUUUUUUCUUUAUAUCAUCUUGGUUGUAUACUAUAACUCAUUGAAUUUGCUAGCACUUUUGCUAGUUGUUUAUUCUAUAUGUGAUUGUGGUGGUAAAGUUUGGAAGCUCAAAAAGUAAUGGAACUUAGGAAGAGUAUGACAUAGAAUGCUGGAUAGAAUCAAAAUAAUCAUUCUUCAGGCAUCCAAAGAUGAUGUAUUCAAAAUAGCUAGUUUUGACUUUUGAGGCCGUAUAAAUAACUAUUAUCUCACAUGGUUACAUUAUGAUAGGUAGGCACUAGCUUAAUAACUCCAAUUAACUUGAAGUUGUUACCUGAUUUAUUAUGACAGUGUGCAUUACGAUAAGUAUCCUUGCAUAUUAAGAUUUUCCUUCCAGAUCUUUGCGGUACUUUUGAUCUUUUCCGACAUGAUAUGCGAUUAUGGGAAGCAUAUGCCAUCACCUUACAGGUAUUCUCUUAAUUUUUAGAUAGUGCUCAAGAUGACAUUCAAGUUGGCUAUUAUUGGGUGCAAGAUUUACCAUGCUCUUAUUUUGCUUUUUUAGUCUAACCCGACAUUUGCUUAAUACCAUGAUCUGCUUCAAGCCUUGGAUGAAAAACUUUCAUUUUUUGUAUAUUCUGCAAUGAGAUGAGGGUAGUUUUUCUGAUGAUAUUUGGCAGUAAAUUGGGACUAACUAAAGUAAUUUUCUUAAUUGCAUGUCUACUUCUCAGAUGAAUGACCGUCUGUUCAGACUCCCAAGUGAUGAAUUAACAACCACCGAUCUAUUCUGGGUGAAGAUGAUGACGUUGACACCAAGCCAGUGGAAUGACUAGGACUUCCCUUUUGUUACAAUAAAUUGCGUUCAUUAGACACACGCAGUUAAUUAGUGUAGAUAAAGGAGGUCUAUGCACUAUAGACUGUUUUGUAUUUCGAGAGUCCUUUUUUUGUUUCUUUCAUUCUCCAUUCUUUUGAAAUUAUGUACAAUGGUUAUAGUCUGUAUUAUUACGGAUUUAUGAUGGGAGUAUCCUAAGUUUAUGGAAUAAUUAUAAAUAAGGACUUUAAAUUUUUGUUGAAAGAAGUUGAGUGAGAGAAAAGAAGCUAAAGCAGUAAGCAUUUGUUAUACUUCAUUCGAUUGUAUCUAAAUUACAAAGGUUGGUGGCCUUAUUUAUAGUGAAGUUCCCACAGGCCACUUGCACUCAAAACAUUCGAAAUAUGCAAACAUAUUGAUAUAUAAACAUACAGAAUUAAUAUUCUGGAUCCUUGUAAGUAAUGCAAAUAAAAGUGAGGUUGGGGCAGACAAUAUUUACAUCAUGUAUUAAUAGAAAUAAAAUCAAUUAUUUCCAAAUAAAGUCACUUAGUUCAAAGCACGGGCUUCGGUUAAGUUGAACAAGCAAGCCAAUUUUUGUUGUUACUUCAUGAUUGUCGUAAGCUGUGGGUAGUGGAUCGUGUUCCCUAUAAAAGACAAACAGAAGCAUGUCUACUAACUUGGUCAUUCCUCCAUGAACUAAACCCUUCUGAGGAUCUUGAAUAGAUUUAUAGAGAUCUCAGAUAAUUUCCUCACGGUGUGCCUGAGUAAAGACAAGUCUUAUGUACUUGAUUACUUCUGGCCAAUCCAUCGAGGCCACCACCUGUCUCAGUCAAUUCAAUCUUUUAAUAGAGUGAAUUACUAGAAUAAAAUUGAUUAAAGUUGAUAUAAAAUCUAAAUUAAAAAAAUCAGAUAAGAGAAUGAUCCAAAAUCCAAAAAAUGAAAUAUUUAAGGAGUGGACUUGUGACCCUCUAUAGAAUCCAUGGAAGAGUAACUAAGGGAAAAACAUUAGAGGUACUUUUGGCGAUACUAUUAGUAUUCUUGUGUUGAUCAUAAUCUUGGGGGUAGAUCUAGACUAAUUAGCUAUUCAUUGAACAUUCCAUUUCUCCACAAUUACAUGCAAAAGUGCACCUUGCAGUUGCAGCCUAGACCAUAGAAAUAUAGAUUUCCAAUUAUCAACACCUAAAGCUACUGUAGUGACUUGCAACCAUGAGAUGAUAUAUAAAUAUGCUGAGAUUCAAAUAUUUGAGAAGUUUAAACAUCCUGAUGAAAAAUAGACUAGUUCACAGCUACUUUGGGGAAAUUGAUUUCUAAUAGCAGUAGAAAAUACAAGUUUUUUUAAACAUCCCUACUCUAGUAAACUCAAUUAACCAAAACAAAACUCAAAGCAUGAAAAAGAGGGAUUUUAACUAACCUAAUCAUUAUCAUUGAUAUUUUAACAUAUUGAUCUUCACAUGGAGUUAACAAACACAAGACUUAGUGCCUAGUACAUAUGUCUGGGGUUGCACAGUCUGUUCGACAAAUUUAUUGAAACUAUAUCCAUGCUCCUUCUUCAAUUUUUUCUCCAAUAAAUAAAUAUCCUCUUGCUUCUUCCAUCCUACUCUAAUUCUUCCUGGAAAGCAUUCUCCCCUUCUCUAAUUCUUCCGAAAAAACAUAACCGACAAUCCUAAACUAAUUACCACCGUUAAAUCUUUCAAACAAAAUUUACAAUUUCUUAUCAGUAGUUUCCUGCCGCAUCCGAUCGAACGGCUCAUCAACGAAUCAAACAGACUUCUUUCCACCCUUUUUCCAUAUAAUUACAUUUGCCUAAUUCCUAAAGUUUCGGCUCCGCCCAAUGUCGGCCGCAAUUGGCUGCCGCAGCGAUAUGUUCAUCUUCAACUUCUCUGCUGCGAUUUCAAAUUUACUUCAGCCUCGUACCACCACACUUCCACUGGCAAUUAAUUUCAUUAUCCGAUUUUACUAUGUGUGGAAUAGAUUUGAGCAAUUUAUGAGUUUUCGCUACGAUUUCGACGAUGUCCUCUCAACACUAAUUUGAUCACCUAAUUUUAACUGUUUUGGGUUAUUUAUUUUUUAUUAUAUUUAUAUACAGUCUCUGCAGGCAACCGACUACUUUACUUAUAUGUGGAACUCAUCUGAGCCAUUAGAUGGAGGCCCUCCAGAUCCUACGGCGAUUAUAUAUGAGGACAAAAAGUGUUGUAUGUUGGAACUGUUGCAACGUAGGAGGAUCCUUUAUUAAAAUGUUAAUUUAGUUUUUUAACUCAAGUUGAGACCGUAAAAAGUUGUUAUAUAAUAGUGUAUUGUAUAACCAAUUACAUAUGUAUUUGACUUGUGCAACACUUCUAUUAUUAUUAUAUAAUAAUAAUUAGUAGUAGUAUAAUUACUAUAUAAUAAUAAUUAUUAGUAGUAUAAUUAUUAUAUAAUAAUAAUUUUAAUAAAAAAUUAUUAUUAAAAUAUUGAUUUAGCCUUUCUUAGUUCCAUAUUUGUUGUUUUGCUAUAAUUUUCCACAAUGACGCAUUAUCAGACUUUCUUAGUUCCGUCAUCUUCUAUUACUCAACUUAACGUCUUAUCAUCUCUAGCUCGUCUUCCAUAGCAUGAAAGUGAAUAAAUUUAACUGAAUGGUUAAUUAAUCAAUUAAGUUUCAUGAGCUUUAAUCGAGUUAAAACCAAGUACAAACAUCGUUAACAAAUACUGAAAUUUAGUAAAUUAAAAAAAUAAAAAACUAAUUCAAGUAAUAUGUAGUUUUUACAUGUUGAUCAUCAGGAUACAACAUUAAAUUUUGUCAUUGACAAUAUUGCAUGCCUGUCAUCUAAAGCAUUACCUCACAAGGUUUUAUGAGAAACGAAAGACUAGUGCUUGCUUUGAACAAUUAAAGUUGCUGCUACCAACCUCCCCAAAGAUCAAGAAGACAGAACAGGAAGCUAAUGCCAUCAAUGUCUUGUUCAUUAUAGCUGUUGGGUAGUUAGGUGUAGUUUCCUCACUUGAAGCUGUCUAUACACAGGCUUUUCCCCUGCAAAUGGACAAAUAAAUGAACAGCCUUGAAGCUUUACUAUUCGCAACACAAAGGGAUUACUAAUUGGAGAAGACUUUACAGAGUUCCUCUCACACUUUCUCUCUCUCAAUUUCAUCUAGAAGUCCCUCCGAAAGCAUCACCCAAAACAGUUAGUCAUCCUUUAUACUCUGUUUUCUGGAAACAGAGUCCUAACUAACUUAACUGACUGUACAGAGCACGUCAACAUAGCAUAUUUAACCAUUUUAACGGUAAUUUGAACCGUCUUCAGAGUUAUCAUCAACAAGCUCAUUCAUAUUUGUCCAAUCUUACGGACGAUAUCAUAUGCUUAACUCGACACAAUCUGGAUUCAACCUCCUCCUAUCCAACAAGGGAUUUCGAUUUGAGUUAAUAAUAAUAAUAACGACAAUAAUAAUAAACUAAAAAACAGAAUUAAUUACUAUUGAAUGGUCGGAAAAAAAAAAAAUUGAAAACGUGUGAACUCCAAUAAUCACCCCACAAAUUCAGUGGCGAAUUUUGGAGAGGGCAAGGCCGGGCUUCUCAGAAAAAAAUUUAUUUAGUUACAAAAUUAUCUUUAUUGAAACCUAUAUAAAUUUUUUUAUAUUAAUUAGUUAUGUUACCUCUUCAAUUAUCAUCAAAUUCUUGUCUGUUCAUCAUUUGGUGAAUAAAUGUGUGUCUAAAUAAUUUCAAAUAACAUUUAGAACAAAUAUUUUGAGAGGUAAAGCUUAUUUUGUCUCGCAUUAUUAGGUGCAUCUAUAAUUUCUUAUUUACAAAAUUAUAUUGUACGAUAAAAAUUUAUUGAAUUAGGGAAAAAAAAAAAGUUCAGCUCACUCAAAAACAAAAAAUGGUAUUAACUUCGCCACCGCACAAAUCUAGAAUAAUAAUUAUUCCUUAUCAUGCUGGGGAUCCUUUAUACUUUCUAGCCGUAUUGACAGCACCAGGUAAAGCUUUGUAAAAUAAUAAGUUACUCAUUAGUGGUUUUUAAUCUUUUUAAUUCUUUUUACCGCACACCUGAUCAAGAAUUUUAUUUUGUUAACUAAUCAAUUGCAAAGCAUAAAUAAGUGUUGAACGGUACACAAGAUUGGAAAAAAAAAUCUUAAAAAACGCGCGGAUUCGGUAGCCACACCAGAAAUCUAUUACAAUAAUUUCUGGCCGUAUUGAAGUUUUUAAAAUAACAAGUUCCCCUUCUCGUUUUUUUUUUAAAUAUAUAAGCUUAUAACAAUUUUAGAAUAAUGACUCAUUUGUAGAAGAAUUUAUGAUUUCAUAUUAAUAUUAAUAUUGAAGUGGGGUGGGUCAAAUCUCAAUUGCUUGAAGAAUUUAUUUAUUAUUAUUAAUAUUAUUAAUAUUGAAGAGGGGUGGGUAACGGACCAGCGGUUCACUCAGUUCGUGGCGAAUUAAAUAUUACCAUCCAAGGUAGAAUUGUGGAAAAUUAAAGCAAAAUGACUAGUAUGGAAAGGAAGGCUGAAAGUAAGGCAUGACGAAAGGCUUUGAGAAGGCUGAAGACUACCAAAGAAGUCAACUGAAAGCUAGCUGGGGCCUGAGUGUAUAAAUUGUUAGAUGCGUUUGUUAUAAAUAACAUAGAGCCCUUUUGUUAUUUAUAGUUAUAGAGAAAGAGAGAAUGUGUGUUUUUUAAUAGUUAGAGAUAUAGCUAGAAUGGGUGGCUCAAAAUCCAAAAUGGUGACAAUGUUAGUUCUCAUAUUAAUAAUAUUAGGAGGGGGGGGGGGGGGGGACUCAGGGGAGGUCGAGUGAGGGAUGUUUGGAGCAUGAGAAAUUUGAUCUUUUGCGGCUUAAACAUUUCUUCAAUUCCCCUUAUACACUUCAAAACUGGGUAGGUGAACAAAGGGAAAGGGUUGAAUGCGGCAACUCCACAUGCCAAGUGGUACAACUACACCUUGGCCUUACUAGGAAUAUCGAUCUGGGAGAGUGGUAUCUGAAUGCUUCUCUAUUUACUUCCUUUCAAUAACUUGGUAACAAAAUAGCCGGCUGCAUGCGUUGAGAAUGAAGGUCCUUCAUUUAAUUUAAUUUACUUAAUUUCUCCCUCCUAAUUAAUGUCUAUAACCAUUAGGAGGAACAAAGGAUUUUAUUAACUCAAAUAUAUCUAAUGGAGCUCAUUCUUUGGUGUCUAAACAUUCACUCACCACUUAUUUCAUGUCUGAUUAUAUGUUGAAAAGAUAUUAAAGUAAUUUAACGCAAUUAAGGCUUAGUAUAUUUUUUAUUAGUAGAGUGUAGAACUUUUAAGAAAUAUAUUAUUAAAUUAUUAUAACUAACAUAUUAUUUUAAAGUUGUGUUAUGAAAAAAAUAAAAUAAAAGGACAAAUAUGUAUUUAUACGAAGCUUGUAAAUUUUUUUGUACUGAUAUUUGAAUAUUAUCAAUUAAAAAAAAUUAGGGUAAUGGUCAUGCUGCAUUAUUUUUGUAGCACACAAAAGGACAACACCGUUUAUGUUAUAAUACUAUCGCUCUGUUAUGAUAAUAUUUUCUUUUGUGGCCAAAUAUCAUUUUUUAAGUAAAAAAAAGUGGACAAAAUGCAAAUCAGUUUUUAAUCCUCAGUCUCUCCCAAAAUUUAAAUUCGUAGUUAACAAAACAAAAUUGUUGGAAAACCAUUAAGCUAGGUCCAUGGGUUGUUAAAACUAUAGCUGACAAAAAGUUACUAACAAAAACAGAAUGUCCAUUUUAUAACUUUCUUAAAAAACAUUCCUUAACUUUUUUAAAAAGUUACCAACAAAAAGUUAUUUCCAAUUUUUAUUUUGUUAUAAUUUUUAUAAUAAAAUUCGUAGUUAACUAAACUCUUCUUAUACCCUUUCUCAACUGCCAUACCCUAACCCUGUUCCCCAUUUCCCCACUAAACCACGCUCAAUUAAGGCCAUCAGAUUCUCCCGGGCCCACAUUAAUCCAACUGCUCACAGAGACCGACAGCCUCUCUAUCUCCAUUUCAAGCUCCCUCUUCAACUGGCUUCUGCUACCGUCCUACUCUUUCUCGGCUUCGGAGUCCGUAUUUUCUCGGCCGGUCCCACGAAGCUCCCUCUCACUCCAAUUGUCGCCCCACAAGACCAAUUGCUUAAUCAAGACACCGAACAAGAAGAGGAUGAGAAGUUGAAACAAGAAUUUGAGAAUUGGAAAUAAAAAACGUACGCAUUGACCGUGCCUUUGAGAGUCGUUUCUCUUCAGAACUCAGUGCCUCAAUCUUGGGUUAAGGAUUUUAUGCGAAGUCAAGGAAAGAGAUUGAAGUUUCAGAUGAAUUUGUGCGCUAGCAUUGAUGGGAUCUUUAACAAUUUAUCUGUGCCCUUUAACAAAGUUAAGGCUAAGUCAGCUUCGUAUAUGGCUGCUGAUUUGGUUAGUGUUGGUGAUUCAUGGCUCAGUUUUGCAAUUAAAAAGAGAUUGAUUGAGCCAAUAGCUGGAGCUGAAGAUCAAGAUUGGUUCAAAUGCUUAUGUCACAAAUGGAAGGUAACAUCUUUAUCUUUGACCCGAUCAUUUUUAUUGUCUUUUUAAUUGCAAUGAGAAGAAAUGCCACUGUAGCAUGCAGUGAUGGCACUUAAUAAGUGAGUUGCUAGGAUGUGAACUAGAAAAAUUAAAUAUUGUCUCCUUGGGUAUGCUAGCUCGUAAGUUAGGGUUAAUAUCAGAGCUUAAGGUACUAUAACCGUGAGAAGCUAUUGACUGCCAAUUAAAAUAUCCAUUAAAAUGUCUAGGGAGUUAUGAAGGUGGAGGUAACUACUAAUAAAAAAUAUCCAGUUAACCUCCUGCUCGAUGCAAUUAAUAAAUUUGGUCAAUGCCACUGAAACCUGCUAACUGACAUCACAAUGCGACAUGAGCACUUCAAAAUGGGACAGACGGUCAGUAGCACUAAAUUUUUCUUGCCUAAGAUUGAGCAAUUGGUCUAACUACUAAUCCCUAUUGUAGGUUGAUCAUUAUUUUUUCAAUUAUGUUCAGUUUGACCCAAAAAGUUGCAGAAUCUUGAGCUGAAUAUUGUCACUGAACACUGUCAAUGUCGUUUAGCAUGGCCAACUAACUUGAGUUUGGUAAAACAAACACACAGUGUGUCUCAUGUCUCACAAAUCAAAUUAUCAUCUGUAAUGAUGGAGAAUUUUUCCAAUGUAUGAAGUAUGCUUUGAUACGUGGGUUACCUUGGAGAAGAUAUCUUAAAAUAAAGAAUAUGGGGAGAAAACAGUUCAGUAGUUUAUUAUUCUGUAGUCAAGUUUUGUCUCGAAAAUGGUCAAAAUUUAAAUGAACAAGGACAGGGGAUCUUCAUUCUUUUUUCCCUUUUUUAUACCAAGAUAUCUCUCAACCUUUAUAUAAUCCCCACUGGAUAUCUGCUUCUAAUAAUUAAAAUAAAAAUUUCACCGCUCUAACAAUAAAAAGUAACAUCUUUAGUCAAAUAAUUUACAGUUCCUCAUCAUCUUAGUGUGAGACUAUCAGUACAUUCCAAAAACAUAAUAAAACUGGUUUGAUCCUGUUUAUUGAUGUUUAAAUGUUGUUCAUUGUGACAUGUAGAAAUGAUGAGGCGAAGUUUAUUUGGACAUCAAUUAGUAAGAUCUUGUUUGAAGUUGUUUUCUGAAAUGAACUGCCGAAUGGUAGUUUUUUGGGGGCAUUUGAUGGCUCUUUUUUUUUCCUCAUUUUCAACAUGUGCCUGCUUGGAACAGGAAGGAUUAGACUGCAGAGUUGUUAUAUAUUUUGAGAUGCUCUGGUCAUUGCACAAUUUGUUCACACUGGAAAUUAGAAUGAGAAAUUUGUUGAUGCUGUUUUGAGAGAUCUGCAUUCUAUGCACAAUAACAUGAUUAAUGAAAAUGCAUUGUAGGACUGGAAAGAUCUGUGGCAGCCUGAGCUCGCAGGAAGAAUUUCAAUGGUUAAUUCUCCCCGACAGGUUAUUGGUUCAGUUUUGAAGUAUAGGGGAGCAUCAUACAAUUCAAACGAUAUUGAUUCGCAAGUUGCUGGUGGGAAGAUUGCUGUUCAGCAGAAUCUAGCAUUACUGGCAAACCAGGUACUCUUACAGAAAUGAUAUCUGGUCAUUGCAUGUUAUUGCCUGACAACUGAUUUUGUUUGUACAAGUCUGCUUCUUCAUACAUAUGAAUGCAUAUGUUAGUGUUUUCUUCUCCUUUUCAUACAUAUAAAUGCAUAUGUUAGUGUUGUCUUUUCCUUUUCAUACAUAUUAAUACAUAUGUUGGUGUUCUCUCCUGAGAUGGAUGCAAUAAAGGCUUUUGCUCCUAAAUUUAGCUGAAGAAAUGGCAAGGGAUGUGAGAUUCUGUUUCAUUAAAUUAACAAAAACCCAAAACAAUGAAAAUCCAUAAUAAUGUGGUGUGGGUAAAUUGGCUCCAUUUGGUUCGUUUCCUUAAUGUGAACGCGCGAGCAAUAGAGACUAACAAAAUGAAGUGACAACAAGAAGUCAGUGUCCUUUGAUGGAUGCAUUUUUAGGCAGAAAUAGGUUUGUAAUUGACCAAAUUUGUCUGGCAUGCCAAUUUAAAAAAAAAUAAAUUAUGUGGUUAUUAGCUGUAAUGAAGGGGGAUAGUAGGUGCAAUCAGGUGGAUCCUGGAAAGUUCAACAAAGUUUUGGUAUGGCGUAGUGAAAUUGGUUUGUGCAACUCAGGAGUCUUUCAGGUGAACGAUGAUAGGUUUUGAUUUAUGAAUAUUAUAAAUCUACUGUGCAUAGUAGAAUCAUCUAUAAGUUCUAGUUAUUGAAAUUGUAUACUUUGCCCGGUUUGAGUUAAGGGCACAUGUAAUAUGAAAGAUAGUUGUCGCAUCUUUUAGGUUACCUAACAUUUGAUCAAUCCUAUUAUGGGGGCUUCAAGAUGUCUAACAAUAUGUAGAAUGCCCGUGCUCCUCCCCAUUGUUUAUCUUAUACAAUAAUUUGUUUUAGAUGCUAAUAUCUUUGUCGAUACCGGUAACAAUAUUACAAUAUCUGCGUUUAUUGGGUUUUACAUAGGUUCGACUGUUUGACAGUACACACUAUCUGAAGGCAUUUGCAAUUGGAGAUGUAUGGGUUGCUGUUGGGUGGAGUAGUGAUGUUCUUCCUGCUGUCAAACGUAUGUCUAAUGUUGCUGUUGUUGUUCCCAAGUCUGGUGCUAGCUGCCUGCCAUUCUACUUCGAUAUUCACAUUGUUAUCUCCUUCAUAUUAGCGAUCAGUAAACACGAUAAUGUGACUAAUAAGUUUGUAUUCUCUUUAUAGGCAAUCCCUGCUGCCUCAAGACUUGAAACAAAACAAAUUGGAGGGCGAGUCAGAGGUCCAUCUCCAUUAAUCCAUCAAUGGAUAGAAUUCUGCUUGCAAACAGCGAGAGCAUUGCCUUUCAAGCAAGAGGUUAUCCCGGGUGCAUCUCCCUCUGCCCUUGAAAGUACUCUGGUUAAGUUGCCUGAAGAACUUCUGAAGGGUAAACCAAGUCUGGAUACUAACUUAAUUGCUGGAGUACUCCCGGCUGAAAUUCUGGCCAGAUGUGAGUUUUUGGAGCCAUUAUCUGAAGCUACUUGGUCAUAUUAUGAGUGGCUGGUUGUUAAUCUGCAAAAAGCUGCUCCUGUCUUGAUGAAAAGGGUGCAACAUUACUUGUCAUCAUUAAUCCAAAGCUUUCUAGCAAGAGCUACAUUGAAAAGUUAAUGGCGCUGCAUGCCAAUCAUUAUAAUGCUGUCAGGGCAAUUGGGUCAGGGCAAUUAGGUCAGAGCAUAACUUCAUUAGGAAAAGAGGCUUCAGCUACGUUAAAUAUUACAGGAUGUACUGAGAUGGCUGAAGUCGUUGAGGUUUUACGAGAAACGAAAGAUGAGUGUUUGUUUGAACAAAGUUGUUACUGCAGCGAUUUUGAAUAUGUGCAAGAUGUUGUCCACUGCUCUUUGGGUUAUGGUGUGACUUUCGAUUUCAAGGUUGCCCUGAAACAACGGAAAAGAUUUACAUACCCUCCAAGGAAUGACAACGGCUGGACUAAUUCUGAUCACCUAAUUGACUCAGGAUCGGCUGGCAAUAAUAACAGUUUGUUAACAAUGCACAGUCCCGAGUACUUUUCCAGGAUCAGAUACGACGUGGUCUAAUGUUGAUAAUAAUAGUUUAUUAAAUGACAAAUCGUUGUCCUUGGGUGUUGAUUUCAGA